Molecule: long non-coding RNA, 430161 nt
Filed under: Eutrema salsugineum
Lineage: Eukaryota; Viridiplantae; Streptophyta; Magnoliopsida; Brassicales; Brassicaceae
Description: long non-coding RNA (ESAL_LNC002063)
Rfam family: Small nucleolar RNA R12 (bases 321051-321135)
Source: RNAcentral
UUUUUUAAAAAAAGUAGAUUAAUAAAGUAAUAAUUUUUUUUUAAUUAAAACAAUGAUUGAGGUGUAUAGAAAAUAAUUUUCGUUUUUUAAAAAUAUAUUAAGAAAAUAAUAGAAAAUAAUGGACCUUUUUUAAAAAUAUAUAUAUUAAGAAACUAAUAUUUUUUUUCAUUAAAAAUGGUAAAUUUAAAAAAAUUAUAGUCGAUUUUUUAUUUAAAAACAGAUUUAAUUUAAAGAUAAGAUUAUAUUUUAACUAAGAUUAUUAAAUUUUAACUAAAUUUAAUAUGAACUAAUAAUAACUAAACUUAAUUUGAACCAAGUUAAAGGCUAAUAUAGACUUUUUAAUGAGGGACAUGAUGAUAAUUAACCACCUCCAGAAUCAAUGAGAGAGCUGGAAAUCAAAAAUUUACUUCGCUUAUAAUAUAUAUGAUUUCCCAUAUAUCAAUGCGGUUAGUGUUUUUUUUUUAUUAAUCUAUUUUCAUUUUUGAAAGCAACAGCAUGCUGCAUGCAUAACAGUUUAUAUAUAAAAAAAAAAGAUGCAUAACCUUAAACAAAAAGAAAAACUUCUCUUUUAUUACGGAGUAGUGCUAAUUACAUUAGCCUCAAACAUCCUAAGCGCUUACAUAUUUUUUUAUAAAACACACACGAUAAAUAAGUAUGUAGUGUCAACAUACAUGCAUCAACAACCACACUCAUCAUCGUGGCAUAUACACUUAAGGAUUUGGUUUGGAAUCUAGUAGUAGCGAGGACGGGGGAUGUUGAAGGGACAAACGCUAACUUGCGGAACGUUGCAAACGUUAGGCAACUGCUUAGCGGUUUGGUAGAUACGUCUGAUCUCUUGGGGACGUGAUUGUCCCUGUUGUUCCUGUUGUUGUACCUGGGAUCUAACCGCUUUGGCCGCUUGUUUCAAGGUUGGGCAAACGCAUUCUCGAUCUUCCUGGUGAAGCUCAUUGCAGCACUGCUGGAGUAGCUGCGGUCUCUGCUCUGGGCCCUGUUGGUUGUCCAUGUCGAAAUCGAACUCAUCAUAGAGGGCCCAGCUUGAACCACCUUGUUGCAUUGCUUUCUGGCGCAUCCACUGCUGGCAAGCUUGUAAGUGCUGCGCCUGCUGAAACUCUUUUCGACAUUUUUGUUGUGGGCGGAAUGGGCGGAAUGGGCCUAUUUGGUUGUCAUCUUCGUCGAACUCGACAAUGGUGCGGUAGAUGGAAGCGUUGGUGAGGAGGAAGAAGAAGGCGAGAGUUGCGGAGACGAGGAAGAGCUUGUUGGCCAUUUUGAUGUAUAUUUGUGUAUGUUUUCUUAUGUUUUGGUUUGAGUGAAGAGUGAAGUGGAGACUUGGUUGGUAUUUAUAGGUGACAAAGAAGUUUUGCAUGUGCAUCACGUGUAACAUUGCAUGCAUGUGCUUGUUUGUUUGUGUGAGAGAGAGAUGCAAUAAGGUUGUUGUCGCCAUUAGGUGUUGGAAAUUCAAAAGUGGAGGUGUGAUGACAAGUCUCCGCGUCUAACUGCAAUGCAACCUUAGUAUGUAUGAUGUGUAGCUCAUAUUCUGACAUGUCAACUUUUUUAAUUAAAAUGCACUUUGUAAAAAAAAAAAAAAAAACUAUUGUGAAAUGAAGGUUAAAAAACAUGUGAAGUAAAUGAAGGUUUCUUUUCCGAAUAUAUCAUAACAAAGUAAUCAAGAACUCGAGAUUUCAUGAGUUCAAUCGUGAUUCGUGAGCUCAUACGUCUCCGCUAGAUUAAGUCUACAAUUUACUAUAUGGUUUUUCAUUUUCAGAGAGUUCGUAAUAUAUAAGAUCACAGAAUUUUAAUUACUAAUUAGAUGGUUUUAGAUCAUCUCUAUUACUAGUCUCUCAUCGAUUAUUUAGUAUAAAAAGAAAAAAGUAAGUAUUUCUUAAAAAGGAAUUAAUCAGAGCUGAUUUUUCAAAUGAGAAAGUAUGAGAACCUCAUGAGAAGCUCCUUAUACUAGACACAUAUCUUUAAUAUUAUGUGAGAUUUAGGAUUUUUGUGCUAAUUAAUUAUAAUCAUAGUUUAUGAUCUUAAUUAAAUAGUUUCUAUAUAGUGUUAGUGACAUAUAGUAAUUUUUGGGUGUAAAUCAGAAAGUAAAAUUAUCUAUUUAUCAAAUUCCAGUACUAUUAAUAAGUUUUUUUUCGAUAUUACUUAAGGUUAAUAGAAAAAUGUUAAACUAGUAUUGUUUUUAGUUAAUACAAUAAUUAUAUUUUAUAUAUUAAAAAUCUCAGAUAUGAAAAAUUAAAAAUUAUAUUUUAACUUUUGUGAAAAUCAUAUAUAAUCAUUAUUUCCUUUCCUUUUAUAUAGACUUCAUAUAUAUGUUCGUCUUCUCAUAAACCUUAUUUCUUUUCUUUUAUUACGUAAUUUUUAGUAUUAUUUAAUUUCUAUAUUGUUAAUGUACUUUGAUGAAAAAUGAAAGAAAUAUGGAUUGUUUUGAUGAGGUUCUCAGUAAUGGCGGUAAAAAUUUAUGAUGAGGUUCUCAAAAUAAAAUACAGUGAAAUGUAAUGAUAGAUAUAUAUACUUCCUAACUACGUUUAGGCUUUAGCCCAAACUAAGAAAAACUUUCUCCAAACCAGACCAACGGUUCCUUCUGAAAUCUUCAGGCACACCAGCUCUUUUAAUCAGAACCAAAUAUUUGAUUGGUAACGUUUAACACUCUUGACCACAAUGACUAUCCCUCUUUACUUAACGGUAAUGUAAAUUUAGAUUUUGUACGUCGCUUUUCCACUUAAUCAUAUGUAGUAAUUAAUGUAAAACGUACAUUUGGCUUGUCUCAUCCUGUUGAUCACGUGUUAUUUCUUGUGGCCAACAAAUAGCUAAUUUACAUACUGAGUUCAUGCACAAUGCUCUUUUACUAAGAUGGCAACCAUGGAGGGAAGUCAUACAGAGCAAUUUGAACGGUGCUUUUUGCAUGUAUUUAUCAGUGGCGGAGCCACAUGUUAUUAAUGGGGUCAUUUGCCCCCAACAAAAUUAGAAAAGCUGAAGUAUUUUAGUAAGCUCAAUGUUAAUGUCCCCACUUAUAAAAUUAUCCCCACUUAUAAAAUUAUGUAUACUCCUAUUUCCUCCCAAUGAAAAAAUUUUUUGCCUCCGCCUCAGCUACCGUAUGUAUAUACGAGUUAAGUUGAUCCAGCCCGCAAAUUUGGUUGGAAGAUUUGCUUGAAAACUAGUACCCCGAACCACCUAAAGAGCAUGUGCCACAUAAAACUUAAACAAACCUCUCUUUUAUUACGUAGUGCUAAUUACAUUAGCCUCAAACAUCUUAAACGCUUACAUUUUUUAUAAAACACACACGAUGACUAUGUAGUGCCAACAUACACCAACAACCACACUCAUCAUCGUGGUAUAUACACUUAGAAGUGGAAUCUAGUAGGAGCGGGGGAUGUUGAAGGGACAAACGCUAACUUGUGGAAUGUCGCAAACGUCAGGCAAGUGCUUAGCGGUCUGGAAGAUACGUCUGGUCACUUGGGGGCGGGAUUGUCCCUGUUGUCCCUGUUGUUGUACCUGGGAUCUAACCGCUCUGGCCGCUUGUUUCAAGGUUGGGCAAACGCAUUCUUCAUCUUCCCGGCGAAGCUCGUUGCAGCACUGCUGGAGUAGCUGCGGUCUCUGCUCUGGGCCCUGUUGGUUGUCAAAAUCGAACUCGUCGUCGAGGGCCCAGCUGGAACCACCACCUUGUUGGGUUGCUUUCUGGUGCAUCCAUUGCUGGCAAGCUUGUAGGUGCUGCGCUUGCUGAAACUCCUUACGACAUUUUUGUUGUUGUUGUGGGCGGAAUGGGCGGAAUGGGCCUGAUUGGUUGUCAUCUUCGUCGAACUCGACAAUGGUGCGGUAGAUGGAAGCGUUGGUGAGGAGGAAGAAGAAGGCGAGAGUUGCGGAGACGAGGAAGAGUUUGUUGGCCAUUUUGCUAUAUUUGUGUAUGUUUUCUUAUGUUUUGGUUUGAGUGAAGAGUGAAGUGGAGACUUGGUUGGUAUUUAUAGGUGACAAAGAAGGUUUGCAUGUACAUCACGUGUAACAUUGCAUGCAUGUGCUUGUUUGUUUGUGUGUGUGAGAGAGAGAAGCUAUUAGGUGUUGGAAACUCAGAUAAGUGUGAUGACAAGUCUCCGCGUCCACAUGCAAUGCAGCCUUAGCAUGUAUGAUGUGUAGCUCAUAUUCUGACAUGUCAACUUUUUAAAAAUGAAGAUUAAAAAACAUAUAAAGUAAUUGAAGGUUAAGGUUUAAACCCUUUUUUCGAAUAAAGCCAAGCCCUUUAUUACUUUGGUUUCAAUGGGAUCGGAUGAGAGACUGAGAGUCAAUAUUGAAAGAGUGCGCUCUAUAUAUGUUAAAGUUCUAAAAUUCAUUUAAUAAAUGAAUAAAAUGAAAAUUAAAAGUAACAUAUUAUACAAAAAAACACUAAUCCAGAAGUUAAAUAGAAGAGUAAAAUAAAAUCAUCCAAAAAUUAACUAUACAAUCUCUGCUUGUUUUAAUUGUUAGUCCACUUUAUCAAUGAGACUAAAGAAAAAUGAUAAAACAUUGGGUUAUUCUAAUUUCUUAAAAUAUCAUAAAAUUAGAUGUUUUUGACCAAUUCGUUGUAUUUUCAUAUGAAAGAUUAUAACCAUCAAACAAUAGCACCGAUAAAUCAAUUACAGGAUAAAACUGGCCUUAAACAAGAGAGAAGUAUAAAUUACAGUAUAAAAUACGCCAAAACUCCGAAGUGUGUGAAGCCCAAGUCUACAAAAGACGUGUAUGGGGCCCAAGCCCACUGAGAGGACAAGUAUGAAGCCCAAAGGCCCCAAAAACACCAAGAGACUGAACAUGAUUUCAGACCAAAAUAUCUCCCAUCUUCGGUUCUUCCUCUCAUUACUCUCUCUCCACCGAAACAGAAGUUGCAGACUUUAUCCGAAUUUAGGGUUUCUAUUCCUUCUUUCUUCUCCGAUAAUCAGAUCCUCGAAACCCCACUUUUCGAAUCAGGUAAAAUUUUCCUUCUUCUAUCUGCGUAUACUAUUAUCUCUUUAGCGGAUUACAAAUUGGUUCUUGUUCUUUCUUUGGUUUCGGUAAUUUCGAGGUGAAGUUUAUGUUCGUUGCCCGAUCCAUAAUCUGUGAUUUAUUGUUCUUUCACCACAUGGGUGGUGCGAUUUUGCAAUGACUAUUCGGUAUUUUGCCCUGAAGAUCGGACGCGAGAUUUUGUUUUUGAUAUAUCGGAUUUGCUGCUGGCUUUAAAUCUCCUGUGAAAGAACAAAAUUCAAAUUUUUAAGUUACUGGAUUUAUGUUUUUUCCUUACAUAUUUUUCGUAAUUUAACUGGAUCUGCAUAACUAGGUUCCUGGGAUAUGGUCAACAUAUAGAUGCAGAUUGAUAUGCUAUCUCAAAUCUUCCUUUGCAGAUGAUAAUCUAGAGUUGUUUCUUAGCCGAGUUGUAGUUUCCCAUCUAUUUUAUGCUUUUUAAAUCAAUAAUCUUUAAUUGAACGUGGCUUGACUAGAAUUAUAUGUUUUUGUUGUUUGUUAUCAUGUUAUUUGUAUCUCUCUACACGUUUCCUAUGUUUGCUUUAUGUCUUUAACUGUUAGCUAAGACCUAGUGAAUAAUCUUAGUGCCUAUUCGAUUGUGGUUUAAACACUUAAAUCUUAUUUGAUGUGUUCUUACUCUUCUGAGUGUUUUAAAUUCUUAUGCGACCUUGGUCUCUUUAUUCAGGUCUCAGCUUCUCUGUCGUUUGCCCAUCAGAUCAACAAAGUUUCAUGUCUGAACUUGAUUCCCAGGUCCCUACUGCCUUCGGUAAGUUCCAACGCUUAAAGCUUGAUCCAUAAUCCAUCAAAACACCUAUUUAUGCCUGCCUCCUAGUCUACUUAAACUUAUUUCGGAUGUUUGGUAACAGUUUUGAGAUUUGGACCAAGGGCUUUGGUAAAUGUUUCUCAUUUGGAUAUUGUUAGGAGCUAACCAGUUUCUUUUUGGAUUUUUUGCUGUCACGCAGACCCGUUUGCUGAUGCGAAUGCUGAGGACUCAGGUGCGGGAACAAAGGAGUACGUUCACAUCCGAGUCCAGCAGCGCAAUGGUAGGAAAAGCUUGACAACGGUCCAGGGGUUGAAGAAAGAGUACAGCUACAGCAAGAUACUAAAGGACCUCAAGAAAGAAUUUUGCUGCAACGGAACGGUGGUUCAAGACUCUGAACUAGGACAGGUGCGUGUUUUAUAUCUCCAAGGUGCAUCUUUAUAGUUGGCAUUCUAACAAUGGAUCAAACGGUUAAAGACUAAUUCCAAAGGCUAGCCGAGGGAUUUUCAGCUUUGUCCUUUAUGUAUGGUUUUUCUUUCUUAAUUGUGCUACUGUGUAAAUGUGUAGGUUAUUCAGCUUCAAGGUGACCAGAGGAAGAACGUCUCCACGUUCCUAGUCCAGGUAAAAAUCACACUCUCUCAGGAAUCAAUGAAGUAAAAGACUGUUGCUUGAUCUUAUUUAAUUUCCCUUGCUUCAGGCUGGCCUUGUGAAGAAGGAUAACAUCAAGAUCCAUGGUUUCUGAGCCGCUUCUGUUAAAAUUUCCCUAGGCUGUUUGCUUUUCUGCUCUAGUGGAUUAUUACUGUCAUCUUCCAGUUCCAAAACAUUUCUUCCCCUUCGUGUUUGAUCUCUUGUUACUGGUUUUAUUUUCGGAUUUGCUUUGGUAUGAUACUAAGAUACUAUCUUGUUCCUCUUAAUGCUUUUGUAAUAUGAGAUUUGUUAAGAUUCUCCAUUAACUUGGUCGCUUCUCUGAAUAUUUUUCUUUACAAAGACGGAUCCCAAGCCAUUUUAGAGUUUUACUAAUGACUCUGGUUACUUCGUUUCUUCUCGGCAAGCAAAGACCUCAAUGAUCAUUUUUCUUAAUCAGUUUAUGCAAAGUAUGAAACCGAAGUCAUUUUAUAAAACAUCUGAAAUUGGUGCAGGCUAAUCUGCCAAUGAAAGACUCUUAUAGGUCCAGAGGGUAUGAAUAAACAACGAAAUCAAACCCGUCGCUUGUCUUCUCUAUCGAGUCCAAGUUUGGAGCUCUGCAAUCCUCGAUCAAGUCGGUUUAGGUUUAAACAGAGAAGACAAACACUACAAAACGAAAUUUUAUUUGAAAAAUAAAAAAACGCAAUAAGGUUAGAUUGUGAAAAUAAUCUGAAUCGAUCGUGUUUCAAUCUCAUUAUCCUAGUUUGUGUUUUCUCUACAGUUCGCUCAAAACCCCUUUUUCGGCUGUAUUCGAUCGCAGGUAAGAGAUGGAGGAGAUUUUCGCUCUGAUAGUCUCCAUGAUUCUCAUAGCAGCGGUGAUUCCUCUGUUCUUGUGGAAACGUCGGGUAGAUGCUAGAUCACGGGAGGAAGAUGCAGAACCGCCACAGGUAAUUUCUCCUUUUUUUUUUUGCGAAAUGGAUUGGAAGUUUUUUGAUCGAUGAAUUAUGAUAAUGGCACUGACGGGGCUAUUCGUAUGAAAUUCAAAGGUUCGGCCGCGUGAAAACGUGGUACGUGCUACUGGUGGGCGUAGAAUGCGUCGGAGACCUGCAGCUUCUGGUGCUAGCUCCUCAUCAUCCAAUGUUCAAGGUUUGUGUUAAGCAGCUUCUGUGUCUCUUUUACGUUAUUUUGAAAAUGUCAAAUUCUCUCGAAAUCGUGUGUUUUAGCUGGAUCAACUGGAUUUAAAGGCUCCAGAUUUUCGGAAAAGUUUGGAGGAUUGAGUUUUGUUUUUCAAAGUAUAUACCGUAUCAAAUAAAAGACUUGGUUCUGCUACUUUCUAGUUGGAGACGACAACCUUAUGUAAAUGGGUGUUAUUGGUCAAGAGUUUACUUUUGCCUGCGAGAGAGAACGCUAAACCAGAAUAGUCAACUAGUUUUAGUUUGAUUUGUCAUCUAGCUUAGUUUAAGAAUAUGGAUGGGUUUAUAAAGUGAGCUACUGGUGGCCUUGGAAUCAUUAUUUGUGUAAAUGUGAUAACAGAAAACAUCAGUGGGAGUGAAGAUGAAGAUGAAGAUGAAGCCGGUGGAAAUCAAGCCAGAGCAUCAAAGAAGAAAGAGAAGAAGCGACAAGAACGAGAAGCACAAAGACAGGUGACUAACAAUCUCUAUCGCCAUUAAUUCUUCUAAUAUUAAAUUCUAGCAGGUUUUAGGAUGAGAAAUUCUAGGAAUAUCCGUUGACUCGUUACAGUCCUAACUGUGAAAGUUAGAGAUUGUAGAAGGAUAGAGCAUUGGUCCUGGGAUCAGAAUAGUACAUAAACUUUUGCCUGAUUAAAAUCUGUUUAUGUUGCUGGUAAAGGCUGAAGAAGCGACACGCGAGUCAAGGAGUACAAAACAAGAUUGGUAUGCAGAAAUGCGGAGGAAGAAGGAUGAAGAGCGCGAGGCAGAGGAGAGGAAGUUGGUGGGUCAACUAAUCUAUCUCAAAUUUCGUUAUGCCUAGGCUUCCUGGUUUAGAAAUGCUGAUAUUUGGCUAAUUGCGACAUUGUUUUUGUAGGAAGAAGAAGAAAAAGCACGACAAGCCAAGGAAGAAGAGGCAGCUGCGUUAGAGUUUGACAAAUGGAAAGGGGAAUUCUCAGUUGAUGCUGAAGGUACGACAGAGGAAGUGCAGGGUGGAAAUGAAGAUUUGCUUUCAGAAUUUGUUGAAUACAUUAAGGUAUAUCUUGAUAACCCUUUACCAAAAAUUUUCCGAUCUCCCAUUCUAAUUGUCAUUCUACGAAUUGGAACAAACUAACGAUGAAGUAUAGAUACAAUGUUGAACUUUCCUUUUGCUGUGUGAUGUGAUUGCAGAAACAGAAAUGUGUUCCACUUGAAGAUCUCGCCGCAGAAUUUAAUCUACGAACUCAGGUAUCAUCUGGCUACACCUUCUAAGUUGCAAAUAAAUGAAUACCUUUUAUCCUUGUUCUAAAAAGUCCUGUUUAUUUUUGUAGGAAUGCAUCAACAGGAUCGCCUCUUUGGAGAGCAUUGGUAUUUUUCUCUCUAUCUAAUCAUAUUAAAAUGAACAUUCCUCUGUCAAUAUUGUGAUUUAUGAUGGUUUAUAAAUAAUGAACCCGAAGCAAAGCAGAUGAGAUAUCGAUGACUCUGUGUGUAUACAUGUGAAAGACACACGUAGUGGAUCUCUUAAGAUGUGAACGCCUUGUCUUUUUUUAUUAAGGGCGGCUCUCGGGGGUUAUGGAUGAUAGAGGAAAAUACAUUUACAUAUCAAUGGAAGAGAUGAACGCCGUGGCGGAUUACAUCAAACGUCAAGGAAGAGUUAGUAUCUCACAUCUAGCUAGCAAGUCGAACCAGUUCAUCGACUUGGAGCCCAAAGUAGAGCAUCAUCUGACUGAAGAUAUCACUGGCAUGGAAGAGGUCUCUGUUUCUUAGUUGCUUAUUUGUUGUAUUAAGAAUAUCCCGGUUUGAAAUUUGACAUUGUAAACAAAAUAAUUAAUGAAAUCAAUCUUUGUUGGAUUUGGAUGGAUACAAUUUUUCACUUGCAGCAAAAAUCUAUAUCUUUAAUUUGAAAGAUUUUCAAACUUCAAACAAUUUUUUCAACUGUCGGUUUUUUGGUACAUUUUGUUCAGGUCCGGUUCUACCAAAUUUGACAUUCAUUUACAUUUUUUAUUUCCCUUUUAUUUUCAUUUGUGUUAUCUCUGUUUCUCCGGAGAAGCAGGGAAAAACUAGAGGAAGAGAAACCGUUAUGCUCUGCCUCCCUAAUUCGCUUAAGCUUUUUGAUCAUCUCUCUUCUUUCUUCUAUCUUCUUCUCUCUGUUCUCUUUCUUGCGUCCUAAGAAUCUUAGGAAAAAAAGAUAGAGAUGAAGAUACGUUACGUUCAUCUAAACCUACUUAUCCUCCUAUUACCUCUAAUCAAUCUUCUGUUUCCGACAUUAUCUCUGGCUCAAGACUACGGAGACGAUGCCCCGAAAAAGGACACUCCUCCACCAGGUCUGAUCCAUUGCAACGGAGUUUACAUGUCUUACAACUCCGGCGACCGCGAAAAGUUAUAUCCUCGGACCAACAACGUGACGGCUCAAGCCUGGUCGUUCAAAGCAACGGCCAUGAUCGUGAACACGGGGAUCGAAGAGGUCAAAGGUUGGCAAAUGUUCAUAGGGUUUCACCACAGAGAGAUCAUCGUUUCCGCAACGGGAGCUGUUUCAACGGACGGUGAGUUUCCUUACGACGCAAGCAACGGGACAACGUUCAUUGGUUCUCCGAAUACGGAUCUAAAGACCUCGAUCGAAACAGCUGGUGAUUACGAUAAGAUCUCAACCAAUAUCGAGAUAACCGGAACGCUUUUCGGCGGUAGAGGUACGGCUACGCCAUUGCCUAAAACGAUCAAGCUCACAAACGAUGGAUGGGAAUGCCCUGCUCCUACUUCUAAAGGUAAACGAAAUUCUCCACUUUUAGUUUCUUGUAACGGAAGAAAUUAUCGGUUAUGACCGGUUUAUGAUUCUUUCGGUCUGGUUUUUGUGUCAGGCGGUACGAUGGAAGUUUGCUGCAAGAGGAACCCAAAGUUCAAAGCUAAAGAUAAAGCGAAAACCAAGUUCAUGCCUAGAAAAAAAGGCGACCUGAAUAUAGUUUAUGAUGUUCUUCAAGCCUACACAAGCAACUACUUGGCGCAGGCAAGUCACCGAUUCCAUCAGUUCUAUCGAUAUAUAACCUCGAGAGAAUCAUAUAUAUACAUAAAAUGAUUUGAAACUGAUAUAUUUUUUUUUUUUUUUUUUUGGAGCAGGUAACUAUAGACAACAAUAGUCCAUUGGGACGGUUAGACCACUGGAACUUGACAUGGGAGUGGAUGCGAGGAGAGUUCAUCUACACGAUGCGUGGAGCCUACGCUGCCGAGGAGAAACCUUCAGAAUGCUUACACAGCAAGGCGGGACAGUUCUACACGGAUCUUGAUUUCUCUCAGGUCGCUACUUGCCAGAAGAAACCGAUUCUCAAAGAUUUACCAGCUGAGCGUAAAGAAGAUAAUAUCACCGGGAAAUUGCCUUUCUGCUGCAAGAAUGGCACUCUCUUGCCCACUAUCAUGGAUCCCUCUAAGUCCAGAGCCAUUUUCCAGUUACAGGUUUUGCCCCAAAACUAACCACUUCUAUAAUUACAAGACAUAACAAAAACCCUUAACCGGUUUUGAUGUGGUUGGUUUAGGUGUACAAGGUGCCACCUGAUCAGAACAGAACAGCUUUCUUUCCUCCACAGAACUGGAAAAUCGACGGUAUAGUGAAUCCGCAAUACAAAUGUGGACCACCUAUACGAGUAGAUGCGACUUCUUUCCCUGACCCGAGCGGUCUCCAAGCAACCACCUACGCAGUAGCCAGCUGGCAAGUCGUGUGCAACAUAACCAAGCCUAAACCAAAAGCUGCUCGUUGCUGCGUCUCUUACUCUGCUUUCUACAACGACUCAGCCAUUCCAUGCAACACUUGUGCUUGCGGUUGUGGAGACAUCGAUACCGACACUUGCAACGCCAAUGCUCGACCGCUUCUCCUCCCUCCCGACACGCUCUUGGUACCGUUUGAUAACAGGACUCUCAAGGCAAGAGUGUGGGCAAAGAGGAAACACAUGGCUGUUCCAAAGAAGCUUCCUUGUCCUGACAACUGUGGAAUUAGCUUGAACUGGCAUGUUAACUCGGAUUACACUGAUGGAUGGUCUGCGAGGGUAACGUUGUUUAACUGGGGAAACAAUGCAGUGGAGGAUUGGUUUGCGGCUGUGGAUUUGGGCAAAGCUGGUUUAGGGUAUGAGAAUGUUUACUCCUUUAAUGGGACAAGACUUCCACCUAAGAACCAGACCAUUUUCUUCCAAGGACUUCGUGGUAUGAACUACUUGAUCGGUCUCACAAAUGGGUCGAACCCUGCUAAAGACCCGCAAGUUCCAGGGAAAAUGCAGUCGGUUAUAUCGUUUAAGAAGCGGAAUUUGGGGAGUUUGAAUAUCCCUGGAGGAGAUGGAUUCCCUAAGAGAGUUUUCUUCAAUGGAGAAGAAUGUGAGCUUCCUAAGUAUUUCCCUAAAAAGAGUUAUGGGGAGAGAUUAUCCGGUAUCCGAUUCUUUCCCUCGAUUCUCCUCGUGAUCACAACGUUUCUUGCGAUCACGGAUCGGUUUUAAGUGGUGUUUAGGUGCCUUAGUUAUAUAUGUAAGUUGCUUUUCUUUUAGCAAUGAUCAAGGAACUUGAAGAGAACGUUUAUAUAUCUCUGUUUUUCACAGUUUUGUUUGAUCCAAGAAACUUGUAUCCAUAAUCAAAAGGAACUACUGCAGAUUGAUGGUUCUCAAUCUAAAACACUCUUGCCCUUUACUACAAAUUGUGCUUCGGUCUAGAAGAUCCGAUCCUGCAAUAUUCAGUUGGGCACAAAUUUUUUUGCAUUCAAAUAUUUACUCUGUUUUUUUGUUUGAUUCUGGUAAAAUAAACAAGAAACCAUAAAUUAUACGAAACACUUCUUACUCCAAAUUUCAAAUGUAUUUCGUCUUUGUAGAACAGAAGAUGAGCAUUGUGAACUUAAAUAAAUAAAUACAGUCUUUUUCCUUCUUUAGUUUCCCAUUUGGUAAAUUGAAAAAACACAUCAUGAUUGUUCAUAUAUAUAUGCAACAUCAACUUUUAUGAACAGCUUACAAAUUGUGUUUUUUUGUGUGUGUGUGUAUAUGUUAGAGAGUAAUUCAAGGCUCCAAGAUUCUUCCAGAGUACUUUACACCCAAGGAAUCGUUAGAAAAGACUAUAGAAAACUUCCAUGAUAUCACGGAUUUAAGCCGGAGAAUCAUUGGAUUGUUCGCCAAUGCUAUUUCUUAGCCUGCAAUAAGAGAGAAGACAACAGAAGAUAGACUUUCAUAUAAGCUUUCCAGAGAGAGAGUAAAUAUUUCUUGUCUGACAGAGAGAGAUGCAACCCAGAGAGAUGAAAGAAAUAGAGAAAUAACCUUUCUUAGGUAUUUCUUGUGAAUUUUGAUGGCUCCAGAACAUGUUUUCUUAGCAUCCAAGUUUCCAGUCAUGUCGUUAAGUAUCUAGGGACAUCAUAAGGAAAUGGGAUGAGAAAUGGAUUCACCAAAAUAAAAAAAAAGGUUAAAAAGAAGACGUAUGUUUAACCUUAACAACGUCGUCGAGUCCACGAGCUUCAGUCAUUAGCUUAGAACUCUUGUCUUUCAAGACACUGGCCACCAGGAAAACCGAUAUAGGCAAAGGACCUUCCGUGCUUUUUCCACCAUUCCUCAUGUUUUGCCUCUCAUACUUUCCGCAUUGUUUAAUUGACUUCCGUGUACCUUUGGACUCCUCGGUUUUCUCACUCCCGCAUUGUUGCGCCUCAUAUACGUAAAAGAGGUUGGGGUCGUACUCCAAGGCCCACAUCAUCUAAGGGAAUAGAAUUUGGCAUUUGAGAUCAAUCAAUCCAAGGAUGAUGAAGAAGAAGAAGACUAUAUGUAGAAGAGAGAGCGUGACACCAAGAAUCAUUACCUCCCAAAGGUACAAAGAGUCACAAAACGAGAAUUCUCUUCGGAAUUGAACCAUUAGCAUCCGAAUCGCAAAGAGAUAGUCACCUCCACCCAGUUUAUCUGCAUUUUUGAAAACCCCAAGCGAAGAUUAACCGAUGAAUAUAUAUAUAGAGAGUGAGGCAAAGAAACUGUAGUAGCAGUAGUAGUGAUACCUAAGUGUUGGUGAAGUUUGGGGUCAAUAAUCUGAGUAAUCGAAGACAAAUGAGUAAGUUGAGCUUCAACUCCAACAGAUCUCCCGGUGCUGCGGAAAUUUCCUCGCUUUUCAAUAUUCGAAAACACAAAACACAUUUAAUACAACCUGAUUGCACAGAAACAGAUGUAAACAAGUCCAUACAAAACACACACAAAUAGAUAUGACAUUAUGUGUAAAGUAAGUACCAAUCGACGCAUAAGCCUCUCAAAACACCAAAAGGAAUCAGCUUCAUCGUCAAGAAGAAUAAUCAUUGGGGAACAAAGAUCACUCAUUCCUGAUCAGAGCAGCAGUACAUAGAUCAGAAUUUUUUCAGGUACCAAACUUGUUUUCGAACAAAGGAUACAAUGAUAUAUAUAUCAUUGGGUUCUACCUUGGCAAUACCCAACAUCUUUGUCUAUCCAGGCGUAAACGGACAGAAUAUCCCAGAGCUUCGACAAAUUCUCCUUUCUCUCGUAAAAUACUAAGGCCCUGUCUGUACGGUUCACAUCAAGACCUGAAAUAUAUAUUAAGCAACUCGGUCAAGAGGCGGAUAUUCAGUUUAUUAUGAUAGCUGAAGAUAUAUGAAGCCAUAAACAAUGAGUCACUAACCUAUCUGGUGAAGUGUUAGCAGCCAUUGAAUAACUUUCUUAUCGAGAGGUCCACGACUUGUGAGCUCUUUGAAGAAAUCUGAACCAUUUGAGUUUGUACCUGAGAGACCCAAAUGAAUACUUUAAAUGCCUAUUACAAGUUUUUGUAAAAGAAAAUUCCGUUAUGGGAAAGCAAGAUUGUACCUAAAUUUAUUUCUUGAAGUACAAGAGGAUCAUGGUUGGGUUGACCAUUUUCAGCAAUCACAGGAGCAGUAAUAAAUCUUCCACUUCCAAUCACAGGAAACAUUUGCUUACACUCCUCCUUCCAAGAAGCAUACUGCAGCCUGAAGGAGAUAUCAACUCAUUAAUAAAGCGAUAGAGGAUCGACGAAACAGAACUUACUGUUCAUAUGGGAGAAAGAAUAGAGAAAACCAUGUAAACUAUGCCAAAUGCAAUAUAUACAGGAAAUAACGACAAAAAAAUCUAUACCUUCUGCGUUGUCGGAUUUGCUCUCUUUCCUCGAAAGUGCUCAUUGGGUCAUAACAGCCAAGUAGGAAUUCCCAUACUUCGCCUCUAAUUGAUGGAUGGAUUCCCUAAAGAUCGAUUGUAAGGGAGACAAAGUAGCAAGAAGUUCAGAGAUUCAGAACAAACCAAAUGGUAAAAAGACUUUUAUAAAGAAACAUACCCCUCUUCGGAUUCGUCUUAGAGUCUUGCCAAUAUCGAGGGACCCUUCUUGAACAAAUGCAGCCUGCCAUUUUCUUACACUUAGAGUUUUACCAGGCUGCACAAACAUAAUAGAGAUGACCAAAUGUUGUCAGCAAAAAAAAUUCCUGGCCUCAACAUGAUGCAAUUCAUUAUAAGUAGGACCGCAAGCAAUGGAAAUGAAACAGGCUUUUCUGGCCUGUAAUGUGUUAAGAUUCAUACGGAGAGAAACUACUAAUUCAAUCAACCGCAUAACGGAAGAGAGACAUAUGUCUUACGUAUCUUCCCAGAUACUAUUGUAUGCCAUGACAUUAACAGCUAAUGGACUCUGCAUCUUUAAAUAUUCAUCAGAGACUUGAAGUUUUCGGGUCAAGAGGUAACAUCCUCUGAAGCUUUUAACAUUCUUUCAGGAAAAAGAGACAAUCAAGCAUGUGAUGAUGCUACUUAGAAACUAUCAAUGAUGGAUGUGAGAACCUAAAACAGCUCCCAAGAUCAGUAAGUCUUCAUUGAAAAACAGAUAUAUCAACAUUAAUGCCUGAGCUUGGAAUCCAAUGAGGUAAUCGGAUCUUAAUAAAACCAUGAACCCGUACACGAAGAAUCUACAGAAUCAACAAGUCGACAAAAGAGACAAUGCAACAAAAUUAUGCAAAAUAACCGAAUCUGGAAUCACAUAUCGUGUCCGUAAUCAUCGUUUUGUCAACAGACACGACCCAAUGAAGAAGCCAUUCUAAGAAAAAGAAGCAAAAUUCAAGACAAUUAAGAUGAAGGGAAACGAAAGGCGUAACCUUGAUUUUGAAUCUGGUCUUGGGUACAUCGGUGCACUCGGGACGGACUUGGUAGUAAGAAUCUGCUGGCUCAGCUGCGGCUCCCCACAUCUAUGUAAUCCCAACCAAAAUUUCCCGGGAAAAAUAAAGAAAUCAAGGAAAAAUCCUGAGGAAAAAAAGAAGAGAAGAACAAAAUAAAAACAGAAACCAAUACACUGGAUCGGGACCCCCUCAAUACUCAAAAAGAUUGAUCGACGAUCAAUGAAGAAAAGUUUAUUUAAUUUGUCGAUAUUUAGGAAAAAAAGGUUGAGAAUUGAUGGGGGGGACCCAGCUUCCUGGAGGUAAGUGGAUUGGUCGUGUUUUUUUUGGUCGACGAGUAUGAAGUUUCUUCUCUCGUUCUUUUCCUGGUGACGACGAGCUGGUCACACAUUACACUAGUUGGUUUGGUCGCCGCAAAUAACGGAACUGCCUCGAUCAUUUGUCUUCUCUCACGUUUUUAGGGAACGUUGGAUUGUUCCUUCCCAAAAAAACUCACACUUUCAUUUUCAUCUUUAAUCUCUUUUCGAAUUUCGUUAGACUGUUGUCACUCAAAAGUCAUUAUAUUAAAAUUUACGAACAAUCAGUUGGCUUCUGUAAAUAUUGAGCAUUUUGUAACGAAAUCUUAACCAAUAACGGUGGUUGAGAAGAAGGCAAAGAGCAAGCGGCGAGGACGGUGGGCUCUUGACAGUUUACUCGUAUGGGCCCAUUCUGAUAUCGGUUUAUUGAACCAUCCAUAUAUGGGCCUUUUGGGUUCUUAUUUAAUAAGUUAAGGCCCACAACUGAAAAACCCUAAAAUGCUGACAUAUAUAUAGUCUCUUCAGCGAAAGCUAGACGCUUCAGCUGCUGCUCGUUCACGUUUUAUUUUUCACUCGGAGCUUCGACCUUCCACAGCAACCGGCGGCGAAAAUGGUAAGAUAUACAUUUCUGAUUCCCUUCUUCUGUAUACUAUUGGGGGGAAUUGGAGUUUAGAUGUUUGCAAUCAAGUGGCGUUUAUGUUUUUAACAUUGACCACGAUUUCAUGUUUGUUUGUGAUUGUUCAGGUUUUCAAGAGGUACGUGGAGAUAGGGAGAGUGGCACUUGUGAACUACGGAAAGGAUCAUGGAAAGCUCGUUGUAAUCGUCGACGUCGUUGACCAGAACAGGGUAAGUUGAUUUUAUUCAUACAUUAUGGAGAUCUUAUGUAUUUCUUGUGAACUUGGACUAGCUGCAAAUCUGGUUCUUUGAAUUUUUAAUUGCUUAAGAAUCUAUGAACGAGUUUCGAUCAAUAUGUGCAUGGAGCUAAUUGAUUUGCUGAUACAUACAAUAAAGCCAUUACCUUUCAUCGAUGAGUCUUAGUUUGUGCCAUAAGCUUGUCUAUGUUCUAAUUGUAUAGUGAGUUCUAGUUACACAAGGCUUCAUUUUUUUUGUUUAGUUGUCCUUAUAGAAUCCUGACUUUGUUCUUUGUCAUUUAGGCAUUAGUAGACGCCCCUGAUAUGGAGAGGAUCCAGAUGAAUUUCAAGAGGUUGUCUCUUACAGAUAUCGUGAUUGAGAUCAACCGUGUGCCAAAGAAGAAGGCUUUAAUCGAGGCAAUGGAAAAGGCUGGUGAGUGAUGCUGCUCUGUGUAAUGGUUGAACUUUGCAAGUGUUACCAUCUAAUCCGGGAUGUUUUUGCAGACGUGAAGAACAAGUGGGAGAAAAGCUCAUGGGGAAGGAAGCUUAUCGUGCAGAAGCGUAGGGCUAGCCUCAACGAUUUUGAUAGGUUCAAGAUCAUGUUGGCCAAAAUCAAGGUCAGUAUUUUAAAUUGUCAGACCUUGAAAUAUUCUAUGAUCAUUUUUGCGAAUAUUAAACUGAAAUGUUAAUUGGCUUGUUGGUUGUUUGCAGAAAGCUGGUCUUGUCAGGCAAGAGCUUGCAAAACUCAAAAAGGAGAUCACUGCCUGAUAAAAUUGAAUAUUAUCUGCAAGUCUGUUUUUUUUUAUUUUGGGUUGGUAAAUUAGUGUUUUUGCAAAUCUCAGCAUCAUUAUCUACUCAAUUAUCGGAUGUUACUUUUUAAGUUUGAAACCUUGUUUGGAAAACUCGAGUUGCUAUUUGAUCUUGCUCUCAUUUCUAGAGGUCCAUUGGCUUUCUUAUAACCUCUUCAUUUCUUUUUUUUUUUUUUUGGGUCAAACAUAACCUCUUCAUUUCAUUCUCAAGUUUGGAACUCGAAAGAUGAUGUUAUGGGUUGUAAAUUCCCUCGUUCCUUCCGGGAGCAUUCGAUUUUCUAGGAAAAAUGACAACUCUAUCCCAAUCUCACGGUAAAUAUUACAAAUAGUGAAACGUCAUGAACUAUUACGAUUUCAACAAAACGGUGUUGUCUAAACGUGUACUUAGGGAUCCUAAUUAUGUUCUUAUCAUUUAGGCUUUUGUGGAUCCAAAUACAUGAUCUCUUAACUGAUAUCGUGAUUGAAAUUAACCGAGUGCCGAAGAUGGCUGGUGAGUGUUGUGGCCGUAACGACAAAGGUAAAGACUUACAGAGAUACAUCAUCUAUCGGUAAUACUUGAACAUUCAAAAGGACAAUUUUCCGAAUAUAUAAUUUGGAUUAUUUGUCUCAUCUGGUUGAGUAAUUAUAACAAAAAUUCCGGACUCGUUACACAGAAACGAAAUAAACCCCUUACGAAAAGCUUCAAAAGUUUUUACCAAGUUCAAUCUUUUUCAUCAGUGUCAUCGUCUGGUGGAGAAUAGAAUCCAAGAUUCCGGCCACCUGAAAAGAAGGAAAUACUCAAGUCAUACUCAUACGGGAUGUGUUAAUGAAUUAUAAGAAAAAGAAGAGGCUUCUAAGUUGUCUCUCUAUACUAACCGUGAAGACACCACCGAUAAUGGCGCAUACGUUGGUGAUGAAGUGUGAGAAGGACUUGGAGGUUUCUGUUAUGAGAACCUGCAAACAAAAAGAAGAAGAAGAAGAUGAGCAGAGACUAGGGUUGUUGUCUAUCUACGCACGGUUCACCUGAAAAAAUACAAAGACGAAAUGGCCAGUAGGCAGCAGAAAGAAUGUUGACGCCUACCUGCAUUGGUGAGAGCUCGAAGUGAAACUUGGCGACUGGUAAAUAGUAACUUUGAGCGACGCUGCUAUGUGCUGUGUACUCAUACUCCUCAAUCAAUGCCUGUCCAUUGCUUUUGACAACCUCUGUCUUUACAAUUUGAAGAUAAUGCUCGAUCUGUCCAUGAAAACAACACCUUAACUCGUGCUAAUAAGCAUUAUUGGAUGAAGUUUUAGUAGUAAAUUUUUUCUGUGUAAUACAAACUUACGGUAACAUUAGGGCCGAGAUCACGUUGAUUUAUGAAGGGGCGGCCGUCUAAACGAUCAUGGCUUCGGCCGAGAUACGGUGACAAGCGCUUUAAAUCAGCAAAUGUCUGAGGCAAAAUCCUCCGCCCAAAUGAAAGAUGAUUAACAACAUGAGACAUAUUCAUCUGAGAAGAAUCAAAGGAAUGAGAUCCUGAGCGAGCUGAAACCAUUAGGUUGCCUGGAACCUGAAAAGAACAUACGAAAGUAAGUUUUUAACUUUUUAAGCGACUUAAGGGGCAAACAGACAAAGCAAGAGUCAUUUCUCCCAACAAUGCUUACCUUCUUUACACGCAUGUAUCCUUCAAUUCGACAUCCUCCUGUAGAAGGUGCCUUUUUUAGAAUUUUCGAUGCAUUGUCUGAUUUAUCCUCCAAUGCUAGUCUUUGGGGCUCUAGAUGGAUUGGUUCAACCAGACCUAUCACCAUCUAUAGGAGAACCUAAACUAUUCAGAAAUAAGCUACAAAUGCUUGUCCAACCUUUUUAAGGGGCACAGAAAAGAUGUUGAAACUACCUUCACCAAGCUUUCUGUAUCACGAUCUCCAUAGUACGAUUCAUGAUCGUGGUGUGCAUUGUCAUCCCUAUUAUGCAAGAGAAUCAAGGAGAGGAAAGUAAAGUAGAGAAAAAUUUAGGAGAAUCGAGCAAAAUGAUGGUCAUGCAUUAUAUUUAGGAGUUAUGUUCUCUUACCUAAGAUCACUGCCUUUGCGGAAAAUGCGAAUGGAUGGAUACCCUUGUAUGUGAUUCCUGGAGAUCAUUUGCAGAGGAAACUUGUGAGCAUAAAUUAUACCUUAAGCUGGUAUAAGAUUACAGAGAAUGCAUUCUGCUAUAGCAAAUGGAAUCCUAAAGGAAGUCCUUAAACCAUAACGUAUGUCUCUCUUUGGUUUAACCAUAACUUGCUUGUGAAUAGGUGCAUGUAAUAGUUUACAUAAGAAAAAAAAAAUCAUUUAUAAGAAGCCAAUACAAACUUAUAAAGUAACUGACUAUCCCUCCCUUUAGUUACGAACAGAAAAUGCAUAGACCUUAUUUACGGAAAAAUGAGUUAAAAACAUCUCGUAUAAUCCCACAUGAAUCUCCAAUACAGUACAGGCUCAAACUAGCCCAUGCUCCUGGAGACCUUUCAAUUUCAAUUCCACUUUUUGCAUAAAUUUAAAUGACGUAUGCAGUGGAAAGGAGUCUAAUAGCUUCUCUUGCAAAUAUUAUGCACACUGAAGAUGCUAUGGAUUUUACUUUUAGCAAUGUAGGCGAAAUUAAUAAGUUUCCUAAAUUAGGAAGUCAAAAUGGAAAAAUAGAUAGAUCAAUAAUGAUAGAAUAUACCUCCGACAGAGAUCACUUUCUACGGUGCAGUCAACUUUUGCUAAAAUGACACGUCCGUCCAUUUCUGGAUCAUAUCUAUCAAACACAAGAAACUUAUAAGGAAAGAUAGUAUCGCAAGAAUUUUCUCUAAAGAAAGAAUAGUGGCAUACCUCUCUUUUAUUUGUUUUGCUGCUUUCUCCCAUGAUGGUUUCUGAAAAAGGAGACUAAAGUUAUUGUCUUCGAGUAAGAACAGCAAAAUGACCACUUUACUGAGCAUAAAUUAUUCUACCUCAAAAUUACUCUACUAAGUUUGAUAUUCGACCUCAUGUUGAUCAUUAUAUAAGUCUAGUCUUCUAUGAGGAAAUUAUCACGACUACUGCUAAAGAGCAUUUUCAGGAAAGAUUGACUAGGUUGCAGUAAAUUGCACUCAAAGCGCGCCUUAGGCACCAAACAUGCAGGAUCUCCUCUAGUAAGAACGCUAAUAUGACCCUUUGCUAAGAGGCAGCAAAAUGUGGUUUUGGAUGGAAAAUAUGCUGUGGCAUCUAGAAUAUAUAACAGACGAAGACAAAAGAUACGUGAUUUACCAGGAGAUUACACCAAUAGCACCACGGUGCAUAGAAAUUAACAACUGAGAUUGGAAAUCUGCAAAAUGUAUGUUUCAUAUGUUGUCACCAGAAGCAAAAGAAACAAAUACGUACUAGGAAAUAUUCAUAGUAUUGUUGCAUCUAUGUACGAAAUGUGCAACACAGACUUAAACUCCUUACUGAUGUAAUAAUGUGUCAAAGUUGCGGCCAGUAAGUGAUACAGAAUCUUCAACUAAUUCUUCACCAGCUUCAUCUCCAUGAUUAAUGAGCGAUAAAACUUCCCCGGAGUGAAACUCAGUACCAGUGGGUCUCAAAUUCGAAUCAAUAGAAAACUUCCGAAUUGUCUUCGUUACAUUUAGCCUGUUCUGAAAACAAAAGCUAGCAAAAUCAGGAGAGAGAACAACCGAAAAUAUUGAGAGACCAAAUGGACAGAUGUUCAGAAAGAAUAACACUAUUUUAAACCCCUCAGAUACAAUAGACUAUCUUUCACAAUUAUGGUGGCAUUUACUCCAAGAAACUAUUGUGCCAUCCAAACUUUUCGACGCACAUAAUUGCCAUGAGUAAAAUAAAAUUAAAAAAAAUAGAGACUUGAAAUGAACUUAUGAUGAAACCAAACUUACAGUUCCUAAUACAUCACUGACGUCCACAGAUGCGAAUUCACAUGAAAGUGAUGGGAAGCUGCCAAAAAAUCCCGUUAGCAAUCAGAUAGUUGAUGAAUUUUGCAUGACUUUGAUUGAGCCACACAUAUGACAUUUCUGAAGAUAGAAGGUAUGCACUCAACAAAAAAUGGGUGCGCAAAAGACAAAUCAACGUUCUAGAAUAAAGUAGAAUAACGUUUAUACACUCUUCAACUUGUCGAAAAAUUUGAAACUAUAAGACGCUUGUGUUACAAAAACAAAAUCGAGUAUAAUGCACCUUAUGUUAAAAUCCAUGCGCAAGAAGUCUCCAUCGGAGCUCCUGUCAACAAUGAUGGACGUUGUAGUGCUGACAGCCAAAUAAUUAUUUAAUUCCUGUAAUAUGAAAAUUACGAAGUCAAGACUGAGCAUUAAUCGAAUAUAGCAACGAAAUGAUCCAGAUAAAAAUACCAGAAAGUCAAGUGAGCAUGAAACUUACCAUUCCAAAUAAAAAUAGCAUAGAGAGGGCUGCUACAAUGGACAAUCCAGCUCCAGAGAGAGUCGCCUCUGUCAAAUCCCUCGGGAUUUUCCUGCAGGCACGGCAACGCCAAAAGAACAACUAUGAAUUAUUCUCUAGCCUAGAAUCACAAAUCUCAGAUGCUAUCGGACUUUGAUACAAGUAUCCCAUAAUCUACACUUAGCAACAAAACCGAAACAGAAAUGCAUAAUGAUCAUCUUAAGCCCCAUUAAAACACUUCAACAGUCCAAUUUCACUAAGAUCAAAUGACAAUGCUCUUACACGGAGAGGCAAUACCUACAACUUCAGGAUCGCUUCUUCACAGCUAAACCCUAUCAGUAAUCAGCAUAAAAAUCCACAUAAUGUAGAUACUCCCCAGGAUCGUAUGCACACUAAACUAUCAAAACAAAUUCUGUCACUGCCUAGAUCGAGAAAUUCGAAGUCUAUAACAGGAGAAGCAAGCUGGAAGAAAUCUGCAGAACGAAUACAGAAGCAAACAGAAACAAACCUGUAGAAAUCAACGGAUUUGAUCUUGCUCGUGGAGACCAUCUUCUUCGGAUAAGGAGUCAACUGGAAAAACACGAGCUGCUUGGGGCUAAUUCUAAAAGCUUCGGGACGGGACGAAGCACACCUCCCUCCUUGCGAUUUAUCUUCAGCGUUCAGAUUUGAAACUCUCUCCCCCGAUCGCUACAAAAUUACAACACUAGUCCUCUCUGAUUUGAAACCUUUCCCAUUUGACCCAAAUGGUUUUAUCAAAAACAAUUUCAUACCUUAUCGUCUCAGAUGUUACAGUCAAAAAGUCAUUUAUGAUAUUCGGCGUAGGAUCAGCCUACUGAAAGCAAAAAACUAGCCUAUUCAAUUAUUCAUGUUUGUAAGUUUUAACCUUCUGCGCUUUGUAAUAGUAUAGUUAAAAUCUAAUGGUUGUUUUUGAGUUGUUUUUAAUUAGUUCCAAAUUCCAAAAAAUAAAAAAGCAGAUAUAGUAGUCUAUAAAUUAGAAAACGUAAAAUAAGCCCCUUACUGUUGUUCUCAGUCUCUGCUUUGGCUACCAACCUUGCGAGGAUCGUAGCAUUGAUAGAUCAUCGAUCGUGUAAGAUCAUUUAUCAUCAUUAGUUAUUCUUCUUGUUAUAGAUUCUGGUUCAGCGUUUUUAUCGAUCCUCUCUCGGUUGACUAGCUUUCUUUUAGGAUUCAAUAUGCAUGAAGGUUUUUAUGUUUUGGUCAAAUUAAGCUACGAAAGGAAAAAUCAGCUAAGUCAAGAACAGAACAGUUCGAAUUUCUUUCAAGAACAUCAAAAGUUCCAUAGAACAUUAUUAUUUAAGGGAUACAUUCUCUCGUUUUUGUUCUCUUCCUAAUCCUCUGUUCCGAUUUUUGGGUUCCCGAUCAGAAGCAAGAACUAACAAACUACGUAAAAGAAAAUGACAGAGUCUGAAAAUGAUAAUAUUCUUCUCUUUAAACUUCAAGAUACUUGAUAGCCGUCUGAACAUCCUUAUCGCCUCUCCCGCUAAAAUUCAACACCACUCUGGUUCCAUCGGGUAACGUCGGACAAAGCUUCUCGAGAUGGGCCAACGCAUGGGAUGUCUCCAAUGCCGGGAUUAUUCCCUCCAACCGAGACACUCUCUUGAACGCUACAAGCGAGAUAUCAAGAAAACACAAUCUCAUGAGAUGUGAACAAAAACAUAUAUAGAGAAAGAAAUUGAUGCGACAAGUAAAAUACCUUCUAAGGCUUCCUCAUCGGUAACACUGUAGUAUUCAGCCCGUCCUACAUCUUUAAGGAAACUAUGCUCAGGUCCUACUCCAGGGUAGUCCAAGCUGUUAACAUGAACAUUUACUCUUUAGAAUGGAUGUUAAGGAAGACAAAAAACUAGCGGAUCUGUCAGGGGGAGAAGAAUCUCUUACCCGGCACUGAUGGAGUGUGGUUCAAUGAUUUGGCCAUCAUCAUCUUGAAGCAAGUAACUCAUAGCUCCGUGGAGUACACCAACAUCUCCUUUUGUCAAUGUGGCAGCGUGUUUGCCACUGUCCAAUCCAAAUCCAGCGGCUUCCACACCAAUCAUUCGAACCUCUGAGUCAUCGACAAAUUCAUGGAAUAGUCCCAUAGCAUUCGAACCUCCACCAACACAAGCAACCAGAACAUCAGGCUUCCCUCCCCAUUUCUCCAUCGCUUGUCUCCUCGUUUCUUUACCAAUCACGGCGUGAAAGUCUCUGACCAUCAUAGGGUAAGGAUGAGGACCCGCAACAGAUCCCAAUAUGUAAUGUGUAGUCUCCACAUUUGUCACCCAAUCCCUUAUAGCUUCUGAUGUUGCAUCCUUUAAAGUCGCUGUUCCAGAGUGGACUCCCCUUACCUACCAAGCACCAUAUGUAAUUAGAUAAACGAUACGAAAGCAUCACGACUUUUUUACGAGGUUUAUUCACAGAAUUCACAUCACCUCAGCACCGAGAAGACGCAUCCUAAAUACAUUAAGAGCUUGUCUCUCCAUGUCUUGAGCUCCCAUGUAGAUAAUACAUUGCAAACCGAAACGGGCACACACGGUUGCUGUGGCUACACCGUGUUGACCAGCUCCUGUCUCUGCGAUAAUCCUCUUCUUUCCUAAACGCUUGGCGAGAAGAGCCUGAGCCACCGCGUUGUUGAUCUUGUGAGCCCCUGUGUGGUUCAGGUCUUCUCUUUUGAGGUAUAUGAGCGGUCCUUCACCGUUUUCUCGGCGGUAAUGCUCCGUGAGCCUCUCUGCGAAGUAAAGAGGACUUUCCCGACCCACAUAGUCUUUCAAGAUCUCUGCCAAUUCUUUCUACAGGUUCAUCAAACACUAAUUAGACCACUACAAACGAUAUAACCAAAAAGGCUUCCACAUUACAUCACGCAGAAGCAUGUUCCAUCUUGGUUCCAGACUUUUUUUGGCAAAUGACAAACAGAACCGAUUUCACCCACAUGCCCUAAAAGGCUAAACUUUUGUUUGUUCUAUGGAUUUUCAUUUCGCAUCCAAGAAAAGUUCAAAACUUUUCGCCAAUCAUUGCAGUGAUGACACUUAAAAUCACAAAGCCACCAAAGCAAAAGUUCAUUCGAGAGUUUCUGAAUAAGACAUUACAACAAAAGAACUAAGAAGCUUCCAUUUUGCAUUUCCAGAUUGCAUCACACAGAAGCUAGUAUUGCUGAAAGAUAUGAACCAGAUGCCCUUAGGCUGUUUUGCAUAAUUUCAUUAAGCAUUGGAAAGAAACAAAUCCGUUUUAAACAUUUUCCGACUCAUGCCAAUGACAACGCUUGAAUCAGAAAACCGCAAAGCAAAAAAAAAAACACCAUUUUUAAUGGAAACAAACAAGAUCAGAACAAAAGAAGUCGACUUGCCUGAAAAUCGUCGUCGGUGGCGAGCGAAUAGAAAGCCGUUUCGAGCUCGGAGAGGGCGUGCAUAAGGGUCUCAGGGACGUACUUCCCGCCAAACUUCCCGAACCGACCGAACGAAUCGGGUCGUUGCCACAGGGUCGAAUCAGAUCCAGCGACCUUUGUCUUCUCCGCCUCCGCCAUGCGAACAGCCGGGUCCUUGGCGAUGGUGCAGGAGACAGAGAACGACGAAGACGACCGCGAGCGAGACGAUGGCAGAGGCGUAAAUUGGGGGAGUUUGAAGGGCGAUCUCAGAUGGGUCGAUUCGGAAGAAGCUGAAAUGGACGGUCUGAACGUAGCAGCGGUGCCUGAGGUGGUCAUUACUGAAUCUUUAUCUAUUUCUCAAGACAAUUUUUGUUUUUUUUUUGGCUCACAAAACCUUUGAAAGUGAGGGGAUUUUUAUAGAUUCGUUUAAAAUCAAUGUGUCAGUUCUGUGACCAGAUAUUCAAUAAAAAUACAGAAAAGAAUCGGUAUCACAAUAAUUUAAUAACAAAAUUCAAGAGGAGGUUGGUAAGAAGAGGGCGGUGUACAUUUUUGGGGGUUGGAUGUGUUUAUCACAUGCUUUUUUUGGGCAAAAUGAUUUCUAUAAGUUUCUUUAGAGUUGCUAUUUUGCUAAUAAUCCAUUACUGCAUCUGCAGGAUUUAAUCAUUUUAUGUAAUAGUUUGUAAAUAUUUCCUUGUUUUCAGGCUUUCAGCUUCUGAUUAUCUGAUAGUUUUCGGAAGCUCACGGAAUAUGCAUCCAUAAUUAGAAUGGCAAUUAGCAAAUGAGACAAUACAUUUGGUAGGCCUAACAAUUGGCAUAAACCGCUCGUUACAAUAUAGUGACCACUUGACUUGACUAUCAUCAUUUGGUUGAUUUACUCCUUCGAUUGUUUUUUUUUUUCUUUCUAGUUUUGUAUUAAUAGAACAAUCAUUUUGGAUUUUUUCUAAGAAGUUUAAAUUAUUUAAAUUAAAAGUAAAAUGUGCUAUUUUAGACAGUUAUCCUUUUCGUAUGAUCAUUACACUAAUAACUUAAUAGAUACUUUAGAUACAACGCCGGAAACGUCAUAUGUGAUGACUUACUGGUAAGUGCGUCUAACCGGUUUGGUUGAUCAUUGAUGGAUUUGACCUCCCUUGAUAUUCGAUUUUUAAUAUUUUUAUGUUUCCUUGAGGCAGUAAGUCAGUAACACAUUACACAGUUAUGAUGGCUACAGGGAAAACAUAGUUGUUUGGUUUUAUAAAAAACAUAGUUAUGGAUUCAGUUUUGGGCCUGGUCAAAAUGUGAUCAUAGGCCAAAUCAGAUGUUUGGUUAGCUUAGAUAGAAUUGAAAGACCAUAGAACAUGAGACAUUGAGACGUAUCGUGAGUGAUUCUUCUCGAUCUCGCUUUUUUAUCCUUCCGUCUCUAUUGAAAACACUGCAGUUGAAGUGGUCCAAAACGUCCAAAACCAUACCGAAACACCGAUUUUCCGCGACAAAUGAAAAAUCCGGCACUGAAAAUAUAUUCAAAAUUAUUUAUUUAUCUUAAAUUUGAAAAAGAAAAAAAUUGGAAAAGCUAAAUUGAAAAAACAAGCGACUCAUUUCUGAUUCCAGUCUUAACCGUUACACUUUCCAGUGACAGAUCUCGUCUUUCUUCUUCAAUUCAUCUUUCUUCUUCUACGAUUCAGCACUCCUCUCGUCGGCGAUUCCGUAAUGAGCACACCUACCACGUCUGGUUCGGCGGCGAAGCCGACUAAACCAGCUAGGUCGUCGAGCGUGGCAGCUAGGUCAUCCUCCAAUUCCGGCUCCCUCACUUCUUUCCAAGCAAUGGUGGAGCUGAAGCAGAAGAUCCUCACCUCUAUCUCUAAGCUCGCCGAUCGAGACACAUACCAGAUCGCCGUUGAAGAUCUCGAGAAAACUAUCCAGUCCAUCUCUCCCGAAACCCUACCCAUGUUUCUCAACUGUCUCUACGAUUCCUGCUCCGAUCCCAAACCCGCCGUGAAAAAGGAGUGCCUCCACCUCCUCUCCUACGUCUGUAGCUUACAUUCCGAUUCCACGGCGGCGCAUCUCACUAGAAUCAUCGCUCAGAUUGUUAAACGGUUGAAGGAUUCCGAUUCCGGAGUUAGGGAUGCUUGCCGGGAUACGAUUGGUGCUUUGUCUGGGAUUUAUCUCAAGGGAAAAGAAGAAGGGAACAAUACCGGUGCAGCCUCGUCGGCGGUGGGUCUGUUCGUUAAGCCAUUGUUCGAAGCAAUGGGAGAGCAGAACAAAGUGGUACAAUCUGGAGCGGCAAUGUGUAUGGCUAGGAUGGUGGAAUCAGCCGCUAGUCCUCCUAUUGCUUCUUUCCAAAAGCUUUGCCCUAGAAUCUGCAAGCUGUUGAGCAAUUCCAGUUUCUUGGCUAAGGCUUCCCUUUUGCCCGUUGUUUCAAGUCUAUCUCAGGUUUGAGCCGAACCCUUAAUCUCUUUGUCAUGUGUAGACUAUGCGCUCUAUGCUUGCUGUGGUGAAAGGACGAAUAGGUUGAUUUUUGAACUUAAUGUUAGUCUUGAGAAGAAAAAAAAGCAUUAGUCAACAUGUUGGAAGCUUUAGUCAAUAGGUCAGUGUUUUCAUAUUGGGGGGCUCAACUGUAUGUUGCUGUUUUCUUAAAAAGAUGUUCUCUGGUAAAUAGGGAUAUAUAUACAUUUCAUCACCGGACCUCACUGCUUAAGGUUCAGUCUUGAUCCGACAAAUUUUUUCUUGGUGUUGCUGAAGUUUAUUGUUUUGUUUUGAUUUAAACUUGAUCUGGUGCAUUUUGGAGUUUAAGCACCUCUCUCUUUACUUCUGGUGAUUCAAUGCCAGAAGGUUUAGUGAUCUAACUUGUCUUUGGAACAUGAAGUAAAUAACAAUAACUCUGGUUCAGGUGGGAGCCAUUGCGCCUCAGAGCUUGGAGUCAUUGCUAGAAAGUAUUCAUGAUUGCCUUGGAAGUACAGAUUGGGUAACACGAAAGGCUGCAGCUGAGACCUUGACUGCAUUGGCAUCACAUUCAAGCAGUUUAAUUAAGGACAGAACAGAUUCGACUCUUGCCGUGCUUGAUACCUGUCGGUUUGAUAAGGUAGCUACGUUCUCUUUCUCUAAGUACUUUGAGGUUCAAUUCAGAACAAAGCCAAUUUCAGUACUACCGUGUUUGAAAGAUCAUAAGCUCACCAAUUCCUUGUGAAAUAUCGUAUGUCAUCAUCAGAUCAGUCAUUUUAAUUGGUUGUUGAUGGCGCUAGCGGGUCUUUCUCAUCAUUUGCUAUGCAAUUGAAACACACAAGCAAGUAGAUGAAAUUUCUCACAGAGCUCUUUCUUGUAAUUGUUUACUGUAAUCUGCAUAACUAAAGGACUUUUCAGUCAUUUUAUCACUUUGCUUACUAGUGAGCGUUUUAAUGGUGAACCUUUUGUGAAAUGCCCCAUAUAAACUUAGAUGGGAGUAUAUUUAUCGAAAAUAUAUUAGUUGGGUUAUGUAGUGUAUCUUCCCAAAACAGUUUAAUGAUGAUAUUUUCUUGGACAGAUUAAACCUGUCAGGGAAAGUGUGACAGAGGCGCUGCAGCUAUGGAAAAAGUGCUCUGGAAAAAGUGUAGAUGGUGCACCAGAUGAGUCAAAGAGUUCAUCUGGUGAGGAGCUUGGAUCAGAGAAGAACGGGGAGAAGAGGUCAAAUCUAGCUGAUCUAAUGAAAAAGGAGGCAUCCGAUGGUUCCAUACUCUCACCAGACACUGCUUCUAAAAGAAAAGGAGGUCUUCCUGAAAAAGCAGUAGUCAUGUUAAAGAAAAAAGCACCUGCCUUAAGUGACAAAGAGUUUAAUCCUGAAUUUUUCCAGAGACUAGAAAGAAGGCAAUCCGUCGAAGUAGUAGUCCCUCGUAGAUGUAAAAACAACGAUGAGGAAGAAUCAGGACUCGAUGAUCUCAAUGCCAGGGGAUCUUCCAAUCGCUCCAAGAACAUCCAAGCAGAUGAUCAUGGGUUUCCAGAUUCCAAGCUCCGCAACUUAGAGUCAGCGCGUGAUAAACAGGUAAAAAGUAGGUUUGAUGGGAACGGAUUACAGGCAGGGACAUCUGGUGAUGAUAAGACUGGUGUUGUAAACGGGAAAGAGACAGCUGGAAAUCACGCUGCUAUCUCCAAUACUGAUAACCAUUCUGAAGGAUCCUUCACAAGUAAUAGAGGAAAUUGGUCAGCCAUUCAGAGGCAGUUAUUGCAGCUAGAGAGACAACAGAGUAAUCUCAUGAACAUGCUCCAGGAGUUUAUUGGUGGCUCACAUGACAGUAUGGUGACUUUAGAGGGCAGGGUAAGGGGUUUAGAGAGGAUUGUUGAAGACAUGGCAAGAGAUCUUUCAAUAUCAUCAGGUCGUAGGACUAAUCUCACAGGUGGAUUUGGCAAAUAUAAUAGCUUUGCAAACUAUUCUAGUGGAAAGUAUAACGGCCGAGCUCCAGGAGACAGAGGCGCACAACCUGAUGGAGCUAUGAGGGGCAGGAUGUGGGGUUCUGACGUGGCGGAUGAGUGGUUUAUGCCUCCACAUGCUGCUUCCAGAAACGGACAAUCCGGGCCAAGAAGAUCACCCCGGUCAGAACAACACGAGAAUGAGCACAUGGGGAAUAGCAGGAGAGGUUGGGAUAAUAAAGCAGGUGGAACUAUUAGAUUUGGUGAAGGUCCUUCAGCAAGAAGCGUGUGGCAAGCUUCAAAGGAUGAGGCUACACUUGAAGCUAUUAGAGUAGCCGGCGAAGAUGGUGCAGUCACGCGACCAACCCGAGUGGCUGCUGUCCCUGAAGCUGAAGCCAUGGGAGAUGAAGAAAACGAAGGGCAGGAACGUGACCCGAUAUGGAGUUCAUGGAGUAAUGCAAUGCACUCACUGCGCGUUGGUGACAUUGACUCUGCUUACGCAGAAGUCCUUUGCGCCGGUGACCAGCACUUGAUCAUCAAGCUGAUGGACAGGACAGGACCUUCUCUUGACCAGAUGUCAAAUGAGAUUGCAAACGAAGCUCUUAAUUUCAUCGCUCAGUUCCUGUUGGAUCACAAUCUAUACGACAUCUGCUUAUCUUGGAUUCAACAGGUACCUCUUGUACAGGACAUUGGUUUCCAAGAAUCAUAUCGAUAUUUUGGUCUUAACCUAUCUCUUGUUUUUGCCAUAUGCAGCUGCUGGAAUUGGUUCUACAAGAUGGUGCAGACACAUUUGGAGUUCCAAUGGAACUGAAAACAGAGAUCUUGUUUAACUUACAAGACGCAUGUUCCACGAUGGAUCCACCUGAAGACUGGGAAGGUCCCGCGCCGGAACAGCUCAUGAUACAGUUGGCAUCAGUUUGGGAGAUCGAUCUCCAACAAUUUGACAAGUAAACAUGAGCUUGUGAUAGAUUCUUUUUAUGUUUGUUUCUUCCAUUUAAGAGUUUUCUUAAACGUGUAUGUCGUAUGUCUGCAAGGUACAGUAUUGUUGGAACAGACCUUGGCUUUAGUACCGUUGUUCAUAAUUUUCGUACACACAUGAUGUCGACUUCGAAAGGUUUUUCUUUUUUCUUUUUUGAGAUAAAUCGUAGUAGGUGACUUGAAUCGAUCAAUUAUCUUGUGGAUGUAAACCUGUUUAAAUGGCUCUGAUACUAAGUCAACUUUCUUCACGAUUAUGAGCUGCGACAUAUAUAAACAUAAUCCUUAAAAUGCAUGUUCUGUAUUUCGAUAUAUGUCAUAUUAUAGAUGAUCUUCUCGGUGGAAUAGAUAACAUAGCUGAGAUAAUGAGAACGGUCGGAGAUAAAAUUGGUAUAAGGAAGAGAACGAGGAGAGUGAAAGAAAUAGAAAAAAAAAGUUUAACUAUCAGAGCCAGGUUUCGAUCCUGGGACCUGUGGGUUAUGGGCCCACCACGCUUCCGCUGCGCCACUCUGAUUUGUUGAAAGCUAAUGAAAUAAAAUUAUUAAUAAAUAAAUAAAUUCUAUCUUCUCCUAUCUCUUUCGUGAAGAUGUAUAUUCAGUAUUCCCAACCGGAAGAGAAUUCCAAAAGAUCAAUAAAACAUUGAAAGAUGCGGCGACGACCAGGAAUCGGAGGAUUACAAACGGCCGCGGCUGCUCGGGUUUUGCUUCUAAACCAGAUUUGAUAUUCUCAUUCGUCGAAUCUAUUUGUUUCCAUUGUCACAUAUUUGUUGAUUUUCGCUAUAACUCUAUCCAUCAUCAAAAUCAGGAUCAGUACCGGUUAUUAGGAGAAAAUGUGGCCAAGCUACGGACUGAUAUGAUGAAAGAGCAGCUCGCCACGUUCAAAUCCCAGCUUGAAGAGUUCGCUCGUAAACACAAGGUCGAAUUUUUUUUUUUGAAAUUUAUAAUAUUGUUCAUUUGGUGGGUUUUCUGUUACAUCAUCCUCUCUUGAUUGCUUAUGAAGUACUAUGAUCACUCGGAUUAUGGAUUAGUGUGGUUAAUUUCACUAAAAAGGAAGCAUAUUUGCCUUUGGUUGCAGAAUGAUAUUCGUAAAAAUCCAGCCUUCAGGGCUCAAUUCCACGAAAUGUGUGCUAAAGUUGGUGUGGAUCCACUAGCUUCAAACAAGGGAUUCUGGGCUGAGCUCCUGGGAAUUGGUGAUUUCUACUAUGAACUUGGUAUGUUUGGUCUCUUUUCUGACAUGUUCUGUCCUAGUGCCAGAGAAGGAAUGCUUAUAUUGUUAGCUAUGAUUCUUAAGUCCAUGUUUGGAUAAGGGAACAUAAAGACAUGGAAUAUAUGUAGAUCUUUUUCUUACUUGGAUUCGCAUACGCCUUCUGUGAUAUGAGAACGUUGAAUGACAUUUCUCUGAAAAGUAGUAAAUUGAUCAAACAGGAGUUCAGAUUAUUGAGGUUUGCAUGCUGACAAGGUCACUCAAUGGAGGUUUGAUCAGCUUGCAAGAGCUCUGUAACCAUCUUCGCCAGAGAAGGAAAAAAGACCGUGAAGCUGUGACUGAAGAUGAUUGUCUUCGAGCUAUUAGCAAGCUAAAGGUAUUUGAAUUGUGUUUCUCUUUUUAGACUUUCAAAAAAGGAAAGUUUUUAACAGUUACUUCUCGCUGGUAUCUUUGGAUUUUUUUUCCUUAGGUAUUGGGUAGUGGAUUUGAGGUUAUCACCAUUGGCAAGAAGAAGCUUGUCCGUUCAGUCCCCACUGAGCUGAACAAAGACCAUAAUCAAAUCUUGGAGUUGGCUCAGGUUAUAAUCAUUUAUAUAACAAAAGAAAACAACUUUCACAUGUUUUGCAUUAUCUGAGAAGUUUUAACUGAACUUAACUUGAGAAUUAUGUUGCUUUGCCCACAGGGUCAAGGCUUUGUGACUGUGGAAGAGGUACAAAGACGGCUCACGUGGACAUCUGGUCGGGUCAUAGAUGCUCUCGAAACUUUGUUAGAAGUAUGCAUGUGCUAUUCAAUUGAUUUAUGUGAUUCAGUACAUAUGGUAUAUCCAGUGAAACUAAUAUGGUUCCUGAAAUUUGUGUAAUUUUAAAACUUGUUUUCAGGAGGGCCUUGCAAUGAUCGACAAUGGCAAUAAAGACGGAAAAUGUCAGUAUUGGUUCCCCUGUGUUUCUUCUGUUUAUUCAUUCGCUGGAUCUGAUACUUAAACUGCGACACUAUCUCUUUUGUUUUUGGUUUUACUUACACACUCACUCUUUAUUGCAUAUAAAGUAUGGAAAAAAAUUCUUAUCAGUAUAUUUCAUAAAUUUUCUUGUACAUGUAUAGAAUAAAUAAUUGUUUUUCAUACACGGCAUUCGGUUUGUAAAGAUUGGUUAUGCUUGGUUGUUGGAGAUCUCGGUUUCUUCCGUCCAGUCGGAGUUUGGCUCGCUCCAUGACCUUGGUCUCACCCCUAGCUGGAAAUACAACACCAUCUCCAAUGCCUCAAAGACCUUACUUUCAUCCAAAACCUUGUUCCAUGCACCACUCACUAUGCAGUAAUUGUUGUUAUACGGUGCUCGGUGAUGUUCCGCGUGCUGUCUCCGUGAAACAAGCAGCCCCAUGUCCUGCAACGCCACCACGAGAGGUGGAAGCUUGCUCUUGGUUCCAUGAGCCCAAGCAUGGAAUUGCUGGCUAAACAUUAUGCAAAAUGCAAAUGUGCUCACAAAGCCAUGAACCACAGGGUCAUUAAACGCAAGGUCUAUUGGGAGAACUGUGAAGGUUAUGACCCGAGCCAGAGCGUGUAGAUUGUUGGCAAAUUGCCGUCUGGUGAUUGUCCAAGGCAACUUGUGGUGACCCUGAAAUGCUUCGAUUUGGGUUCCUACUAGAGGCGUUGACUCAUCACCGUAGUUAUCGAUGGCCCAGUGGUACACACCAGAGCCUAGAUCAGCUAAGACAUACCCUGCAUAACCGGCUAAAACUGGUUCGAGCCAGAGAUGAGAAUUAAACCCUCCAAUGAUGGAUUUAGCUAAAGAGGCAAACACGGUGGUGCAGCCAGCUGCAACCCAUAAGCGGUGGGUCCAUGUGGAUUGCAGAGAUGGGUCGUUGACCAGAGGAGGAUUCACAAAGCGUUUCUCAACCACAAGCUUCUCAAGGUUAGGCUGAGGCUUGGUCGUGGUAGUAGCAGAGCACGUGACACGAACACGGAGAAGCGACGAACGGUGGCUUCUUGGAACGUUGGUGAUGGGUCUUAGAGGGUACUUGGUUUGAAGUGAUACAGCCAUUGAAAGAGAUUACAGGUGAUAAGCUAUCAAAUUUCCUUAGUUUUUGUCGAAGCUUAAACCAAUGAUAGAGGAAGAGAUUACGGCUCAAGUUAUGUUUGUGGUGUACGUCAGAGAUCGUGGGGCUAUUGUGAUCGCUCGUGAAAACUUAUAAUCGAAAAGUUGCAGAAUUUGGAUUCUUAUUUUGUAAAAGUUACCAACUAACACCCAACAUUUCAAAAGGUGUAUAAGCCCCCUGAAUACAUCAUUUGUACAAAAUCAUCACUCUGUUAACAAAUUACAAAUCACCUAACUAUCCAAUCUUAAUCAUUCAAUGGUUCCGUCGACGGAAAAAAAUAUUCAUUCAAUGGUUCCACAUGUUCAACACAGUUAUAAACAAAUAAGACUAGAAUGUUCUACUCCUAUUUAUUUAUUUAUUUUCCGUAGUCGUAGAUGUUUUGAGUAUUUUGUGCUGACAAGUGUGAGUUGUCAAAGUAAAUGAUAAACCAAUAAUUCAAUAAUUUAUGAGACUCAACAAGAAACCGAAAACCUCGGCACGUAAAAAUGAAGAACAAUAUCUCAUAGUAUCAGAAAUGAAUACCCAUUUUUCCAUUAAUAUCCACUUAGGCCAUUUUCCAUUAUUUGCCAACUUCUCCAUGUUCGCGUCACGUGCUCUACUACAAGUCUACAACCAUGAGCUAAACAUUUUAGUUUUUUUUUUUGUGGGUGUUAAAGUGAACAUUUUAGUUUUUGCAACCAACUAGUGGUAUUGAUAACUACUGUAAAUUAGAUAAAAAAAACUAUAUCUGUAAUUAAAUCAAACUCCAUUCUUGUUUUAUUUCUUUAUGAGGUUGCAAAUUUGCUUUCUGAUCGGAUCAAUCAAUUAGGGCGUAGGGAAUGUUUCAUUGGUUGGUUUUUUAUUUUUAUCUAUACUGUGGGAAGAGACUCUCAUGGAAAACGAAUACAAAAUCCGAAUUUGGGAAAAUAACACAUCUUUACAUAAGCCAAUUGAUCGGAAAUCGUUUUAUCUUCCAAGCUCCAUGAUAUACCCAUCUUGAGUUCUCCAUAUUGACACCAUACCCUCCUUCAUUGUUUCACUCAUAUUUGAUGGUGCGCCAGGAAUAAAAUAAUCUUGAUAUUUUUGUAUAUGGUGAUCUGGUUCCUUUGAUGGUGUCUGAUUUAGUUAUUUUUAUAUAUUCGUAAUUAAAUUAUUGGAUUUUUUUUUUGGUUAAACAAUUAUUGGAUUUUAUUCCGUAACUUCACGUUUUCUAUAAGUUUCACAGCUAUAAUAAUGCGCUAGCGUUCACAUUGCUCCAUGCUGAGGAGUGGACACGCAUCUCUAACGUACACGACCUAAUCUAUUCUUUUAACCAAAAAAAAUAAUUAAAUAAAUAAAGAAUAGAAGAAACAUGCAUGUUCCCUUAAUGAUUUUUUAACUAUGUCAUAAUCUCUUCCUGUACCGUUGUUUCUUAGCUUUGGAAAAGCCUACAAAUUUGAUAUCCUUCACAUUAUCACAUGUACUACUCUCUUUCAAAUUUCAAUGGCUGUAACUCUUCAAACCAAGUAUCCUAUAAGUCCCAUCACCAACAGCAUCCCAAGAACUCACCGUCCUCCAUCGCUUCUCCGCCUACGAGUCUCUUGCUCCGUUACUCCGGCCACCACCAAGACUCAGCCUAACCGUGAGAAGCUUGUGGCUGUGAAUCCUCAUCUUACCAACGACCCAACUCUGCAAUCUACAUGGACACACCGCUUAUGGGUUUCAGCUGGCUGCACCACCGUGUUUGCUUCUUUUGCCAAAUCCAUCAUUGGAGGGUUUCAUUCUCAUCUCUGGCUUGAACCAGCUUUAGCCGGUUUUGCCGGGUACGUUUUAGCAGAUCUAGGCUCUGGUGUGUACCACUGGGGCAUAGAUAACUACGGUGAUGAGUCAACGCCUCUAAUAGGAACCCAAAUCGAAGCUGCUCAAGGUCACCACAAGUGGCCUUGGACAAUCACCAGACGUCAAUUCGCCAACAAUUCACACGCUCUGGCUCGAGGCAUAACCAUAGCAGUUCUCCCACUUGUCCUUGCAUCUAAAGACCCUUUGGUUCAUGGUUUCGUGAGCACGUUUGCAUUUUGCGUAUUGUUUUGCCAGCAGUUUCAUGCUUGGGCUCAUGGAAGCAAGAGUAAGCUUCCACCUCUCGUAGUGGCCUUGCAGGACAUGGGGCUUCUCCUUUCACGUACACAGCACGUGAAUCAUCAUCGACCACCGUAUAACAGUUAUUGCAUAGUGAGUGGGGCGUGGAACAAGGUUUUGGAUGAAAGUAGGUUCUUUGAGUCAUUGGAAAAGUUGUUGUAUUUCAAGAUCGGAGUGAGACCGAGGUCAUGGAGCGACCCAAACUCCCAAUGGACAGAAGAAACCGAGACUUCCAACAACCUAGCAUAAAUCAGUCUUUCAAGAAAAAAUAAUUUCUUAAUACAUAUUUCAGCAUAAAUAAACACUCUUUUCCAUCUUUUGUUUAUUAUAUGUCAUGUUGUAAGAAUGUUCUUGCAUACCGUCUCAACUUAAUAAAAACACAUGCAAACACGAAAAUUUUCUUUUCUUCUUGUAAGCUCUCGAUUUUCUGAUUUGUUUCUCCAUGAGGAAACUCUUUUCCCACAAGCUUAAUUAAUGGGACAUAGUACGUUUUGCUGUAAAAAGAUCCAUAAAUCAAUAUUUGCAAGGUGCAUUGGUGAACAAAUUAAAUAAACUCUUAACGAUGAAUUAAGAAUUUAUUUGUUUAUGUACAAGAUAGCAGAUUUAAACCAAACAAGAAAUAAAUUCUUGAGAUAAAGCAGAUUUACAACAGCGUAAACACAUAAAUCAGCAUCUUCAACUCUCUUUUCCAUUUUUGCGUUAUUUUUAUAUUCCAUGUUGUAAAUUGCCUUGUUAAAAUGGUACGAACACAAGGUUCUCCUUUCUUUGUUGGAAUGAUUUUCGUAACUUUAGAUUCAAGUGUCCAUUUUUCUUAUUAAAAAAUCAUAGUUCUAUUUACUAAAAUAGAGAACAAAUCUAAGUUAUUCCAUCACAUCCAGAGUUUAAAUAGUUGUUAAUUACAAUCCAUACUGUGAAAAUAUAUUGUUUAAAUAAUAAAGUGAUCGAACAUUCUAAAUCAAAAUUAUAAGAAGAUAGAAAUACUAAAAUACUAAAAAGAGUGAGAAAUCGUCAAUAGUGAACAUAACUUAAUUAUAAUGCAUCACAUCGAUCAACUUUGGUUAUGUCCACGAGUCCAUCACUAUUUCCUUCAUUUUUUUUUUGGAAUGGCAUGGUGAAAUCUUCAUCAAAAUCUAAAAACAUAGUUAACUCAAUUUAUUAUAUUACAAUUAAAAGAAAAUUCACAAAGUUUAACAACAAAUAACAAUAACAUUGGGUCUUGACUAAAGUGUUAAACCAAAAAAAAGUUCUGUAAUUAAAUCGACACCAUUCUUGCUUAAUUCUACUUGUAUCAAUAAAUUAUCAUUAUUUUCUCAAAGCCGACAUUUCAAUUUGCAAUUAUUGAUUUAUGUUUGGUUGUUGUUGGAGAUGUUGGUUUCUUCUAUCCAUUGGGAGUUUGGGUCGCUCCAUGACCUCGGUCUCACCCCGAGCUUAAAAUACACCAUCAUCUCUAAUGCCUCAAAGAACUUACUUUCAUCCAAAACCUUGUUCCACGCCCCACUCACUACGCAGUAAUUGGUGUUAUACAUUAAUCGGUGAUGAUUCACGUGCUGUGUCCGUGACACGAGCAGCCCAACGUCCUGCAAGGCCACCACGAGAGGUGGAAGCUUGCUCUUGGUUCCAUGAGCCCAAGCAUGAAACUGCGGGCAAAACAAAACGCAAAAUGCAAACGUGCUCACAAAGCCAUGAACUACAUGGUCACUAAACGCAAGGUCUAGUGGGAGAACUGCCAAGGUUAUGCCUCGAGCAAGAAAGUGUAGAUUGUUUGCAAAUUGCCGUCUAGUGAUUGUCCAAGGCCACUUGUGGUGAUCUUGAGAAUCUUUGAUUUGGGUUCCAACUAGAGGCAUUGACUCUUCACCGUAGUUAUCGACGGCCCAGUGGUAGACACCAGAGCCUAGAUCUGCUAAGAUGUAUCCGGCAAAACCGGCUAAAGCUGGCUCGAACCAAAGAUGAGAACCAAACCCUCCAAUGAUAGAUUUGGCAAAAGAGGCAAACACGGUGGUGCAGCCUGCUGAAACCCAUAAGCGGUGGGUCCAUGUAGAUUGCAGAGUUGGGUCAUUGGACAGAGUAGGAUUGAUCACAACCACAAGCUUCUCACGGUUAGGCUGAGACUUGGUGGUGGUAGUAACCGAGCACGUGACGCGUAGACGGAGAAGUGACGGACGGUGAGUUCUUGGGAUGUUGUUGGUGAUGGGACUUAUAGGGUACUUUGUUUGAAGAGUUACAGCCAUUGAAAGAGAUGAUGUGAAAGAUAUCAAGUUUCUAGUCUUUUUCAAACGAUAAGGUGAAGAAGAAAUUACAUUAAAGUUAUGUUGUAGGGACUAUUGCGUUCGCUAGCCAAUUAUCUGCUGACAGCUAUGAAACUUAUAGAUUCAUUGUUUUUGAAGUUACUAACUAAACCCCAACAUUUAAAAGGUGCUAUGAGGCCCCCCAAAACCAAGACUACUCUUUUUUUUUUUUUUUUGAACAUUCCCAAGACUACUCUUCAGUCCAGAUUAUAUUCUGUUUUUCUUGUUUUUUUAAAAAAUAGAUUAUGUAUAAAUUGGUGUAAGUGCUUCUUAUGUAUGAGACUAUGAGAGGGUAAAUUUGAUCAAAAGUGGCCAAUGCUCUUAGUAAUUAGUAUAUAAGUCGAAAUAAUGGCCAAAUUGCCUAAUUGAUUUGAAGCUCGAAGGGGUAAUUACUUCGGGGCUUCAAACUCUAUCAGAAAAAGAGGAAUUACAUCCAAAAGAAAAAUUAAAUAAAUGAUAACAAGGUAGCAAGUGUCAGUAAGUCCACCAAAUGAUGGUUAAACGAGAGAUAGAUUGUAGAUACAUUUCAUCAAAAUAAAUCUUACGAGAUCGAAAAAUGAAAGUUUCUUGAUUACCUGUAUUUUUUUUUCUUAUGAUCUUUUGUUGUUUAAAGAUUUAUACGAUGGGGAAAGGCUAUUAUUUUCGGUGUGCAAUAUGUUUUUUUUUUACUAGUAAGACGAGAUUUAGUCCAAAGAAAUGAUGCAAGAUUUAUGAGGUUAAAGUUAAACAAUGAGUGUAAACAUUUCUUUCACGAAAGGAAAAAUUUGUCACUAUAUUUGGUAGAGUUUGGAAUGAUUAGAGUAGACUCUGGUAUAUUCGGAUUGUUUGUCUUAUUCAAUAUUUUUAGCGCGAAAUCGAAUAUUAUGUUAAAAAGACAUAAAUAUGAAAUUAAAAUAAGUUUCAUUAUGAAAAGGGAAAAAAAAAUGUCAUGACAUGUAUGAUAUCUGAAGAUUGAAGAAUAUACCGAAUAAAUACGCAAAGAAAGAAAAGACAAGUCAUGGACGAUUGGAAAAAUUCAAGAGUUACGAAUUCGACACGUAAAGGGAGACACCGCCUUAAGGCGUUAACAAUGGCGGCUUCAUCGUCUCCGCGCUUCUUCUUCGCCGUCACCUUACUGCUUCUUCUCACUGUUUCAUCUGUGAAACUUCCAUUUCACCCUCGGGACCUGCUCCCGCUUUUGCCCAGGCAAGUCUCGUGGCCGCUUCUCAACUCUCUCAACUCCGCCGUCGAUCUCCUCCCUUCUUACAUCGGCGCCGCCUCUCUUAAAAACGACGCCGUCGAGUGGAAAGGUGCUUGCUUUUACGAGAACAAGGCUUGGUUGGAGCUCAAUAACAAGUCCGGUUCCGAAUUCGGCGGCGGAACACUUCACAUUAAGGUAUAGAAAUGAUCAAUUGCAUCUUUCCAAGGUUUGAUUUUGAGGGAUUUUGAUGAGGUUCUUAGAAACUUGGGAUGUUAUGAUGAAAGCUCACAGAUUUUAGUUUAUUCCAUUGUUAAAGGAUGAAUUUUUUCUUUGUAAGCUUCGUCCUGCAUCAGUAGUUACUAAGUUCCUUUUGCUUAGCUUCUACUUUUCUAUAUGAUCCUGGGAAGCUGUAUUGAAUUGAUGAAUCUUAAAAUUGAUUCAAGCUAUUUCGUGUUUUAUGUAGGUCGAUAAGGCACAUAGUUGGACUUGCAUGGAUAUUUAUGUCUUUGUGACUCCAUAUCGUGUGACAUGGGAUUGGUACUUCGUUUCGAGGGAGCACACCAUGGAAUUCAAGGAGUGGGAGGGAAAAGCCGAGUAUGAAUAUGUAAGCUGCUGGUUUUUGUUUUCUUGUCUUUUGACGAUAUCUUUUUGUUUUGUCCAUUGUAGAAUUAACUUUUGUUGCCUUUCGUGCUCACAUUUGAUCAGGUUAGGCGGAAAGGAGUUUCGAUAUUUCUCAUGGAAGCAGGGAUGUUGGGAACUCUCCGAGCUCUGUGGGAUGUCUUCCCUCUCUUUACCAACACCGGUUGGGGGGAGAAUUCUAAUAUCGCAUUUCUUGAGAAGCAUAUGGGUGCUAACUUUUAUGCUCGUCCUGAACCUUGGGUUACAAACAUUACUACCGAUGAAAUCCACUCCGGAGACUUGCUAGCUAUCUCAAAAAUCCGUGGGCGUUGGGGUGGGUUUGAGACCCUUGAGAAGUGGGUAAGCGGAGCCUAUGCUGGUCACACUGCUGUCUGUUUGAGGGACUCUGAAGGGAAACUCUGGGUCGGUGAAUCCGGGAAUGAAAAUGAAAAGGUAACACUUUAAAUGCUGGAUGAAAUAGUUUUAACUUAUUGAGAAAAAUGAUAUAGCCAUUGAGUACUAAUUCUUGUUCUGGGUAUCAUUAUAUGAUCAUUUCUGCUAAGAACAAGCUAAACUGAUAUGUUUGAACAUCAUUGCAAUGGUUGAUGAGUAGCAUUUUAAUAGUUGAUCUGAGUUUGAUAAGUCUUGUAUAUAUUUUACUUUACAAGUGACUUCUUUUCAAGCCAAUAUUGUAAGACUGAUUUUUUUUUUUUUUUUUUUUGUGUGGAACUUCAUUUUCUUCCUGUAUAUUUUAUGCAUUGCAUGAAUUCCUACCUGUCUUCUUGUUUGAACUUGUGUGUCGUAGGGAGAAGAUGUAAUAGCGAUAUUGCCAUGGGAAGAGUGGUGGGAGUUUGAACAAACCAAGGAUGACUCAAAUCCCCAGAUUGCAUUGCUACCGUUGCAUCCUGAUUAUCGAGCCAGGUUUAAUAAUACAGCUGCAUGGGAAUAUGCUCGCAGCAUGGAUGGUAAACCAUAUGGCUAUCACAACUUGAUCUUUAGUUGGAUCGAUACCAUCAGCGGAAACUACCCACCCCCUCUGGAUGCUCAUCUUGUAGGUUUCCAUUUGCUUAAAACUUUGGCAUUGAUGAAAAUAUGAGCUUCAGUUUGUGUCUUUCUUGUUCUCUUUUUAAACGCCUUCUUUGAGGUUAUUGACUCCCUGCUCUGUAUUUUUUUUUUCUUUUGUUUAUAUGUUUCUAGGUUGCUUCUGUCAUGACAGUUUGGAGCAAAAUCCAGCCUGAUUAUGCUGCUAACAUGUGGAAUGAGGCCCUUAACAAGCGACUUGGAACAGAGGUAUUAGCAUUUUGCUCAUUCAAUUAACUUCUUCAAAAAUGCCUGAUCAAAUUUGUUUAUUACUUUUCUCUUUUGGGUUCUAUGGAUGAAUAAAAAAUAGAAGCCUUUAGAUUUGGUCAUUGGCUCUUGGCACAUAAAACCAUAUGCUUUUAGAUUUUUCUUUUCUUUUUCUUCAGUGAUCAUUAAUUUUUUUGGGUAAACAGAGUAAUCCUAGCUGAUAAGUAACGUAAUGGCAUGUAUUGUAUCCUUUUAUAUGUAGUAAGUGCAUGUACACCAGUUUCACAUGAAGGAUACAUUUGAAUAUUUGAUUCAUCUGUACUCAACUUAAAUGCAUAUAAGAGGAUACAUUUUCUUUAGUUCUUUCUCUGAAAUGUUCUAAAAUGGCAGGGUCUUGAUCUUCCUGAUGUACUGGUGGAAGUCGAAAAGCGUGGAUCCUCUUUUGACGAGUUGCUGGCAGUUCCUGAACAAGAUGAUUGGAUAUAUAGCGAUGGGAAAUCAACUUCUUGUAUCGCUUUCAUCCUCGAAAUGUACAAAGAAGCUGGCUUGUUUGAUCCAAUUUCUAGUUCCAUUCAAGUCACAGAAUUCACGGUGAGGACCAACCUAUGCAUAAUCUAGAAGAUACCCACCUACACACACACACUGAACAGUGGUAUCCAUUUUUGCAGAUCAAAGAUGCUUACAUACUCAAGUUUUUCGAGAACAAUGCAAGCCGUUUGCCCAAAUGGUGCAAUGACAAUGACGAUGUAAAGCUUCCGUACUGUCAAAUACUAGGGAAAUACAGAAUGGAACUUCCCGGAUACAACACUAUGGAGCCAUACCCGCAUAUGAACGAACACUGCCCGUCUCUGCCUCCAAAGUAUCACAGACCAUCGAACUGCUAGAACCAACAUAUUAAAUGUGUUCUGUUGGUUAGGAAUGUCUUCGUGUUAUGAUUCGCGAAUUAGGUGAAAAUAGUUCACUUUAAAACAUUUGAAAACAAAAAAAAUACCAUUGGUAAGAUUCUGUAUAUUUUUGUAUAUAAAGUAGCUCACAGACAUACAUCUUCCAUGGACUCAGAUUCAGAGCAAACUACUGAAAGUGGACAAGCUGGGAUCUUCUGAUUGCUAUACUCUCAUUUUUUAUGGAAACUCACUCGAUUACAUUUGUCAUUGAUACAACAAAACUUAACAUUGUUUCACAUGUAUAAUAAAAAGCAUCUUAUGUCAUUGAUAAAACAAAACUGAUUUGAUUUGGAUGAUACAAUACGAUGACUAAGUCUCAACUAAACCUCUUUCCCAUUCAAAUACAGUCGACAUGUCAAAACUUUUUUGAAGUAACACCUGUUGAGAGUCCCGUGGCGUUUCUCCAAGCAUAUCAGAGAUUAUCACAAAAAGGUGUUGGCACGCAUGGAGUUCAUCAAUCUUUUCAAGAUCCGUGGCCGAUUCCAGUGAAAGAUCCUUCCACGCCUGAUAAUAUGACCUGUAGAGAAGAUUCCGGUCAAGCUUUGGAACGAUGAAAAAGCUCAGGUGACUGAACAAUAGAGGGAUCGUUUACCAUCUCCAGGCUGGAGUAGCCUCAGGUGGACUACUUAUUCUAGAACACAGAGAUUUGAUGAGCUUGUAAUCGCCUUUGGACUCUGAACCUAUACAGAAGAAUAGCAAAAUUUCAACUUACAAUUGAUUGGCAGAAACACGAGAGCAUUGGGACAUACAGAUGUAAGUCAACACCUAGGAAAAAAUGUCUCUAAUACUGUUUCAGCAGAUAUUCUAUAACCAACGAAAAUUCAUGCAGCAAGCUUCAUUCCGAUAUCAAAACUCAAACAUAUUUCAUUCCGGAGGUCGUUUCUCAUUCAAAGCCAAGUAAUCCUUAGAAUAAGAGUUAUGUAAGUAGGUAAAAAGCAGAAUACCUGCAGUCCCGAGGCCAUUACGAAGAAGCAUGAGAGAAAGUGCACAUACAACAGAGGGAAGAACCCCAUAGUUUGUACACAUAAGUUGUUGGAGGUGUACGAUUACUUCCCCUAUUACGUGCUCUGACUUUGUCUCGCUGCCUUCGAGAUUCCUUGUCUUGAAGUAUUCUAACAAUGUCAGCAAAGUUUCUGGCUUUGUUCUACUUAAGACUGUCGGGUCCGAAUCAUUAGCUUUAGAAUAAAGCUUCCCAAGAAUUACCGAAGCCAACAGCCAGCGUAGAAACUUUGCUACCAUAGUCUCCGCUUGUGGUUCUUCAGUGAGUGUUUUGGCAUCUUGAUGAGACUCACUUGGCUUAGAUCCCUUUUUAAGGUCACUCUUCAAGGCUAUGGAGGUUCCCCACAAAAGAAAUCUUCUCAGCUUGUCCACAUCCUGAGUGAUAUCGUAUGAAAUAAAAAUGUUAACUCUUCAAAACAAAUCGGAGGGAUGGAAGUCAGAGAAAGAGAGCGAGAGAGAGAGAGAGAUACCAUGCAUAUAAUGUCAACAGGAGGGGUGCUCAUUAAUAUAGUAUUGAGCCCAGACUCUGCACUAGCUUCAACUUGAAGAGAACCACAAUUAGCAACAGCCUCAAAUAGUUGGAAUACCCCCUCGACUGUGAUGGUGAAAUGUGGCUGGUACAUUUUUCGUUUCUGUGAUAUCUUUAGAGUAGCAGAUAGUAUCUGCAAAAUUAAAUCAACCAAAGUACCAUUUUCUUGUACUGAAACCAAUCCACCACCUAAAAGUCUGUAUAAACGCGAUGAGAUUUCCAUUAGUUCUUCGAGGGCAAAUCGUUGCAACCACUCUGUAACGUUUCUGGAGGCGAGAACAUCAGUCAUGACCUGAUACAACAAUAUCACAAAUCAAUUCAAUUAACGAAUAAACUAUUCUACAUUAGGACCCUUGAUGCAGAACAGACAAUAAUCAUGGUUGACUUCAUCAUCAUAUUCUAUAGAUUUUUAUUUGCAAAUAUGUAUCCAAUCAUCCGUUGUACAUUUAAUGGAAUAAUACUAUACACACCUCCAAGACAACUACCAAGCGCAAAUCUUCGUCUCCAAUGGGCUUUGUAGUAAACGUUGAGAUUAAUGAUGACAACCAUGAAAACAGACCACAUUUUUCAACGAGAUGUCGGACCAUCUUAUGGAAUUUGACCGACUUCCUCACAACCUGAAGAGUGAAAGAAAGACGAUUUUUGUCGGGUUGGAUUAGGAGCUCAAGUAGAAAGACUAAAUAAAUAUAACUUUCAGAAUUAGGCUUAUAUUGAUAUAGAAGAAGGAACUGCAUAUACAGGUGCAAAAUAAACACGAAGCGACAUUAAGGAAAGAAAGUAUUACCUGAAGAAUUAGUCCUUUAGUUUCAUCAUCAGCAAGAGGAGAUGAGAAAACACUCAUCAGUUCCUCAAGGAUGGAGUUUCUAAUGUAAAUGUGAGCAUCAUCAUCUGACUUCAAGCCCACACACAGUAGGCGAAGUUCCCAAAGCCUCUGUGAUCUAGAGUUAAAAGCGCUGCUCCAGAAAAAAUCAAGGAACAAUGGUAUUCCCUAACAAAGACAAAAAAUCAAAACAGUUUGAAUGCUGGCGAAGUGUAAAGAAUAAAGACAAGAUUUUACAGUUUUCAGAGAAUAAUUACCCUCAGCUUCAUUGUAGAUGAGCUCUUCAAAAAUUUAACUAUGGGAACAUAAUGUUCGUGAGAAGAAUCCAACAAUAUCAGAGAUGUCUCAGAGGCAAAAACAGCAGAAACAGUUGGGAUUCUUUGCCAUUGUUCCUCAACUCCAUUUUGCACAUGCAAAAGUAGAAGCCUAAUCCCGUCCUUUACAUGCUUAUUCAUUUUACAACACUACAUCAAAAAAGAUUUAGUUAAACAAAGAAAUUCUUAACCGUGUUUUCAGAAGCAAUUUAACUUUGGCAUAAUCGAGAACAAAUCUGACAAAUGCCUUGGCAAAACCAAUUACGCACAAAAAAGAAAAGGAUUGGCAGCCUUAGGAUCCAAAACUCCAACAAAAUAAAUACUUCUGUUAGCUAGCAGUUGCAAAUACAAAUUCUCUGUGCAGAUAGCGUAAGCCAAAAUAUUUAUUUUCCCAUCUUUUGUAGCAUUGACGUCACUGAGAGAAACAUUUACGAAAGGAUAGAUAAUACCAAGACAUUCUUGAAGAAAACUUGUCAUAGCUUAAAAUAACUAUUACCUCAAGGGCGUCCAAAAAUAUCUCAAGAGUUUCAUAGCCCAAUUUUCUCAUCCCAAUAUCUGCUGAAGACAUGCUCACAAACGCAACUGCAAGCAAGCCUAAACUGGCGAAUUCAACAGGUUCAAUAUAUCUCAUGGACAACGAGUGUACUGAGAAUGGUAGGAUGAAAGCCGGAUCAUAUAGUUCAAUGUCUUCAAUAACGGUUGAGCAUUUCUACACAGGGAGGAGAAAUUAGUUUGAACGAUGUUUGUACAUGCAAGUAAUAGAACUUAUAACUGAAAAUUAAAAUUAAAGACGGGUACUACCUUGCUUAUUGGAUCAUAUAGGCAAGAGUUAUCCGAUACUUCUGGAGUUCGUUGAUUAGGAAAAUACAAAACAGUUAGAGCACAUCUUUUGGGAUCCACACAAAGAUUCUCUUUAAAAAGACUGUGCCGGAGAUUUUCCACUUUAUCAGCUUCACCACCGUCAGAUGCAUCCUGAGAGAAACGCAGCCCCUCUCUGAUUUUCAAGGCAGCUUUACCCCACAAAUGACCUGUUUCUGAAACAUUCAGCCUAUGUUCGUCAUCAAUCAACUCAAUAUCAUGCAUCAACUUGUAGAGUUCUAAGUCGAUUUCGCUCAGAGUUGCACCAUAAGAACACAAAAGAAGAAAGUGCAGUUCUUUCAGAUUGAUUCCUGAAUCAGUCCCACAUUUGGAGAGCAGAAUUCUGAGAAUUUUGACAAUUUCUAACUGCUUCACGUAGUCAGGUGCUUCGAGACAACAACUUCCAACUCCGACAGAAUUUGGACUUGGGAUGAUAAGAUACUUUAGAAUGCUGGAGGCAGGCCUAAAUAACUCACCAGUGUGUGAGGAUAAAAUGGAUAGAGAACUGAUAGUUGGUGUAAACUGCGAGUGAGAUAUUAGGAGUUGGAUAUAUGGUGCAUACGAGUACUUUCCUCUAGACAAUAAGGAGAAAACUUCCCUCAGUAUCUUUAGUGUCUUCGAGUCCUCAAAUCUAUACAGAAGAACUGAUUUCAUCAGUUUCUCCAGGAAAGGAAGGGAAUCCAAGUGAACAAGCACCUCGUACAUGUCUUCCAAAAACUGUAGAAGACUUCUCAGAAUGAAGUUUUCAAGGCUUUUGCACAGGAACCGACAUUUGUUUUGUUUCCCUUCGGAAUUCCCUUUAAAAGAACCAUCAGAUCUCUUGACAACACAUUGCCAACUAUUAACUAAAGCAUUUAGUAAUGGCUUUAAUAAUCUUUCUCUGUUGGAUCCCAUUUCUGGAGAACUUUCCUUCAUACAACUACCUGUUUGACGUUCAAAAUGACACAUACGUUUAUCCUCAGGAAACAAACAGAUCCUUGAAAGUUCUACUUUUGCAAUGACACGGAUAGCAACAUUAAACACGUACUCUACUGACUGAACGUCCACUUCUUUUAACUCGUAAUCCAACAUCUCUUUGCCAGCACUAAUGUGAGGAAACAUGGAAUGGAAUACCUUUAAUAGAUCGUCUGUUUUAGUUGGACUUUCAGUCAAGGCAAAGUGAUGCUGAAACAUACGAACUGCCUUCCCAAGAAGACUUGCAUCAAACAUAGUGUCGAUAUCCUCAGUCGACGACGACAGAAGAAUCUCUUCAUACUUUUCUUCAAAGAUGCACCCAGACAAAAACUUCGGCCACUGAAGAAAACCAUUGCAUAGUAUAUUUGAAUAAACUGAAGUUAUAUCUAAACAUCUACUACACGGCUUCUCGAGUUUUGCAAAAACUGAUGUCCAAUACGAUAGCACAGCAGGCAGAAGCAUGAUAAACUGAUCAUCUGUAAGCGCAGAGUCAUCCUGUUUCUUACUUAGCAUCCUACAGAAAAAGUGUCCAAAGACAGCCAGAUGCAAGGGACUGGACUCCACAAGAUAGAACAAUAUCUUGGUUCUGGUCAUGCUUGCCCGGAUAAUGCAAUGGCUAAUCAAGUCUUCAGGGGUUCUCCCAACAAUCUGUGAAAUAAUCAAGGUCAACGGGUGAACGGUAUAAUUCUGAUUGUGUUUCCCCCUGAAAACACCACUCCCAACUUUAAGCAAACAGAUAUCUGCCGAAUCCAAACUAAAAGAGGUAGAAAACUUGCAUGCCAUGCCAUAGACUUCCUCGAUGAGGUUACUGUCAUAAUUGUUUUCUUCUAAUUCCCACAGCAAAUCAUAUACCUUUCUCUUAGCAGCCGGCUGCUGUGAAUAUAAUAUAAGCAUUUCAAAAGCUCUGCCAGCAAUAUCCAAUCCCAAACUGACGAUCAUACUCAAAUUUGGGCUUGUCAAUUCUUCCACAUCAAUCAGCAUGGAACGAGCAAGAUUUAAAAGUUUAAAAGGUGAUAUAAAUCUCAGCAAAGCAUGAAUUAUUUGUGUUGUUUGGAGAAGAGGAGCGUAACUUUGAGAACCAACACAAAGCUUCAACUUGACCCUGAAUUCCAAGAGAAGCCUUUCGACCAAGUCCUUAAAAGCCUUAAUUGACUUGUUUUCCCUGAGGUCCCCUUUCUGCACAAUGUGUUUCUCAUCAAACAAAAAGUGCUCACAAGUAGAAGCCAAUAGAUCAAGGAUGUGUUCAUCUAUUUCACUAAUAACUAGCCUGCCCGUUGUCAGCGAAGUUUCUGAAAAAAUUUCAACAUUCUGCACUUGAGGUAAUGUGCUACAAUCCAAGGGACUAUCUAACAACGCCCUCACAACUGGAUGGCAGAGAACUGUCUGUGCCACUUGAUCUUUCCACAUUGCAGAAGACGCAAGCAGGUUAUCGGAAGAGGGUCCAGAAACAAGCUCCGGUUCUAAUAUUUGAGAGAACAAGUGCUUCAUGAGACGUAAGCAGAUCUCAGAGAGUUGACAGAGUACCGGUGCUGGUUGAAUCUUGCAAGUUGAUCGUAUUUGGAAGAGCCAGUACAAUAUCAAUUGGAUAUUUGACUCAAAGCUAUCACUUUUACUCUGCGAAACUUUUAGCAACAGUAGCUCUGAUAUUCUUGGAAACUCUGGUAAGGAAGAUAUAUCCAUGCUCAUAAUUGCGGCAAGUAAUACAUGAAAAGAAGCCUGCUCUGAAAACAUAGAGAAGGCAGAAGAUUCAAUAUCACGAUCCAUCUUACGUUUGAUUUCUUCGGUUAUCAAUGAGGGGUCAGAAAAAUCAAUCUCACUCUCUUCCGUUCCUUCUUGUAGAUUUCUUGAAUCAGUAAGUUCAGAACCUCGUGCGAAUAAGUCAGGCGAUAGCUUUGAAAGGUUUCCGAGGAAAUUUUCCUCUAGAUAGGUGAUGGACUGUAAAAAUGAGAAUGGUAUUCCGUAAAAAGCCGAAGAAACAGCCAUCACACGAGCAAAACUUUUCAAGACCGAUUCAGGUGGUGCACAUAUCAAUGCAUAAGAGAACGCUUUAACUAUUCCUGCAAUUUCAUCCGGAGAAAUGCUUCUCACUAGUCCUUUGAUCUCAUCAAGAGAAUCUGCAAAAGAGUUGUCAGCAAGUAGUUCCUUUGUCCUUCUGGAAUGCAAGAUAAAAGGUCUUUCGUCUGACAAAGAUUGUGAGAAAAGCAACAACAUUCUCAAUGGCCUCCAUUCACAUAAAGAAUCCUUAGAUCCAUCAACAACCUCAGACAAUAAUGACUGGACCAAAUAUGAGAGUGAUCUGGAAUCGACCUACAAUAUUCAAUUCAUAGAAAAGAUAUUGAUAUUUAAGUGGUAAAAGCUAUACAUAUCUCGAUAUACAUUUACCUGCAGAUGUAUAUUUACCUGAGUUUGCAAAAUAUAUUUUAAUGUGCUGCAAACGUACACAGAUAUUGCUGACUUCUCCGGUAAAGACCUUUUAGAUUCAGAAUUUAGCACCCUAACACACUUCUGCAGUAGACAAACAAUUAAGGGGCUGAAACCAAUUGAUACACCUGCAACCAACACAUAGAAGAUAUACCAGUCAAAUUUCCUGUAAAUUUAUCAAGUCCACAUGACAAGUAACCAGGCUUAAACUUGUAUGAAAUUAAAUGAUUCGUGUUCGAUAAGACGAUAACUAACACAUCAUUUUGUGCAGACAAUAAAUUUUAAAACUCAUAACGAAAAUAGUUACAGAAAAUAAGGUGAUGAGCAAACAGUUAUACAUCUCAGAUGCCAAACCUGAGCAAAAAGAGUAAAACACAUGAAACCUAUACCAAACCAUUGAUUUCGAGGGCACUAAUACCUAUACCUUUUAAUUGGGACAAGCUACUUCUGAUAAUAUCCCAGUACUUGAAUAAAUUAUUUCCAACAGUUGUAACUGCAUCACAUAAAAAGGAGACGACAGCUGAUGACAUGCUCUCGACAGCCUCCUUAACCUUAAAAGGUCGUUUAGUCUUUCCAUAACAUGGUAGAAACUGGAACCAUGCACCAAUUUCACUUGGAUUCUUUUCAAAUGCACCGGUGCUACUCAUAGCUACCAUUGCUAAAUUGUACGCUAGAUCCUUCACCUCGUUGUCUGGUGAGGAAAGUAACAAAUUCACGAAUAUAUCCAACUGCCUGAACAUAUGUGGAGGCAUUCUUGUAGGAACCCUCUCACUUUGGGACUUUGGCGUCCAACUGAUGUAGUCACUUAGCAAAGACAAGACACCUCUCUGCAAUUCAGCUGGCAAACUUGAAGGACUGCUCAGAAGUUUCAGGAAGACAUCAAACGAUCCUUCAAGCACAUUAGGCACAGAACGCUGCAAGAUGAAAAACAUGUAAAUUAUAAAACCAAAGCUUAUCAAAUACAAAUGAGGCAUGUCUAAGCUACUACGAAUGCAGUGAGAUCUUAACAAUAACAAAUAAACGAUAUAAAACUGAAAAUGCAACUAGAAGUUUGACCAGAUCUGACUAGAAAAAAGCAAGGCAAUUUCCUAUUUUAAGCUGUCAACUGGACAAGCCACCACAACUCAAAAAUAAUUUUCAGUCGUCAUGCUACGCUUGCAAGAACUUCAAAACUAUAAUUUGACACAGAAUUUAAAGGAGAGUGCAAAAUAACAAGACAUCCUGUUAAUAUUUAAAUAUCAUUACGCAAGAGUAAAACAAAUUUUGUGAAAAUGUGAGAAACCAACAUACCACAUAAAGCCUAAGAGUAUCCAGAAAUUUAAUGCGAAAGCACAUUUCUGCUUCUUCGAUAGAACCAAUAGGCUUAGAACAAAGCUCAGAAUCCCAAAUUUCUGAAACAAUCCCAAGAUAUUCCUUUUCAUCUGCUUGAACUGUCAUAUUAGCAUCCAGAGGAUUCUCUGCCAAAAAGAUGUCUUCACCAGAAACUACCCCACCAAUGACGAUAUCACCAGCCUCUUCAUCCAAAACAUCCUUCUUAGAUCUUUUAAAGCGUUUUUUUCUAUCUACUAAUCCACUAUCAGCUUUUCUUUUCGAAGACAGCCUUUGAGCUCCACUAGAACCGUCCACAGACUUCAGUAAAGGCAAUAACAACUGGAAAUCUGGAAAAAAGCUUCUCACCUCACCCAUGACAUCCCGCUCAAAUGAAGCCUGAAUUUGCUCAGAGCAGCUAUGAGAUGAACAAAGGUUCCAAGCAGUAACAAACGAAUCCAGCAGCCUACGCGUCUCCCAGAGAAAUCUCAAGGUCCCAUGUUUCACAAGAAAAUCAGGAUGCUGCAUUCCUCUAUUGAUCAACGACCGGCUAAAUGGUCGGGGGCAUAUACAUCUCAUGAUAGUCUGAACUUCUGAACCACUAGAAGAUGGUGUAGCACGUUGAUCUGGAUUGAGAAAGUCAAAAGAACAUGAAAUUCUUACUGACGAUACCAAAUUUGCUGCCAAGGAAAUAGAAGAAAACCUGCAAUGACUUCAGUUACUAUGCAGAAAGAACGAAAAAAAAAACAGCAAAAAUCUGACGGUACUGGCUGCACUCAAAAGAAAUAUAGAUACAUUCUGGUACUCUGAAGAAGACUAACCAGGAUGGUGAUGCAAAAUCGUCCACAUUGUAUGGAAAUUCUUCUAAAAAAGCUGACGAUAAAGACGGUCUACCCCUAACCAUGGCUAGAAGCAAAUCCCUGUGAUAACCAAUUUCUGUUGCGCUCAACAUCUUCAUGAGUUGUUGUAGUCUGUCUAUAUUGCCUUUCAAAUUUCUCUUUGCAUCUGGCAUCAACCCAUUACAGGGGUCUGUACAAACUUUAAGAAGAACAUCAUGGGCCAACUCAUUCACAAUCCCACCAUCCUCUCUUGCUGAAAUGUUGACUAGCUGCUUUAGUGUACGAGGUCCAAAAAGAACACUCCUUAGCCAAGGAGGAAUCAAUGAUUCUUUAACAAGGAUCUUGUCAUUCAACGUAGACAAGACAGAAGCCACAGUGUCUUCAUUGUCUUCCCCAAGACCUUGUAGGACUGGAGAGUACAUUUCCCUCUUCUGUAAAAUAGAGAUUAACAAUCCAGGGUUCCCAACUUCAAGGAAUGAUAUCGCAAACCCAACAAAAGCCCGCCUCGGUGAGUGUUUCCUUACCUUGUCAGCCCCUCGCGUUUUAUACUCUCCCAGUUUUGCGAAACCCUUAAAAUCAAAUACCUCAGCUAAUUGUGAUGCCAUGCCUGGACCACGUCUAACUAUGGAAGCCAACAGUGAAAGUGCAGCAGUCUGUUGUUUUCCCUCUUUGCUGUUCAAUUCUUUGUAAAUGUCAUCCACUCUUUCUCUUAUAAGUAAACUGCUAAACCCGUCAAUAGCUCUUCUAAUAUCAGUUGAUGGAUCUUUUCCCUCUGGAUGACUCAAAAUCGUCUGGAUAAGCAAGAAUAUAUAAGACAGUCCUUGUUUUCCAUGUCGAAGAUUCCAUGCCUCUAGAAGCUCAGCAAAUUUGGGUGAGUUCUGGUAAUAUAAACGCAACAAAUCGCCGCCAGUUUCUCCCUUUAGUAACUUAACAAACUCUUUUGCAGCAUCAGAGCAUAGCUUAAUCUCAUGUAAGCAAAUCUUAUGCAACAAUUCCCUGAGUUUAGCUUCAUGGGAUGGUCUGAAUGCCAUGGCUGGGAUUUUUUCCAUCUCAAGAUCUUUAUUCCCUCCGUCCACCACCAUUCCUGAGAUAGCAAACAGGUCAUCCAAUUAGAAAGUAAACUACUUCUCCACUAGCCCACACACUGUCACUCCAAGAGAACUAAAGUUUCCCAAAGACUAAAACUUUACAAUAUAAGAGAAACAAGUAGUAACGCUAACGAAGUACCAAGUUCAAAUAUUAGCUAGAAAAAGAUAUUAAUCGACUCCAAGAUAAAAGUAUUUUUUUUUAAAACUACUCCAAGAUAAAAGUUUUUAUUACUCUUCCGCAAUUUCCAAACAGAAAGAGCAAUCGAUGGGAUAAUUUUGUUUUUUGUUGACAAAAUCGAAAUAAAGAAAUCGCUCUGCACAGUUCAAGCUCUUAUCGUACCUUGUUCUUCCAAGUCUGAUGUUGAUUCCGCCAUUAGAAGGAAUACUAGAGAGUUUGCACAGAGAUCUCUCUCUCUCUGCACGUGGGGUUUAGGGUUUUUUACACGAGAAAAGAUGUCAAUUCCAAACCGAUCCCAACCGGUAAAAAACUUGAAUUAUCCUGCCUUCAAUCGGUUUGGCAUUAAACCGGGUUCAUCCAUUUCUCUACCUCAAAAUGGGCCAAGACAAGCCGAAACCUUUUUGCUUGGGCCAAGUGAGAUCCAAAUCAGAGACACUUUUCAUGCCUCUUCUUCUUCUAUAUAAGAAAAAACAACCGAGACAGCUCUGACUCGGAUCCCUCUUUUGUCCUUUCGUCCGAGAGAUAACCCUUUAGAACUGCAUCUGCGACAUCGUCCUCUUUUAGGUUUUCGUCGUCAUGAUGCAGCAGCCACCUCCAGCCACUAACGGUGUUGCCGCAGGGUCAGGUCAGAUUCCUUCGUCGGACCAGCAGGCUUACCAACAGCAGCAGGCUUACCUGAUGAUGCAGCAGCAGCAGCAACAACAACAGGGUCAGCCGCCGGCAGGAUGGAAUACUCAAUCGACGGCGUCUCCGGGUCAGAAUCCGGGAUCAGCUGGUGAGAUCCGGUCCUUGUGGAUCGGAGACCUCCAGCCAUGGAUGGACGAGAAUUAUCUCAUGAGCAUCUUCGCUCUCACUGGCGAGGUAAUAUGAAAUUUUUAGAUAUAGCUGUUUUAAUUGUUCCUUCUUAAGAAGCUUUCGUUUUUAAUUUGAAAUAUCAGUUUUUUCCUCCUUUGAAGAAAGAAAGUUUGUAGCUUGAUUGGAUUGACUUUUGGAAUUUGUUUUUUUAUGUUUGCACGUUUGUUUGUGGUUGCAGGCUCAAUCAGCUAAAGUCAUUCGCAAUAAGCAGAGCGGAUAUUCUGAAGGAUAUGGAUUUAUUGAGUUUGUGAGCCAUGCUGCAGCUGAGAGGAUUCUGCAGACAUACAAUGGUGCUCAAAUGCCUAGCAGUGAACAGACUUUCAGGCUGAACUGGGCUCAGCUUGGAGCUGGAGAGAGACGCCAGGCUGAAGGGCCUGAGCACACAGUUUUCGUUGGAGACUUGGCACCUGAUGUUACCGACUACAUUCUUACGGAAACGUUUAAGACUGUAUAUUCGUCUGUCAAGGGGGCAAAAGUUGUGACUGAUAGGACCACUGGACGGUCCAAGGGCUACGGAUUUGUCAGAUUUGGGGAUGAAAGUGAGCAGAUACGUGCCAUGACUGAAAUGAAUGGUCAAUACUGUUCAUCCAGGCCUAUGCGUACUGGUCCAGCUGCCAACAAGAAGCCUCUUACGAUGCAACCAGGUAUGUUUUGAUGGUUAGGAUCCGGAUUUCUGAUGACUUAUCCGUGUUUGUUGAGUAGUGAUAUGUUAGUUGUUUGUCUUUUCCUUGUGGUAUUUCUUUACCGCCUAUCAUUCUGACUGGUGAAGCUCGUUCUGCUUGUUGUUGCUCCAAGAUAAAGAGAAUGUGUCUGUCCUUUUCCUUCCGCUUCUUGCCUUCAAGCACUUCAAAGAAUUUAAUAUCGCAAAACAUUCUAAAACUUAUAAGUAAAAACUCAUGUUGUUUUAAAGCAGGAGAACAAGAGGCUCUCUUUGGGAGGGCCUGGAACUGAUUCAGCUGAUAAUGAUUCCACCUUAUUGCGUGGCCUCAUUUAGGUCAGUUGGUUAUGUUUUCAGAAGAAGUUAAUUACAAUUAGCAUUUAUUAGCUACACUCGCAAAUUAUUUUCCAGUUCCUUACUUAUCAAGCAUAAGUCUUUUCUUUUACUUUUAAGCCCUACCUUUAAGUUUUUUCUUUACAUAUUAAAUAGUUCAUUACAUUUCGCCUCUUUUCCAGUCUUAAAUCCUUUAAGAGUGUUUGUAAUCUUCUUCAUACCUCUCAGUUUAUCUUCUCUCAGUAGUUAGUGCUUCAAUUUUUGUUCCUUCUUUCUGUUACCAAUUUCCUCUACUCUACAUUUAUACUAUCAACUCUUCUUUAGUGCUACUUUUCAUCUUUCGGCAAGCUGAUUACUAAGGUAAAGAGAGUCAGACCAUGGAAGAUAUUUACGUCAUUUGUGAUGUCCUGGAGAAAUUUGGUCCCAUUUUCGAAUUUCUCAAAGUUGGAUCCAACUUUCCCCUUGAACAUCCGUGAUGAUAUCUGUAUUAAUCAUCAACUAACUUCAGAUACUCUUUACAUCUUCAAGCUGUAUCAUGUAUGCCAUUUCGGCAUUUACUCUAUCUGAUGAUAUUUUUUGGAUCUUGAUUUGGAUACAUUUUUGCAACUUCUGUUUGUUUGAGCGUGUUUGCUUUAGUGUCUGUUUCCUUGCACUGUCAACUGUAUUUAGUAUUCUCCCCUAAGUUCUCUUGUCUAUUAUUUGCAGGUGCAUAUCAGAACAGUCAAGGAAAUCCCGGAGAAAGUGACCCAACUAACACAACAGUACGUACUUUGCUUUGGUUUCCUUAAGCCUGUUCUAUGUAGGGUAUAUUGUGUGAAUUUCAGCGUCAUUUUUGCUAUGCCAGAUUUUUGUUGGAGCGUUGGAUCAAAGUGUAACAGAAGAUGUUUUGAAGUCAGUUUUUGGUCAAUUUGGUGAGCUUGUACAUGUGAAAAUACCUGCAGGAAAACGUUGCGGAUUUGUUCAAUAUGCUAAUAGGUAGUGUGACCGGAAAGACAUACUUCGUUUUUAUUUUGAGAAUGUGUUUCACAUUUUUUUCUCUGUCUGUGUGCUUCAGGGGAUCCGCAGAGCAAGCACUCUCCAUGUUGAAUGGAACACAACUUGGCGGACAAAGCAUUCGUCUCUCCUGGGGUCGCAGUCCCUCCAACAAGCAGGUUUGUAUCCGUUAUACAAUUCAAAAAGUUUGCUCGGCUCUCUACUCUGACGUCAUCUGAUAUGACUCGAUCCAUGUCACAGACUCAAUCUGAUCAAGCCCAGUAUGGUGGUGGUGGUGGUGGUGGUGGAUACUAUGGGUAUCCUCCUCAGGGAUAUGAAGCUUACGGAUAUGCACCUCCUCCUCAGGACCCUAACGCCUACUAUGGUGGCUACCCUGGUGCCGGCUAUGGAAACUACCAGCAGCCUGGUGGCUACCAGCAGCAACAGCAGGUAAUUGAAUCUUUGAAGUUUUUUGGUUUUUACCUGAGAAUCUUUGAACAAAUUGAAAAAGUAUCAAUAGCCCUCUAAAUAUCCUUUUGCGAGCUUACUGAUUCGUCUUUCCUCUGUUUCUUCUUCUUAAUUGCAGUGAAGCAUGAUAAGCAUGUCGUGAUCGAUUCUAUCUACAACUCUUCUUUUCUUUGGUUUAUCUAAAGGUGUUCCAUCUGGAUAUUUGUCUGAUUUUUUUCGGUUUUUGGUUAACAAAAAAUAGCUACCUUAUUAGAUCUAUAUCUACUUUGAUAUGGUUUUAUAUCGUAAACAUAAACUAUGUUCAAUUUAAUUUCAAAUUAUGUGAGUUUCGAUUAUUCUUCAUGAAAUCAUCCAAAUUGUAGUCGGAGUGACACCCUUUCCUUUAUAAGAAAGAAGCUGUUUUUUCCCCACAGACGGCAAUGAGUUGGCAAAAACAUGAGGUCUGCAACAAUUGCUAAUGCAACAAAUAUUGAUACUUGAUAUAACAAAAUACAAAACAGACAAAACAUAAAGGAGUGAGGUCAAACAAAGGUCACUAGAUAUACCAUUCAAUCAUACAGAGAUUGGUGAAAGCAUAUAGAUGAGGGAUUUCAAUUGAAGAAAGGUUUUCCAAAAUCACAUUCAUUAGAUAUCUGAGUAGGCUCUCCAACCCUUCUUCCAACGGCAGAUGAACACAGAAUCGAUAAGAGAACUAAACGUCCACAAUACAUAGCCACGGACUAUCUCAUCUAGGAUAUGUUGGUUUAGCCAGUUAAGGCAUAGCAGAGUUCAGAGCAGAAAAUUUAACUAGAGUAGACGUAUAUACAUACAAGUGGGCCGGGACUAUUAAGGGCCCAUGGAUCUUCUGAAAAAGAAUAAAAAUGAGGGAAAAGGAAAGAGUCGCUUUACUGGUUCCCUCGUGUAUCUCUCUAGAUCUAUAUUCUUUCUUCUUCUCUUCCACCUUCUUUUCUAGUACGACGAUUAUGUAUAUAAAUUAGCUUCGAAUAGACCGUGAUAGAUAGAUAGAAGCUUCUAGAGAUUUUCAAUAUUUUUCAUAGAGAGAAUCAAACUUGAAUUGUCCAAGGUCAAACCAAAAGGAUGGGAUACGCAAGGAAAAUGGAAGACGACGACUCUUCAUCAUCACUGAACGAAGCGCUUUUAGUAGCAACUGUGUGCAUAAUCGGAUUGCAGGUUCAUGUUCACGUCAACGAUGGUUCGGUGUUCUCUGGGAUAUUCUACACAGCCUCCCUCGAGAACGGCUUUGGUACGUUUCAUUUUUCGUUAAAUUGAUUGAUUUUCGUCGAUCAAUAUCUUUGGAUUGAUUUUGAAUUUGUUUUUGAGUGAUUUGGUUUUCGAGCUUCUCUCUCGUAAUUGGAUUUAAUGUGUUAGAGUAGAGAUCUGAAUGGGAUCUUCUGGUAUUGAAUCCAGUAUCCUAUCAAUUUGUCAAUUUGUUUGUCAAUCAUCACUUGAAUGUUUGUGAUGCGAAUUUUAAUGCAAUUAGAUGGGAGAGGCAAAUAGAAGGCGACAAUGAGAUUUCAUGUGUUUAUUAGACAGUUCAAGCAGUCUACAAUAAUGGAGUUAGGCUUGUCCAGAUGAUUCAAGAACAACUACUCUUUUGCUAUGGUUUCUUAUCAUGCCUGUCUAUUUCCUGAUGUGAUUUAUGAGAUGUGUUGUUUUUUUUUGUUUUGUCUAGCCAUCGUUUUGAAGAAUGCAAAAAUUACGAAGAAGGGGAAAAGUAAAGCGAAUGUAGCAAGCGGGAGUGUGGUCGAGACGCUUGUUAUUCUGUCUUCCAAUAUUGUUCAAAUGGUUGCAGAGGUUUGUCCUUUUGUCCUUUGUUAUCUUUCUUUUCUUAGAGCUUUAUUUAUGACAGUCUAUGUGCCAUGCUUUGAUAGGGAGUCUCGCUUCCAUCAAAUGUUACAGGCAAUAAAGAGGGUGAAUAUGUUGGAUCAGCCACAGAAGUUUUACCUUCUGAACCUCGUCUGUGUGCUGAAGGCAAGGGCAACUAUCACAGGAGGUAAAUUUCUAUUUGCUUUAAGUUCAUGUUAAAACAGAAAGUAAUGGUGAAGAGAUUAUGGUUGAAUCACCACUCUCUGCACUUUAACUCGCUAAAAACUUUGUUAUUGACACUUUAGCUUUGAUUCAAGAUGAUAAUUGCGAUAAUCUCUAAAACUGUCGAAAACAGUAAUUCUUCAGUACGUACUAUUUAACUGAAAAUUGAAGUAAAGGUCGCUUGAAAACCUCGACUUCCGUCUCAAUAUUGGCAUUCUGUAACAGUUUUUCCACUUCAUGCCAGUCUUAGCAAUCUAGUUUAGCAGCUGCAUCAAACAUAUCAGUGCUGGCACAGUCACUUUCUAUCUUGGACACACCAAUGUCUAAACUUUUCCUAAUUUUUUGUUUUUUUGGAUUCUUGUAUGCUCUUGUUGACAGACAGGCAGGAGCCAAGAUUUUGAAGCGUAGUGGACAAAUUCCUGACGUUCACCAGGAGGAUAAUGUCAGUAGUCUUGCACAAAGAUAGUUCAUUUGUUCGAUACUGUUAUUACUUAGCAGCUGCUUAGUUAUUCGCUUUCAUAUUGCAGGUUGAUAUUCAAAGCUCAAGUUCUAGCUGUAAGUUCUUUGUCCCCGAAAUUGUUUUCAUCUUUGUUACAGCUGUGGCAGAUAUGUUACUGCUUCUUUUUGACGGUAAAAUGUUCAUGACAUGCUUAUCUUCAAAUUUUGUUUAUGUGGAAUAAUGACCAUCCAGUGGAUAGCAUGUCCGAACGAGUUAAACCAAUAGAAGAAGAUAAGUUAAUGCUGGAACCUCUUAGCAACGGUUUUCACGAUGCUGCUGAAAGGCCCUCUUCAACUGGCAAUUUAUCGUCAAGUACAACUGCUGAUGAAACCUCAGAAUUGUGUCAGGAUUUAGUGGCAUCUUCAAAUGCAUCAGUACCCAUCCAGGCCGUUAAAAAGUCUAAGGUGAUUCCUAAAUACAUUUAUGCUAGAUUUAGUGCACGGGUCAUAAAGAUUUGUUAUCCAUUCCUUUUAUCUUAGAAUACACUCAGACUAGCGUUUUCAUUGGACACGCUGGUAUGUUCUCAAACUAAUCUGAGGUUCAUUUUACUUUCUCUGUUACUCGAUUACCAAGUUUCUAUUUCUAAAACUUAUCCACAUACAGGAGUUCAAGCUGAAUCCCGAAGCAAAGAUUUUUUCUCCAUCUUAUACAAAACGUCUUUCACCGUCCCCUGCUAGUAUGCCUGGUGUUGGAAAUAUUGCAUAUAUACCAAGCAACACUCCCAUGCCACCAGUUCCUGAAGCUCUUUACCCAGAAGUUGGAAACAACGCUUAUAUCCCUCAAGCAUCUCCACCCUCCAAGUUUGUGCCAUUUGGUAACUUGACUGCUGGAAAUGCUGUCAGUGGAUUUCACUAUCCUCAACACGUAAGUAUUAUAUUUCCAGUAUUGUAUUUGCCUCCCUUACUCUCUUCAGGCAUGCUAUAAAUUAUUAGUUGAGAAUAGAUCACUCCUUUCAGCACUAAGCGCCUGUAUGGUUAACACAUGUCAUUUUAUAAGACCAGGUCAAAGUUACUUUGAAUUGAUAUGACUUUAGCUUUAUAACUUGAAAAUUGUUCCAUCAAUGAAUCAUACUUCCACCGGCUUCCCUCUUUUCUGCAGAUGAUUGGGCCUACCGUUAACAGGGCACAGCCGCAGAGAUUCACCUCUCAGUACCAAUCUGUUCAAGCGUCACCGAUGUUUGUAACUCCAAAUCCUCAGGUUGUAUUUCAUGGAUGAUUGCUAAAAACGUAUUUAUUGUAAUGAAUUACUCUGUAAUGAGCUUCACUUGGUGUAUAUGUUUCUAAAGAAUCUUUCUAAUGUACUCCAGGUGGCGGUCACGAGAUCGGGGCAGCUUGUAUAUAUCCAACCAGUUUCUCAGGUUAGAACUUGGUCCUUGAUUGAUUGUUUGUAUUUUGAAAUAUAAGCAAUUUGGUGAACUUUAAUGAUGUUAGGUUGAUUAAUCUGUGACAUAUCGCAUCAAAUGUUAGACAAAUAUAUGUCCUGUAUCGCUGAGUGAAAGAGGAAAAUAGUAUUACCCAGUCAUUGGUUUACAGUUUGGUCGAAAUUCUCCUUUUAUUCAUAUCUUUAUAUAGUCAUUUCCAGUAACCACCAUUCUUCUUCUUUUUUCAGGAUCUGGUUCAAGGAACACCGCCUCUUCCACCUAUGCUCUCCCGUCCUCUACCAACCGCACAACAUGUCCAAUACCUGAAACAUCAAGGUAAACAUUUGAGUCUCUCUAACUAAAUAAAGAAGCAUCGAUGUUUUUUUCCCUUUUGGACCAAACCAAAAAAUGUUGGUCCUAACUAGAAUGAACACCCAUUUUGUAAAGCAGGUGUUGUUGCAGCUGGCCAGCCGCUGCAGCUAUGUGUUUCUCAGCCGUUCACGGCGGGUGGACUGCAACCUUACAGCGUUCCCACCCAAUUUCCGGUCAUGCAGACUCCUUUUCCCGCGAAUCAGCAAAUGCCAAUCGCAGUUCCCAAUGGUUUCUUUGGCACAAAGUUUCCAUAAAUAGAGUGUCCUUGUUUUGGUUUCAUACCUUUAUUCUUUGCGUCUCCAAAACCUAAUAAGGGUUUUUAUAAGAAGCCAUUCUGGUUUGGUUUAUUUUUUCAUUUUUCCUUUCGAUUUUGGGUUUUUUGUUCGGUUUUUGGCAUUAUAUUGGUUUUGAUUCAUUGGUUUAUCGAGUUGAAUUAUGGAGAAACUAUUAUAGACUGUGAAAGCAUUAUGAUUCUUUUGGUUGACAUAAACAUAAGUUGGGAAACUUAUUAUAGAUCCAUAUUGGUCAUCAGUGAUCUUAAUAAUGUAACAAGACUCAGUUCAGAUGGGUCAAAUUAUAUACAUUAAAGGCCCAUAAUCGUAUAAACAAAUAUUUGCCGGCAAAAUGACCUUUAUGUUGUAUUCUGUAAUCGUUUUUUAUUCUUCGGCUGCCCUGACCGCCUGACCGGAGAUUCUUAUAAUCCGCCGUCCACAAAUUUUCCUCCAUUCAAAUUUCCGGCGAUCAGAAAUUUCGCGGUGGAUUUUGAUGGAAAUUCGCAAUUCAGAACGAAAGCUACCAAUUUCCCUCGAGAACCUCGACUUGAAUACAAAUCGUGGACCAAAGAAGAAGAUUCCUAUUUCAGCUUAUCUAUCUUCCUCAGGUAAGCCUCGCUUUCGACAAUCUGUUUAUGCGACUCUCCGUAGUCUUGUAUGCUCGGUGAGGUUUAGGAGUUGGAUUCUGACGUGUGUCUCCUGGUUCUGCUUCAACGACAGGAAUUUCUGCAUUCAAAUCAGGACCACCAUCUCUUGUCAGCUUAUGUCUUGGGGUUGUUGGGAGGCAUUUGGAGGAAAUCAUUCCUUGUUUAGCUGAUAUCUCUGUCAUAUUUCCUGCCGAUAUCAAGGUUAGUUAGUGUUUUGAUCCUUCAAGCUUUAUUGGCUAUGCCCUUUUAGGUCUUUUUAGCCGGUUUGGUAAUGUAUACACUUGCUAAAUCGAAGGCGUAUUCAUGUGUCACAGAUGUCUAUUGCAGCCAUUGCUAAAAGAAGAAAGCUACUGGAUGAUGAUUUGAUUAUCUCUUUGGCUGACAGUUCCUGGGAGAUUCUAGACGUUAGCGGUUCUGAUGUUUCGAAUUCUGGCUUGGCUAAAGUGGCGGAAAUUUGCAAAUCUCUUCGAGCUGUUGACAUUAGGUAUUAUAGUUGCUUACUAAGAAAUAAGUAGACCUAUGAGUCUGUUUCCUGAUAUCUCUGCUCGUACCUCACGUCAUGGUUUCUUAAUUGUUUUUUAGGCUCUGAUAUCUUUCAUCUGUCCUAUGACCGAAUUUUCUGUACAAUUUUGUUCCUUUGAGAUGGGAAGAACAAAUGUACCAAACCUAAUCCUGAUUGUGUUGAGUUUCAGUGAAUUUUUGUAUGGUCUUGCUGGUACUUUAGCAAGGAGCUUCUGUAUGUUGGAUAAGUGGUGUUUUUUUUUGCACUGGAGUAUCAUAUAGUUGCAUUGAUUUGUUAUGCAGCCGGUGCAACAAAAUCACAUCCAUGGGCGUCUCAGAGCUUGUACAACACUGUCGAUCGUUGGAGACUCUUAGAUGCGGGUAAAACAAAUUCUUCCCUCCAGCAAAGUGCAGGAAACUAGCCUCUAAUGUGUUGUUGUUGGGGUAGCUUGUCUGUUUAUUUGUCAAUUAAGUGAUUUUAUGGGUAAAGUGAGAUAGAAUUGAACCCAUAGUGUGUGGGUGUGACUAGGGCUAACAAACUUCAUAAAACAGGCAAUGAGGAUAAAAUUAAUAUUGCAGAGGAUGCCCAAGCAGCGAGUCCACGGCACGCAGAUCUUUGAGUAUGUUUAAGCCAAACCUGAGUAAUGUUGAAGGAGAAACAUGGGAAGAACUAGACACUACCGAGAUUGGUCAUGGUGGUCAAUCAUUGCGUUGGCUUGUUUGGGUACGUAUUGUCCCUUUGAUUAAUAAGCUACCAGUCAAUCAGAAGACUUUACUUUCUAGUCUCUAGCCAUUCAGUGCUCGUUUUCUUUGGUGCAAGAGUUUCAUCACACUUUGUAGAUUUAAUUUGCUGUUGCUGCAGCCCCGAAUUGAUAAGGCUUCAUUGGAGAUGCUAUCCAUGGAGUGCCCAAGAAUAGUGGUAAAUCCCAAGCCCUCACUUCUCACUUACAGUCUAAACGAGGCUCCUCGAGAAGCAUUACCAGAUGUUGCAUUGGAUGAGCCAUUUGUGAAAGACAUUGAUCCUGAAACGUGGGUUGUUAGAGGAUUUGUGCAGAAUCCGACAUCCGCCUCAUUAUCCUUGAACUCCAAUGAGCUGCCAAUAGCAGAGAAGUUCAGACUAGCGUUUGCAGAGAGAGAUGCACGAUUGGCUCCUAAACGAGCAAAGAAUGCAAGGCAACAUCAACGUCGUGCUGAGAGAAAUUGGAUGAUGUCAAGUGACGAAGCCAAAGCAAUGGUUUUUGCAUCAAAGGCCACCAGAUCUUUGCACAAGAGUUAGUUUACUGAGGAAUGAGAAUUCUUUGCACAAGAUCAGUGGAUGUUCCAAGCAUGCAUGUCUCUUCUCUACUGUUGUUAUGUAAAAUUAGUUCACAUCGUUUUGUGGGAAGCAAAAAGUGAAUAGAGAGUGGCUGCUUUGUAUCUGUUUAUUGACUCUAAUUUGCAGAUGUUUUGUUAAUGCUACAAUUAAAGUGGUACAAAACGAAUUGAUAGAUAUAUAAAAAUGAGCUGCGUCUCUUGGCAUUUUCUUAUAAACAACUCUUUGCUGAAAAAGGAGGUUACAGAUGCUCACAAAACUUGCUUUAUUUGAAACUAUGGAAACUUUUAAAGGAGGAAGAAGACAAAAAGCGAGAAACAAUUUGAUCACUUGGUGCUCAAACUCCGGAUGACGUAGGGAAGAAUACCGCCGUGGUCAUAAUAUGCCAGUUCCACCUGCGCACGUUCCAGCAAAACCAAGUCUCAGACGAAUUGAAAGUUUGAUUCUUAGAGAUCGAGAUUUUAAAUUUGUUAGCUACAUAGUUUACCUCUGUAUCAAACCGUAAAGUGCAGACAAAGGAUUUGCCAGUGUCAGUGGUUACAGUGACGUCUUGACCGGGUCUAAUGUCACUGACUUUGGUAGGAAGGUGGACUGUAUAGCGUUCAUGACCAGUAAGUCCAAGGGUAUCUGCGUCCUCCCCGGCCUUGAAACACAGAGGAAUGAUCCCCAUGCCAGCCAAGUUGCUGCGGUGGAUUCUCUCAAAGCUCUUGGCAAUUACAGCUUUCACUCCCUAAUUUGUGGUUACCUCAGUUACAAUACAGGGUUUCACAUGAUAUAAUCAUAAAUCUGAUGACCGUUGUAAUUAUUGUGAACUUACCAAAAGCAAGGGACCCUUUGCAGCCCAAUCCCGAGAGCUACCACUUCCAUAUUCAGCACCAGCCAGGAUGACCGUAUCCUGUCCAGCGGUCUUGUAUCUCUGAAAGUAAAGCGUUUGAGUGAACGGUUAAGCACUAAAUGAAGGAUAUAGUUGAACAUUUAAGGACUAACUGACGCUGUGUGAUGAUUCUACUUACACUUGCUGCGUCAAAAACACUAAGUUUCUCCCCAGUCGGAAUGUGAACAGUCUUCGGACCAACUUCUCCGUCCACGAGCUUGUUAACUAUACGGAUGUUGGCAAAGGUACCACGAGCCAUCACCUCAUCGUUGCCCCUUCGACUUCCAUAUGAGUUGAAGUCCUCUUGGCUCACACCAUGGUCUAUGAGAAACUUUGCAGCAGGACUAUCUUUUUGAAUAUUCCCCGCUGGAGAGAUGUGGUCUGUUGUUAUGCUAUCUCCAAAGUUCAGUAAGCAGUAAGCAUCUUUCACCUCACGUGGGCCAGGUGGAUUUGCGGUCAUAUUCUUGAAGUACGGAGGUUCAUGGAUAUACGUGGAGUUGGAAUCCCAAGAAUAUAAUGUCGAACUCGGUGCAGAAAGCUCAUUCCACAGGGGAUUUCCCUCUGUUAUUGUCUUGUACGUGCUCUUGAACAUGUUUGAUAAUACGCUACUUUGAACAACCUUAUGCAGAAAGUUAACAAGGAACGUUAAAAGGGUCAGAGACAUAACUGUAAAUGACUCAUCCUCUUAGCAUAUGGUCAAUGUACCUGAGCAAUCUCCUCAUUGCUUGGCCAUAUGUCCCUCAAGUACACACUUUUUCCAUCUCUUCCGGUUCCUAUCGGUUCUUUCUCAAAGUCAAUGUCAACCUGUGGUUAAAGGAGUUUAUGUUAAUAAAACAACCCUCGGAUAACUAAAGAAGGCAGAUAGCAGUCAGUGAGGCUAGUUAGCGAAUCUAAAUCACUUAAGUAUAUAAAUUUUCAAUGUAGCGAUAUGAUCCAUGCCAUCCAAAUUAAGUAUAUCCAAAACACAUAAACACAAACAUCUACGUUUGGCACAACAGAGAUCCCACAGGUCAUUGAUUGAAAAGAUGAAAAAGUACUAACCGUUCCAGCAAGAGCAUAAGCAACAACUAGUGGCGGUGAAGCAAGAUAAUUUGCUCUUGUUAGUGGAUGAACACGGCCUUCAAAGUUUCGGUUCCCAGAAAGCACAGAAGCCACUACAACAUCUGUGACAGGAAGCAGGGAAAAGGCAAGCAAAGGUGAGGUUCAAAGCGCACUUAUUGAUCUAUGGGAAAACACAAUUUGUUGAGGAAAACACAAUAUGGCUGAAGGAGAUUCCAGAGACGAGGGAAUACAGUGCAAACUCUUAAAUAAAAUGCUGGUGGCAAUUUCAAAGAAAGUUCAUGAACAAAAGAACACUGUUACCAUUAUUUUUAAUAGCAGAUUCAACCGACUUUUUAAGGUUGCCAGAGUUCCCGAUGCAUGUUGUGCAACCAUAGCCGACAAUUUGAAAUCCUUGCUUGUCCAAGUACUCUUGAAGCCCACUGCAGAGAAGGUAAAAGUUGAGUUAAGAUCGGAUGAAGUAUCUAGAUGGGAAAUAUAAUUGGCUCCAACAGACCUUUGAUCCAAAUAUUUGGUGACAACCCCAGAACCUGGAGCAAGACUUGUCUUAACCCAUGGCUUUACCUGAAUUAAAAUAUCGGUGACAGUCAUUAUAGAAUUUAUACAGCAGGUGGCCUCAGGGCUAAACUAGGGAAGGAAAGAUGGAAACUUACCAUUAGACCAAGAUCAUAAGCUUUUUUAGCAACAAGUGCAGCCCCAAGCAUGACACUAGGGUUUGAUGUGUUUGUACAGCUCGUAAUUGCCGCAAUCACAACACUACCAUUUUUGAGCUCAGCAGGUAUUUUUUCUUCGAACAAGAACUUAACAGUAUCCUCUUGUUUUUCCUUUGGUAUUGCAAAACCCUUUAGGAAAAAGAUACAAUGUCUUACAGGCUAUCCAAAUGAAAAGAAAUAAACUUCCUAGGUCCUUAAAGGUUGAAUUUUCAAACCACAAGUUGCAUCUCACCUUGAAUCCAACAGGAUUGUCAAGGCAUGCAUGCCAGUCAGCCUUCAUAUCUUUCAGAAGCACUCGGUCGUGAGGCCUGUUUUACAGAAAGUAUAAGAAAUGGGAAACCAUGAUUUUCCAAAAAAAUUAUGAUUUAUAGAAGUGAAAGUAACCUUUUAGGCCCAGAAAUACAAGGUUCAACAUGUCCCAGAUCCAACUGCAGAUAAGAUGUAUAAGCUCUUUCUUGCUGGGGCUGAAAGAUAAACCAUUUGGGUUUGAGAAUCUUUCAUGAUAGAAAAAAUACUACCAUAAACUGAUCCAAGAAUGUCCAUACCUCAUUGUAGUCCACAAACAUGUUGUUUGCACGCAAGUAAGAUUCUAUCAUUGCCACCUAAAUAACCACCAACUUGUUGAUCAAGUGAGCCUCAUAAAUCAUAAAAAGGAACAUAAUAAAGCAUGCUGAAAAACAAAGCCACUUGAGUAAAAAGGAACUACUAAAAACAUUUUGUUAGAAUGUUUAGGAAAUUAGAGUAUUGCAACCAGGGUAAGCAUCAGCACACAAACCACAAGAAAGCAGAUCUUCAAACUUAAAUCAUAUCUUCUUCAUGAUGAUUCAAUUUUACCCAAACGAAAAAAAAAGUGAGAACACUCACAGUUUCAUCGCUUCUUCCUGUCAACUUAAGGUACUCCAAGGUAACAUGGUCCACUGGGAAGAAACCCAUAGUUGCUCCAUACUCGGGAGACAUAUUUGCAAUCGUGGCUCUAUCAGCCAAUGACAGUUCACUCAUUCCCUCACCUUCAUAUGGAGACAACGACGAUAGCAUAAGUUUUCUGAACAAGAAAUUAUCCACAACUGAACGAAAGUCAUAGUUAGGCAUCCAUGAAUCUCACCAUAAAAUUCAACAAACUUGCUGACAACGCCAUGCUUCCUUAAUAUUUGAGUCACCGUGAGAACCAAGUCAGUGGCAGUAACCCCUUCCUUCAACUUUCCAUCCAACUUAAAUCCAACCACACCAGGUAAUACCAUGCUCAUGGGCUAUAAAAUUUUUGAAGAACCAAAUCAACGGCAGAAAAAAUUUGUCAUAUGCAUGUAACCAAAACAAGACACGCCAAUAAUAAACUGUGAAUGUACAAGUACAGAGCAAACGGAGCUCACCUGUCCAAGCAUUGCUGCCUCUGCCUCGAUUCCUCCAACACCCCACCCAGCGACUCCUAGUCCAUCAAUCAUAGUGGUGUGAGAAUCGGUGCCAACAACGCUAUCAGGGUAGAGGAAUCCAUUGGAGUUGAAAACAACACGUCCAAGGUAUUCGAGGUUGACCUGCAGUCAGGAGUAGUAUAAAAAGGAAACAUCACAAGAGAAAUAGUAGUUUAACAGGCUAAUAAUAUAGUCAUAUUUAUGUUCCAGUAAAACUGUUGAUAUUUGCAACAAGGAAAACGGACCAUCACACGAUAUACAUUCCUUGAUUUGAAUUACAGUAGCAUCUUGUACCUGAUGAACAAUCCCAGAUCCAGGAGGAACCACCAGCAUAUUGUCGAAGGCUGAUGAACCCCACUUAAGGAAGGCAAAUCUUUCUUUGUUCCUCUUGAAUUCAAGCUCCUCAUUUAUCCGCCGGGCCUUAUCUGUCCCCGCUGCGUCAACUUGGACUGAGUGAUCAAUGACAAGAUCAACAGGAACCUGUAUACAGAUAUGUGCAGGAAAUUGUGGGACCAGUUCGCAAAUGAGCAAAGUGUUCUCUUUCAUAAUAAUAACAUACGAGCAACAGCUACUUCAACAUAUCAUAACCGAAAGGCAUAAGAGAGUUAACUAACCAAUGGAUUAAUCUUGUUAGGAUCACUACCAAGAUUCUUCAUUGCGUCUCUCAUAGAAGCAAGAUCAACUAGAGCUGGCACUCCAGUAAAGUCCUGGGAAAGAAAAGCAAAAGACACUGUCAAGUAGGUAAAGCAAGAAUACAAGUUAGCAUUUAGACUAAAGUGAAAUACUAAGCUAGACACCUGUAAAAUAACACGGGCUGGCUUGAAUGCAAUUUCAACUUGUUUAGUGGAUGUAUUCUCCCAGUCAAUGAUCUUCUCAACGUCAUCCUUUGUGACUUGAUAGUUGUCACAAUUACGAAUUGCCGACUCCAAUAGUAUCCUAACAGAGUAUGGCAAUCUAUCUGCAAUAUUCCAAUUAAAAAGUGUUACCUUCAUUAGAAUCCAUUACAACGGAACAGAUAGAGGACAUUACAGCAAAGCAGUUUUCGAGGAACCAUACCGAUUCUUGGAUCGUUCAAAGCAGGUAAGGAGUAGUACUUUCCAUACUCUCCACCAUCAGGCUUAGGAAGACUUGUCAAAAUAUCCUUGUAUGCAUGUUCAGAAGCUGUGUUUUCGAAAUCAAAACUAUUAGAAAUGUAUAAACACACGUCAAAUAACCCAGGCCAUACAACAUGCAUGAGUUUGCUUUUCCAUGAUCUAAAUAAAACCCUUUUUAUAAAUAACAAAGCUGCAUCUAGUAGAAUACUCUCUCUGUUUCAGAAUAGACGAUGUUUUAGAAAUUUCCCUCUUAUUAAGAAACAAUAAAUAUGUGUUGCUUUUAGUUAGUUUUUUGUCUUUUCACUUUCUAAAAUUUGUUUUUCACACACUUAUUAAAUGCUCUAUAAUCAUUAUGAAUGAACUUUAGCUCCAUCACUUGAUACUAUUGGUUUGUUUACAAAUAAAAAUUUAUUACUUCAAAAUAAUUAAAUAAAAUAUGUUAUUAAAUCAUUCUUGUAAAGUGUAAUAGCAUUAAAUAUUUCCAAAACAUCAUCUAUUUUGGAACCAAAAAAAAUCCUAAAACAUUAUCUAUUCUGGAGGGAGUAGAUAAAGAACAAAAACUUGCAAGAGCAAAUCAAAUGUGCCUCUAGUUUUUGCAUCAGAAUUCAGAACAUUUCAUCAAACCGCUCAGAAUUCAGAAAAUUCGAAGACAUUUGAAGGGGUGAUUCUCGAGUUCAACUGAUUUAGCCGAAAUCGAGCUAAGCAAGCACGGAAUCUUGUAAUACAAGUUAAGAGGAAACAGGCAUACCCAUGGUAGCGUAUUUCCGCUCAAAUCUCUCCAUCACCGGAGCAGAGUUCCUAGUUUGAGCACGAAGGCUAGCAGGCGAUCGCCAGUUCCCACCAUAGCUCCACCUCGUAGAGGCAGAGCCCACUCGAAACGAGCGGAGAGCCGACGAGAAGCUCUUAGAUCGGUUCGUCUGAUUGAGAACCGACGCGGAAGGAGCCGAAGCCGGAGCUGCAGGAGUCGAGGCGAUCUUCGAGAGGGAAGAAGAAGAAAGCCUCGUGAGCGAAGCGGAGGCAGAACGAACGCCGGAAGUGGCGCGUCGAUACAUGGCGGAAAAUCAAAACAGUUUGGAGAGAUUGGGAAAAAAACUCGCCAGAGGAAGAAGGAUCAAUUGAAACCCCACGAAAAUGGGACCUUUAUUGGAAGAGAUCGUGGAAAGAACGAAGGAGGUCGAGCGAGAGAGAGAGAGAUUGAUUUCGUCAAGCUUCUGAAAUUGCCGAUUAAGAAUUAACAGAACCUCUAAGAGACAGACACUCACUAAUUAUACAAUGCCAAGGCCAAAGAACGGCUACGAUUCUUCUUUAGUCGUUGACUAAUAAACUAAUAAAAAUAUUUGUUCUUGCAUAUUAUAGAAAGAGUUACGAUUAAUUUAAAAGCUCAGAGCUAAAGACCAACGUGGGAACAUUCGAAUAAUUGGCUUUUCGUCGAAAGAUGGGAAUAUUUAUUUUCCCAGAAUUUUUCCCGCAAAAGAAAAGAAAAUAACUUUGUUUUCGAACUUUGCAUUAUAUAAAGUCAUAACUGGUAAAUAAUUGUAUUUUAUUACACUUUUUUAAGGUAUUACCACGUUAUUUGAUUGGCUCGUUUCUGGCACAAGCCAAGUAGGAUUCAUAUUUCUCCUCUGAAUAGUAAAAGUAUAUCAUACUACUUAUUUUUCUUCUAUCCUAUGACAUGAAACCAUUCAACCAUGAUGUUACUCAAGAAAUAAAUCGUUUCAAUCCUAAUAAAUAAAAGUCAACGAGGAAAAACUUAGGGUAGGUAGGCUCUUCUUAAGCUAUGAAAGACAAAGCAAUUCAAGUCUCCAGCACAAUACCAAGAGACAAAACCCCCCAAAGAGGAAAAAAUUUAUAAGUUGGCUUCUCAUUUUGACUCUUCUUAGUCCUCAAUGACAACGCGAAAGGCCACAAAUUUAGGGUCCUGAAAAGCUCUCUCGUCUCUGAUUCAUCUGUAAGACUCGAAAACUAUUCGGUUUCUGUAGACUACAUCAAACAAAUAAUUGGACGCACACAUGAGAUGUGUUUAGGAUGGUGGCUGCCAUGUCCCGGGCCUAAAUGAUGAUCCAGACCCCGAUGGCUCUGUUGUCCUGUAUUAUCAUCAUCACCACCAUUAGUUUGGAUUUUAUCAUACCAUUUUCAUAGAGAACAGAUUCAGAUUACUAGCGGUUGGUAACAAUCAGAAAGAACGUUUCACGUUUCAUAUCCGUGAGUUUAAGAUUAAAAAGGUUAAAACCAGCUACACUUACUUUGGUUCAGGUGGUUCUGCAGUUACUACCUCGGGUUCAUGUUCCUUGGUCCUGUAAAAGCAAUGUGGAGUACAUUUUGGUUAUGGUGGUCUUGUGAAAGAUGCUGUGUUUUGCAUUCGGCAAAAGAUAUAGUGUAAUAAGAUUUAACACAAGAUAUGAUUGGUGCGGAGAUAAAUAUGAAUCAUGAUGAUUCACCUUGAUUUAUCUGCUUCUUCACUAGCUUCCCCUGGUUUAUCACCUUAACGCGUUGACAAAAGAAAAAGACUAACACUGUCAGUCUUACUUCCAUGAAACAAUUAUCUCAUUUAUGGUUGUGAGAAAACUAGCUACUGUAGUAACCUCAUCACUUAAAUCAACAAAUGGCAUAAAGGAUAUGUAAUGGUGAAUGUGAGCAGUUCUUAUUGCCUUCUAAGCAACCGUAAUCAAAAUGGCAUACAUUGAAGAUUUUACUAUCAGAACUUCAUCACAAUCACUUACUUCACAAGGCAAAUUCCCAAGAUGUUUCUGGUUCAAUUUCACAAAACUACUAUAACCAUCAGUGCAACAGCCACACAAAAUGCUGAACAAAACAUCAACAAGUUCCCUCAGAAGCAUUUCGUAUCACACAAAUGGACACCAUUCCAAAGACAGAUACAACAAAGGGUAAAUGCAUAGCCAUAACAAUAUUUAGUAAUUUUACAAUGAAAUUUCAGAAAGGAGAACACUAAAGACUUCAUCACUCUAUGGUGACUCCCUUAGUCAAUUGAUACAGGGAAAAUGUAUACCUUUUGAAUCCGCUGGAAAGUGGCGAACAAAGCUUGUCAAAUCCGGACCCUCAACUUUACCUUCAUACAAAGACAGCAAACAUUGAGCGUCCAAUUCAUAGAUGUAAAAACAAUUCGAACAAAUUUUUGAGGCACUAAAUGUUAAGUACCGAUGCUCAUGAUUUUGCGACCAGUGCCUUCUCUGGCUUUCUUCUCCUCCUCUUCUUUCUUGAGAACUUGACAAUGAAUUAAAGACAAAAGAAAAGAAAAAAUAAACAUUUGCGUAGAACUUGAAGCGGCAUUAACAAGAAUUUCCUGACUUGCUAAUACACAGAGACGCAAAAAUAACAAAUUUGUUGAUUCAGAACGUCUAGAUUCUAAAAUUCAAGUCGUCAAAGUCAUAAAACUGUUUGCAGCAAGGAUCAACGGAGGUGAGGAAACAUAUGUUGUGACAUUUAAUAGGAUAAAUAAGUUCUACAAAAAAUGUAUUAACAAUCUGGAACACCUACGAGCAACAUUAAGCUUCACACGCUCACGCCUUGCUUCAAGUUCAGCCAUUUCCUGGACCAGUAAAAAACAUUAACAUCAAAGGCCAGACACUAAAUCCAUAUAACCAAUGCCAAAUCUGACCAGAAAUAGUUCUGGUUUAUCUUACCUCAGGGGUAGGAGCCCUUUUUCGCUGCCCAUUCAGCCAACAUAUCCAUUCAACUACAACAUUGAUCAAACAAUCCCAAGAGAAAUGACUAUAAAUGAAACCAUGAAACAAGCCGAUUAAAAAAAGCUUUUAAAGAAGAGUUACCAGGAAUAGAGGUUGGGUCCUCUUCUCGUCUAAAGACAACCCAUCUUUUCUCUUUCGCUGGAAAGUAGAAAGAGAAGCAAGUCAGAACAUCUUACUACUGCACAAAUGGAUUUUACAAGAGUUAUACAAUAAAACAAAAGAAGCCUUUUGAAACAGAAUCUAAUUUCAUCCCACGAACCAAAACAAUUUCUAAUUUCAUUUACACACAACAGGCAAAGACAGCUGAUUCAUCUAAUAGAACGGACAAAAAAACAAAGAAAUUCAGCAAUUUUCACAAAAGACCAGAAAUUUGUACGUCUUUGAUCUCAUAUAAAUGACAGAACUCCGACGAAACAAUAACAAAAAGUGAAUUUGAGGUAAGAGGUGCGAAGAACAAUACUUGCCCAGUCCGUCAAUCUCCUCGACUCUGGAAAAGUACUUGUUACCAGUCUUGUCAACUCCGAUGAAACUCUUGCUACUGAAAAAUCCGGCAACUCUCGCCCAUAGCCUCGACAUAGCUUCUCCCGCCGAUUUCUUCUUUGUAUGAUCCAAAAAAACUAAAGACAACACGUCCAAAAUUGUUCCCCGAUCGAGUCUGCUCCGUCUGGAUCAAAAAAUCCGAAUUCGGAUUCUGGAUCCGGAUCCACGAUCCACCCCUGUUUCGUUACAUGGUUUGGGAGAAAUGAUCCGGCCCGGUUACGGAUAUGUAAUGAAAAAGAUCCGAAACUAUGAAUCAGAGGGUCUCGGUUUUUUUUUUUUUUUUUCCCAUAGGGUCUCGGUUUAGAGUCGAGAAUUUGAUUAAAUGAAUCAGGGAUGGAAGACCGGUUCAAGUUUCGUUAAUAGUAUUGAAGUGCAUGUAUUGAAUAAUUUUUAAACAAGGACUCUUUUAUAAAAAGAGAGGGGAAAAAAAAACAGAUUUGAUAGCCAUAACUCAUAAGCAUAGUUUACCAAAAAAAAAAAACUCAUAAGCAUAUAAUCAUUACUUAAAAAAAAAAAAAAAACAGAAAUGGCCUUCAAAAUAUUUAAAAAACCUUGGUGAUACAAAUAUUUUGCUUAGCUUGUUUAUUGACAUGUAUAUGUUUUUGUAUUUUGGUGAUUCUCAACGCAUCUUCUUACUCAUCAGUGCCGAUUCUUAGACGAAUCACAUGAGAGCUUGUCGAUUUUGAUUUUGGACCACAAAAAUUGUAUAGUUGAUUAUUUUUAAAGGCCGUCAUAUACAAACCCUCGCUUUCGCAAAUCAUGGCUAAAAUUGAUUAGGUCAGCUUAGAUAAGUUAAAAAAUUUGAAGUGAGUGAUAUUGUUUUUUCUUUGUAAGUAUAAGAGUACAACAAAGUUCGAUGAAUGACGGCUACGCAAAGGGCCCAAGCGCUCGUCAUCUAUUGAAGAAUCUUCCUUUCAAGCUAAAACGUUUUGUUUCUAAAGCAAAGCACAUAAUUUUUAAAAAAAACUUUUUAUACUCUUUCACGCCUAGAUUAACUGCAAUUGCAAUUAUGAUAUGCACAUGAAUUAGCCGCCAUGGACAUUUUUUCCUCUGUUUCUCUAAGAGACUUCAUGUAAUUUUUAAUUUAAGUAUUCUAUCCAGGUUAAUUUUGAGAUCUUUAAGUGUCUUGUACAUGUAUAAAUGUAUGGCUACAUUAAAACUAAGCUUUGGUCGCAUUACCAACUGAGGAAUAUGCAUGCAUGGCAGUGGCGGAGCUACUUGUAAGGUGGGGUGAUCAAUUGACCCAAGUCAAAUUACAAAAUUUAAAACUUAAGCUUACUAAUACAUGUUAUUUCUGAAAGAAUUUGUUGAAAAUUAUUUGAUUGACCCCCGUAAUUUCAUGUUGGAUGCCUUACUUGACCUCGAUUAAAAAAAUUUCUGGCUCUGCAUGGUCGGUAGGUAUCACUAAAAACGCUGAUGUCUUGUAGCUUUGUCUUGUCAACAAAAAAGAACACUAAUACUAAGUCAGCAAAUGGGACCUUUGUCAAGCCAAACGCUCCAAAUUAUCGCGAGCUUUUAGGGGGAUGAAUCUGUGAGAAUUUUUUGUCUUACUUAAGAGCAAAAGGUGGGAUAUCGACAUUAAUAAACAACAUAUUGCAUGUGUGGUACCCAUUUUAUAAUAAAAAACUUGUAGCCUACAAGUUGUAGAGGGUGAAUUCAAAUCAUGAUUGAAUUACUUUCCGUGAUGAAAGAAACUAAAGGGAAAAUUGGCUACAUAUGCUUUAGUGUAUGAGUGUAGUGUACUUUGUUUGACCGUUAAACUCAUAACAAACCAAAUAUUAAUGAUCGUAAAUAAUGUGCGGACGUAUAUUGAAUAUAGAUUCCCACGUCUUUGAAACAUAUCUAUAAAGACAAAACAAGAACCAAUCUAUGUAUUUGUUCUUCAAUCCCACACCUCUUGUGUCACUUUCUUCCUCUCUCUUCUCAAACUCUGAACUAUUUUGCAUCUCUUGACACAGUUUCCACUCUAUAAAUCUCAUUAUAUUAUUAUAUUCUAUAAGCUUGCUUCAAUAAAUCAAACGUAAGGUACAAUAUAGAUUCUUACAUCAAUCUUGUCUCUUUUGCGAUUUUGUGGCUACUACCUAAGAGUUUUUGUCCAGUUGAAGAUCUUUCUUGGCCGUCUUUUAUGUUUUGCAGAAGCAGCUGGUGAUUAGCAUGGAGAGGAAACAUGAUGUAUGGAGUUCUUUGAGAGACGGAGAUUUUCAAGAAGAUGAUGUGUGGGAUGUUCUUGAUGGAUAUCAUUCAUCGUUCAUGAUUAGUAACCAUGCCAGUAAAACUUCUUUCUCAAACCAAACUUUACUUCAAAGCGAACCUAGAAUGAUUCCUGAGAGGCAGAGCAUAGAAGGAAUGGCACCUAUGAGACAACACUCGGCUCCUGUCAAUGUCCCUGAUUGGUCAAUGGUUCACAAAAAGAAAGCUGAUGAUGAUGAUGAUGAUGAGAAUGUGUCACCGGAAGAAUAUUUUAUGCGGCGGAGUCGAUCAUCGUCCUCGUCGGUUAUGGAAGGAGUUGGAAGGAAAUUGAAAGGAAGAGAUUUGAGCAAAGUUAGGAAUGCAGUAUUGAAGCAAACUGGAUUUCUUGAGUAGACCAUGAUAUAUUGUAUUAUUGUAUAAAUGUUUAGAUAUGUAUGAACCGAAUAUGUCUAGAUAAUUUACAUUGUUAUUAGGAAAAAAAUCUUUUAUGAAACAAAAAAUUGUUAGGUGAUUCAUUUAAAAAAUUCUAGUUUGCUAAAAUGUAUACAAAUUAAAUAGGUGAUUUCAUUUGGCAUAAUAAUACAAAUGUCUAUUAUUGUUGAAAACGGUUGAUUUAAGCUUUUUAAAGAGUUCACCUAAAGGUAGGUUACUAAAAAGACUUUCAAGUAAAGAUUGUAUGAGCUUAAGAUUCAUUGAAUUACACGAUUCGAACCAUCGAUGACAACGAAAACUAAGGCUCUUUCUUUUUUUCUUUUUUUUUUUAAGUAGAAGUGAGUUGUAAGGGGAAAUCCUUGAUUGAGGAUCAUGUGCUGCACACGUGGUCAAUGUUGAUUCCUUUUGUCGUAAUUCUUAGACAGCUUGGGAACAUGUGAAUGGGGAAAUUCAUUAUCGUUCUUUUUUUUUUUCUGGUUAAGAGUUAAGACAUUAUUGGGAAUUCCUUUUUAUAACUAGUAUAACUUCUACAGAAAACACACAUUUAUGUAUAACAUAUUGGCUUAGGAUACUAAUGAAAUAUUGACAGUGAUGAGUUUUGAUGUAGAAAAACUUCAUAUUGCCAAAGUUGCUAUUUUUACUUACCUGGUUACUUUCUUUUAAAAUCAGAAAGAACAAGAAUCACCUAACUAUUUGACCAAAAACAAAAAGAACCACCUAAUUUAUUUCCUGAAAAGCUAAUUAAAUCGAGUUGAGUAAUUAAAUUGUGUUGUUUAUUGUUUAGAGUUUUGACUAGUUCGUUGGUCAAUUCAUUCGGAGUGGUCCUGUCGGUAGCUGCAGGUUUAAUUAGUUUUUUUUUUCCUAAUCCAAUCUCAUUGAUAUUAUUACUGUAAAGUGAAAACUUAACUAAUAAAGCGAAUAAUAUUAGUAAUUAAACUAGGCACAAAAUCGGCACUACUAGAUUCCAUUCAUCUUCCUCCAGCUUCGAAUUCCACGCACAAUUGCACAAAGCAAGAACAAAAGCCACGGCUUCUCUUGUCGUUUUCUCCUACAUUCGUCUUUUCAAAAGAUCAAUCUAAAAUUUCACAAUCUAAACUUUCUCUGUUUAUAGUUUCGUUUCCGAGGAGAAAAGGCUCGAUCUAUUGGAUCUGAAAACUGGAGAUUUGAGGUUGACUCUGUUGACUCGGGCCGAGUCGUGCGUGAGAUGAAUGUCUCAUGUUUCGUAGCUCAUUGAGAGUCUUUCUGGUUUUUUUUGUUUGCUUAGGAUUCGUUAGAUUCUUGUAGUUUUGCUUUAGAGCACGCACACACAAAAAUGUCGAAGCAUCACAGAGGAUUAGAGCUCUCUGCUUCAAAGAGUUUUGUCUCCAAGAAAUGGACUUUCUUUCUCUGUAUCGGAUUCUUCUGCGCAGGAAUUCUCUUCUCCGAUAGGUAACAAAACCAAUGCUCUGUAAUUAACUCACAAAUUCCUGUCACUCUUCUGUGUCGACUUUUCCGGUAAAGUUUGCAAAUUUCUUUUGGGGCUGUCGGUGGAUAAAAUUCAUUAAUUUCCUCACACCCAGAUUUGUAAAUCCAACAAAAUUAAGUUUUGGAUUAUCUGGUUAAGUUUUCGUUUUUGGAUGACAAAGAUUGCAAUGAGUGUAAUCUCAUUCUUUAUCUUCUCUUUUGGUAAAGUUGUAUUUCUUCAUAAAUUAAAAUAAGAAAAGACUUUUAGGUACCUAGAGAUGCAUUUAUCGACAAAAGUAUAGUCUCUCUAUAGACAAAAUGAUUGAGAUCCAUUUGUAGUUCAUGGAAGAUCCAAAAUCAAGCAUUGUCCAGAUGAGCUCCUAGUUGUGCCCUAAUCUGAUUGUGUAUGUUAAUAGAAUGUGGCCAGAGCCUGAAGCCAAUGUCGUAUCAAGGGAAGCUUCAGAUGAAGGGCUGCGAUUAGUGUCAGACGACUGUGAUUCUUCAAAAGUAAGUUUUCUAAUUUAGGUGAAAUGAACUCUAGAGGAAUUCUUGAUUCCGAGUUGUUCAUAGCAUUCUUCAUGUUUUAUCAGAAGGGUUUGAAGCAUGAAUCAAAAGAUAUCCUUGGAGAAGUUUACAAGAGUCCAGAUGCAAUUCAGUAAGUGAAAAAAAGGAUAUGAAAUGAAACUUCAGUUCUUUUUCUAUUUUGAUCGCGGUUUUGCAGUAAACGUAUUGGUUUUGCUUAAAUGGUGUUAUGCAGAAGACUCGACAAAACGAUUUCAAAUCUGGAAACAGAAUUGGCGGCUGCAAGAGCCGCGCAAGAAUCCAUCAUGAAUGGUUCACCUGUUUCUGAUGACUUUAAGCUCCCUGAAACUGUCACCAAAAGAAAGUAUCUGAUGGUUGUUGGAGUAAAUACUGCGUUUAGCAGCAGAAAGCGCAGGGAUUCAGUCCGUGCUACUUGGAUGCCUCCCGGUAUGUUGAUCUAAGAAGCGAUUUCAGCCUUGGCUAUAUUGUUAGGGGACUAAACAUAAGUCUUCUUUAGGUGCGGAGAGAAAGAAGCUCGAGGAAGAGAAAGGGAUCGUCAUGCGAUUUGUAAUAGGCCAUAGGUAAAACUUGAACCAUAGAGUGGCACAAAUCUUUAUUUGAGAGAGUGAUUUACGAUUGAGUGUUCUUCCUGUGCAGUGCUACUCCGGGUGGAAUUCUUGAUAGAGCGAUUCAGGCUGAAGAAAGUAAACAUGGAGACUUCUUGAGGCUGGUAAGAGUUUUUCUUGUCAUGUUUUCUUAUGGAAUUCUACUUAAUGUGGAGAGCUUCACGGCAGUCAUAUAUUUCCUACAUCCCGGCUUUCUGUUUUAUAAAUCUUAAGUUUGAUUGAGCAGGAUCACGUUGAAGGUUAUCUCGAGCUGUCAGCAAAGACUAAAUCUUACUUUACCACGGCUUUCCAAUUGUGGGAUGCAGACUUCUACGUGAAAGUCGAUGAUGAUGUGCAUGUAAACAUAGGUGAAAAUUAACCCUUUUACUUCAUCUGAAUUGUUAUGUUCCUUAUUAUCUCAAAGUUUGCGCCUUUGCUCACUUCUGUUACGGAUAUUUUUGCAGCCACACUCGGAGCAGAAUUAUCAAGAUACCGGAUGAAGCCCCGAGUCUACAUUGGUUGCAUGAAAUCUGGACCCGUUCUUGCUCAGAAGUAAGUUUUUUUUCACCUUCAAGAGACCACUUCUCUCAUUUUCAAUGUUUGUCUUACUUUCAUUUCUCUCUGAAAUUUCCUUUGUUAGAGGAGUGAGAUAUCAUGAACCCGAGUACUGGAAAUUUGGGGAAGAGGGUAACAAAUACUUCCGCCAUGCCACGGGUCAGCUCUAUGCAAUUUCCAGGGAAUUGGCGUCCUAUAUAUCGAUAAACCAGUGAGUUCCUCCCCACAGCAUUGACAAAUCCAAAAACUUAUCUGCUUUAUGCUUGAUUAUACGUUGAUUGCGUGUUAACUAAGGACAAAUUGUGUGUAUAGAAACGUACUUCACAAGUACGUGAAUGAGGAUGUCUCUUUAGGAUCAUGGUUUCUUGGAUUGGAUGUGGAGCAUGUAGAUGACCGUAGGCUAUGUUGUGGUACAACAGGUAAAAAAAUCAACUUGUCAUGUAUCUAUUUCCAAGUGUGGAACUUUGACCAAUUCCAAUGUUGCUCAAUGGAAAACUGCAGAUUGUGAGUGGAAGGCACAGGCGGGCAACAUCUGUGUUGCCUCGUUCGAUUGGAGCUGCAGUGGGAUUUGUAGAUCAGCGGAUCGGAUGAAGGAUGUUCAUCGGAGGUGUGGAGAAGGCCCAAAGGCUCUCUUGGCUGCAUCUUUCUGAACAAAGUAACGGAAGAAACACAAUAAGAAAGAAGAAUACAGAGACAAAUCCGCUCAACACGUUGUAGUAUAGACACACAUUCAGAACUGCUCCACACUCUCUCUAUAUAUGUAUGUAUGUAUCUUGUGAACUGAGAUGAGAAGGGUGCUUUUUGCCCUCCUUUCUUGUUUCUUUAUGAUUUUUUUUUUAGUUCUCUGAAGGUCUGGAGUUCUUUGCACACAGAAAUGCAGAUUUUAGCUGCAAAAGGCAGACUCCAUGAGCACACCUUCAGAGUCAUUUGUUUGAGGCGCUCUGUGUUUGGUGCUUAAAACAUUCAAUUUUAGGCUUCUUCUUCAUUUCUUUUUGGAUUUUGCUUCUUUUUGUUCAUUUCGUCUUUUGCUUGUAGUGACGCAAUGUCUGUACUUGUGUGUGUCCUAAAGACACAAAACUAUCUAAUAAAGAUUAAACAGUAUGAGAAGAAAAUCAGAAGCGUGGAAGAAAACUUUCCUUGGUUAAGAGGAAUGUAAACCCAAUGACUUCUGACAGGUUGCAGGUAGAUCCCAUUGACAAGAAGUGCGUACUUCAGCAAAUGACCGUUGUGCUAAGUUAGGUAAAUGUCGUAAAUUUUGGAAUAAUUCAUUAGCAUGUAAGUGAUGAACAAAGCAAGAUCUCUAUACUUGUUAUUUCACAAACAUACGGAUCAAAUAGCUUUAGCAACAACAUAUUUGACAGGGAUUAUAAUUCAGGAUCUUAAUUGUACAAUCAGGAACAUGCUUUCACUAGUUACCCUUUCUCUAGCAGAUCUCUGGCAAGUUGUCCCAUGAGCAGGACACUCUGGGGUUCUUGUUAGUGUUGUUGUUGUUGUCCUCAUCAGCUGGAAACAGCAAAGCAAACUGGUGACUGUCAAGGACGAGGUUUUCCUCUGUUGUUAUCACAGAGGAUUGCCCGUUUGAGAUCUCACCGCUUUCGCUUCCCCAGUCAAGAAGUUUUGCUAUGUCCUCAUCUUGCAUCGUGUUCAUCUGGAGAGAAUCUUCUUCCUUCGGUUUUAAACCUGUAUUAAUAGACAACACAAAACAUUAUUAAAAUAUUUUCACAGAUGUGUACUAGGAGUUAAAGAUUAAAUCACUUUGAGGUGUGUGAUUAUUACCUUGCAGGGAACAUUGACUGUUAGAAGAACCACAAUGUCGGAAACUACCCGAAAAGAAGUUGUUGUUAGUGUCAUUGUCCUCGGGGGUAGCCUCAAGAUGUCUCCGCUUAGGAGCUCGAUAGCUAUCGGCUAAGGCCUCGGCCUCUUCCAUCAAAUCCUCCAAAAGCUGGCAGGUACUUAUCUGCAAACCAGAGUCGAGAUUGUGGUUGCCAUUGUCUGAGAAGUUGCUUACUUGAGAGACUCCUAAAGAGGCAGAGUAGGGAAUUUGGUUUGAAGGGAGCUCCGGUUUCACAGAGUAAACCGGAUUGGUACACUGAUAAGAGGAAGGAGGAUAUGAAUUGGUGUGAAGAAAGGUCGGGGAAGAGACAAGGAAAUUGGUUGGAGAAGAAGCAUAAGAGGGCUUGGUAGAGAGGCAACUGAAAGCAGUUUCGUAACAUCGCUUGGGACGCAGAGUAGGAGGUUGGAGAAGAGGUGGUGGGGGUUGAGGGAAGGCGAAGACAGGGAGAUCGGAGGAGGGCGUGUAGGGCUGUUGAUGAUGGUAGUUUUGGGUAAUAUCUGGAGGGUAGAGAGGAAGGCCUUGGCGUUGGAAUCGUUUCAACCUCGUGUUCCAGAAGUUCUUGAUCUCGUUAUCAGUUCUUCCCGGUAACUAUUGAAAACAAACAUAAGAACAGAGCAUUAACAGUACACAACAACAUGAUGCAGAAUUGUAACAAGACAAAGAGUAGAUGAGAUUAAAAGGGAAAAAAUUUACUGACAGAAGAUUGUUAUCAGUUAAAAAGAUGAGAUUUUUUGAACAGGAGGAGGCUGAUUGAUAUUUUACCUGAGCAGCCAUGCGAGCCCAUUUGUUGCCGAGCUGAGAAUGGAGUUGGAUGAUGAGACGUUCCUCGUCGGCGGUGAAGGAGCCUUUCCUGAGAUUAGGUCGGAGAUGGUUAGCCCAUCGGAGACGGCAGCUCUUGCCGCACCGAGCCAGCCAAGUCUUCUUCUGAACGGCGUUCCAGUUGCCUUCUCCGUAUUCCCUCACGUAAGCCGCCAGUGUCUCGUCCUCCGCCGCCGUCCACGGCCCCUUUUUUAGAACCACCCCUCCCUCUCCUCCGUCUGGUACACCGUCAUUGGGUGCUCCCCCGCCGUACAGGAUCAUAGCCCCCUCCUCUCUGCGUCCCCCUUGAUCCGAAAAUUCAGGGGACCAAAAAUGUGAUUUUUAUGUAGUUUCUUUGAUUUUGUUGUGAUUGGUUGUUCGUUGGGAUGUGGAGCCCAGUGAUUUCUAGACGGUGAUUGGUUGAACGUCGGGGGUUUUUGAAAAGGUAGGACCUACAAAACGAUAUUCAACCCCCGAGUUCUUCCCAUAGUAGUUUUUUAACCUCUCUUCUCUGACAAAUGACAAAGAGGAAAAAGGCCCCCAAACAAAAAUUGAGAGAAAGAAAGAAAUGGUAAUUUACGAGGUAAAAUUACAACUGAAAAACAAAAGAGCGGAUAUGAUAUAAAUAUUUCUAUAAAUAAAGGAUGCCAGAGUUUGCUUAUCUGUUGACAGACAACACAAAAUCAUUUGAAGGAUCAUCUUUUGACUUUACUUUUGUUUUGUAUAAAACCAAUUUAUCAGAUGUAAUCUCAAGAUCUUCUUUCAACUUUUUUCUUAUCUGACUUUACCGGUUAGUUCUAGCUUCUUAAUAUUUAUGCUCUUGUUUUUGUUUUUUUUUUCAUCCCACUUUCAGAGAACUCGGGCUGCUCGAGUUUAGCAAGCUCAGUUUCCUCUACCAUGCAAAGUUGGGUCAAGCCUUUUUCAUCUAAAAGUGGUAAUGAUUCAGGGACCUAUGAUUGCUUAGAAGAAAUUCAGGGUUUUCCAUUCUGUUGGAGAUUAAUUCUGGUUUUGCAAUCUGCUUUCUCUGUAGCUUGAAUUGGAUUUGUAUGCUGUUGUGCCUCAUAUGGGGGAAUCUAUCACCGAUGGCACCUUAGCUACCUUUCUCAAGAGUAUGUUUCUCUUUUGCAUUAUCUUUCCUCGUUUUUUUAUUCUUCCUGAUGCGUGAAUAUAUAUAUAUAUAUAUAUAUCUGAAAGUUCUUUUGUUGGCGCAUUUGAUGUUAUCCUCUCAGAACCUGGUGAGAGUGUCGAGGCUGAUGAGGCUAUUGCACAAAUUGAAACUGAUAAGGUAUCAGUUUUUAUUUAUUUUUUCUUUUUCGUUUGUCUAAAGACAUUUGGAAGAGUUUGGGUUAAGUUUUCCAAAUAGUAUUAUUUGAUUCAUCUUUCUGCAUUAGGUGACGAUAGAUAUUUCUAGCCCAGCAAGUGGCGUGAUCCAAGAGGUAAAUGUGUUUUGUUAUUUGUGUUAUUUUCUGUUCACUCGUUACUUGUUGUUAUCUUUCUGGUUACAUUGAGUAGACUUGUUUGGUUUGGUCUUCUACUUCAGUAUUUAGUCAAGGAAGGAGAUACUGUAGAACCAGGAACCAAGGUCGCUAUAAUUUCGAAGUCUGAGGGUGCUGCAUCUCAUAUUGCCGCCUCUCAGAAGACACCUGAUUCCAAGCCUCCUCCUCAAACUGAUGAUAAGCAGAAGCCCAAAGUGGAAAGUUCUCCUGUAGCAGAAAAACCCAAAGCACCAUCCUCGCCACCACCACCACCUAAACAAUCUGCUAUAGAACCGUAGCUUCCUCCUAAGGAAAGAGAAAGACGGGUACGCAAAAUGCUCUCAUUUAUUCUUACAGCUGCAUGUAUUGAACUCUUAAAAUGACUGUGGUCAGAUUUAAAUAUAAUGUUCGGUUUGUUUGUUCACAUGAUUGGUGAUAUGACAUCUAAGAACAUUGCAGGUUCCGAUGACAAGACUUCGGAAACGGGUUGCAACGAGGUUGAAAGACUCUCAAAAUACUUUUGCAUUGCUGACAACUUUUAACGAAGUUGAUAUGUGAGUAACAGCUAAAACCCCAAGUUGAUAUGUCUAUAUCAGUUAUGUGAGUCCUCUUGGUGCACUGCAUUUCACUAGCCAGUUUGAUGUUUUUGGCUAAUUAUGGAGCUCUUUUCUUCGUGUAGGACUAAUCUGAUGAAGCUCCGAUCCCAAUACAAAGAUGCAUUUCAUGAAAAACAUGGAGUGAAGUUGGGGCUUAUGUCUGGAUUCAUUAAAGUAUGCAACAUUCUACCUUUAUUCUAGGUAACAGUAAACUGUCUGGUAAUGUACAUGUAGUAAUAUUCUUCGUUAUCUGUCUCAGGCUGCUGUUAGCGCCCUCCAGCAUCAACCAGUUGUAAAUGCAGUUAUCGACAGGGAUGAUAUCAUAUACAGAGACUAUGUUGAUAUCAGUAUCGCUGUUGGUACCUCCAAGGUUAGUUCACAUUCUCUAGCUCUCACUUGUUUGUGCACAUGAGUUGCAUCCUUAUUGCGAUCAUGUAUGUGAGGAUGAAACUUUCUUCUUGUGGUCUCUUUCCCAGGGACUUGUAGUGCCAGUCAUAAGAGAUGCUGAUAAAAUGAACUUUGCGGAGAUAGAGAAGACGAUAAACAAUCUUGCCAAGAAGGCAAAUGAAGGAACCAUAUCAAUAGACGAGAUGGCUGGAGGAUCAUUCACCAUUUCAAAUGGUGGUGUCUAUGGAAGUCUCAUAAGCACUCCAAUCAUUAACCCUCCUCAGGUUUAAGUUCAAUUCCUCUCUCACCGUCUCUCCAUUAAAUACAAGUUUUGUUUUACUCAAAAGGAAGGUGUGGUUAUUUGCAGUCUGCUAUACUCGGUAUGCACUCGAUUGUGUCACGUCCAAUGGUGGUUGGAGGAAGCGUAGUGCCAAGACCAAUGAUGUACGUUGCACUCACGUAUGAUCAUAGGCAGAUUGAUGGGAGAGAGGCUGUGUAUUUCUUGCGCCGUGUCAAGGAUGUUGUGGAGGAUCCGCAAAGGCUUCUUCUGGACAUAUGAAAGAAUCGGAUUCAAGGAGUCAAAAAAAACAGUGUCUGGCUUUUUGCCAGUUAUAGACCUGGAAUGUCUUUCAAAUUUCUUUACAGUUUCCGGAGAAUUGCCGGGCGGGAGUAUUUAUGUUCUUACUUGUUAGUUGUUAGUUACACAGUGUGAUAAAUAAAUAUAGGAUUCAAUUUUGACUGAAUAAAAGACUAUUUUGAGGUUGGUUCUUCCACUUGAAUGAUUUUCCAUGAAUGUCUUCUGUUACUCAGGCCUCGUCAAGAUCAUCAUAAAAACAUCUAGACGAGAAAAAGUUCAUCAUUCUUGAAAGUUAAGUAUUUUCUUAUAUUAAUGAAGAUGAAAAUUUUUGAAUGAGAGAAUAAAGAAGUCAAAAAAAUAUGCUUUUUUAUUGCCAAGGAAAAAAAAAUUGACAAAAAUUCAUCUACUUUCGUCAUGCAAAGGAAUUAUCAUGGUCUCUACAAAAGGAAAUCAGGAAUCAUUCAGAGAUCUGUAAGAGCAGCUCCGAUGGUUCCAACUUAUGAUAACUUACUGAAGAUCGUGACAUGUAUUAUGGUAACACUUGAACCGAAUUGGUAAUAAUCCUUAAACCGGAAAUGAUCAGAUCCUCACUUCUAUGCCCUUCUCUAGUAAGUGCUCUUUCACAGAUUGGAUUGGUACCUUCAAACAAAAUGGUAUUACAAUAAUUACAAAACGAGGUAUAGUUUUUACCAAAGGUUUCGAAGAGAACAAAAAAGGUUACCUCUUUCCGAUGGAAAAUGCCGGCAGCAAGCCCUGCAGAUGCGUUUGUCUUCUCAAACACCUCGGAGAAAUGUUCUGGGAUGCCUGCUCCACUGCUUGCUAUCACCGGUAUGCCUACUGAGUCAGAGAUGAGCUUUACUAAGUCUAUGUCAAAUCCUUUUCCUUGACCUGAGAUUCGCAGAUAAGAAAGCCAUAUCAUAAGGAGAGCAAAUUUUAGCAGACAAAUGAUCUUAAAAUCUGAAAGACUUAAAGGCCUUUUUCAGUGUACUCACCAUCACAGUCUAUGCAGUUCAAUAGUAUUUCACCAGCACCUAAUUCUUCAACCGCUUUUGCAAGCUCAUACGCUCCAAUAGGCCGACCUUCUCGUCCUCCACUGACCUUUUAGUUGAGAAACCAGUAAUUAAGGAAUGUGGCAAAUCAAUAAAAAAUAAUCUGCAAAGAGUGGCUGGAAUUUUACCGUGCACUGAUACCACGCAUACUCUUCCCCAUUUGGGCCUAACAACAGUAGAUUAAGUCCGGGUUAUUACAUUUGUAUGCAGAUUUUUGGAGAGAUUCUAUUUAAUGUGACUACUUUCUUUGUAUGGUACAAAGAACUCAGGUACGAGGAAAAGAUUUACACAAAACGAACCAUAACAUCUCCUUAGGAAAUUAGAAUUCUGAUGAUUAUCUUAGCAAUAAAUGUCUGAGAUGUAGCCAGCUUCCGUAAUGUUCAUUUAGACCAUGACAAAGGAAAUAUAAAGAGAGGUGUAAAGACCGGCAUACCUGGGUUAGUUAAUCUGAUGACCUUAUAUGGCACAUCAUCAGGAUGGUUCACAAACACUCUACGAGGAUCAAUACUUACAACCACUGCCUGUGAAGAGAAAGACUCUGUCAAUCAAGAGAAAAUCUGCUUCCGAUUUCACACAAAAAUAAGGGAAUAUAACAAACAAGUAUCUAAAAGCAGUCCAACAAAUAUUCACUAUUACUCCAUCUGUAACUAAGCUAUUUAUAUCAUUAUGUAAAGGGACUACCAUCCUAUAUUUCUGCAAUUCUGAGGUUUAAAUAAAACGAAGGCCAAUUGUUCUGGACUCGGUAAAGAAUUAUACCUGGUUUCCAUAAACUCUGGAUAUCUGUUCUAAACUACUUUUUCCGGUCUUCACCUACAAGAAAAACAAGAAAAGUGGAUUAACUAAUCCGUCCUUUAUUAGAUAUUAGCAUGAACAACAAAUACGAUCAAUUGGACGGCAACUACAAGCUUACCCCUGAUUUUAUAAACUCUUCUGCAGCAUAAACAGCGUCACUUCCAAUGGAGAUCUUAUCAGCACCGGAUCUGAAAUACUCAGCAGCAACUUCCAAGCUAGAAUAGUACCUGAUCCAAAGUAAGUUGAUAUUAAAUUGUUGUGGAGAAUAAAAGUGCAAUGUCCUCGCUGAAAAAAGGAAAGAAAGAAAGAGAAAACUCUGAAUAUGUACCUGCCGCUAGCAUCUGUAAAAUCUCUGAUACCACCUCCGACAGUUAGUGGUACAAAGACAUUCUCUGAUGUGUACCUCAAAACCUAUAAAGCAUGUAAAGUGAUCUAAAUACAGGUAAGUACCGAAGUAAAAAUUAAAUUCUAAUGAGAAAAAAUAACAAAUGUUGGUACCUGAAUCAUCGGCAAAUCCCCUAAAGGAAAAUCGCGGAAUCCAGUUAUGUUUAAAAAGCUAAUCUGAAAACCCCAAGGCAGCAUGGUUAAGAGCCAAACCAAAUCUAAAUUAAGAAAUCAUUGAUCCACUAACAUGAUAUUGCAACAAAAGCAUACCUCAUCUGCACCAUCUUUGUAAUACUGCCUAGCCAAAUCCACAGGUUUGCCAAGGUUUCGAACCUGCACAAGAAAUUUUAAUAAGUUCAGAGCGAUAAUGAUUACUCAACCUCAACACCUCUCAGGUGAGAUAUAUCCGCAUCAUAAAAACAUCUAAACACCAAAAAUGUUUCACAUUUUCACAAAGAACAUACGAGAAUGAAGCAAUAAUUUCAAUAGACCUCGUUUUCGUUAGAUUGCUCUCUCACAUCAUAUUGGUCCCCUUUGGUUACUACAAGAUCUCCUUUAUCAUUAGUCCUCACAUCAAGACAAGCAAUCACCUUAACACAAAAGAAAAUCAUUAGGAAAAACAAUGCUGUGGAGGAGACAGGCUUCCGAUGAUAACAGGGACAAACUUAUUACCCUCUUUGCAAGUUUUGAAGCCUUCCCUUCCAUUGGCUUCUGUCUUCAAGUGAGAUGUGGUUUCCAUUAGACCAAAAAAUCAGGAAGAUUACAUUAUACAUGUAAAGCUAGAGAGAAAGCUACCUGUGUUGAGAUUUUGGAUCCAAGAACCUUCUCAAGACGGAAAGCCCCACCUCUGAAUAUUUCCAGAUUCUAAAUUAGUACGAUAUUCCAAUAUGUGAAUAGACUUUGAAUAAGAGAUGAAGGUAUCAACCAAAAGAAUGAGUAGACUAAAAUUUCAUACCCCCGCUCUUCUCUGGAUGGAAUUGCACUGCAUGCACGUUUCCCCUUCUUAUAGAAGAUAUAAAGGAUUCACCAUAGUUGCAGGUAGACGAAAUCCAUUCCUUGUUUUCAUUUGACUACACAAUAAUAACAGAACAAAAAUUUUAAAAUGCACGUGGAAGAAGAGAAAGACAAUGGCACAUAUACAAAUUUGAGAGAAAAAGAAAAGAUGAACAUACCGGAAUAGCUCGGUAGGAAUGAACGAAAUAUACAUGAUGGCUUCCAACAUCAUCCAGAAUUUCGGAAUCCUUUCUCACUUGCAAAGCAUUCCAGCCAAUGUGGGGAACUCUUAUAUCAGCUGAAGAAUCAAAGCGUCCAACUAUUCCCGGUAUCACACCAAGACCUUUGACUGACACAAAUAGAACAGAUGUAUAAGUAGAAAAUACACCAUGAAAAUAUAAUGUAGAUUGUGAUGAAUGUAUUGAAGGAAAGCUUCUAGAAGACAUGACAUGAAGAGUGGCAAUAGAGCUAAACCUGGUCCGUUCUCCUCACUAGACUCGAAUAGUAGUUGUAGCCCAAGACAAAUACCUAGAAACGGACGGUCAUUCUCGAUAUAUUUGCACAAGGCUUCAGCCAUCCUACAAACACCAAAGACACGAAAAUCCGAUAUGAAGAACUAUAUAAGACACUGUUCACUGUAAGUUAAAUAUGCUUAAGCAUGAGAUGUGAUUCCAAAUUUGCUGGAUUUGAAGAACUCUCUGAGCUCGGACAGUGAAAAGAAAGCGAAUUCGUGCUAAUAGAUAUACUGUCAAUCAAAAGGGAAAUCCACAGAGCUUAGUCAUAUUUACCCGGUUUUGUUAAGCACAUCCAUGGCGGGUGAAAACGCUCCAACGCCAGGAAAGAUGAGGCGAUCAGCAUUCAGAAUAUCUCCCGGCGUUUGAACCUAACAUUUCAAGUUCUCAAGUGUAAGAGAUCACUACAUUUUCCCAGGAAUCAAAAUGCGAAAAAAAUGAGGAAAAAUCUUACGUCUUUGAUGCUGAACCCGAGAUGACGAAGAGCAUUGCGGAUGCUCCGCACAUUCCCGGCUCCGUAGUCAAGCAAAGUCACAACUACUCAGCCGAGAGACAAGAGGUAAAAAAGAAAGCUUUAUGCCCCAAUAAAAAAAAAUACAAAAUUGGAUUAAGUAGAACACGAAAACCAAUAGAAAUUACCAGAGUCGGAGGUAGAAGAUGCGCGAACGGAGAUGCUUCUCGGAGAUUUAUAUUUGAGAUUAGCAUUGCCAGGAUUCUUCCUGGAGAGGAACAAAGAAGUCGGGGAAGAAGCGAAAAUCGAAAAAGAAGAAGAAGAGAGAUUUUGUCUCGAAGGGACGAUGGACGAAAAUGGCGCCGCCGUAACCUCCAUUGAUAGCAAUUCACUGACUGCUUCGAUUGCUAAUUCAAAAGGUAGUCACUGGCACUUGUCAAGAGUCAAGAAGGACUAAACCACUCUGCUAACGACGUCGUUUUACUCGUGUAAGUAAGGUAGUCGGAAAAAAAAAGAGUGGGCCUCGAAUUGGAACUAUGAACUUCAAUGGUGGGCCUAGGUUUCAAUCUACACAUAUAAUGUCUUCUAGCUUUCUCUUCCUUAACUUGAAGCCUUGAAGGUACCAAGCAACUUUUUUUUUUGUAACAAGGAUACCAAGCAACUUCGUUGAACCAAACUAAGAGUAAGUUUUGGUGUUAGAUUUUAAAUACGAUUACAACAGAUUAAUGAUUACAUAAAUACAGACUACAUAACAUCAAAAUCUACAAGUUCGAUAACACAUACAUAUUACGACAUAUGUCCCGGGCCAUUUUAAUACCAUUUGUAGGAAGAAGAAAAAAAAUCCUACCAUUUUAAUAUUGGACUAGAUAAAGGGUUAGGCUGGAUCUAUAUAAUAAUACCCGGGCCAUCCAAUGGAAGGCAUUAAAAAUGAGCAAAACGCAAGGGGACAAAAUAAGGUUUAUGGAGUGUUACCUAAACAUGUUACAUUUUUACAAGACGUUAUUUUAGUUUACAGAACGUCUGUAUAUUCAAUUUUUUGUUAUAGCCAAUGUAGACUACGAUCGAUCGGUAUUGGAUUGCAUAGCAUAUGCUUAUAUUGGUAACCUGAGAAAACAAACAGCUAGAAAAACUUAAUAGACAGCUUCACCAAAUAAUUUGAUAUGCAACGCGUUACCUAACUGGCUAUCUUACCGCGAUUAAUGUGGAAAAUUGUGUAUCAGAAUUUUUUGAUAAAGUUUAAGUUUAUACAUUUCUCCUCAAAAAAAAUUUUUUUAAAAAAAUCAUUAUUGAAUGAGGCAGUCAAAUUUGGACAUUCACCACUUACGACUAUUACAACUCCUUACUGAAACUAAAGGAAAAACAAAAAAAAAACAAAUGAUAUGACAAGUAAUAUUGGUCGUGCUUGAUGAAGUCAUUACUACGUCAGCAUUGAGUCCUCAGCUAUUAUCAUCGACCCUUCACCGUGUCCCUCUUUGCAUUAGAGAUGAGAAUCUUUUUACAUAAUAUAUAUAAACAAACUUCUUCUACUUAUCUUCAUGUGAUAAUUUUUAUUUUAGAGGUAAAUUAUAUGUUAGAGCAUUUCUAUCGGGGUCUCUCGUAUAGUUAUUUACAAUUGGAAACAAAUAAUUAAUAUUGAAUCGUUUGAGUUUCUAGUAAAAAACCCCAAACAAUUUAUAAAAAAAAAAAUUCCAGCCGUAGAAUCUUUUUGAGAGAUCCUCAACAGAAUUGUUUUUAAACGGUUAGAAAAAAAUUCAUAAUAACAGUAUCGUAGUGAAGUAGAAGUUUAAAGAAAAAAAAAAAGAAGAUAUCAUUGUUUUGUUUUAUUUUAUUCAGUUUGUUACAUUAUUCAGAUAAAUGUUUUAACGCUUUUAAAAGAGAAAAGUAUAAAUAUAAAAUAAUCAGUAAGAAAACAAUUGCACAAUACAUAAUACAUUUAUACUAAGUGAAAGUAAUUAGAGUUUUUGUCGACCAAAUAUUUUCUUUUAUGCUAAGUGGUAUUUUUAAAUUGUUGUUUUUUGGAUAAGUACGGGAGGAAAACAAUACAAUGUUUAGAAAGAAACGGUACCUAAUAAAUUGUACGACAUUGACUUUAAAAUAUCAAUUGAUUUGUUAGGUAUCGCCGUAUAGGUGUCAAAGUGGGAAUGUCCAAAUGUUUUUUUAGGUAAAACACAAAAGUUGUAUUAAACUGACUUUCGUCGGUACAAUUUUUUUGGACCAGUUACAUAUUGAAUUCGUCUAUAGUCAAUCUCAUCUUGUAGAGUGGUUCUCUUCCUUAACCUCCAUCAAGAGCACAAAGACUUCUGUUUCCAACUUUGAAAAUGUAAUGAUCACAGAUGUUACAAGAAAUAUGCACUGAAUAUCUAUAGACCAUAAUAGUUUGAUUUGUCGUUUCAUCUAUAUGCAGUUAUGCACAAUAGUUCCUAAAACUAGUUAAAGCAACGCAAUUCUACCGCAGAUAUAUUCUAUAACAAUUAAAAUAACAGCCUAAAAUGAUAUAAGAACGCAAUUAUACGAAAUUUAUUUUGGCUACGAACCACCUAUAUAUGCCGGUUGUUUAUUAAGUAUCCUUAAAAAUUUAUUGAGCAACCAUAUUGAUCACAACAAAUUGAUUGUUAGGAACUUGGUCAAUGAAUAAAAGAAUGAGCUCGCAAUUUGACAGAAAAUGUUUUUCUUUAGUCACAUUAUCAUUACGAAACAUUUUCUUCGUGGAUACAUUUCCAUCUUCAACACUAUAAUAAUAAAAUGCAACUAAAUUUCCAUUAGUAGCAACAUUAUAGUAGAAAUCAUUAAUGAUGUCGUCAGAGGAAUAUUCCGAGAACAAUCCGUCUUGAUCCGAUAUCCAAUCUUCAGCUCCUUCAUUCGCUUGCGACGACGUCGUUUCUUCAUCCCAAAUCGCAUUUUCGUAGCCGUCACCGACGCGUUUCUCGGUUUCUCCAAGUUCGUCGCCUCUCACUUGAAUCCACUCUCCGUCGUCUACCAUAUUCCAAUCGGGAACGCUUGAGAAUUCCUUUCCGGCGAGUUUCUCGAUUCGACCUGCCGGUGAAUCCCGACAAUCCGUGUAACCAGCCAAAAUCUCUUCUUGAUCCAUCGAAAUUGAUUGACUUUUCGAGACUUCGCGUGAAUCCCAGAAUCGCUGAUCCAGUACAGUGCUCGGAGAAGAAAUCUUGUUCAGACAAUCGCUAGAUUGAGAUUCUUCUUCGUCGUCGUCGUUGAGAAAAGGAUGUUUAAGCAAUUCUUCCACCGUCAACCUCUGUUUCGGAUCUUUCUUAAAACAGUUAAUCAGAAAGUCCUUACCUUUCUCCGAUACCCACCCUGGAAUCUCAGGCGACUCACCGGAGAACCCAAUCGUAUACAUUGCAGCAACGACGUCGUUUAGCUCCGGCCAAGGGUUUGAUCCAGUCAUCAUCUCGAUCACCGUACACCCCAAAGUCCACACAUCAGCUGGAAACCUCUGUUCCUCACCACGAGCAACCUCCGGCGCCAUAAACGCCGGUGUACCUGAAAACUCCGACUCACCAACAGAUUUAGCACAGCCCAUGUCGGCGAUUUUCAAAACGGCGCCGGUUUCUUCAACAAGCACAUUCCGGCUUUUCAAGUCGCAGUGAACAAUCCCUCUCUCGUGAAGAUACAUAAGACCCUUGAGAAUCUGACUUGUGUAUGACCUGAUCGCCGGUUCCGGCAACUUCCCGCCGGAAUUUUUGAUCAAAUCGUAAAGACUCCCGCCGGAAACGUACUCCAUCAGAAUAUUGUAAACCAAUCCGCCGUUCUCGCGCGUUAAACCAGAGCCUAUGUACUUGACUAUGUGAGGAGAGCUCAAUGUAGACAAGAUGGAUUGCUCUUUCUGCAGGAACGCUGAGGAAGAUGCGUUAGCGGAUUUGACGGCGAAGAUCUCACCGGAGCUUGAAAUUGCUGUUGAGACGGUGGCUGUGGUGGAGCCUCGACCGAUGAUUGGUCCUCUUGUCCAAUUGAUCUCCAUUGGAACAGAGCAAAUAAAAAAACAGAGGAAAUGUGAAUCAAGAGGGAUAAAUGUGAAUGAUGAGGGAUAAAUGAUCUGAGAGGUUUUAAAUUGUCUAAGCAAAUGGCUUAUAGGAAGGUUAUAUAUAUAAUGUAUACAGAUUUAUUUAGGUGUGUGUGUGUGUUUUGGGUAUGUAGAAGUGUGUGUAUAUGACUUUGGCAUGGGGUUUUUGUUCAGAGUUCGGAGACGACAUUCUUUAUUUUUUUUUUUUUCUUGAUUUCUUUUUCUCCGAUUAUUAAGUACCAAUACUUUUAGCUUAUCUUUCACUUUAUCUAUGUUUAGCAGUUGAUUUCUGUUUACAACAGUUAAAAUUUUAUAUUCAAAAGUCCAAGAUAAUUGAAAAUUAUGAUAGACGUCACUUGGUCUGAGUUUUUGAGAAUAUUUAGCAUGAUUCACACCUCAAUGACAACCAAACUUAUUAGACUAGUCCAACUGGUAACUUAAGUAUAUUGCCUAUAUAUACAUGGAUUUGUUGUGUCUCUUUAUAUUUAUUUGUUGAUUUUAUUCAGUAUUAUAUGAGUAUUUUUUUAGUCUAUACUAUCCUAAUGAGGAUGGUAUUGCGUUCACUGCAACAUAAUUGUGUGAUUGAAAACUUGUCAAACAGCUGCAUGUUGUUGAGUCAUUCGUAUUAAUUAAAUUUAUAAUGAAUAAUUUAUUUUGUGAGUUAAUUGCAUUUAACACACUAACCUCACAAGAUGCAUACAUAUUUGGCAACGCACAGGUUCUGGCAGCAUUUUCCAUUUUGUGGGGCUAUAAAUCAAACGAGAGCGUGAAACAAGCCACGUGGCGGGAGAUGAAUGGGUAAAGACAGCUUUGACGGCAUGAAGCCAGAGUGGACGGCGCCGUUACUUCUAUUUGCCGAUAACAAAAUUUUAACGGAAAAAAAUUAGUUAAUUACUCGCGCGGAAUAAUCACGUGACGGUAGCGCUUGGAUCAAAUCAAAUACAGACCAAUUAACGUGGGAACGGCAUUAAUCCACCCUACUUAAAAAAGGAUUUAUUAACUCAUCCACAGUUUAAAAUGGGGUUAAUUAUUUGUUUUUGAGGCUGUAAAGUGAAAAAAUGUGUGGACGAAUCCAAAUGUGAAUGCGUAUGAUAAUGUCUUUAAUUAGAAUGCAAGCUGGGAAUAUUUAUUCGUCUUCGCUUUUGCUCCGAGAGGAUACAGUUGGAGUUCAGAGUUUACUUUUCUUUUUUUCCGGUUAUGUAACGAGUUAAAUAUAGAAGUAUAGAACGCGGAUUCAUGCAUGUGAUUUGGACAAAGGUGUGUCAAGUUUGGGUAUACAUAUAUUUUUAACCUCAAAGAUAUUAAUUAUGAACACAACGCGUAUUGCUUACUAUUUACUAUUUCAUGUGAGGGCAGGUUUACAUUAAUUUUUUGAUUUGACUCAUUUUUAUCAUUAAGACCCUUUUACGAAACAAUACUUGCUGAUUUAUACUACUUUGGUUUAUAAGUAGCAUGUGAAGAUGGCUCCUAUCAAUUGAAUCAUGAAAUAGAAUAUAUAAACUCAUCAAAGCUAAUUUGAAUCGUCUCUUGGAUCAUUAAUUAGAUAUAUGAUCAUCCAUUGAAUUAAUGGCAAUGUGGGUUCAAAACCAAAGUAGAUGGUGAACUGAAGGGACAAGCUACGAACGAACCUCUAAACGUUCUAUCUUAAGUUAAAAUAGAACAUACAAAAAAAGGAGAUUUUGUGGUAAAUCAUACUCAGAAGUUCAAAACCAAUACUAAAAGCAAAAAAGAAAGCAAAAAAAAAAAAAACGCAAUACUAGAAUAUAAAUCAAUAAGAAAAACACUAAAACAAAUCGCAAAUCAUGCGGAAAUUGACCAAGAUGAACAAUUGCAAAAUACUCAAAUAGAAGAUUAGUUAUGGUUGAGUUUCGUCAAUCAGCAAAGCUUAACAGCAACAAAUAGCCCAUUAUAAAUAUAAUUAUGAAAAUAUUUGAGCUUUGAUUUAUAAAUCAGAUUUUAACGAUUGGGGCAUCGAUAUGGGCCUUCAUAGAAGUAACAAAAAGGGCUCCUCUUCACUCUCGUAAUGAGAGAGACACAGCAAACCAAAAAAAUUGUUUUUGGCACAACGUUUAAAUUAAUCUAAUAUAUUAAGGCUGGAUGUCUGUAUAUCGUAUUCAAUUAUGAAGAAAUUUACAGAUCUCGUAUAAGCGUACGCGUGGUUUGAUAAUAACCAUGAAAUAGAAAAUAUGUGGAUACGGUAUAAUUCGUAGAUGUCAAAAUACGGCCAAAAGAAGAAUGAUGUUGACUUUUUGUAACUGUAUUCUUUGGUACUCUGUUUCAGCAUGCGUUAGCAAAUUAAAAGAGAGAAGAAUGAUGUUGACUUUUGUGACGUAAAGUUGAGUCUGUGUAACAAAUGCGAGAAAAGAGUUGACUACUUGACUUCCUGGGCUCUCGGAAUCAUCCUUUUCAAAAGAUUGCGAUUACAUCCGGAAAUGUAGAUAUAAUGUAAAUUUCAAAAUUGCAAUAACAUGUAAGAAAAUAACUUUAAAUUUCAAUGAUGUAUAUAUUUCGUAUUCAUCACUAAAAUAUAUUCUAAAACGUGAAUGAUGAAAUUGAGUCAAAAACUAACAAUCAUGUCGUGUCAAGAAGAGGGUAUGUUAACUUCCUCUCUUCAAAUCUUCUACAAUACUUAACGUAAAACUGCAUGCAUACUCUUUUUUAUUCUUAAUCUUCAUUGAACUUUCAUCUUUCCCAUUUGUAUAAUGCUGGCUGAUUAGAUUACAAGGAGUAACGAGUUUUGGUACAGAAGUUACAGCUGGCUUGUGGAAUAAUUUUUGCCUAUAUUAGAACUAUGAGAUCAAUGUUUCUUGGUUCUCACAUCUAACAAAAUCAAUUUAAAAUAAAAUAAAAUGAAAUAACAAAAAUAAGUUAAAAGAAUGGACGCCUUUGCUUCUCCUUUCAAAUUGCCUGAAUUGCCUCUAGUUCUGGUCCCAUGGGGCGAUGAAUUCAUGAACUAUGUAGUUUAUUAUUCAUUUGCAUUAAUUAUCAGUUGCGGUAAUAAACCAUUUAGCUUUUGGUCUAAAUGCUUAUAGUUGAUCUUAAGUAUAAUUAUGCCUAAUGCCUUAGGCCGACUAAAGAAAUUUGUUGAACCUAACAAAGAUCAUGCAACUUCUUAUGAUUUCCUCAAUAUAUUUCCAAAUGGUUUGAGAUAAUAAUAAACUACUAGUAGUCAGCUGUCAUGUCUGAUGAAGGAUACGUGUGAAUGGAUUUUUAUGAGAUAUAUUCAUAAAAUAGAUCCCAUUUAAGUUGAUUAGAUAAUUUUGUAGAAUCAAGAUGAUAAUAUAUAGUAGUAGGCUACUAGUCUUUCUGACACAAGUUUGUGUGAUGUUAAGUCAUUUCAAAAUUAUAAUGGAGAUCGAAUGCAUGAAUAUGGCUUUGAAUAGUGUUUGCAUAUGUUUAGUUUGUGUUUGCGUUUAUAUCUGUUAUACUUGUGUAUAUAUGUAUAUAUGUAUAUAUUUUUUUGUAUCUCUUCCUUUUUUUAUUGGUAAAAGCCUACCCGCACGCAACAUAACAAUGUACAUGCACAUAGUUUGUAUUCCUACAUACUUCCUUUCUUCUUCAAUUAUGUGUAUCUAUCUCAAAAGAAAUAUAUACUCAUAAAAAUAACUAAACUCAAACGGGAAAGGAAAAUCUAAUCAACUUUUUCACCGCAUUUUCUGCGUCAACUCUACUCGACGACAACUAUAAAAUCCUAAAUCCACCCUCUUCUUCCUUCUUAUCAAUUUCAACAAUCUAUCUCUCUCUGUGUGUCUCUAAGAAGAAAAAAGGAAAAAAAUAUCUCUCUUUCCCUCAAACAAACCCAAAGAUCAAAAGAAAAUGGCCAUCGUAAAGCUACUCGUGACCAUCGCAAUAACAACCGCAAUCACAAUCGCAAUCAUCACCACCAGAACCAGCACCACCACCGUGGAGUACACGAGCUUUGGUGCACCAGCUGCGCCAACUUUAAGGCCGAGUCGUUUCUUGGCUCAGAAGGAAGUAGGCGAGCGAAACCCUAACGCGGCGGACCAUUGCCACAAGAACCCUGAGAUAUGUAGCCUAUACGGAGGCGGAGGAAGCAACUCGACAGUGACAUGCUGCAACAACAAGUGCAUAGACGUGGCCAGUGACGACAAGAACUGUGGUGCGUGUAAGAACAAAUGCAAGUUCUCACAGACGUGUUGUCGUGGCCAAUGCGUUUACUUGGCUUACGACAAACGCCAUUGUGGACAAUGUAACCAUGCGUGUGAGCUCGGCGAGUUCUGCGUCUAUGGACUCUGUAACUACGCGUGAUCGAUCCAUCACGCCAGAGGGGCGUUUACUAUACUAAGUACUAACAACGAAUUAAUCCAAAGUCUAUUAUAUACAAGGGUGCACAAUUAUUAUUUACAUUGUGUCCAAUUAAUUAAAUAAGUGGGUGAAUCCCAUUAUGUUUUUGAAGAAGUACAUACACUGAUACAAGAAACGGUUUUGAGGAACAUCCAAUUAUGUCGUGAAAUAGGUCUGUAUGUAUACAUAUAAACACAAUUAUAUCUGCAAAUUUUGAUUUUAACAUGAACGUCUUUUAAUUAGGAAAAGAAAAACAAAUGGUGUAUAUAGUCGGUUUAAAAUAAAUGUCUCUCCGUUGUGGAUGGUCAAGUGAAAAAAAUGAUAUAUGCAGUGAGGUAAUCGAAUUCUGUCAUCAUUCACAAAACAUCACUUAUCUGUUUUAUGAAAAAAAUGGUGUACAUCUUUCUCGAUAUUUACUAUAACUCAUCAUCUCAUAGGAGAGUCACUAAUGCAAAGAAACAUAUCAAACAAGAAAGUAAAACAGAUUUACAUACGACAAUCUAAAACACAGAUACGACCGGCCGGUGAAGAAUAUCCCAAACAACGACCGACACUACAGAAAUUUAUAAGAGAUUUAUAAAGACAAUAAAGAACUUUGAAGCCUCAAUAUCGAUUUUGUGGAAGGGAGGCAAAUCUAAGUGAUGACCUUAUUAUUUGAUCUUCAUUAUCCGGUUUCUUUCACCAUAGUAUUAUCUAUAUAAAGGUUCAUUGACUUCAUUUUUAGUAUAUUGAUUCUGAGUAACAUUUAUUAACCGAUAAAGAUUAAGAAAUUGUUUUGGAAAUUACCUCUCCGCAGUAUUACAGGGUUUACACAUAAACUGUUGAAGUUUUGGCGGUAAAAAAAAAUCCAAUAGUAGACGUUUAAAAGAUGAAUUUAUAAUCUUCAUUUUUUCCAAUUUAUUUACUUAUUCUUACCGUGACUGACCCAAAAAAGAAAAUUAUUAUUAACGUGAAAAAUAUUGCAACGUCAUGUGGAGUGUGUGGACCGUGAGUUAUGAAUUUAUUUCCCCACAAAUAAAUCACGUGAGAAAAUAAGUGACCGGACAAAAACUUUAAUCCCGGGGGACAAAAAAACGAUUUGCCUGUAAAGCGAUUGGCGAUGGCAGCUCCUGCGGUGGAGGCAACCGCCGCAACUGCGUUACGGUCUGUCAUUCGAAGGGCUCGAAAGGCGGCGGAGCAUGUAGGAAGAGACCCGGAGCGGGUAAGGGUCGUUGCUGUCUCCAAGACUAAACCCGUCUCUCUUAUCCGCCAAAUCUACGACGCUGGUCACCGUUGCUUCGGCGAGAAUUACGUUCAAGAAUUCAUCGACAAAGCUCCACAGGUUCUUCACUCUCUCCAAUCCUCGCUCACGAAAUCAUCUACGAUUCUCAGUGUUGUGAAUCUUUUAUAGUUACUCAUUUCAAAAUCCGAAUCCAAAUAGUUUAGUUCUUGGAAGGAAAAUCUCGUGCUCAUUGUUUUUGGUUUUGUGCUUUGAUGCUAACGAGCUUCUCGUUAAUCUUUUGUUGAUAUUCAGCUCCCCGAAGAUAUAGAGUGGCAUUUCGUGGGACAUUUACAGAGCAACAAAGCCAAAACGCUACUGGGUGUGACUUAGUUCCCAAUUCUUGAAUUAUUGAAUCUCCAGGUUUUCUCGAGUGCAUUGAUUCUAUUGAUUUAGGGGUUAAGCGAAAGUGAAAGUCUUUUGAUUGAAUAUUUGCAGCUAAAGUCCCAAACUUGGCAAUGGUUGAAGGUGUAGAUGGCGAAAAGGUGACUUAACUUUCGCUCACUACGCACUUGUUUGAUUAGAUUCUUCAAGGACUUACAAGAAAACUUGGAUAUGUAGAUGUUCUGUAUAUUAGUUCGUGAAAUUUUCUUUGCAUAGAUUUUCAGAUUAAGAAAACAGCAGAUUAGAAUGAUGAGAAAUCAAUAACUGGUCACAGAUUUGUCGUGUGUAGCCUCCCAAAUUCAUUUCUUUUGGGAUGAAUGUUAUUUUGGUGAAAUCACUUGGGAUUUGUCUUUCUCGAUUCACAGGUAGCAAAUCAUCUAGAUCGAGCAGUUUCAAGUCUUGGGAGACAUCCACUAAAGGUUUUGGUCCAAGUGAACACAAGCGGAGAAGCUUGUGAGUAUAUUACCACCGAGUUCUCGUCCCGUAAAUUGAUUUCUUUCUCCGGCUUCAUCCAAUGGCUAUCUGUUUGUUUGUUCCUGAAAACUGAUGCAGCUAAAUCUGGAAUCGAACCUUCUAGUGUUGUAGAGCUAGCAAGACAUGUGAAAAUGCACUGUCCGAAUCUUGUAUUCUCCGGAUUAAUGACUAUUGGAAUGCCUGACUAUACGUCUACUCCACAGAACUUCAGAGUAUGUUACUGGAUCUACUCUAUUGUUACACAACCACAACAUACAAAGGCUUAUUCUGUUUAUUCUUUUCCCCUCCAUACGACUGGGCCAGACACUUACAAACUGUAGAGCUGAUGUCUGCAAGGCACUUGGAAUGUCUGAGGAUCAAUUUGAACUGUCUAUGGGCAUGUCAGGUGACUUCGAGCAAGCGGUAAUAUCUUUGUCUCUCUCUCUCUCUCUCUCUUUUAUAACAAUACUGAAAAUGCAACCAUUCUGAACAUUGAAUCAUUUAAAUGUGUUCUCACCUUCUUCUGAGGGACUGACUAUAAAUGUGGAAGAUGAUCUUUGACUGGGCUUUUCUUUAAACUUAUGGAGCUGCAGAUUGAGAUGGGAAGCACCAAUGUGAGGGUUGGUUCCACCAUUUUCGGACCAAGAGAUUACCCCAAAAAACCAACUUAGCUACUGUUGCUCAAAUCACUUAUUGUAAGAAUUUAUGUAUAAUGUUUCUUUUGUCGAUUGUCAGAAAUAUAAUAAGUAAUUCUUUUGUGAUUAAAUAAUGUGUAUUCACAAGUUACUCCAUAGAAAUCAACACAUUUUGGCUAAGUUAUUCUAUUUUGUUGAUUUUUCCGUAAAAUGGUUUUUUGUUUUCCAUUGAUAUUAAUGUGCAGUAACGAUAUCUUUUUUUUUUUUUUUUAAUUUCUCAGUGCGAUAGAAAUUCAGAGUUAUAUAUGAAAUAAUUGAGAUCUUUGGAAUAUGGUGAAAAAAAAGGAAAAAGAUUGAAACAAUCAAACAAAGUAACAAACGGCAGUGGAAGGCGGGCGUCGAAUGGUAGAGAUAAUGGACCACUGAAUUAUGUGGUUCAAGAGCAAUAUCCCAUUCCUUAGAUUCCGAAUCUUGUACUCUGGUUUUCCCUUGUUUCUUUUUCUUUUGCUCAUUUGUAAUAUUGUGUGACAUAAAAAAACAAAAGCCCUCCAAAAAGCUAUGGUCAAAAACUAUUCCCUAUUAAUUUUUUAAUAUCUUGACUUUGGCAAAACAUCGACCCAACGAUGGUCCUCAUUGUACUGGGCCUUGCCGUAAUUGCUACGACCACACAGCAUCCCAUGAAAAAAAUGUGACCAUAAAAUGUUAAAAUGUAUUAUCUAGAAAGACAAUUUAAAAUAACAGUAUCUUCAUUGGUUCAAACAAAAUCAUAAUAAUGUUCUCUGAUUUUUCUUUUGGGUUAAAAUGUUCUCUGACUUAUUGUAUUGAUAAACAUUUCUUUUUGUAAAGUGGCAUAACAUAUGAAAUGAGAUGACUGAUGACGACAUAAGAAACCCAUGCCGCAUGAACUCUAUACCUUAGUAGAUUUGAUUCUACAUAUCCUCUAUAUCUUAAUGGGUUUGCUUGCCACCUCGUAUUUACAUGCAGCAAACUACUGUUUUAACAAGUUUUAAUUGUACAUUUAUCGAGUUUUUUUUUCUUCUAUUUUGAUUUGUCAUGGUUUCUAAUAUUGAAUAUUUAUGUUCGUCUCGGAUGGUGAAUUGGUGAUUUAAACCAUUAAAAUUAUAUACCAGUUAUACUCCCUCCGUUUCAUAAUAAGUGUCGUUUUAAAUUUCAUUUUUUGUUUCAAAAAGAAUAUUAUUCUGUAUUUUCAAUGUAACUUUUUACUCUUAUUUCCUUUUUUGUCCUUUAUUUAAAGAUAAUAAUCUUUGUAAUUAAAUGUUAUAAAAGCAUAUCAAUUAGGGGUAUAUUUGUAUAUUUUAUUAAUUUCUUAAUUUGUGUGAAAUGUGUCAAUGACACUUAUUAUGAAACGGAGGAAGUAAUUAUCUUUUUGUUGUUCAAAAUUUUUUUGUUGUUUUGUUUAACUCAUAUAUCUUCCAUUGUGUAAACUUUUUCGUAACCGUAAAAUUUGUAGACGACUAAACUGAAACUUUGAAAUAAAACCAAUUUGGUCACGUUUAGUGUUUUACAUCAAGCUGCAAACUAUUACAUAUUCAUGGAUGAACAUUAACCAAAAAUCUUUUAUAUUUAUAUGUAUAAUGCUUGUACAACCGAUCAUCAUGAUUCUGUGAAUAAAAACAAUUAUCUUUCAUAAAUAUGGUAUAAAAUACAAAAAAAUUUGUAUCGUUAAUUUUUAUAGUGCAUAUAACAGUGUUUUCUGUGGAUUUAUUUUUUGUGUUUUCAUGAUCUGCAUAAAGUUAUAGUUAAGAUUAUAUUUUUUUGAAAAAAUCAUAGUAAAAUAUAUUUUAGUGAUAAUAUAAAGAAACAUAGGAUAAUAAAACUAAUACUUUGGUAACUAGUUAGGAAAAAUAAUUAAGCUAAGAUUAUAAUUUUAAAUAGAUUUCCCAAAAUACAAAUAUAUUUUAGUGAUAAUAUAACAUAGAGGACAAUAUUUUGGUAACCAAUUAGACAUGGUAAUUUAGAAAAAAACCAAAAGAAAGACCUAAAGAACUUCACGUCCGAACUCCGAAUCACAACCACAAAAAAAAAGAGAGAGAAAGGAAAAAAGUCAUAUAAAUACAUUUUGUGUCGUUUCUCUUCUCUGGUUCACUCAUCUUCUAUCUAUUUAAAGCCAUUCAAUUUCCCAAAACACACUAUCAGCACCAAAACACCUCAAACCCCAAAAAAAAAAAAAAGGAAACUCUAAUUGAAACCCACAUCUAAAGAUCUCUCCUUCUCCGUUUUCUAUUUCGUUUUCUCCGUAGAUUCUGCUGUUUUGAGUGUCGGGUUCGUUUUCACUUCCAUCUUCUCCGGCUUCCGAUUUCCAAAAAAACUCCGGGGAAUAGGUGGUCGGCAUCACGGCUAUACACGGGAUAUCUCGGGGUGUUAGCUCUCAUGUCCAUAUAGUCCGACGCAAGGGUUGCUUAAUCGAGACUAAUCCUUUGCCGCACGGAGGACGUGGAGCUCUGCCGUCUGAAGGCGGCAGCCCUUCCGAUCUCCUCUUUCUAGCCGGAGGCGGUCUUUUCUUUUCCAUUAGUUUUUAGGAUUUAGGGUCGUAGAGCCUUUUUAUUUCUUUUUCCUUUUUUGUUGUUAAAUCGCGCUUGGGGGAGAGAAAAAUUUGGUCUUUUGCUAUUCGAAUUCUUCUUUUGAGAAUGUUAUCAAUCAAGAGGGUUCCGACCGUCGUGUCGAAUUACCAGAAGGAUGAGGCGGCGGAUGAAUCCGUCGGCUGUGGCCGGAAUUGCCUCGGAGCUUGUUGCAUUAACGGUACGUGUUGAAGCUGAUUCGUCUAUUUUCUCCUUCUUCUUAAAGUUGUCUGUUUGAUUCAUCUUCUGUCGAUGUGUUUGUUCAGGGGCAAGGCUUCCGUUGUAUGCCUGCAAAAAACUGGAAAAAUCCGGCGCCGGAGAGAAGCUGGUCAUCAGCCAUGAAGCUAGAGAGCCUCCGGUGGCUUUUCUCGAGUCCCUCGUUCUCGGAGAGGUACAUCAUAUAUCCAUAGAGAACUGAUUUGCUAUUCUGAUUGUGAAUUGAGUCUGAACAUUAUACUAUCAAUUCUUAUGUUUCAGUGGGAGGAUAGGUUCCAAAGAGGACUCUUUCGCUAUGAUGUCACCGCUUGUGAAACCAAAGUAAUUCUCUAUAUACCUUGUUUGAUCUCUAAAGCAAUCUAAUGAUGUUUGGUUGCUGCUGAGGAAUCCGAAAUCUGUUUCACAUUGUUCUGAAGUUUGCUUCUUUUGUUUGUUGUAGGUCAUCCCGGGGAAGUAUGGUUUCGUUGCUCAGCUAAACGAGGGUCGUCACCUUAAGAAGAGGCCAACCGAGUUCCGUGUAGAUAAGGUUUUGCAGUCCUUUGAUGGCAACAAAUUCAACUUCACUAAAGUUGGCCAAGAAGAGCUCCUCUUCCAGUUUGAAGCUGGCGAAGAUGGCGAGGUUCAGUUCUUCCCAUGCAUGCCUCUUGACGCUGAGAAUUCUCCCAGUGUUGUUGCCAUCAAUGUAAAGAAUCUGCGCAGAGACCUUGGCUUGUGUUUUCUUUCUUGGUAAUCGAUAGUACAUGUUUAUCGAGCAAAAGAUUGAUUCUUUAUUGUGUUUAACAGGUUAGUCCGAUCGAGUACGGGCAUGUGCUGCUGAUACCUCGUGUUCUUGACUGCUUGCCUCAGAGGAUCGAUCACAAAAGCCUUUUGCUUGCAGUUCACAUGGCUGCUGAGGCCGCUAAUCCUUACUUCAGACUCGGUUACAACAGCUUGGGUGCUUUUGCCACUAUCAACCAUCUUCACUUUCAGGUAUACUCGAUUGUUGCCUGAGCAUAACUCCUUCUUCACUGGCUCUUAUCUAACAAGAUGACUUGUUCUGAUCGUUUUGGUGGUGAUUUAUUUUUGGAAACAGGCAUAUUACUUGGCCAUGCCUUUCCCAUUAGAGAAAGCUCUUUCCAAGAAGAUGAUUACCACUGUUAGUGGUGUGAAAAUCUCCGAGCUUCUGAAUUACCCUGUCAGAAGUCUUCUCUUUGAAGGUGGAAACUCUAUGCAAGACCUAUCGGAUACUGUAUCAGAUGCCUGCGUCUGCCUCCAGAACAACAACAUUCCUUUCAACAUUCUCAUCUCUGAUUGUGGAAGGCAGAUCUUCUUGAUGCCACAGGUAUAACUUUAGCUGACAAACCAUUGGCAUCAUAACGGAUUUUGAAUCCAUGGAAUAAAAGUAAAUAACAGCUUGAACGUGUAAAAUUGCAGUGUUACGCAGAGAAACAGGCUCUAGGUGAAGUAAGCCCGGAGGUGUUGGAAACGCAAGUGAACCCAGCUGUGUGGGAGAUAAGUGGUCACAUGGUGCUGAAGAGGAAAGAGGAUUACGAAGGAGCUUCAGAGGAGAACGCAUGGAGGCUCCUUGCAGAAGCUUCUCUGUCAGAGGAAAGGUUUAAGGAGGUUAAUGAUCUCAUCUUUGAAGCCAUAGGUUGUAGUAACCAAGAGGAGGAGCUUGAAGGAACCAUAGUCCACCAGCAAAGCCCAAGUGGUAGUGUUAACCAGAAAAGCAACCGAACCCAUGGAGGUCCCAUCACGAACGGGACUGCCUCUGAGUGCCUUGUCCUUCAGUGAACAACCGUGGCUAGGUGGCUUUUAUGUAUAAUUAGAGUCUCUAUUGCAUAAAUAAGCAAACUCUACUGGUAGUUGCAUUUGAAGUUUCUUGGUCUUCUUUUAUGAUGGUUGUGGGUAUUUUGUGCCCUAGACUUGCUGGCUCUUUUUCUUUUAUUAUAAGCGUUUGUGAUGAAGAUAUUUAUGUUCUUCACGAUGAUGAUUAUGUUUAUAUAAAUUUGAACAAUUUGUAGUAUGUCUUCUUUCUCUUUUUUUUUUUUUGGACUUCCGAUAGAUAUGUCCAAGCUGUACCAGCUGAUUACUUGCCAUAAAAGAAAGCUCGAGAUAGUUGGUAGUUUAUCUUCAGCUCAAGAUAAUACGACACAAAACUUGUCGUACCGAACUACGAGAAAAGCAAUGUCAAAAACCUUCGAUUAUCUUGAGCUGAAUUAUUGGCUUGAGAUUCUCUGAAUUUGCCAGAGGGAUGUUUGAGCGGGAGAGAGACAAUCUUAUAGUGACGAGAGGGACGAACAUUGAGUAGUAAAUAUGGUUCCUUCUCUUCACUUUAUUGCUGAUUCUUGAAUCCGUUUAACGGAUCCUGUCAUGAAGCCAGUACAUAGGUAAAGAUAUACUGGAUCAUUGGAUCAUGAAUGGGAAAGCCAAAGCGGUGCUAUAGGUGGAUCCAGAUUCCGACAACGAUGUUUGAAAACUUACAAUGCGGAUUCUUGCUGAAAUUUCAUCAAGAAGAAGCAUUUGCCCAGGGAGUGUAUCAUAAACUAAGUAACUUUUGAGUCUUUUUAUGUGCUGCUUUGAUAUCAUAUCGUAUAUAUCUAAAAAUGUUAGUGAUCAUGUACGGUUUGGAUUUGGAAAUGUAUCAUGCUAAUUAUCUCGGUUAUAUUAGACUAAUUUUUUUAACUGACAGAACAAAUAUUCCAUGUCAGGAUUUUUAAAAUUGUUCAACAAUUAUCUCAUUCUCAGUGUAGUGUACACAUUUUAUGGGUCACCUAGAGAAAGGAUAUGAACUAAAAUAAUAAAAACUAAAACAAAAGACAAUCGGGUUAAUAACGCCUUUUAAGCCCAAAUAGUAUCAUCAUAAGAUCCAAUAUCAAACGAACACGACCAAAAGAUCAAUUCCUUAACAACCAUCAUCGACCAUACUUAAUAGUUUCUAAAGACAAUGGUGACGAUAAAAACAAGCCUGCAAAUCCUAAUAACCAUUCAUAUCACACAAUCUUAUCAUAAUUCAUGAUUCCUAAUCCCGGAAAAGUGUCAGGCCAUAGCACCGCCGCAGCCACCGCCACCGGUCUGAUGGAGCAUGGCGUCGAUCUCAUCACCAUCCUCCAUUUCAAGCUGUAGUAUCAGAGAUUUAAGCAUCAGAAAGUCGAAAGUUCAAAGGUGGGUUUAAAAAAAUAGAAGCUUUAUAUAAGUCGAAUGUUUUACCUCAUCGGGAGUUUGCUCAGCACGCAGACGACGCCCAUCAAACAAGAACGCAAUGGAGUUCAUAUCCACAGAUUGACGGUCACAGUAAGCAUUCAUCAGCUUCUUCAGCUGUGUGCUUCUCUUGAUCCUAAAGAACACCUCAUUGCCAUCCUAUGCGCAUAUAGCACGAUUCAAGGGAAAAAAACAUCAAGACACAAAUGUCAGAGACAAUAUAGGCAACAACAAGUGAGUCUAGAGUCUCUCUAUCUUUUUACUGGUAACCUGAAAAGUCUAAGAGCAAGGAAAAAAACACAUAACACCAACCAAAACCACUUGAAAUCUAACCAUAGAGAGACUCUACAAAAUCAUCAGCAGGUAUCUGGCCAGACAGUUUAUUCGCUAAGAAUGUUGCCAUAUAUACUUUAAAUGGGUUUAGAGUAAAGUUCGCAAUUCUAAGAACAUUCAAAUACUAUUUCAAUUUUCUGCUUUUGAAUUCGUAAAAGCCUUCGAACAACAACCGCAAUCAACAGCUAUAUACAGCUUAGACCUAAAACUAGAGCUAUAGUUUGAGAAAAUCGAAAAACAAAUAGCAAAAGUUAACAAACGAGGAGACAAAAGCAAAAUACUCCGCUCAGUUCUCAUAAAAAUCAAAGGGUUUCGAAUCCCAGAAAAAAAAGCAAGACCCACUAAGACUGAAACCCUAGAAUUGCGAAAACAGAAAGCAGCCAAAUCGGGAAACACAACCCUAAUCGAACCUACACCUUGAAAUCGGAAACCUAAAUCUUAACACAAAACGCAUGCAACAAAAGAAAAGGAAUAGAGAUUUACCUGUCCCUUGACCUUCAGAUUGAUGUGAGCUCCUCCGUCUCCGGGCUUCUUAUCUUCGUCCUGGGUUGCAGACAUCGCUUCUUUUCAAAGAUUCACCGUCCGAUGAGCAAAAAUACGAUUUGAGAGAGGGAACGAAACAGCAGCAGAAGUGAGAGAUUCAAGCGAUCAAAGAGUGAUGGCUGGAAGAGAAGAUGAGAGCUAAAUAAAUAAAUAAACGAAAAUUACUUCGCCGCGCUUUUGUACUUAGACGCAUCGGAUUCCUCUUUAUCAUAAAGUGAGGAAACGUAGGGCAUCUAUCGGAGGGUUGAUAUUUUCUAUGUUGACUUCUAAUCCAACGGCUGAGAGUUCAUUAAAAUCCUUGUCCAACGAUAUCGUUUUCAAUUUUUACCCCCAUUGUAAUGGGCUUAUAUUCUUGAUUGGGCCAAAUAUCGAUUUGAUUUUGGAUCAAAACAUUUGGUUCAAUUUUUUUAAUUACGUAUUUUUGUUUGGUUACCACUCAUGAUUUUGUAUCCACUCUCUAAUCCAUGAUUCAAACUGUUGAAGAAUUAAAUGAGCUUAAUGCCUCCUUAUUGAAUUGGGAAAAAAAAAGGAUUAGCUGAAGAAGAUAAAGUUAGUCACACGUUCUUUACUAAAGAAAGUAUAAUGAAUUAAGGAGAGAUGUUCAAGGCACAUACAAAGAAUCAAGUUUUAACGAAACAAGAAUUGUCAAAAAGUUUAGUUUCUUCAUAAAUCAAUUAUUAUCAAGGAAAAGAAUCAGUUUAACAUUCUUCUUUUGUACAGAUUAUAAAAUUUUGAGAAAGUUUACUUACCUGAUUUUUUUUUUUAAUUUAUUUAUUUAUCUGAGUUUUUAGCUAUAAUUAGAGAUUUAGAAAAAUACUUUCAGUUUAACUUAUUUUUGUUCUGCUAUUCUUCCGUGUAAUUUGUUAUCCCACAUUCCCACUUCUUUUCACCUGAAUCCUAUAAAAACAACACCGGAGAAAAAGACUCUCUUCAUACCCAUCAAACGACACUAGUUUAUGUGUUUCAUGCUCUGUUUCUGAGAAAAAAACAGAGAAUAUCAUGGCCGUUUCCUUCUUACCUUAUUUUCUCAUUCCUUCCUUCUUCUCAGCCAUUUCCCUCACACAAGCAGGUUCGUUUCUAUUCACACGAGUUUUAACAUUUGUAUUUGCCUCUCUGCAUUCUCAUGAUAUCUACUACGUUUUUUCCUUAUUUUUUUCCCCACAGACUCUGGAAUGAUCGGAGUCAAUUACGGCCGCAUAGCUAACAACCUCCCGUCGCCGGAGAAUGUAGUGAACCUCCUGAAAUCGCAAGGAAUCAACCGUAUCAAAAUCUUCGACACCGAUCAUACCGUGCUAGCCUCGCUUGCCAAUUCCGGAAUCAAAGUAGUCGUCGCUCUCCCCAACGAGCUUCUCUCCUCCGCCGCCUCCGAUCAAUCAUUCGCCGACAACUGGGUUCAAGCCAACAUUACGAAACACUUCCCAGCAACAGAGAUCGAGGCUAUCGCCGUCGGUAACGAGGUGUUCGUCGAUCCGAGCAACACCACGCCGUAUCUCGUCCCCGCGAUGAAGAACAUUCAUAGCUCUCUCGUCAAGUUUAACCUCGACGAAUCCAUCAAGAUCUCCUCUCCGAUUGCUCUUAGCUCGCUGGCUAAUUCUUACCCGCCAUCUUCCGGGAGAUUUAAACCGGAUUUGGUGGAACCGGUUAUUAAACCGAUGCUUGAUCUGUUACGUCAAACGUCGUCGUAUCUCAUGGUAAAUGCUUACCCGUUCUUCGCUUACUCAGCAAACGCCGACAAAAUCUCCUUAGACUACGCUCUGUUCAGAGAAAACGCCGGAAAUGUAGAUCCCGGAACUGGGCUGAGAUACAACAGUCUCUUUGACGCCCAAAUCGACGCCGUUUUCGCCGCCAUGUCCGCCGUCGGAUUUGGCGGCGUUAAGGUGAUGGUGACGGAAACAGGCUGGCCUUCUGCCGGAGACGAGAACGAGAUUGGUGCCAGCGAAUCCAACGCGGCGGCGUAUAACGGUGGGCUUGUGAAGAGAGUGUUGACGGGUAAUGGAACGCCGUUGAGACCGAGGGACCCACUCAACGUUUAUUUGUUCGCUUUGUUUAACGAAAACCAGAAACCGGGGCCCACGUCCGAGAGAAACUACGGGCUGUUUUACCCGAGCGAAGGAAAAGUGUACGACGUUCCGUUCGUCGCCGGGGAAGUGAGGUCAACGCCGGUCAACGGUGACGGAGCUCAGUUUCCGGUGGCUCACGAGGGACAGUCGUGGUGCGUGUCGAACGGAAAUGCGGGGAAGGAGAAGCUCCAGGCGGCACUUGAUUACGCUUGCGGAGAAGGAGGAGCUGAUUGCCGUCCGAUUCAGCCGGGUGCCACGUGUUACCAUCCUGAGUCGUUAGAAGCACACGCUUCGUUCGCCUUCAACAGUUACUACCAGAAAAACGCGCGUCGUGUUGGCACGUGCUACUUUGGUGGGGCUGCUCACGUGGUCACGCAACCUCCUCGUACGUUCUUUGAUCACUACUCGAUUUAAUUUUGCUUCUUUUUUUUUUUUCUUUAGGGAAAUAAUAGUGGUCAUAUACAGAUGUUUACGUAUCUAUAUAUAACUGUAAGAUAUGGUGACAUUUAAUAUUUUUUGUUGGUUGCAGGAUACGGGGAAUGCGAGUUUCCCACAGGGUUUAGUUAGCGGCAUUUUUACUGAUUUAUUUGCUUAUCGGGAGUAUAUUUUAGUCGACUGUAUAAAAUUAUUAUCUUUGUUUCACUCUUUUUAACAUUUUGGCUGCCAUAUCGUCUUUUAAUUUGAAAGUUUACUUAUCUCAAAUAUUGUGUAGCAACAAACAAGAAUUCGAUCCUUGUUAUCCGUCCAUACAUUUUUAUUUUUACAUUAAAUCCUCAAAAGGAAAAAAAAAAUUAGAAUGAAACUCUUAACUACAUUAUUGCAUAAUUGAGUUGAAAUGAGUGUUAAACUCUAAAACCAACAUUUCAGAUGAUUUUAUUACCCUUAUUAUAUAAAAAAUAGAAAAUAAAAAAGGAUUUACGGUAUGAGUAAUAUAGUAUAUUCGACAUGUAUUAGUCUUUUAUCAGAAUAAAUAGUAUUUUAGGAAUGAAAUCUUUACAAUGAUAUUGGAUAAGAUAAAUAAUAAUAUUUUAUCCUUUCUAACUCAAAUUACCUGAUGCUGACUAAUUAUAACCAUGUAAACAUUAUCAACACUUAUCACCAACAUGGAUGAACAAAGCAUCGCUGAAGAGAUGAAACAACCACUUCUACUAACAGUGACAGAAACCGAAGAAGUUCCGGAGCUCCGGUCGAUAUCAUAUAACGACCAAGGAUCCGAAUCAGCUAACAAAAUCUCACGUUGGUCAUUUCUCUUCAAACUCUUUCUCGCCAUCACGACCAUCGGUUUUUUCACGGCAUGUCUCUCAUUUAUCAUAUCGAUCACUCCAACUCCACCAACCGUUCACGUAAACUCUUUGCACAUAUCAUUCAACGACCGCCAUCUCCCGAUUUGGUCAUCAACGUUCUCUAUCAAAAAUCCUAACGAGAAACUCAGUGUCACGUACGAGAAUCCCUCGGUGUGGGUGUUUCACCGGAAAAGACUCGUCCUCGGGACUGUAAGAAUCCAGUCGUUCGGGCAGAGAGGCAUGGAGGAGAGUGAGUUGGUCGUGAAGGGAGAUGAAAGCGGAGUUAUCGAUGAAGAGGCGGCUCGGGAGAUGGAGGAGGAAGUGGAGGUGACGGGAAGCGUGGUGGGUCUUGAUAUGGUGUUUAUAGGGAGUGUAGGGUUUUAUCCAGGUACUUCUGCUUUAUGGGGAGAACAGAACAUGACGGCUGUUUGUAAGAAUGUGAGAGCUAACUUGUCUACUGAUGCUAACAAAGUCUAUAGGACAAAGAAAUGGGCUUUGUCAUCGUUUGAUGGUCGAGGAGAUUGUUGUGUACGUCUCCCUAGGUUUCCUUAGGUUUAAGGUCGAUCAAUCGUUGAACUUUAGAAAUACAAUAUUGGUAGGCCUUUUUGUUUUGCAUUUGUUAGUGUUGUAUGAUGAUCGAUGAGUUAUGAUAUGUGUCAUAUGGCUAAGUAAUGAUGUUUGGUGAUGAUGAUGAUUCGACGACCUUGUAUAUUUGAGUUUUAAUGAUCAUAUCCAUAGGCUUGGGUUAGAGCAUCUCCAUCCAUUGUUUUCAUGAAUUUUGAGAACAAAUCGGAAGAGUUGAGAUUUUGAAGAUAUGAAUUUAUUUUCGGCGAAGAUAUUAAUGUUAACAUAAGAUUUGAAGAAACUAAAUGAAUUAGAUAUGCAAAGAAAAUGUUGUUUAAAAAAAAAAUUAAGAUCUACCAUUAUCCAAAAUCAAUCAAAUUAGCGAGAAUAUACCUCGAUAAAAACCUCGCUUGGACAUGAGUUUAGUCAAUCCCUAAAGGGGCCCAACACACACGUGUACGAUAAAAAAACCUCGCUUGUCAAUAAAAGGAAAAAACGAAAAGAAAAAAGAAAAAAAAAGAAGGUACCUUUUAUACUUUAGGAAUUUCCUCUGGUCUCGAACUUUCUUCUAUCACAGCUUCUACGUUUUGAACGCGAGAGUAAGCGUUAGAAUUGCCACUGUUACGGGUUAAAAGCUUCAUUUGGUUUACACUUUACACUGACUUAUUGCUUUCAGUUUGCAUUACCAUCUCCAUGGGUUCAUUUUCUAUCAUAAGCACGCCAUGUGCUCGAUGAAAUUCCCCACAGGGAUUGAUUGAUGAAUUUUAUUUUAUUUUUUUCUCACAACGGAAGUCGAAUUUAUACUGUUGAUUGGAUAUUAACGUACCCGUUGGAUUUUUCCCUGCUCAGAACCAAGAUGCUGCCACAGAGGUUGAAGAAGGCAGUAACCGAUAAUCCUAAGAAGCUUGGGAAUUUGAUUGACCUCGUGAAUCUUCCAUCUACUCUACGUGAGUUCGUUGGUCAAUCUCAAAUUUCUCGCUUGGGUUGUUUCAUGCGUGUCUGGUCGUAUAUCAAGACCAAUAAUCUUCAGGUAAGAAUAUGGGAUUAUCCAGUUAUUUGCUAAAGACAGUUUUUUUUUUGUAUCAUUGACUGAUUGGUUUUUGUUUCUUAAAGGAUCCUAAAAACAAGAAUGUGGUGAACUGUGAUGAUAAGCUCAAGAGCAUUUUGCUUGGGAAGCAGCGAGUGGAGCUAGUCGAGCUUCCUUCUCUUAUCAAGUUGCAUUUCCCCAAAGAACCAAAGUAGAUUUGUCACAAAAACUAAUACACUUUCAACAUGAUGCUAUUUUGGGGUCUUUUGUUUGUUUUCUUCUCUGUUCUGGAGUGCAUAGAGAGAUAUGUUACUUGUUUAGUACUUGAAUUACGUUGAAAUACAAAUACAAAUUGUCUCAGCGUUAUUGGUUUCUGAAUCCAAUUCCAUUUAUGCAUUCUUCUAUAAACAGUUUUCUCCCUGUCGGUCGGUGUUCUGAUCUGUCUUUAUAACAUCAACAAAAUAGCAUCUUUAACUAGCAACACAAAACAUUUAGUGAGAAAAAUGGUUAUGUUACAACAUUCUGGAAGCUUGAUUAAAAAAAGGCCAAGCAACCUGACUAAUCAUUGGUAUAACAACUGUACAAGGAAUUGUAAGAUAACAACACAGAAAAAUAAUUAGUACAACGAAAGAAUGUAGGAUGUAAAGCAAUCUGUCUGAGCUAUGGCUUGAAUGAUGAAUGAUAAGUCCCAAAAUACAUAUUUUGCUUCCAUCUGAACAUGUGAAAGGCUUCAUUUCUAUCAGCCAAGGAGCUGAUCUCCUCAUAUCCCAUUGCACUUUGGAAACCUGUAAGAGGAUUAAGAACACAAUCAGGAAAUUUCUUGAUAUAAGAGUAGUUGAAACACUCAUAGAGUACAAGACUUACAUAACUAACCAAAUGCUUCAGGAAUCUUUUUGAUUUCAAAGACCAUGCUGCAUGGACUUGAAAACACCAGCUGGAUUCUGUUCAGCUAGGUUUUUGAAUUCUCUGGCCACAUUGUUGUAUUCUUUAAUACAGUAUUGCUCUUUCCAGGAGCAGGCAUCCCAUAAGAGGGAGCGUGGAGAGAGAUAUCAUAGGAGCUCCGAGUCCGUAAAUGUCUCUCAUUAGAAAUCUGCUAAGAUACUUCAUCUGUUACGCUUGUUUCCCGAAAGAUCGCAUCACGGCAUUCGCUCUAGCCCGCAUGCCGCUCCUGGUCAAUCCAGAGAUCAUUGCCGUGUAUGCUCUAUGAUCAAGCUCCACUCCGUUGGGGGUGAGGCUACAGAACAAAUCAUACGCUUCAUCCACCAUACAAGCCUUGCACAUCCCAUGAAUCAUGAUAGUAUAGGUAAUAAUAUCAAGAUCAUUUCUAGUCUCUUGCAUAUCCUUAAAUAUAAACAAUGCUUUCUCUACCUCCCCAUUAACAAAUAGACCAGCUAACAAAAUGUUGUAGCUCCUAAUAUUGGGAGGAGAAGGCAUCUUUGUGAAAAAACACUCUAGGGCAAGAUCGAUAUUGCCUGCUUGAAGAUACCCCUGGAUAAGAGUGUUGCAAGAGACUGUGUUUGCAGCCACUUUUUCUUGAGACAUCUCGUGCAAAAGGUUAAUCCCUUCCUGAACCCUGUUGGCCUUGAAAAAUCCAUUUGCAAGAGUACAGUAAGUCACAACAUUUGGGUCGCACCCCACUCUUCUCAUCUUCUCAAGAAUAUUUCUGGCCGUAUCUACACGAUUGUACAUGCAAUUCCCAUUGAUGAGUGAAGUGUAAGUGUAAACAUUAGGAUUUAUAGACAUUUCGACCAUCUCACUGUACACAACUUGAGCUUCUUUAAACUUCCCAACUUUCACAUACGCAUGGAUUAGUGCGGUGAAAGCGACUACGUUCGGGUUGAUUUGCUUGGAGGUCAUUUCUCGCAGUAGGUGAGAGGCUUCACUCAGUUUACCUGAGCUACAAAGGCCGCUUAUGAGAGAGCUGUAGGUAACAACAUUCGGUGUAAUCCCGUUGUUUCCCAUACGCUCCAAAAGCUGCAGAGCGGCAACAAGAUGUCUUUUUUUGCAAAGACUAUCAAUGAGUAUGGUGUAGACUACAACAUUAGCAGUGAUUCCCAUUUUCUCCAUUUGUUCAACCACAUAAAGGGCAUCUUCAAUUCUAUUCAUGUCGCAGAAUCCAUUGACCAGCGAGCUAUCUGUUACCACGUCAGGCUCAAUCCCAAGUUUCAUCAUUUUCCCAAGAUAAGACAAAGCCAAAAAGGGCUGAGAGCAGCGGCAGUAACAAUUCACCAAAAUAUUGCAGGUAUAGAGAUCAGGUGAAAGUUCCAAAUCUUCCUCAAAUUCCACAAAAUUCCAGAGAUAAAUCACAGCAUUAUACUUCUUCAUCUUGGCAAUAGCAGUCAAUACUUUAUUGAAUUCGACAAUGGAAGGGAGGGGACGAGACCGAACCAUGUCAACGAACAAACUAUAUGCAUCUUCACACUUAAUAUCAUGAAGCCCACUUCUCAAUAUCUCUCGGUAAUGACUAGCACUAGAAAAGGCUCGAACCCAGAAACGGAAACCGCAAAGUCUAAAGGAAGGAGCAGUACCGUUCUUCAGGAAAUGGCGAUGAAGAAACCCCUUAGCCGUCGACGAAAUCGCAGUCGCAAUCGACCACCGCAUCCAAUCGACUUUCCUUCAGAUUGAUUUGGGUUCGUUCCCAAAUUCCGUCUCAGGAAUUGUUGGACCAUAAACCCUAAACCCUACUAGGAUACAUUGUUUAAGUGUUUGACAACUGAGAGAAUUUACUUCACACAGAGAAGGCGCUACAGAGAAAAACACAUAAACCUCUAACCGGUUAAAGAAAAAAUCAAGUUUUUAGGUUUUCGGUUUAUUAGUCGAACCGAACAGAUUAAGAACCAGUCGCCUAAAACGGUUCUGCCGCAACCGAACCGGUUUGCACAAAUUUGAUUCGAUCUCGUCUCUCCUGCUUCUCUAAAUGGCAUCCUCUUCUCUCGUCCGAAUCGUCUGUGUUGAAAAAUGUCGUAUUUUUCUUCUCUCCCUCCUCCUUUUUUCUUCUCACUCCUCUAUCUCUCUGUUUGAUUUCGUCUUCUUGUUCCUUUGGGUUUGAACAUCGAAAGCAUGGCUUCUGGAAUCUAGAUGAAGAUCAAAAUUCAAAAGGCUCUUCUGCUACUUCAAAUCCUUCGACGUGUGGAUCAGUUUUACAAAACUCAGUAUGAUGUAUUUUGUAUUUAUAGGCUAUAGCUUUUCCCAAUAUUCUUUGGAUCAUGGCCAUUCCUCAGGUGAUUUUUUGUGAGGAAAUAUUUUGAUUCCAAAGUACAAACUUUCUUCUAGUGUUUGUUUAUCUCUCUGCCUACUUCACCUUGUUAUGUACUUGUCACGAAAAUGUUGAACCAAUUGAGAAAUGUUACUCCUGAUAGUGGAAUACAUUGAGGCACAUCUCUCAACGGUUUUGGUUUCUGGCUUCAGAAUUCAGUUUCUUUCUGCAAUAUCUUUUAACAUUUUGAUCUGAUCCAUCUUGAUAACAUCACUGUAGCAUUAUUAACUAGUUUAAUGACCUUAAAAGUUAGGAAAAAAUGUUUCUUUUAGAACACUCUGGAAGCUUAGAGACAUCAAGAAACUUGACUAAACAGUGGUUACAGAAAUAUGGUAAGCAAAUACUGAAAAGGUAGAAGAAAGAAUGUAGUAUGUAAAAAUAUACUGCUUGUUGUUAUUACACUUCUUAGUAAUCACUGAAACCGAGAUAAGUCGUACUUCAGAACAUGGUCUGCUACGAUGGCGUUUGUUUUCUCUGUUGGGUGAAAUGAGUCCCAAAAUACGUAUUUGCUUGCAUCAGAGCAUGUGAAAGGGUUCAUUUUAUCACACAAGUAGCUCAUCUCAUAGUAUCCCGUCCCGCAGCAUGCACUUCUUACAUUUUGGAAACCUGUGAUGCAAUUAACAAGUCUUGAUUUUAAGAACACUUGGUUACUCACUAGAUACUAGCCUGUCUUUAGACAGUGGCUAGGAAAAGCUUUUGUGAGAACUUUGUACUAACCGAAUGCUUCAGGAUAGUUUAUGAUAUCUGAAACCAGGUCAUACGGAUUUGAAAACACCAGCUGGAGUCCGUUCAGCUCUCUGUUCAACUUGGAGACUUUUUCUUCCAUCUUGGUGUUGAAAUCUCUAGCUACGUUGUUGUAUUCUUCGAUACAUUUGCUUCCAUAAAAGAUCUGAGUUGUUCUUUCCAGGGGCAAGCAUCCAAAAGGCGAGAGUCCUGACAGAGACAUCUUACGAGCUCCGAGUCUGUAAAUAUCUGUCAAGAAAUCUCCUGCGAUUCCUAUCAGGAAAUCUUGGUACUCAUUCACAGAGUACUUCCGUAACCUGCGGGGAACAAGAUAGUAAUUCUCCAGGAAAUCGUUUGUUCCGAUACUAAUCAGGUAAAGUGCUUCCCCAAUAACCUCAUUAGCUUUCUCUUCACCUAAGUAGCUUCUUAGCCUUGUCUGGUAUUCUUUGUAAUACUCCACUUCCUUCCAAAGCGGCAUCACAGACUUUUCACAUUUCAAAGAAACCAUUUCAGUUUUAGCUUUUCUUGAAGUAUAAAAAGUCAAAAUUCAUCAUUACAAGAAAGCAUAUAUAUAUGACUAGGCUUGACUUACUAACACAGCAGAGGUUGCAUUGUCUAAGCCAGUUCCAGCUGAAGCGAAACAGACACCAGUGGCAAAGUCUGCGAUGUUGUAUGCAGGAUCUAGGUACGCAGGGACUGCGUUCUUGAGUCCCAAACCUUCUGAAAUGAAAUCUGGUGCUAUCCGACCAUUUGAGAAUCUCCCUGUCGCUUUGCCGUCAAAGUAAUCCCGGCCAUACGGCUGGAAAUUGCUCUUUAGAACCGUAGAAAUCUGGUUGUUGUUUCCUGAAUCCACAGUUGAGUCUCCAAAUACGAUAAGUGCAGGAACUUUCGCUCUAGUUUCAGGUAUCUGCACCAAGAGCUGAGCUGAGAGCAACAAGAACGCAAGAACUCUUUUUCCCAUCAUGCUUUUACACAAGUUUCCAACUUUUUUUUUGUUGCUUCUGCAGAAAAGACACUCAUAGGUGAUUGGGUAGAACAACCUGAGAAAACAUAUAAUUAGGAGAAAGAUAGGUAUUGUUAUCGAACCUGUCUCAAACAGUCGCUCUUGUAGUUAUUAGCUUGGCCCUUUGUUAGAUGAUGCUUAUUAAAUAUUGUUAAUCUGUUUUGCCUCUGAGUGAUUGUGGCCGCAGAGAUUGGCCUGGAGUUAGUUGACGUGAGUAAUGAGCCGAAAUUGACUAGACUCAUUAAUAGUUUUCUGCAAAGAGCCAAAAUUAAUAGUUACUAGAAAAGAGAGACAUGUCAGAAUUACUUGAAGUAUAAGGAUUCAUACUCUUGCAAGCUUCAGAUAUGUAACGCAUCCUCCUUUUACCGGUUUCACGCACAAAGCUCUACUCUCUGUUCUUAUCACUUUUUUUUUUUUUUUUUUUUGGCGUAGAUGAUCCUUCAAUGUAAGGAUUGUGUUGUGUGCAGUCGACAAGAAAGCUUAGGUAUCCGAUGGAGUUUGAAUCAUUUAACGUUCGAAUGCUUUGUAAUCUACGUUGCACGUUUUGGGGCUUUUUGGUUCAACCAUAGUGUUUGGUUGUUGCAACGACAAUAACAAGUAACGGCAAGAAAGUGUCUCUCAUGCGUCAAAUGUGACAUUGCCGAUAAAGUGACUUUGUUUUUUUUGUUCGACUGAAGUUCACAUUCUUGAUUUUGUAUAACCUCUUUUUUUUUUUUUGAUGAAACUAGAUGUGGUUAGGUUCUGAUUAGUAACCGGCUGAUUGGUGAUUUCUAAUGCGAUUUCAUAGAUUUUUGUACCAAUAACUUGUUUCCAUGAGAAUGCUAAAAGAAAUCUAAAGAAAACACACGUUUGGGUUUUGAAUGUUUUUUUUAAAAAAACGAGUAAGGGUGUACAGAAAUUAAGUGGUCAUCUAGUUGUUGAAUUAUAGAUAAGUUGCUGAACAUUAUCAAUUUUCACAUUCUCCCAUGCAGAAGAAGUCUGAAGAAGUCAGACCUACACAACCACUAGGAUUAAUACAAUAAUUUUAAAUUAAUUAACAAAAUUUGUUACUAUUGCAAGUUGCAACAAAAAGUGAUUCUACUUUAUACGGUUUUAUGUUAAUUAUCUAGCAAAGGCAAAUCCGGUCUACAAAUAACUAUCUAGCAAAGCCAAGAUAGGUCCAAAUCCGGUCUUAAUCUAGCUCUGAGGCUGGCUGAGGACAACUUAACAUCAGCAUAUAGAAUAAGAGGCCCGGACAUUCGUACUUGCUGCAUGUUUAAUCACUAUAACCCGAUGUUACAAGUCUAAUCAUAAUACCACCUUUAUUAUUAAUUUCUAUUUGUAUAAUUAAUUAAAACGUACACGGUACAGCUUAUGAUGUUUGGUCCGUAGAGGUGGACUCUUGUCUGUCCUAAAAAAACACAAGGACGAGAGACUUCUCAAAUCUAGAGGUUUCUCAAAUCUCCGAGCUGCUAUAUUGACGAUAAUACCCUCACAGCCUCAGUCACCCGUCGUGCAUCGAUGAGGGUGUUUUCGUAAAAAAAGAAUACGAAGAGAGAACUCUUCUUCACCUUUCACACUACGCACGUCUGUAUGCCUCUGGAAAUAAGCAAUUCUCUCAGACAAUAACUCUCAAUUCGAUUCGAUUUGAUUCGAUUCUCGUCUUGAUCUCUGCUUGUUUCUCUGUGCAUUCCCUGAUGUUGGUUUCGAGAGUUUUGUCGCGACUUUCCCGCAGCGCGGGCUUACGCUCCUCACUCUCAGCCGUCGCUCUCCGGCGAGGAACCAGUCUCCUGUCUUUUCGAUCCGGUUUCACUCCCUUCGUUCACGACUUCUCAACACAAGGUAGAUUUAUCAUAUUCGGUGCCGAAUUUCAUCAGGGUUUGAUAGGGUUAAGGGUUUCUCAAUUUGACCUCAAUUCAGUGUUUUUACUUCUGGAAAAUCCGACCUUUUUUAUAGAAAUGAUAGCUGGGUCCCUUGUUGAAUCUUCCAAUGGAUGUAUAAAUGACUAGAUACUCUCUGUCGCUCUUGCCUUUGAUUAUCUAUUGGUUUUUUGCUCUGUGUUUAUAAACUGAAAUUUACACAUUUUGUAUCCUUUUAGGGGCAGCUUGUCGCAGCUCAGGUGUCUCUUGAUUCGUUUUCACUUCAAAGGUUCUCUUUUUCUUCCCCUACCUCGCCUGAAUCAAAUGAAAAGGAAAGCAAUACUGAGGCCUCAAAGACAAAUGAAGAGAAAGCUGCAGCUGAGGCAAAUGAAUCAGUUCCUGACGCGGAAUCUAAAGAUUCUAUGACCGAUUCUGCGAAGAGAAGGCGGAAAGGCGCUAAACGAGCUGCAGUUUCUGAAUCAGAUUCCGAGAGUGACGAUGAUGAUGAGGAGUUGUCAAAGGAUGAUUUGGUGAAGCUCGUAGUUGAGAAGGAAGAGCUAUUGUCUGAAAAGGAGAAAGAGAUUAAGAUGAUGAAAGAUAAAGUUCUUCGCACUUACGCAGAGAUGGAGAAUGUCAUGGACAGAACAAGACGUGAUGCUGAAAACACCAAAAAGUAUGCCGUACAGGUUAGUCUUCAAUAACUUGGUUUUGCAGCGUUUGCAUCAUUAUGAUGGUUCGCUGAGAAACAUACAUGUCUCUGCAGAAUUUUGCAAAGAGCCUUUUGGAUGUGGCGGAUAAUCUUGGUAGAGCUUCUUCGGUUGUCAAAGAAAGCUUCUCAAAGCUUGACACUUCGAAAGAUUCUGCUGGAGCUGCUCCACUUUUGAAGACCCUUUUAGAAGGUGUGGAAAUGACUGAGAAGCAGCUAGCUGAGGUAAAUACGUUAACCAUGUUUCCGUCGAGAAAUGUAGUUAUUAUAGACAUGAGACCGACUAAAUCUGUGUGCUGCUGCAGGUAUUUAAGAAAUUUGGUAUGGAGAAGUAUGAUCCUAUAAACGAGCCGUUUGAUCCAAACAGACACAACGCAGUGUUCCAAGUCCCGGAUGCUUCUAAGCCAGAAGGCACAGUUGCUCAUGUCUUGAAGGUAAAUAAAUAAAACUUGCUCCUCGAAAUGUCUCUCUUUUUUUCCGUAUUCCGUAGUCUUCACACCAAUUAGUAACGAUUGUGUCGAUAUCUACAGUCUGGAUACACGUUGUAUGAUCGAGUUAUAAGACCAGCUGAGGUUGGUGUUACUCAAGGGGGAGAGAGCGAAGAAGUCAAGAAAGAGUCUGAAGAUUAAAAAUAAGUCAGCUGGUUUCCAUAAAUUUUGCUACCGUUCUUUGUUUCGAGUAACUUAGUUAGCAUCUUCCUGAGUCUUUGAGUUAUAGUUUUCUCUUUUCGUUUGGUUAUUCAUUGGAUGAACAAGAUCUCCCAUAAGUUGCUGGACAUGGCACUUGCAGAAAAAGUCCUGCUUCUGUAUCUGUUUUCUCUAUCUUCAUAAAGCUUUAAUUGAAGCUUCUCCAAACUUUACUUGCAGAAGCGAAAGUUACAAUUCUUCUACACACACUCUACCAAGUCUCUUUUGAUAAGUUAAUCAGAUACAUUAAAGGUUUCCCAUGGUCUGAUACAACCAUAAACUAACCAAAAGGACAUAAACUGAAAACAGUCACAAAAACCUAUACUCAUCACUUUCGUCUUCUUAAAACCCGGCCUUCAAUUUGUGUCGAAGAAUAUCUCCGAGCUUUACAUAAAGCAUUUUCUGCUCCUCAUGUCCUAGACUCCUCGAUAUCUGCAGGUACAAUACAAUCAAAGAUUCUGUAGAUACGUACAAUGAAAUUACAUGAUCUUGACUCUUGAGUGAGUGAUGAUGACUCUUACCUGGUCUAGGAUCAUCUCGACACUGUAGUCCUGAUGAACAAUGAACGAUUGGAUGUAGAUGUAUGCGAAAACCGCCAUAACCAUCUGAAUUUAGGCAACAAGAUUCGGUUUAAACAAUGAAGAGAUCAUAUUGCAACUUUCGAUAAACCAUUCUACGUUAGUUAGUAGCUCUUACUUGGCAAUCCAUUCUGUCAGUAAAUCCUCCAUGUCCCGGUAUGCUGUCUCCGAAAUCCUGUCAACGCGACAAAACCAUAUGUAAAGAUUCGUUCUUGGAUCUGUGGAUACAAAAAACUUUUUAGUGUUUGAAAAAUGUAUAACCUUGAUCUUGAAAGCUCUUUUGAAACCGCUUGCAAAGAAACCACCAAAAGGUGCUAUAACGGAUGCGAAUAGGCCGAGAGAGAAAGCGUGCCAUUGCACGGGUAGAAUUGAGAUCUCUUUCCAUGGAGACUGUUAAAGAAAAUGUUCAUGACUCAUGAGCUCAGUUUCAAAAACCAAGACAUAUACAAGACACCAUCACUGGCUAAAAUAAUUGCUUACAAAUGGAGCAAUCCAAGAAGGCAAUGGGUAAUACUCUGGCCUGAACAGAGGGCCUGGAUCACAGUGAAGCCAACCGGUCGAUAAAUCCUGCAAAAUGAUGCAACAUAAGAAUGGUCUGGAACAAAAGAUCGUGAUAAAGAAUUUCAUUUUUUGUUACCUUCCUUGGACAUGUGAACCAUUGGAAUUGGCCGAUGACAUUUGCAAACUGUUGUAAGAAGCCCAGAAUCUAUCAGUCUUUGAGUCCAAAAGAAAGGAUUAUGCAUUGAUUGAAGAUUUGGUUCUUACAAAAAACGCAGAGAUUAUGGUUGCCACCGAUGCUCCGAUGAAACCUUCCCAUGUUUUCUUUGGAGACAACUUGAUGAGAGGAGUUUUCCCGAAAUAGAAACCGAAGAAAUAAGCUGCUACAUCGUUCAUAGCAAUAAGAGCAGCUGGAAGAAGAAACCUGCAUAAUUAUCCCAUUUUAGAAAAAGAAGUUGGAACCAUGGAAAAAACGACAUGUUUCAUUGGAUAUAAUUAAUAUAAACUCAUUUUACCAGAAGAUCCCUUCGAAAAUAUUGGCGACGGUGAAAGAAGACUGAAUAAACACAAUGAUAAGGAUCAUAUGCGUCCAAGCGUAUUGCCCAAACUGAUACUUGUACAUUUUCUUCUUCAAUGUAACGAUAAACCACAUGAAACCUGAAUCCACAAAAAGUUCAACUAUUAAAUGAAGAUUAAGCUUUAUCAAGAAAUCCGGGAAAAUAGUGAAGGAGAAGAAGAGAAAACACACACACACAGAGACACAAACCUGCAAUGUACAAGAAGUAGCAAAUAACCAUCUGGUACUUGAUAAGACCACUAACAAGCUUGUAGAUGAAUCUAUCAGAAGAAACAGUGUUGACUAGCUGCUGUUGAAGUAUGCGUCCAUAGACGAACAACAUAGCAGUGAAGAAGAAGUGCCAAUUCAAGAGCCUGAAACCGGGUAAUCGACGCUCUUCGUGAGCUCUUCUGAGAAGAAAGAAAAGCUCUCUGGUCAUGAAUAUCUGUAUAACCACAACCAUAGCCCAGAUGUAGAGAUGACCCAUGUAGAUUAUAAACACGACUCCUCCGAGCAUCCAGAGAGACGAGCAUGUCCUUAUCCACAUUGAUCUGUACUUGUUCUUAUCACCAAGUAACAGAUUGCUUACAUUGCUUCUGUUCACCUCAGCUGGGAUCUGGAUCAAAACACACCCCAGAUGUUGAAAAAGACAAAUCAAGAAUCUUAGGACAUUUAAACGGAAAAGACUAUAUUUUUAAUACCUCGUUGGAUCGCCUACGGUGGCGAAUGCGAGCUGUUGGAGAGCUAGGAGUAUAAUUGUAAUCCCUUGGUGAAUUGGGAACGUUGUGAUAAUGGUUAUCUCUCUGGUUAUUACUCAUUCUAGAGGUUGGUGUAUUAGGAUAACUAUUAUCCUUUAGCUUUCUAAUUCUUGGAGAAUUCGGAUUGAGAUCUUUCUCCAUUGCCAUCGAUAUCCCUAGGAAAUGCUAUUCUCCUCUAAUGCUAUCAGUUCCUGGAUUAGGUUCAUCAAACUUAGUGAAUCAUGAUGAUGAUCUGCGUUUCUUAUCUUUCUGAGGAACAAAAAAAUUGAAAAAGAUUCUCCCUUUUUUUGUGUCUUUUCCUGGGUUUGAUCUAGAGUAUCAAAACUUCAACCUUAAACUACACGUCUUAACGAGCAUACACAUAUCAUCCGAGGUUUCUUGGGUCACAAGCAUCACCAGAGGAUUUAAAUUGAAUGUGUAAGCUUAGUAAUCAAAAUUAUUCAUCAAACCACAGCGAGCUGAGCAUAUCAAGAAACCAUAAUUUCAGAUAGAAUCAAAGGUUGACAAAUCGGAUCAAGAGAAUCAACUUACAGAAUAUCAGGCUUCUGGAUCAAUGAGAGGAUGAUGGAGAUUUAAGAAAAUAUACCCUAAUUAAGAGGAAAAUGAUAAAAAUCUCAAAAGGUGGAAGAAGAAGAGGAAGAGGAUGAGGAAGGUGGUGGAUGAGCACUUACCGGUGAGAUUUCAUUUCAUCGCUUGGCCGAAUCAGAAGACAGGAACCAAAAUUAAACUAUUCAUGCCGCGACUCCGUUUACACCCGGAAUGAAGGACACGUGUCUUAAUACUGUUUGGGCUGGAUCGGAUAUCUAAGCCCAUAAGGCUUUAUGUACCUGCUCUCUCAAAUUUUUUCUGCCGAGGACGUAUAGACAUCAGACAUGCAUGAACAUGAGUCAAUGAGUGAGCUCUGUGGUCAGUGGUCACAUCAGUAAAUAACGCCAAAAUAAAGGGUCACUUUUGCUGUUGGUUGUGUUUUUUUUUUCUGAUUAAUUAUUGAGUUCCGUGUCGCUAUUAAGUGGGUCCCGCUUUUUCUCAUUUCCCAACCUCCAUGACCAUAGUUAGAAUUUUCUCUGUUUCCUAUGCUAUUGAGCGCUCUCUCUCUCUCUUCUAUCUCUCUCUCUCAACAGUAACUACUAGUCAGAGAGCUUCAGAUCUAGAAGAGGGAAAACCCCAGAUAAAAUUUAGGAUCCAAUACUGAUAUCGGUAAUGAAAUCCAUCUUCUACUUUUGGAUUCGAUUAGUUUCUGUACAAUGACUAUUUACUUCUUUAUUGUUGGCUUCUUUCUUUGUUUUUAUCACCAAUGCUGUUCGAUUCCUGUGUAGUUCCGUGUUCUUAUCUGUGACAGAUACAGAGCUCUACUUGCGCUUCAUCUUAUUUUAGCUAGUUUCACAUUCUUAGCUUCACCAUACUUGCUUUUGGGUCUUGCUGAAAAAAAAGAGUUUUGUUCACAAGUUCAAUAUGUUGUUUCUGAAUCAGUUUGGUUUCCGGAAAAGAUUGCAACUUUGGUUUUCGUUAACUGUAGUCUUAGUUAAGUUCUUCACCAAUAAAUGUUCUGUGGUUCUCUUUCUGCAGGAAACCUUGUGAUUUCACAAGAAUGGCAGUGACAGAAGCAGAAAAUCCUCUUCUUGGAGAAAUCACUUGUGGCACUUUACUGCAGAAGUUGCAGGUAAUUUCGCACAACACACUUAACCUUUAAACUAUGGUUUCACGAACUCAUUGGACAAACUUUUUACAGGAAAUCUGGGAUGAAGUUGGUGAGAGUGAUGAGGAACGAGACAAACUGCUUCUUCAGAUAGAGGAAGAGUGUCUUAAUGUUUACAAGAAGAAGGUUGAGCUGGCCGCAAAAUCUCGUGCAGAGCUUCUUCAGACCUUGUCGGAUGCCAACGUUGAACUUUCCAAUCUCAUAACUUCUCUUGGAGACAAAAGCUAUCUCGGCAUUGUAAGUGCUCUCACGUCUAAAUGCUGAAAAUAUGAGAUGACUUUAGACUGAUUUGAUGUAGCUGUCUCGAUUGCAGCCAGAUAAGACUUCAGGAACCAUCAAAGAACAACUUUCUGCAAUAGCACCUGCGCUUGAACAACUUUGGCAACAGAAAGAGGAAAGGGUCCGGGAUUUUUCUGAUGUACAAUCACAGAUUCAGAAGAUAUGUGAAGAGAUCUCUGGCGGUUUGAACAAUGGGCCUCAUGUGGUCGACGAGUCUGACUUGUCCUUGAAGAGAUUAGAUGACUACAAGAGCAAACUACAAGAGCUACAAAAAGAAAAGGUAAUUAGUAGUUGGGAGAUGGUUAUUUGUGGCCUAUAAGUUUGUUCAGGCCAGAACUAAAACUGCUUUGUGUUUUGACAGAGUGACAGGUUGAACAAGGUGCUCGAGUUUGUGAGCACGGUGCAUGAUCUAUGUGCCGUUCUUGGUUUAGAUUUCUUAAGCACUGUCACUGAAGUUCAUCCGAGCUUAGAUGAGGCAAACUGUGUUCAAACCAAGAGCAUUAGCAAUGAGACACUUGCAAGGUUGGCUAAGACUGUCCUGACUCUUAAAGAGGACAAGAUGCAAAGACUUAUAAAGGUAAGUUAAAAUCAUGGUCUUUGAGAUCCUUAACAUGAGCUUGGAUAGUUUAGGCUGGACGUAUGUUGAAAUCCUUAUUGAUUAAAUUGCAAUUAUCGAAUAUCAAAUUGGUGGAGAAAUUUGAAGUUUGAUCAUUUGUGCCGAAAGUUCUGAAACUGAGUUCAAUAAUACAAUCUUUGUUUUCUACAGCUUCAAGAGCUAGCUACUCAGCUAACUGAUUUGUGGAACCUGAUGGAUACUCCUGAUGAGGAAAGAGAGCUUUUUGACCAUGUAACAUGUAACAUUUCAGCUUCAGUUCAUGAAGUGACGGUCUCUGGUGCUCUCGCACUUGAUCUGAUCGAGCAGGUAUUGUAAAUUUAGAAAGUAUUGAUCAGUGCAUAUGAUAAGUAACUGCUUUUUAAAAACUCCUGUAAAUCUUUGAAGGCUGAGGUGGAAGUGGAUAGGCUUGACCAACUGAAAGCUAGCAGAAUGAAGGAAAUUGCAUUCAAGAAGCAAUCAGAGCUUGAGGAGAUAUAUGCUCGUGCUCACAUAGAGAUAAAACCAGAGGUUGUUCGUGAGAGGAUCAUGUCGUUGAUUGAUGCUGGAAAUACCGAACCUGCUGAGCUACUGGCUGACAUGGAUAGUCAGAUCGCAAAGGCCAAAGAAGAAGCCUUUAGUAGAAAAGAAAUAUUGGACCGAGUCGAGAAAUGGAUGUCAGCCUGUGAGGAAGAGAGUUGGCUCGAAGACUACAAUCGGGUAAAUGCAUGAAAGGACCAUUUCCAUGUCAAACACGUUACCUUCACGACAUACAUUUUAAUGUGAUGGUUUUUUGCUACUUUGUUCUUGGAAACAGGACCAGAACAGGUAUAGUGCAAGCCGAGGUGCGCAUUUGAAUCUCAAGAGAGCUGAGAAAGCCCGGAUUCUGGUCAGCAAGAUUACCGGUAACUUCCAAGAGUCUUGAUUAUCUUUUCACAUUGAAUCAAACUGAGACUGAAAGAAUUUAUGAUCUUGUUGAUUGUACAAGCAAUGGUUGACACAUUGGUUGCUAAAACCCGGACAUGGGAAGAGGAUAACAAUAUGUCCUUUGAGUAUGAUGGUGUUCCUCUGCUCGCCAUGCUAGAUGAAUACACUAUGCUUAGGCAAGAACGAGAAGAAGAGAAGCGGAGGCUGAAGGUGAGUGUCUCAUACUAUAGUCAUCUGGUCGUGGAACAUAACUAUUAAACUAAUCUGGCCUUAUUUCUUUCUAACUUACAGGAACAGAAGAAGCAGCAAGAGCAGCCACACACAGAUCAAGACUCCGCCUUUGGGUCUAAACCGAGUCCUGCAAGACCCGUCAGUGCAAAGAAACCGGUGGGAACACGAGUAAACGGAGGAGGGCUCAACGAAACUCCUAUGAGGCGUUUAUCUAUGAACUCAAGCCAGAACGGAAGCAAGUCCAAAAGAGACAGUCUCAGCAAGCUAGCUUCGCCUUCUAACCUUGUAGCCAAUUCGAAAGAGGAUGCUGCAUCUCCAGUUCCUUGUGCUGACUCAGUUUUGGUUUCACCAUGAGAAUAUCAAAGAAGAAAGAAAGAGCUGAAUGUUGCUAUUAGGGAAUGAGUAGUGUCUAUGAAACAAACAUUUUAGAAUCAAGACAAUACACUAAGAGUCGAAUGUUACUUAUUUUAGAUAUUUAUGUCUGUUUCAUUGACUCACAUUGCUCUUUUCUAAGCCUUAAUGACUAUCUGAAAUGACCAGUUUAAUGAAGAAAAGUUAGGUUCUAACUGGAGAUAUGUAUUUAUAUCUGGGCAAAAAUCGUAAUAUGCUUGAAGAUGUUUGGAUGUAAUUUUGUAAUUUGAAAAGGUUAAGGAGAUGUGCAAAUAUUAGGGCAUGUCCAAUGGGGGAAUGAGGGGAGUCUCUAAUGGCUUUUUUAAUUAAAAAGAAAAUUUUUAAUCAUGUUUUUAACCAGGAUCGAUCUUAAUUUAGUAGUUUUUGGAGACCCAUUAAUUACUCCGACGUGUCGCGUUGUGGUUGGUUAGAUGAUUUUAUUUUAUUUUUGAUUUUAUUUAUUCAAACACUCUGUUUUGAUUAGAGGGUUUGAAGUUGGGUUGGUUUUUAUUUUUUGUCUAACCUUCUUCGUCUUCUUCGGAGGAGACUUCGGUGAUAUCAGAGAGAGGCGAGAGAGAGGCGAUUAAACGGACAACUGAUCAGCGAUGCUUAUUUGAUCGGUGGAUGGAUCAAAUAAGAUCGGUGGAUGCAGAUGCAAAGAUCGGCGCUGCAGAUGCGAAGAUCGGUGGAUGGAUGGAUGAUGAUCGGCGAUGCUUAUUUGAUCGGUCGAGGUACAGACAACUGAUCGGCGAUGGCUUAUUUGAUGUAAAUCAAAACACAGUCAAAGCAAAUUCAGAGAUGGGUAUAUUACAAGUAAGAUUUUUACUCAGUUUAUUGAUUUCCCGAAAAUAUAGUGAGUUAAUGAAUUAGGAAGGCUUUGAUGUGGUUGAUGAUUGAUGGUUUGGAUGGAUUGGAUUACUGAUUGAAUCAAUGCUCUGUAGUGGUUAGGUUUGCAUUAGAUAUUGUAGUCAAUGCUUUGUUGAAUUAGGAUGUGAUUUGUAGUUGCUCUAUGUCACGGUUGAUAAAUGUGAGAGUGGAAUCAAUGCAUUUGUGUCACAAUGAAUGCUUCGGUUAAAACUCUAAUAAAUAGUUUCUUUUGCUCAUGUCUUCAGAAACUACAAACUCUUAACUACAAACUCUAACUUAACUCUAACUUAACUUGAACUUUAAAUCUAUCUUCAAUGCUAACUCCAUCUUGAAUAAGCUUCUAUAUAUUGAAGCUCACUUUGUUUUUUUUAAAAGACACACACCCAAACUUCUUUCCACACUUUUUAAAAGACACACCGAAAUCACACACCCAAACACACACCCUAAACACAUUCACUAAACCUUCCAAUGGAUUCAACUAAUCCUUUUUCUGACACAUCAGGCUUCAUGGACCUGCUAACUAGCCAACAAAGAACCCAAACCCAUAGCCUUGAACCCAUGGAAACAACCAUAGCACUCGGUGAUUCACAAGUUCCAGUGUUUGGAACACAAUGGAGUGAUGCUCCAAGUCCAACUGAUGCACAAGAGAAGGAGCGUAAGACCAGGAAGCCAUGGACUCCUGCUGAAGAUCUUGCGCUUAUAAGCGCCUGGCUUAAUACCAGCAAGGAUCCAAUCAUCAGCAAUGGGCAAAGGGCAGAUGCAUUCUGGAAAAGAAUAGCCAUCUACUAUGCGGCGAGUCCUGACGUGUCUGCUGAAGAUAAGAGAGGGCCAACUAACUGUAAGCAGAGAUGGGCCAAGAUAAAUGAGUUUGUCUGCAAGUUUGUUGGGUCGUAUGAGGCAGCUUCAUCUCAAAAAACAUCAGGUCAAAAUGAAAAUGAUGUAAUGAAGCUGGCUUUGGAGAUAUUCCACAAUGAUUACAAACACAAAUUCACCAUGGAGCACUGCUGGAGAGAACUGCGUCAUGAUCAGAAGUGGGCAGGAAAUGGAAGCUCAAAAAAAAGAAGAACCGAUGGUGCUAGAGUUGAAGGAACCGAUGCUCCUUUGAAGGCAUGGAGAUGAUGAAGGAAUUCCUCGGCCUGCUGGUGUAAAAGCUUCCAAGGGCAAAAAAAAAACAACAAAGACCAAUGGUGGUCGUUUGGAAGAAGAUGGUAAGGAUUUAGUGGACUUUAGAAGCAUCUUUGAGCUAAGGGAAAGGGAGUUAGCAUUGAAAGAUAAGACUAACAAGCAAAAGAUACUCGAAAAUCUGCUUGCAAAAACCGAACCUCUUACUGAGGUAGAAUUCGAGCUUAAGAACAAGCUCAUUAAGGAAAUGUUGUCAAAUAUGUGAGAGUUUGUAUGAGUGAGUUAAGGGUGAGGUCUGUUUUUCUUUGGUAUGAGUUAGUUUUUGGGUAUGUCAUAUUGUUAAGUCUUUUGGGUAUGUCAUAUUGUUAAGUCUUUUUGGGUAUGUCAUAUUAUUAAGUCUCGGGUAUAACUUCUAUGUCUUGUAAUGUUUGUUCUAUGUAUUUUUAUAAAGCCUUUCAGUUGUUUGUCUUUUGGUUUAGGUUCUAUGUAUUGUAUUCAAGACUCCAUAUAUAUAUAUGAUUUUGUUUCCUUUAUCAUUUGUAUGACUUAUAUUCACUUGUUCAUGAUCUCUUUUUUCUUAUUGCAGGCAACAAAGUCAUGGACAAACGGCUACAAAGGAGGCUUUGAAGAAAUGGCUACAAUUUGUAUAUUCAUAUAGGUUUGGGCCACCAUUAUUAUUUUGGCCGAUGUUUUGUGCAAUAUAAGGUUUGGAACUGGUACUUAGCUAUAUUUUGGGCCUGCUAUUUUGUAUUGGCCGUUAAAAACUUUUAGCCGAUGUUUUUAAGUCCCACUUCUUUUUCUGUCCCAAUUUGUUAUGUCCCACUUCUUUUUAUCCGAUGUUUUUGGCCAAGUCUUUAGCAAGUGGUGGUUCUGUAUUCAUAUGUACACACCACACAAUUUAUUACACAAUUUAUGGCACAAUUUAUUACACACCACACAACUCAUCCCACCACAUAUUCAAUGAAUGGUGUAAACUCAAGCGUAUUGUCUAUAUAUUAGAAGAUUGCAAAUGCUCACAAACAAAUCAUCUUCUUCAACAUCAUCUUUAUUUCUUACAACUCUCUUCUUCCUACAUCGUUUUCUAACUCUCUUCAUCAUCUUUCUUUCUCAUAACAAAAAACCAUCUUCUAUGGCAUCUUCAUCCAAUAAUAAUUUUGAGAAAAUUAUUGAAGACAAAUUCGAGGAAGCUUUUGAAAAUGCAUAUGAAAAUGCAUUUGAAAAUCUACUUGUUAAUCAGAGCAAUCGUCAAAGAUCAACCAAAAAAAAAAGAGCAUAUAUUGAGAGAGAUCGGGAACAAGGCCAUAUCCGUUUAUGGAACGACUAUUUCCGGGAAGAUUCAACAUAUCCACCCUAUAUGUUUCGUCGUCGUUUCAGAAUGAACAAACCUUUGUUCAUGCGUAUUGUUGAUGGCCUCUCUACUCAUCUUCCAUUCUUUCAACAAAGACGAGAUGCUACCGGAAGAUCCGGUCUCUCUGCACUACAAAAAUCUACGGCAGCCAUUCGUAUGAUGGCAUAUGGUUGUGCGGUUGAUGCGGUUGAUGAAUACCUCCGGCUUGGUGAAAGCACCGCCCUUUCUUGCUUGGAAAAUUUUGUAGAAGGAAUCAUAUAUCUUUUUGGAGAUGAGUAUCUACGAAGACCCACACCAGAAGAUCUUCAACGCCUACUAGAUAGUGGAGAAUCUCGCGGAUUUCCCGGGAUGAUAGGAAGCAUCGAUUGUAUGCAUUGGGAGUGGAAAAAUUGUCUCACUGCUUGGGCCGGACAAUUCACACGAGGAUCUGGCAAACCGACAAUCGUUUUAGAGGCUGUAGCUUCAGAAGAUCUUUGGAUAUGGCACGCAUUUUUUGGCCCGCCAGGUACUUUAAAUGAUAUUAAUGUGCUCGAUCGUUCUCCGGUAUUUGAUGAUAUAUUACAAGGUAAAGCUCCGAAAGUGAAUUACUUUGUCAACGGACGACAGUAUCACUUAGCUUACUAUCUCAACGAUGGAAUUUAUCCAAAAUGGGCUACAUUUAUCCAAUCUAUAAGCCGACCACAAGGUGACAAAGCAUGUUUUUUUGCAAAACGUCAAGAAGCUACCCGUAAAGAUGUCGAGCGUGCUUUUGGAGUCUUGCAAGCUCGGUUUGCCAUUGUCAAAAAUCCAGCUCUGAUGUGGGAUAAGGUGAAGAUAGAAAAAAUUAUGCGAGCUUGUAUAAUACUUCAUAACAUGAUUGUAGAAGACGAACGAGAUGGGUACAGUUUGUCUAAUAUUGAAGAAUUCACACAAGGAGAAUCAAACAGAACUUCACAUGUGGAUAUGACGUAUUCUACCAAUAUGCCUUCAAAUCUCACUAAUAUUAUGGUCAUCCGGAAUUCACUGCAUCUCGAACUACGCAUGAACAAUUAAAAGAAGAUUUAGUUGAGCAUUUGUGGAAUAACUUUGGUUCAAUUCAAGAUUACAACUAAUCUUAUUAUUUCCGGGUUAUGAUUUGCAUCUCUCUUUUGUUUUGUUUUUCUGUAUUCUAUGUCUAAGUUUGUAUUAAUUAAAUAUUUGUAUUAAUAAAAUGUGUGUAUUAAUAAAAUAUUUGUAUUAAUAUAAUGUUUGUAUUCAUAAAAAUGUUUGUAUUUGAAAAAUUGCAAAAAAAAAAAAACAAUUAGAGUCUCCUUUUAAGAGACUACCAUUGGACACUAAUCUAAUGAAAAAAUUAUAAUGGAGUUCUAAUACAUUAAAAAGAAUAAAAAACUAUUAAAAUUAGGAUUAGAUCCGCUUCUUUGUAUACUAUGGAUGGAGGUGGUCUUAAAGAACUUCCAGGGGUUUUCCAAAGGAAGUUUGGGAUUGGGACUUUAAAGGUUCGUUUUACGACAUCGUUUUUGUACGCACUAUCAGAAGCGGGCGUCAAAUAGAAAAAAUUUCCUUAAUUGUCUGUCUUUUACAAUCGGAGAAAAGCUACGAAGCUAGCGAAGAGAGAAUCCAUGUCGAACCCAAACGAACCAGCUAAGACUCUUCUUCCUUACCUGCAACGUGCCGAUGAGUUGCAGAAGCAUGAACCUCUUGUUGCUUAUUACUGUAAGUUUGAGCUGUCUUCUCUCCCUCUCUGAAGACAACCUAGUUGAUUGUUUUUUUUUCCCCGAUGAACUGAUACGAUCGCGUCCUGCGAUUGAGUACUACAUGGAUUUGUGAUUUAUCUGUUUAAUUAAUAUUUUUUUUGCAAAUUUAUGGUUGUGGCGAUGAUUGAUUAGGUCGGCUAUACGCCAUGGAACGAGGAUUGAAGAUUCCGCAAAGCGAGAGAACUAAGACCACCAAUUCGAUUCUCAUGUCCCUCAUCAAUCAACUGGAAAAGGUAUUCCCUUCUAAGUUCUUAAUUAUGAGCUUGUCUGAUUUAUUUUAUCUGAUUUUGCUAGUUUGGGAUUAAGUGGACUUGUUCUUAUUAAUUCUCAGGUUCUUUUUGACUUUGAUUAAUAUAUGUUUUGUAUAUGGUAAGGAUAGGCUUAAUUUUAUACUUAGCUUAGGUUGUUUCAUGUGAUUGGGAGAACAUACAUUCCUGUGGCCUAUUCUCUACGCUCUUGUAGUUUUUUGCAUGUUGAUGGUGAACUAGUUCAGCCUUUAAUUAAUUGUAUGCCAUGGCUGUCAUGUGCGUUCUUAUCCAUAUGUAACAUCCAUGAACCAUAUUGUGACAAACGUCAUGCGGAAAUUUCUUGACUAGUUUCAGUUUCUUAACGCGAUAUAUUUGUGUAACUCCAGGAUAAGAAAUCAUUGAAUCCGUCCCCAGAUGACAAUAUGCAUGUGGAGGGGUUUGCAUUAAAUGUCUUCGCAAAGGCAGACAAGCAGGAUCGUGCAGGAAGAGCAGACUUGUAAGAAUACCUUUUCUUUGUCUUAUGUCUAAUUAUCAUAUUGAAUGACAUUCGACACAAGUAAGUUUCUAUUACUGUUAGGACACCGUCAGCACUAGCUCGAUGAGUCGAAUUAUCCUGUUUCUGCAGAUUCAUUCUCUGUCUAGUAUUGUAAUUGGCAAUUGCUAAUACUGAAAAGAGCAUAUAAGUGCAUACAUUUACAAUAAGCUCAUAGGUCGGCAGACAUGUUGUUCCUCCAGCAUCUUUUAAUGAUAACUUUCGAGUUGUAGUAAUAUAUAUGUAUAUAUACACACGCACACAUACAUAGAAUGUAAGAUAACCGGUCAAGGAAUAAGUUGGAUGCAUCCAAUUUUAAGCCUUAUCCUGACCUGUUUUCCUCUGACCAUUCUGCUUUUGCGGAGUGUCUGUGUCUAUCGCCUUGAUACUGAUAUGCAUGGUUUGAUACUGAUAGUAGUUCGCUUAAUGUCCAUUAAUUUAGAAGUGUUAACACCUGCAUUCAUGUACAGAAGCUUUUAAUGUAAUAUCCAAAACUGAUUUUGUUGAGCUUGUAACAGAGGCACUGCCAAAACAUUUUAUGCUGCAAGCAUCUUCUUUGAGAUUCUGAGCCAGUUUGGCCCGGUUCCUCCUGAUGUGAGUUCCUACUUUUUCAUUCACUUAAUAGUUUACAUCUUAAACAGAAACGUCGGACCUUAAGAGGCAGCCGUGUUAGGUGAUUGAUAUAUUUACAUGUAAUGGCUCCCAUUGACAGAUUGAACAGAAACAAAAGUAUGCUGCGUGGAAGGCUGCUGACAUAAGGAAAGCCAUUAAAGAAGGAAGGAAGCCUACUCCAGGUGAUCCUGUUGAUGAUGAUAGUGAUUUAUCCAUCCCGUCAAGCGGUCCUAGUGGCUCUUAUGUAAGCUUCUCUUCUUAGUUAUUUGGGAAUAUCUAGAUAUUGGCCUAGCAUGUAUUCUGUUUAAUAAUAUCGAAGAGUAUGUCAAGGGUGUAAAUAUUAGUUGAAUUUGCAUCUUACUGAUAAAAACUAUCUAGGUAGAGACACACAAAUUUGCAUCCACCUGUCUAGGAUAUGAACGUACUUUCCGUAGAUAACUUCUAAGAUGUGAAUAUCUUCAUCAACUUAAUCGUUUCAUCGUUUGUGCAUUUCAAUCAUCUACAGGAUCUUGGUGCAAGUGAUACGAACAUAACAAGUCAUCAUAGAACAGAGCCUGAUCCACCCCAUGACUCGAAUGAUGACUCUAGCCACCACCAUUUCCCUGAAGUACCGCAACAUCGUCCACCUCCCAGGUUUCAUGACAAUCCUAACAACGAUUACCCCACGGAUGUCCCACCUCCACCACCGUCUUCUUACUCUUCCAACGAUCUCCGUCCUCCUCCCACUGGACCAUCAGACUCCCCUUACCCGCAACCUUACAACCAUCAACCAUACCACCAAGACCCGCCACAACACAUGCCGCCACCACAAAACUACCCAACACAUGAGCCUUCUCCAAAUUCUCUCCCUAAUUUCCAAUCUUACCCUAGCUUUAGUGAGACCAGCCUCCCAGCCACUCCUUCCAACUACCCUUCUCACUACCAAAACCCUGAACCUUAUUAUUCUUCUCCACAUUCCGCACCUCCUCCUUCCACAAGCUUCGCCUCUGCUCCUCCUCCUCCUCCUCCUCCUUAUUCACCAUCAAACGGGCGUGUCAAUAUUGCUCCCGUGCUAGAUCCUGCACCGAGCCAAGCUCAGAAGUAUCAUUACGACAGUAGCUACCAGCCAGGGCCUGAGAAGAUUGCAGAGGCACAAAAGGCUGCUAGAUUCGCUGUGGGAGCUUUGGCUUUCGAUGAAGUCUCGACUGCCGUAGAACAUCUGAAGAAGUCACUCGAGUUGUUAACAAAUCCAUCGGCCGGUCACUGAAUUUUAUGUUUAAUUUUAUGACACUUGGUUGAUGUAUGAAUGUUUUGUGAUUUAACUUUUGAGGCUCAUACUUGGUGUACAAAUCAAACGUAUUUGUGUGAAGUCUGCUAAUUAUUUCAAUUAUAUUUUUCAAUCUAAUGUGUCUCAAAAGCUUCCUGAAUGGUUAUAUGAUAGAUAUAGCCACAAAAGUAGAACUACAUACGUAAAUAAAAACUCAUAAUAAAAAAAAUGGUUACUUUUAUGUUUAGCUUAUACAUCGUGUGACAUUUACAGAUUUAAGAAAGAAAAAAAAAAGUGACGAGGCAAGGAAACAAACGUGUCGUGAGAGUCAUGUCAAGUGUAAAAAAGAGGAAGAGAGAGAGGAGAGGCGCGUCAAAGAAAAGGAAAGAGAUGUCAACCGCUGCAUUCGUCGGCGCGUGCAUGUCCGCCACGCACACCAAUCAUCAUUAUUACUAGAUCAUUCUCACUUUGCUCUAAAACACACGCACACAUUGCACUCUCACUCAAUUAGUUUUAUUAAAAAAAAACACAUUGCACUCAAUCUAGAGAGAGAGAGAGAGAUAAAGAGAGAUGAGUACGACGACAGAGAUGAUGGAGAGAGACGCAAUGGCUACGGUGGCUCCCUUUGCUCCGGUCACUUUUCAUCGCCGUGCUCGUGUUGACAUGGAUGAUAGACUUCCUAAACCUUGUAACGCCUUAUUCUCUUUAUCAUUACAUCCUAAUUAAUUGUUGUCAAGUGUCAACAUAUAUAUAUAUAUAUAUAUGUAUAUACAUAUGCAUAUAUCUAUAUCUAUUUAUAUAGUAGCUAACUCAAUAAUAUAGAUAGCUGUAGGUGUAAUUGGUACAUAUGUAUUUGUAACAUCCAUUUGUUGUAUCACACUUUUCGAAAAAAAAAACAUCCAUUUCUAUUAUGCACGAUUAUGAUAGUAAUGUUUUUACACAUGGACAUGCAUGCAUAAUUCUAUUCACAAUAACACGCAUUCAACGAAAAUAAGUAUGAUUAUCUUUAUAGAUAUACAUAUAAAAUAGUUGCCCAAACAUUAUAUAUAUGCAUAUUUUCCUAGAUAAUUAAUGUAUCAUAUAUAUAUAUAUAUGUGAUUGUUGAUGCCUUGAUGGAUAUGAUAUAGCAUAUGUGUAAAUGUAUAUAUGAUUUUAUGACAUAUAAUGAAAUGCAUAGAUAUGCCAAGAGCACUGCAAGCACCAGACAGAGAACAUCCGUACGGAACCCCGGGACAUAAGAAUUACGGACUUAGUGUUCUUCAGCAACAUGUCGCCUUCUUUGACUUAGAUGAUAAUGGCAUCAUCUACCCUUGGGAGACCUACUCUGGUAUACAUCUAUACAUAUAUAGAUUGUAUUAUAUAUACAUCUUUCAGUUUCAUGUUUUUUAUUAGUAUAUGUAUGACAGUUUGAUUCCAACACCUGUGAAUAGGACUGCGAAUGCUUGGUUUUAAUAUCAUUGGGUCGCUUAUCAUAGCCGCUAUAAUCAACCUGGCCCUGAGCUAUGCUACUCUUCCGGUAGCAACUCUCAUCCUCCUCCAACAUAUUAUCUCGUAUAAAUUUGAUUAAUGAUUGUACUCUAGACUCGUGCAUUAUUGAGACCGAUCGGCCUAGAUUGAUGAUGUUCAUUUUUUUGGUCUUUGGCUCUGAUAAAUUAGGGAUGGUUACCUUCGCCGUUCUUCCCUAUAUACAUACACAACAUUCACAAGUCAAAGCAUGGAAGUGACUCAAGAACAUAUGACAAUGAAGGGAGGUCGGUGACCACUAUAUAUUGAAAAAUAGGGUCAUAAAUCACGAUGCAUAUUGCUCUAUAACACCCUUACGUUUCGCAGGUUUAUGCCGGUGAAUCUUGAGUUGAUAUUUAGCAAAUAUGCGAAAACCUUGCCAGACAAACUGAGUCUUGGAGAACUAUGGGACAUGACAGAAGGACAACGUGAUGCAUGGGACAUUUUCGGAUGGUACAAUAUAUUAUUGCCACAUGAUGAGCCCUACCUUAUUAACUUAACUAACCUUAGUUUCUUUGAAUGAAUGUACAUUGAUCUAGAGUAUUGAUGUGGUUUGUAUAUGUAACUUAUUAGGGUCGCAUGCAAAAUAGAGUGGGGAUUGUUGUACUUGCUAGCGAGGGAUGAAGAAGGGUUUUUGUCAAAAGAAGCGAUUAGGCGGUGUUUUGAUGGCAGCUUGUUUGAGUACUGCGCCAAGAUCUAUGCCGGUAUCAAUGAAGAUAAGACUGCUUACUACUAAAGGUAUCCUACAGUGAAGUAAAUGAUCUUAGCCGCUUUAGGCUGAUAAUAGAUCUAUGCGAAGCUUCUGCCUAAAGUAGCCGUUUUAGAGAAUUUACCAGUACAAUGAGAUAUAUGUUUUCUUUGUUUGUCAAAAUCUGUAAGGUAUAAGUAUAAGUUGCAGCUCUAUAGAAAAGCUUCUAUGUGGAGUAGUAUAUGUUUUGUUCGUUUCUGUUUGUACCAGCCUUUUUCAGUUAUUUUCAUUUCAAAAUGCAAUUUUACAGUGUUAGUUAUCAUUGCUAAAUCAAUUGCUGAGUUGCUUUAUAUAUGUAUGAACUUUGAUAACAACAUUUAGAUUUUUAUUUUGGUUAGUUAAUGUAUUAAAUUAAUAGUGUAACAAAAUAUAUGUUCAAAUAAUCUUUAGUAAGAGCCUUAAACAAAAAGAAUUAAUUUUUAUUCAACAAAUAAUACAUUCGAGUGAACGAAGAAUCGUCACUCCUAAAAUAGAACUCUCAGACACAGAUGCAGCACACUCUUGAAUUUUUUUAAAAAUUUCUUUACUUCUCUCAAAAGCGAUCAAGGUUCCUAAAUGUUUAGAUCAGAGUCAAGAGCCCAAUUUCAACGCUAAAGAUAUCCACAUCUAGAAAACUUUUGUUGAGGAUCUUGAAUUCGCAACAAACAUUGCAGCUUCCAUUAACGUUGCUCUAGCAAGUCAAAUGAAGUAUGUAUGGCCUUUGAACAAAUGUCCACUCCUAAUCUAUGGAUCCUCCUGCAUACAAAGACAUAUAUCAUCAAGCUACUCUUGUUUUACCAAACUGGAAGCAAAACCCAACAGACAAAUCUCACAACUCAAAUUUGACAUGAAAGAGAAGUAACAAAGUUGAGAUUUUUAGCUCCAUAACCAUCCUCAACAACAAGAACAUGUGAAAUGAUAGAGAUAUAAUGCAGUCUCUAAGACUCCAAUCAACGGAAUCGAAAGAGAAGAAGACAAAGCACCUCAUGUCGGAGAGUCUCGAACUUUCAAUAGUAAACUAGUCCUUUUGGAUCCUUCCAAGGUAACAUUAGCAACUUCAACGAGCUUCGAAUUAUGGAAAAGCCUAGAAAUGUCCCUAACAUCGUCUCCACCACAUUCAUCAACCGCAACUACGCAAAACCCACCACGGCGCACCGUCCUCUCCAUCUCCUCCACGAAUCUCCACGGAAACAGAGCUUCAGCUAAAUGUGCGGUGAAGGCAAAAUCGAAGACACCGUCGAAAAAGGGAAGGUUAUGAGGAUCAGCUCUUCUGACAAGAGGAAGCGAAUCGACCAAUUCGACGGCGGUAAUGUCAGCUAAUCCGAUCUGGGACAGAGCCAUCGGAGCGUGUCCAGCGCCGGCGGAGAGGCAGAGAGCUUUGGUGUGAUUGUGGAGGAAACCUAGAUCGCGAAAUCGGAGGAAAUAGGUGGAGAAGGAGGAGAGACGCGAUUUCCAGGCCUUAGAGGACCAGAUUCUAGCGUUCUUCUUGGAGAGAGGAACAUGCUGGCGAGGCGAGGAAUCGCAGGUGGAUCUCGGAAAAUGCGUAUGUGGUUUCGAUGGAGCUUCUGGUGGGAUACAUGUUUUCGGCGUCUGGAGAAUCAUAAUCACCAUUAUCGCUGUUCCGAUGCUUAUGAAGACCAUCGAAACUCUGUUCAGCAUCUUCUCGACGUUUCUCUCCAUCGUCGCCGAUCAAUCCAGUCGGAUCGAGUUUUGAAUUGGCCGAUCAAUCUCCAUUUCCCGAUCACUGAUGUGGCGCGCGUGCGAACUCUACCCGCGCGUGAUGCACGUGGAGUUUUACGAAGGCUUCAUUUGUACGCGGGGCGGGCCUUAUAAAGUUAAAUAAAUCAGAAUUUGGGUCCAUGUUCGUGAGCUGGAAGCUGGUUUGGAAUGUAAUCUUUAAAACAUUCAGGCCUAAAUGCACAAUUUUAGAAAAGAAGUGGGGCGGAUUUGAAUAUAAUCUAAAAACAUUGUGAAAGGAGAGAGAAACCUUUACCCCCUGCGGAGAGAGGAGAAAAGCUCUCCCGGGAAGAAGACGAAACUAAAACUACAUUUCGAGAAGCGAAUUUCGCAGUAUUUUUGGCGGGCGAUUUGGUUGAUUUCUUCUGAUUUGUAAGAUUAAGGAUCGUCUCAGGAUUCUUUGGUCGCCGAAGAGUAGCAAGAGGAAGAAGAAGAGGGUGUUUAGAAAUGUCAGACCUAGACCGGCAAAUAGAACAGCUGAAGCGCUGCGAACCAUUGAGCGAAUCGGAGGUGAAAGCUCUUUGCCUCAAAGCCAUGGAAAUCCUCGUUGAAGAGAGUAAUGUUCAAAGAGUCGAUGCCCCUGUCACUGUAAGUUCUUGCUCACCCUACUUCUCGAUCUGGGAUUCGAUAUUCAUCUCCAGUUUUCUAUAAAGAAUGGUUUUUAUUUUAUCCUAAGAGUAGAAUUAUGAGCUCAUAACUCAAGAAAUCUUAAGAAACUCGGCGCGGGGAUUUCGGGCAUCUUAAUUUUGAUAGUUCAGCAGAUCUUUGCCUUUGAUAUUUUGUGCAAGUCCAAAGAUUUCUAGGGCAGUGAAGUUGCAGCAUGUUAAGUGCCACUAGAUAGUAGAUACCAUUUCUAUUCUUAUGAUUAACUCGAAUUGCUAAUCCUUUGAAUUUUGUUUUUCUUUCCUCUGGAAUAGUUAUGUGGUGACAUCCAUGGGCAGUUCUAUGACAUGAUGGAGCUUUUUAAAGUUGGGGGUGAUUGCCCUAAGACCAACUAUUUGUUUCUUGGAGAUUUUGUUGACCGUGGAUAUUACUCGGUUGAGACAUUUCUACUUCUACUCGCUCUCAAGGUAUCACUCAAUCUGGCGUUUACUUUGUUCUGGUUCCUGUUUGCUUUUAUAAUCUCUUCUCCUAAAUGGGUUUUAGAAUCACUUAAGUGGGUUGCUUUGAUAUUCUCAGGUUAGAUAUCCAGACCGUAUAACUCUCAUCAGAGGAAACCACGAAAGCAGGCAAAUCACACAGGUGAAUGCAGUCUCAUCGAAAACAUUCGAUUUUGUGUACAUAUAUUCAGACUAUUUACACAGUCUGCUUGUAGUAGGUUUAUGGAUUUUAUGAUGAGUGUGUGCGUAAAUAUGGCUCUGUGAAUGUCUGGAGAUACUGUACUGACAUUUUUGACUACAUGAGGUACUCACAGAAUAUCUUUAUCGGUUUUUGGGUUCUCUUACUUUGGAAUGAUGCGGCUUCUUUAAACCAUAUUUUAUAUGUACAAAAGUCUUUCAGCUGUUGUUGAGAACAAGAUAUUCUGUGUUCAUGGCGGUCUCUCUCCAGCUAUUAUGACUCUUGAUCAGGUUGAUAAAAGAGCUCUCUCUACUGAUAUAAAUCUAAAGUUUUAACUAGAAUGUGUUAACUGACGAACCCAUACGUUAAUGGCAGAUCAGGACGAUUGACCGGAAGCAAGAAGUACCACAUGAUGGUGCCAUGUGUGACCUCCUAUGGUCUGAUCCUGAAGAUAUUGUUGAUGGCUGGGGAUUGAGUCCACGUGGUGCUGGAUUUCUUUUUGGCGGCAGUGUUGUCUCGUCUUUUAACCACACAAACAACAUAGACUACAUAGGCCGAGCGCAUCAACUAGUUAUGGAGGGUUAUAAAUGGAUGUUCGAUAGCCAGAUUGUGACAGUGUGGUCAGCCCCAAAUUACUGUUAUAGGUAAAUAAGAUACUCAUAACCGUCUAUUUCAGUCUAUAUAUCCUUUUCCCUUAUAGCUUGGUUUUUGAAUUUUCUCCUAUUUCGAUUGUGCUCCAGAUGCGGUAAUGUGGCUUCGAUUCUAGAGCUCGACGAAAAUCUCAAUAAAGAAUUCCGUGUAUUCGAUGCAGCACAGCAGGUAAUGACCCUUUAAGUAAUAUCUUAAUUCUCGUUCUGAUUCAUGAUGAGCAGUUCAAUAGACUGACGUAUACUCUACAUGCAGGACUCGAGAGGGCCUCCCGCCAAAAAGCCUGCCCCUGAUUACUUCCUAUAACAGGCAAGACCUCGAAAACACUACUCCCAGCUUAGAACUAGCAUCGAUUCAGCCCCCUUAAAGAGCAAGAGAAUUGCAAUUUGUUACGGUGUUUAGGUUGCAAUGCAGAAGAAUUCUAUACAGCACAAUUGUUUUAGGCGAGAUCUACCAAGGCUACAAGUACUGAUGGAAUUGGGGUUGUCUUAAAAAAUAUUGUUGUUUCCUGUUCUUGUGUAAUGGUAGUUAAGAGUGUUUUUGUGUGGUAGUUAAAAUGUGUAUUUUUUCCGUCAAAACUCAAGUUAAUACAUUUUGUAGGAGAUCAGACCUCAGGCAUUUUUGGAGCUCACAAUUAUUUCAAUAGAAUUACACAAGAACUUGGAUUAUUGCCAUUUGAUAGAAAGUUGCCAAGAAUAUCAAAAAAAAUCCCAAAAUACCUGGUAGACGAUGAAGAUAGAUAAGUGGCGGAGUAUUCUCGCAAAGAUUUAUUUCAUCAACAAUACACUCACUCUCUGGUAAAGUCUUUGAGUAUUAUGAAGACUGUUUAAGAAAAGAAUGAGAGACAAGAGAUUCAACAGUAAAGAGGGGAAAAGUUUUGUUGUUCCACACCGAGAUUAGAAUUACAAACGGUAAAACCGAUAUGUUUAAAAAAGAUACAGAAACAGCACCCGGGAGGUUCUUACUCAAAUUUGUGCAUUGGUUUCCUAAUUUGAGAACAUGGGUUCUUGUGUUGAGUAGACAGUUUCUACUCUACCUCGCUUAGGAUAGGGACAAUGAGAGGCUUCAUCUGCGCAAUGUAUACAAUUGCCCACCUGCCAAAAUGAAGAAACAAAAGUGAUGCGAAGAUAUAAGAUAACGAAUCAAUCAUAUUAAAUGACAUUUCCGAAAUGGCUAAGCACACUAAAAUGUGACAAAGAGCCAUAGGAUGACAACACAUAGGAAAACGUGGGACACUGGUCAGACACAAACAAUGUUCAUGUUGUGGAGCUUUCUCUGACAUGAAUGCUAAUUCAUCGACUUCAGAUAAGUUUACCAAAGAUAUGACUCAUCUCCAAGACUCCAACUAUAAACUGUUGAGAUAUUACAUCCUUCCAUCCACAAGACAAUCGGAAGUAGUAAAGUCUAGAAGGAUCUCUCUCUUGAUGGUUUGAUGGUUGAAGUAGAACGAGAUGAGGAAAUAAUCAAACAGGAAAGGGUUGGCUAAAGGUGAGAAACAAUUAAUUGGCCGGGAUACAAAACAAAAGAUGAACCAUGGCUGGCUAUAAAUGCAAACCUGUGGCAAGCAUGCAAAGGAAAGAUAAGUGUGCAUCAGAAUUCAGACAUAAACUUACAUCAUCCAACAGCAGACAGUCGCUGUAAUGACCAAGGUAAGAUGUAGCCUGUUUCAUAGAAGACAAAAAAAAAACACGAAGAAUGGUUGUCAAAAUGUGUGUCAAAGCAAAGAAGAAGGCAGAAACAAGGCAGUCACUUUAACACCACAAGAGUUGGAAUUGGGAAACUUCUUGUUUACAAUGAAGAAACUAUCACAGGAAAGAGCAAAUUCAAAAAGUAAAAUUAGUAUGGAGAUUCCCCAAAAGUCAAUGAGGAGAUUAUUUCGUCUAAAAAUUCUCGAUUCUAAGCGCAAGGAGAUAAUAAUAAUGAUUUGAGCUACUCAGUUGAAACCGGAGAACCAAACUUCCUACAUUAACCUUGACGAAGCAAUCGAUCAAACACAUACCGAAGUCGAAUGAUUGGUUAAGAUUGCGGAGAAGAAGCCAAAAAAAAAGAGAGGAAUCAAACAUACAGAUUCGUGGAGGGGCCUUUGUUGAAGCAGAUUCUAGUGCAUAUUGAAGCAAUGAUUCCGACUAAAGCGAAAAUUAGGGAUGUAACAAGAAAAGCCAUUGUCUGGUCCUGAUCCCAAUGAGAUUAUCCUGUGACAAUCAAUUACGCGUGAAUAUAUGUUGCAAAAUCAAUGCGAUCGGGGCAAUCCGAUUGAAGAAGAGAGAAAGGCUAAUCCCAAGAGAGGAGGAAAAAGUAUCAGAGAUCUCUCACAGAUUUGAAAAUGAAGCUCCUUUGGCGUCGAGGAAGAAGAUGAUUGAUUGACGAUCGUGUUCGUGUCCCAGUGAUCUGUUUCGGAUCCGUGCGAGGCCCAGAUUUUGUGAGGGGUAAAUUUGUCUUUUCGCUAAUCAAAUAUCAUUUUUUUUAGCGAAUUUGCUAGAAAAUCUAAAAUUUGGUCAAAAUUUGCUAAAUGGGAAAAACAGUAAAUUGGUGAGACAUUGCUCUGACAUUUUGAAGGUGUUAUUACUCUUUACUCUCUUCUUCCUUUGUUACGAGUCUUCAUUCCCUGUAUGAAGUUUCUCUCUAAUCAUCUUUCUUUUGUUAGCAUAUAAAUUAUACAACUACAUAACUUGUUAUUAUACUACAUAUUUUGUUAUCUUGCUAAUACUUAGCUUACAUCAAUUAUACAUAUAAAUUAACGUCUAACAUUAUAAUUAACUAGGUACAAAAUAUGGAAAAUCGAUAAUAAUAAUGAGUUAUAUAGAUGAUCAAAGAUGUUAUUGGUAUACUUAGCAUAAUACAUAUAAAAUUAACGUCUAACAUUAUAAUUAACAAGGUAAAAAAUAUGUUAGAUUGAUAACAAUAAUGAAUUAUCUAGAUUAUUAUAGGUGUUAUUUUUGUAGUUAGUGUGCUACAAAAACAUAUAACACUCUAUAUGUAUUGUUAGUAAUCUAGUAAUAAAAUUAUAGGAGUAAUUCAAAUAGAUACACACUUUAUAUAUACGUUAGCUCGGCGUAUUUUUUGGCGGAGAUGCCAAUAUUAUCGCUGGAGGCGGCGGUGCUAUUGUUGUUUUUGGUGUAGAUGGAAGCGGUGCGGUGGUUGUAUCCGAAUCCGGCAGAGAAGGUGAAAAUUGCGGUUGAGGAUUCGAAUUAAGCGUAGAAGGAGGCGGAGGCAGAGGUGGUUCGGGUUUACGAUCGGCGCCGGUGGAUUUGAGAGAAUUUGAACAGAUGGAUUUGGUGAUGAUGAAUCGGGUGGAGCGGGUGUGGAAGAUCCAAGAACAGGAGGUUAUAAAAGGGAAAGUGGAGGAAGAAGAGGAUAAAUAGUAGUCGCCGGAAGAAAAAGAAUAAAAAGAAUCAGCGAAAGUGUUCGAAAUUUUAUAAAAUAUUAAAUUAAUAUCUCUGAUAUAAUAUCGUGCAUGAUCAUUUAGAAAUUAUAGAGACGUAGGGGUAACGUUGGUAUAUUGUAAAUUAUACAGUACUGCAAAAGUGUUUUUUCCCAUAUAUGAACAGCACUUAGGUUAUCUAGUGCAUUUACUUUUUUUUUUGUUGUAAAGGAUUACUUCAUGUCAAUUUUGUUAACAAAAAACGAAGAUUACGGAUAUUACACAAUUGAGAGUUAGAUUAGUACAAUGGAAAUGGAUUGCAUUGAAGGAAUGCUAAAACUCCAAGAAUUAACAUAUAAAGACCUUCAUAAAUUUAUUUAUUCUUCUAAAUGGGGAAAAAAAAUUCCAAGAAUUUACACUGUUGCAUGAAUUUACACCGGUAAAACCGUAAAAGAGAACCAAAGAGGUCGUAGCUAUACCUACUCUCAACACUUGAACUUGUAUGUCUUAUGCAAUUAAGGCCCAUUCUAAUUGGUGUUUUUACUUUUUUUUUUUCCUAACAUCAUAAUGAUUGGUGUUUUACAUACUAGUAGUUUCAUAAAACGUUUUUUUUUAAAGCAGGGUUAAUUUUAGAAACAAGAAAAAACAAAUCCAGUAAUACAAAAACUAAUGAAAACUCUUAUUAUAUAAAGUUCAAAUAAAAAAAAAUUGGUCCUAUCAAUCACGUUCGUACUUUUGUUGCGAUGUUUUCUGGUUUCUUUAAAUGAAAAUUUUAGUUUUCUCCAAUCUAACACCUUGUUAAAGUUUCUUCUUUGUAUAUAUUUUAUGAUAUAUACCAUUUAGCUAAAAAAAAGUCCAAAAUUUUCUUUUCGUUGGAGACGUGUGGUACUAACUCUCUGCCUGUAGCCGGGAAUCUAUUCUAUAGACAUCUCUCUAAGGAGGUAGAAUGCGCAAGAUGCCAGACAUGUGUUGAGACGCACAUACAGAUUACAAGAGUAUGUUAACAAAAGCUCCUUUGCUCUCUCAAAAGAUAUUCGUCUCCUCUCUCUCUCUCUCUCUCUCUCUCUCUCUCUCUAUCCGUUGGGUGUGUCCUCUGAGGCAGUGGGGAUGUCUGAAACCACAUCAGCCUCGUUUUCUUCAACGGCCAAGCUCGAGACUUCGCCGCUCAAUGAGGAAACUUCGUCCUCUGCCGUGACAGAUGGAGCAGGGGACGCGUCUGUGCUGGUGCACGUCGUGGUUGUGCUCUGAUCAGUUGACGACGAAUCCGAACUCUCCGAUGAGUGUGAGCGUUUCUGAAGACUCCAGUACAUUAUACUCGCCGUUAAAAUUAGGAUCAUCUUCUGAUUCACCUGUCACAACAUCCCAAUUAGCAUCUCAUCAUUAACUCUACUAAGUAACUGCUGUUUCAGGUAAAAUCACCAAUAAAUCUCGGUUCUUACCUCCAUGAUAUCUUCAGGCAACAAGAAAACCGAACAACCGAGCUUUCUUGCGACGCUUACUAUGUACGUAGCAUUCAGCCUCUUCUCGUCAUCUGUAUGUUUCAACGACCAUACACACACAAAACAAAAAAAAGCUUGAUUGAGUUAAGACUGAGAAAGUAACUAGAGUGAGUCUAGUAAAGAAAGUAGUGAACCUGUUUCACCCUUGGUGACAAGAUUCCAGUUUACAACUCUUGGCUCAACAGCCCAUAGAAGGUCGAGGAAGAAUAACCCGUUCGAUAGACUCUUGUCCUGAAGAAACUCAAUUUGAUUCACAUUCACUAGAAAGUGAUGGUGGACAUAUUUUAUAAGAUAAGUGCUUGAAGUUGAUAUGAAGAAACGAACCUUGAAGCUCUCGAUCUGCGAUUUUCGCCCCAUAGUUCUUACUUUCCGGUUGGCCCAGCUGAGGAUAUCUGCAUCAGUCAUUUCUUUACCUCGUGUCCGCGAUCUCAGACUCUUGAGAAGUUGGAGCAUAUGAAAUCUCAUCAACUGCCACAACAGACCUGAGACCAGAAAAAAAAACAUAUGUCUCUGUCUUGUAAGACGAUCAUCUUCUUGCAUCAAGCAACAAAGAAACUGCAGUAAUGAUUACCAAGAAUGAGCUUCUUAUUCCCUUGAACUAUGUCAUUUCCAGCUACAUUUACGAGUGAGAAUUUGAGCUCUUUCCCAAUCUUUACGACUUGAUUGCAGUUCUCUACUUUUCUAAAUGGCAUCUUAAUGGGCGGUUUGGAAGCAUGCUUCCAAUUCACUGACCCAGGAGAGACCUUGUCAAGAACUUCCAGGAGAAUCCAUCUGCAGCAAAUUAGUAAAUAGAACCAACGAAAACGCUUCAGCACCAAAACCGUUUUCAGUUCUUUUUCUUUUUUGGUUGCUUUACUAAAACGACAAAAUAAAGCUUACCCAUUUCUAACAUCUUCAAACACAUUAUUGACAUAACUUUCAAUCCCGAGGCUGUUGAUCCAUAGCCGGUAGCAUCGUUCAUCUCUACAAGUCUGUACAUCUUCGGUCAUCAUCUCCGCAAAUGAAUACUUACCAUUCGUACUUAGACCAUUCCUGCAACAGGUACAGACAGGUAGAGUAAAACUCAGUGCAUAGAGAACGUAAAACGCUUAAAAUCAAAACUGGCAAAAUAUCUCCAAGUAAAGGGAUUUCAUGUAAAAAGCAUAUGAAAUCAUUGAUAAUAGCAUUGUAUGAAGACUGUGUCCGUUCUUUUACCAUUAACACUCCCAAUUUUCUUUGUCCCGAAUAACUUAAAACAACAGGUUUUUUUUUGAGUAAACUGUCACCAGCCUAAUCAAAUAGGACUAUGAACAUUUUGACAGAUGAAAGUCUAUCACAAACCUUUCAUGGAAUAUUUGUGCCACAAAUGCGAGGUUCAAAGUUGGAGAUCCUUCAACAAUCUCUUGAGCAUUCAAGUAUCGUUUGCAGUUCAUUCUCUCUGCAUGAUUGAGAACCAGUUCAGCCCUCUCAAGAGACUCCUUUGAAUCUAGUGUAGCCGGGUCACAGUGUUCAGGUGCGAGAACAUUGAGCAGGUAAGCAUAGGCUUGUGCAUCCUGCAUAUUUACCCGAACACGCUUUACCAUUGAAAAAAACUUGAUGCGGUUCAAAAAAAUCUUUUUCUUUUAUGACUUAUAUGAUCGUUCACAUUAUUUCUCUUAUCCAAGAACUGAUAUUACUUCUGCAUGCUGGAAGAAACAGUAGCACGUAAAUACAAUCAUUAAUCCGCCUAGGUAAAGAGAUAAAUAAGCAAAAGAUGAAGGUUUCCUCUAAGUUAAACUCUGAGAAGGUAGAUACCUUCAAGUCCGAAGAAAAGUUUGAGACGGUUUUCUUGAAACCCCCUUUCUUAAGAUGGAAGUUCAUCCAUUUCAGUAAAACUUUCUCAGGGGGUAAUCUCAGCAACUCCUCAACAUCCUGUAACAGAGAGAAACUUGUUACAAUUAUAAUUUACAAGACGAUAUACUUGAGUGACAAUGUGAUUGGUAGCUCAAUUACAUCGUUGUCCUCUACCAACUCAACAAGCUGAGGCGUCUUCUUUAAAUUGAGAUCAGCGAGCAGUUGAAUCUGCAGUAACCAACACUAUCUAGUCAAAUAAAUUCAGAACAAAAAGAAUAGUCCGAUACACACAGAGGACAAGUGGAUGAGUACAGACCUUUAUGAGUUGUGAAAUCAAUCCGAGCACCAGGUGAGGCUGCAAAAACAUCAUUAAACCUCCAUGCAGGUCAGAACAAUGCAUAUCAAAUGUACACUGAACAAUGAUCAGACCAAGCAUACCCGUCCUUCUGCCAGGUCCUGUGUCCCAAUAUUAACAACAGUGCAUCCAACAGCUUUCGCAGAGUUGAGACAAAGCGUAUGAUUCUCAUUUCUCUCCCACGGGUUAAGUACCCUCUUCGUGUUGAUCGCUCGUUCAUCUAUAGUCCCGGGAACUGCUACGUUUAUGAGCUUACUGCGCCGGAAAGAAAGGAAUAGAAAUGAGUGAAAUCCAUAAUCAAAUUCACUCUGUGUGUUGAUGGACUCUAAAUGUAAGAAUGUGCACCUUACCAAAGAAGCACACCAUCUUUCACAAGCUCAUACAACUCAUUGGAAUCUGGGUCAAGUGGAAGGAACUGCUUCAGAAAAGGGUCAUCACCAAGAUAUCUGUUGAUGUGUUGAACAAAAGAACCCUUCUCCGACUGGUGUAUAGUGUGGAGAAGUGUCGUUGUACUAGCUUUAAGAAACGAGGAUGCGUUCUUAUGACCACCAGAGAUCUCAGCUGCUUUACCUUGUAAGCUGAGAUAUAUCUGCACAUUAGGGAUCAAUCCAAAACCACAAUGUAUUUCAUAUACUCAAUCCAAAACCCGAAUUCACCAAGAAACACCAAAAGAUCCAACAUACCUUGAGAAACUCUUCAAAACCCACAUCACUGCUUGAAUCAAAACUCAAUUCACACAGAAUAUCCCUGAUUUCGUCCUCCUUGAAUGUUGAAUUAAGUGCCUUGAGCUUCACCAAUAGAGGAGGGAGGUCUUGUAUGGUGAUCUUUCCACUCUGAUUCUUCAACGAUACAAACUAUACAACACACAAAACCAAUUGAACAAAGAUCAAACGGUGUAUACAAAAAACCAACAAUGAAAGAGAGAAAGGACAAACCUUGGAAUUGAGAUUUCGAAGUUCGAGUUGUGUGAACUGGCUCUGCAGCCAUGGAUCCGAAACGACAACACCCACGAACCCAGACAUCUCCUCGUUUACCAUUCACCCAGAAGCCUCUGUUCGAUUCUCCCUGAAAACGGAUCACUCUAAGCUUCAGGUAACUAUUGACGAACUAAUUCUGUGGCCAAGAAAAAACCCAAAAUAAUAUCACCGAGUCGAAAAAUUUGUCCUUUACAUAGCAAGAGAAAGCGAUCAAUAACAAUAGGACAAAACUGGGUAACCGACCCAUUAUCACGAUAAUGUACGACUCCAUCACGCAAACUAUUGUAUUAUCCAACACUAAUCUCGAAAGAUCAAAGAUAGUCCCAAUGUACGGAAAUUCGCCACUAACCUCGAGUGAAGGAAAUUCGGCGUUGAAUUCCUCGCUACAACAUCGAUAUCGGUGUGGAAGUGACCGAGACUGAGGAACUAAACAGCAACGUGCAAAAGAUAAACUAGGUCACGUGAAGCAAACUCAACGAGACGAAGAAGAUGAUGAAGGGGAAAAAAGAUGAAUUUUGUGCUUCGUGUGAGCAAAUAACAAAGCCGUGAAUAGAGAGCGAGGGAAACAACAAAAAAGGACGAGUUUUUAUGUUUCGUGUGAAUGACAAAAAGGGCUCAUUGGCAUUGAAUGCUUAAUUUUUGAGGAUCAACGUCACGCGCGAAAGUAUACCAUUAGGUUCUGGAAACUCGCUCUGUGAUGGAUACACGUGGAAGGGAUGUGUAUCCACCUCGACAUAGGACGCUGACCUCACGGUGUAACGACUUGUCUACGUGUCACUUCUCUUGACAUCUCACAUUUGUAGCCGUCUGCAUUUACACCAUAGUUAGAUUGUAUUCAACAUUUUUAAUUUUUAAUUUGUAUAGGUAACGAUUCUAGGUUCACAAUUUACAACAUUAUGCUAGAAAGGUUGUAUGGUUGAUGUUGAAAAUUGGAGUGGUAAAAUAUUGAAAGGUAGUAUAAAUUAGGACAUCAAAUCUCUACUAACGACAUGUCUUAACGGGUUCAUUGACGUCAACGCUGACUCUCAGCCCAUUUCAAAAGACUUCAAAAGACUCCAAAUUUUUAGGCCAAUACUAUUUAGAAAUAAUGUGUGUAAAUUACCUUAUGACAAUUGACAAGAGUUCAUUACUUCCUUCCUUCCCAUCACAAGGCCAAACCCAUAAUUAACAUGCUUGGAUGCUCCACUAUUUUGGGCUUUAUGAAUUAGGAUGCACAUGUAUUCAAUGGUCACCAAUUUUCAAGCAGCAUGGUUUAGUAUCGAAACCUUUUUUUUUUGUUUUUAAUAUCGAGAGGUUGUAUAUAUUGGCGUCAAAAACAUAAUCUUGUAUUGUAAUACUGUAUCAAUUAAUUUAUAUUGGUUUCUGGAUUAUUUAUUUAUAUUUUGUUUACAUUAACUCAGAACUUAAGAUGGAUAAAUAAUCAACCAAAUCCUGUCACGCCUGAUGGAACCAACUCGAAUAAAGCUUGGUUAUGUAUAAUCUUCUUUUUAAAAUGUCACAAAUCGACAUAACCAAAGGUCCAGAAGUAAUUGAACAAUCUGAAUGCCCACAAGUAUCUAAAGAUUAUCAUGGAAACUUUUAACAAAAUCGAAGAACAAAGUGUAUGUAAUGUAACAUGUUGCAAAUCUCACUCUUUUAGCUUCUAUAAGUAUACAUGAUGACAACAAAAAAAAAAAAGAAUAAAUGUCCUGCACAUGUAGAACUACAUGCACAGUGAUGCACAUGCCCAACUUCUGUAUGGUUUUCAUUUUUUUUUUUCUUUUGGAUUUUAGUGGCUAUUUACCAACUUGUGUUUGUUUCCAAGCAAUCUUGAAAAUUAUAUCAAUUUUUAUUGGAUAUCUUCGUUAUUGUUAUACGAAAACAGGUAAAAUUAUUAGUUAGUGUCAUUUGAUUGGUUGUGACAUGUUAUUAGCUACAAGUUUUUUUUUUUUUGGAAAAAGCUAAUUAGGUACAAGUUAGUGGAGUGAAUCUAUGCUUUAUAGUGUCAUAGCAUCAUAUACGUGAAUCUAAUUUGAAGAUUUAUUUGCCGUGUUUAUGUGAAGAUUGAACAAUCUAUAUAAGACGACGAUGCAUUGAAUAUUUGACGUUGAUACCUUGAUGGUAUUAAGGGUUCUAAAUGAUUUACUUUAUAUUUAAACUUGUAUAGGAUUUGACUCCUUAUUCUGAAGAAUCCAUGUUGCAAAAUUGAGCAUUAAGUCAAGAAAACUCUUGAAAUUCGUUUAUAUCAGUGGUAUAGUGUUUAUUGUUUCUACUAGAUCUGUUUCUGAAUGUAGUUCUAAAUUGCAAAUUGGAAGAACUGAACCUUGUUAAGGAUGAUGUGUUUUAAUCUAUUCGUGCAUUCGAUUAGUUUUACUUUUAUUUUUAUAACCAAAAAUAUCGUUCUGUGUAAAUAAAUCAUGUGUGUUCGUAAGAGUCCGUGCCAAUAUUUGAUAUAUGUUUUGUAAGGUCCAAUCAUUUUAGGAGGGGGAAACAAUUUAAGUUUUUCAUAAUCUUGAAGACAGCCAGGUAUGUUGGUCGUCUAUUCAACCGUCCUACACCAGAUAAAUAUUUUACUCGGAAAAUGAUAUAAAAAUGUGUUACUCAGAAACGUAUAAUUACAAGAUUGAGGUCAACAUCAUUGGAGAGCCUUUUCUUUAUUUUUCGAGCCUAAUUAAUUAAUUAAUCUUGGAAGUUGGCAGAGUAAUAAUAGUAAAUAUUUUUGAAAGUCAAUUAAAACAAUUAUUCUAAAAUGUAUACAACAAUCACAUCAACAUCCUAAUGAGAAACUUUCCUACAUGAAAUUUUUGUUUAGAAUCAUUAAAAAGAUUUUCGAAAGCUGCGGUUUAUUUUACAGCAAACAACGGCCCCACGUUUAACGUGACAGGUUUGCGCGUCUUUGCUGAUCUCAUAAGUGACCAACAAAUUGCUCUUCGCCACGUGUACGAUUACAGAUAAGUCAUGACGGCCAUGUUGUGGGACCCGACUUAGCUGUUGAUUCUUCAUUCACCACUUUUAUUCAGUUUUUUGCUCGCGCCGAGCCGCCGACCAAAGCUUCGUCUCUUUCUACUUAUUUGUCUUUAAUGUUGUGAUUACCAAAUAAAUAAAUCCUAAAAGAGACUCAGAUCAUAAUCCGAAUUAUCUGACAAAAAUACUUUAAGUUAUAAAUAAUUGAUAUUGAACUUUUAAAAACCUGUCUAUAGUAUAGCAUCAACUUUAGUUCUUUCAAUUUUCUUACUUUUUUCAAACUUAAAAGGUUAAAAUUUCUUACAUUGUUUACAAUAGUUGGUUUAAAAGCAUGUUUUGUUGUUUUCAAAUUAUAUUUUUCUUCUAAUUUUAAUAUAGCCUACUUGUGUAUACAAAAGCAAACAUGAAUUAUAGUAACUGAUAAAUGUCAAUGCAUGCAAAUGUACAAUUCAUCAUAUUUAUUAGUUAAGGGACCCAAUUGUCCAUAUUAAUUAAUGAUCUUUACAAGUUACUUAAUAUUGAACUUUUAAAAACCUGUCUAUAGUAUAGUAUCAACUUUAGUACUUUCAAUUUACUUGUUUCAAAAAUAAUGCAAACGUUAAUUUAAUUAUAUUUGUUACAAUAUCAUAAACAUUAUUUGUAAAUGGAAUUAGUAAAAUCCAGAAAAAUCGAUAUAUUUCUAUAUGGUGUUCUAUAUAUUUAUGAUAAUAUAUUAUAUUUUAUCAUUGUUAAAUUAUAAUUGAGCUCUAGAGCUAAUUUUUAACCAUGUCAGAUUUUUGGUCUUGUUUUGCAAUAGAUUCAAGUAAACAAAGACAACAUGCUACUACAAUUACUAUUUUUGAUAUCUCCAUUCUAAUUAUAACAGUAAAAAAAUACUCUUUUUUUACUAAAAAAAUGUAUAAUAUUGUCAAAGUCCGAGGAACAAAGAGCUCAGCAACACCAGCUGAGAGCUGAAGCCGACCAACCAAAAUCUCGGCUCCUCGACGGUCCAAAAAAUACGUGAUUACGCGUAAUUGUGGUAGACUAUUGGAAAAUCAUUUCAUGAUAAGUACUUAAAGAAUUAAAUACACUUGUAAGAAGAAAUAAAUCAUCAGAAGCUUUUCUAAUGUUAAUUUAAUUAUUUUAGUUUUAAUCAACGAUCAUAUAAAUGAGAAAGAAUCCCACAAACGAAAUAGCCAGAACUAGAAGACCUCUCUCAUCCACCUCUCUCUCAAAUCUCGCCUCGCUCUCCGAGAAGAAAUAAGCCGGUCAAGUCGCCGGCGGGAGUAUAAAAGCAGGUUACGACGAAUUCCCGGCAAGGUAAUCCGACAAUGCGAGGGUUACGAGCUUCCUCGCUUUUACUCUGUGGUGUUGUUUUAAUUCAGCUGCUUGCUGCUCAAAUCGAUGCUCAGAAAUCUAAAAGUCCAUGGCUGACGCUCACUGGUGAGUUCUCUCACUGCCUCUCUUUCUUUGCUCUUUGUUUUCCGAGAAAACGAUAGAAAUUAGUCACCCAAAUUUGUAGUACAACUUGGGAUAAUCAAACAUAGUAUUUUUAGCCAGUUUAGGACAGUCACAUAGUAUUUUUAGCCAGUUUAGGACAGUCUCUGAAUAUAGAAGUGUCCUUCUCAAAAUUAUUUUUAGUCUCUUGUAUUAAAUCACUUCUUGAUUACCAUUUUUUUUGGGGUUGUCAGGUGAUUUUCCUCGUGUGAUUGCUCGUGGUGGAUUUUCUGGACUGUUUCCAGAUUCGAGCCUCGAUGCUUACAAGUUCGCAAUGAUUACAAGUGUACCAGAUGUUGUUCUGUGGUGUGAUCUUCAGCUAACCAAAGAUGGAGCUGGGAUUUGCUUCCCUGGCUUAACAAUGAGCAAUGCUUCAUCUAUUAAUGGUGUUUACCCAAAUCGACAAAAGUCAUACCUCGUCAAUGGAGUCCCUACUCAGGGUUGGUUCACCAUUGAUUUCUCCUUGAGAGACCUCAAGGAUGUUACCUGUAAGUGUUCAUGACUCGAUCACUGCUUUUGUAGAAAAACCAAUUUGGUUGUUUUUCUCCCUGCAAUUUCUCACAUUUGUUCUCACCUGUUGCAGUGAUCCGAGGUAUACUCUCUCGGUCGGAAAAAUUCGAUGGAAAUGGAUACUCGAUUCAGACGGUUCAAGAUGUAGACGCGCUGAAACCACAAGGUUUCUGGUUAAAUGUUCAGCACGACGCGUUCUAUGCUGAGCAUAAUCUGAGCAUGAGCAGUUUUCUGGUAUCAGCUUCGAAAACUGUAAUCAUUGACUUCAUCUCUUCCCCUGAAGUCAACUUCUUUAGGAAAAUUGCUGGACGUUUCGGGCGUAACGGACCGAGUUUUGUGUUCCGGUUUCUCGAGAAAGAGGAGUUCGAGCCAACAACAAACCGAACAUACGGUUCUAUCUUGAGUAACCUAACUUUUGUCAAGACGUUUGCUUCAGGGAUUCUUGUUCCCAAGUCUUACAUAUUGCCGCUCAAUGACGAGCAGUACUUGCUUCCUCAGACAUCAUCCUUAGUGCAAGAUGCUCACAAAGCUGGAUUGGAAGUUUUUGCGUCAGGUUUUGCAAAUGAUGUCGAUAUUGCACACGACUACAGUUACGAUCCAGUGUCUGAGUAUCUAUCUUUUGUGGACAAUGGAAAUUUCUCUGUCGAUGGUGUGCUCUCUGAUUUUCCCAUCACAGCAUCUGCAUCCGUCGGUAAGCAAAAUCUCCUCUACUUGCAAGCACUUUGUCCUUAAAAUACUGAUGAAAAUACUCCUAAAAGAUCUUUUUUCAUAUUUCCCUCAGAUUGCUUCUCCCACAUGGGCAGAAACGCUACAAAACAAGGUAUGAGAGUAAUAAUAACUUUGCUUUGUUUCUUGCUAUGACUUACCAGUUACCCUUACCUCAAUAACGAAACCUGUGAUUGACUUAUCAUUUUCUAAAUGGUUCAUGUUUCAGUGGAUUUUCUUGUUAUGUCAAAAAAUGGUGCGAGUGGAGACUAUCCAGCGUGUACAAACUUGGCAUAUCAGAAGGCAAUCAAAGAUGGUGCUGAUGUUAUCGACUGCUCGGUCCAAAUGUCCAGCGACGGCAAACCCUUUUGCUCAAGUUCGAUCGAUCUCGGGAACACCACAAUGGUCACCCAGACUCCUUUCAGAAAUCGUUCAGAAACUGUCCCUGAGAUUAGCUCAGUCGGUGGAAUAUACACUUUUAGUCUCACAUGGCCUGAGAUUCAGACCUUGACUCGUAAGUUUCUCUUCAAAAUUUCUAAAUUUUUCAGAUAAAUGCUGGUCUGCUUUGUACACUCUUCUUCCUACUAUUUAUAGUCACUAGUUUGAGAGCUUCUAUGUCCACUCCUACUUGACUUAAAAGAGGUUGAUAUAAAUUACAGGCUACUUUAGAGGUUACAUAACAGUUUUAAUAACUAUUCUCCAAUCGUUUUAUGCAGCUGCUAUAUCAAACCCCUACAGAGGAGGAUACCGUUUGUCUAGGAAUCCAAAAGAGAGAAAUUCUGGGAAGCUUCUUUCGCUUUCUGAAUUCCUUAACUUGGCAAAGGACUCGACCUCUCUCUCCGGUGUUUUGAUCAGUGUAGAGGUGAGUUCUCGUGUACCUCUUAGUCUUUUAAUCAAUCUGACCAUGACGUCUUCACAUGGCCAUGACACUAUGUUCUUUUUGUCCCUCAGAAUGCAGCAUACCUUAGAGAGAAGCAAGGGCUCGACGUGGUUAAAGCGGUUCUUGAUACACUCACAGAGACUGGCUAUAACAAUAUUACAACCACAAAGGUCAUGAUUCAGUCAACAAACAGUUCGGUUCUAGUUGACUUCAAGAAACAGAGCAAGUACGAGACUGUGUACAAAGUUGAGGAAACCAUCCGUGAUAUUCUCGACUCUGCUAUCGAAGACAUAAAGGAAUUCGCUAGCGCUGUUGUCAUUGGAAAAUCAUCAGUCUUUGAAGUCACUGAUGGAUUAGUCAUUGGACAAACCAAAGUUGUAGAGAGGCUACAGAAGUCUCAGCUCCCGGUUUAUGUGGAGCUGUUUCAGAACGAGUUUGUAUCUCAACCAUAUGACUUCUUCUCUGACGCAACUGUUGAGAUAAACUCGUAUGUCACUGGAGUCGGUAUAAAUGGAACCAUCACCGAGUUCCCUUUCACAGCUGCAAGAUACAAAAGUAAGUGGUGGCCCAAAAACUGCACCAAAGCUCUCACAUCAGAAAGUUGUUAACAUCAAUGCCUAACUUAUUUCUCUUCUGCAGGAAAUCCAUGUUUGGGCAGCAAAGAAAUUCCAUUUUACAUGGCACCUGUCCCACCCGGUGGCCUCUUAGAAGUAGUGAGUCCUGGGUCCCUACCUCCAGCCGAAGCUCCUAAACCGGUUUUCACAGAUGCUGAUGUCACUGAACCACCACUACCUCCGGUUACAGCAAAAGCCCCAGCCUCAACCCCUGGAACCCCAUCAACCAAUGCACAAGCACCUAGUGGACAAACCCGACUCACUCUAUCUCUUCUCCUUUCUGUAUUUGCAAUGGUUCUUGCCUCUCUUCUACUUCUGUGAUCAACCCUUGAUCACGUCUCCUCUCUGUUGAUAAUGUUAAGGUUAUCCUGUGUGUGACUCAGUCAAAUCUUAACAGCCGGAAACAUCAUUUUUUUUCCUGUUUAUAUUCUAGUUCUGUCCAAAAGAGCAGGAAAUUCUUGGAGUGUAACUUUCCCUCAGAUUCAUUUGAGAUAUUCGUUUGUUGUUGUAACAUAUAUUCUUAUACUCUUGCCUUGUGCCUUGUAAUAUUUAUGAGAUUGUAUCCUUUCUUAAACACGUAACCAAUUUCUUCUUCCAUUAAACGAAAAGAAAUUGGAAUUUUUGGUUAAUAACUUGUUACUUCUCAGAUACCUAAAGGCUCUUGUAGAAUGCUUUUUGCUUCCAUCUCCUGUAACAACUCUGUCGCAAGUUGGUCUUUCCCUUGAUGCUUUAGUCCAUUGCAGACCUGAUGAACAGUCCUUGAAUCAAGCGGGAUUGAUCUUCUGACCAUUUCCCUCAACACUUGAGCUGCUCCAUCAAAAUCGUCAUUCUUACAGAAGGCAGAAACCAACAUAUUAAAUGUUUGUUCAUUCGGAUGGCAACCACUCCUAAUCAUGCUCCUGUACAGUUCAAAACCACGGUCUGCGUUUCUCCUCACGCACUGUCCCAUUAUUAACGCAGAGAAGGUGGAAGAGUUUGGCACCAAAUUCUCUUUGUCGAGUUCUUUAACAAAGUGUGCAGCUUUCUUCGUCUUAGCUUGUUUGCACAGUCCCAAGAUCAACGCGUUGUACGUCAAAAUGUCACGCUUAAUCCCGUUGAAGACCAUAUCUUCAUAAAACCGGUAGGCCAUCUCGUGAUCACCCUGUUGGCUGUACCCAUUAAUCAAAGUGUUAUACGUGACAGUGUUGGGAGCCACCUUUACCGCUUUCAUCUCACCGAAAACCUUACUAGCUUCUUGUAACUUCACACUUCUGCAAAACCCGUGAAUGAGAGUGUUGAAAGUAACCACAUUAGGCUGCAAGCCGUUCUUCCCCAUCAUGUUCUUAAGCCUCCAAGCCGAGCUCAAAAGACCCUUCUCGCAGUGCCCGGCUAUCAAUGUAUUAUACGACACUUCCGUGGCCUGAAAACCCAAUCUUUCCAUGUCUUGCAGCAACUCAACGCCCUUGUCAAGUUUCCCUGAUCUGCAAUAACACGAGAUAACCAUGUUGAGAGUGUACGUGUUUGGGGAUAUCUUACAUCUCCUCAUUUCUCUGUAAAACCCAAGAGCAAUAUCCACCCUCCCUUGACCAAGCAGUGAGCUCAUGUAAGCAUUGCAAGACUCGACAUUUGGAAGAAACCCGUAAUCCUUCAUCUGCGUAAAAGCGUCUGUGGCAUUUCUGAAUUUCUUCAGAUGAGCAAAAGUCUUGAACAGCGAAUCAAACACUCGAGGCGUAGAGUCACAUUCCCUGUACGAAUACAACAAGGCAUCAAACAGCUUGGCAGGCAAAUCCAAGCCGCCAGUUACGAGGAUGUCUCUUAGAAUGGACUCUGCGGAUUUGAAUUUCCGGUUUUUGGUGAGAGUGUGAAGAACAAUGGCAUGGGUUUCAAGAGAGUGGGAGCCUGGGUUUCGGGUUUUCGCCCAGUUGAAGAACUCAAGGGAGAGAAGAUAGUCUUUCUGGAUUCUCAGUAGUAUGUUCUUGACCCUAAACGAAUCCAAAUGUUUGGAUAGCUUAUCAAGCUGAUCCCAAUCAGAUUGAAUCAGGUGGCUGUGAGCGACAUUGACGAAAUCAAGAUCUUGGCCUUUAGGUUCAGGAUUACUCCUGUGAGGAAUCGGGAUUGCGUUCCUGUUUCCAGAGACGAGACUUUUAGAAAACCUAGGGCUUUCAGAUCCCGGAACUAGCCCACCAUAGCCAGCGAAACUUGAGAAUUGGUAACACAGAUAGCGAUGAACACCGGUGCUUAUGCGGAUCAUCAUACUGUAAGCUAUUGGAGCGUAACGGCAAAAUCAGGUUUCAGUACCAGAGAUACAGAUUCAGCAAAAAAUGAAUCCGCAAGCCAAAAUAAAUACCAGUAAGGUUGCUAGCACUUCAUCAGUACAAGUAUAUAUCAUCUCAUGACGGAGAAUCUGAGAAAUCUACAAACAUCAUUAAGUAAGCAGACUUUGAAAUUGAGGCCGAUCUUGUCUAACUGCGAGAGCUACUUCGGAAACGGAGUCGCGCAGAUUGCCGCCGGAGAAGGAGGUGUGGAAAUGUGUUCAGUGAAAGUGUAAAAUAUAUUUUUUUAGUCGGCCUUAUGUGAAGCCCAUUGGAAAAAUAAUGAGAUGUUCAUUAGAAAUUUGGAAAAAAAAAAUCAGAAAUGGAGAUGCGGGGUAUCGAUCCCCGUACCUCUCGCAUGCUAAGCGAGCGCUCUACCAUCUGAGCUACAUCCCCUUUGUGAUUCAGAUAUAGGUUAUUCAGAUUUAGUUCACAGAUAGUCUUUUUCUCAAGUUGAUCGGAAGUUCGGAUCAGUGUCUGUUGGAGGUGGCUUAGCACCCCCAAUUAGCUAGGCCCAUCUUGGACAAUAAAGCCCACAGACUAAGUUAACAGAAACCCAGCCAAAGUCAACGAGCCCGAUCAGCAUGGUCCCGCCAAAUCAUUAUCAUUGCGACGCCGAUCUACAGUGCGCGGAGCCGAGCAGAACCUGGCACGUGUAAGGGCAGUUCGUCUACAGUGACCUAAGCACGCAAGUAGCUCGGCGAAGGACCAUCAUCACACGCCGCGGAGUGGUUCGGACGUGCGGCUCCAGACGCCAUACCCGCGAGAUGCGCUGAAGCUGCCACGUCGCCCCGAUUUGGAGUAAACUCGUCUCCCAACUCCCGCUAUAAAUACUCCUCGUAGAUAAUUUAUGAGGGGAUCCAAAAAAUUAUUACUCUCUCUCUACUUUAAUACAUUUGUCUCUCUACCGAGCUCGCUGUAACAAAAUAAAAAGCACCGAACUGGAUCUGCUCCAGACUUGGUUCGAAACAUCAGUUGUUAUCUCAUUGCAAACAUCCUUUACGUUUCCGAGCUGACACUUUCUUUUUCCCCUUAACUAAAUCACUCUUAUUAUACGAAAAUCUCACCCCGAAAUCAUCUCUAAUCAUUCUCAUAAUCUAUUAAACAUACUUAAUGAUCUCCAGGAUCAACAGUGUCAACGAUGAUCAUCGCUGUCUCAAGAUUUUCUGAUCUUCGUAUUGUAUUUGUCUGAAGCUGUGUGCUUCCACUUUUAUGGUAAUAUCUAGAAUCCCUUGUACCAAUUUACUUCCAUUUCGGUUCUGGAAUUUAUACAACACCGCAACAUCUGGAGCUUAGUUUGGUCAUUACGAACCAACUUGUUUCAAGAAGCGUGCGAUUUUGGCAUUGAGUUUUUGUGUUUGACGAAAAAAUAGACAGAGAGCACACAAAGUGUUCGAUGAAAUGUCUCUAAGAAAGUUUCGCCUCUUUUACCCUUGUGUCUAUUUUCUCUUCCUACACGAUCAUUUAAUCUCGUUCGUGUUUAUAAAUAUUCAUUGACUAACACAGAAACUUUAUAUAUAUACUGUAUAUAUAUGUUGUAGCAAACGAAGAGUUGAUUCCAUCUGGGAUUUAGCAUUGAGAAUGUCGUUUUGCUAUCCAUCAUCACCCAGAAAAGUGGCGAUGACGGUGGCGUUUUUUGCCUCUGGGGCUGCUCUUUUCGCCAUUGGAAUCCAUCUCUCGUAUCUCAACGUCGCUCCUCAGCAAGCUCGCACUAAAGCCCGUAAUGAUUUUGUCAAAGAACGUCUCAGGCAGAAACAAGGAAAGUGAUUUUCAGGUUCAGAUCAUGUCCCAAAACAGAACCAUUUCUUCUUGAUGGUUUUUGUUUUUUGUUUUUUGGUUCCGACUUCACCAUUUCACCUCUGUACGCUCAACUCAGUUCUUUGCUCUGUAGAGAAUAGAGAUAACGUAAAUUGCAAUUGAGAAAACAAAUCUCACUUUUGUCUGGAAAAUUUUGACUUUUACUACUAUAUAAAAUCGAAAUAAGCAUUCGUCAUAAAAGUAGUGAAAUUCUAAAAAGAAAUCGUAUUAAUAGAGCAAAAGGUACACAAGUCUUUUUUUCUUCUUCAAAUUGACUCUUGCAAAAAGCCUUUAAUAAAACAUUCUCUCACAAAGUACAGCAAAAGCGGGAAAUUUAAACAUCUACAGAGAGCCUAAGGCACAAGAAAAGGAGAUUCAUGGAACAUUAGAUCUUCUUGGGUUUUGCUAAUGACUUGCAGAAAGAAGAGAAGGCUCCUUUGAUUUCUUCAUGGAUCGGGAGAGCGAGAGAGAGUGGUAAAGGACGGUGAUGAUCUUGAAAGUUUCCGGUUUGGUGUCUCAAGGAGACCGAGUGAGCCAAAGCUGUUUGUCUUUUGUUGAGUCCCUCAAGGAUAAAAGAGAAAGCCCCAAAAGUAAGACAACUCUGUAGCAUAGCCUGUGGAGCACCUGCAACACAGACCAUAUAUAAGGAUUGGUUACCUCUUCUCUAUGUUAGGAACCAAGUAUUUUACUUAUAUGAUUCAGAAAACCAAUAACUGUCUUUACGAUACCCAGCAAAGUAGAAAAAAGAAAACGAGCAUAAUGGGUUUGGAUUACCAGGGAAACUAAGAGCAAGACCGGUGCAGCACCCAGCAACUCCAACAUUAAUGGCUGCAAAAUAACAACAAAUGAAUUCUAAGUAAGAGAUACAUUUAUAUAAGUUGAUGUAAAAUUAGGCAUAUGUAAUCAUAAAAACUUAGGAGUAAGAGAUAUGAAGAUUCUCACCGUCAUCUUUCCCACGCAGUUGCUUCAGAAGGCAAACAACCAAACUGUGUACUCCAGAUAAAACAGCGAAAGUCUGAAACAAGAAAUUGCAAAUCACUCUCAGUCUUCUGUAACAAUAAGCAACAUCUAUAAAAAAUUCUGAUACAGUUCCAAUGCUAGGAAAGAUUCGUUUAUAAGAUGAAGUACCUUUGCAGAUUGCCCUGCAUCCGCAAAUGAUCCUUUAAAGCCUUUCUUCUUGAACAAUCCUGAACCUGAACGUGAACGUGAACGUAUAUAGUGAGAGAAUGCUUAAAAUUCAAUAAUCUCAAUCAAAAGUUGCAGCAAUCAAUCUUAUCACAGCCACUCUAUAACGAAAAACUAAGCUAACUCUCUUCUACAGAUUCCCAGCAGCAAAACAAAAUCAAACUUGAGGAAUGUUCAAUCAUCUUAAUCUGAAAUUAAUACAGUAAUUCUGAAAAUAACUCAUAGGGUUAGUCUCCUAGAACACCUAAUAAUUACUCAAUCCUUAAUCCAAGAAACAUGUUCUGAAAUCAAAUAAAAGAGUACAAACUCUGGUUUUCCCCAAUAAAUCUAAUCUCACUCUCAGAUAAAAACGAGAAAUUCCCACACCGAGUAAAGCAACCGCAGAUAAAACCAGGCAUAGAGAUAUAAGAAAGAAAUGAAGAGAAAGAAGAAUCGAACCAUAUCCGAAGAUAGAGCCCAUGACGGCGCCACCAGCUGCAUCUCCGGCGAACCGGACAAGACAAACGGCGGGAGCAGGGAUUGCCAAUGCCUUUGAGGAAUCAUUAGUGUUCGUAUCUCCACCGUCAGAGUGAAGGUUUGAAUCAGAGUCGAGAUUCCCGUCGAUGUCUAUAGCAUUUGAAGAAUCGGCCGCCAUAUUUAAGAACUUGAAGCCUGAAGUUUUCGGUCUCUACCUAAUCUGGAAAUAUCCUUUUUCCCAGUUUGAUAGAGUAAAAAAAAAAAGAUAUCUUUUCCCAGAAGACGACGACGCUUGCUUAGUUUCUUUGCUUGCACAAUAAACGACGACGUUUUAAAAUUCAGCUUUUGAGAAUUGGGCUCGUUUAUAUACGGAUCCAAUAAGCGCCCACUUACGGAAUUACAAAAGGAGCUAUUGUAUUUUCUUUCGACGAUUUCUUUCCAAAUUGUUUUACUGGACGCUAAUCCUUUACAGUAUUUGAAGCACUCAAAAUUAAAGCCGAAGAGUAAUCAAUACUACAUGAUAUUAAUGUUUCCAAGGUUACAAAUCAUAAGAAUGUUUCCAAUAUUACAAAUCAUUAUUUCUGUUUAACAAUGGCAGAUACUUUGACAAAAUAAAAACAAUGGCAGAUACAAGAGAACAACAAUGAUAAAAACGGGAGACAAGUAAGAGUUACUUAGGAUAUGUAAAUGACCGAGAAGGUCUUUUGUGUUUCAGUAAUGGUGGUCUUGAUAUAUGGCUCCGAACUCUGCUCUCCAAGCCUGAUCAUCCUCUUCAUAAUCAUCAAAACUGACAGCUCCGGUUCGAUGGUCUGAUACUUGUUCUUCAUCGUCCUGCUCAUCCUUGUACCAUGGCUGCAACAAUGCUGAUCCUGGUAAUUUACUCUCUGCUAAGUAUUGCUUCAUUGUCCCAAUUUCUGUCUUGUGUUUGCUCUUAAGUUGUUCCAUUUGCUUCUUCAGCCUCUCUUUCUCUUCUUCCACCACACUGAAUCGUUCCUGCAAUGAUGGUUUCAAUUCAAGUUUAGCCAUUUAAGAAAACCAAGAUUUUAUGACCACACAAAUAAAGGUUCUUGUUUUACCUCAGAGACUUGCAAGGCUUGUUCAGAUUCCCUUAGCCUGACAAGUAGUUCACCAGCAGCUUGAACAGCUUCAGCAGUAUCACGCAGCUGAGUUCUUAGGCUCUUGUUCUCCUUCUUCAACAGCUCUCUUUCUUUCUCCUUCUCUGCUCUGAUAGCAGAAAGUUCAGCUGAGAAGGCUUUGGCAAAACGCUUUCCAUGGCGACCGUUCAUAGCGGCCUUGGAUGCUGCCUUCUUCACAUCUGUUAUUCCAGCCAUCAUCACACUGUGCUUCUCUCCUAGUUCAUUGUACUUCUCCUGCAGCUCUGUAUACUGCUCUAUGAAUCUACUGUGGCCAAGCACAGCUCGAGUUAGCGCGUCAUUCAACUCCUCUGUUGCUAACUUCUCUUGUUUGAGCUCAAUCUCUAGAUUCUCUGCACGCCUGCGAUGGUUAUCGAUAUCCAUCCUGAGAUCAUCUGUUAAAGAUAUCCACUCACUCUCCAUUUCUGUCCACAUUUCCCUUUCUUUCUCUAGGAUAUCACUGUUCUCAGCGUUCUUGGUAACAUCAAUGCUUUUGCGCAUUUGAAUGGAUCUUAGUAGCAAAGAGGAUCUCAGAUUGUCUGCAGAUUUAGUAGGUUGCAGCUUGCUCUUUAGCUCUGCAAUCUCCUUGAGAAGAGCUUCCUUUUCGCUUAUAUCAAAGUUUUUCUUUCCAGAUUCUUCGCUAACUUCUUUUGUCUCAUAUGUUUCUUUGAUUAACUCUGUUCCAUCUUCUCCAUCACCAGGUUUCCUAAGCUGCAAACAAAGGCCAUAACGCAGCCUCUUCAGUUUCGAUUGCCAUUCUUGGCAAAAAUCAUUAAUGAAAAGCAACCGGUUGCUUCACAGCUUUGUAGUAAUAUUAGUCUAAGUUAAGAACUAUCAAAAACUCAUUUUCUGAAAAACCAGAUUCAAACUUUUAACACCAAAUUUUCUCGUAAGCCUACAAGAUAUUUACCAGGCGUGUUAGCUCGUCGAUUUUGGUUGCUUGCUCCAUGCACAUGUUCUUGAGAUGUUUUUCGUUCGAACAAGCAUCUCCUGUAGCCUGAUAUAGAACAGAAUGUAAGAUAAAUUGCCAAAUCGAAUUACCAAAACUAAAUUUAUAGUGAAUGUAGGCAAAUCUCCCGGUUUUGUUAGACAUACUUCAGCUUCCUGGUCAAGUUUCUUUCUGCAUGAAAGACAUAAGAGAAUCGACGAUGAUCCACCUUCUGGAGGCUUAUCUUUUCUUAACGAUUGAACUGAAGCAUCAAGGUUAUCAGCUUCUGCGCAAGGUUUCAGUGCCAGAUGGCCAAAAGAGAAGGAAACAGAAGAACUUUUUGAUAGUGAGCUACGCUGAUGAUAGUCUAUAACUUGCAGUCCUCUCUGAAGACUUGCAGCUAGUGAAUCCGUAGGACCUGAAAGCUUCUUUGACACAGAAGGGCUAACUUGAUCUACUUUCAUGUUUCCAAUGUUGGAGCUCUCGGACACAUUCCUAGGACUUGAUAGAAACUUUGUUGAUGCAGACACGCUUUUCUGGAAAUUCCUAAUUUUAGGAGAUUCCGAGAAAACUGGCUCUUCUAGAAUGCAUGUAGGAAGCUUUGAGCUGAUUGAGAUGCCAGUACUCGAUGUAUCCAAUCCAACAUUGUCGAGCUGGCUUGGAUCAUCAUCUACAAAGUCAACAUCUUGAUGCUUUGGUUUGUCCAAGUCUUCUGAGCAGAUAUCGUCUUCACUCAUCGAGUCUGCUUCAUCGCAUGAGGCACUUGCAAAUGAGGAGUGGAGAGAAUCAUAAGAACCAUGAAACUUUUCAAUAUGUUUAUUCAGUUCCAGCACAUCUUCACCACGAUCCACGUUCAUCUCUUGUCCUUGAGAUGCAUCUUCCUUUGACAUAAGUAAAGAUUUGUUGAUACUGGCUCUCAAUUGACUCAAACUGUCCCGCGCAAAGUGACCACUCUUACUUCCAUACCCAUCAGAUUUUGUUCUAAUGAGUUCGUCCUGUAACCAAAAAUACGCAGUUGAUACCUCAAUGUUAGUAUGCAAUAGAUGAUACUUUCAUGUAAGAGCAACAAAGAAGACCUUUAGUUCUCGAAUCUGGUCACUCAAUGGGUCAUGUUCCUCUGUAAUUUCACUUGGCACUGAAUUGGUUCUUCUAGAGAGUACAGUCCUGGCCUCAACCUAUCCCAAAUUAAACAAUAAAGUCAGAGAGUGUAAAAAAACUUCAAAGGACAAUUCACUUUAUGGAUCACACUGUUUACCUUCUUCAAUGGUGAAUCCGCAAGACUUUGCUUGUCUUGAGCAAAAGUGUUUGGUACCAUUUUCUUUUUCUGUUACAAGUUCCAAAGGAUCUCUCUCCUUAAUAGAUACAAAUUAUGAUACUACCAGAUAUCAAUCACGCUAAAUAAACUACAAAGCAAAAAUCUAGAAUCUAAAAGGCAAGAAACAGAAAUCUGAGAACUAAUUUAGAAAGUUUACCUCAAUACGCUCUCCGAAAUUUGCAGAGGAGAGCAAUUUCUUCGGAGACUGAUUUGUGAACUGAAGAUCAGUGUGAUGAUCAUCAGCCUGUAUAUUUGGAUCUACAGGAAUCGUGUUCUCGUCGUCAGAUCUGGGAAUCUUAGUUUCUGGAUUUUGGAUCGGUUUCUGCUUGGCAGAGAUGGAUCUGGGAAGCAAAUUUCUGAUCGAAGAACUUGUUAUGCCUCCUAAGAACCUGUUCUCGCUUAUCUUCGCCGGAGAUUUCAUGGUUUUCGAGGAGAGAGAGACUGAGAGAGAUUAGAAGGUCUUGUGAGCGGGAUAAAGUGGAAAACGAGCGUUUUUGAAAUGUCGGGAUGCUUUUCUGUCUUUUCGGAAAAGAAAAUGGAAAAAUACAAAAUACAGAAAAUCAUUAUUGGAGUAAAACUUAGAUAGUGGGCCUCUUAAAAGCCCAUUACCUUCGAAUAGGAGAAGUAAAGAAGAUCGUGAUCACAAGGCAGACCUUUCUUCGGAGGAUUUUGUUUACUAGUUCAUAGAAACUUCUUAUGCUAAUGCUAAUGAUGUAAUCUCAUACUGGAUGUUGUGGCUCUUAAUCACAAUGUCUAUGUCUUAAUUAUUUGUGUAGUGACGCUGUGUUAUUGUCACUUACUGGACCCACUUUGUCUUUGCUGAGGCUAAAGAUUCAAUUAUUCGAACUUUUCAAUUCUUGAUAACAAAUCCAAUGUCUUCUUUUACCAAAAAAAAAAUCCAAUGUCUUCAUCACAGGAUUUUUUUUGUUUUUCCUGUUAUAUGUCCUAAUCAAAUUUUAAUUUUUUUAACCUUCAAAAACCAUGAAUCAAACUACAUAAACUCUACACUUGGGUUAUAAACAAAAGAGAAAAUAAUAAAAGACGAAAAUAUCAAAUGCAACAAAAUAAUCAUUUUGGAGCCUUUUGCACAAUGUUUUCUCACACGCUAAUAGAAAAAUCAAAAGUUCUCAUGAACAAUUCGAAUUGAAAGUUUAAACCAAACAAAAAAUCUGUAAGAAACAAAAAAAAUUUAACAAUUAGAAUUACAAACAGAGCACACAACAUCAAGAAUCUUGGGGGAAGAAGAGAAAGCCUAAAGAAUGAUGAUCGAGAAUCAACGAUCUCUGGUUAUUGCUAUGGAGACGAACGCAGAAAACCAAAUCUUUUAUCAUCCAUGUUGUAUCUUUGCAGCUACCAAUCUGAUCUUAUCUUAUGUAAGAAUUAAAAAGAAGAAAACCCUUUUUUGUGUUUGUGAUGCUAACGAAGAAGAAGAAGAAAAACCAAAAAAAAAACAUAAACUCACUGUGAUGAAGAAAGUUGGUUUUCUUUCUCUACUUUUGAUGAUAUCCAAUAAACAACUCUUCAAACUCUGCAACGGAAAUGGCUUGUUCUUGAUCUACAAAUCUCACUUUUCUUCGUCGAAUUUUGUUUUUUCUAUGCUUCAAUACCUGAAAACGUUGAAUCAAUCCAAAUUAAUAAUUAUCCUCAACUGGAAAUCAAAUGUAUCAAAUGAGAUCAACAAAGCUAAAGUCUUUAAUAUGCUGAUAAGUAUACGUACGUACCUCUAUUUGUUUGUCUGUUCCCAACACUGUAACUUCCAGGGUAACCUUCAGAGGCAUUACCAGAUGGGUCUGAGCCUACAUUGUCAAUACCAAAGCCAUAAGAGCGAGACAAGCCGUCUAACUCAUUAGAAGACUGAUGAGGCAUUGACUGCUGCCACGUUGAGUCGCUAUAAACCGAGUUGUUGCUUCUGUACAAUUCCCCUAAAGAGCCAUCAAAACCGUUUGUAUUACCCGAGAAUGACAAACCAGGAAGUCCAGAACCCGUCCCAAAGUUUCUUCCAUAGCCAUUGGUAUCGCUCGCCACAGAAGAAAGUCCCCAGUUUCCUCUGUUGUUACCAACAGAUACUCCCAAGUUCCACCCUGGACCAGAAGAAUCAGUUCUGUUUCCCCACAAGUCUCUGUUGCUUGGAUUGUAAGCAGAGUCUCCUCUAUUGUAUCCGAUAGGAGAGUUGUAACGGUUUGGAGAAGCACUGUUGAAGUAUUGGUUGCCUGGGAUCCGGCUAUAACCAAGAGUGUUUCCAUCAAAGCUUGAAUUCAAACUUAGUUCUUGAUUCAAACCGAGCCCAAAGCUAGAGAAAGCAUUUCUUCCGCUACCAAUAGGACUAAACCGGCCAGCAGAGCCUAAGUUAUUGUUGUUAUUAUAACCAGGAGCAAAACUAUUGAAGUAGCUAUUAGCAGAUGACCUAUUAGAGACUACUCCAUAGUUAUUACCAUACCCAAGAAGCGGGCUUCGGUUAGCAGGAGCUGAAGCGGGCUCCUUUGGCACAGCUCUUUUAACCUCAACCAUUUUGCCGUUUAGCUCGUGGAAGGUCUUGUGAAGAACCAUAUCAACAGACUCUUCAGAAUCAAAAGUGAUGAAGCCAAAGCCUCUUGGCCUCUGUGUAUUAUGAUCAUACAUUACCACAACAUCAGCAAUUGUACCGAACUGAUCAAAGUAGUUCUUGAACUCGGCCUCGGUAAUGCUAGACGGUAAACCUCCAACGAAGAUCUUCUUUGUCCUCCCGCUGCCACCAUUACCACCAUGGCUAGGUGAGAUGAGGUGCAUUGGACUUGCGUGUCGUUUUAGCACUUGCUGAUCAUCCCGUGGUACAGCUUUCUUCGCCUCGACCUGCAACAACAUAAGACAUCAAUGGAUCUAAGCACUAACAUUGCGUCUCCUUCACACAAAAAGCAAUAAAAUUUACUCAAAAGUUAUAACGGCAACAGAUGAUCCAGAAACUAAUGACACCAAAAGAUUUCUAAGAGAGUGUUAACACAGAAAGAUCUCAACUUUAGAACAAUCUGCUGCUCAAGACUCAUCAAUGGACACCAGAUAGAUCUUUUAAGAGAGCAUGACUAAAGAAAGAUUGAAACUUUUGAAUCCGUUGCACAGGAUUACUAACCGUGCGGCCAUCGAUGAUGUGUUUCUCCAUGAUCACUCUCUCUGCAACAGAAGGAUCUGCAAAGACGAUGAACCCAAAGCCACGGGCACGUCCUGUAGUACGGUCUCUCAUGAUCACAGCUUCAACCAAAUCUCCAUACUUGCUAAAAUACUCUCGCAGUCGUUCCUCGUCUGUGUCCCAUGAAAUCCCGCCAAUGAAGAGCUUGCCCAGAUCCGAUACAGAUUCCAUCUUUUGCUCCUGCAAAACCAAACGCGAUCCAUGAAUCCGAUCUUACAAACACGGAUCAGUUGAAGAUUGCUAACACCAACACCGAAUAGAUUUCGGGCGAAUCUCAAAUGAAGCUUUCAUUUUUUGUUUUCUACGAUCGUGUCUAAGAUUUAAAGAGCUCAAGCUCUGAGAUUUAUGAUGACUUGUUCAAAUUUUGAUUAUCGAGAUUCAUCUAAUCUACUUUUGAUAUCCAGAUGAGUUUUAUCAAGAUUCAAAUAUGAUGCGUAAUGAAAAUCAAACGGAAAAGAAACAUGGAAAUCUACUUUUGUCUGAAACAGAAUCCAAAUCCCAGUCCCGAUCAAAUCGGAAUUGAGUAUCUUCAAAUCUGACAAUGGAUCAACAAAGCAUCCAAUCAAAAAAAUAAGAAAAAAACCCAGAAUGAAAUAAAUAAUCUCCCAAACAAAAGAAAAACUACAAAGGAAUGAAACAGAAAAUCAAUGGGAUGAAAAAACGGCAAAUGGACAAAGAGAGGAAAAAAAACGCUAGAUUUGAAAGAAAAUAUCAAACUUGUGGAGAAGGAAAUUCACCAUUGUGGAGAGGACCCAGAUGAUAAAAUGUGGAAAACCUUAAGAUCUGGAAAAAGGGACAAGGACAAGAGAAACAGAGGAUGUUUUGUUCAUUCUAUAAGACAUCCACUCUAUCUCUCUGUCUCUCUCUCUCUAUAGGGUUCUCUCUUACUCUUAUCACGAUGGCCUCCCUCUCUCUCAAGCUUAUUAAAAAUCUUUCCUUUUCCUUUAUUUUUUUUUUUUUGUAAUGCUUUCUUAAUUGAUUUACUUAAAAUCCAUUUAGAAGGAUUCCAUUUUUCCUCAGGCCAAAGAUGGUAAAAGAGAGGAGAACAGCAGUCACGUAUAAUAAUAGGGGGAAAGAUUUGAGAUUUGCAUCUCUCUUUUGGUGUAAGAAUCUUAUUUUAGGGUUGUUAGAGGGAGGCCCUAAAGACAGAUAAUUGGAAGAUGAUAGCUCUUGAAUUAUUUAAAAUUUUUAUUUUCCCACAACUAUAUUGAUCUCAAUAAUUUAUUUGUGAGAAACAAUCAACUGUAACAGUUUUACAUUUCUAAUGGGAUUUAAUGCAAGUAUGGGGAGUCGCUCAGAAAAAUUCAAGAGUAUUGUAAUUGACAAAUCUUACAAAAGAAGGCAAUUAUAAAAAACAAAGAAAUUACAUCAACAACUAUUUCUUGAACCCAAAAAAAACUCCUUGAAUUACAUAAUAUAAGUAGAAACGAUGUGAACAUAGAAUCAGCAUGUUUAUCAAAACCUCUACACAUUAUUCUUUGCUUUAGAAACAAACUAAGCUUAUAUGCAUAUAUAUAUAUAUAAUUCAUUUUAGAACUGAAAAUUUGUUUAGAGAAGAAAUUGUAGUCUAAUGAUUUGUUUCUUACUAUUAUCGUUGUGUUUAUACGGACGAACAAAAUGAUAUAACUUUUUACACAUACAUAUUGAUAUAUAUAUAUAUAUAUUUAUAGACACAUACAUAUUAAUAUAUAUAUAUAUGUAUAUGUAUUGAAUCACUACCUAGGACCUACCAAAAUGUAAGCAUCAUAAAAAAUUAAUAUCUUUAAUUAUCAAAUUACAUAUGUAAGAAACAUAUACAAAUGGAAGAAACAUUUGAAAAUUAGAAACUUAUACAUAUUAUUUUGACUAAAGUCGUCUUUAAGAUUAGUGUAAUUACUUAGUGUCACGUUAAGUUUAAUUUAGGAGGAUUUUUCAAAUUACAUAAAAUUAAGGUUAGUAAAAUCAUUUUACGUUAAGUUGUAUUUUAAUUUUUCUUUGACCGGUUUUAAAAGCAGUGGCGAACGUCCAAUUAGAAUUGGGAGUGAAAUUGUCACCCAUAUAUUAUUCCACUUGUCCUUAUCAUAAAAUGUUUAUAAACUUUUCUUUGAUUCGUUUUAACUAUUCAAUAGUUUAUGAGCAUUUAUAUCCUUUUAUAAUACUCCUUCUGUUUUAUAGUAAGUGUCGUUUUAGAUUUCAUUUUUUGUUUCAAAAAAAGUGUUAUUAUGUAACUUUUUAUUCUUAUUUCCUGUUUUAUCCCUCAUUUAAAGAUAAUAAUUUUUGUAAUUAAAUGUUAUAAAAAUCUAUUAAUUAGAUAUAUAUUUAUAUAUUUUAUUAAUUUUUUAAUCUGUGUGAAAUGUGUCAGAAUGAUACUUAUUAUGAAACGGAAGAAGUACUCUUUUUGUUGGUUAAAUUGUUUUUAACUGAGGUUUUGUGUAAACAGAAAAACGUUAAUAAUUUGUGUGGCUAUAAUAAGACCUUUGCGCUUUAAAGUUUUAGUAAAAGUCAUGUAAUGUAAUGAAACCUGUUUCCGAAAUAUUCUUCAUCUACGUUUUUUUUACACAUCUGAUAUGUAUGUCUUUUUUUUAAAGGAUUUGCAUACAUCUAUGUAUGUCUUACGUUGACAUAUUAUUAAUAUAUAUACAAGACAGUGAAUAAAAAUAUUAAGGUACUUGAUGAUAUCUUUAAAUAUUGCAGUCUGCAGAGAUAGAAUCAUAUGCCCUACAACUAGAAGAAAGUAAAAUACUUUUUUUGCAUCAUUUUUACUCAUUUUAGUAUUCUGUUCUAUUGAACAUUGGAAAAUGCACAUAUUCUGUUAUGUGGGUAUAUAUGAGAUAAUUAUACUAAAAUAAGAAAAAAAUAAGUUUUCUAUAAAACUAUCAAGCAGGAAAGAUAGGAUCUAUAGACUGUAGACAGCUUGUCUUGUGUGGAGGCAAAAGUCUACCCAAAUGUUCUUUUUGGGCAUAAUGAUGUUUAUGAGUAUCCAAGGGUUGCAUUUAUAUUUUAUAUCAAAUAAUUAAUUAUAUAUAGACGGCCAAAACACAACUAAUACUAUUUAGCAUUCGAUGAUCUUAUAUUCUCAUCUCAUUGAUAUAUAUUACAUUUGUUUUAGUUUUAGUAUUCCCCCUUUGACAAGUUUAUUUAAUACCCAUCCUAAGAAGUUAAUUACUGUAUGAGUCUAUACUUAAGUUUCUCUCAUGACAAUUUUUUGUAUGAUCAGAUAUGUAAAAUAUUUGUUUGUGUUAUUCAUCCAAGCCGUCGGAUAUUCUUUAAUAUUUAAAAUGUUUAUGGUCAUCAAACAGAAAACCACAAAAUAAAAUUUCCUCGCUUAUUUUCGAAAGAAUUCAGUCCUUAAAAGGUCUCCAGCACUUGAUAACAAGAUCACUAUUCCUCAAAAUAUAUGCCUAUAUUAUGAACUAAAAUAAUUCAAACUUUAAGUACACCAAACUAAAAAAUCGAAACCAUCCUUUUUCUUGGUAAAAUGUUUGAUCAAAAUUAUGAUGAUGGUGUGGCUCUGCGAAGGACACCACCUUUUUGAACUUUAAAAAAUGUCCAUGCAAAGUUGCAAACUUUACCGUUUCUAGAUUUUUGUAAAAUAAUAUUUUUUCCUUUCUUUUGUUAAAGUAUAUAAUUUGUUUUCUUCUUGUUAAUCUAUAGAUUAAAACAAAAUAUGUAAACAUACAUAGAUUAAUUAACAAGAAAAAGAAAAAAACGACAUAGAAAUAUUCUAAUAUAUUGUAAAAAUAAAAAAAUUAGAAAAAUACUCGAAGUGUCUAUUAGAACGAUUUUUUUCAAACGCAGAUAUCAUCUGAUUAGUAAUCGAGUAGGCAAUUCGCCCCUAAUCACCUCCAAACCCGUUAUAUGGUUAAUCAACCGUGGUAUCUAACACAUUGUAAAAAAUUUACAAAAAAAAGGUUUUGAUGACUAUUAUAUGUAGUCUGAUAAUUUAUGUUAGCAUCGUCAAAAUAUGUAUCCGACUUUAAACAGUACAUGUUAUUGAUUAAAAAAUAUAAUUUUAUGUUUUAAAAAAUUCUCUAAUAAUAUCUGAGUGGACCAACUUGGAUCCAGAAUGUCACCAUUAUAUAUCCUAAAUGGUAUCCACGCAAAUCGAUCGAAUACAAUCACCCCACAAUCCAUUAAUAGCUUAAAUCUAACGGUAAAAAAAAAUAUUAGCUUAUAAUAUUGGUUAAUAAUGGUAAAAUUAGGUUAGUACCACGAAACAAUAAUAUUAUUUUUAAUGAAAAAAAAAAAACGUAAACAAUAAGCUGAUUCUUCCCAAUCAACUAACACCUUCGUGUCUUCGAUUCCAAGUCUUGCGAAAGUCAAGACAAAUGGGCCAAGUAAUUUGACUCAAGGGCUUGGCUGAAGCCCAUAUAAACUGACAAAUUAAAUAGGGAAUGGCCCAAUAUCACCUAAACCCACUUGUUGUAUUUCACUCUACGGUUCCGAUCAAGCUAGGGGUUUUUUUUUUUUUUUCGAUUUCAGAGGUUUUUCUGUUGAUGAUUCUACACUUGGUGACUGUGAUGUCGUCAUCAUAUUCUCCUAGUUGUUGUCACCUCGUCGAGAUUACAAAUGAGCCACGAAGCUAUGAAGUUUACAAUUCGUCUUACUAAGCUACUCUCUCGUCUCUUUAAAAAACCCAAAAGAAGAAACAAACUCGCCUCCUGUCCCAACGAAGAGAAGAAUAAGCUUCACCUAGUUCUUGACUUGGACCACACGCUUGUCCACACGGUUUUUGUUUCACAGCUCUCUCAAAAAGAAAAGUAUAUAAUCGAAGAAGCUGAUUCAAGGGUAGAUCUGGAAGGUCGACAAAGGCCACCCAAACGAGUUAAUCAUAAAGCUACGGCCUUUUGUUCGUGAGUUUCUACAAGAAGCCAACAAGCUUUUCUCCAUGCACGUUUACACAAUGGGCUCUUCAGAUUACGCUCAGACCGUGUUGACUUUGAUUGAUCCUAAGAAAGAGUAUUUUGGAGAUCGAGUGAUAACUAAUAAAGAAAGCCCUUUUGAGAAGACACUUGAUCUCGUUGAGGCUGAUAAGCGUCGUAGAGUGGUCAUUGUGGAUGAUACGAGUGAGGUUUGGCCUGAUCACAAGAGAAACUUGUUCAAGAUUAGCAAGUAUAUAUAUUUUAGAGACGACUACGAUCGGAAAUCUUACGCGGAGGAGAAGAGAGAUGAGAGCCGAAGCAACGGAGCAUUGGUAAAUGUUCUGAAAUUCCUUAAAGAUGUUCACAAAAGAUUCGAAGACCAAGAGUUAGGUCCAAGAGACUUGAGGCUGCUGAUACAUUAGCAUACAACGAAUUUUUGAGUUUCAAUUCAGCAAAUCUGAUGCUAUGUUUGUUUUGCAAUUUCUCAAGAGAUCCUGAAUUGUAAAGUAGGUUCAAUCCACAAUGUUAUUUCACUCUUCACUUUUUCAGAAGCUACUUAGAGAUUCGGAUGUUUCUGGUUCCUUUCGACAACUCUAGCGUACGUACAAGCUCAUACAACUCUCUACCAGACAAAAUAAAACCUUUUUAUGUCUCUUGAUGGAUAGAAGAUCCCAUAGCAAAGAGAUCUUCUACUAAACCUUUUUUCUUCUUCAUUGUUGUAUCAAUAGGAUAUUCGUAUUUUAUAAACAUAAAAUGGUGUGAUUUAAUUACCAUAAACAAAUCAAAUAGUAGUUACUAGAAAUUCAGCUCCAUGAAUCUAUGAUCUGAAAUAUUGUGACGAACGGUCCAUCAGAAUAUGUUAAAACAUAAAUUAGUGGCCAAUUUUUCUGUGAAAAUAGUGAAAUGUUUUUUUUUUAAAACAAAGCUCUGUUACUUAUUUUUCUUGUUGCCAUGCUAAUGGAAAAAUAAAUAUUAAAAAAAAGGGGCAAAAACAAUGAAAUGAAAACGCGGUCGCAAGUCAAUUUCUUUCUUCCUUCACUGACACACACAAGAGCGAGAAAGCGAAGAGCAAAAAAGCUCUCAAUCCGCCAUAGCUGAGCUUCCCUUUUCCUUCCGUCAUUCCUUCUACCAUUGGAAAAUCACCUUUAGAUUUCCCUGAAAUGAGCUCUGAAGCUAAUGACCGGAAGAAGUUUCAAGUCGAUUGCCCGGCGACGAUAGAUCCCACGGCAAGGCACGAUUCAGCUGGAGGAGGAGGAGGAGGAGGCAGUGUUGCUGGAGGUGCGAGGUACAAGCUGAUGUCACCGGCGAAGCUUCCGAUCUCGAGGUCGACUGACAUCACGGUUCCUCCUGGGAUGAGUCCGACGUCGUUUUUGGAAUCUCCUGUUUUCAUAACCAACAUCAAGGUUACUUAUGCAGCAGCUUCUCUCUCUCUCUCACUCUUGCUCUUCUUCUCUUGUGGAAAAUUUCACCUCAUUUUGUGGUGUCAAUUGAGAAAUUAGGUUUUCUGAUUGCAUUUUUUUAGACCCAAAGGGAUUUGUUUCUUCCGUGAUUUUGGUCUGUGCCAUGUUGCACUGUGUUCAAAAUUGGAUUUUGAAGUGGAUUCAGCAAAAAACAGAUUAUUUUUAUUGAGAAUUCGUCCCACUUGUGUUUGCUUCAAUUCCGAUUCGGAUCACUGUUCAUAUUGUGGUUUAAGUGGAGCUACGAUUCUUCUAGUAGUGUCGUGCUUAGUGUGGGAGAAUUUCUAGGGUUUUUUUAAUUGGGUUCUGUAGUUUGGUGAAGAUGCUUUCUGUUUGCCCACAAGGAAAAAACAUUGGACUUAGGUUUUCAUGUUUGCUUCUUAAAUUCAACUACAAGUGCUUUAAAAAACUAUGAUAUCUUUGCUUACGUUAAGGGACUUUGGCCCAGAUUCUGAUUCUUCACGUUACUAUACUCUGCAUUUGUGUCCGUUCAGAUUGUUCUCUGGAAUAAACCCCUUUCCUUUAUAUUGUUGAUGAUUAGUUUUUUUAUUUAAAAGUCAUCUUUCUCUUCAUGCUUCUUUUCUUCACAUUUUCGAUCUUCCCUGUGUUUGGUGCUGCUCUUGUCUUUUUUCCACUCUUUAUUAAUUUUUCUUUUGGUAGCUUAUAUUAAAAUUGAAUGAUUCCGUUGGUGAGAAAAAGUACCAUUUUUAUCAUGUUCACCAUCUAGAGCUAUAGAGUAAUCAUUUCGUGAGCAUUAGCUUAAAUUAUGUUUAAAUAUCUAAGUGACGAAUACUAGGUUAAGUGAUGCUCUGCUCAAUUAUCAUAUCCCUUGAUUGAACAAUUAAUAAUUUGUCCGUUUUGUUUUAGACAAGUGGUCAUUUCAUUCAGUUCACAAACCAUCAUCUCUAUUGAUAAUGGAUCAGGUUCAGGUUUCACAAAAUCCUUGUCAUCAUCAUCUUUCAGCAUAAAAUAUUUUUGUUUAUGUAUGAUAUUUUAUUCAUGUUUCUGAUAAAAUUUGGGUAUGUGAACUUUCUUUACUUCCAGCCAGAACCUUCACCUACUACUGGCUCUUUGUUCAAGCCCCGAGCAGUGCACAUUAGCUCAAGUUCUUAUACAGGAAGGGCAUUCCAUCAGAACACCUUCACCGAGCAAAAGUCCAGUGAAUUUGAGUUCAGACCACCUGCAUCCAAUAUGGUAUUGUCUAAAGAAGUGCUUUUUGUAAUGCUUUCGAUGUUAUGUACUGUUCAGAGAACGGAAAAAAUCCGUACUCUAAACACUGGGUGAAAUAUCUUUUAUGUCCACAACUUGUAGUAAUUAACUUUCUUGUACACAGUUGAGGGUGGUGUUAACUAAAUAUCUUUAUUGAAUUCAAGGUUUAUGCAGAGCUUGACAAGCAUAAAAGUGAGCCACCAGUACAAUUUCAAGGCCAGGGCCAUGGAUCCGCACACUCACCUUCUUCAAUCAGUGAGGCUACAGCUUCCCCAAGUGAUCUAAGCCGGCCAACUCCUCCUCGUCAGACUACACCAACGAACUCUGAUAUUCCUGCUGGAUCUGAGCAAGAUGAAUCAGUCCAGACAUCGCAAAAUGACUCCAGAGGAAGUACGCCAUCAAUCUUGGCUGAUGAUGGUUACAAUUGGAGAAAGUAUGGGCAAAAGCAUGUCAAAGGGAGUGAAUUUCCCCGGAGCUAUUACAAAUGUACACAUCCUAAUUGUGAAGUGAAAAAGUUAUUUGAAAGGUCUCAUGAUGGCCAAAUCACUGAUAUUAGCUACAAGGGUACACAUGACCAUCCUAAACCUCAACCUGGUCGCCGAAACUCUGGUGGUCUUGGUAUGCCUUCGCAAGAAGAAAAGCUAGACAAGUAUCCUCCUUUGACUGGCCGAGAUGGUAACCAUAUCUAUAACUUGAGACAAGAUUGCACUUACAACCCAUGACAAUAUCUAUAACUUCAUCUGUUUCUUCUUCUCUUUAUUUCUGCAUACAGAAAAGGGCGUCUACAACUUGUCUCAAGCGAUUGAGCAAACUGGUACCCCUGAAGUACCUCCUAUGUCAGCAACUGACGAUGGUGCGGAAGUUGCAAUGUCUAAUAAGAACAAAGAUGAUCCGGAUGACGAUGAUCCAUUUACGAAACGGAGGUAUUAGAAUUUAACAAAGGAUUUAGGUGCUUGCUCUGAAACUAUAUGAGACUUUUAACUUUGUGCAGGAGGUUGGAUGGGACCAUGGAAAUAACUCCACUUGUGAAACCUAUCCGGGAGCCUCGGGUUGUUGUUCAAACUCUGAGUGAGGUUGACAUACUGGAUGAUGGCUAUAGGUGGCGUAAAUAUGGGCAGAAAGUCGUAAGGGGAAACCCAAAUCCCAGGUCCGUACAACCACAAAACUUUUUACCCCAGCAUAACUUGCAGUUCAAGAUGGUAGCUAGAACAGUGUAGUAUUUGCAUUCAGGGGCUAGUUCUUUUGAUUUGUGCAUAGAGUUUUGAUUCUCUUGGGAAUGGAGUUUGGGAUAUGGAAGAUAGUGAUCUUAACAGGCUCAACGUAAUGGAGAUAUUAUGUUUCGUAAUGUUCCUCGGGCUUUUGUAGGAGCUACUACAAAUGCACAGCUGCUGGAUGCCCAGUGAGAAAACACGUGGAGAGGGCAUCACAUGAUCCAAAAGCUGUAAUAACAACAUACGAAGGCAAACACAACCACGAUGUUCCUACUUCAAAGUCUAGCAGCAAUCAUGACAUCCAGCCUCGGUUCAGACCAGAGGAAACAGACACCAUCAGCCUCAAUCUUGGUGUUGGAAUCUCAUCUGAUGGACCUGACCACACUUCCAACGAGCGUCAGCACCAGAAUCAACAACUCGUAAGCCAAACUCACCCAAAUGGUGUCGGUUUCAGGUUUGCUCAUGCAACUCCCAUGUCAUCCUACUAUGCGAGCUUAAACGGUGGUAUAAAUCAUUAUGGCCCGAGAGAAACUCAGAACGAGACUCAAAAUGGUGACAUCUCGUCUUUGAACCAUUCGUCUUACCCAUAUCCACACAACAUAGGGAGAAUACAAUCGGGUCCUUAGAAGACAAUGGAAGCAACAAUAUUGGAUUCUUCUUAGGUUAGGAAUGGAAUGAGACCUUGUUCUAUAUUAUUCCUAUUUCUUUGUAGAGAGCUGAUAUUUGAUUUAAACUAUCUCCACCAUACAUAUUUGUACGUGUCACCUGUUUUGAGUCCCAAAAAUGUGUUGUAAAAAAACACAUGAAGAUGGUAAUGCUUUUUUUUUUUUUAACAAGAAACAUUAAUAUAUUACGACUACAAACUAUUUCUUCUUAUGAUUCCCUUUAACUAGCACAAAGCCACGGAUUAUAAUCAUGCAUAUGUGUUUUUGACUCGCUUCAUGCAAUUUUAGAAAAUCGCAAAGUUUUUUUUAGUACUAGAAGAAGACCAGCGUGUACACUCGGGUUUGUAUAUUAAAUAUAUUUUGUAACUCAUAUAAACAGUCUAAAAUAUUUAUUUUAUUAAAACAAAAACACAUUUAGUGCUUGCAUCCAAACAUUCCUAAAGUUUUUUUAUAAUAUUUUAUUUUAUUUUUAUAUUUAAUUUCCGAAAAUUAGUUAUUAAUUUAAAUAUUUUUAAAUUUUCUAAAAUUUAGGUCAUCUUUAAUUUAAAUUUCAAAUUAUUAAAAAUUUAAUUAAAUUUAGUUACAAAAAUUUGCAUUCAAUUUAAUUUAAAUUCAAAAAAUUCAAAAAAAUUAUAAUUAAAUUUUACUACGAAAAUUUAGAUAAUAAUUUUAAUACUUUAAAAUUUCUUAAAUACAGGAGAGAUUUAAUUUCAAAUUUUAAAUUUAAAUAAUAUUUUUAUAAAAUUCUUUCAUCCGAUGCCAUCUAAAACAUGAAAAUCUGAAAAAUAUGUGCUCCUCAUCAGCUUUUCGAUUUGUGGAUUUAAUUACUGCAGCUAGAUCCGAUUAGAAAUUUUGCCUUAUUUGCCAUCACCAUCAUAUCUAAUCUCUAUAAAGCCUAAUCUUUCCUAAAGUAAGGUUAUAUGUUGAUUAAAUAUAUUUUCUGAAAUAUAAGAAAGUAGUUAAUCGUUUUGUAUUCAAUAUUUUAGUUCACUUAGAUCUCCUAAAUGAAUUUAUGUUUUUAGGAAUUUGAUCAAAGAUCGAUGGAGUUUGACCAUUUUUUUCUAUUUCAAAACUGAUGUGUCAAAAUAAUAGGAGCUGAUGUGUCAAACUUGUGAGACACAACCCACUCUUUAUAUAAUAGAUUUGUCAAUGUCAUUCCACUUUAGAUUUCACCUAUUUUGAUCACUCUUGUUUUAAAUCAAACUUAAAGCUAAGGUUAAUAAAUUUUCAUUUAACUUUCUUAAUUGGAACUUUCAUUUACUUAAUUUUCUUAAAUGUUACCCUUGUUUAGAUAUAGUUUUUUUUAAUCAAUUUGGUCAAUCAUAUUAACUUCACUUCCAUAUAGGAAAGAACCAGAGAAGUAAAACAGACACAAGUAAAAAUACAGUUCAUUCAUUAAAACGGGUAUCACACGAUUAUUACUGGAUAGUUUUUUAUCGGCUAUUAUGUAACAUUAUUUUUAACACCUAUUUUAUUUAUCAAACAAUAUCAUAUCCUAGAAAAAUUACCAAAACACAAUGGAUUUUAUCAAAAGUAACAUUUUAAAACUAAUACAAAAAAUAAGAUUUCAGUAAUAGCUGACCAAAUUUUAACAUAUAAGCUUUUGGUAUGGCAGAAACAUGAAAGCUUUUGGUCCUUUUUUCUGUAGUUUAUAUCUUCUUUUUUUUUGUCGCCUCUGUAGUUUAUAUCUUUAAAUAUUUGAAAGUUUAAUUCUUAAUAAUAUAUAAAGGAGAGAAUGCAAAAGAUGAAAAAAAAAGGUGUAUGGUUCGGCUCGCCACGUGUUUCGGAAGUUGGGCUAGUUCUAGUUCUACCGUCAUCGAUCCACGAGAUGCAUCAAACAUGAAAUCUGAACCGUUCAUUAAGUCUCUUUAGACAUCGGAAAUGGACCGCGGAUGCUUACUCCGACAUCCGACGUGGCAUUUAAUUGUAUUUAAAAUCUGGUUUUGCGUCCGAAUCCAUUAAUUUCUCUCUCCCAAAAACGCUACCAAAGAAAAAGCUAUUUGUUCUGUUUCGGAAGGAAGAAAGGCAAAAAAAAAAAAAAGAGAAAAGUAAACAGAGGAGAGAAAAAACUCAGUCCCGAGUCUUGGGGAUAGUGAGGUAAGAUUCCAAAGUCUUGAGCUUUCGAACGCUGUAGAUACUUAAAAUCUUUGUGAGCUGUAUCUUUCGAGCUUUGUUUGAAUUCGCAUGUUAAUUUGGUUGGGUGUUUCUGUGUUUGUUAAAGCUGUGAUGAGAAGUUAGGGUUUCUUAUGCGCUUCUUUGAUUUGCCAAUUUCGAUACUUUGAAAAUUUAUUGUCUUUUUCCUAUCUGGUGCUGUUAAUUUAGCGGAACAAUGCACGAUUUUGACGUUGAUUGACUAAUUUCGAGAGAUUCAAGUGAAAAACAGAUGUGUUUUGUCUGAAUUUGUUUGGUGUAAUCUUAAGACAUUUCUCUGAGCUGCAGCGUUGUUUUUGGUUUGAGUUAUCCAUCUAGAUCUUUGUUUUUCCAGAAUGUAUAGGAAGUUGACAAAUUAAUGAUGAACCCUUUAGAUUUGAUGCCUUCCUUAAAUAUUUUUUAUUUAUUUAUUUUGUUUGUAUACUUUUAAAUUCUCCACUUCCAUAUUCCAUUUAACUCUUCUUCUUGUUCAGAUCUAAAUUUGGAUUAAGAUAUAAUUAUGGAAUACGCAUGAGAUCAAAAUUGAAUUUCGCGCACGGUUUCUUGGUGGAUCUAUUGUUGACCAGCCUCUUGUUUUGGUUAAAGUUUUAAAUUUUGUUUACCUGAAGUUCAGUUUUUUUUUUUUGUUUUGCAUACUUCAUGCAAAUGUUUCUUUGUGAGAUUGAAUUCCUUUUAUGGUUACUUUCUGGGUCUGGCUUUAGUUCCGCAGGUGUUGAAUUUGCUGAUAGGCCUGAACAUUAAUUUGUGCUAUCGCAGCGAUUUUAAUCCUCUUUACUGAUUUCUUAUGUAGCCUUUGAUAACAACGAGAGGUGUUUUCAGUGGAAAAGAUCUACUGAACUGUUUUGACAAAUGGGGGAAGACGAUUCAAAGGCAACCGUUGAGCCAACAGCAAGCAAGACUACUUCUCUUGAGAAGCCCUCAGAGGAUUUGGCUGGAAAAAAGGAGGAGGAGAACGCUGGAAGUAAGGAAACACAAAAGCUUAAGGAGAAGGCUGAACCAGAGAAAAUGGAGAUAGAUGCUGAGGUAAAGAAAGAUGAAGAAAAAGGUGAGACGGAAGCUAAAGAGUUAGGGGGUAAGAAAAAUGAAGACAAUACCGAGACUGAGAAAAUGGAAGAAGACCUUACGGUCACCAAAGACGAGGGACCAGCAGAGGCUACCAACAUGGAUGACGAUGCAGAUGGAAAGAAAGAGCAAACUGAUGAUGGUGUUUCUGGAGAUGGUACAGUGGAAGAUACUGUAAUGAAGGAAAACAAUGCCAAAGAUGAUGAAAAGCAAGAGACUAAAGAGACAAUUGUUACUGAAGCAGACCACAAGAAAGCCGGGAAAGAAUCUGAGGAGGAUGUAAAACAUGAAGGUGAAAAAGCAAAUGGAACAAAAGAUGGGGACCAAGGGACAGAAAGGGUUGAAAAUGUGGAGAAUGUGGAUGAAAAUAAAAAGGAGGAGAAUGGGAAGGAGCAGAGUGAAGAGGAUUUGGUUGAAGAAGGAAAAGAAGAGGGAGAUAAGGAAGAAAAUAAAACAGAGAACGUUGAUGCGGCAAAGGCAAAGGUGGAAGAUGUAGAAGAAGGAAGUGAGGAUGAGAAUGACAAUGAAAAUGUGGGGAGCAAACAUGCAAAGGAAGAUGAGAAAGAAGAGAGUAAUGUUGAUAAGGAAGAUGAAAAAGCCGAGAGCGGUGCUGAUAAGGAGAUUGAAAAAGAAGAGAGCAAGAGUUCUAAAAAGCGUGGGAAAGGAAAGAGUUCUGGGGAAAAGGUUCGCGAGAAGACAAAAACUGAGGAAGAAAAAAAGGAUGCAGAACCUAGGACUCCUUUCUCUGAUCGCCCUGUGCGUGAGCGGAAAUCUGUUGAGAGGCUUGUCGCAUUGAUUGAUAGAGACUCUUCCAAAGAAUUCCAUAUUGAAAAGGUUUGCCUAUACUCUCCUGAGUUGAGUAGAACGUCGUCACUAUAUGUUUUCCUAAUGAUCUUUUGGAUACUACAGGGGCAAGGUGUAUAUCUCAGAGAUAUUCCCAGUGGUAUGUUUAUGCUAUUUGAAUUAAAACUUAAAAAUUCACGAGCAACAAUUUUUUAUUUUUUUUGGCUCCUUUUUGUUCAUCUAAUUUGCAGUUGAAAUGAAAUAGAUAACUUGAAUAUUUCUCUGCAGUUGCUUCCAAAAUUAUGAGGAAAAAGUCUGAUGAAACUUUGAAGCUGCUGCACCCAAUUCUAUUUGGUGGGAGGAGAGGGAAGGUGAGUGCUAAUAGUCAUAAUUUUAGAUUGUCAGUCACGGGCAUACUUCUUGUGGUUUUUUUACCAGUGGUGUGGACUCAGGUGCUGCUACUCUUAUGUUAGCAGCAAGUCUGCUAAUCAUGUUUAUAUGUAACUCAUUCGUCUUGCUUUAACAGGCUACUCAGAUCAAGACAAACAUAUUGGGCUUCUCUGGUUUCGUUUGGCAUGGAAAUGAGGUGUGCAACAUCACCGAUGAAGAUUCUUUUACUUAUGCUUUGGAUUCGUAUAUAAUUGUGUCUAUUGUCUUUGCAGGAAAAGGCAAAGGAGAAAAUAAAAGAAAAGCUUGAGAAGUGUAUCAAAGACAAACUGUGGGAGUUUUGCGAUGUGUUUGACAUACAUAUUAGCAAGGCUACAACAAAGAAGGUCAUCCAUUAAUUUCUAAGUUUGUUUAUAAGGUUUUUUUUUUUUUUGCGUGAAUAGAUGGGCAUCAUGUGAUAGUCAAAUACGGCAACUUAUUGUUGCAUGUUUCAUCAACACAGGAAGACAUUAUUACAAAACUGAUUGAGUUUUUGGAGAAACCACAUGUGAAAGGCGACGUUCCAGUUAGUGAGAAAGAGAAGGUAUUUGAUGUUGAGAACGUUGUUUAUUUUAAAAACUAAUUGUGCAUCUUGCAAUUCUCUUAAAGUAUUUCGUUGAAAACAGUCAAGUAAGGGAGCAAAACGCAAGAGAACUCCCAAGCAAAGCUCACCUGCAGCUGGGAGUUCAUCCUCCAAACGAUCAGCAAAGGUAUCCAUGCAUAACUAGAGCUGGAGGCUUGCUUGUUCAUUACUCAUAACUUUGAAGAGAAUGUGUGUCUCAAUGUUAACUGUCCAACACUGGUCCAUAUCUCUGGUCCUAGUACCCAAUUUGAUUAUAAUAUUUGCAUUGCCUUUGCAGAGCCAAAGAAAGUCUGAAGAAGGAACAAAGGCUGUCAAAAAGAUUUUAUCUCAUUCUGAUGAUGAGUCUGAAGAUGAGAAAGAGGAGGAAGAAGAAAAACAAGAGAAGGAGCAGAAAGCAGAAGAUGAAGAGAUUAAAGAGGAGGAGAAUGACAAUGGUAUUCCUGAUAAAUCUGAGGAUGAGGCACCUCAGCCUUCUGAAAGCGAGGAGAAGGAUGAAUCUGAGGAGCAUUCUGAAGAAGAAACGAAAAAGAAGAAAGAUGGUUCUAGCUUGUCAGCUGGGAAGAAAGAAUCAGCAGGGAGAGCCAGAAACAAGAAAGCAGCGGUUGCAAAAUCCAGUCCGCCAGAAAAAGUUACACAGAAGCGAUCAUCAGCAAAGCGAAAGAAAACAGAUGAUGACGAUGAUACAAGUCCAAAGGCGUCCUCUAAGAGGAAGAAGUCUGAAAAAGCUACCAAGGCCUCCUCGGCCCCUUCAAAGUCUGCAUCAAAAGAGAAGCCAGGUUUGGUCAUUAUCCUGUUUUUGUUUAUAUUCCACUAAGAUGAUCGCUUAGGGUAGAAUAAAGCAUCUGUGACUGAGCGUAGGGUUUGUCAGAUGCUUUCAACAAUCUUAUUUCUUGACGAUUUUGGUUGCUGAAGCUUACCAAUAUUGCAGCCACUUAUGUUUUCUGACACCAUGUUUAUUUGUGUUUGUGCCUAUGCUAAAAGUAAAAAGGGCUGGAAGUGGGAAAGAAAAAACCAAAGGGCCUAGCGAUAAAGUGCUGAAGAAUGCAAUCGUUAAGAUCUUGAAAGGAGUGGACUUUAAUACGGUGAGUAAUUUCUCAACCUUUAAUAUUGGACACAUGUAACUUAUUUGCGGUGUGUGGAUUAAAGCAAAAGUGGGUUUCUCCCGAACAAAUUAAUUGUUUGCUUGAAAUAUCUAUUCAAACUACGAAUCGUCUUCUAUAUCUAGAUAACCUAAUAAGAGCUAUGUUGGUCUUCUGCAGGCUACAUUCACGGACAUCCUCAAACAACUUGGUAUGAACAUAUUGCUUUCAGUCAUAUCUCUCUUCAGUGAUUUCUGGUUUCAUUCUGGUUAUAUAUGUAAUAAAAACACAAUGUUUCACCCGUAUUUCAGCUAAGGAGUUCGAAGAAGAUCUCACCCCAAGAAAGUCAUCUAUAAAGGUGAUGAUCCAAACUGAGCUCACCAAAUUAGCAGAAGAGGCUGAUGAAGAAGAGGAAGAGGAGGAGAAGAAAGAAGAAGAUGCAGAGAAGGAGAAAGCAGAAGGAGGGUCUGCUAGUGGUGCGGAGGUGAAAGCUUAAACUCCUCUCUGAUCACAUCGCACAUACUGAGUUGCCUAAUGCCUAGUAGUCAUCUGGCAAAUGUAUAAGUUAAAUCUGUGGAUGUAAUCUUUUGUUGUGUUGAGUCUGAGUUGCGCAAAGCAGCUUUACUUUUGGUAGAGACAAGAGAAAGAAGCUGCAUAGCCAAAGGGUAGGUUGCUUGUAUGUCUAUACCAUUUAACAUAAAAGCCUCCUUGGAUUGUCUUUUGAUUUGUGAGGCUCCCUUUUCAGACAUUGUCCAGCUUUCUUUAGUUUCCUUGUUCUGUUUGAAGAAGGCCUAUGGUAAUAAUGAAUAACUUGAUUUAUCUUUAUUCCCUUUCUGCUUUGAAUUUGUUAUAUUCAUAUAACAGAAAGAUCUUAUGCUCAUUACGUACCCUUGGUCUUAUAAUUCUGGAAACAUACGAAGGCAAAUCCAAUCUAAGAAAUGCAGGAAUUGGCUAGCCCUCAGUGAAGCAUCAACACCAAUAAAAACCAAUAAAGAGAAUGUGUUUUUACAGGACCAAAAUCUACAGACCAAAAAUAAAAAGAAUCUGUUCUCUUCUACAUCCCUUUUUGGAAUACACAAAAAAAAAACAGAAUCCAAAAGGAUGUAAAUGUUGCUGUUACACUCAGAAUAAAGUGGAAUUUCGGUUUAAGGACUAAACCGAAGUUAGUGUAACUGUAACGUUUAGCACGGAAUAUACUUUAGAGUUUAGACCUCUCAGUAAGUAGAGAAGCACUGAAACUUUCACUUCUUCUUCUUCUUCUUCUUCUCUCUCCUCUCCAGAGUUUCAGUUUCGAUCUACAAAAAGUUUCCAACUUGCCGUCGAAUUUAAAUGGGAAGUGGAAGAGAUAGAGACGACCCUUUAUCAUUCACUAGCAAUCCAUCUUCGGCUUCGUCUCCGGUCACUGUAUCUGAUUACCUCGACAACUUUCUCGGCGAACCCACUUCUCGCUCCGGGAGUUUUCAGAGCGAGAGUUUGCUCGGCGGAGGCGGUGGAGAGAGCAUUAGCGACGCUGAUUUCGGGUUCGCUCGUCCCGAUUUCCGAUCGGAGCAACUCGUUGGAACCGUACAGUUUUACGAGAGGCAUGUUUUCUUGUGCUACAAAAAGCCAUCCGUUUGGCCCGCGAGGAUCGAGGCGGCUGAGUUCGAUCGAUUGCCUAGGCUACUCUCUGCGGCUGUUUCGGCAAGGAAGGGUAGUAUGAAGAAGGAAGUGAGUUUCUAAUCUAUUGAUUUCUGAUCCCAUCUUCAGCUUGUUUGCUGUUAACUUGAAUCUCGAUUCCAAGAGUAUUGCUUGAUUCUCAUGGAUUUAGCUCGGAGAGUUUUAUGAUCUGGUUCUUCUAGUCUCCCAAAAUGAGCAAAAGCCACUUGCUUUCACUUGUUUUGGCUUAGUUGAAGUAUCUGUUUAAUGGAUCAUAAAAUCAUUUCUAUCUCGGGAGUGUUGGGAUUUCGGUUUUGGUAAGAUACGGGAAAGUUGCUAUUUUCGGCAAUUGGUAACAACACACAACUCCGCUUUUGAGCUUAAAGUUCCAGUGGUUUUACUCUUUUUUUCAUGUGCUUAUGUAAAUGAUGAAUUUGAUUUGAAAUGGUGUCUCUGGCGUAUAUUAAUGGAUUACUUUGUCUUAUGAUGAGGCUUAACGGUGUGGCUUCUUAUUCUUUCCUUACCUUUGUGCCUAAUGUGUUUUAUCGCCAUUGCUCUGUAGACUCGACUCACAAUAUGUGAGGGCCAUGAUGGAACAGAGACAUCCAAUGGCGAUGUACUUAUCUUCCCUGAUAUGAUCAGAUACAGGUAAGAGUCGAAGUAUUUCUUAUACUUGCUUUUAUUCCUCAACAGCCGAAACUUAUUUCUGACAGUUUUAUUACAACAAAUUUGCAGAAGGUUGACUCAUUUUGAUGUGGACACAUUUGUGGAAGAGGUGCUUGUGAAGGAUGGGGAGUGGCUGCCUGGAAAUCCUGAAUUGCUAAAAGGCUCAUAUGUCUUUGUAUGUUCCCAUGGAUCCAGAGACCGACGAUGUGGGGUUUGUGGACCGUCGCUGGUUAGUAGAUUCAGAGAAGAACUUGAGUUUCAUGGUCUUCAGGGUAAAGUGUCAGUUAGCCCAUGUUCUCACAUCGGUGGUCACAAAUACGCUGGGAAUGUUAUUAUCUACCAAUCAAAGAUCCACAGGAAAGUCACAGGACACUGGUGAGUAAGGAGUUACAUAUUUAUUGCUACAUACAUCUGGUUUUGCUGUAAGUUUGGAUAAAGAGAUCAAGAAUGCAUUUUAAAAGAAUUGGUUUCAUGGAAGGUUGUGAUUUUUUUAUUGGUAUCUUCAAAACUAAAAUGGAAUUAGAAUAUUGGAAGUUCUCUGCAAUGUCCGAAUCAAUCAUACCCUAUUUUUUACUUGAUGAUUGAUAUUUUUUGUGUCUCAAGGUAUGGGUAUGUGCAACCAGAUGAUGUACCUGUUCUCUUGGAGCAGCACAUCAACAAAGGCGAGAUUGUAGACCGGUUAUGGAGGUAAGUUCCAUGUUUCUUGGUCUCGCGGUUUCGGAAUCACUUGGGAAUUAGUAACACAUUCUGGUUAUUUCUGAUUUUAGGGGUGAAAUGGGUCUGUCAGAAGAAGAUCAGAAGAAAAGUCAAGAACGACGAUUUCAGCUAAACGGUGCAGUUCAUACAGUAAAGAGCAAUGGGAAAGUGACUCAGGAAUCAUCAGUUCACAGCGCCGAUGGUUUCUGUUGCCAAUCACGAGCAUCAGAAACUAAUGGUUGUUGCCAACAAAAUGGGAACAGCUCCUCGUGUUGUCAAGACACAACUUUGAUGUUGUCUCUGGAGACCUUAGAAGAUAAUCAACUUGAAAGUGAAAACAAUACUGAAAAGCUUACACCGGGAAGAAAAAUUGCAGAGAAGACUUUCUUUAGGAUAAAUUCUGAGAAAGGAUCCUCAACACGUAAAGUCUGUGGAAUACCAACAUGGUUAGAGAGCUGGGAGCGAGAAGAUACAUAUGCUGCUCUCGCUGUUGUUUGCGCUGCUGCUUCAGUGGUUGUGGCCUAUACUUGCUACAAACAGUUGUAAAAUGAAGUAAUGUGUAUUCUGUGUAUUGUGCUGUUCUUACUAGACAUUGUGUCUUUGUUUCAGCUUUCGAACUCCCCUUUGUUUCAAGAGGGGUUCAUGUUAGAACUGUUUGAUAAUAUGCGUCCAAGUUCUCUAUGAUUCUACUUUCUUUCUGAGAUUCUACUUUGUAAGAUUCUUUGAAACUGUCAUUUAUGUAUAAAGAGUUCAGUUUGGGGCAAUUAUGAUUCUAACAAAGCUAAGAACUUCCAGCUUCUUUGCGUUCUAGGUAAAGACACGACUGUCUCAGAAUGAUAAAAACAUUCAGAACUUUCCAAGUAUGGCAUUGACAAAGAAUCAAAUAUUCUCACAAUUUCAAAAUACUAAACGGAUUUGCACAUUGGUGAUAACAAUUUGAUCAUCUAUUGGCAGAUUUCUUGCGGAAAGAAAAUCUCAAAAGAAAUCAAAGUCCAGAUAAUUAUUACUCUGAUCAGACUUGACACUGGUAGAUGUGGCUGCUGCUGGAGUAGCAGGAGAACUCUCAAGAUCAACCGGCUUCGGUAUCUCUGGUGGGCUUGCGCAUCGAACCAAUGCCCAAUUCACUCCUUCGAAGAAAGGGUGUUGCUUUAUCUCGGUUGCACCACGCUUAUAAGCUAAUCUAUGCUGAGGCUCCUUCACAAGCAGGCUCCUAAUCAAAUCCCUAGCAGCAAAACUGACAACUGGAGAUUCAGGGAAACGCAGAGGCUGACCCACAACGUUGAAGAGUGUUGCUCUGUUUCCAGACCCUUUGAACGGGGUUUUACCAAACAGUAGCUCGUACAGAAAGAUCCCAAAAGUCCACCAGUCAACCGCACUCCCAUGCCCUUCACCUUUGAUGAUCUCGGGAGCUAAGUAUUCAUGUGUGCCAACAAAUGACAUUGAGCGAGCGCUUGUGGGCUCAGCAAUGAGCUCAGGCAACGGACUAACCUGGUUUCCAGUUUCGUUUUUCAUUUUCUUGUCUUUCUUGGAUUUACUCGAGAAAAACCGCGGAGAAAAGCAUGUUGUAGGAGCGGAAAUGCAAGACGGUUGUUGGAUGCAAGCAGGUUGAGCACAGUAGCCUGAGUUCCUUUGCAAGGUUUCAGACACGAGAGAAGUUGAUCUGACCACUGUGGGGCUAACAGUACACCUCAAGGAGAGGUCGAAGUCAGAGAGCAUCACAUGUCCAUCAUCUCUCACAAGAACAUUCUCUGGCUUAAGAUCGCGGUAUAUGAUCCCGAGCAUAUGAAGAUAUUCCAUUGCGAGAAGUACCUCCGCUACAUAAAACCUGGAAAAGCAGAAAGUCAAGAAGAUUUAAGGCAAAAAGUGGUAUCUAGGAUGAACAACAAUGCAUUGAUUAAAAAAUUUCUACUUUGCUGCUUGUUCUGAGAAUCGCUUCCCGGGCUGUUUUUGUUUUAGGGUAUGCAAGUCACCUCCAGGGCAGAACUCCAUAACCAAACAUGAGAACUUCUCGGUCUCGAAAUGACUAUACAAAGUUGGGAGGAAAGGAUGGUCAAGACACUGCAAUAUCUCCCUCUCGGUCUGAGAUCUAAGAAGCUUUUUACGGCUAGCCAAAGCCCCUUUAUCCAUAACCUUCAUUGCAAAAUAACACCUUGUUCCGUGCAAUUCAGCAAGAUGGACAGUUCCGAUAUCCCCACACCCUAGCCUCUUCAAGAGCCUAAAAUGGUUCAAACCCAAAACACCAUGUUUCGUUCGAAUAACUUGUAUUGCUUCCCAUCUCACGUCAUUCGCCUUGUGAGGCUUGUUAUUGCUACUUAAGCUACUACAUGUGCUCUCAUCACUGAUAUCACUGCUUGUGCUUGGUCUAAAUGUGUUACUCUUUCCGCUCUCAGCAUGAUCAGACUGUUCACUAAGUUUAACUUCUCCGCUGGUUUUACUGUCACCGCUUGGAGCAAAAGACAAAGUUGAAGAUAUUUGAUCUGCCAAAGUGCUAACAGAGAUACUAUGACUGGAAUUGGAAACCGAUGCUUCCGGGGUUUUCUUAUCGCCCUUUUCCUUUCUAUAUUCUGGGAAAACUCCAGAACCAGACUUUGAGGCCAUGAACGUAUAACUAUCGACUUAGCAGCCAAGACUCAAACUGCUCUUGACUCCAGUUAUCACUGUUUUCACCGAUCCACUCAGAUAGUGACCUGAAUCUGCAUUGGGCAAUACAUAGCGCCUGUAACAGUUGUACAAGAGAAAAUUCAAAAAUGGUGACCUGAGCUCUGCAUUGUCUCAAGAGAAUAUUAUAAAGAAAAACACUUGUAACAUUGGGUCUUUAUAAAUUAUUAGAACAACCACCUUCAGAUUCUGAUAACAUAAAAUUGGGAUCGCUUAUAUAAAAAGAUCAAACAUCAAGAGGAUAAACACAUAACACUACAAAGUUGCUAUUUUUAAACAGAGGAUAAACUCAGAGCUGAGUACAUGGCUCAAUUAUUUAAGGAAUUCCAGUUGGAAUCACAAGAUGAAGCGUUAUCCAACAAAAUAAGAAAUAGCAUUGCGUCCUAAAAAUGAUGAUUUCCAUAUAGAAAGAAGGAAAUUUUAGCUUAUGGAUCUCGAGCUCAAAAUCACUGUGACAAUCACUUGAGAAAUUUACUCAUACUCAAUUCACCAUUUCCACAUCAAGAAACAAAACUCUCUGAUUCUCCAACUAACUGAACUAGCAUAAACCCUAGUGAGACAUUUCAUGCAAAGUAGAUUUAAUCCUAGGCUUGAACAGAUCUCAGAAAAGUAAGAACAAUCAAGCAAAGGUCUUGCCGAUCUAGGCAGAAACAGCCGCUAAAACCCACACAAGCAAAAGAAAAGAAAGUACGAAAUUAAGAAGAAAUACCCACAAAUCGUUACCUUAAGAGAGCUUUGGAGCAGAAGAUCUCAACACAAUUUUUGUUUUUUAAGGGAAUUAGGAAUAGAAAGAAGAAAAUGGAUAUUACAAAGGAAGAAGAGAACUUUAAUCAUGCAUCACUGAAAGGAUACUGAAGAGAACGAGGAACUAAUCAACCAACCUUCCUUCCAUGGAGAGAGAGACUCUCCCAUGAAAAGAGGGGAGAGGUGGUCAAAGCGACUUUUUUUUUUUUGGGGAUUUUAAAUUUUUUGUUUCCUUUAUGUAUUUUCUCAAAACUGGAAGACAAAGGUUCGAAGAGUGAUGCUUAUGCCCUGUAAUUUGCGAUAGUCAAAUUAUGAGCAGAAAUGUAUACUACAAAGCAUUAGAUCGUAAAGGUAAUAGAAUUUAGAAAAUCACACGUAUAUCCCGUGGAUAUUCGACUUCCAGAUUUUAACAUAAUUGCAUUUUGAAUAUCCGAUCCGUGCUCAGUCUUUAUUGUUGUCAAAAACUAGUUGAAUAACCAUCAGUAAAUACUAAUCCAUAGUCCACAAAUAUGUUGUGGCUCGUUUUUUUAUUUUUGUUUGUUUUCUUUAGUGUUUCUCUCUCGCUUGGGUUUCCCACUGGCAGCAGAAGGCCGUUUCUUCAACUCCUCAAUGGCCUCAGCCUCAUCAUCGUCAUCACUAGACACCUGAGCUCGCUCCAUUGUUUCAACCGGCUCAUCACCUUCUGAAGCCUGCUUUGCAUUGCUCAUCUUCUUUAGCUGCAAAUCGAAGAAACCAGAGAGAAAUAUCUUAUUGGUUUUGAUAUUUCAUGAAACAUUCUUCCAUCCACAUUUGAUCAUUCGCAGAUAAAAGCUACUCACAGGCUAAUAUAACCCAAGUGUAUACCUUUGCCACAAAGAAUCCGUCCAUAUUGUGUCGGUGAGGAUAGAAACGUCUAGUCUUCUCUAAAGUAUGGUGGAACCGGUGUUCUCUAAAUCUAACGAAUCUAAUGACAUGACGUAACACAUUUGUGUCAGACGAAGUCUCAAGACAUGUUCCUUUGGAGAGAUGAGAGAAUGUAUAUUACCCUGCUUGCCCAAAAUCAUGUCCACAUGGAACGAGUUUGACAUCCCUCUUUUUCAGGGCAUAGUCGAUUACAGCUUCGUUCUGCAUAAUUUUUGAUAGUAUAAAUCAAAAUAGCGACAAAGCAAGACGAUGCCAGAGAAAAAGAAAAAAAAAAAGUGGAACGAAAAAACUAUGUUAACCAACCUCGAGAAUCAUAAUUGAGCAUGUUGAGUAAACAAUAUAUCCACCGGUUUUGGAAUCGGCGUCCACCAAAUCAAUUGCAGCAAGUAUAAGUUGCUAUGUGCAACAAAAAAAAAAAGUAUGGUUAGCAAUAACAGGGUAUAAAAGGUGUUCAAGCGAUUUAAAGCCAUACCUUUUGCAAAUGAGCAAAUUUCUUUAUGUCAUCAACACUUUUAGAAGUUUUAACUGAUUCAUCUUUCGAUAUAACCUGCAUUGUGUACAAGAAGACGUUAAAUUACGAAAGGGAGCAAAAUUAAAGAGACUAUAAGAGGGCCGAAACAAAAAGAUUUCUUACUCCGGUUCCACUGCAAGGAGCAUCCAGCAAUACUCUAUCUACUGCGUUCUGACCUAAAACCUUGGGUAGCUGAAAUGAAAAGAAAAUGAGUUCAACAAAAAAUGAAAUGGGAUUAAUAGAGUUCCUUAAUACAAGUAUAGUCUUGCCAGUAACUUGAGCUCAUGGUCUACAAUCAGUUUGCAGUAUUUAUAAUCCUCAAGCAUCGAUAGAAUAAUGAACGUUCAAGAAGCUAACCUCUCUUCCAUCAUAGUUACAAACUAUGGUAUUUGUCACCCCCAUGCGAUGAAGAUUAGCAGAGAGUGACUUGAGCCUAGGUACUUUCAUCUCGUUUGCAUAUAUUAUGCCUGGUUGUAUCAUCAUUAUAACAUUAGGAUAGCCAACUAUAAAUAACAAUAUGGGGUUACGAGGAAGAAGAAACCAAUGCAAGCAUACCAGUAUUUUUCAUUAGGGCAGCGACAUAAGUUGUUUUACCACCAGGAGCAGCACUGUAAGCAGAGAGUAUAAAACCUUGUUAUAACUAUUACGUUAUACUAGCUGCGCUCUAAAGGUAAUGGAGCAUUCAAAUUUGGCUUUUCAGUUUUACUAGCAAAGAUACAACAUGAUACAACUCACAACAUGCAUUUGAAAAUCAACUUCAGAGACAACUUGGGUUCCUUUAUGAAAGAUAAUAAUAACUUACGCCAUGUCCACAACCCGCUCGUUCUCUCGAGGAGCAAGAGCCAUCACUGGCAAGAAAGAACUAGCACUUUGCAACUGCAAAUACACCAAGAACAGAUUUAAGAAAACAAUUGAAAAUACCCAUAAAGUGUAAACCGGAUUUAAAGAGAUUAAGAAGUCACGUACCAUGUAGAAACCAGCCAAAUAUUCAGGAGUUGCACCAAUUGGAACUUGUGAAUCAUAAACGACAAGUCCAACCUACGAUUUUUAUGACAUGGUUAGCUACAUAUGGUCCACAAAAAAGACUUGCCAAUCGAAAUGAAGUCAAUCUGCCAACACUACUUACUUUUGACCACUUGCCUAAUGGGUCUAGAUUAACUCCUCUAUUCAAAAGUACAUCAGCCAGGUCCCGUCUUCGAGUCUACCAAAGCAAACAUCACCAUAAUAAUGCAUAUCACAACAGCUGAGAAAUACAUAUUUCUAGACACUCCAUAGUAUAACUAACUUCACCUUAAGAGUGUUGGUACGUAUAGAUGUAGGCCUUUGCUUUUCAAAAGCUUCGAUUAGUUCCAUGAGUUCAACAGGAGGAAACAUCUGCCAAAAGAUGUGAGUGAAAGAAUUAGCUAUCUCCUACGCAUAGCUUUAGAUCAAAGAGACGAAAGUGAACGUAUAAAAGUUAAGUCAGAGACUAAACCUCAACCAGAGUUCCAAUAAGAAACUCAUUAUAGCCAUAGUAAGAAGCAAGAUCAGCUUUAAGCUGUUCAACAUAAUCCUUCCUCUCGGCUCCUUCUGGCCUCAAAUCCUUAAAAUUGGACAGCACUCUAACAACUGAAACAUAUAUUGUACCAUUAAACUAAGAACCGAGAGGGUGAUUCCUUAGGUGAUCCAAAAAGGAUCCAAAUAAUAACAUUACACCAAAAUUCUUAAUAGGAAUAAAAUUUGAAAAUGUUGCUCACUCUCUUUUAUCCUCGUCUGCAAGCUAGGAAGAUCUGGUGGCCUACGUGCCUCUUCUUCAAGUUCCUGAACAAUGUAUAAUAACAGCAAAGGUAAGAUAACUAAACUCGAAAUGCUCCACUGAUCUUCCAAAACAUACCAACCACCAAUAGCAAAUUUAAAAAAAUGUAAAAGGAAACGAAUAUUUGGCUAACGCUUACAACCCAAAUGAGCUUGAUUUGUGUCAUUUCAAAAGAGAAGCAGAAAAAGAACAAAUUCAAAAUCAAGCGUAAUCAAAUUAGUACCUUUUUGGUUGGUAGCUGAAACUCAUCAGGUUGUUCCUUAAUGUUCAUCUGGAGUUCAUCUUUUGCUUCUUGUUGCUGCCUUUUGCGAUCGUCAUCAAUAGCUUUAGAUUUCUUCACGAGAUCGGAUCCAUCAGAGUCAGAACCCAAAGGUGCAUCAUCGCUGCCAUCAAGAAAGUCGUCGGUCAAGGGCUCUGUUUUAUCAUCAUCAUCAUCACCUUCUUCUCCAUCACCAUCUGAGGAAAGCUCAGAACCUGAUUCGUCUCCUUCUUCAGACUGUUGAUUCUCUUCUUCUUCUUCCUCCUCGUCCGUAGAAGCUUGAGGCUUCUGGAGGGGCUUCUCCUCCGAAAUACCUUUCCUCUGCUUCUUCAAUGGAGGCUGCUGUGAUUUCGCCGUCUUCUUCAAUGUAGAAUGCGAAUUCUUCCGCUUAUUUAGUGGCGGAGUCUGCGACUUUGCCUGCUUCUUCUUGCUACGCGUAAGAGCAGCCAUAGCAACGGUUUACAGUUUAGGGUUUAGGUUUAUCGCGGCAAAUGUUUAGCAGAAGAAGAACUUGGUAAUGACGAAGAGGGAGACAACGUUGUUUAGUGGGCUUAUCCGUACUAACUAACUAAACUAACUAUUAACUAUUAAUGGGCCUUCGUUAAAGUUAUAAUUUGUAAGCCCACUAGAUUAUGAUCCAUCCAUUGAAGCACAUACUGUCACAUGCGCAUGGCGAUUGGCGAAUAGAAAAUUUCUGAUUAUUGUAUUGUUAGAAAAGUUCUUAUCCCAUCUAACAUAAUAUGUUGACGUAACGUGACCGAAUAGUUCAACCCGACUAUACAUCAAACGGUAAAAGAAUAUGAGUUUAAUUUAGACCUAAUGUGAAGAAUGAACACCGGUUUUACCCGAGCAUUUGACUCUUUCUCAUUAGACACUUGUCACUCAAUUUCUAUCAUUCUUCUCACACCAGAAUCAUUCUAAGCAUCUGGAAAUCUCCAUUUUUGUUUAUUUUGUCUUAUCUCACAGCUAAUAGAUUACACUCCAGAUAACCAGCUAACAAUGAUGCGAGCAAAGCAAAGAAGAUAAAUCUAGUAAACGGGACUAAGCCUUUAGAGCUACUUGGAAUGACUAGAACUUCAAUAAGAACUUCAAUACAAAGUAAAAUUGUAUUCUGACCGACUCUUUUUUUUUUCUUUUUUGGUAAAUAUAUAUUGAAAAUAAAAAACCACAAAACCAAUCAAGAGUAUUCAUCAAUAUAGAUCACGCUUAAUUCUUGAUCCGAAAUCCACCACUAAGAUAUAUACUCUGGCUGAUUAAAAGUGACUAAAAUGCUAGCUAUAUUGACCUAAACGUCGUUGAGACUCAACAUGUUUAAUGGAGAGCGUAAUGGCGUUUAAUAAUGUCAAUGUGGUUUUAAUUUCGGCCACUUAUAAGCACUUCGCAUAUGUGUAUUAGUAUAUCCUGGUUAUAGCUAAGUUAAUUUAUGUAGUAUUCGUGUAGAGGUUGCCAUAUUUCUUGCAUUUAUAAUUGAGUCUCUGUCCCCCUCGAGUAGACUUCACAACAAAUUAUUUAUGCAUGCUGCGUCGUUACAAAUGCAUGCAUGAGUAAGUUGAUAAAAGCCUUCUAAAACUGAAUUCACGUAAUUUUCUAAAAUAAGUUUUCUAAUGACUUUCUUUGUUCAAAUUAAGUUUUAACUAGCUAAUGCGAUUUCUCCUGGUGAAUUCAAAUUUUUAAUUAAGAUCUUUAUAUGCACUUUCUUCUUUAAAAACAUGAAUUAACACGAAUUGUCUUUUGAUGAAUUCAAAUCUCGAUUGUAAUUAAUAGUGAGUAAUUUGUCAGGCUGGAAAAAGUUGUAAAAUUGUUGUAUUAGAAAUUAUCAUUUUGCAGGAUAUCUAUUACAAAUUAACUAAAUAUCAUAGACGUUGACAUGGAACGGAUUGAAUAAGACAGUGGUUACAUAGAAACAGAAAAUGGUGAGUAAAACUGGAAGGGGAAACAUGUGUUUCAAAUCGUAUAACGGACAGAUUAUGGAACGAUGAUGCAUAUUGGUAAUACAAACAAUGAUACAAUUGUGACUAGCUAUGAAAGUUAAACAUCUAAACCGCCAACUAAACUAAAGCUUAAAAAUCACUGAAAUGAAUAGAAAACAACUUAAAUAGAAUUAAUACAUAUUAACUGUAUAAUUUUAGUAUUUUCUAUGUAAAUCUGCUGCCACGUUUAUCAAAAUAAUUAAUUACAACUUUAUUUAUCUUUUUAUACGGUAUUAAUUGCAGUUUUAUUUAUCUAUAUAGUUUGAUGAAAUAAAAUAAAACAGGUCGAACCGAAACAACUCCGAUUAUGACGCGCGUCAUACAUACAAAAUAAUCCGAGUCAAAUUCGGGGGAUGGAUGAAGCGGUGCCAGCAAGUAUUCCCACCGAACCCGAACCGAGUUUUAUGAUACAUUCGUCAGUCUACAAUACGUAGCUAACUUCCAAAACAUUCUCUCUACUCCAUUUAAUUAUAUAUAUAUAUAUAUAUAUAUGUAGAGAUAACUUUGUAAAUUGUAACUAUCGCUAAAAUUUUGUAUCAGCUGCUGGAAGUGGUCGCCAAUUGAAUUGCAACUCUUACCUCACAAAUUGUCAGUUCCAGUUACUUUUUAUUUUUAUUUUUUGUCUCAAACAUCGGUUACUUUAUUAAUUCAUUAUUGGAAUGCUCAAUUUCAUUUUGUAUUUUACUGUCUAUCCCAAUAGUUUACUUAAUUUGAAUGAAAGUAAAUAGGGAGAAUAGUAUAUAUGUAAUCAAAUAAUACUAUCUUUGAAUUUUUUCUUUUUGUUCUGUAAUUCCCAUAAUUAUAUAGUAUAACGUUCUCUUCUACAGAACUGAUUUUUGUUUUCUUUUUAAUCAAAGCUAUAGAACGAAAACAAAAAUCACAGCUAUAGACUGUUGAUCAAUCAGUGCUAUAGUUACUAUAUUUAGUAUCUGUUUAUUCUUUUGGCUAAAGUAGCUGUUUGACUAAGUUACUAAAUGUAGAAAUCCAGCUACCUUUAUGCUCCAACUCGAAAAUUAAAGAUUUCACGACUUUCGACCCCGAAGUUAAGACAUUUUUUUUUCUUUUACCGAAACAGGCUACAGCCUUUAGUUUCAAUGAAUCAAGAUAUUUGUAGAUUUUUAAAGGGUAUAUAAAUAAUUUCAUAUAUAUAGAAAUAAAACAACGUACGUCUUCACUCUGCAUAUUAGAGAAUAGACAAAUCUCAAAAGUGUUUUCUAUAAUAUUACUCCAUCCUUUCUCAAAAAUAUCUUACCAAAAAUAGAAGUUUAAGUUUUUCUUCAUCUACCGAGUUUUCCUGGAGAAUCCGAAGAGAAAAUUUCUUCUAAUGCCAAGUCAUUAACACAGGUCGGUUUGCAAGAAAAUAGUCUCGUUUUUUUCAUUUCCGGUCAUCCUCACCGGAGCCGACGUAAAAUUCCGAUAAUUUUUCGUGGAGGAAGAUAGAAAAUGGUUAGCUCUCUCGAAGUCACAGGACCUGUGUCCAAGCUCCCGGAGCAGAAGUUUGAGUCCAACAUCGACAUAGCCGGUAAAUCAAACUCUGUUCUGUUUCCGUCAAUUUUGGUUCGGUUCGGUUUGAUCCUUAUUUCUACGGCUAUGGCAGAAUAUUACUGAUAUUUGACUUGCAUAAAUUCUGGAUUAAUUAAUAUAAAGCACACAAGUCUGUAUUAGUUAAUAGUUAUUAAACAAUUUCGAAUGGUUAUAAUUAAACCGAAUUUUACCAGGUGAAGAUGAAGUAGGCGAGGAGGAAAACGACAAUCCAAUAGAAGAAGUCCGGUUAACCGUACCGAUAACCGAUGAUCCGUCUCAACCGGUCUUAACAUUCCGAACAUGGUUCUUAGGAACGGUAUCGUGCGUGGUACUCGCGUUCGUGAACCAAUUCUUCGGUUACCGGUCGAACCAGCUCAUGGUGUCUUCAGUCCUGGCACAGAUCGUCACUCUCCCACUAGGUAAGCUCAUGGCCACGACUCUCCCCACGACGCAAUUCCGGUUACCGGGUACAAAUUGGUCCGGUUCGUUGAAUCCCGGACCAUUCAACAUGAAAGAACAUGUGUUGAUCACUAUAUUCGCUAGUACCGGAGCCGGAGGAGCUUAUGCGACCAGCAUCAUAACCAUCGUUAAAGUAUUUUAUCACCGGAAUCUCAAUCCCACCGCCGCCAUGUUGCUGCUGCAAACCACUCAGGUAUGUAUAUAUAUAAUAAUUCCAAAAUUAAAUCUUUAGAUUAACUGGUUUUUAAUCUAUACACGUUACAAAGUUUAUUUUAUAUUUAUUAUUUUAUUUAUCUUGUUAUAUACAUUAGUUGUUGGGUUACGGAUGGGCGGGAAUGUUCAGGAAAUUCUUGGUGGACUCUCCAUACAUGUGGUGGCCUUCAAAUCUUGUUCAAGUCUCUCUCUUUAGGUUCGUUUAUCUUCUUCAAUUAAAGAUUUACAUAUUUUAGUGCCCAAAUCUUGGAAUGGCAUAAUACCAUUUUCUCUUCUUGAACUCUAAUCAUUUGGUUACAUUUUGACUGUGAAAUUGUGUGGAAUAUAGAGCAUUACAUGAGAAGGAGGAGAAGCGUGAAGGCAAACAAACGAGGCUUAGAUUCUUCCUAAUAGUCUUCUUCGUGAGCUUUGCUUACUACAUAAUCCCUGGCUAUAUUUUCCCUUCAAUCUCAUCACUCUCCUUCGUCUGCUGGAUAUGGACUCGCUCCGUGACAGCUCAACAGAUCGGUUCAGGCCUGCAAGGUCUCGGGGUUGGCUCCAUCGGUCUUGACUGGUCCACCGUCGCAGGUUUCUUAGGCAGUCCUUUAGCAGUACCGUUCUUCGCUAUAGCUAACUUUUUUGGCGGAUUCUUCAUCUACUUCUAUAUCAUUCUUCCUAUCUUCUACUGGAGCAACGCUUACGAGGCAAAGAAGUUUCCUUUCUUUACCUCUCACACAUUUGAUCACACCGGUCAACUUUUCAACACCACUCGUAUCCUCAACCAUAAAACUUUUGAUAUCAAUCUUCCCGCUUACGAAAGCUAUAGCAAGCUUUACGUUAGCGUUAUGUUUGCUCUCAUCUAUGGACUCAGCUUUGGUACUCUUACCUCAACCAUUUCUCACGUCGCCCUCUUUGACGGAAAGUAAGAAUCUUUCUACUCUGUGUCUCAAAAUAUUGAAUCUUUUUACCUCUACCAUUUCUUGUUGUUUCCUUGAAGGUUUAUCUGGGGGAUGUGGAAGAAGUCGACAUUAGCGACAAAGGACAAGUUAGGAGAUGUGCAUACAAGACUGAUGAAGAAGAACUAUAAGGAAGUACCUCAAUGGUGGUUCAUUGCGGUUCUCAUUGUUUCCUUUGUGCUAGCUCUUUACGCAUGUGAAGGAUUUGGCAAACAGCUUCAGCUUCCAUGGUGGGGACUUGUACUCGCAUGUGCCAUUGCCUUUACCUUCACUUUGCCUAUCGGAGUCAUCCAAGCGACUACAAACCAGCAAAUGGGUCUUAACGUUAUAACGGAACUCAUCAUUGGGUACUUAUACCCGGGAAAGCCACUUGCCAAUGUGUCUUUCAAGACUUACGGCUACAUGAGUAUGUCCCAAGCCUUGUACUUUGUUGGAGACUUCAAACUUGGCCACUACAUGAAGAUUCCUCCGAGAUCUAUGUUCCUUGUUCAGCUUGUUGCGACUAUGGUUGCGUCAACUGUCUGCUUUGGUACCACAUGGUGGCUUCUUUCUUCAAUCGAGAACAUCUGUAACACAGAUAAGCUCCCAAAGAGUAGCCCUUGGACUUGCCCUGGUGACGAAGUGUUCUACAAUGCAUCGAUCAUUUGGGGAGUCAUUGGUCCUGGAAGGAUGUUCACAAGCAGAGGUAUAUACCCAGGGAUGAACUGGUUCUUCCUCAUUGGCUUACUUGCUCCUGUCCCGGUCUGGUUCUUUGCAAGGAAAUUCCCGGAGAAGAAGUGGAUAAAGCAGGUUCAUAUUCCCUUGAUCUUCUCAGCGGCUGGCGCAAUGCCAAAGGCCAAGGCUGUGCAUUACUGGUCGUGGGUCAUUGUUGGGGUCAUCUUCAACUACUAUAUCUUCAAGAGGUACAAAGCAUGGUGGGCAAGACAUAACUACAUUCUCUCUGCAGCUCUUGAUGCAGGCACUGCGAUCAUGGGAGUGUUGAUCUACUUUGUGUUACAGAACAACAACAUAAGUUUUCCAAACUGGUGGGGGAGUGAGAACACAGACCAUUGCCCUUUGGCGCAUUGCCCGACAGAGAGAGGGAUUGUUGUUCAGGGCUGCCCGGUGUUCUGAAGAGACUUUGCUCUGGAGUUUCUCUGACGUGAAGGUGAGUGACGGUUUCUGCCAAAUGUUUUGGUGAUCAUAAUAAUAUUGUGGAAAGACUGUAUUUGUGAGCGUUAGAAGAAAGGAACUCAAACAAUGUAAGAAAUGAUUUAGAAUAUGUUUGAAAUAAGCUUGACUCCGGAUUGUUUAAGCAUGCAUCUUGCAAGUUAAGAACAGCCAAAAAUCAUAGCUUUUAACUCAAAGUUCAUCAACUGAACUUGAACUUGGUAUUGAGAGAGAGAUAGAAGAAAAUGGAUCACAAGAUAUUAUUUCACUUAUCAAAAGUACACAGUGUAUGAAGACAAAUUAAAGUUGAGUACUUUGAGCGCUUUUGCUCUGUUUCUACUUUCUAGAGCCGGAAAAACUCUUAAACAAGAUUCUAUAACUUCCAAAAAAGAGUCUCCAAGAGGUUACCAAUGGAGAAUGAUGAUGAAGAGCAGAAGUAUGUUUAGCUAUCAUCAAUUGGAGAUAGUGAAAGUUUGAGGCAGUCCCUGCAAUUAAAUUAGAGGACUGUGAUUAGAAAUGAUACACUACAAUCUUGUACAUUAAAGGUGUUGCUUUAACAAUUUAUGCAACUCGCUUACUUGCUUGGUAACAUAACCAACGAGAUGAUCAUGUAAAUCUUAAAUAAUAAUUACCUCUAAAUGGCAGAAUUGAAUUUUUUUUUUCAUGAUUAUAGCACAAGUAUUAAUAAUAUUUUAAAAAUUUAUCUAAUCCAAAAAAAUAUUUGCGUUUGCGUAGAGGAGAGAGGGAGAGAGGGAGAGAGGGAGAGAGGGAGUUUUCUCUAAAAAAGGAGAAACGGUUAAAAACAGCGGUUGCUGUCGGAGGAUUGCUUGCUUACAAGGCAAAAACUCAAGGUUGUUGUUAGGUUUAUAGGCCAACGGUUAUCUUCUUCUUCUCUGCUUCUGAUUCUUCACAUCUAAGCAAAAAUCCAUUUCUGGUUGAUUCUUCGUCGCCAUCCCAACUCCACCAACUUCACCUUCUCUGAAAAUUAUCUCUACACCAUCCUUUCUUUUUAUUAUUCUCAUCUGUUGCAUGCUUUAAUCGUUUCCUCACCACAUCAAAACGUGCUAGCUCCAUCUGGGUUUUCAAUUUCAUAACAACACAAAACCUUUUUCUGAGAUCUUAUCGUUUGUUCAUAGCUUUUGGGUAAUUUCCUCUGUUUCCUCCCUCUCUUCGAGGUUGAGAAUUUCUUUACACUGUACAUUUUAAUUGCAGUUUCAAGAGUUUUCGUUACUUUAUAGCUCCAGCUUAAGCCAGUACUGUUUAGAGUCUAGGUGUGUAAUCCUUUACUCUGUUCUUCUCAGGUCCUAAGAGAGAUCAAAUCAAACUCUCUGAUUCUUUUGGCCUGAAACUUCCGAUAUGUGUACCCGUUAUUCCACUCAGUUGCAAUCAUCAGCCAUAACAUCCAUCACCGUCUCAUCAUCUUCUUCCUUAGAUUCCACGACACGGGAUGAUAACAAUCACAUGGCUACAGUUUCCAACACUCGAGAUAACUCCCCAUUGUCGUUCUUGACGAGACUAGCCAUGAGAGUAUCUAGAGCAAGGUGGUUCAUUUUCUUGAGAAGAGUGUUUCAUUACCAGAACGGCUCAAGAUCCGAUCUUGGCACCAACCCUUUCGAUUCAGUCACUUGGAUGAUAUCAGAGCUCAUCGCUUUACUUGUACAGAUCACUGUGAUAACAAUCACACUAGCUUUGUCCAAAAACGAGCGCCCUAUUUGGCCUGUGAGGCUCUGGAUCACCGGCUACAACGUUGGAUGUCUGCUUAAUCUUAUGCUAUUAUAUGGUCGAUAUCAUCAGCAAGACCACAGAAAUGGGUUUAGCUUCGGAGAUAUUGAGCAGCAACAGAGAAGCAGAGAAGAGACAAGGUUACUAGCAAAGAUUUCUUUUUUUACGGUUCCAAGAUAGAUCAUAGAACAUUGACAGAUUCUUUAUGUGUGUGUUUCAGGUGCUCACAUUUAAUGAACAGAUGCCGAACAUCGCUGGAGCUUUUCUUUGCGAUAUGGUUUGUGGUAGGUAACGUAUGGGUGUUUGAUUCUCGGUUUGGUUCUUUCCACUAUGCUCCAAACCUCCAUGUCCUCUGCAUCUCCUUGCUCGCUUGGAACGCUCUCUGCUACUCGUUCCCAUUUCUUCUCUUCCUCCUGCUUUGUUGUGUUGUGCCUCUCAUUAGUAGCUUCCUCGGCUACAACAUGAACAUUGGAUCUUCAGAAAAAGGAGCUUCAGACGACCAAAUCUCCAGUCUCCCCAGUUGGAAGUACAAACUCAUUGAUGAAACCUCUGGUUCUGAUUCUGCUCAAGCAAGCAAUGAUCCGGUAAAGCUCUUAUCUGAAUUCUGAAAUAGUCAAAAUAGUCAUUUGAUAAAGUUACAGAUUACACAAAACGGGAAUGGAAUUGAGUUUUUGAAUGUGUUGGAACUUUUUGCAGGAAUGUUGCAUAUGUUUGGCAAAGUACAAAGAGAAAGAAGAAGUGAGAAAGCUUCCAUGUUCGCAUAGGUUUCACCUGAAAUGCGUAGAUCAAUGGCUUCGUAUUAUCUCGUCUUGUCCUCUCUGCAAACAAGAUCUCCCCAACUAAACGAGACACGAGUCACAAAGAUUGAAUACCUGACCAAGUUUCCAUACUAUUGUUGUUCUUUUCUUACGUUUUUGAUUUUUUUUUCCUGUUGUCGUCGAUACACGGUUACUUGUGUGAGUAGUCAUUUUUUUUCUUUCCAUGUACAAAAGAGCUCACCAGUAACCGUAACUAUACAUAAAAAACAACAUAAAAAUUUACUAAAUCAAAAAACAUGAUCUAUGUGUUGCUUACCGAUAUAGUUUGUUCCUUAUUUACAGUCAAAUAAAACGUAUAUUUAAAGCAGUUUUGGUGGCUUUAUACUGUAAUUUGUUAGAAUAUUUGCAAGAAUUUCGUGUUUUCAGAUUCCUUUUUGGAUGUUAAGUUGAUCUUCUUAAACCGAUUUCAUGAUCAAACUAUGCAACAGUCAAGAGGAGACGGAUCAAUGUCGUAUAGAAGGAUGAAACGGCGACGUUGGAGACAGCGCAUAAAUGGUCUUAGACGACGUGUGAAAGUGAAUGUAACAAGCUGUUUUAUGAUUUUUAUCAGUCCUUGUAUCAACCAUCCAGUAAAUUAAAAAAAAAUUAAAAUAAAAGAUAUAGCUCAUUGGCCAACAAACAAAUAUUCUUGUUUUCCUUUUUUUCUUUUAUUUCGGAAACAUUUUGGUCUCUUUUUUUUUUUGAUUUUUGCAUUCUUCUAUCGUCGGGCUUUUCUCUCACUUACCAAUAGAGCUCUUUUGUUUGUUUGUUUGUUUGGCGUCUUCACCGCAACCACCGCCAGCUUCAACCGCCGGAGCCGCCGUAAGGAAGGCUCUUCAUCGGCCGUUGCGUAAGGCUUUUUUCUCUUCUCCCUUGUCUACGAUUUCGCGGUCGGUCGCUUUCUCGUAAUCUCGUGUGUUUCCCGGGAAAAUCGUGAUGGGGGAAUUUUAUUUUUUUUAUUAUAAAGUUUGAGAUUGAGAAUCAAGCAACUGAUUAAUCAAUUCGUAUUCGCAAGCGGAUAGAUCCUUUUGAUGAUUUCAAGUUAUAUAAGGAGAUUCGUCCCUUCCCUCUAAGUUGUUGUAUCUGAAUCGGAAAAUUUGGAAUCUAACUAGCUGGAUCGCGCUUUUCUCAUUUCUCCGUAGUUUAAUCACUUCUAUGUUCCAUUUCACGUCUUGAUUCAGGUCUCGAUCCUCAGGAUUAUAUUUUUGUAAGAUUGAAUCGUUUGGGUAGCUUUGUCCGUUCCUCACGAUGCAUUUCUGACGUGAAAAUUGGGUGUUUUUGAUUCCUCAAUUUAAUCCUAGCUAAUGUAUUUUUUUGGGCUGUUUCUUAAUUUUGGGUGUGGUUUUCUUGCUUAAACUAUGCUUGUUCCAUGAGUAUGAUGUUUUAACAAGAGAAGAAUACAUUGGUUAAUCUGGAAAUGGUUCUUGGACAUUAGAUUACUCAAAAAGGUUAAGAUUUUUUAGGAUGUGUAUCUGAUGGCCUUAGUUUACUUCAGAUCUGAAAAUGAGGGAUCUUGUUUGCUCCUGUCAAUCUUCUUAAACUGUUUUGGAAUUUUGUUGGUUUUGAUGAGCUAAAGAUAAAUGACUACAUUCCAUUUUAUUCCUUUUCCAUGGCAGAUACUUUUAAGGUCUUCAAAGCGUUGUCUUUCUUACGAACCAGGAAAUGGUUAAAAGGUACAUAUCUUGUUCAUAUGCGUAUUGUAUUGUCUUUAGUUUCUUUCAAGUUGUUCGACAGUUCUUACAUUUUUUUGUUUGGGGUUAUAUAACAGGCAUGGAGGGUUUUGAUUUACUAGAGAUAUCAUGUCGCAGUGCGUAGACGGUUUCAAGCAUGCGUGCACUUCUCUUUUACAGUGUUUUGAUAUUGAUAUAUACAAACAAUCUGGAGGCCUUGGAGACCCUGAACUACUUGCGAGAGAGACAGUUUGUAUGCUCUCAGCUUCUUUUCCAUCUUCUUUCAGCUUCCAUGCACUUGUUUUUGUUCAGUUAUAUGAUUCAAAGGCACGCUAUUCCUCUAGUUGAUGCUCUCUGUUAAGAGGAGUGCGAAUCUUUCUUCUGGCUUUUUUGAUGAUUGAGUCGUUUGGAUGCAGUUAGCGUGAGUGAAAUAGAGGCUCUCUAUGAGCUGUUUAAGAAAAUCAGCAGUGCUGUGAUUGAUGAUGGGCUGAUAAACAAGGUCUGCAGGAUUUAUUUGUCCUUUUCUUUUGCCACAAACUUAUACUCCUCACGCAUAUUGCUACUUCUUUUGGACAGUCUUUCUGAUUUUCGUUCUCUUAUCAGGAAGAGUUUCAACUAGCCUUAUUCAAGACAAAUAAAAAAGAGAGCUUGUUCGCAGACCGGGUAUGUUUCUUUUUCACCAAAAAGUCUUUGUAAUCCAUUUGCUAAGGAUAUGCUGACAUCCCAAGUCACAGGUAUUCGAUUUGUUCGACACAAAGCAUAAUGGAAUAUUGGGGUUUGAGGAGUUUGCGCGUGCUCUCUCCGUCUUUCAUCCAAAUGCUCCCAUAGAAGACAAGAUUGACUGUACGUAUCUGAUCUAUCACAAUUAUCGGAUGUUCACAUGAUAUGUGUGUAUAAUCCAUGAUAGCUCAUUCAUCUCUGCCUGGAAUAUUAUUUUACAGUUUCGUUUCAGCUAUAUGAUCUUAAGCAGCAAGGUUUUAUAGAGAGGCAGGAGGUAAAGCUCCUAUAAUAUCUCUUCAAUAGCCUCACUCAAACUGUAAAGAUCAUGUAUGCCUAAAUUUCUUAUCACUAUUCAGGUGAAGCAAAUGGUGGUGGCUACUCUUGCUGAGUCCGGCAUGAACCUGUCAGACGAAAUCAUAGAGAGUAUAAUCGACAAGGUGUGCUUUCCUUUAUCCGCUCGAGUCUAUUCUCUGGUUCCACUGUACUAUUUUACAACUCAUGUAAGUAGUUGAGAGUGAAGUAAAGAGUUAAUUCUGAGUUUCUGUGGCAGACAUUUGAGGAAGCUGACACAAAACAUGACGGAAGGAUCGAUAAGGAAGAGUGGAGGACCCUUGUUCUUAGGCAUCCUUCGCUUCUGAAGAACAUGACUCUCCAAUAUCUCAAGUGAGUUCCUAAACCAAGACCAAACCGAGAGGUUUUAGCCAAUUUUUCUGAAUCGCAUAUUAUUAAAACCGAUCUCUCAUAUUGCGUGCAGGGAUAUCACGACUACGUUUCCGAGCUUUGUGUUUCACUCGCAGGUGGAAGAUACCUGAGAAAAGCAUGGUAGAGCAGACAAUUUGGCAAUUGUGUUUGUUUUCUGAGUUAUGUAUCAUGUUUAUUUGUUUCGAUCUCUCUAAACUCCAAUUUUCAAGAUUUUGUUGUUUGCUCUGUGAAAAAAAUAAUAAUUAUAAGUUUAUAACAAAGCUGUAUUUUUGAUUUUUGACUGUUCCUGAUUUGAAUUUAUGUUUUCUCCUCCUCGCAUCUGUCUACUGUUACUCUGAUGUGCUCUGAUGUUAUUGCCAACAUCAUGGGUAUAUGAUCGGUUACUACUUUAUAGGGUAAGACUUUCAGCAAACAAAUACAAUUCACUCUACAUCCCAUCAGCAAUCAAAACGAAAACCAAUGAAGAUGAUUUCUUCUUCAAUUAAGAGUGACACAGAAGAAAACUAAAUGUGGGAAAAUGUUACCCAAGAAACACAUGAUUGAUUGGCAGAUUUAUAUGAUUCCGGUUGUACACAUCUUAGCGACAAUUAUUAGUUUAGAUCAAUUAGCUAGUCCCAAAGAUAUCAGAAACCGAUCAAGGCAAAUUAUAAGCCACAUUUAACUAUAUUUAAGCCGCUUAUACGGUCAUAUGAACCAAAACAAGGACAAAAACUAGUAGAAUUCCACAGGAAUCUAGUUCGUUGCAGAUAUGAUAAAAGUCAUUAAAAAAAAAACGAGUUCAAGAGGCCGAGAAGAAAACACCCACAAAAUACUAGUUCAAUAAACAAAAAGAAAAAAACUGAUGAUAGAGAAAAAAGAGAGAGAGUCGCUCGGGCCUGCUUCAACUACUACUUCUGGAUUGGUGGCUUAGUCGACUUCCUCCAUCUUGCUUCCUUCAGCCUCAGCGUCAUCUUCAAGCGGUGGCAUGUCAGCAUCAGCUUCGCCUUCACCUGCAUCAUCGUCAAUGCUCAGUCCGAGCUUAAGCAUCCUGUGGAUUCUGUUUCCGAAGGUGUUCGGCUCGUCAAGGCUGAAUCCAGAGGUGAGCAGAGCAGUCUCGAAGAGGAGGAGGACAAGAUCCUUGACGGACUUGUCGUUCUUGUCUGCAUCAGCUCUCUUCCUCAACUCAUCCAUAAUCGAGUUCUCUGGGUUGAUUUCCAUCGUCUUCUUGCUUGACAUGUAACCAGCCAUGCUGCUAUCUCUCAACGCCUGAGCCUUCAUGAUUCUCUCCAUGUUAGCAGUCCAACCAUACUCUCCGGUGACGAGACAACACGGUGAGUCAACAACACGGUCAGAGACAAUGACCUUCUCGACCUUGUCUCCCAAAACAUCCUUGAUCACCUUGCAAAGACCCUCGAACUUCUCCUUGAGUUCUUCCUUCUUUUUCUUCUCGUCUUCAGUCUCCUCGAGCUUCAAACCUUCCUUGGUGGCAGAGACCAGCUUCUUUCCCUCAAACUCCUUAAGCUGACCAAUGGCAUACUCAUCAAUGGCGUCGACCAUGUAAAGGACUUCAUAACCCUUCUUCUUGAGCUUCUCAAGGAAAGGAGAGUUCUCUACAGCCUUCUUGCUCUCACCAGUGAUGUAGUAGAUGUCGUUUUGUCCUUCCUUCAUCCUGGUCACGUAAUCCUUAAGACUGGUCAACUCAUCUCCGCUCUUGGUGGAGUGGUAACGGAGCAACUCUGCAAUCUUGGUCCUGUUCUGAGAGUCCUCGUGGAUUCCGAGCUUCAGGUUCUUGGAGAAAGCCUCGUAGAACUUGUUGUAGUCUUCCUUGUUCUCGGCAAUCUCAAAGAAGAGCUCAAUACACUUCUUCACAAGGUUCUUGCGGAUCACCUUCAGGAUCUUGUUCUGCUGGAGAGUUUCUCUUGAGAUGUUGAGAGGAAGGUCCUCAGAGUCGACAAUACCCUUCACAAAUCCAAGGUAUUCAGGAAUGAUCUCUUCACAGUUGUCCAUGAUGAAGACACGGCGAACGUACAGCUUGAUGUUGUUGGGCUUCUUCUUUGUGUCAAACAGGUCGAAUGGAGCUCUCUUGGGGACAAACAGAACUGCCUUGAACUCAAGCUGACCUUCCACAGAGAAGUGCUUGACUGCCAAAUGCUCCUCCCAAUCAUUGCUGAGGCUCUUGUAGAAGGCAGCGUAUUCCUCCUUGUUGAUCUCCUCGGGUUUCCUCAUCCAGAUUGGCUUCUGCUUGUUGACAAGAUCAAACUCGUGAGAUACUUCCUUGAUCUUCUUCUUUUUCUUCUCCUCCUUUUCUUUCUCUUCGUCUACUUCCUCAACCUUGCCUUCCUCAUCUUUCUUCUCUUCCUCCUCUUCAUCAUCUGAGAUCUCCUUCUCAAUGGUCUUCUCAACCCAAAGAGAGAUCGGGUAGCUGAUGAACUCGGAGUGCUUUUUGACCAAAUCCUUAAGACGGCGCUCUUCAAGGUAUUCCAAUUGGUCUUCCUUGAGGUAAAGAGUCAUCUUGGUACCCCUACCAAGGACCUCACCAGAGGUAUCCCUGGUCACAGUGAAGGAACCUCCGGCCUGGGACUCCCACACAUACUGCUCGUCAUCGUUGUGCUUUGUGACGACAACAACCUUCUCGGCCACCAAGUAAGCUGAGUAGAAACCAACACCGAAUUGUCCAAUCAUACUGACAUCGGCACCAGCAGCCAAUGCCUCCAUGAAUUCCUUGGUGCCAGACCUGGCAAUUGUACCGAGGUUGUUGACCAAAUCUGUAAAAAAGAACAAUGAAGCAUCAGCAAAUACAGUAUAAGCUUAGAUCAAACAGUAGAAACAGCGAAGCAAAGUUAACAUCUCAUCUCCAUAAUAAUACUUACCAGCCUUGGUCAUUCCAAUACCACUGUCGAUAAUGGUCAAGGUGUUGUUGCUCUUGUCCGGGAUGAUGUGAAUGAAGAGUUCUGGCUGGCCAUCGAGCUUGCUCUUGUCUGUCAAAGACUCGAAUCUAAUCUUGUCCAAAGCCUAUUCAACAGAAAAGAUAAAAAUAUCAGAUACUCUUGCUUGACGUUAAGCUUACAAGAUUAAAGCAACAAACUCAUAUAAUGCACUCUUAUGACAGCAACACGCUGAAAAACAAACCCCAAAUUACGAUGCAACAGGUCUCAAACUUAUCUAGAUUCGAAAAAUCUCAAUCGGCCAAAAAAUAAACCAACCAAACAAAUAAAAAGAUAGAUGACAAUAAACGAAAGAACACACAAUGCCCGAUAAAUCAUAAUCCCAAGUUCCGAACAUUCAACAAUCAAACUUGCUACAGAUUAGUAAGUGGCAUGUCCAAUCAAAACUCAUCUACUUCACUAAGUGCCAUUCCCAAUCAAAAUUCAUCAAUGGAUCUACUCGUGAAACAAAACAGAACAACUAACACGAAACAAAGAAACGCCUAAUAGCAAUAGAGAAAGAGAAAGGGAGAGAGAGACGCACAUCGGAGGAGUUACUGAUGAGCUCACGAAGGAAGAUCUCCUUGUUGCUGUAGAAGGUGUUGAUGAUAAGGGAGAGAAGCUGGUUGAUCUCAGCCUGGAAGGCAAACGUCUCGGUGUCCGACAUCACGAUCCCGGAGCUAGUUAGGAUUGUUACGCUUCGGAAGGCGAAGAAACAGACGGAGGAAAACGAAAACUAGGGUUUAUACUCGAUUGGAAAAAGAGCGAGGCUGCUCAGUGAAGGAGGAACAAUGUUUAUAUAGUGGGUAUUGUAGGGUUUCUAGAUCCUUCCACCAAAACUGGAAAUGAAAAACAAGAAAAAAAAAAUGUAAGUUCUUUUUUUUUGGGUCGAAAAAAGUAAAAGCCUUCAAGCGCGUGAUAUUAUUUCACAACGAAAAUUCCUGAUUUAUGGCAGUGCGGGUCCCACAAGCCCGCAAGUUUUAACGGUGGAUUGCUCCGUAGAUAAUCUCUCUCUCACUCUGUGUGCUGCUCAAAGACCCCCAAAAAAUCUGGCGCCUCUUCUUAUCCAGAAUCUAGAGAAGAAGAAAACGAUUGACGACGACGCCGAUGGCUUUGGAGAUUGCUCAACUUUUCGUCGGAUCAUCCAUUAAAUUAAGGUUGGAUUCUCAAUUUCGGUAAACGCAUUUUUUACCCUUGAUCCGAGUGAAAAAAUGUCGCUUGAGAUUGAAUUUCCAUUAGCAGCGUGGCGGGAAAAUCUAGGAGCGGCGUUUCUGGGAUCACUCGUGGUGGAUUAUCGUCGAUUUCGGCCGUACAUCUGCCCAGAAGGAUGUUUAUGCAGCUCGCUGGUUUGGGUUCGGUCUUGACGCUUCUGGAUUUUCCUGGUUUAGCGGCGCCAGUUCCUGAUAUGAAGGAACCUGAAGUGAUCAGGUAAAAAUGUUCUUCUCUGAGCUAUUUAGUUUCUCUUUGAUCUGGAUUUUGAAUGUUGAAAAGCGUUCGUACCUCAAUGGAAACUGUAGACGCUCGCAUUGACGAAUUUGUCAUCUUGGGUGAAUGUUCGUAUGAUUAUGGCAUAUUUCAUGGUGUUGAGCUCACAAGCAACUAUAGUCUAUACAUUACCAGGAAAUUUCAAUUAGACCAUGAAUUGCAAUACUUUAUGGCUUACUGCUCAAUGUGUGUCAUCAUUGCUUGAGAACCAAUGUGUGUAAUAAGGAAGAUGAGAAGAUUUAAUUUUCCAAUAUGAUUGCUCCCUGGAGUCAGUUCCUCAUUCUAGGUUUUUUUUCCUUUUGGUUGGUGAUCGAAGUGUCCAGGACGUUGAAGCUCCCGAGUGGUGUGAGGAUUCAAGGUAUACAUGCUUUCCCAAGAAUCCUGUUUGUUCUUGUUUAGUUGAUAAUAAUUAUGAACAGCUUAGAAACAUCCAGAGACUUGGUUACAUUAUGUGAGUUAGUUUUAAUUUGUUACUCAUUGAAGUUCUUUCUCAAUUCUUAGAGAUUCUUGAAGGGGAAGGACGAGAAGCUCAUGAAGGGGACCUUGUUGAACUAAACUAUGUAUGUCGACGUGCAAAUGGAUAUUUCGUUCAUAGGUGAGAUUUCAUGCCAAACUUCAAAUGCCUUGAUAGUUUCUUUCACUCAAUUUUGGAUGCCUUUUUUUCCUCUCUGACUCUCAUUGUUUCUUGAUUCAGCACUGUGGAUCAAUUCAGCGGCGAAAGUGCUCCUGUCAAACUUUUUCUUGACGACAAUGACGUAAUUAUAUCUCGCACUCAACACUACAUGUAGCAUAGCGAUCCAAUCAUGGCCCGUACUAACGAACUUCUUGGCACAACAACAGGUCAUUGAGGGUUUGAAGGAAGUCUUGUUGGGCAUGAAAGCUGGAGGUAAAAAUAAAAAUGGAACAACAACAAGAUUCUGGUCUUUCGAUGAAUAUCCUGUUUCUACUUGACUCACACAUAGCGGUAUUAUCUGGAUCCAGGGAAGCGUAGAGCACUGAUACCUCCAUCGGUUGGGUACAUAAACGAGACAUUGAAGCCAAUCCCCGAGGAGGUACCCAGAUCUUUACUCUUCAUUUAUUGCCUCCUUAAGAACAAAUGAAGUUGAAACAUAUGUAUGUCUCGAAAGAUCUGUCAUAUGUGUUUGUGGAUGCAGUUUGGACCAAGACGUAGCCUUCUAUCGCACGCGAAUGAGCCUCUGGUCUUUGAAGUCCAGCUCUUGAAAGUAUUAUGAUCUUCUUCUUGGGACAAUGUCAAUGAAGUAUUUGGCUGUAUUUGUUUAUUUUCUCCUGUAAAUCUGUAAAACAAUCUGCGUAGAUCUAUCUCAUGAGUUCUCUUUUUCUGCUAAAGCUUUUAUUUAAGCUGUUUUUUAGACUUGAGUUGUUGGUGAAUUACUUAGGAGUAAUGUAUAGUUGUGAUUUGUGAACCUAUAAAUAGAGCAAAAGAACCAGUUAACUCGUAUGAAAAAAAAAAAAAAAAAUCACCUAAAUUAGCUACAAACGACACCGUUCAAGACAAACUCAUACCGAUCAACGUUACAUCAUCGGUUCUCUUCUUCUUCCUGAAAAUUUCUUCAGCUGCGGCGUUUACCGAAACCUUAACGUCCACGAAAAAACUCCGAUCGCCGGCGUUCUGGUCUUUCCCAGUUUGCUUCCAUUAAAAAAUAUUGAAGCAAGUUAAAUAGGAAAUGGAGAAAAUGGCACAAGGAUGGUUUUCGAUGAGCGGGAGUAGCAGCGGAGAUCAGCAGCAGGACAAGCAGCAAGCAGGCUCGUCUUUGCUCGCGGAUUGGAAUUCUUACGCAGCAUCGAGAGAUGUCGAGGAAGGUGGCGGAAGCGGAAGCUUCGGGUUCGAUAUCGAAUCUGCCGUUAGAUCUGCCAACGACACUGUUUCAGGCACCUUCAGUGUGUAAGUCACUCGAUCUCUUUCCCAAAUUCGGGGUUGUAUAAUGCAAUUAUUCACGUUUUAUUUCGUGAUUGAAUAUGACGAUAUGAGUAUUUCGGUGGUUUUUAGUGAAUCUGAGCAAUUGAGUUUUACUUUGUUGAUCGUAGAGAUGCGUUUAUGAGCAUUGCACACCAAUGGAAUUAUAGCUAGUGAAAUGAUAAGUAGUUUUUAUGCAAUUGCAUGGAUCCAGCUGUGUAGUUUUGUGUUCAUCAGGCUUCAAAGCAAUUUGGUUGUAGUUGUGAGUUAUUCAACAUAAACAGAUCUCUUCUGGAGAAUGUUCAUACUGUUUUGCGGAAUACCUUCUUUCUCUGUCAAUUUUCAGAUUCUUAUUUCGCUUUAGACCUUUAGGUUGAUAUAUUUGCUUGAUGCAGAUUCGUAGCUGAUAUGUGCUUGCAUUUUGUUGAGCCUAAUUAAGCUUCCAUUUUGGACUGACCUGUGAAUUUUAUGUCUGUUAUGCUACGUGCUAUACUCUGUGAAGGUUUGUGUUUAGCUUUGGAUAAGCAGUUUUUGGGAUUGUGUGUUAACCAUAGAACAUAUCCAUCGCUCCAAUGAGAAUAUUAUCUGUAAAUCUCUAGUGCAGAUUUUACACGUCUGUGCAUCUUGUCUUUUGUUAUCAAUAAUCUUGCUUUUGUUUCGCUUAUGAAAUUAUUGUUCUUUUGAUGAUUUUGCAACUUGUACCUGAAAAUGAUGACUACAGGGUUUCAAAGGGCGUUAGAGAUAUUCCGGGGAACCUGCAAUCAGCAACCAGCAAUAUGCCUUCAGGGAAAGCGCUGAUGUAUUUCGGUUUACUUCUCGCAAGUGGUGUUUUCUUCAUCUUCAUUGCCUUCACAAUGUUUCUCCCAGUCAUGGUGCUUAUGCCACAGAAAUUUGCCAUUUGUUUCACCCUUGGAUGUGGAUUUAUCAUCGGAUCAUUCUUUGCACUUCGUGGCCCACAAAACCAGCUCGCACACAUGUCAUCCAUGGAGGUAUGCUACACUAUUAUCAUUCUAAAUGUGUCUUGCCCACAAAAGAGUGAAUUCCUUCCUCUCUUUCUAAAUUUCUUGUCACCUUCUCCAGAGGCUUCCUUUAACCCUAGGUUUCAUUGCCACCAUGGUUGGUACCAUAUACGUAUCGAUGGUUCUCCACAGCUACAUUCUCUCGGUGCUCUUCUCUGUGUUACAGGUACUACAUUUCAUCUUCCAACCCAACCCGUAAGAGAUUCCAAUUUUAGUCUACAUUGAAGCUUUUCAAAAUGAGUAUGUUGAAAACAAAGAUUGGACCUCAUCAAUGUGUUUAAAUUUUAUAGUAACCCCCCUUACUAGUAACCAAGAUUAGGCUCUCUUGAACGAGUGGCGUUUGCUUAUCUGGUUCUUCAACCGGUUAUCGAUUUGAACUUAAGAAAAAGAUACCCGUAUCGGGUUUUGAACUUGUGCUUGCAAAAACCGCACUAUCUACUGAAACUCAUAAAUUCCGGUAUCUGUUUUUUUUCUUUGUGGUAAUGGACAGGUUCUUGCGUUGGUUUACUACUGUAUAUCCUACUUCCCUGGUGGAUCAUCUGGCAUGAAGUUCCUCAGUUCUGCUCUUACCUCAUCUGUGCUAAGAGUUUUCGGGAGAUGAUCGUUCCCGCCCAAUCUGGGAGAAAGAGCAAAACCUUAAUUCCGUGGUGUGUAAAGAAAGAUGUCAGAGCCUUUUUCGUUUUCUCUUUAACAUAUAGAUUUGAUGAAAAUGUUCGAAAAGACAAAUGAUCUUGAAAGAGAUGUUCAAUGAAGAACCCAAAGUGAUCUUCUUUCUCUCAGUAAUUUUCUUUUUCUGAAUUGCAGACAAUUCUCCAAAGCAAAACGAGAAUUCCAUAAAACCAAGAAAAAUGGCUAACCGAAUUUCCCAAUUCACAAGAAGAAUGGUGUUGAACUCUUGAUUGCUUAGUUUACCAGCACCUUUUAGCUAAGUUUCUGAUAGGUAACAAUGUGAACAGACUAGAAACUGAAACGAAUAAAUCAGUUUUUAAUAGUCAGACUUAUUAAAGGAAACUUUCAUUGCUGCUGAGCAAUCAAGUUUAAAUCAAUUAAUCACACUUUUAACGACACUUCAGUGUACUUUGUUGUUUAUUGAGCAAAUGUAUGCAAGUAACAUAAAAAUUUAAUUGGGCUCAAUAAAGCCCAAUAAAAUAUUGUUUGGAAGCAGUUGGAUAAAGGUUUACCAAAGAUGCAUAGUCUUUUUCCUUUCUUCUUUGAGAAAACGAAGAUGCUUAGUUAUGUCUUGCCGUCUUGGUAUUUGAUUUUUAUUUCAAAGGUUUGUAUUUACAUUUACCUUUACUUGUUAAAUUGAUUUACCUAUGUGAAAAUGAAACUAAAAUAAACUAUAAUUUUUCUUUUUUCAUUUUGCGAACUUUCUUUCAUAAAUUCUAAAUACGUUUUCCAAAAAUAUUAAGGAAUGUUAAAAAUAUCAGAAUGUCGACAAGAUAUUUUUGCAUAUAUAUUUAAGCACAAAAACAAUACUUAUGUUUGAAACAAUAAUUUUAUCGUCCACAAAAAAAAAAAAAUUGAUAUAAGUUUUGUUCACAUCAAUCAUAAUCAUAGUGGAAAGAAAAUAAUAUUUUUAUUGGUCUAUCUGUUUAUUUGGUGCUAAUGUUUAGUGAGCGGGAAACCCAAUUCCCGAAAAUACGGAAACAAUGGAGCAAGAACAUUUGACGUCUCUAAUCUACACCUUACACUACACGUAUUGUUUGCAUUACUUAUUAGCUUGCUGUAUUAUUUUAUCAUUAUUAUUUUGAUAUUUGUAACUUAAACACCAAUGACUCCUUAAUUCAUUAAACUAAAGCUUCCGAGAGAGGGAUAUUAGCUGAAAGCAAAAGCCCAUCUUCUCCACUAAGCAAUGUUACUUUGAAAAGACUAUGAUUAUUGUUUGAAUCUGUACUAAUUGUGGUACUAAAACAUAUUGUUUUAGCUUUCUCUAUCUACUAAAACCAUGGUCAUAGAACAUUUUUGAAAAAGAGUCUUUUAUAAGGCUGUAAUCUCUAACGAAAUUUUCAUGGUUAGGCAGAAAUAUAAAAGCAGGGAAGAAAAGAGAAAUUUCAAACGGAAAGUUGGAAAAAGCUGAAAAAUUAACUAAAACAUUGUAAAAGUCUUGUAAUAUGAUAUGUAACGAGCUGUUUUCAAAAAAUAUCUCCAUUUGAUUAUUGCAGAAUGCAUAUAUGAUAUGUAAUUUCCACAGUUGAUACCAAAUUACAGUUGUAAAAUAUGAACCGGGAGAAAAAGAGAAGAAAAAUCAGGCAAAGCAAAAGCUAAAUUUCCUCUAUAUAUUAUUAAAAAAAUCUAUCAUAUAGAUUAAACUAAAUGCAUUUUAUGAACGAACAAAUAUUUGAUGUAUAUUGGAAAUAACUUUUGUUUUCAUUGGUUUUUGCUAUUAUUAAAAGAGGUUUUGUACUGUAUGAUAUCAUCUUAAUUGUUUUAUAAAAUAAAUACUCUUCCAUAUUAUAAAAUGGUAUCAAAUCUAGAGUGACUUUAGUCUAUAUAACAUCUUAAAUUUGUUAUAUUCACUGGAUCAUGAUAUAUAUAUACAUAUAUUAUGUAUAUACAGUAUAACCUCUAUAAAUUAAUACUCGAUAAAUUAAUAAUCACUAUAAAUUAAUAAAUUUUACUGAUUCCAAGUCGGGGCAAUUUAAAAUUCCAUCAAAUUCGAUAAAAUAAAAAGAUAAUAAUUUUUUUGAAAUCUCUAUGUAAAUAUAUGAUCCCAACAAAAACAUAAAUUAAUAAUUAUAUAUAUAUUUAUGCAAAUAUAUGUAAAUAUAAUAUUCUAAAAUAUGGCUAAUAUGUUUGCUUUUACUUUAAGGGUGAAAUUUCAUUGGAUAUUAUCUCUCUAAUUAUUAUAUCAAUAGUUUUUAUUGGUGUUUUAAAAUAUACAUUCAAAAUUUAUGAUGAUUUUUUGAUGUGAUAAUUGAUUUUUUUACCUGUAAAUAUUUUUUUAAUGUGUUGUAGUGUUAUUUUUAAUUUUAUCAUCAAUAAUACGGAUAAUAGCUAUGAUUUUUUAAAAAACUUUAAACUAAUGAACAUGUAUAUUUUUACAUGGACAAUCCGUUAUGGUAUUAAAAACUAUUUUAUUGCGAUAGUUAUAAUUGUUAAUCAUAAUUUACAUUACGAUAUUUGUUAAAUUUUAAAAUAUAACAUUAUUCCAAUAAAAGUUUUAGAAAAUUAUAGAUAGAAAGCUGAUUUUUUCUAUAAAUUAAUAAUUAUUAAUUUAUAGAUAAAUUAAUAUCACGAUAAAUUAAUAAAAUAUCAUAGUCUCGACAUUAUUAAUUUAUAGAGGUUUUACUGUAUGUAUGUUUUGGAUGAUUUGUCCACUUCUUUUACACUUCUACAGUACUGCCACUACAUUCUUGGACUGCUUCUGCCGCUGAUACUGAUACACCCCACCCCCCCCCACACACACGGGACCAUUGUUUAUUAGAAAAAAAAGAGCUAAAUAAAUUUGAGAAGUGUACAGACAAGACCUUAUAUAAUAUAACUAAAUUAACCCAUCAUAUUCUUUGUUAGAUCCAACACCCUCUAUGAUCAGUUUCUCAAUCACUUAGAUCUGAUCAAGCCACUUAAAAGAGCUUAAACUAUCUUUUAUGUAUAUAUGUGUACAUUUGCCGCUCUCUCUCAUGUGAUGAGAUCUGAUCUGACCUAAUUGGAUCGUGAUUAGAUGUAGAUCUUUGUUACAAUAUUGUCUUCAUAUCCGCAUUGAAGCGUUUCUCAUUUAUUAUUAUUCACUAUUUGUCUCGUGAUUCUCAUCAUCAAAUUUACAUACUUGAUAACACAUUAACACAUAUUUCAUACUAAUAAAGAGUACACACAAACUACUUCAUCAACAGAUGUCUUAACGUUAAAUUUUGUAUUGAAUCAAUGUUUGAAGUGUGUUUCUUUUAAGUCAUAUGGCGCUUAAUUAAUGCUGGAUAAACAAAUCGGAUAUGCAUCUAAUUACGAAAUUCCUGUAGGCUCAUUUAGGUGUUACGAAAUCCUUGAAAUGAAUAGUGAGAGAUACUUAAUUGUCUUGCUAAGCUUGGAUUGCUCGGAGAAUGAAUAUUUUAAGGGAAGUAGAAUAGUAUACUUAGGGAUUUUUGAUAACUUUGAAUGGAAGCACACGUCAAAAACCUAAAGAAAAAAGAGAAUCAGAUGUAUGAUAUGUAUUCUGCGAAAAUCUAUAUCAGAAAAAAAAGAGAGAAUAUCAUAGCAUGUUGUGUCUAUGUAUGAGUUCAUAAUGGUCAAUAAGUACAUAAUAUAUAUAUAUAUAUAAUAAAAACAUAAAAAGCAUUGAAUCAGUAAAGUGGAGAAGCGUUCUUGGUUGACCUAAUUUUUAUUUUCUUUCAUUUUAUUUUAUUUUAUAGAAACAAAACAUAAAAAGCAUUGAAUCAAUGCCUUACACUAAUCGAAACCGAAUUUUCUUAGAAUUACUGUUGAAACUGAAAUGAUACGUGCUGGCUAAAUUGGAUCCGAUAAACUAAAACAAAACAAAAAAAACCAUACCUAGCAGAAAUAAAUGUAAUAUAACAUCAUGUGUUUAUUAUGAGGCUGUAUAUAUGUAAUUGGUGUAGAGAAUAUAGGAAAAAUGUUUGGGAUGCAAGGGUCCUGUCACCCAACAAACAGGGACCAUUUAAUAACGAUAAUCAUAAGAUUUGUGAAAGAAAUGUUUCACUCAUUUGGCAGAAGUACAGUUGGAUUGCUUUGUCUUUUCUUUCGCACACCUUUUGUUCUCUUUACUUCCUUCUUGUUUGUUGGUUUUUGUUCUUUUAUUAAUUAUUUUUUCGCUUUUUUUUUCAAUUUCUUUAAGGGACCAUUUAUUUAUUUCUUUAUCAAAUGAUUUUGCUAGUUCUUUUUGUUUUUAAAGAUUUUACUCAAGUCCAAUCACACACUGAUAUAAGUAUAUAAAACUUAUAUCAUGAGGUAAUUUGUUUUUGGAUAAAAUUCAGUUUUACUGGAACGGCUCGAAUUUUUAAAACAAAACAAAAAAGGACCGACAAGAUGAGCAAGGGACAGGGUUAUAAAUUAAUUAAUUAUUUCUUUAAUCUUUCACAAAAGUUCGAAGCUUGCAUGUGCAAUUUUACUCUUGGAGAUUCCAUGUAUUACUUCAACUUGAUUAGUGUAUACAUCAGAGACACCAAAGUAGAUGAUCUAUACUAUAUUCUUUCUUUUAUCUUUUACGUUAAUAAUAUUAUCAUGGUUUAAAAUACCACUAUUUACCCACUUCUAAUUUCUCUCAAAAUAAAAACAGAAUCCACUCUAAUAUAGUAAAUUUUAUAAACCAAGUACACGUGGUUUGUUAUUUCUAAUUACACAGCAUAGUGUCGACAUUUGGUGGUUCAAAGAUUUUGGAUACUUCAGUUCUUAAUAUGAGAAUUAACACUUUAUAGAUGUUACUACUAUCGUGGAUUUUGAAAAUGUACGGUGCUUUACUGCGUUUAAUGUAAAUACACGUUGAACACUUUAUCACAUUACUAAACAAACAAGAAAAGCAUUCGACUCAAUCAUGCCGCUUCUAAGAUCCACGAGAGUGUUUUCCUUCGCGGUGAACGGUGCAGCCGUACUAUUGCUCAUAAUAUUUUUGUAAGACCACCUCCAAUGGUGAGAAACUUUUAAGAGUAUCUCAUCUAAUAUAAUACUAUUAUUUUUAUGUAAUUUAAUUAAUUAGUUAAAUUUUAAAUUAUAAAAACAAAUUACACCAAUUUUGGUGACACAUUUUAUGAGAUUCUCUCAACUUUUUUUUAGAGGUUUUCAAAUGAGAGACUUUAGAUACCAUGUUCUCAUUCUCUCUCAUCUUUUUUGAUUUUUUCUAUUUUUUUAAUUAUGAGAACUCAUAUGAGAGAUUACCAGGAUGCUCUAAUAUAACUGAUUAAAAUAACUUUUUUUUACAAUUUUUUUGUUUGUCUCACUCGGUCUAACGCUUUGAAAAAUGAUCUGUUCAAAUAUGAAAAACUUUUUACAUCGGUCUAAUUUGCCAUUGAACAAGAAACUAUGCAUCACAACAAAUUUAAAUCCAUAUAUGCGUUUACAUUUCUAAAGUCAUUAAUCUUGUCUCACCAUAAACACAUUCUUCACGUCAAUUUAUACAUUUCAUCAUUGUUUACAUUUUUUUGCCUCUAUAGGUUCUUUUAGAUUUUUUUUUAUAUAAAAAUGUAAGAUUAAAAUAAUAGUAAGGGUAGAGAUAGAAAGUACUUUCUGGGAUCCAAAUCUUCCUCUCUGCUCCUUCUCUCUCUCUACUCUCUGUGUUUUAUUUAUAUUUUCCAUAAAGAAAGAAAAACCAAAAUCCAUGGGGUUCUUCGCUUUACAAUCCCAACGCACUUCUCUCCUCUUUCCUCAUCUUCGUCUUCUCCGAUGCCAUCAUAUUUCCAUAGACCCUCCUUCUUCCCGUUCAUUCUCUGUUUCUUCUUCAUCCCCUGUUUCUCUCUCGACGAACAAGGUCAAGCUCUCUUCUCAUGGAAGUCCCAACUCAACAUAUCCGGCGACGCUCUCGCCUCCUGGAAAGCCUCCGACGCAUCUCCCUGCAAUUGGCAAGGCGUAAAAUGCAACCACAAAGGAGAAGUUUCCGAGAUACAACUCAAAGGCUUCGACUUGCAAGGUUCUCCGCCUGUGACCAUUCUCCGGAACCUCAAGUCUCUUACUUCCCUCACUUUAUCUUCACUCAAUCUCACCGGAGUAAUCCCCAAGGAGAUCGGAGACUUCACAGAGCUCAAGCUACUCGAUUUAUCGGAUAAUUCUCUCUCCGGCGAUAUCCCCGUGGAAAUCUUCAGGCUCAAGAAACUCGAGACUCUGUCUCUGAACACGAACAAUCUCGAAGGUGUGAUUCCGGCGGAGAUUGGAAAUCUUUCUGGCCUCGUCGAGCUCAUGCUCUUCGACAACAAGCUCUCCGGAGAGAUCCCGAGGAGUAUCGGAGAGCUCAAGAAUCUAGAAAUCUUCCGUGCUGGUGGGAACAAGAAUCUCAGAGGUGAGCUUCCUUGGGAGAUAGGCAAUUGCGAGAAUCUGCUUAUGCUUGGUCUCGCCGAGACUAGUCUCUCCGGAAAACUCCCGGCGUCGAUUGGAAACCUGAAACGCGUUCAGACAAUAGCAAUUUACACGUCACUGUUGUCUGGUCCGAUUCCGGAUGAGAUUGGAUAUUGUACUGAGCUCCAAAAUCUGUACUUGUACCAGAAUUCAAUCUCUGGAUCGAUCCCAAGCACCAUUGGUGGUCUAAAGAAACUGCAGAGCUUACUCUUAUGGCAGAAUAAUCUCGUCGGAAAAAUCCCGACCGAGCUCGGGAACUGCCCUGAGCUCUGGCUUAUCGAUUUGUCUGAAAAUCUCAUCACCGGAAGCAUACCAAGGAGCUUCGGGAAUCUUAUGAACCUGGAGGAGCUUCAGCUGAGUGUAAACCAGAUCUCAGGAACGAUCCCUGAAGAGCUAGCCAACUGCACGAAGCUCACGCAUUUAGAGAUUGACAAUAACCUUAUCACCGGCGAGAUUCCGUCAUUGAUGGGUAACCUUAGAAGCUUAACGAUGUUCUUCGCGUGGCAGAACAAGUUAACCGGUAAAAUCCCCGAAAGUCUCUCGCAGUGUGGAGAGCUUCAAGCCAUUGACCUCUCUUACAACGAUCUCUCUGGUUCCAUCCCCAAAGAGAUUUUUGGAUUACGAAACCUCACGAAGCUUCUUCUUCUCUCCAAUGAUUUGUCCGGAUUCAUACCGCCGGAUAUCGGAAACUGUACGAAUCUCUACCGGUUGAGACUCAACGCAAAUAGACUUUCCGGGAGUAUUCCGGCGGAAAUCGGGAACCUGAAAAAUCUCAACUUUAUCGAUUUAAGUGAAAACCGGCUCGUCGGGACAAUCUCUCCGGCGAUUUCUGGUUGUGAAAGCCUCGAGUUUCUCGAUCUUCACUCGAACAGUCUCUCCGGUUCGUUGCUCGGUACGCUCCCAAAGAGCUUGAAGUUCAUUGAUUUCUCCGAUAAUUCUCUGUCUGGUCCUCUGCCUCCGGGAAUCGGGUUGCUGACCGAGCUUACGAAGCUUAAUCUCGCGAAGAAUCGAUUCUCCGGCGAAAUCCCUAAAGGAAUCUCCACUUGUCGGAGUCUACAGCUCCUCAACCUCGGCGACAAUGCCUUCUCCGGAGGAAUCCCAGACGAAUUGGGUCGAAUCUCGACUCUAGCAAUCUCUCUUAAUCUCAGCUGCAAUGGGUUCGUCGGAGAAAUCCCGUCGAGAUUCUCCGAUUUGAAAAGCCUUGGAGUGCUCGACGUCUCUCACAACCGACUCACUGGAAACUUAAUCGUCUUACAGGAUAUGCAGAACCUCGUCUCCCUCAACGUCUCAUUCAACGAAUUCUCCGGCGAAUUACCCAACACGCCCUUCUUCCGGAGACUCCCACUCUCCGAUCUCGCCUCAAACAAUGGGCUUUACAUCUCCGACGGAAUUUCGACCCGACCCGACGGGUUAGGAUCCUCAACCCGGAACAGUCGCGCUGUUAAAUUAGGCAUUUCAAUCCUCGUCGCCGUCACCGCCGUCCUCGUGCUCCUGGCGGUUUACACUCUGGUCCGGGCACGAGUCGCCGGAAAACGAUUCCUCGAGGAAGAAAUUGAUUCGUGGGAUGUGACACUAUACCAAAAACUCGAUUUCUCGAUCGACGACGUCGUUGAGAAUCUGACGUCGGCAAACGUGAUCGGAACCGGAAGCUCCGGCGUAGUUUACCGAAUAAUGAUUCCGUCCGGCGAGACUCUGGCAGUGAAGAAGAUGUGGGCAAGGGAACAAAGCGGUGCGUUUAACUCAGAGAUCAACACUCUGGGAUCGAUUCGUCACAGGAACAUCGUUCGUCUUCUGGGAUGGUGCUCGAAUCGUAACGUGAAACUCCUGUUUUACGAUUAUCUCCCCAACGGCAGCCUGAGCUCUCGGCUUCACGGCGCCGGAAAAGGAGGAGGAGUUGAUUGGGAAGCUCGAUACGACGUCGUUCUAGGUGUGGCCCAUGCGCUUGCUUAUCUCCAUCACGAUUGUCUCCCAGCAAUAAUACACGGUGACGUUAAAGCUAUGAACGUCUUGUUGGGCCCCCAAUUCGAACCCUACUUAGCCGACUUCGGUUUAGCUAGAACCGUCUCCGGUAAUCCAAAUACCGGAAUUGAUUUAUCAAAACAGAGCAAUCGGCCUCCUUUAGCUGGUUCUUAUGGUUACAUGGCUCCGGGUAAGCUUGUACUCUUAUCGAAUUUCGGAAUUUGGUUUACUAUCGAUUUAUAAUUUGUUUUGUUUGUUGUCUUCUUGUAGAACAUGCUUCGAUGCAGCAUAUAACCGAGAAGAGCGAUGUUUAUAGUUACGGAGUGGUAUUAUUAGAGGUUUUAACCGGAAAGCAUCCGUUAGAUCCGGAUCUACCCGGUGGUGCACAUUUGGUUAAAUGGGUGAGAGACCAUUUAGCCCAGAAAAAAGAUCCGAGUAAGCUUCUUGACCCGAGACUCCAUGGACGGACUGACCCGGUUAUGCAUGAGAUGCUUCAAACUCUUGCGGUGGCGUUCCUAUGUGUAAGCAACAAGGCAAGUGAAAGACCUCUGAUGAAAGAUGUUGUGGCAAUGCUCACGGAGAUUAGGCAAAUUGAUGUCGGACGAUCGGAGACUGAUAAGAUCAAAAGUGGUUGUUGCGGAGGCAAAGAGCCACGUUUGAUGUCGCAUGAGAAAAUCAUUUCUCAUGGUUCUUCUAAUUGUUCAUUUGCUUUCUCGGAUGAUUCCGUUUAAACACAAAGACAACAAAGUAAUGGUGAAAAGCGUGAGUUGUCGUUUACAAAGUUGUGUGAAUAUUUUUCUGUUGUUGUAGCUUGAAUUUUUUUUUUGAAAAGUUUUUGUAUAAUCAACUUGAGAGUAACAACUAAAAGCUACUAUGAUUGCAGUAGGUUUGAAUAAAUGAUUUCUGUUUCUUGAUUUGCAAGUAAUGUAACCAGCAUAAAACAAGUUAAAAUGAAGAGUACACAUGUGUCGGAAAAGUGUCAUAAAAGUAAAAAACACUUGGUAGAAUCAAGAGUUCUCUUUUCUCUAUUUCCCCUCUCUAUAUUUUGUCUUUUUGUUAAGAACUAUGUUCUUCUUUUAUUAGUUACGUUACGUUUAUUUUCUAUUUCGUCCAAAUUUUGUCUCUUUUUGGAUAAGCAUUAAGCAAUAGUAUCUGUACACAGCGCAUAUAAGUAUAUUUUUGGAUCAAAUUAUCUUAUUAUAUGAAUGUCACUACAAGAAAGAUCGGCUUUUACGUCAGCAGAUAUCGACGUAAAUUCGACGUAAAAGAACAUUUACGUCGAAUUAACGACGAAUUAUAAUUCGUCGUAAAACGAUCGUCGUAAAACCCAAAUCGUCGUAAAAUCGUCGUAAAAUUACCAACUCCGGAAAAUCGUCGUAAAAUCGUCGGAAACAAUUCGUCGUAAAUGCGACGUAAAAUUUCCAACGGAUGUACAACGAAAUAACUCCAUCAUAAGAACGACGUAAAAUCGAUGUAAAAUUACAUCGAUUUAACAACGAUUAGGAGACGAAGAAUUUCAAUUAAGGGAAAAAUAAAUUUUUAAUUAUCGAUGUUAAAUCGUCGUAAAUUUUCGACGUAAAUCCGACGUAAAGAUAUUCGUCGUAAAUUCGUCGUUAAAUUUUUCGACGUUAGAACGACGUAAAUUUACGACGAAUUUACGUCGAUUAAUUCGAUUUAAUUCGAUUUUAAUAAAUUAAUUAUUUAAUUCGAUUUUAAUUUAAUUAAUGAAUUUUUUAAAUAAUAAAAAAAUUAAAAAUAGAAAAAAUUUGAAAUUUAAAUUCAAAAAUAAUUUAUAAAUAAAAAAAAAUUACUACAAAUUGUUUUUUACAAAAAACCUAAUCUAUACAAAGUCGUAAUCGUCGAGGUUGAGAUCGACGUCACGAGGAAGCUCUCCGUCUUGGCCGCCCGUCGCUGCUGGACCGACGUUUUCCGUCUGCACUACCGGAGCCGAAGACUGACCGCCCGUCACUACUGGGACCGGAGCCGAAGUCUGACCGCCCUGCGUCUGCGGGUCCGAGGGUCCAGUACCCGAAGUAGCUCCGGUCUCAAAAACCCUCCGUGCUCGCUGUUGCCUCGCUCGGAUUGCGGUGGCCAACUGCGGAACCGCUUCCGCAAUGAUGUCGAAGAGAUCAUGGAUCUCGGUGAGCUCCUGCUUCUGGGCCACUUGCUCAUGCCUGAGAGUGGUGAUCUCAGCAUUGGCCGUAGCAAGCUCCUGGCGAAGCUGCGGAUCCUGCGGGCGGUGGAAUCCGGAAGCCGUGGCGGCAGGACAGUCUCUAAUAGAGCCCAUCCCUAAUGUUCGGCCCUUCUUCUUCGGAGCGACCUACAAAUGGAAAAUAAAAACGUUAAUUAUUUAUUAAGUAAUUAUAAAUAUAAUAAAUUUUUAAAAAAUUGAAAUAGAUCAUACCUCUUCGAAAAUCUGGUCUUGCUCAGCGACGGUCAACGGUACGUGGAUAGUACCGUCAGGUGUGGCCUGGGUCUCCCGCUCGGCGAUCCGCUGCAUAGCGGCAUUGUAGAUCUCCUCGGACCGAGCGUCGACAAAGCUCCCGUCCUUCUUCCGGUGAGUGGUCUCGAAGAGCUUCGUCAUUGGAGGUAGUUCUCCUCCGUUCUCCUCGGCCUACCAAUUAAUAAACAUUAUUAGUCAAAAAUAUUUAAUAAAUUAUAGUAAUAAAUAAAAUUAAAAUAAUAAUGAAAUAAAUUAUAUUUAAUUACUUACCAUCAUGAGACGUCUUCCCGCAAAAGAUACUUGGCCAGAAGUGUGCGGGGUCACUAACUUCUCACCAGUCACCGGAUCGACCCGGUUUUGGACGGCCGAACACUUAGCAGCGGUGGUUUGGGCAUGCGGGUCCACCCAAUACGCCUUCAACCCGUUCCAACACCAAGUGGACAUGGAGCUCGGCUUUGCGUCGUCGCCGUCGGUCUCCCAUUUCCGCUUCCAAUCGGAAACGGUGUUGACUAGGCGUUUCUUCGCCUUUUCCACGAAAGCAUCGCGGACCGUCUCGUUGAUCCCGAUGUCCCAAUUCCACCGUUGCUGCAAAAGAAAACAAAAAAUUAGAUAAACAAUAUAAAAGUAAGAUUAAUUAAAUUUAAAACAAUUUAAAAUGAUAUAAAUAAUAUUUAAAAAUAUUACCGCGAAGCACUUGUAACAGGUGUCGCACGUCUCUUGCGACACCUUGCUCCAAUUGUAGUGCGGCUCCACGAAAUGACUCUUAAUGCAGUCGGAAACGCUCCGACCGACACAAUUAUCCAAAGUAAACCUAUGAAAAAAAAAAAAAAUUAUUACAUUAAUAUUUAAGUAAAUUAAAGCGUUAAUUUAAAAACUAUAAAAAACAAAAAAGUUUACUUACCAAAACGAGCCUGGUUCCGCUUUUCCGGGAACUAGACGUCGUAAAGCCCCCCGUCCCGGUAAGGCUAGUAAAUCCUCAACCGUAAACUGGGCAUACGGAUGAGGAGGGACGGGUACCGGUUCGGCAGCCGGGGCGGGUACCGGUUCGGCAGCCGGGGCGGGUACCGGUUCGGGAGCCGGUGGAGGAGGCGGUGGUGGAGGCGGUGGUGGAGACGGCUCCGCGGUAUUCGGAACCUGAGAGGCUCCGGAAGAUGAGGAAGGGACAUCGGUCCCGGUGUUUCCCGAGGCAGACGCCCGGGAAGAAUGUCCGUCCGCCAUGAAAUUGAUGUAAUGCGUCUUCCGUCGAGGCAUCGUCUGCAAAACGGAAAAAAAUUAUUUUUCAAAUUAAUUACAAUGUCGAUCCUAAAUCUAACAAAUUCCGAUCCUUAAUCUAACAAAUUCUGAUCCUAAAUCUAACAAAUUCCGAGCCUAAACUAAUUCCCGACCUAAACCGUUUGAAUUUCUAAACUAUUUAAAAUUAUUAUAAUUUGAAAUAAUUAAAAAAAUUAUUUACCUUUUUUUUUUGCGUCGAAAGGAGGAGGUGGGAAGGAGGAAGCAGAGACAGCGAGAGAGGAAGGAGAGAUGAGCGACGAAAUGAGGAAGGGGCUAAACCCUAUAUAUAGAAUUUAUAUUUGUCGUAAAUUCGACGUAAAUGUUACGUCGAAUUUACGACGAAUUCGUCGUAAAUUCGUCGCAAAGUUCCCACCGUACACAAAGCGAAUAAGACAAACACACGUGGGUGUAUCUGGACUUUGCGACGAAUUUACGACGAUCCGUGUUAUUCGUCGUAAAUUCGUCGUAACAUUACGACGAAUUUACGACGAAUCGUAUAAAUCAUUAAAAUUAGAACGGCUGUGUAUACACAUAUCGUCGUAAAUUCGUCGUAAUAUUACGACGAAUUAACGACAAACUAUACAAAACUGAUGAAAUUCAAAAAUUGAAACAUCCAUAAGGACAUACAAGCAUGUCUAUUCAUGAUAAAUGUGGUGUGUAUAACUUUCUAACAUGUUUACAUAACUUAAUGAAGGUUUUAGUAAGAUGUAAGAUAAAUCCAUACAUCUUGUGUAAAUGUAUAUAACACCUUAAGAUUACUUGAUAAACACAUAUAUGUCAAUUUUAGAAUUUUUUUUUUUUUUGUUUAGAAAGUUGUUUUACCUUAUGAGAUGGUAAGCCAUUUCAUUCUCUUCAUCAAAAUCCCCCCAGAACCCCAUAAAAGAUUGAUUUAAGAUUUAGGGGUUACAUUUCGUCGUAAUCUCGAUGGUAUAUUACGACGAAUUUACGACGAUUACUCCCAUUCGUCGUAAAUUCGUCGUAAUAAAAACCACAUUUCUACAAGUUCUUGAACCUUACAAUACAGACCCUUAUAUAAUACAUCAGUUUACUUAGGAAAAUGAACCUAAAAACCAUUUUGUAAGUUGGGAAAGCUAAACCCUAUAGGGUUUAGGGUUUGCAUGUUACGACGAAGUUACGACGAUUUCUUAAUAAUCGUCGUAAAUUCGUCGUAAAAGUCAACAUAUGUUCAAGUCAACACAUAAACAAAUUUUCAAUCUUCAUAUUAUAGAGGUAUGGUGGAUCACUUGAUAAAUUUUCUAACCGGGUCCCCAAGAAAUGAAAACAAGAAGCUUAUAUAAACAAAAAUUUAAAUUUGACAAAUGUUACAGUGAAACGUUCAAAUCAUGCAAUUAAUUAAUGUCAAUAUAUUUAAUUAGUCUUCAUCAACAUUUUCCUCGGUGUCCUCAUCAUCAUUGUCAUCAUCAUCACUGCUUGUCGUAAAUUCGUCAACACCUUCUUCAGUUUCGUCCCCAUGUAGAUCUUCAACUUGUCGAUUACGUGGAUCAAUUAAAAGAACAUUUUCUUCAACAUCCGGUUCUGUAAUGUCGACACAAUCAUCUUGUUGCAUUGGCGGGAGAUCUACACCAUCAAUUAUACCCCGUGGAGCAACUUUGACAACCGCCAGCCAUGAAAUUCCCGUAUUCCGAACUCGAGGAUAUGGAACAAAGGUGACUUGUUCUGCUUGAGAUGCAAGUAUAAAUGGCUCGAACUUAUUGUAUUGCCGAGAUGCGUUUACAUCUACCACUCCAAAUUUGUUCAUGCGCACUCCACGACCUUUCGUAGGAUCAAACCAAUCACAUUUGAAUAGAACAGUUUUCAUUCUGACUAAUCCGGGGUAUUCCACUUCAAUUAUCUCUUUGAUGAUCCCAUAAAAGUCUACUUCACCUCGUACACAAACUCCAUAGUUUGUAGUUGCCCGUUGAGUGCCAUGACUAUAAGUAUGAAAAACAUAGCCACGUGUGAAAUACAUAGCUGCAGUAGUUAUCUUCGAAAUAGGACCUAGGAGCAACUCAUGAAACCAUACUGCAUAUGUCAUGUCAUCAUGCUCAACUUGACCUUUUAACCACAAUGCAUAAUGUUGGUCUUUUCGCUUGUUAAUUUCAUCUUCUGAAACACCGUCAAUGCAUUCUCGGACUUGACUGACGAAAGUGCUGAAAUUUUAAUACAUUGUUAAUGACAUUUCGCAUGUUCAAUAUAUCAAAUUUUAAUCAUACAUGGUUAUAAUUAUGUACCUCUCGUAAGGUGCCAAUUCCUCGCAAUUCAGAAGUAUAUAUGUAUGUGCGCUGUGGUAGUCUUGUUCGUUUGACCAACGGGUUUCUUUCAGUUUCCCACUUAGACGUCCAAUUGGUGAGAAUAUAUCAGGCACACAUUCUACUGCGUAACUUUGUCCUACACCCCCAUCGUCGUAACGUCUUGGAGCCCGUUUGCGUGUACGAACCUUUGGAGCAAAGUAAUAAGACGUGAAAUGAGAAGUCUCUUCUGUCAGACUUCCCGCCACGAUAGACCCUUCAACUUUUGCUAAGUUUUUGGCCUUACCCUUCAAAUGCUUCAUAAAUCGUUCAAACGGAUACAUCCACCUAAACUGAACAGGUCCUCCCAACUCUGCUUCAUGAGGGAGGUGUACAGGUAAAUGUUCCAUAACAUCGAAGAAAGCAGGUGGGAAUAUUUUCUCUAAAUUGCACAACAAUAUUGGAAUAUUUGUAGACAGUUGUGCAACUACAUCUUCUGAUAAUGUCCUUGUACUUAGAUCACGGAAGAAAGCUCCAAUGCCUCCUAGUGCCUCAUGGACAUGUCCCGGUAGGAGUUCAGCAAACGCAAAAGGAAGUAACCGUUGCAUAAACACAUGACAAUCAUGACUUUUCAUCCCUGAAAACUUUUGUCCUUUAUCCACAGAUUUAGCCAGAUUAGAUACAUAUCCAUCAGGAAAUUUCACGGCUGAUGAUACCCAAUUAAACAAAGCUGUUUUUUGUUCAGCACCCAACCGAAAUACAGGAACAGGUGCUUUCCCAUUACUCACCAUAUGCAACUCAAUUCUGUUACAUAUAUCGGGUAAGUCCAUCCGUGAUUUAACGCUGUCUUUGGUUCUUCCUUAGACGUUCAAAACAGUAUGCAUGAUGUUAUCGAAAAAAUUCUUCUCAAUGUGCAUAACAUCAAGAUUAUGUCUAAGCAAAUGAUCUUUCCAGUAAGGCAGAUCCCAAAAUAUACUUUUCUUGUGCCAAUUAUGAUGAACCCCAUAUCCGUCAGGCAUAUUCGCAGGAGUGUGCCAAUUUCCUCCAAGGGGGACCGUUUCAAGUCCACCCCAAUGAUCUAUUUGCGCUUCAAGCUCUACUCCAGUUAGGUACACUGGUGGAGGGAGACGAACCAAUUUGUUCUUUAUAAACAAACGCCUAUUUCUUCUAUAUUGAUGGUUUGGUGGUAAAAACCGACGGUGGCAAUCAAACCAACAGGUUUUCCUACCAUGUUUAAGCUGAAAUGCAUCAGUCCUAUGAAGACAAUAAGGACAUGAUAACCUCCCAUGCGUUGUCCAACCUGAUAGCAUUCCGUAUGCCGGAAAAUCGCUUAUUGUCCGCAUAAGCACCGCUCGCAUCGUAAAAUUUUUACCACUCGAACAAUCAUAUGUUCGUACUCCAACAUGCCACAACUGGUUUAACUCAUGUAUGAGUGGUUGCAAAAACAUAUCAAGUGCCCGCUUCGGGUGAUUUGGACCAGGGACUAAUAUACUUAGAAACAAAAACUCUCUUUGCAUGCACAUAUCUGGAGGAAGGUUAUAUGGCGUAAGAAUCACAGGCCAUAAUGAAUAUUGCCUACCAGACAUACCAAAUGGACUAAACCCGUCAGUGCAAAGACCAAGAUAAACAUUUCGCUUAGACCUAGCAAAGUCUGGAUGUACGGUGUUAAAAUGUUUCCAAGAUUUCCCGUCAGACGGGUGAGUCAUUUUGCCAUCUGUUUGUGAAUGUUCUGCAUGCCAUCUCAUCGACGCAGCUGUCCGUUCGGAUUGAUAUAGUCUUUUUAACCUAUCAGUGAUAGGAAGAUACCACAUUCGUUGGUAAGGAAUCUUCUUACGCCCAGCAAUUUGUGGUCUAUAUCUUGGCUUUUGGCAGAAACGACAUUCUUCAAGCUUCUCAUCAUCUCUCCAAAAAAGCAUACAAUUAUCAACACAAACAUCAAUCAUCUCAGAAGGCAAUCCAAGACUAAAAACCAGCUUCUGAAUUUCAUAAUACGUUUCAGCAGCCAAAUUAUCAUCUGGCAAAUACUCUUUAAUAAGAUCUGCCCAAUCGUUCAUGCAAACUUCAGAUAGAUUGUGAUCUGUUUUUAUUGUCAUCAUCCGAGCUGCCAAUGAUAAUUUUGAUAAACCUUCCCUACAUCCCUCGUACAGAGGCUGCUUUGCUGCGUUUAACAUAUCAUAAAAGCGUUUCGCAUCUGCAUUGGGCUCCUCAACAGUAUCAGCAUGUGUUUCAUGAAAUGCAUCAGUAAUCAUUUCAUGCAUCCUAUCAUGAUCUUCACCCUGAACUUGACUACUUUGAUAAUCAUUGGACGCUACAAAAUCCACAUGUUCUUGAUGAUUACUAGUACUCCGUGCAGCCAUCUGACCACUACUUUGACCAUAUCCCUCUCCAUGCUGAUACCAAAUAAAGUAUUGGGGCAUGAACCCUCUAUUCAAUAAAUGCUGCCAGACAGUGUCAAUAAGAAUAUGUUUCCUAUUUUUGCAUUUCACACAAGGACAAUACAUUUUGCCGCUUUCAAUUACAGUUUCCAGAAGGCCGGCUUGGUACAUGAAUAUUUCCAAUCCGUUUUUGAAGUCUUCAGUCAACGACCCAUCACUAUUUUUGGGCGUAUACAUCCACUUUCGUAGAUCGUAUAUAGACAUUUCAAAAACAAAUAUUUGACUUUUUGUUUCUGAAAUUUGAUAGAAAUUUCAACUACUAAAAAUUUUACUUAAACAUUCAAAGACUCAAAAAAUUUGUGUCUUUAUAUGUUUUUUUGGGUUGAUGGAAUAAUGAGAGAAGAAGGGGUAUAUAUAGAAUUUUUUGUUUGGUUACCAACAUAUUACCAUUGCAUUUUUACAUGAAAUUUACGUCGAAAUAAAAUUUACAUCACAUUUACAUUGAUUUUACGUCAAUUACAAAAUAGAGGACAAUUCGUCGUAUUAUCGAUGUAAAUAUUACGACAAGAUUACGACGAAAUAAAAUUCGUCGUAAUCUUGUCGUAAUAUCGGUCGUAACAUUACGACGAUUUUACGAGGGUUAUUUUUUACGUCGAAUUUACGACGAAAUUUUUGAUCGUCGUAAAUACGACGUAAUGUCGUCGUAAAUUUACGACGACUACAAAUCGUCGUAAAUAAUUCGACGGAAAAGCCCCUCUUUCUUGUAGUGUGUGGAUGAAUAUAAAUAAGUAGCAUAGUUAUCAUCAAGGAAAUUAAAUCUUGAGUUUUUGGUCCACAAAUUUUUCAAUAUCUGACCAGCCAUUGACAAGUACAUGUGACAAUUCCAUUAUUCAAGUGUCAUUUUUCCUAUAUCAACAAUAAAUUAGUUAGAUCGGAAGUCGUUUGAGAAAUAAGUUGUGUAUCUUUCUAAUUAAAUACGACGUGGCUCUAAAAUUCGAUAAUAUGAAAUGAAACAUGUGAGUCCAAGAUAUUCAUGUGUAUAUAGACGCAUACUCUCUAGCUAGAUCUUCGGUAAAUAUUUAUUAGGAAGUUUGGGCUCAUUGAGGUUUAUCUUUUCUAAGACCUGCGAUGUUCCAUGUUGAUUGCAGCGAUUUGUGUGAUUCAAUCGCGGAUCUUUUGUUGAUGUUUUACUCACCCGGAUGACCCGUUGAGCUACCAAAUUAAAUUGUUUUUUUGGUAAAGCAUAUUAAUAUUAACAUUACAACUUUCUUUCAUUUAUGUAUUGGAGCUGUUCCAUGUUAAUUGCGGGGAUUAGGGAACAUUACGUAGAUGUUAACAUUUUUUUUAAUAUCUAUAUAUGUGUGUUGAGACUUAUAUUAACAUACAUAACUCAAUAAAAUAUAUACUUUAAUUUAAUCAAGGAAAUUUGAAAAAACGAAGAGCCAAGGAAAGAAUGAUAAAUUUGGUUUUACAUAAAAAUUAUUGAGAUUUGCGAAGGGAGUAUUUGGAGUUACAUACGAGAAAGAUUCGUAUUUCGUUUUGUUUUUGUCGUUGUUUGCUUGUUAAUUUUGAUAAUUUGUUAAAUUGCGAAGAAGAAUAAGAAGAAGAAGAAGAGAGGCUUAAGACAGAAGCGAUUGGAUCACGUGGACCCUUGCACCACCCUCAUCACAUGAGCAUGUGCUGUCUCGAUAACAAUUACUUUCCAGCCAAAAUAACACUAAUUUUAUGAAAAUUAAUGUUAAUAAUCGUACAAAACCAAAAAAUCAUCAAGGUUAACAAACAAACAACGUGAUCCACUCGCUUAUGUCUUACUCUACGUUCAACUAACAUUCUUAUGAGGGAUGACCCUAAUUUUAUAAAAUUAUGUUAUGGAAAAAAGUCAAAUAUUUAAUUUUAUAGAAUUUUCAACCAAACAAUUCUGUAGAAAAUUCUAAAAUUAUGUAUAAGAUCAUCUUUAACGGUAGUAUCUCAAUAUGAGUUUUUCAUUUUAAGUGUGAACAUAAUUUAUAAUGUGAACACAAAUUUAAUUGAAAAAUAUUUUGAGUGGACAAAUCAUAAAGAGACAAGUGUCAAAUAAGUCUCUCAUAAAAGUUUUAUAAUUUCUAAAACUAGAAUCGGUUUUCAGCCUUUCUCUUACUUUUUUAGUAUUUUCAUUAUUUUAUUAAUGAGAAACUCUCCUAAAUACCACCAUUGCAGAUGGUCUAAGUCUCUCAGGUAAAGCGAAUUAUUUGUGAAAACUCCCCGAGUAAAAAAAAAAAUUAAAAAACAAAAAGAAAACUCCCCGUGUAGGACCCACUUAGAGAUAUUACCGAACUUUUGAACAAACCGUUAUGUCAUGGCGCGAAAAUAUUUAAAGAAACCAUCACAAGAGGGCAUAGAGACACAGCUUAAUAACAUCACGCAGUUUGGUCAAACGCUAAACCAAAUCGAAAUACAUUUAAACAGUUAAAACGCCAACGAAACAUUUCAUAUAUACCCAAACCGCAUCAGAAUCAACUAGUACUUGUAUCCUUUGACAAACAAGCUCUCUGAGGCGUUUGAGUCAUCGGAAGCCCCGCCAGUGUAUUUCCCGAGGGUAGCGUCCGAGUUGGCCUUGCACCUUGUCAAGAACGUGGCCUGAGCUUUGGCUACGUUCUCGGUCUUCCCGGCCCAAGCCUUGAGUGUGCUUUGCUGGAGGGCUCGGCCAAAGGAGAAAGUGAGCGUCCAUGGCUUCAACACAUCGAGCUUGUUCAUCGCGUUCAGAUUCAGCGUCGCUUCCUCUUCGCUCUGUCCACCUGAGAGGAACACGAUUCCUGGCACCGCUGGUGGGACCGUGCGGCGGAGAGCUGUCACCGUGUGUUCCGCGAUCACUUCCGGUGUAACCUGUUAAAAGCCGGCUUUAGUGUAAUCGAAUCAAAUCAAACCAAACUGAACCUUAAACCAAACUGUAUUUGGUUUUCAGUUUCACUGAAACCAAAAAGUCGAGAACACUGAAGUAAAUAACCAAACCGGAUUCGCUACACUUAGUUUGGUUACCUUUGGGCUGUCGGAGCCGGGAGUGACCAUGUUGGGUUUAAGCAGAGUGCCUUCGAGGAGGACGUGGUGGUCGUUCAAGGCCUUGUACACAGCAGCAAGAACCGUCUCGGUCACCGCCGCACAUUUCUUGAUGUCGUGGCUCCCAUCAGUCAGCACCUCUGGCUCGACGAUCGGAACCAGUCCGUUCUCCUGGCAGAUGAUGGCAUAACGAGCCAGCCCCUUGGCGUUCUCUUGGAUGGAGAGCUCGCUUGGCUCGGUGUCCCCAAUCUUGAGGACAGCACGCCAUUUGGCAAACCGGGCUCCUGCUUUGUAAUACUCCUGGCAACGUGCACCAAGCGAGUCUAGACCCUGUGUAGUGGUCUCGCCAUUGGUCCCUGCUAGCUCAACCACACCCUUGUCCACUUUGAUUCCGGGGAUAACUCCGUUCUCCUGAUACAGAAAAAGAAUCAGAUUAAGUUUCAUUUGAGUCAUGUCAAGAGCUUCAACUAUGCAACUCUUGAACACAAUGAUUAAGACUAGAGCUGGAGUUUGGUUUCUCCGGGACGGACCAGGAGGAAGUCGACGAAGGGUUUGCCAUCAGUGGUUUUCUGGUAGAGGGUUUCUUCGAAGAGGAUAACACCGGAGAGGCAAGGUAGAGCGUCAGGGGAAGUGAAGAGGAGCUCACGGAGAGCUUGGCGGUUGGACUCAAUGUUCUCAACAUUGAUGCUGGAGAAUCGUUUCCCGAUGGUUCCUGUGCUCUCGUCUGCCGCCAAAAUACCUUUUCCCGGUGUUGCAAUGUACUUGGCCGUCUUGAUCAGCUCAUCUGAACUCAGAAAGCACGUAAGAGAGAAGCUGACGAGACUGAAACGCGAAGAGUUGUUAAGAGAGAAGAGUGCAUGUUAAGUGUAUGUACCUGCGUAUUUGCCGACAAAAGCAGACAUGGUUACUUUUUGGAGUGCAGGAGAGAUUUUGCUGAAGGACGAGGAGGCCAAGACAAAGCCUUAAGUACCUGCAAGUUUUGAUUAUAUAUAGGUAAUAUCUACGAGGAAUAUACUGUUCGAAUUCUGACAUACGUGUCAGAAGGAGAGCCCGAGGAAGAUUAUCAACCUCAGAUAAAGCAAAUGGGUGAUAGCUUCUACUACCAAAUGGCAGCCAAUGAUCCCAGCUUUAUCCCCAAAGUCUUGGAUAUGUGGAGAAGAGAAAGAGAUAGGUACAAAACAAAAUCAGAGUCUUUUGUAUAGUACCUCUCUCACACACUUUAACCACACGUGUGUCCAUCCAAACUUACAAACACAAACAAGAGAUAUUUUUGGACGUUGAAGCCAAGAGUUCCAAGGAUAUUUAUACAUGCCAUGGUACAUAGGAGUUGCAGAUGGAGUAGUUCCAAGGAUAAUUAUAUAUGGUUAUGAUACACAGGAGUUGCAGAGUACCCAGUCCCGAGUUCGAUCAACCCCUCACUUGGGAAUUCAUAAGUGAAUCAAAACUGUUCCCAAGAAGAACUUGAGGGGGAUUAAAUGGAAAUAAACAUAGUUAAAGGGAAUUCAUUCGAUAGUUUGUGUAGCGGUUGUAGCGGAUAGGAUGUUGAAUGCAUAGAUAAACUGCACUGCAGGCCAUGGAAGGGACAACUAAUGCUGUAGGACCACAGUGUCCUAGUCGUCGUCUGUGCCAAAAUAUCGGUCCCCAAACUCGCCCAUUCCAGGAAUAACACGAAACUCUUCGUUUAAUCCAUUUUCGAUUUCAGAUGUCACUAUCUUCAUUCUUGGAAAUCUUCUGCAGACCACAUGAACACCUUGAGGUGCCUGGUUAAACAAAGAGAAAACAAAAUAUCUCAAUCCAGCUCCAUUCUUUGGAUAAACAUGGAUAAGGAGUAACCACAAGGGGUAUAGAUGAUAUGCUAAGGGUAUGUGUUAGCUUACCGAGAUAAGGUUUAGAAAUACUAUGUUUCCCUCGGGUACACCCUUGCUUAUAAGGAGAUUGAUAGCUUGAACUGCGGAAUUUCCUGAAAAGAUGUUCAAUUUUAGUGUCAUCAGGUACUCAAAAGGUCUUGUACUGACAAACCGUGUGCAAUAGAGCGAGAAAAAUAAGGAAUUAAAGUGUUUUCAGUGAUGAAGAAAGACGGUUUAAUCACCUGUGCCGAGAAUAGGAUCCAACAAUAGGACGUGCCUCUCCGAGAUAUCAUUUGGCAGUUUCUCAUAGAUGAGCUGCAGAGUGACUUAGACAUCAAGUACCGGUGAAAGAAAACCCCUGAGAUGCAAUAGGAGUGACUCGUUUACCUGUUGACCAUUGUCGCCUUCUCUGUGAAUUAGGAUCUUCCCGAUCUUGAUACCUUUGCAACAUGCUCGCAGUGCAUUCUCCAUGCUCUCACCGCUAGCAUUAUUUCAAAACCGUCAAGGUGGUGAGAGAAUGAGAUAUGUAAGGAGCCAGAGUUUCUCUUCAAUUAAAAUUAGGAUAACGGAAAGUACCUCCUAAUCACAGAGACACCACACAACCGUUUACAGAAAUCCACACCAGAAUAUACACAUCCUGAAACAGGUGACGGGGAUAUCUAUGAUCAAGUAAUCAUUGUGUUUAACCACUACAUCUACACAUAAAGAAUCUUGUGAAUUCACUAACAACAUUGGACAACAGAAAGAUCAUUCCCAUAAGCGUACCGGUUGGAGUAGUCACUUGCUUUUCAGUAAAAGGAAGAUGUCCAAGACCAUGUUCUACGACCUGAUACAUGUAAAAAAACAAUCACACAACGGAAAAGACAUAGGACAGGGAAAUUUGUUCAACCAUUUGACAGAGCUUUAGUAAUCCAACCAGCCGAAUCAAUCGAUCAGAAUAAAAGACAAAAUCAUGUUUGGUUGUCUGAGAAUCACGUAUAAGGGUGUGCAUCCCUCUUAUCUGCAAGAGAAAGCAGUAUGUAGUGAAAGUUCUAUUUGGUGAUUAAGAGAAUACCAAAUGCUGUACUUGUAGUUCGAUGAGAAAGAUAUAUUAAUUACCUGAAAUGUUGACUGUAUAACAUAGAGAUUAGGAUAUAUUUUACAUAGAUCAUGUUGACCCAGCUUGGUGCAAAUAUGUUGCACAAUUAAGUCAAUAGCUACAUGGUUAUCCCCACCACGAGGGAUUAUAAUAUCUGCAUAUUUCUUCGUCGGAAGAAUGAAGUCAUCAAAAGCAGGCUUCACAAACUUUGAGUACUGCAUUAAAAUAUUGACAUCAAUAUAACAUAUCGGCAGAAAACAUAUGGAUUUCAAAACUUGAAACUAAUAUGGUUAUGAGAGCAACGGAAUAUUCAAAGUGCCAUACGCAAACCAUUUCUCAUUGUUCUUGAGGAUAAUAUAUGCAGUAACAAAACUAACAAAAGCUAACCUGGUCAAGUACUGUGCCGAUAUCUCUACCAUUCUCGACAGUAUCUCUUCUUAUCCUUCUUGCCAGACGAACGUCAGCAUCUGCACAUGAAUAAAAAUUGCAAUGUGAAAUAGCUGAAUUGCUAAUUUUAAAACAUAGAGCAUUUCUUAAGUUUAAGAAGUUGUUCCUUCAUGUGGAGCCUUUCUAGCAGAAAAAAACAAUUGAGGCUUUAAAAGGAAAUAGAAUGUAGUAUACACAAGAGAUUACAGUAAUUAUCAUGGGAAGAAGCAACAAAUGACCUGUACAGACAAAAAUCUUCAUGUUCAUCAAUUUUCGGACGCGUGGAUCAUGGAAUAAAAGUAUCCCUUCAAGAAUUAUUACAUCCGUAGGAUUUACCUGCAGAUUUACAUCUUUCAAAAUCAGAGCAUUGAUAAGAUAAAAUAUGUAAAUCCGCCUAGAUCCUUAACCAGAUAAAAAAGCCAGUGACGACAUCUAGGACAUUGCUAUUGUCACAGGAAGGGACAGCAAGAAAAUGAAAAAGGCAUCUCAAAUAUCCAUCACUAUCCUAAGAUCAUUGAUAUCAAUUAGUACAUAAUAUGAAUUAUGAGUGAUGCUGAGAAGGAGAUGGUACCCUUCUGAAAACACUGCUUUUGUAAGUUUUGAAAUCGUAUUUUGGAAUAUCUACAGCUUCCCCUUGCCUCAAUUUCUCCAUACAAGACAACAAAUGCUCUGUGUCAAAUGCGUCUACAGAAACAAUAAUAAAUCAUUAGAAUCAAGAUCAACACAAGUAUACGGAGGGUGACAAAGAGUACUACGUAAAUUUUUGCUCAUAAUUCCCACCAACCACCAACUAGUAAGGUAAUGUCAGGGAUGAAAUUCCUAUAAAAUCACGAGAUAUAUAAUAGAGAAUACACCAAUCACUGGAUGUCACUGAAGAAUAUGGGUGUUGGUUAUGCCUUAAUGAUCCCAAAGAAGACGGGAAAUACAGUAUCCUUUUGAGACUUUAUUAGUUGACAAGAGCAGAUUAUGGGAAAUAUAGCAGCCCCAUUCCAAAUAUAUUCUCACCCGGAUGGUCAAAGUUGUAUUCAUGAACUCUAGCAAGUUCUUCUUCAGUCAAACUAUGAUAGAAUGAGUCCUGCCAAAUUAUUUAUUAUUGGAUAUUUAGUGGAGAAAUUUGUAGUUUAUUUGAGAAUUGGAUACAAACACUGACACACAUAUCCAAACAAUAGUGACAAGGUUGAACCAUGUUAAACUUCAGCCAUAUACACUUUAUUAGCAGGUGAUAUUGUAAUUUUAGAUCUUUAAAUUGUGUGGAAUUCAAUUGACUUUAUAUACAUAAGAAACACGGAUCAGGCCGGUGAUUAUUACUUCACAUCAUGAAACUUCACCAACGGAACAAAUUUACCUGGUUAACAAGUACAACACGCUGAUCAUGCAGUUGCUGGAUAAUCAUAUCACAAACAGUAGUCUUUCCCGAUGCUGCGCCUCCAGCAACACCUAACCAUUAAAACUCAAGCCACAACAUCUCAAAUCAAGACAGUCCCGGCAAGCUUUCCUUUAUCCACAACAGUCUACUCAGCAAAAAAUACAGCCUUGUAAAAGCAGAACUGACCUAUUACGAAAGGCUGUCUUUGGAUCUCUUCUGAUGCAGAAGUGGUUUCCUUAACUGCUCUUGGUUCCAACCCAUUCACUUGCCCGUUCACAUGGAAACCAGAAAAAUGAACCCCUGAGGAGGCUUGUAUCAUGUCAACCACGGACUUAGAACCCAUCCCUAUGACAAUUCUGGACAUUGAACGUAGGAAAGCCAUAUAAAACAUAGGUAAGCCACAUAAAAUAUCUUACUAUCUGUCAUAAUCAUGCAUAGCAAACAAAAAAAACAGAGAAUCUUACACCAUCUUAUUAGGGAAAAAACCUGAUUUUUCAGAACCCUUCAACUAGAUUUCCAUGGCUCUCAAUUCACAAAGUUUUUAUAUCAUACAAUCAUUGUGAACAUAAGAGUUUUUACACGUAGCGAUCAAAGAUUCUCCUGCAAUUUACUUCUACAAUCCAAACUUACUAUUCUUAUUACAAUGUGAAUCGAACCCCACUUUAUCCAGCAAAACAGAGAAUAUAAGAGUGAAAAUUUAGCUGCAACCAAAACAUAUAAAGAAGCAUGACUAGCACUGUGAAAUCGAACUCAUUUCUUUGCAUAGAUGAAAAUAAUGCGAAAUCCAUCCAGCAAUCUAAAACCCGCUAGUUAUCACAUGUACUCCUAUCGGAAGAAAACCAAAGCCUGGACCAGAAUCACCAUUAUCGAACAUCUCAAGGUGAAAUCGUGUUAUGUACCAGAGACACAGAUCAUUUAAGAGAGAAACAAAAGCAAAGGGCUUAUCAGAAAUUGCAAUGAAGUCACAAAAUGAGAUUCAAAAUUACCCAGAUUCAGCUCCGCUCUAAAAGAUCUCAGGAAAACUCAAAUGAAAAUGGAGAUGCAGUUUCUAUGGAAGUUAAAACAAUAGAAUCUCGAAAGGGACAAAAUUUAAUCUUAUUAAUUAAACUAUACAUAAACUUUUAAUUGUUUGGACAAGAAAAAGCCGGAUUCGGACAUGAUUGAUUUAGUAUAAAAUAUUAGCGGAGCGUGGUGAGGUGACGACGACGAACGAAGAAGAAGGAAGGCGAAGCUAGAACGGAAAAUCUAAGAUAUCUUUUUCUUUCUUUUUUUUUUUUUUGCGAAAAGAGUCGUCUACUUUCUAAUGGUUCAGAUCACACCCCGCAACUGAUUUGGAUUUUUUUUUUUGUUUUCGGAGACUCUCAGCAAUUCCGGUAUAUUUCCCGGUUUAUCCUAAAAUUGGAACUUCCAUUGCUUACAUACUCAAUUGGCGAUUGUGGUUUGAUUUGGAAUAUUCAUUCAUUCAUUCGUCUCUCUCUCGAAGCUUCAAGUCGACUAUGGCAGCAGCGAUGUCUUCUUCUUGUUGCGUUUCUUCGCUUCGCUUAAUUCCGUUCAAACGAAAUUUGAUUUCUUCCGUUCAUUAUCCGGCGAAAUCCCUGAUUUUGCGGCCAAUUCCCUCAUUUCUUCGGACGAUCGUCACUUUCCAGAAAAUAUCAACCGGAAUCGUUCCUCCGCCAUCGGCUUCAUCAUCUCCGUCGAGUUCCGUAGACCUUCAACCCAUCGAAGAGCUUCCUCCGAAGCUACAAGAGAUCGUCAAGCUAUUCCAAUCGGUACAGGAGCCAAAGGCCAAGUACGAGCAGCUUCUCUUCUACGGGAAGAAUCUGAAACCGCUCGAUUCCCAAUUCAAGACGAGGGAGAACAAAGUGGAAGGAUGCGUUUCUCAGGUAUGGGUUAGGGCUUUCUUUGACGAGGAACGCAACGUCGUGUACGAAGCUGAUUCCGAUUCGGUUCUCACCAAAGGGCUAGCUGCUCUUCUCGUUCAGGGUUUAUCUGGAAGACCCGUGCCUGAGAUUUUGAGGAUAACGCCUGAUUUCGCGGUUCUUCUCGGCUUGCAGCAGAGCCUUACUCCUUCAAGAAACAAUGGAUUCCUUAACAUGCUCAAGUUGAUGCAGAAGAAGGCUCUUUUUCUGGAAGUCAAAGCUGAGGAGGGUACAAGCUCUGGAGAGGUUUCAGAAUCCAGCUUCGCAUCUACUCCUGAAACAAACGACGAAGCAAAUGUUACUGAGGCGGAUUCGGAGUCAAGACCUAGUGUAGUUGAGGAGGAUUUGGGAACAGAAAAGAUUGAAGAUUCCGAUAGUGGGUCAAAUAUCGUUGCUUUAGGCGAUAGAGGGAUGAGGAUUAGAGAGAAAUUGGAGAAGGAGCUAAGUCCUGUUGAGUUAGAAGUUGAAGAUGUGUCUUACCAGCACGCAGGACAUGCUGCUGUUCGAGGUAGUGCUGGUGCUGAUGGGGAAACACAUUUCAACCUGAGAAUCGUCUCGGAUGCUUUCCAAGGUAAAAGCUUGGUGAAGAGACAUAGGAUGAUAUAUGGCUUGUUGCAAGAGGAGUUGCAGAGCGGGUUACAUGCUCUCUCUAUUGUGGCUAAGACUGCGGCUGAGCUUUGAGGGCGUUGCAAUGGAAGAAGUCGAGAUCCACAUUAUUUUUCCAUUUGCUUUGGAUUUUGUUCUCUGGACCUUUUAAUAAUCUUGACGCUUACGAGCUAUAUAUCAGGAUCAUGUUUUAUAUGGAUUCUUGAAUUGAGAGAUAUGUAUUGCUUGUGCCAACGGAUCAGAUCUUUAUAGAGGAUAUAUAUAUAUAUAGUUUUCACUUCAUCUUAUCUCCGUUUUCAAUCUAGAAUCCCUUUUUUUUGCUAGCGUCAAGGUCUUGAUUGUUUUGCUAUGGUUUCUGGGUCCUAAGUUUUCAUGUCUGCUGUUCGAGAGAUGAAUAGGAUCAGAGAAUGAUCAAGGUUGUUCCCCAUAUGGCGACGUUUUGAAUCGCUAGGAUCACAGCAUCUAAGGAAAGUAAAAGGUGAAGUUUCUUGUUCAUUUAUUUUUUCGUCUAGAUAGUCAAAGUUGGUACUUUUUAAUCAAUUGAUGCAAGUUGGAUUGAGGGGUUACAGAGAUAGAAAGAGAUUUGGUUGCUUUAUUUCUUUCUUUCUGAUAAAAGAAUAAAAAAUGUGAAAGGGGUUUCAGUUGAUCCCUGUUUAAGUCUACCGUUAGACAUGUGAUGUUUCUUAAAGCCCCCAUUAGGUGAGACUUGUGUGGUUUUAUAUACAAACAACUUUACAUGACUGACUACUGAAACCAGUUGCGGUUUUAGCUAAUCAAUUUCUGCUGAACUUUUCGAUGUGAGACCAUUGUAUCUAAUUUUUGAAGUUUCUUGUACAAAGUAUUAGUCUUAGUUGAGAUUUUGAAUUUUAAAAUCCUCUAUCUUGGCUUAUGCUAGAAAAUCGGUUAGCUUACUUUUCUUUGUUUGUGCGUUUUUGAUUACUUUUAGCCCUAAAGGGGAACCAACAUAAGAAUCUAAUGUUUGAUACCUCUUUUGCUUUUGGUCUUAAAUCUUUUCUCUGGUGGUUCAGGUAUGUUCAACAGUACAAAAAUUCACCACUGUGCUUGGAACUGUGUCUACUGGUUUAAUUGUAAAUAUGUUGCCUAGAAAGAUAAGAUCUUUCCAAUUUCUUGAUCUUGGAAACAGUACAAACUUCGUUCUCUGUUCUAAGAUAGAGUUCACUUGGUCUUGUUCUUUUAAACAUUUUGUAGGUAAGCAAAACGAGAUCUAUAUAUACUUGACGAACAUGCCAAAGCUAGAGACUUUGAAGAUGACUCCGAGAACCGAUUCGUCUUCUUCAUCGUCUCUUUGUCGUGCAGUUACGAGAAACUAGGAUUCCAAUUGGCGGACCGGUCAUCUGAAGAUGGCACCUCGCGUGCAGCUGGUAAGAGUAAUGAAUCAUCCCAAAAUGAACUCUGACUUUGAAGGAACUUAUAAUCUCAUAUUCUAUUUUGUUGUUCUGCAUCUGUCUCUUGAGCUCCACCGCGUAGUUUAGAGGCAAGUAGACUAAGCUCGAGAUCAAACGGAUUGGUUCCAAUCUCGUCUCGCGUCUUCUCUGCGAGAAUGGCUGGACCCCUUGCAUCGCAAUCGAUCUGUUGAAGAAAAAAAGCUCUAUCUUGAGCUGUUCAAACUUCACUCCUAUCUUCUUAUUAGGGUUUGUAAAAUUCACCAGCAUCGACAAAUCGCCGUUGAAAUACACCAGUGAGUCAAAGUAGAUUGUGUGUAGGUUUGCGUUUGGGAUGUCAAAAACAGGGGCUCUUGGUCUAACCGCAAGAAACACAAUCAAAGUAGCGAUCCCAAAGAAGAUAAGCAAAAGGCUGAACACAAAACAUAAACCAGCGACACACCAUAUCAACAGAUUGGUCCUGCUUCUUCGUGGCUGCCUGAGAAUCACCGUAUCUUUCCUCGGCUCUGGAUCAAGACCGUUGAAUUUAACCGCCGGUGAUUUAGUUGAAACCAUUUGGUUAAGUGGUGUGGACUGCGUGCUCCGUGGUGUUCUCCAUGGCGUAGUUCUUGGAGUAUACCACAUAGACGACGGCGUGUCCCAUGGCGGCGUUUCCGGCGGGUGCGACUGCGGUGGAGGAGGUAGAGGAAGUAGAUUUGACAUGGGUUAUGUGAUCAAUGAUAAUGAAGGGAAAGUUAGAAAUGUGUAAUGGUUUUGGGUUAAAUAGGAAAAAUUAAAGUUUCGUUUUUGUUGUGUGUAAAAAGCGAAAGCGAGAGUUUGGGCAAAAGAAGGGAGCUUUUGCAUAAUGGGGUUUGGUUUUGUAAUGAGUGGGACCAUGCGUGUCGUUUUGAAGAACUAGCAAAGCAAAUCUCUUCGUGGCUUUAAAGUUUGAAAACUAAAUGGGUUUCGACUUUCGAGAAAAAUAAGAGUUCUUCUAUUUUUAUUUUCAAUUCUUAACAAGUGGCUUUUCCUAAUUACAAAUAUAAGAAGAUAAAAAAAUUUUGAUUGAUAAAGUUUUGAAUGAUUGUCAGGGGACAUAUAUACUUAUGAGUUAUUGAAAUAAAACCAAAUUUGUUUUUCAAAUUUGUUUCUCUAAAGUGUCCCAAAAUACUAGAGUCUCUAAUAGAUGUCCAACUCUAGAUAGACAUUGAUAUAUCAUGAUCAAGCAAAGUUUGGUUUGUCAACAUUCUACAGUAUGCAAAUUUAUAUUUAGAUGAUAAUGUAGUGAUUGUACUAGUCUACACUUCUAAAGUAACAUAUCAUGGUCAAUGAAAUAGAGUUUUUUUUUUUUUUUUUGAAUGAAAUAGAGAUUUCAUUUGACAUGUAAUAUAUCAGAAGCAAUAUUGGGUAACCAAGUUUUUUUUUUUUGAUUGAAAACCUCUAGUGUUUGAAAUUCUUUAGAAGUGACAUGAAUACAAAUUGAUUCUUUAAGUUGCUUUUAGUUUUAGUCUAAAGUUUGAUAAUUCAUCUUUCAACUUUCUUUAGUUGUAUGAAAAUAAUAAAAAUGAAUUUAUUCCUUGGUUAACUGUGUAUUUUCUUCUCUCAGUUUUGUUGGUAGUUGUGCUGAGGAUACACAAAACAAAACAAAACACAUCAACACUAAGAAAAAUCUUUUUUUUGUUCUUUCCAAUUAAAAGAUUAUAACUAGAAAUCCUUGAUAAUGAUAAUGUUUUUCAUUGUGAUUUGAUAAAAAAAAAUUUGGUCGAAUGAUAGUCUUUUGUUUAUUUCAUUAAAAUAACAUAAAUUUCACUUGUGAUUACUCUGUAAUUUAUGGUCAACCUUAUUUUUCUGAAUCUAAUUUUAAAACAGAUAACAUAUACCAAAAUGGGUAUUACAAAUAUUUGGUUCAAUCAUCUUUUGUUAAAAAUGUGUAGAUUAGAGAUGGAUUGAGAAGAACAUUUUUAUAACAUUUUCCAUAUGCGAAUGUACCAAAUUAGUACAAGAUUUAAUAUGGAAGUGGAAAAUUCAUGUGGUAUGGAAGUGGACGACCUUUGCUACUUGGUAUGCAUGAUGCUAAAUUGCUUUCUUUGAUUGAAUGACCGUAUCCAAUAUUUAUCUAGAAAAGGAUAACUCUUUUCAAAUCUGUUUGAUAAGGUUAUGGGUUAUCUAGGUUUAGUCUUCAUAGCCACAGAUCAUAAAAUCAUAGGAUAAUUAAUUAGAGUACAAAAACCAAUUUAUUAUAGUGGAAAAAAGACUAUUCAAUCAGUAAUAUCUUGAUCAAAUUAACGUCAUGUAAUGUUUUUGUAGAUUGGCGAUAACUCGUUUUAUUUAUUCCGAAUUGAAUGUUUCAAAUCACAUUUAGGAAUAAUCUAAUUAUAAGAAGGGAGAAAUGUGAUAAUGGUUUCAUUAAUACAAAAAAGGGUAUAUGGAAGGUUUAGUAACUUCGAAUCUAUACAAACUCGCAUAGAAGUCUAACAGGCAAAUUCAAAAUAAAAAUUAACAAUCAAUGAACCCAAAAUUAAAUGACAUUGACACAACCUCUACGUUGUGACUCUAUGACUGUGUAUAUAUUUUUGGAUUGUGAAAUUUUAGUCUUCAGAUGUAAAUGGAGGAUUCAGAAAAAAGGUUAAGACAUUAUAGUAGUAAACACGAAAUCCUUCUCGUUGGAGAAGGAGACUUCUCUUUCUCAUUAUGUCUAGCUUCAGCUUUUGGCUCGGCCACAAACAUCACAGCGACAUCUCUCGAUUCCGAAGGUACUAGUUAUAUAUGAACAUAUACUCAUCAUCUCACAAGUAUUAUUAUAAGAUCGAAUUGAAUCAUUAAAAUCUUACAUGAAUGUAGAUGAACUGUGCACAAAGUAUAUGGAUGCGAUGGAUAAUGUAAGCAUAUUGAAGAGAUACGGGUGCAAUGUUCAGCACGAGGUUGACGUUCACACGAUGAGCUUCGAUAACAAUCUUGGCCUGCGACGCUUUGACCGCAUUGUCUUCAAUUUUCCACACGCAGGGUCUCGUUUCUUCGGCCGUGAAUCUUCCGAAACAGCCAUCGAGUAAAUAUAUUCGUAUAUAAUACUCUUCAUUUUUUUGUGUUAAAACGAAUAUAGUUUUAAUGUAAUUGAUAUGGAUCUACGUAACGAUGAAACGCUGCGUUUUGGACACAGGAGUCACCGAGUGCUAGUUCAAGGGUUUCUUGAGAACGCUAAAGAGAUGUUGAAAGAGAAUGGGGAGAUUCAUAUCACACACAAGACAACGUAUCCGUUUAGUGAUUGGAGGAUUAAGACUCUGGCUAAAAAAGAGGGUUUGAAGCUGGUUCAGGAGUCCGAGUUCGAGCUGAGUCAUUAUCCUGGUUAUACCAACAAGAGAGGGAGUAGUGGACGAAGACGGAAGAGUGAUGAUUACUUCCCUCUUGGAGAAUGUUCUACUCUCAUGUUUAAAUAACAUUGACCCAAUUCCAAUCCCAUCUUCUCUGAAUUUGCCUUUAAUUUAUUACUUAUCGUUAGACGUUACUAAUAAAAUUAUUUUGGUUUCUAAUAAGUUUUCUUCAUUUGGCUCUACCAGUUCCAAUUUAUCAGAUGUUCUAACUAAAAUUAUUGAGAUAAAAUAUUAUUAAAAUUGUGUGUUUUCAUUUCGUAUACAUAAGAUUCUUGAUACCAUCUAAUACAUAGGUAAAAGUAUUUUUGGUACCCAUAAACAAAUAGUCACAAACUCAUAAAAUAUCCAAUAAAUUUCGACUUUUGCAUAAAAAGGUAUAUAUAUAUAUAUUCUCUUCCGCUAAAACAUUAAACGAAAAGCUAAAUUGGUUGAGAUUUAAACUUUAGUUUAUUGAUUGGUCCAAAUUAAGAAUAUUCUUUUAAAAAAUAUUAUAUCAGGGACAGGGGUUAAUCCCAAAAUAUUGUAAGAGAUGCAUGCAAGUUUGAAAUUAAUAAACUAAUAGAUGUAAUAGACGGUUAAAUAUUACUCCUAUCAUAAAAAAUGGAUUUCCAAAACGUCAUGGACACACGUUGAAAGAAUGGAACUGAGACUCUAAUCCAUCAUCCAUAUGACAUGGACACACGUUAAAAGAAUGUAACUCGUGAGCAUUAAGAACCAUCAUACAUUGUCUUCAGAAAACCAACCCAAACUUCACAUAUUCUCCUAAUGGCUUGCCAAAAGAUUCAAUUCGAGAAGCAAAUUAUCGACUUGUACGACCAAAUAUCCAAACUCAAGAGCCUUAAACCUUCCGAAAAUGUUGACAACUUGUUCGGACAGCUCAUGUCCACGUGCUUGCCCACGGAGACUAACAUCGACGUCGAAAGUUUGUGCCCAAAAAUCCAAGAUAUCAGAACCAAUCUCAUCAAGCUACGUAGUGAAGCCAUAGGAUAUUCUGAGCAACACUUAUCCACGGUCCUGGGAUCUCUCGAAGACAACCCACUUCAUCAUUUAGAUCUCUACCCUUACUACAACAACUACCUCAAACUAAGCAAGGUCGAGUUCGAUCUCCUCACGCAACACACGAGCCAUGUUCCAACCAAGAUUGCGUUCGUGGGCUCUGGUUCGAUGCCCUUCACAUCCAUCAUCUUGGCUAAGUUCCAUCUCCCAAACACGACGUUCCACAACUUCGAAAUCGACCCUCAAGCCAACUCCCUUGCCUCCCGACUUGUCUCACGAGAUCUCGACCUCUCCAGACGCAUGAUCUUUCACACAAUGGAUAUACUCAACGCCACAGAGAUUCUACGUGACUACGACGUCGUUUUCUUGGCAUCGUUUGUUGGGGUGGACAAAGAAGCAAAAGUCAAAGUCAUCGAACACUUGGAGAAACACAUGUCUCCUGGAGCUCUGCUCAUGCUUAGGAGUGCUAAAGGCCUUAGAGCUUUCCUAUAUAUAGACAUUGAUCCUUGUGGUCUAAAAGGUUUCGAGGUGUUGGCGACCUAUCACCCGUCGUUGUCAGAUGGAUUUGUGAACUCGGUGAUGGUCACACGCAAACUCAGCGAUUAAGCCACGAGUGGCGUAUUGGAACUUGGUGAUCGUUGCGGAAACUUUGUUGUUUUUGAUUAUAAAUGAUCCACGAAUUUUAUGAAAUACAUUCUCUAAAAUACCAUCAGUGUAAGAUCUUUUCAAAAAUACCACUGCUCUACCGUUAUAUUCUUAAUGAAAUUUGUCAUAAUUGUUUUUUUAAUAAGGUUUGAUAGAUGAAUAGAGCAUUUUUUUUUAACGUUUCUUGUAAAAAAUGGUUAAGAGUAAUUUAAACAGUUUGUAUCUUAUGGUCCAAAUGGUAGUCACUAUAGUCGAAUUACUAGUGGAUGAGUGGAAUAUAAUUGAGUGAAAUAAAUAAACUAACCCAUCCAAGUAAUUCCUCUAAUUCUCUCUAGUAAAACAGUAGAGGAAUGUUUUCCUCUGAAAUUUGUUUAUUCUUUCAAUUUUUGGAUAGAACAAAUAGAAUUUUCUUUAUGCUUAUUCUGCUAAUUUUGGUCAAAUUUACAAUCAUUUAUACUCUUAACUAGUGAAAAUUUUGAAAAUAGUGCUAUUUUUAGAGACUAUGCAUAUUUGUGAUUUUUGUAAAGUAAACGCGAAAGUCUAUGAACAAUUUCCGUUAUUUUAGAAAUUCUCUUGAUCAAAACAACAUUUUCAAGAUUCGCUUGAUGAAUCAAACAUUCUUAAAUCCCAUAUAAAUCAAAUUAUUAAAGUACAAGUAACAACAUCUUGACAAAACCACCAGAAACCAAAUUCACCUCUCUGUCUUGCUCCAACAACAGGAUCCAAGUUGGUAGAUCAUAGAUGAUUAUAUAUAACAUUCAUAUGAUUUCAAAUCCGUCCUAAUAGCAUAUUCAUUGGAGGUUUUAAGUGGUUACGUAGAUGGAUUAAUAAUUGUGAAGUAAUCAUUAAAUUUUAGCUAGAUCAAGUUUGGUCAAGAAGAGUUUUGGAUGGUGCUAGGGUCAAGGAAUUAGCCAUUACUUGUGUAACAAGUCAGAUGAUGUUUUACUUCAUGCGGCUCACUCUUCCUAGCUCCAAAUUGAGAAAUUUUCUGACCUAUACAUUCCUCUUUCUCUCCUGCGCUCUGUCUUCUGUAGUAAAUCUUUCUUUAUUAAUUGUUGUUUUUUUUCUUUCUCUGUGCGCUAAUUGCUGAGAUUAUGAUGUGAUGUCUCUGUACCGUACCCUAUUCUGGUUGACUAUUUUCAUAUACAAAUAUUUAAGAAUUUCAGUUAAAUAUAGGUAUUCGACACUAUCCAUAUUCCAUUGAAAAAAGAAAGAACAUAUACCCAUAAAAUUAAAAAAAAACAUCAAUGGUCGAAUGUACAUGACUAAAUUCGAAUUGUUUGGUUAAAACUUAAACAAUUUUGUGCCACUAAAAUUACUUGCCACCGAACAAGAUAUGAAAUAUAAAAAUCCUAAAUAAUUGGAAAAAGAAAAGCCGCUAAGCUGCUAAAGUAGCAAGUAAGCGUAUAUUACAUAGCAAUUGCGCUUAAUGCAACGGAUCGAGAUAUAAAUCAUAGUAAUUGCCGGUAACCAAGUGAAUGACAAUACCGAACCGGUUCCAGAGACGUGAAAGAAAUAGAAGCGGGCCCGGUCAAGUAGGUAGCCUCACAAAUCACAAUGAUUUAAGAGGUAUCCAGCUGGAUCCAGAGACUCUGAGUCAGUAAGAAGUUUCUUAGGAGGAGGACAAGAGCGGUAAGAAAAUCAAAUAAAAGACUUGUGUCCUCCUCCGUCUAAGGUAAAAACUAAAAAGCUAAAAUGAAACGAAACAUUUACAUAAUCAUUUCAAGAGAGUCCCACACAGCUAUAAAGGCCCAAACAAACCAAAAACAAAAAUAAAUUCAUCCACCGACGUGUGUGUGUGUGUUGUGUGCUGCAGCAAGAUUUAGAUUUUGAGGGCUAAAACUUGUGUGAGCCAGAUUCACUCCUCCUCCUUCCUCUUCUGAUCCGCCGCCGCAACCAUCCUCGAUCUCCUCCCAGCUUUGCUCUUAUCUCUUAAGUACUCACUUGUUUCUCCGGGAUUGGUCUCUCUCCAUAAGCAGCUGAGGAAGAACUACAAGAAGCCGUCUUGGUGAUGAUGAUGAUGACUUCACUCGGUGGUGGAGGCGGAGGAGGUGGUGCCAGUGGUGGUGGUGGUGGUGGUGGUAGAUUCUUGACGUAUCCGCCGCCUCUUUCUGUGCCUCCCUCGGCUCCUCAGUCACCUAACUUCUCUGGUGGUCUCCGAUCACAGCCUUCUUUCCUCGUUGAGCAGGAGAAGUAAUUUAAAUCUCUGUUUUUUUUUUCCUCUGUCUCUCUCUCCCCGUCUUGUAGUUGACUUGUUUUUCUCUGUUUUUACUGAUUGGAUCCUGAAGUUUUAGUUUUUAUUACAAAUCUGAUUUCUUUGUCUAUUUGUUUAUAUCGAAUUUUUCAUUUCUAGUUCUUGUUACUCGUGCCGAGAUCUAUGUUUUUCAUUUCUGUUGCUUCUGUCGAUUUUCGAUAUGUUUUUGAGUUGAGCUCCUACCUACUACCUCUGCAAAAUUAAGCUCUUUAUAGCUCAAUCUACUUCAGUUGUCCCCUGUAUUUUGGUAAAGUAAUAUACUUUCUUACUUGAAAAAAAAGUUCUGAAUCUUUAAACCCAGUAUGUCUCUCAUCGAUUGGGAAAUGGCUUUGUAAGUCUUCACCGCUGGAGAUUAACAAGAUCCUGUCUGCCUAGGUGCUGAUGUUUAGAGCUAGGAUUUGCUAAAGGAAUUGGUUACAUGAAUCUAGUUAAAAAGAUUUGACAUUUAAAUUCGCUUAUUGAACGUGAUUGUUGAGUGGAAAUGAGUGGAUCUGCUUGGUAUCUUGUGUGCUCUUAAGGUCAUACUGAUUUGGAUAAUCUGCAAUUUCUCUUUUGGCAGAUAUCUUUCCGAGUUACUUGCAGAGCGUCACAAGCUUACUCCAUUCUUGCCUGUGCUUCCACAUGUCUGCCGGCUGAUGAACCAAGGUUAGCCAUACAGUUAUGAUAAGACCAAACUUUAUGGUUUACUUUCCUCAUAAGAUUGUUUAUAUUUUUUGUUUCUUGCUUCAGAACUACAAUCUUUGUACUUUUGAUAAGCAUUUUAGUGGUGCUACUAAGAGAGAUCAUUUAGCUAGCUGUUAGAGAAGAAUAACAUAUGACAGAUUAAUUGCAUAGUCCCGUUAGUAAAAUAUCUUACAAUCCCAAGUCUUUCUUCCCUUACAAUGACAUAGAACCUACAGCGACAGUGCGGGGUAUUUCAGUUGAAUUGUGGUCUAAUAGAGUUUAGAAAUGACUUUCCACUGAUGUAGAUUUGAUUUUCAGGUCAUAUUACAAAAAAUUACUAAAAAUCUAAUUUCUUGGAAUUCUUAUUCAAAGUUAUUUCGUAGAGUUCCUCAUAAUCAAUCCUUGUGUGACCUUCGUAGAGAUCAUAGUACAGUUGUAUUAGUGUCUUUGAUUGCUCUGUUACAUUCUAUUUAACUAUAGUGUGAUAGUUAAUAUUCACUAACUUAGUUGAGACUAAGCUGUCUCUCCAUUCCACUAUCAUUGGUGAUGGAUUUGUUGACUAAUUCUAACUGGUGCGUCUUACUCUUGAAAAUUGACAUUUUUUGAAACAGAAAUUUUGCGUGUAACCACGCUGUUGGAGAAUGCCAUAAGUCAGAGUAGGUUUGAUCACCCUAGCCCUCUGGGUUCUGGAGGGAUAUUUCAGAAUGCAAGAGCUGACAUGAAUGGAUGGCCCUCACAGUUUCCAUCAGAAGUAUGACUACUAACCAUUAACAUAACUCUUUUCAUCUAAUUCAUACUAUAGCUUCUGUUGACUUGAGUUGUACUGACAUAACUUGCUUUGACUUACUUUUAAUCCUAGUUCAUCAUGACAGGUAGUUUGGGCAAACACUGAUAAUCAGUAUUGUUGUGCAAGGUUUUUGCCUUAGGUCAACACACUAACUAGAUAUAUUCCAUUACCUUCAAAUGCCAUAUAGAUGUUAGGUGCAGCUGUGAAGGAUCAAAUAUAACAUGGUCUGAUUAUUCUGUUAAUAUUAUGAAUUAGGAUAAGCAAUUGCAGGUUGCAAACUUGCAACAACGCGAUACAUUGCCUCUUUUCCGAUGGAAGAAACAUUUGAUAAGAAUUUAUUUAAUGUUCUUCUGGUUUUGAUUCUACAGUCAUGUCUGUAGCAUGUACGUAUGCUUUGAGGUUGACAUGGCUUCUAAGUUCUAACAGGUUUUUGGUUUGUCAUUUCAUUUGCAGAGAUCUGUUUCUUCAUCUCCAGCACCAAAUUGGCUAAACUCUCCUGGUAGCUCGUCUGGUCUCAUUGUCAAGCGAACAAUCAGGGUGGAUAUUCCAGUUGACAAAUACCCAAAUGUAUGAACCUCAAUUUCCUUGCUGAGAUCCUAAACUAUCUACAGCCAGUUUAUAACUUGUGAUUCGAUUAUCUGCAGUACAAUUUUGUUGGUCGCCUCUUGGGUCCUAGAGGUAACUCCCUCAAACGAGUUGAAGCUAGUACUGAUUGCCGCGUUCUGAUAAGGGGGAGAGGCAGCAUCAAAGAUCCGAUCAAGGUUAUUACAUUUUUCUCAUCUGUUGAGAUAUAAUAAUACCUAUCUGCAUAUAUCUGUAUAUUCAUUCUCUAGCAUUGUUGCAGGAGGAUAUGAUGAGAGGGAAACCAGGUUAUGAGCACCUGAAUGAACCACUCCACAUCUUAGUCGAGGCAGAACUGCCCAUUGAGAUAGUGGAUGCACGUCUCAUGCAAGCUCGUGAAAUACUUGAUGAUCUACUUACUCCCGUGGUUCGUACAUAGCUCUUCAACGAUCUUAAACCAUAUAUUGGCAUAGAAUUUGUCUCUGUAUAACAACGCUUAUUUUUGUUUAUGUAUUGCUUUAGGAGGAAACGCAUGAUUUCUACAAGAAACAACAGCUCCGUGAAUUGGCCCUUCUCAACGGUAGUCUUAGAGAAGAAGGGUCUCCAAUGUCUGGUUCCAUCUCUCCUUACAAUAGCCUCGGCAUGAAGAGAGCCAAGACAAGGGGCUAAUAAACACGUCUCAGGUCAUGUUAUCUGCUUAACUCUCUCACCUUUCCAAGAAGGUAUAUAUGCACCGUAACAGCUUCCUUCUUCGGACAAGAAGGCUUAUGAGAUUCUGUCUCCAUCCCAUCCUCCUACUCCUCCCUGGGCUACCGGUACUGUCUCUUAUCCCUGGAAUAAAAAAAAAACACCUGUUGUAUAUGAAUCUGUGUCUUAUUUAUAGUGUCCCGGAGAGAUUUCAGACGACAGAAGUACAGGCAGUGCGAAAGGGAUGAGUCCGUCUCUGUUCCUGUCUUGUCUGUCUCUGUCUCUGUCUCUGUCCGAGGUUAAUUUUGGCUUGCUUUUGCUCUUUUCGUUAUUUGUUUAAUUGUUUCAGUGGAGACCCACUACUAAUAAGGUUUGUUUAGUUAGAGCCAGUUUUUGGGAAAAACAUCAUGGUUUGUGUUUAAUAAUGAAUUAUUCUGUUUGCAUUACAUAAACAUCAACUAAUAUAUUUUGUUACUACUACAUUAUGCAAGCACACACACAAAAUAUAUAGACUUAGAAACCCACAAACAUCAAGCCUUGUCAAUUGUUGUCGUCGUCUUCUUCAUUCUCAUCUAUCCCGACCCACUGAGUAAAUGCGAACAAAAACUCUUUAAAGUUCACCAUUCCAUUUUUGUCCCAGUCCAUUUCCUCUGCAAACAACAAAAUGAAUCAUAGUCAAUAUUCUUGGUUCGGAGAGAGAAAGAGAGAGAGAGAGAGAGAGUUAAAGACUAGACCAAAUCUCUUCAUUGCAAUCCGCCCUGAGGAUCGUUCUCCAGAUUCAUCAAUGGCUCGGACCAUCUCCUCGCGGCUAACAUAUCCAUCCUUGUUCUCGUCCAGGAACACGAAUGUGUCCACUAGCGUCUCAAACGUCGGUUCCAGCUUAGGCAUCCCCAGUCUCCAUUUCUAUUCAUCGUUCGAAAAACUCUCAUUACCAAAACGAUCAAAUCUAAACCAAAAGUCAAAUCGAGAAGAAUGUGAUAGUAUAAUUAAAUUUUGCGUGUUACCUUUUGGAGAGUGGAGGAAUCGUCCUUAAGAAGAUAGACGAGGCAGAGAAGAACAAUGAACUCAGUAAAUGUGAUCCCCAUAUCCUCGUUAAUAUCACAAGCCUCGAACAAAUCAUUUAUCUCUUCUUCAUCGAACGAGAUCUCUAGCUUCCUGAAACAAUUCUUUAGCUCCGUGUGAUCAAUUGACCCAUUCGAAUCCUCAUCUGCACAAACCAACCAAGUUAAUAAAAUCCAUGGAGAAAAAAAAAGCCCGCUUUUUUAGAAUUUACGCGUGCGUGGACUCACCGAACUCUUGGAAAAUGGCUUUGCAGUUUCGAAGACCGUCAUCGAUCUUUGGGAACUUGAGAACAAUACUGUUGAAAGAUUUCGUUGUGGUGCCCCUCGAUGCCCUGCGUCGCACGGCUUCUAUGAUUUUGGCCUCUAGCUUUGUCUCUGGAACCCAUUCUUUUUGCUCAGUUUCAGAUUUCGUCACCGCGCCUCCCAUGUCUCUUGUUAAUGCUUCGAGAUCAGGUCGUAGAUUCAACACACAGACGAAUCUAGUUUCUUGGAAGACAAGGCAGCUUAACUUCUUGAUUUAUUACAGAAGAAUAACGCUGUUUGAUGAUUCCAAGAUCACAAAAAUCAGAUCUACUCGGACAUUCAAUAAAUAACUAGGGAGGAAAACUAAAUCGAGACAACAUUUAAAAGGACAAGUUUCACAUCAGACGAUGGAUGUCACAAGAAUCAGGACGAAACAAAAAAAAAAGAAAAAAAGUCAGAAAGAAGAGAAGAACCUGUAGUAAUUUCUUGUUUGUUUGUCACGAGAUCAAAACACAAUCACAGAUCUGUUUUGUUGUUAUUGUUUGACAGGAAAAAGUAAUAUUAGAUGUUUGAGAAGAAGAAUUGGACGAGUUUUUAUUAAUGGCGUGAAGAACGCUGUAGAUUCCACGUAAUUGCGCAUCUUAGUCAAACGCUUAUUCAUUUGUCAUCUAUUUAUUAAUUUAACAUUAAGUCUCCAUCUUCUCUGACUUUUCGCUUCUUAUUAUUUUUCUUUACUAAUUUACAAAAUGAGAUGGUAUUACAGUUACCACUAAUCUUUGACUAUCGAUCUAUGAUUUUUUUUUUGUUUGCCUAAAGUAAACGUACUGAUUAUUUAACUAAUUACUCGUCCAUUAUUCAGUUGAAAUGUCCUACCGUUUAAAUUUGCAAAAACAUUAAUUUCUCCUAUGUUCUCUGUCUCUCCCUCAGUUUUUCUGUCUCUCCCUCAGUUUUCCUAUAACUCCUUUCCUUUGAGUAUUAUUCUUUUAAAGUUUCAAGUUUUUGUAACAACAGUUUCAUGGAGCUAAAAUUAUUAUUUCUUCUGAUGGCACCAUUGAUAACUUUUUCCUCAUCAAGUUCCAUAUCGGGUACGUUUUUUGUGUUCUUUUUCCCUCUCAAAUUUGUUAAUUUUGUUCUCUAAAUUUCCAAUUCAAAUUAGAAUUUGAGUUUAUGGAGAUGAUGAUAUUUUUAUCUAUCGAUUCACUUUCUAUAGAUAGUGUGUUAGAAUCUCAGACUUCGGUUACAGUUGCUGGAAGAAGCCUACUUUCUGCCAAAAAAGGUAAGUAUGUUAAAAAAAAAAGGCCAAUUGAUAAACCAAAUACUGUAUUUGGUUAUUUGGUUAUGCUUUUUCUUUUAUGUAUGUCAAUGUAUGAACCAUGUACAUAUAUUUGUGAUGUAUCUAUACCAUAUAGAUUUAUAACAAAACCAAUUGAUAAAACAAAGUUUUGAGUAAUUAACAAAUAAAUACAAUUGAACCAAAUAAUUCAGUCUCAUCUUGAUUUCAAAACUAUAUAAUAAAUAGUUUAGUCCAAUCUUGAUAUCAAGAAGUUUUAUUUUUAAUCGUUGUCUGAAAUUUUUAAGGUAAACUUCAAAUUCUAUGUCCUAUUUAUUGAAGUUCUUUGUUUGGUCAUGUAUAGCUUGGCUUGUAUAGUAUAUCAAGACACAACUCUUGCUUUUGUGACAACAGAAUGUGAAGUGAACUUCGAGUAUAUGAACUAUACGACCAUGACAAAACGGUGCAAAAGUCCAGCGUUUCCAGCGAAAGAAUGUUGCUCCGCGUUUAAAGAGUUUGCAUGUCCCUACGCCAUUCAAAUAAAUGACAUGAAUAGUGACUGUGCAAAGACAAUGUUCAGCUACAUGAACAUUUACGGAAACUAUCCUACUGGUCUUUUUGCUAACGAGUGCAAAGAAACAAAAAAUGGACUUAUUUGCCCUCCUCCACCUCUCAGUUCACCAAGCCUAAACUCCUCAACCGCUGCUUCGACCGCUACUCGAUUCAUCAUGCUGUUGAUCUCUGCUACGACCGCUGUUUUGGCAUUUAUUGUGUUGGCUUGAUGCAACACUCUCAUAAAGUGAUGAUUUGUUUUCCCUUAAUCAGUAGAUAAAUACUUGUAAAAUGUAGCAAUCCAAGAAAAUAAAAGAAGAAGCGAGACUUGUAUUUGCUUUAUUCUAUCACCAGAGGCAAAACUUAUAGCCGAAAUGUUAACAAGAAAUGCGAAAAGCCAAGAAAACAAAAACUCAGUUUGCACACAAAAAAAAAAAAACAAAAAAAGGAUCAUGUGGGUACAACAAUAUCUGUGUCCGGCAAAAAUUGAGGCAUGAACAACAAAACUACUGUUAGUAGUAGCAAUACUAACUGUAUAAGAAAGCAUGAAGUGGUCUUACAUGCCUUCUUCUUGAUGGUUCCAGUGGUUUCUCCGCACUCCUUUUGUAGGUCUUGAGCUCUGUUUGUUAAAUUUUCUGCCUUCGUUUCUACUUCUUUGAGCUUGUUCAGUGUCUCAUGAGCUUGCUCUCCUGCCAAUGCCUCUUGUUCUUCGGUCAUCUUCAACUGACUGUUCAAGUUAUCAAUGGAUCUUGAAUAUAUCAGAUAUUCAAUCUCGGACUCAAUCCUUUGCCGGAAGAUGUCUUCGACAACCGCCUGAAUGUUUCCUGUUUCUCCCCAUGAGUGUUUGAUUUGGUUGGUACUUGAUUCAAGCUCACGAAUGUGUGAUUCUUUAACCUCAAUCAUGGAUCUUGUUUCUUCUAGCUUGAUCUCCAGCUGUUCUACAUUGUUCACAAGGGUUACAGUCUCCGAGCGAGGUGAAUUUACUUCACUGGCUCCUUCAUGAUGUUGUGGCAUCGGUUCCUUCCCAAUCUCCCGGAAUUGCUGAACCUCUGCAAAUGAAAUUGCAUAAAGAGUCGCAUUAGACUUAAUAGACACUUAUGUGAUAAUAUCAGUCGAUUCCAACAUGAGAAUACAGAGUCAGAACAAGAAAUGGCUAUCAAAACAAUCCAAGCUUAGUUACAAUCCGCUACUAAAAAAAUCAGAAUGUUUACCUUUUUCAAGAGCUUCUUGCAAGCUGAGGAAACCGUAGCUGGUAUCUACUAAUGGAUCCAGUUCCUCUGAAAAACGACUGUCUUCACCUUCUCCUCCCGCAUAAUCAUUUCUCUUUGAAGUUUCUCCAUUGAUAUCGGCUUCAUCGCCAUUUUUUCCAUUGUAGUCCAUUAUUCCACUUGGCUUUCUUGAAUCAGAUUCCAAGCUGGAAUGAGAGUUUUCCUUUUCGAUUUCGACACUAUCUCCUCUAUGCUUUUUACUAUUCUCUACCCGAAUUUUCCCUCUCUGACCUGAACUAAUCAUUGGCUUUUCAUACCUAAUAACCUUGGGGGCUCUUGCAGCAGUCGAGGACUUACUACUCCGAUCAUCAUCCUUUUCUAAAUCCAUACCAGCUGAAAAACCAACCCCAGCCAUAAACCUAGAAUCAUAACCAGUCCUAAGUAUCUCAAAACCAUCAACGACAUUUCUUAACAUGUUCACAGACCCAACAGAUCCUUGACUAUCUUGCUCGGCUUCCGGUGACUGAAACUGCAUUUGUUUACCAUGUGAAUGAGCAGAACCGGACAACCCUCUCUUCAGAACUUUACUAUUCUCCAUAUUCGCAGACGUGUCUUUAACAAGGUCUCUCCUAAGCCGCCUCCAUUUUCUCAAGCCACGACCUUUUGAUACCGGAGAGUAAGCACCACCUGGUGAAUCAAAAUUCACCGGUUUAGCGAGUUCGACAGAUGUUUCGUUCUCACUGGUUGUCGCUGUAGAAGCCGUAACCAGUUUCACACUCUCAUCUGAGAAAGACCCGUUAUCCAAACUCCUACCAUCAUCACCAGUGUUGAUGGAGCUUUGUUGGAUCAAACCAUUAUCGUCAACAGACUCAAGCGCAGAGCUUUCACUCUCCAAAUCCAUUGGACUCCACACAAUUGAAAAAAAACACGAUUUUCCAAAAUCACAUCGGAUCAAAAAUCAAAACGAAAAACCCAUCAUUUCCGGAAGUAACGGAAGCUCGAAUCAAUGAACCCAAAACCCAAAAUCAAUCAUACGCAAUCGAAAGUCAACUCACCAAGUUACAAUUCGCUUCUCGUCUCUACGAUUAAAUAUAAAUAACAAAAUUCCAAUAAUUUUCUACCCGAUCAAGAAGCAAUGAUUCUAAAGAAUCAAAAUUCAACAUAUAGAGAACGUAUAGAUAGCCACACAGGGAGAUGAAAAGGAGGGUGAAAAGCGAAAACCCUAAUCCGAUGAUCGGAGCAGAUCUAUAACCCGUUCAAUUGUGGAAAGUUUCGCUGCGGGAAAAAGGUUAUUCUUUUUUUUCCAUCACCGAUCAAUUUUCCAUUUUUAAAUUACGGUUAUUAAUUUAUAUAUAUUAUUUUACGAGAAAACAUGGACGUGUGUUUGGGUGGUUGGAAUAGAACACGUGGUUAAAUCCUUGCUCUCUCAGCAACAAGUUAGUCACUUGUUGCCGUCAGAUUCGGCAUCCUCAAUAUAUACCGUUAAUUGGUAUUUUCAAUAUAGUAUAGUGUCUCUUCGACCAAAAGAAAAAGUAUAGUGUCUCUUUUUUUUUUUGUAACAAAAUAGAGUGUGUAUUUUAACUUCUUACAAUUACCAAAAUUUCCCCAUCAAUUUAAUUUGGUAGAUUUCUAGAAAAGAAACAAUCACUUUAUAUAUAUAGAUUAGAAAAAAGCUAUAUAUUAUAGUCACCAAAUAAAAAGUUAUGUAACACGGAAAAUUUUUCUUAUUUAUCUGACUCUCUUGGUUAGAAAAAAAUAUUAUCUAUUUGAAGUACAACAAAAAUUAUUUAAGUGGGUGCAAUGCAGGGAAACAUAAUAAUAACAUUAAGUUAUAUUACAAGAGGUUAAACAAUAUUAAAAAUGUAAAGGGUGUCUGAGACAGAGAGGAUUAGCACAAACGAAAUGGCUACACACUCACUACACACAGUGACAUAAUAAUUAACACACAAAAAAAGGCGAAUCAGAAAGGCUUCUCGUAGCCUCGAGCCGGAGGUUGGUCCCAAGCUUGCAAGAAUGCUGCAAACACACAGAAAAUGAAUGAAGCAAGCUCUCAAGUAGCCAACAGAAAAGUGAAAGAGAAAAACUCAAAAAGUCAACUGAUGUGGCCUUACUCAAUGGUAUUUCUCCGAGCGACAUGAAUAUCGAAUCAUCGUCUGUAUUAUUUGGUACUUGGUCAUCUCCAAGAGCUCCCUGAGACGUUUUUAAGGGAAAGUUAGCACCAAAACCCAUUCUAUAUCACUAAAAACACUUGACAAGUAAAGUAAGUACCUCUCGGUCUUGAAGAGCAACGUCGUUAUUCUGUGGCACAGUACUGAUUCCCGGGUUUAUUGGAGGAAUGUUUCCAAAGGAAUCAAGAUACUCUACCAUCAUUAGCCCUUCAUUGUAGUCUGGAACGUCAUCGAUGCCCAUAUAUGGGGCAGCUUCUUGCCUGUUAAAUGUUUCAGUCAAGAACUCAUUAGCCAAAAAUAUAAAAGAUGUGUAUAUAUAUAUGAGUAGAGUGGGACUUAGCCGUACUUUCUCCUGGGAUCAUUGCUGGACUUGACCACUUCUGGGGAAUCAUCGUUGUCCAAAUCAAUCACUUCUAUCUCUUUACCAUUGCUCAUCCGAGUACUAGUACUGAACUCAAGAGACUUGCUAGAACCGUUGAUUGAGAGAUCAAAAUCAACAGCUUGACCGGAUUCCCUUUUGGCAUCCUUCACAUCCGAUGCUCCCCCUAGAUUUAGGUCACACAUCUUAAACGAAGCAGGAAACAGCUGAUGCUCUUCUGCAUACCCAGGACCUGAUUUUCCCUUGUGAAUACUAUUGCGUGUAGGGUUAUUAACCAAUUUUUCAUGGCUGGCCAUUUUUCCAACAGCACCAUCAACCAGUCUCCUGUUGAACGAGCUUUUCUUUUCUUCUUCUUCUUCAGGAUCGCAUUGAAGUUCGCUUGUUUUAGAUAUGUUGAAGCGUUCAUUGGCUUCAGAAACUGGCAAAGGCACCCAAGCUCUCUGCCUUUUUGCUCCCACCUCCAAGUCACAGCCUUCAGCACCACGCUUCUCGCCUCCUUUCCCCAUCAAAUGUGAUCUGUGCAGAUUAGACAACUCUAAUCCUGAAUCUUUCUCACUAUUGUCACUGAGAAUGCUACUGGGGAAAGACUUAGACCUAAGACAUUUACUGUUCUCAACAAAUUGAACAAGAGCCAAAUCUUCUACUUGGUCGUUCAAAUUUUCACCGCCAGUAUUAUCGGCCUUUCCAGAUGACUGGCCUCGAGUCUCGCAUCGAUUUCCGGUUUGACCUUCUUCUAUAAGUCCAGAAUUAUGAGAGGUUUCCUUCAUUUUCUGACUCAAAAAUAGCUUUGGGCCUUUCGCAGUCAGGGAAGAGCGCGUCCUCGUAGGCACCUUCUCAAAUUUACACAGCGUUGCCAAAUCAAUACCACUCUUGGUGAAUGAUUCAUCAGCAGCACAAUGUUGAUCGAUAGAUGCAUCUUCACAAUCUUGAUGGAUAGAUGCAUCUUCAAUAGCAGUCUGGUUCUCAUUCUCUCCACCAUUACCACCACUCCUACCUUUCAUCUCCCCUGAUCCAGCACUCAAGCUAGAAGAACCUUCAGAUACUUUUGAGAUUUCAAAAUCCUGCAUUAUUUCUUUCCCAGCACUCGAGGAACCUGUCUUAGACUGUGCCUCAUCCUGGAGAUUGUACUUGUCCAACAAAGACUCGGAAUCACCUGCUCCCUCACGCUUUCUCAUAAAUUCACCGGAGGCAGACCUCUGAACCGAGCUAGCAAUAUCUUCAGCAAGUGUUUGCUCUUCUCGAUGCCCAGACACAGAGUCAUCACCAGUCUCGGCCUCAAAACCUUUACUUCUCUCUGACCAAGAUCCGCUCCUCCCAAAUUCCGAGUCAUAACGAUGAGACCUCUUUCCUUUCAAACUAUUCCUGGAACCAGCUGAGCUAUAGCCAUCAACAUACCUCCUUUUAUCUGCAGCAGGAGCUGAAACAUCCGCACGAGCUGCUUCUUGUGACCUGGAACUCUGAAACUCACCACCCUGUUUCCUGAAGUUACCAUUUUGCCAUUUGCUGGAAAGCACAGUUUGUGGUAGAACACCCUGAGAAACCAAGUACUCUACUGCUAGACGACCUGCCUCCAUGAAAACGCCGCCGCUAUCGCCACCGCUUCUACGUUGCAUCGGUGGAGGAGGCAGAGGCGGAGGCAGAGGCGGAGGCAGCUGAUUAUGGUAUGAUUUAGAGCGUCCUCUGCCUCGUCCAUAUCCACGGUUAAACCCACGGUGCUGGUGGUCCGAACCAUAGAACCCAUGACCUCUCAUAGGACGGUCAGGGGAAAUUCUAGAGCCAGACAUCCCCAUUCCAAUCGAACCAGAUCUGUACCCAUUUCCAACAUUGCGUUGUCUACCAUGCAUCUUUGUCUCUAACUAUACAAAACCCUAAUAACAGCUCUUAUUCAAGGAAUCACAGUAGUAGUGAAACCAAUUGUCUCCAAACCCCAAAAACCUUGGACACAACUUUGAAGACCUCAAAUCAGUCUCAUCUUCACUGAAACCAAGAACACAGUAGCUUCGAGUUUAACUUGUACUCUUCGAACCAAUCCUUCUUCAAUCACAGCAAAACAACAACAAAAAUUCAGAAAAUCAAGCAAAAUGAUGGAUCUCGAGUUCCAGAUUCGGUAAAACUUUAACCUCCCUCUUACCGAUCAUUUGAUCUCCUUGUCCGAUUCCGUUGAAUCAAAUGAAAACAUCAUCUGAUUGGAGAUUAAAGGGUCAUUUCACUUCAGUUCUUCGACAGUAAGAACCCUAGAAUUCCCCAGGAACCCAAUGGAUUUUCCAGUCCAAAACUUAAUACAGCAAACAGAAAUCACGAUGUAAAUAAUUCGGAUCAAGGGUCUUCGAUGAUGAGGAACACGAAGCACUACUUUCAGUUCCCCAGAGUUCAGCGACGGAAAAUCAGGAGCGCCGAUUUGGAUUUUGGGGUUUUCGCAAUUUAUUUGCGUCUUGAAGUUUUUCUACGAUAUUAGCAAAAAGACGGGAAAAGCAUGAAUUUGCCACGUCAGAUUUUAUGGUAAACUGGCACUAAGUUCACAUCCACUUCACGCGUCCUACGUUGCGCGUGAGUUUCAGUCUCCUGCACACACUUUUCAUUUUCUAUCUAACUAGGUGUUUAGCCCGCGCAGCGGACCGUGAGUUUUCAGAACGUAGUCGUGGUAUUAAGACAUCUGAAUUUUUAGAAUUCAUUAAUUAGCGGGUAAAUAAUACGUAAGUUGAUAUAUAAGUUUUGAAGAAAAUGUAUAAGAAAUUCAUAACAACUAUUUGAAAUAUAAAAAAAAAAAACAUCAUUCAAAAUUAAAGAUUCAAAAUGCUUACUAAUGUAAAUAAAUGUAUGAAACUCAUAAACCAACUGAAUUAAAACAAAUAUCAGUUCUUCAUCUUCACAUAAUCGUUUUUCAUCUUCUUUUUCUUUUCUUUUAUUUUAUCUUUUGAUUUUUCUUCUUUAUUGCUAUGUUUUUAAAAACCGGACCAGAUCGGUGGUCCGAUCAGGUUAAACCGUGAAUUGAAAGUUUAGCCGGAUUAGAUUAGUACCAAAAUCCACAUAAGGUUAUACCGGUUAAAAAACCGGAUUGAACCGCCAAAAAAACCAGAAAACGACCGAACUGGCAAACCGUAUAAAACCUUGUUCAAUUAAAAAAUGCUCAAGUUGUUAUUUUUUCUCAUUCUAUAAUUCAAAAUUUUAAAACAUUUAAUUCUAUAAUUCAAAUUUUAAAAUAUUUCAUUAAUUUGUAUUUUGUUUUUAUGUUUGUACAAGGUGGUAAAGAUUUGGGCAAGGAAAAUUGAAUGUGCUACUCUAUUUUACUGUGGUGUUAUUUUUUAUUUAGACUGUUAAAGUUUUUUUUAGUUAUUAGUACUACUCCAUUUUAUUUCGGAGUUGUUUUGGAUAUAAAUUAUGAAAGUUUUCCCAAAUAAUCUAAUUAUUAAAUAAUUUUAUUUAAUAUUUAAUUAAUUACAGGUUGUAAAAUAUUAUCAAACAUGGUUGAAUAUAGUCGAACCAUAUUAACCCACGACCCAAGAAUUUUUCCGGUUUGGUCAUCGGUCUGGUUUUAAAAACACAAUAAUUUCUUGUCUUUUCCUUAUUUUGUUUCAUCGUUUUCUACAUUUAUCUCUCCUUCUCUCAUCAUCUUCUACAUUUUCUUUCUUUUUUUUUUGUUUUUUCUUCAUUCUCCUCUUUAUUAUUUAUGUUCUCUUACUUUUUUUUUGUUUAUGGUUUUUUUUUGUAACGUCAUCUUCUUCUUUGUGUUUCCACAUAUUUUAUUUAUCGUCCUUCUCUUCUACUUCUAAUUCUUCACUGCCUUCGUUUUCUUUGGUCUCUCCAACUUCACAGUUUUCUUAUUUUCUUUUGUCUUUAUAUCAAUCAAAUACAUGUAUCUGAUUUUUCUAUUUCUCUUUUCUCCCCUUUCUCUCAAAUACAGUCUUCCUAGUUGUUGAUGGUGUUUGUAUCAAACUCUCUUCAAGGAUCUUGUAUCUUUUUUUCCAUGCAUCUAAAAACUUAAAUUCACCAAUCCAAUCUUUAAGGAGCAUGCAUUUGUAGUAAAGCUAUACUAUGAAACUCAGAAGAGAAAUUUAAGACAGUUUGAAAUGUUAGAUUAUGGAAUAGUAAAUCUUAACUUAAAAUUGCCAGAGUUUUUUUUCUUUAUCUUUAGCUUUUUAAACUUUUUAUUCAUUUUUUUCUAUUUUUUUUCUUCAACUUCUAUAUUUUUUUAUCAUUAUUCUUCUUUAUUAUUUUGUGUUAUCCAUCUUUUUUUUCCUAAGUUUUGUAUGACAUUGUCUUUAUCUUCUUCUUCGUCUCUUUCGACAUCUUCGUCUAUCUUUUUAGAUUUUUUUCCCUCUUAGUCUUUGUCUCCUUCUACUUCUUAUUAUAUUUUUGAUACUUGCAUGGAUUAAUUUAUAAAUAAUCAAUUUCAUUAAAGAUAGUAUAAUUUUUUUUGUGAAAUAAGGAAAAAAGGAUGUGGACUAACAUAUUUUUUGGUAACUAUCCAAUUUUUGAUUCAAAUAUCUUUUUAAUAAAUAAUUUAAUUUUUUGACGUCCUUAAACCUAAUCUUUUACAUUUUAAAAAAGAUUGUGUAGUCUAAUAUUUUUUUAACGAAGGAUAUCAAAAGAAUUUUGACCAACAUAACCGGUAUCAUAUAAAAACAGCAUUAAGCAGUUUUCUCAUAUCUUACUUUGCAAAAACAACAAUUUCAAUCAUGAGAAUAGGGAGUACAAAAAAAUAAUCUAAAACAAACACACAAGAUUUAUAAUUCCAUAAAAUAAAUCACACUAUACCUUUAUCCACAUAUCAAUAGACAAAAACCAGAAAACAAAAUAUUUUAUCAAACUAAAGAAAAACAAAAAGUAAAACCAAGCAUAACCUAUCCAAUUACAAAAUCAAACCUAAUAAUAUCCCAAACACCAAAGAAACCGAAAAAGUGAUCUAAGCAAAAAAAAUCCAAAAGAUACAACAAAAAAAACCGAUCCUGUCAAGAACCACCAGCAUUAGAUCUUGAUCACCAGCAAAAGAUGAAACGAUUAAAAAUGCUGCCGGUUCUCAGCGUUAACAAAUUUUCAAUACUUAAUAUCAAAUCUUUUUUCCCCAAUCUUUUAUCAGGUUUUAGAAAACAGAGAAAGGAGCCACUCAUCGCCCAGUCAUAUAGUGUCUUCAUCUCACCUGGGUGAAGUAAAAUGGGGAUUGAUUUCUGACAUUACCUGUUCCGGACCAGGAUUUUAAACGUCCCUCACUAAUCUCCAAAAGCCAUUUAGUUACAUAAGUAAAAGCUAAAAGCAGAUUCCUUUAGUUAGAGAAAAGAAUAUUCAGAGGGAAUUAGGAACAAGAGGACAGUUGAGAAGUUUAACUUCCUUAUCAUCUCCUUGUCUGAAAUCGAAAGCACCUGGACCAUCAGUUGUUCCGGCAGCAAAACCAAACCCCAUUGCAGCUGGACAUGUUUUCACCGUCUCAGAGCUGUCUGCUUUAGGAACUGUGACUUCAAUAUUUGAGAAAUCUACAUCCGCAUGUUGGUAACCAAUUUUGCCUUGUAGCUUCUCUGUAGCUUUGUUAAAUGGUUCGACUGCCAUUUUGAAUUGCUUCUCUAGUGAUACGUGUGUAUCCUCAAAACACAAAAACUAUCAAUAAUUAAAACAUAUAAGAACAAACAAGCGAAACACAUCUUUGGUCAGCCCCAACUAAAAACGGAAAAGCAAAGUGCACCAAACCCCGGUUAACAUAUAAAAGAUAAGUGCUAAACGAAGACAAUCACAAAAUUAAAGACGACCCAAAAAGAAGAAGAAGGAACCCUAACCUUUCAACAUAGCCGCUAGCUAAACAAUCACCGAUCAAGUCAGUCUAGCUAAAAACAUCGCCACCUAAACAGCAAAUAAACAGCAAACAAACAGCAAACGGUAUAAAAAAUAAGAAGAAUAUAUACAUAUAUAUAUAUAUAUAAUUCAACUUUUAAUAAAUACCAGAAGCAAUUUUGAAUACCCGAGGGUCCUCAACUCGAGAUACUCACGAUUAGGGGUCAUCCAAGCGCCACACUAUCUGUAAACAAUAUCCUCGUUUAAGGAAGAUGAAACGGAAAAACGUGAACACGUUAACACAAAAAAGACCAAACGGGGAAAAAUUAUAAGAACCUACGAACUAACAGAAUGUACCCAACACCUAACAGAGAAACCAACAUAAGCAAGAUAUAAAAGUCAAUAUAGGUACAAGCAAGUUUACCUCUCACAACCAUUUUCAAAACACUUAAACAACUCUCACAGAAUCAAAACAUGAGAAAAGAAGAUUUGGUGGUAGAACAAUUAACCACCGCAUCAAAACGCUCAAAUGAGUUACAAAGGAAACUCAUACCUGAAGAGAAGAGAGUCGAAAUUUAAAUCCUUGAAAAAAUCGAAAACAGAAAAAAAGCAACCUACAAGAGCAACAUCCAAAAUAAAUUUAAAAACCGCCGAUCAGUUAGUACGUGAACAGAAAGAAUAAAUUUGGAGAAACCAUAAUCAAAACCCAUAACUUUUUUAAAAAAACUUUGAUAUACCUCGAAUGAUGUUGUUAGCUCCAGCGGUAACAACCUUCAAGAGGGGAAAACAACGAAACAGAUCAAUGCAAAACUAAACAAUUAGAUACAAAUGAUAACGAAAACACAUCAAAUAACAUUAAAAAUAUGUAGAAACCCAUAACCGAAAUUUUGAAGCCGAAAUUUUGAAGCCCUAAAAAAGUUGGGAUAUUUAGUCAUUAUCGACCUAAAAGCAAGUUAAAAGGCAAACAUCAAGAACCAUAACCCCUAAAAAAUUAUAGUAAUAACUCUAAAGACGGACGAAUCUAGUCAAACUCGAACUCAGAAUAACCUAGAUCGGCCUAAACGUAUUGUAUUUAUAGCCUCUAGGUCAAAGUAGGUUUGAGAUUAUCUAUAUUGGAAAAUCUAAUACAAAAUCACAAAUGAUAGAUAUUGAACGUUCCACAACCAAUCUAUUGUACGUAAAAAUUUAGUUAUGAAAAUUUUGUAAUUUAUUUAUUUUUACUUUGCUUUUAAUAUAUAUGAUAUGAUAAAUCAUUGUUUUUGGUUUUUUUUUUAAUAUACGAUAUGAUAAUGGUUUGUUAACUUAAUUUAAACCAUUAUUUUCGUUUUUUAAAUAUAUAUUUUUAUAAAAAUUAAUUUAAACUAAUUUAAGGAGAGGUAAAGGGUAACUAGCCACCCUGAAAUUAAAUGAGAGAGCUUUAAACGAAAUUUUUACUUCGCUUAUAAUAUAUAUGAUCGAGUCCCAACCCAUUACCCAAAUGUGUCAAACUUUUAUUUCUACCAAUCAGAGAAAAAUAUCUAUCUAUGGUGUUGAAUAUUACAUUGACUUGCUCUUGAACGUCAAUAAAUAAGAUUUUCUUUAAUUAAUUACAUUACUAAUUUUUAGCAAUUGAAUAGAAAGUUUUAUAGUUAGUCAACAAAGAAGCAUUGAAAUAAGAAACAUUGUAGUUCGUCAAAUCAUUUAUUUACCAUAUCAGAAAUGUUAACUUUAUUAUAUCCAGAAAAAAAAUUCAUGACAAAACUUUAAAAUAGAUUUCAUACAUGACACAUUCAAUAGAACAACAACAAACAACUUUCAUCAGUUCAUAUUAUAAAGUCCACGACUUGUUGGUCAGAACAACCAGUUGCAAAUAUAUAAUAUUUUUUUGUUGAGGACAUUUUUAAUAAAAUAUAUAUUUUUUUAUAAUUGGAGACAAUUUUCUAUAAAUUCAUUUAAAUAUAAUACUAAAUUAAUUUUUUUUAAGAUUUAUUUAAUAAAAAAACAAAAAAGAGUAGGGGGCAUGUGACCCAUAAUCUCCUUUCUGCCUCCACCCUGAGAACAACAACAACAAAAAGUUUACAGGACUUGAACUGAAACGAUAAAUUGUGAAGAUUUUACAAUCUUUCAGAAGAAUCAGAACUAUUAGAAAGUUUGAAACAGUAAUGAAAAGCUCAUAGACAAGUCUGUUUAACAAACUGGCGAGAAGCUCUAUAUAUGUAGAACAACUAAGCUAAAACAGUUCUUUUGCCAAAAAAAAUAAAUAAUAAUAACUAAGCUAAAACAGCAAAAAAAAGGUCUACCCAAAAGAAUAAAAUAUAAUUUUUAGUGGUUGGAACAUUUUCACAAUUAAUGUCCCUUAAACUUAAUCACUAAUAUACUAAAAAUAGUCAGGCAAGUUAUAUUUUCUACUCCAUGUUUUUCUAACGAUUUUAGUAAAAUUACUGCAUUACUAAAACUUUUUUUUUUCAAGCGGAGUUUAAGUAUUCCCAAUUACUAGAACCAGUAUAUACACAAUAGGCUAACUGUGAUAUAAUGUAACUUUUUAAUUUGGAAAAUUCUAAAUAUGCCAAUAAUAUCCGGCUUUUAGUGUAGAAAAAUGGAGGACCAUUCGUUUUUGAUCACAUGUGUAUUAUUGAUGAGUCUAUAUAGUUUACGAUCGAUUUACACAUGGCAUUGUAUGAAGAAAAUAGGAAUCGAUAUGUGGAGAACAGUAAUCGUCGUCAUAUACGAUCUCAAACAAAAUGUCCCUAAAUCACUAAUGCGCAAUCCUCUAUUUUCGUCUCGUUUCAGUUUAAAUUUAUAAUAGCCGAUAAGAUUUUAUUAAAAACCACAAACUGUUUAUAUAUUUUGGAAAUUAAACAUGCUCAUAUUUUGUUAGAUUCAUUUUAGUACUAAUAACUCAGCACUGAUUUUUACACCAUUGACUUGACGAACGUUUAUAGAAUUAGACACAUCAUAAACUAUAUACUAUGUUAGCCAAAAAGAAAACAAAAUUGUACCCCUUUUUUUGUCAACACUGUAUUUUGUUUUUGUUGCUAACAGAGUUAACCAUGUUUCCAGUUAUGCUAAUGUAUGUUAAGCUGGUGGUGUAAAAGACAAGCAUCAUGAUGAGUUUAGUUAUUUAAGUGAACUAAAUCUAAAUGUGUGUGUAUUUUAAAAAAAAAAUAAAUACACAGGGUAUAUUCUAAAAAUAGUUAAAUUGUUGGUGAAUUUUUAUGGAAUACAUUGUAGAAAAAAAAUUUGAACUUUUUUGUUUGGAUUGUGAGAAAGUUAAGGAGAAAAUUUAUCUAACCAAGCUGUAUUAUCUCUUGCAGUUUUUUGCCCAUAUACAUCUUCAUUGUGUUUAGGGGAAACGAUAAUCAAGAAAGAGAGAUUUUUACAGAAAAAUUCUUCUUUUCCUUAUGUUCACUUUCCGAAAUAACCCAUAAGAACAGAGACAGAGAUAGGAAGAAGCAAGAAAAAGAAAAAAAGAGCAGUCCCUUGUUUCGAUCUCUCUUACAGUACUAAACGGCCAAAAAUAUUUGAUCCGUUAAAAAAUCAGGUAAUGGUCGCCAUUCUUAUAUAAUCACUCUUUUAAUGUCCAUCGUUGUAACAUUAUUCUCAAGAGUUCUCAUGUUGUGUUUUUUGGGAUCAUAAUACGGUUAAUACCACGUUUUAUUGCUUUUUGAGGCAUAUCCUGUAUUUGUGUAUCUUCAUGCCGUUUAUAAAAUUUUCAGGUUGAAGCUGAAUCUUGGCUUUGAAAUGGCUGGUUUUGAUAGUAAGAUCGCUGUAAUGGGAGAAUGGUUAGACCGUAAUCCUCCUAACCACAAGAAGAGAUCGAAAGCGGAACGUGAUCACAGAGACGUUUCUUUAGAAGACAUUAAGAAUAAGGAUUUUCUACAAACCAGCUUUCAAGAGACACCAUGUUAUUCAUCACGAGGUGGUCUCAGUGAAAGGAUUGCUGCGAGAGCCGGGUUUAAUGUACCAAGGUUAAACACUGAGAGUAUUCUUCAGUCUCCAUGUUUAACCAUCUCUUCUCCUGGUGUUAGCCCUGCAACUCUGCUAGAGUCUCCGGUUUUCCUCUCAAACCCUUUGGUAACUUUUUCCUUUUCAACAUUUUUCAUUAUCGUCAUGUCCCUUUCACGGAUCCAUUUUCUGAAAUCUCUUAUCACUUGGAAGCCCAGCCAUCUCCGACAACAGGAAAGCUCUUAUCACAACCUUUUGGUAAAGCUAAAGAUGAGUUCUUUGACGACAUUGCCACAUCUUUAGCCUUCCAAUCCAUUUCAAGAAGGAGUCUUGAUCCUACAAACAUCGGUUUAGAACCUCAUGAUUCACAAGACUAUGAGCAAACACAGCUCGGUGGUUUAGGAGACUCGAUGCCAAGUGGUGCACCAGCAGAUGAUGGAUACAACUGGAGGAAAUACGGACAAAAGCUAGUUAAAGGAAGCGAGUAUCCACGUAGCUAUUACAAGUGCACACACCCGACUUGUGAAGUCACGAAGAAGGUUGAACGGUCCAGGGAAGGUCAUAUCACAGAGAUUAUAUACGCAAAAGCUCAUAAUCACCCUAAACCUCCACCUAAUCGCCGCUCAGGCAUUGGAUCAUCCGGAACAUGCCUUGACAUGCAAAUAGAUGGAACUGAGCAAGAAAGCUUUGGUGGAACCAAUGAGAACAUAGAAUGGACAUCACCUGUAUCUGCAGAGCUCGAUUACGGUAGCCAUUCUGGAUCAAUGCAGGUUCAAAACGGGACUCAGUUCGGGUAUGGUGAUGCAGUAGCUGAUGCUUUCUUUAAAGGUGAAGAUGAAGAAGAUGGCACGUCCCACAUGAGUGUUUCCCUAGGUUACGACGGAGAAGUAGAUGAAUCCGAGUCAAAGAGAAGGUUAGAAAAUUGUUGCUCAAGUAAACCAUUUAACAUACUCGGAAAGACUAGACCGUUCUGAAUUCUUUCUGAUGCUAUUAACGUAACAGGAAACUCGAAGCUUAUGCAACGGAAAUGAGUGGAUCAAGCCGAGCCACCCGUGAGCCAAAAGUCGUGGUGCAGACCACAAGUGACAUUGACAUCCUCGACGAUGGUUAUCGCUGGCGCAAGUACGGACAAAAAGUCGUCAAAGGAAACCCGAAUCCAAGGUUCUUGCUUGUAUUCAAAUGUUCUGUUCUGUUCUGCUCUCUCUGUUGCACCUUUUUGUCCAAGAAUUUCAUCACAAUCUGUUUUCUAUAUAAACAAUGCUUCAGGAGUUACUAUAAAUGCACAGCUAAUGGAUGUAUCGUAACGAAGCAUGUGGAAAGAGCUUCUGAUGACCUCACAUCCGUACUAACAACUUACAUAGGCAAGCACACUCAUGAAGUACCAGCAGCACGCAACAGCAGCAGCCAUGUCAGUCCAGGCAGCUCAGGGACCCUCCAAGGCAGUUUAGCGACUCAGACCCACAACCACCAUGUGCACUAUCCAGUGCCACAUAGUAGACCCGAAGGACUGGUCACAGCCAACUCAUCUUUAUUUGACUUCCAGCCACACCUUAGGCCUCCUUCGGGUUACUCGGUUUACAUAGGCCAAACUGAGCUUUCGGAUCUUUCAAUGCAUGGUUUAGCCAUCGGGCAAGAGAAGCUUCCCGGCCUGCCAGGGCCUGCCAUUGUUGAUUCAGCUGGGCUGAUGUUGCAGUUAGCAGCAGAGCCGAAGGUGGAACCAGUGUCGCAACAGGAACUUGGAUUGUCUACGAGCUCAUUGAUAUACAGAGAUAUAAUGAGUAGGUUACCACAUAUAUGAAACAAAUCUCUUUGUUCACUGAUUGUUCGUUUUUUUUGAAUAAAUGGUUCUGAAAAUUGAGGGAAUGUGAAAGCUAGUUUGUUUGUUAAGUCUUGUCGCAAGAUUUAGGAGCUACAAAACAAAAACAAAAAAAACAAAAAAAACUUGGCUUCUACCUAAACAAAGCCUUUAGCAAAUCGAAUUUCCUUCGCUGUCUGGUCCCGAAACUGAGUUCUAUAUUUCUCUAAGGAACCGCCAAAAAAAAGGAUUUUUACGCUGAAACUAAUCUUUACAGGAAUGUAUUCCUACCGCCUCUUCGACUGUUUCUCUCGUAUGCAGUGUUGAAUUUGUCAACCACCUCGUUCAUGUUGCUGCAUUUUGGUACAAAAGUGAGAAAUCAAAUAGAAGAAAAGAUUCUCCUAAGACAUACUUUGGUUGUAAUUGACAUCUGGAUUGAUCAAAGUAUUAACAUACGAUUGAUCAAAUAAAAGUUUAUAUUUCCUUUAGACACUAUAGGUUUUCACUAUUUUGAUUAUAACAAGGAUGGUUAAGCAAGGUCACUAUCUCCGGGUCAGCUAAAAGCAACUACUGGUGAUUUCAUCAGUCUAAGCAUCGUACAACAUAGCACUAUCAACCAAAAGACAAAAAAUUUCAUGCCUAUCCUUCAUUGUUAGCUAAAUGGAAUUUCCAUGUCGAGCACAUACCUGGUACAAUUUGUGAGCAUUGCUAGGUAAGACAUCAGCAAUUUGUCGUUGUACUCCUGCAAAUAAGAACGUCACAUAUAGAUCAUUCAGAAGAACAAGCUACAUUAAGAACUUAAGAGAAUAGAAUGCUAUUUUUCUUAACGAAGAUUGCUAGAAAACAGUAAGGCACUACUUACCAUCAAGAAAUCAUCUCGAAACUUUUCUGAUUGUGCGGCAGGCAAACUUCUAAGCAGACUAGAUACUUGCCUCAGAAGUGCGUUCUCGGAAGGAAUAUCACCUAGAUGCAGUAUUAAAUAAGUCAUUAGAACCAAAGGGACCCUUGGAACCUAAAGUACACAACUACAGAACUUUUGGUCAAUAUCAUCGUCUGACCCCUAUUUAUCCAUUUUUCAGUGUAGAAUAACACAAAUGCAUAUAGCUACGAUCAAGAAAUGGUCGAUGAACAAAAUGAAGUAGGACGCAAUAAUAGAAUAUACCUUUCUGCAUUGUGACAAGAUACUGAUAAAGAACUCUGAUUCUGCUAGUUAGCAUCUUGAUGGCACUGUGUAUGCCAGUAAGAUGAGCAGCCACUGCACAACAUCGAGGAAUCAGCCUAAAUUCCAUACAAGUGUGUAAGAGGAUUAUCAUAAAUAAGAAGUGUACAGUAAGGCUUACAUUGGGUCGCUGCUGAGCCUCCAUCGGAUGGCUUAAGGUGUGCAACAUGGUCGACCGAUAUUCUUUCAGCUUCCACUGUCUGCAUGUGUUACAUCUUUGCUAUGUUAUUAAAGCGCCACUCUCAUAUAUUAGAAAGAUUACAUAUAAAGCAGCCCAAGCGCAUACCUCAAUUGUGUAGCUUGUAUGCACGAAAAUUGGCUGAGGAAUUCCAUCAAUGACAUGAAAUUCUUGAAGUUUUGAAGACAAUCACACCACAUGAUAGGAAUAAAAAGGUUAGAAUCUUUAAAACAAUCACGACAAAAUUAGAGGUCGAAUAAGAUAAAAAGAAGAAACUAGUUAUAAUCAUGAGCCAAUAUACGAUCUGCGACUGUAUUUUUCAUACAAUAAAGCAAGAGGAUAUGGAAAACCAAAUUACCACUUUCAUAGAUAGUCACUGGAAGAUCCUUCUGUGCGUGAUUGAUAGCCGGAUUUAGAAGGACAUAAACAGGAGAUUCAUUAAUGUCCAUCAGCUGUAGAAAACAUGAUGCAAAACUCACACAAUCAGUACACUGAGACCUAAACCUCAACCAUACAAAUCAACAAUGAACCUGCACUUACAGAUUUGUGGAUAUGCAUAUCAGAUUCAUUAGCGUCGCUUCCCGUAGAGUACCAUCCCAAUAUGUAGAAGUCAGGAAACACCUUCUUGUCUAACGAAGCAAAAGAGAAAAAAAAAAAUCGAGUAACUCAAUACAUAGCAGCAACAAUCGAGAACAAAGUAGAGACGAAAACGAGCGAGAGUAUAAGCUUACAGAGCUCUUGCUUCUUCUCGAGGAAGGAUCUGUCGAGAGUAUCAGUAGAAGGAUCAAACAAGAGCUCGAAGCUGUUGAAGAUCUCAACCGUUCGACCUCUCUGGGCACCGAUCACGCAGCCAUAAACCCUAGGAUUCUGCAGUAACAUCGCGUCGCCGGUGCUGGGACCAUUCCCGGUCGCGCAGGAAGAGGCUGGAGGAUUAAGCUGAGUUUUAACCCUAGUGAAGUGGUCCGAUAUGUUAAGCAUCACCAGAGGAUGUAGCUUGAAGGUGAGGCCGCUCGACGAAGAAGGCGCCAUUGAUGUCUCUCUCGAUUUUUUCCCGGCGAUUGUCAUUGUCGCUUCGCUUGAUUCUUAAAAUCCUAAAAUCGGGGAUCUUAAAUAAAUGUCGUCAAUUCGGUCAUCAUACAGUCUUGGGCUGCCUUUCAAAGCCCAUCGCAUAAUUAAAAAUAAAUAGUUUUGGAAACAAUUAAACCUUUACGAAUCCUUAUCUAUAUUUAAAAUAUUAUAUUUAUUGUAUGUUGAAUAAUUUUGAUUCUUUAAAAAAUGAUUCUAUCAUUUAUAUUUUUUCAGUAAUAAGAAAUCAAACUUUUAAUUUAAUUUAAUUUAAUAUUAUACUGGAUAUUUUAAAAGAUAGUAUAUAUUUAAUGUGUUUUGAAAUCAUUUUCAUCAUUUUAUUGAAACGGAAUUGUUUUUUUUUUCAACAAUUGAAAUGGUUUUUUUCAAAAAUUGGAACGGCAUUGUUUUACUAUAUAGCAAUUCACUAAAAGGACGUCAUUGCUGGUGUGGCAUCCAUUCAUAAUCCAUUCUCGGUUUGACAAAAUCUGUUAGUCUGUUACAGUCAUAUAUGUAUAUGUUUAAGCUAAAAAUAUUAAGGUUAUGUAUGAAAUGGCACAGUUGUACAGAGUAUGUAUGUACUAUGAUCACGCCUCUAGAGUAGAUAACUACUCAAUCGUCUACUUGUUGAAAUAUAGUUGUCGAUCUUGAUGGAUAGUCAAUUAUUUUCUAGAUAUAGGCGUCUAAUUGUGAAAACAUUGUAUUUUGAUGAGUAGUAAGAGUAAUCAACUUUUCGACAGAGAAGCUCCUACCAUUUAUCUGAGCAUCUUCUCUUUCUCUCAUGCAGUCCUUUUCUCUCCCCUUAUACAGUUGUUUCUAACAGCUAGUACCUAGUUUAUCAUCUUUUCUUCUAUAUAUAUGUGCAGUGAGAUUUUAUAUUCUCUUUAUAUUCCUUUUCUGCAUCAUUUUCUAGACAUGUUCCUGAAUUCGACUUCCGAAAGUAGCAACAAACGAGUAAAGGAAGAACAUAAACCAAUAUUUUGUUGACAUUGGGUAAAUAAUACGAAGUAAGAAUCAGUGAAGUGACAUUAUACCGGAAGCUUGCUGGUUUUGUAAAGCAUCAAAGAAAUUAAAAUUCUUUCUUUGUUUGUCAAAGAAGAAGGAAUACAAAAUAAGAGUUUGUUUUUCUUUUUUAAAAAAUGCAAAAAAAAAGGAACAAAGUUAAUAGCGAAGAUGACAUUUUAAGGAUUGUAUUAAACAUGUCAUAUACACAUUGUUUGUUUGUCUUUACGUUUGUGUUUCCAUGUUAUACCAUUCUAAUCAUAUAAUACGAAACGAAAAUACUUCAAAACAAAAAAUUUCGUUUAAGUAUAAUUAGACACACAAAAAAUUGUUAAACGCGUGCUAUACAUAGCCUAUAGUAAAAUGUGAACGAACACGUUGAUUAUAUGAUUUGCUUAAGAAAAUGAAAAGUUAAAACCAUUCUCUCCAUUACCGAUAUCAGAAGUAGAAGUGUAAAUAGCGAAAUUGGUGAUCAGGAUGGUGAGAAAGAAAUAGCGAAACUUCAACUAGAAAAGUAGAUAUACGUAUACAAACUUCGGAAUAUUGUGUUACUUUAGUUAUAUGUGUAUAUCAAAAGAAGAAAAUAAUCUUUUAGGACAGACAUGAGACAACGACUUGUAUUACAAAUAAACAUCUACUCAUAUUAAAUUAUAGAUACCAAAGUGAGAACGCAACUGCUAAUCACUUUUUCUUUUCUAUAGUCAACCAACUACUAAUCUCUUUUAGACUCUAGAGAGCGACGUAUCUUCAUUACUUCACAGUAUGGAUACAAUUUAGUUCAAAUUGCGUGGAUAAUUAUAUCAUUGGAAACGUCUACUAACAGAAAGUUUUGUGAAUUUGAAAACUUUCUCUUAUUGCCAAUCUCGGAAUUUUUGUGUUCUCUAAUGCUUUGCUUUCUCCUUUUUCCUUAAGGUAAACAUUAUCUUUUACACGCUAUAACCUAUAUAUAUAUAUACACAUAUAUACAUAUAUAUAUACACAUAUAUACAUAUAAGUAUAUAUCCAUAUAUCAAAUUAACUAAUUAUUUCAUGGAUCGAGACUAAAUAUUAAUAAACGAACGGACCCCACAAUAUUGAAACUCUCAGCUCAGAAAUUUCAUUCGAUUAAUUUAUUCUCCAACUUGUUCCAAACUACCAGGCCUGCACAGUGCACACUACGAUGAAGACGUUUUCAGAAGGUUCUCUUACUUUUGUAGUAUAAAAGAAAAAGGCGCUCAAGAAAAAUGUCAUAAAAUACACACACCCCCCCCCCCCCCCCCAAAAAAAGGGUUAAUAAAAGUUUAGUAAAAGUUCUUGAAUCGUUUGGUAUCAAUCCUAAUCUUAAAGGAAUCAUUUGUAAACCUAAAAUUUGUUAUAUACUUAUACCUUUUAGGUUUGAUUGGUAAUUUUUAGAAUUGACCAUUGGGUACAUCAACAUUUCCAAGUUAUUUAAAAAUCGCGUGAGUAAAACGACGCCGUUAGAAACCUUGCAGUGCAUAAUGUGGCCGAAUAUAUAUAGAGACGUUUGUUUCCCAUGCAUCUUCAUUAAGACCAAAUAGAGAGUCUCCUUUAUAUCACUUAACUAACAAAUUAGAGGGACGUUCACAAAAAUUUCUUACACAUUUACGAUUUUAGAUAUGGAUUCCUCCCGGAGCCUCGAGCACGUGCUCUCCAUGCAAGGCGGCGAGGAUGACGUCAGCUACGCCAAAAACAGUUACGGUCCGGCCGCAGCGUUAGCCUCCAGCAAACCAAUCCUGACGUCAGCCACUCCAUGAAUUUCACUAAAGGAUGCUCAUCUCACCUAAAGAUAGCCGACUUAGGUUGCGCAGUCGGAGACAACACGUUUUCCACGGUUGACACGGUGGUUGAGGUGUUGGCGGAAGCUAGCCGUGGUUGAUGGCGUAGACGAGCCGGAGCCGGAGCUAGAGGUCUUCUUCUCCGACUUGCCUUCGAACGACUUCAACACGUUGUUUCGAUCGUUGGAAAAACAAGUUAAUGGCUCGAGCCAGAAUAAGUACUUCGCGGCUGGCGUUCCAGGCUCGUUCUAUAAGAGGCUGUUUCCGAAAGGAGAGCUCCAUGUCGUUGUGACCACGAGCGCCUUACAAUGGCUCUCUCUCAGGUAUAUGUAUCUUUUGAAUUAGUUUGAUUUCUUCACUUAUAUGUAAUUGGUUUAUAAUAGCUAAGAAAACGAAGAUUCAGCUUUCUUACUUCAAGUGGAAAUAAUAUUCAUGCAAAUUUAGUUGAAACUAUACAUAAAAUAAAAUUUCAAGAUUCUUCAAAUGUUAAUUAACAAUAUCUCAAAAACAACAGUCUAUAAAGUCCGAUUAUGAGAUAUUCAUAUGGAUAUGUCCGGAGCAACUUAAUUUUAUGUUAAUUAUUUUACUCUUUUUUUAUUAUUGUCUCUAUGGAUCGUCGAAAAGUGUUUUUUUUUUUUUCAUUUCAUUGUAUCGGAUUUGAUUUUUGGAUAUGAUAGAUACCGUAAAAGGUGAUGGAGAAAGGAUCGAAGACAUGGAACAAGGGAAGGGUGUGGAUUCAAGGAGCAGAGAAAGAAGUUGUGGAGGCAUACGCGGAGCAGUCAGACAAGGACUUAGUCGAGUUCUUGAAAUGUCGGAAAGAAGAAAUUGUUGUUGGAGGAGUGUUGUUUAUGUUGAUGGGUGGUCGACCUUCUGGCUUAGUGGGCCAAGUCAGUGACCAUGACUCACGUCUCAAGCACCUUUUCACAACUUUGAUGGAUCAAGCUUGGCAAGAUCUAGUAGAUGGGGUAUAUAAUAAGAUCCCAUGAUCAUGACGUCAUGUUUUUACUUUAUAAACUGUUUUUUUUUUUUAUGUUCUAUAUAUGUAUGGAAUUGACAAAACCUUUUUUUUUAAUUUCUCUGGUGAGUUUGUAAAGGGUUUAAUAAAGAAGGAGAUAAGAGAUGGUUUCAACAUUCCGGUGUAUAUGAGAAACACAGAGGAAAUAGCGGCUGCGAUUGAGCGUUGUGGUGGUUUCAAGAUAGAGAAGAUGGAGAUAUUAAAAAUAGAUGACCCUAUGAAUGCUAAACGGCAUGAGUUUAUGAAAGAUCCUGAUUCUUACGGUCGAGCCAUGGCUAACUUAAUUCAAGCCGGUCUAAAGCCAAUGUUUGAGGCCUAUCUCGGUACUGACCUGACACACAAGCUCUUCAAACGGUACGCAAAUCGAGCUGCUUCCAACAAAGAAUUUAUCAAGAAGAAUAGUUUCUAUUUUGUGAUCGCUGUGUCCGCGAUUCGGGUUUGAUGUUAUCUAUGUACAUAUAUCAUAUAUGCUUAGUAUAUAUAGCAUGUCAAAACAUCUACGAAAUCGUUUGACGCAUGCUGGAAUAAAUUAUUAUUAGACAGAAACCCUUGUGUUUCGGAUAUAUUAUAGGGUUAUCCUUCACUUUUAAAAUUUUACAAUCUUUCCCCUUUAUUUUGUCGCUUCAAUGAAUUGGAGAAAUGUUUGUCAUUUGAGAUAUGAUAAAUUAGAAAGCAUGGUUCGCAAAACUAAACAUUUAUAAUACGUGAACGAUGAGUAAAGAGAACCUCGUGACCACCAAUGACACUUUACUACGUGACACUCAUUAAUUAAAACAAGGGAAAAUAUUUAUACUUAUAUAGUUUUUACCCUAAAACUCAAAGAAACUAUCUCCCACCACCCCGAAUUCAUUCCUCUCACGCGACACACCACCGUGGCUUCUUCUCCUUCACCACCAAGGUUCAAAUCUUGAAGGCAAUAUCCCAACAACAACAACAAAAAAAAAAAAAACAAUGAAAGAUCUCUCUUUCUUCUUCCUCAAGAAAUCCUAUCUGGCCUCGAGAAUGCGAGGAAGAGGUCCACGUGGUGGCUUCGCGAGCUCUUGUGGUGGCGAUGGCUCGACUUCCACACUAAACCAACAUCAAAAGAACGAAGCGGGACUAUCUGUCACACCUGAAAACACUCCUUUCGGUGGAGGGUCGCCGAGAACGCUAGAGGAGAUGAUACUUCAGCUAGAGGUUGAAGAAGAUAUCGUUAGAAGAGCUAGACUUCGUGAAUCUUACUACGGUACUUAUGAUAAUUGCGACGAUGAUGAUGAUAAGUUAUAUCAGCCUGUUCGGAUGUCAUGCGUUAACAGUUCCGAUAUCUUGAGGUGCGUCAUGCUUCUGUUGUAUAUAUGUGCAUACAUACUAAACAUGAUUCAUAGUCAUGAGCUCAAAUGAAAUUAACAAAAAUAUUUGGUUUAUUGAUUUAUAUUUCGACUUACGAAAAAAUUGUUACCAACAAAAAAAAUUAAUAAUUAUGCGAUUGGAGACUAGAGAGUACGUUUUUUUCUUCUUGGAAUUUUUGUUUCUGUAUUGGUGAAACUUGUAGGUACAAGAAAAAGGUUUCUAUUGUGUAAUGAUAAGCUACAUAUUAUAAUGUCAUUCUGUUUCAUUUGCUUGCCGUUAAGGUCGGCAAGGAACGCGUUGAACCAGUACCCACGUUUCUCGCUGGACGGUAAGGACGCGAUGUACCGGUCAUCAUUCCGGUGCCAGCUCGGCGUCGGUGCUGAUGUGGCAAGACAAGGUGGACGGAGAUCAAACUGCGGGGACGAACGGAGAUCGAGCCAGAUGAGCUUAGAGACAAAACGCCUGCCUCGGAAGGUGGCUGGGGAGAGUGUGGUGUGGUGCGAGACAGGGGUGGUUGCGAAGCUGAUGGGCCUGGAGAUGAUACCGGUUCCGGUCAAGGGCAAAAGAGGAAAAGAUAAGUUAGGGACUCUGCUCAAAAGAGAGCGUCUAAGGAGGAGAGAUCGGACGCUGGACAUUAACGGUCGGAAUGGUCAGACCACCGAAGCUUCUUGCUCGUCUGGAGGUUUAAACUCGAUGAGACCAAUCCGAGCGGCUGGGUCACCUAGCCACGUGGGUGGAUGGCCCACGCUACGUUUCCCAUAAUAUUACGUUUCAACUUGGCCCUUUUAAAAACCUUCAUGUCAACCAUUACUGGUUGUAUCAGUGAACUUUUUAUAUGUUUCUUAUAAUUAACUAUUUCCUCUCCCAACUCAAACAAAUAAGCUAAAACUAAUGGUCUCAAAUAAUAUAAAGAAAGAACCAUAAGGUAUAUAUCUGUCUCAAGCUAAUGUGUUGGUUUCAGACAGCGUUAGAUGUUUAUUGACGAGAAAUAUGCUUGAAAUAACUUGAAAAAACUCAAGGCUUGGUGGGUUUUGUGCGGUAUAUCAGACGGGAACUCCUAGCUCAGACAUCCUCAUAAUUCUUUUGUUCAAUGCAAUCCUCUUUUGUCUUAAGAGCGAAGUCAUGGAAGCCACCUAAUGAUUGAAGACAAGAGAAUUUGAAUGGCCGUUCAUAGCAACGAAGCUUAACAAUGAGGAAGAUGAGAAAAAAAGUGGACUCACUUCGGCUCUAAGCUUGAUUGCUUCCCUCCCAGGAAUUUGCCGCAGGCCAUCCAUUAAAUCUGCAGAGAAUUCAAGUCUCUAUGUAAAUUGAGGUCUGAUGUAAUGACAAUAUUUAAGUAGAUUACAGAGCAUGGAUCUAAACUCAUUAACUGCAGUGACACGUGGAAUAAAUGACUAUUACCAAUGGAAGGUAAAAAGGAGUAAACUAUAAGAUAUGUAAAUUCUUCUUACCUGUAGCUUCGCAUUCAACCUUGUGGACGGAAUUAGCAAGACGAUGUAUAUUGUUUCCAGAAUCCCUACAGUACAGAUAUAUGACAGUAGUAGCCUUAAUAAAGCAAAUGAAGUCAAUUAAGUAAAAUAAGCGGGUCUGUCGACGUUGAGGCAUACAUGAGUUCAGAAAGACCGCGUUUCAUAUCCUUCUCUGCUAAAGCUGACCUUUCAAGCAGUUUCCUGCUCUCCUUUUUCAUUAGGUCUACAGACAUGUUCAACUCCUGGACAUGCUUCUCAGCUUUCAAGAACUGUGCCUGAAGAGAUAAAGAAGUGGAUGAAUAAACAAGAAAGAACACAAACCAGGGAAACUAAGUAUAACAGCGUUAAGAAAUAAAUUCGAAGUCAGUGGCACGCUAGAUACCUCUUCACUCUGAAAUCGGCCUAGUGUAUGACGGAACAAGAAUCUUCUUGGGCCUGUAAUUAUUAGAACCAUAGACAGCAGAAUUUAUACAAGACAUAUCUGAGAAAUAGAGAUGUGAUACUUUUAUGAUGCUCCUUAGCAAAGGAAUAUUGUAAGUUAUACCUCGCAUAAGAACGAGACCAGCAGCGAGACCAAUCCCAGCAGCAGCAGCCGGAUGCUCCUUUGCGUAUAUCAAUUCUUCUGAAAAGGGAAAAACAGCAGGGGAUACCGAGUCAGAUUUAUGAUUGAUUCGUCAUUACCAAACUAGUAAACCAAGCGAGGAUUCGUCAUCAGGACAGAUAAGCACACUAUUGGAUGCAGUACAAAUACGAGUGAAGGUUUAGGGAAAGUAUCUAUUAUACUCAAUGGUUUGUUUUGAUACUCGUAAGCCGUAACCAAGCUUUAAAGUAGUCUACAAGCAAAAAAAAAAAACAUGAAAUUUGGCGUCAAGUUACCUGUUACUUUACUGAAGAAAGCAUUUUCAUAAGUCUUAUACUGAGUCAAAGCAUGUGGAAUGAAAUCCUGCAAUUUCAGAAACAAAAGUAACUACCACAGGAAUUUAGUAGGAGACGCGAAGACAUAUACAUAUACAGCAACUGAAAUUGUGAUCUCAGGUAGAUAAAGAUCAAUUCCAUAGCAUAUCUUUAAGCAACAUGAAUAGCUGAUAUCUUGAGAAGACAUGGUGUCUUUGAAGAGAUUAAGAAAAGAAAACUCAAUGUUGGAAGAUAAUCAAUAAUCCCUCAGCGAUACAAUGCAGACUUCUAAACAAAAUACUCAGUUUGAGAAAAGGAAACAGAAUCAGAUCCCAAGAGAGACUGUGAUCACUGCCAAUAAAUUCAAACGCUAUGAUUCAACAAGAUUUCACCAUAUGAACAAUAACGGCUAAAUGGAGCAGAAUCUGUUUGAAUCGAGCUCAGUUCCAGAAAUAAUAGCUUAUGAAGGUAGAUUGAAUUCGAAUCAAUCCAGGAUUUGAAUCCUGAAAAUUGUUGCGAAAGAAUCUUCAUUCGAGAAACUUAUCGGUGCAAAAUAGAAAGAUAGAAUAACCUGUAUAGAGCGGAACUGAGAGGUAGAGUUUUCACGGAGGGAACGAGCAGAGCGAAUGGCGGAAUCCUUCGACUCCUUCACCGUCCGCUGGAAAUCAUCCACCCAUUUCUCUGCUCCUCCUAUGGCCUCCUCCACCGAAUCAACCACCGCGAUUGCUGUAUGCUCCGUCGCAUCAGCAGCGACUGCAGUCGCUGAAGCCGAUUCAUCGGUAACGCCGGUCGCUUCGGUUUCGCUCAUCGUCGGAGAUUACCUUUCUGGUACCGAGACUUGACCCUUCUCCUCUUUCAAUUUCAACUUUCACCGGUUCGUUUCGACUCGGUUCGGUUCGGCUCAAUUUCAUUCCAAUUUGGAAGUGGUUAAGGUCGGGUUAGCUCAGAUUGCGAUUAAUGGGCUUUAGAUUGGGUCUGCAUCAAAAUAAUUCUCUCUUUCGUCUUCUUUUCCUCAUUCAUUCCUCUUUUCUUCUUCUCCCACCAUUUCUGCUGCAAACCUCCAAAAAGAUGAAAAUAUAAAGGUUAGCUUCCUUAUUGUGGAGAUUUUUAAGAAGGAUCAGAUAACUAUUUCCUCUGGAUCUUCAAAAAGUAGGCACAUUUACAAGGUAUGGUUUUGUUUUAGUUUAUUUUAUUAUUUUGUUUUGACAAUUCUAUGUGCUUAAGAAUUGGGAGUUUUCUUUUCAUGGAUUUGCUCUGAUUUAUUUUUAGAGACAGUUUUGGGUCAUCAGUUUUUCUUCUUGGGGAUCAAUUGUUUAAUUAGUUUAUUCGUGUUUGUAUAAAUUAAGAAGCUUAAAUUAUUGCAAAUCACCUAAUAUUUUCCUGUCUGAAUCUUGGGCAAAUGAUCUUAAUGACGAUGAUUCUCCUCGUUUUAUUGUAACUUUUGGGAAUGCCAAUCUCUUUAAUUAGAUCUGCUGAAACUGAACUUAAACGGGUGGAAGAUGGGCAAAAUAAAGAUGGAAGCUUUAUUGGUUUUUCAUCCUGUAUCCUGUGUUCUUCUUACAGAAACGAGAGAUAUAGAGAGAUUUUGGUGGGGAAGGAGAGAACGAGGAAAAAGCAAUGGCGGCUAGGUAUUGGUGUCAUAUGUGUUCACAAAUGGUGAAUCCAAUUAUUGACGCCGAGAUCAAAUGCCCAUCUUGCCAAAGCGGGUUCGUCGAGGAGAUGAGCGGUGACAUUAAUGGCGGCAGCAGCAGCAGCUUAAGGGAGGUUCAAGACCAAGAGAUCGAUUUAAACCAUGCAUUGUCUCUACUGGGUCCAAACUUGCUUGGAAUGAUGAACAAUCCUCGGAGACGUAGAAGGUUUAGGAGGACAGAGUUUGGUGUGAGUAAUGAUGAGGUCAAUGGUGUUGCUAAUCUUGAUGGGAAUGACAGCAAUGUCGAUAAUCAUCAUCAUCAUCGUCGUCGUCAUCGCCACAGGCAACACGAUGGAGAGAUUGAUUCAGAUAGAGAGUUUGAGUCUAUCCUGAGGAGGAGACGGAGAAGUUCAGCUGCAAUAUUGCAGUUGCUUCAUGGCAUUCGUGCAGGGAUCAAUUCCGAGUAUGAGAGCUCGGAACGGAGCACGUUUAAUGAAUCAGGUGUUGUUCAGGGAUCGACGGGUUUGAAUCAUAACCGGAACAAUACUUCACUUUCUUCAAUAGGAGAUUACUUUGUUGGACCAGGGUUAGACCAAUUGCUUGAACAUCUAGCUGAUAACGAUCCAAUCAGGUACGGGACACUUCCAGCAAGAAAAGAAGCUGUGGAGAAUCUCCUAACGGUUAAGGUAUGUGAGCCAUUGCAAUGUUCGGUUUGUUUGGAUGAUUUUGACAAGGGAAGUGAAGCUAAAGAGAUGCCUUGUAAGCACAAGUUUCACGUCCGGUGUAUAUUACCGUGGCUUGAGCUUCACAGUUCGUGUCCCGUGUGCCGAUAUGAGCUCCCUCCUGAUGAUGAGAUAAAGGUUGAUUUGGUCAGACCGAGAACAAGAACUCUAGAGAUCAACUUAAGUGAUGAGAAUGUGGAAGAUGGUGCAAGGAAUGGUAAUGGGAGUGAGAGCAGAUUCUCUUUUCCCUGGCCGUUCAGCGGAUUAUUCUCUUCUUCCUCUUCGUCAUCUGCGUCGGCUUCAGGGUCUUCUCAGCCCAAUCAAAACUCAUAUUCAGGAUAAAAGAGAGAAUCGUAAACAAAUCCAUCUAUGCGUUUCUCUUGGAUCACUAUUCCUCAGCUUCAACCAAGUAUAUAAAUCUUGUUCACUCAGAUUGUUGAAAAUAAAUAAACGGUUUGGAGGAAUCGGAUCUUUUCUUUCUUUGUUUUUACAUCAUCUUGCUUGAUUCAUGUGCUGCGUAUACAUGUUAUCACUCUCAAGCUAUUUGCACUUGGCACAAAUGAAGAUGAUGAUCAUAUGGUUUAGUCCGAGUUAAUCGACAGUUGGCGUUUAAAACUUUACUUUGUAAACAAAAGAUGAAAAAGAUGGGCCCAAGUUGAGAAGAUUUGGUGGAAAUUAUGUUGACAAGGAAAGGCAUGUGAUUUUGUGGUUGUGCACUGCAUCUCACUAGCUCCAAAUAGGAGGAAUUCCAAUGUUGUAUAAUCAACUAAUAACCAAUUGAAUUUGUUGAAUAAAAGGAAAAAAAAAGUUAUAAGAAGUCAACAAUAGCGAAAUCUAAACUGACAAAACCCAAAAAUCUGAAACUAGUUCUUGAAUUAAUAAGUACAUUAAAAAGAAAACAUAGUUAAUACGAUAUCUAUCACUAGACUUGACGGUCGAGCGUUUUGCGUAACAUUUAAGAGAAACGAUCUUCGUAUUGAAGGUGACAUGAAUUAUAUAUGGUAAUACUUAACCGAAGUAACCCUCCAAUGCUCUUUCACAGAUUGCUGUGUUUUCUUGUGUUGCACCAUGUGAGAAAUUCCAAUGCAAAAUUGGAGAAGCAUGCAUAUAAUAUGCUUUUGCAAAAACAAAUUUUGAAUUAUUCGAAACUGCGAUAUAACUUAAUUAUCUAAUCCAUACUCUCAUGCCAUCAAAUCUCGGCACAAAAAAGUUAUAUAAAAAGAGGGGAAAAAAUCAGAUAAAUUGGAUGCUGCAUUUUGACGAAACUCUAGGGAUAGCCAUUAGAAUAGCUCGCAAGUAUUUACUGUUGAAGGUGCUUUCUUCAACGCCAACUUUCACAGUUUCAAGACAUUCCAAGUUCCCCAAGAAAUGCCUCAUUUGGUGUAACUCUCCAAGGCUUCCUCUGAACCCUGUAAUCUCUAGCACCUUCACUUGACAACUCGACAAACAGCAUACCAUCUCGUUUUGGAUGAUGCAAGGGCACGCAUUUCCACACCACUCUGUAACUCUGUGCACAAGACCCUUGAACCACAACAAACAGACCACACCAUUUGAUAGACAUGUAUAAACGGCAACAGAGAAGAGAAAUGUGUCUUAAAAGAUAAAAAAAAAAUUGAUACCUUAAUGACUAAAGUUUGUAGAUUUGGUGAGUUGCAGAGCAGGCGUGGGAUUACUUCCCAGCCUUUUUCCUCGUCACUUUCUAUAGAUAAAGUAAGUAGGUUGUUGAGCACAGGCAUGGAGUCGCAACAAAAGUGAAACACCUGAUAUAUAGACCAUUAUCAUUAAUGAUAGAUAUUACUAGCAUUAAAUUAACUCUCUUGUAUGAUGAAGAAGAAGAAGUAACAGAAAAACUGACCUGAAGAGAAUGAGCAGACAAGUGAAGGCUCUUAAUGUUUUUCAUCCCAUUAAUCAGAGUUGAAAUAUCGCCACGGAUUUCCUUGAACACUGGACGACCAUCAGCAUCUAAUCCAUAUAAUCGAAGAUCCAGUCUAGCUUCGACAAGAGAAUCCAAAGCAACAACAUCAUAUGUUGCAACAUAACUAGAGUAGUCAAGGUACAGCAGACUCUUUGUCUUAAGAGUAAGGCCACUGUAUUCAUAAUGGUCAGCAAAAUCACUAGUGAUAGUUAAUCGCUUGACGUAUGGAGUCGACAAGUAGCCCAUCCAAACAUAUAUAAAUAACUCCUCUAACGCAGGGCAGCCUCUGACGAAAUGCUUCUCCAUUUCAUGAGAUAGAAAGUAGACUGAAACAAGUGUAAGUGUUUUGAGCGCAGGGAAAAACACUCCUCCAAGAGGAAGACGACCUUUAAGACAAAAUUUAUCGGUAAUUGUGAGCUUAACCAGUGUGUUGCUUGUGAAAAACUCAGAAUCUAUAAAGUUUCUUAAAUUUGACUUUAAGUUUAGCUCUACGCAACCCCGUCCCAGAGCAGUGCGAAUCCAACUAUUGACACGAGAUAUGUCAUUCUCAUAAUUACAUCUUAGAGAGAAUUUCUUGAUGGUAGAAUUGCUUAACAGAUCAAGUGUUUUGUCCACGAAAUCAGAGAAGCGAGGUCGUCGUCGACGACGACUUUGACGACGACUUUCAAUACUUGUUGGUUCUUCUUCUCCGUCUUUUCUGUCGGAAUAAAGAAGCAUCAAUUCAUCAAAAUCAAGGCUGUCUACAAGAGGAAGCAAAUUCAACCACCUCUUGGACAGAACCGCGGUCGAAGCAGCAAGUUUGGUCGGAACUAAAGACAGGAUUUUGCCAAGAACAUCAUCUGGCAGAUUGCUGAUCCGAUCUGUAGCCAUUAGAGACAGAAUAUAACCCCUUUCUUAAUCCUGCAAAAAAACAUAUAAAAACCUUGAUGAGAAACAACAAUUCGAGGGUUAUACAAACUAUAAAGUUCUCAAAAUUAUAAAAUAGAUUCACAACGGAAAGAACACAAAAAAACUAAACUCUGCGAUAGAAAUCACAGAUUAAAUAACACCAACUUGGAUUUAUCAAUGGCUUCUAGUAAGAUCUAAAACAAGGUACCCCGAUUCUAAUUCCUGCCUCAAAAUAGCCAAUUUCGAUUAACACAAUAGAGAAAUAUACCUAGAGUUUACAAGAUAGGUUUAUCAAUGGCUUCUAGUAAGAUCUACAGAAAUCUCUAAGAAAUUGGAUAAAAGAAAGAAACCUGUCCUUCCUUUUUUUUAUGAUUUUUUCCUUUUUUUAAUCAUUUUUUAUUUUUAUAAAGAUGGAAAGUCAUGCGGAUAAAAAAAUGUAAAAUCGUCCUACCAAUAGAAAUUUAACGUGUGGAAUGUAUUGCUUACGUGGCUAAAAUAUUAAGGGUAAAAAGUUAUUUGUAUCUCAAAAUACUAGGUGCGCACUUAGGUUUAUGGUUUAGUUUCGGUUUGGUUUUUCGAUUUUUUUGUUUUAAGAAAUUCAAACUAUAUAAAAACUAUAUAUAUAUAUAUAUUCUGGUUUGGUAUGAUUUAAUUUUUAUGGUUUUCGGUUUAUCAGUUUUAUAAAAAAUAAAAUCAUAUAUAUAUAUAUAUAUCAAUUUUCAAUUUGGUUCAGUUUGAUUGCAAUUUUUAAUUUAUUUUAUACAAUAAAGAGGACAAACAAAGGUAUGAAAAACACAACUCUAUUCACCUGUUUGGAGAUUGAAAAUAUGAAGAUGGAUACCAGCUCUGGCUAGAUUCAAGUCCACACUGAUUUAGAUUAGAAAAGUUUCUUUAAAUUGUGUUUUUUCUUAAACUUGUAAACAUCUAGAUGUAAAACAGUUUUUUUUAUGAAUAAUUCUAGGGGUGAACUUCUUUAUUCAUCCCUAGGGGUAAAUUUCUUUAUUCACCUCUCUCUAUUAUAACAAAUCAAUAUAUGCCAUGUAAAAUUUAAAAUGAAUUAAAAAAUAAAAAAAAUAAAAUAAAAACGAAUUAAUAAUAAAAAAUCAAAAAUUUAUUUUUAAAUUAUAAACUCUAAUCCCUAAACUCUAAACCAUAAUAUAUAAAUUUUUUUUAAAAAAGAACUAAACUCUAACUCCUAAAUCCAAAUAUUAAUUUAAAAGAAAAUAAAAAUAUAAACUAAACCCUAAACCCUAAAUCUAAAUAUUAAAUUUAAAAAAAAAUAAAAAUAAAAAAUAAAUCCUAAACCCUAAUCCUUAAACCAAAUAUUUUAUUUGAAUAAUAUAAAGUUUUUAAUUUUUUGUGAUAAAAAAGUCAAUUUACUUUAAUUGUUUUAUAAAGAUAAUAUUCAUUAUUGUAAAUCUUAGAUGACAUGUUUUGAUUGUUUUAUAAAGAUAAUGACAUAGCUAGCUAAAGUACGUGUAUAUAUACUUCAUACUAUAAGAGCAUCUCCAACGGGUAUUACUUAGGGUUCAUAAGUGGGCCCGUUUUUAUUUUUUUGGUUUUAAAAUUAAUAAAAUAACUCAUACUCAGUAAUACGGUAUGAUUAGAGUGAUCUUGCUGAACCGGUAUGAGUGGAGUAUCACUGGACAGAUGUUAGCAUAUGAGAGGUUGUUGUGGGGAAGAAAAAAUUUCAUCGGGCUUUCUCUUUCUCGACCAUUUUUCUUCUCAUCUGUUUUUUCACCGACGAACUGGUGCAGGUUUGGGAUAAUCUGGUUCUUCGUUUGUGUCGUUUGAUUCUUCUUCCUUUAGCGGUUCCCUCUCUACAUCUCGCGUUGUAAGCUCUUCUCCUCCAAUUUUUCGUUGUGUAAUUGCUUAAUGGAUGUUGUUGCAAUGGGUAUUUUUUGUUUUUAUUGUUAUAAUCCAAACAAAUCUCGCCAAUCGAUUUAUGGGUUUAUGUGGAAAAAGUCUGCUUCGUUUAGCUACCUGUUUGCUUAUAACAAGCUUCUGCAAUUAAUCAAUUAAGAACUUUUACUCGGUGGGAGAAGCCUUUCUGGUUACUCGGUGGGAAUUUUAGGCCAAAUUAAUUGAGCAGAUAAGAGGCGUAGAUAAAUGUUUUAGAUAAAUGUUUUGACGUUAGUGCUCGUAUGGUCGGUUUCAUUUUCAUCUUAUCUUAGAUUCAUAUCUGCUUGUGGGUUUAGUCUCUGGCUCAGUAAUUUAGUCUCCAUUUUUUCUUCUUCUUUCAGAGCAAGCUCUUUGAUAAGACUGUCGAGGAAUGUGACCAGAAUCACCAGCACAGGCUUGAAAACAAUGAGAAUCUUUACAAAGCCUUUCAGCAUUUUGACAAAGACAGCAGCAGGUAAGCGACGACCUGGUUCAUCUUUUUCUUAACUGAUGAUGUAUUUAUAAGCAAAAAGAUGGUGAACCUUUUUUGUAAUCUAAACUGAAUGUAUGCUUCUUCUGUCUUGCCAUAUAUAUUUGCAGUGCCAUUUGCUAUGCAAAGAGUUCAUCGUAGAGACAUGGCAGAUAUAUAAUUUUCAGAGAACAUGUGAUCUGGCAACUUCUCUCUUGGAAAGAUCUUCACAAACUGGUGUGGGAAGGAUCGAUCCUGCAAACUGCUCUAAAAGGGUAUGAGAUCGAGCUUUCUUGGUCAGGUGAUGUUCUUCUUCGCAAUGGAGUCCCACUCAUCUAUCCAGACAUGUAAGCCAACGAAUGGGUUGCUGUUCAUGGAGUUAACCAAAUGAUCGCAACACAAGCAAUACAGCCUAAACUGGGAGAAUCUGUCUCAUUGCUGCAAGAAAUAAGGACAAGGAGAAGAAGUGUACUCUCACUGUUCGAUGCUUUUCUCUACCUAAAGUCACCACCAUAUAUGCCUUUUGCACCAUUGUUGUAAAACCUCUGUUUUUUUUGAGGUUUUUCUUUUCAGUGGAUGUGCCAGGCGUUUGUGGUGAUGCUGUUGACGUGCUUGCUAAUUAGAAUGAACUUUAGAUUCUAUGUUGAGGUUAAGAACGUGUAUGACUUGGUAUGUUAUGUAUCACUUGCACUUAAAAAUGAGAAUCAGUUACAGACCAGAGCAACUAGACGAACAUAGUUCAAAACUACAAGAUGCUAUGUAUCAUGUCCACUCACCCUUUGACGCUAUAGAUCUUCACAACCAUUGUAGUUAACCACACGCCUCACACUCUCCUAACAAUAUUUUCCCUAAAAAUUAUUAUUUUAUUCUGAUGAUACUCAAAAACAGGUUUAGGGUUGGAGGUGAUUUUUGGUUGGAGAUGACUACUAUUCAAAAAACAAAAAAAAAUAAUAAAAAAUGCCUAUAAACCCUUCCAAUAAGUAUCAUGGUUGGAGAUGCUCUAAUGUUUUUUGGGGAUUUUUUGAGAAUAAAGCAACGACGACGACUACUAUUUGGAGAGAAUGUCGAUCACUUUUAAAAAAGACUAUUUAUUUAUUGUAUUCUUAUUUAGUUACCUUAAAUUGAUUUUUUUCUACAAAUUUUGAGACUUGGUUGACAAGCCAUAUUUUAAAUGCGGCCAGAUCCUUUCCGUUCAAUUUUUUUUUUCCUGAGUUUGAUAUAUUUUAGGUUGCGGAACAGUUCCGUUACUUAAAAAGCUUUUCCUCAAAAUGUCACAGUUUUUUAAAACUUUAUUGUUGAAAAAUAGUAUUAUGUUUAAAACUUUUUGUUAAUGGUUAUCAAAAUUUCAUCAAACUUACAAUAACUGGUAUACCUUUGGGCAAAAUAAAUACAUUAGUCUAUUUUAACUAGAGAUGGGUUAUUUAAAUAUCCAAAUUUUAAAAGUCCCAAAAAUGCAUUUAACUCUAUCAUUAAAAUGGUUAGUCAUCAGACUAUUUAAAAUAGUGCCAAAAAAUUGAUAAUUAACACUGAUAGUUGAUUAAAAUCAAAUUAAAAAAAAAAAAACUGAAACCCUGACUAAACCUCUUGCAACUACACCCAAAGAGAAGUACCCACUAAUGAUGGAGUCUACCGUUGGAGCAGAAAAUCAUACGUCGAUAUCGUAUUUGGAGACCAGUUUGUCUUUGUGGAGAGGUGUUCUCUGGAGUGUGUUGAAAAAAAAUUUUACAAAUGAAAGAGAAGAUAACGUGUUCAGAUGGGGAUGCUAAAGUAUAAACACUCAGACUAAACAGAGAUUCAUGACAAUCUUUGGUUAUCAAACUGGAAAAAAAAAAUCAUAUGUCUGCCACACAUUCACACUGCUGUAGCUCAUUUCAGUUUGCUUUGAAAGUUUUUUUGGUUCAGGUUCAUAUUUGAGUUUGGUUAGGUUUUGAAUACUAAAAGUAUGAUCCAAAAAAAUACAUAAUUAAUUUGACAAUUUGUGUGAUAACUGAGAUCACGAAUUCAAAACCUCAAAAGCCUGAAUAUCGUUUUCAUAAGCGAAAUCAUCUAAUAAAUUGAUAUUAUAUUCAUGUACAAAUUUUGCAUUACAACAAUUUACUAUUGUUUUUAUAAUUUUUUUUAGUUAAAGUUGUUUAGUAUUUUAGAUCUUUCUCAUUUCUAACUAUAAACGUUUAUUCAGUUCAACAUGUCAAACACUUCAGUUUUGGAGUGAGUUAACAAGAAAUUGAUGAGAAGAUUUGGAGCUAACUGCUGAGUCAAAAUUGGGCAGAAUUACAAGAUAAUCAUAGAAAAGUGAAGGCUCUUAGUGUUGUUUAUCUCCUGAAUCAGACUCGUAACUUUCACUGACAAUGGACCAUCAUCAUUAUAAACAUUUGACUCAUAUAAUCGAAGAUCCAGUCUAGAUUCGAUAAGCAAAUCCGAAACAACAUUAUCAUCUCCUGCGGCAUAUACAGAUAGUCAAGGUACACAUGAGUAAGUGUUUUAAGCUUAACUUAGUUGAAGUCCACAAAGUUGAAAAUCAUCAUCAAAAUCACUAGUGAUGGUAUUCACUUGACAUAUGGACUCGACAAGUUAAUACAACUCUUGAACAGUAUAUCACUGCUAUUUAUAAACAUGUCAAUGGAUUUUUCUCUAUUUAUAUCCAAAGCUGUUAGAAAUAAAAUAAAUAAAAAAUAUUUUCCAAAGAAAACAUUUUCGUUUUACUCUUUUACCCAUAUUUUGUGUUCAUUCUGUGUACAUGCAUAUCCAAACUCCUUGUAGACCAUUAAAGAAAAGUUAAAAUCUCAGAUUUUGGUAUUAUGGUAAGUCAUAGUAUCUCUAAUAAGUAUUUAUUAAGUGGUUUUUCAAGUGGUAUCUCAACAUAAAAAUAAUAAUAAAUAAAAAAGAGAAGUGGAAUCUUUUCUUUAAUGAAAAUUUUUUUGAGAUAAAUAUGAAAAUUUCAUUUAACACUUGCUUCUUUUUCAUUGGUUUAUUUUUUUAUUUUUAAAUUAAAUUAAAUUACAUAAGUCAACUAUAUUUAAAUAUUAAUAUUUUUAUUGUUUGAAAUAUUCUUAGAAAUUCUCACCAAUGAAGAUGCUCCUAAGUCUUAAUUCAAUGGGGACAGAGAGACACAUUUGUUGGAACGUACAACCACAUGUCCGAAUGAAAAUCAUUUUCAAAUCUUAUUAGGGCUUUGAUUGAUAACUUUGCGGAAUGGCGGAAUUGCGGAAAAAAUCUUGCGGAAUAAAUUAAGCGCCUUAUAAGUCGCUUUUCUGCGGAAUGACUUUUCCUUUGUAUUUUUGUUAAGUUGUGUGUAUUUUUUCAUUACACGAAUUUUUGUUGAUUGGCAAAAAACUUACGGAAUUGUGUUUAAAAACGCAAUUCCACCAUUCCGCAAGUUACCAAUCAAAGCCUAGGUUUCGUAUUUUUCGUUACACGGAAGCACAGCUAGAAUGUGUCAUCUGCUGUUUCCCUUAAUUAAAGCCAGAAGAUGAAAAGAAAUCACCAAGCUUUUACGAGCUCUUGGCUGCAGUUGUAGUGAAUACACCACCAACUGCUCCUUCUGAUCCAUUCUCACCUGAGUUUUGCACCUUUAUAUCAUCCUGGUAUUUAUUUGGUUGCAGUUGCAAAAUCAUCUUGUUUUCAUCACCAAAAAAAAAAAAUACAAAGAUUAUUGACGUUUGCUGGUAUUUAUUUGAAUUAACAACAGCAUACACAAGGAUCCUCCAGCAAGAUCAUCCUCUCUUGACCUAUUGGUUCGUUAUAGUGAUAGAGCCACUUACAUUAAAUCAGAGUCAUUCGCCCCAAUAAAUUUUAAAAAGUUGGUGUAGUUUAUUAAAGCCUAACUAGAUUCUAACCUUGUGCGUCCGUACGGGAAUUGUUUUUCUUGUUUAACGAAUUUUGUAAUACAAUUUAUGUUUUUUGAAUUUAGAUAUAAAUAUUUUAUAGAUAUAUUUUUAUAAUAAGUGAAAUUUUUUUUUUUGUUUUUAGAUAUAAUUUUUUUUUUGUUAAUUUAAUUUUUUAUACUAUUAAAGAUAACUAUAAUUAUAAAAAUAUAAUUUUAACACGUCUGUUCAUAUUAAUCCAAAAAAAUAAUAAUUAUAAAAGCAUAAUUCUAACUUAUCUGUUCAUAUUAUCAUAUAAUAUAAAAAUUUAUUAAAAAUUUAAAAUGUAUGAAUGAUAUUUUAUUUAGCAUAGAAUAUCUUAUAUAGUUUUCUAAAUUUUAAUCUAAAAUAAGUGUAUGCAAUAAAUUUUAAUUAAUUAUUUCUGUUUUUUUGUAUGAAAAAAUAUAUUUUUGGGUAUACAUGUAUGAUUCAAAAUUAGUAAUUUUAGCUACCAAAAUAUUUUUAACCUGGUUUUUAUAUAUAUUUUCAGUUCUAUGGUUUAUUAAAAAUAUGUUUUAAUAUUUAAAUUAUACAUUUGAUUCUUAUCCAUUAUUUUAUCAUUAAUUUAUAUAUAAAUCAUAAUCGUAAAUGUUUUAUAUAAUCAACAUAAAUAUCAUAUCAUUUACAUCAUCAUAAAUAUUUUAUAUUUUAAAUAUGACCAUUAUUUUCUAUAUGUAAAUUAUAUUUUCAAAAAAGUAUUGGUAUUUUUGAUAAAGGUUUUUUAAUAAUAAAGAAAUUAUUUAAAUUAAAAUAUUUAAAUCAAAUCUAAAUUAAUAUCUGAUUUAUUAUUUUAAAUCAAAUCAAAUCAAAUCUAAAUUAUCUAUAUUUAAUGAAAUCUAAAAAAAAUUAAAAUUUUCAAUAAUUUCCAGAAUUAAAUAUAAAUCAUGUUUUAAAGUGUUUGGAUGCAAACACUAAAAGUGUUUCUGUUUUAAUAUAAUAGACUAGAUUUUAACCCCGUGCGUCCGCACGAGAAUGUUUUAUUUUUUAUUUCUAAUAUAAGUUGCAUUUAUCUUUUUUGUUUAGAUAUAAUUUAUUUUUGUUAUUUAUUUUUUAAAAUCAAAAAAUUGUUAUCAUAUUUUAAUUUUAAACAGUAAAAUUUGUAUAUUAGUAGAAUAAGAGUAUACGUUAAUUAAGUAUACAUUGAUCUAAUAUUAAUUAUAAACUUUGUUAUUAUGUGAAUUUAGAUUUACACAUAAACAAUCUAUAUAUCUAUGAAUUUGCUAAUUUAUCCGUUUAGUUGUCUUAAAUCUUUUUUAAUAUCUUACAUGUUUUGACGAACUAACCCGUAUAAGACUAUAUAUAAUUAUAAUUGUAUAACCCUAUAAAUAAUUACUAAUAUGGAAUAUUUGGACCAACUGAUUAUGAAAAAAUAUAAUAAGAUAUUUAUUUACUAUUUGUGCUAUUAAAAAAAUGUAUAUAUAUAUAUAUAUAUAUAUAUAUAAACGGGCUAACCUGUUAGUUUAAUUGUCUUAAAUCAUCUUAAUAUCUUACAUGUUUUAAUAAAUUAACUCAUGGACCUUAAAUAUAUAUAUAUAUAUAUAACUCUAAUCAGCUCGAUCAUAUUAUUGUAUAAUACAAAUAUUUAUUAAUCUCAAAUAUUUGAUAUUUUAGACCGAUUGUUUAUGAUAAAAUACGAUAAAAUAUUUAUUUACUAUGCAUUUUUAUAAAAAAUUUAUUUAAAUUUUAAAUUUUAAAUUAAAUCUUUUCUGUAUUUAAAAAAUUCUAAAGUAUUAAAAUUAUUAUCUAAAUUUUCGUAAUAAAAUUUAAUUAUAAUUUUUUUGAAUUUAAAUUAAAUUGAAUGCAAAUUUUUGUAACUAAAUUUAAUUAAAUUACUAAUAAUUUGAAAUUUAAAUUAAAGAUGACCUAGAUUUUAGGAAAUCUAAAAAUAUCUAAAUUAAUAACUAAUUUUCGGAAAUUAAAUAUAAAAAUAAAAUAAAAUAUUAUAAAAAAAAUUUUGGGAGUGUUUGGAUGCAAAUACUAAAUGUGCUUCUGUUUUAAUAAAGUAGAUAGUAAUACCUUCACUCAUGAAAUAAUAUGUAUCUUUAAUAAUUUAUUUAUGCCCCUCAAUGAAAAAAAAUUUCUGGUUCUGCCACUGGAUUCAUAGAUCUUUAUUACUCGAUUGCUUCAAAAUAAUUUCUUUAAAGAACUAUAUUUGUUUAUCUUUGAUGGAACAUUCUUUGAUCUGUAUUUAAUUCAUCAAGAAGUUCGAUCAGGACAAGGAAAUUAAUCUUUUUUUUUAUUAACAAGGAAAUUAAUCUUGAGAUGCAUGCUUAAGGAGAAGUUCCAUUUCUUGCUUCUGGUUAAUAUAAUAUAUUUUUUUUCCCACUGUUAAUAUAAUAUAUAAACAAAGGGAUGAUAAUAAGGAUAGCUCUUAAAUCAUACACAAAAGGAAGGUAUUCUUAUUAUAGGAAACACAAAUGAUCUUUAACAAAAAAAAAAAAAUUUAUAGGAAACACAAAUGAAACAACACAUGACAUUACUCAGAAUAUUUAAGGAAAUCCCAUUUCUUGCUUCUGGCAUAUAUUAUAUCUCUAUCUUAUUAUUUAACUAGACAUUUUUUUUAAAAUGAACCUUAAUUUAUAAGAUAUUACAAAAUAUUUUGCAUAAAUAAAUAUUUAUUAAUAAAAUAUUACUUAAAUAAAUUUUUACUUAUAAGAUAUUACAUAACUAAACUUUACAAAUAUAGAAAGUUUAAUUAAAUAUUCCUUUGUAAAAAAUAGAAAAAUAUAGAAGUCACACAUUUAUUUUGAAUAUAUAUGGAAAUAAAUCAAAAAUGUAUUUAGUUUCUUUACUUUUUAAAAUAUUAAUAUAUAAUAUAUUAUUUAAAUAAUAAUCAAUCCAUAUUAUAUUAAUUUUUUUUUAACUUUUGCAAUAUUUUUUAUUUGUAUUUUCAUAAUUUAUUAGUAUUAUUUUUGAAAAUCUAUUCAAUUAUUUUUGUAAAAAAACUGAAAUCUUAGUUUUCAAAUUUUAAAAUUGUAUUUUUUACAGGUUGCUCGAAAAAAAUAUUUUACUAAAUUACCAAAAUAUAUUAAGUAGACGGAUUUUUAUUUUGACAAUCUUAUAAAUAAUUAUUAUUAAACACAUAUUAUAAAAUUUAUUAACUAAAAGUGAUAGUUUGAUCUCUAAUAAAAUAUUUACAAUUAAAUUUGUAUUUAAUAAAUAAAUUUUUAUAUAUAUAUAUAUUUAGAUUCUAAUCUAUGAUAUGUAUAUAAGUGUAUAUAUAUAUAUUAAUAUCAUAGUAUAUAUAUAUAUUAAUAUCAUAAUAUAUAUACAUUAAUAUCAUAUCACUUUCAUAUUUAAAAACUACUAAUAACUAAAUCGCAUAACAAAAUUAGCUGAAAAUCUUGUUUGAUGAAUAUAGAUAUAAGUAAAUAUAUGUUGAAUAAUAUUUAUAUAUGUAUUGUUAUAUAACUGUCAUCAAUUUUAUUUAUUUUUAUUUUUGUUAAAUAAUUAUUGUCAUCAAUUCUUAUUUAACCAAAAAAAAUUUUAAAACAUAACCCUGCACAAAUAUGCAGGUUAAUUCCCUAGUAGAAAGUAUAAACAUAUAGCUAGGGUUGAUAAUAAGGAUAGCUCUUAAAUCAUAAAUCAAAGGAAGGUACUCUUAUUAUAGGAAACACAAAUGAAACAACAACACAUGACAUUACUUAGAAUAUUAAAACAUGAACCUUAAAGGAACAAGCUACUUAUUAUUACAACAAUGGAUUCUAAAACAUAACUCACCUUACAUCAAAGAAACAAGCUAAUUAUUUAUUACAAAAAUGCAUUCCAAAACAUAACUCAGAACUUCAAACCGGAAUCUUUGAGUCUCUCCUCCAUGAUCAUGUCGAUUUUGUUCCCCAUUUCCGGAGUUAGAUGAUUCUUCCAAUCACCAACUAUCCCUUUGCGGAAAUGGUUUUUGUAAUCCAUGCCAUUGAUCGAUGUUCCGGUCUUGUUAACCUCCAAACUGAUCAGGUUAGGCAGCGAACACAUCUCCAAGAUCUUUUCAACAGAUCCAUUCUUUUCUUCUUCCCCGGAGAAGGGACAACCCAAGAACUCCGCAAUUUUCAUGAGCUGACCGGUAGGAUCUGUCUUCAUUUCAUCGUACCUCAUAAAAAGCACAUGUUUUGGAUUUUCCAGACUAACUUUCCAAUAACUCAGUAUAUGAUCCCAGAACGGACCAAAGAAGCCAACUCCGCUCCAUAAGGACUCAAACAUAGAUUCAAGAAUGCUUCUGUCCUCUUCUUUAUUCUGAUCUCACAAUAUUAAAUAGAAACAUCGAAUGUCGGGAAUGCACACCUGACAAUCUGAGUAGAAUGUGGUGUAGCGGUCAGAUAAAUCGUAGAGGUACUCGCACAGCACGCUCGGCAACAAGUUGGAGCAAGCUUCCACCACCGUCUGCAAAUCGUUCACACAUGUGUUUUGCAAUUGAUCAUCUUCUUACCACGAAAAACAAGUCAAAUGAGAUAGUAGUAUCUGAUGAGCAUGCGUUACCUCCGCAAAUCACCUCCGCAAAUCGAAGCAAGUGAAGCCCCAGUGCUCGCUCUUCUGCAUGAUUCAAUGCUAGCUUUCCUGUCUGCAACAAAACAGGUGUUGAAACGUAAGAACUUUCUCUUUAUCAUACUGUUUAUGGUAAACUUAUAACAGUCUUUGUUCUAUCUUAUUUAUGAAAAUGUGAAAUUAGAUAGAACAAACCCAAGGAAGAAAAAUUAAGACAAAAGGGCUUAGGGUGUGCAAAAAAUUAAAUCUUAAGACUUCCAAGAACUAAAUGAUUAAUGUAGACACUGGCAUGGAGUUGGCAGUUAAAAAAACUACUGACAAUUGUGAUUGCUUUCAAAGCAACUAGAUUUUAAAUAGCAAUUCCUUUAAUAUCCAAGUUGGAGGCAAUUGGAAAGUUCAGGUGCAGCCAAGAGGAAGAACAGAAAACCAAAAAGUAAUUAAGCCAUCGGUGUUCAUGCGGCUAAAAUACCUUUUUCAGCUCAUCUAUGUCUUUGCCAGACUUAGUGAUGAUUGAAUAGAUCCGAGCAUGGGCGUAAAGAAGGUACACGGCUGUAUUUCCCUGCUCAUGACAUGUGACCAAUGAGCAUGUGUAGGUUGAGCAUAAAUGCAAUAUGCACACUAGGUGGCAAAUUCCAGUACCUUGCCACUAAGCAUUUGAUCGAAGCUGAAAAUAUAAUUUGUCGUUCUGUUGUUCUUCAGGUCAGCAUACCUAAGAAAGAAAUUAAACAAAACCGCAAGUUAGCAGUAGCAUGAAAUUACUAAAACCACUAUCAAAACAUCUGGUAGAACACUCAUCACAUUUGUGCAGGCUUGAUUACAAACAUCACCAAAACGAGGAGGAUAAAGACAUUACUUACUUCACCGCACCAUAUCCAACUGCCUCAGCUGUUUGGUCCAGCUCCUCAGGAGUCCAUUCUUUGUCCUUGCCUAAACAGAGAACAAGGCAAGAUAAGACCACAUAAUAACUGAACAAGUGAGCGGUUCAACAGUUCAAAACGUAAAGAGUGCUGACACAAAGUUAGAUACCGCGCUCAAUAAGGGCAAUUUUACUGCGAGUCUUGGCCUCGUCUAGCAAAUCAACUAGGCGGACUACUUCUGCACACCGAGUUCUAAAUCGCUUGUUAUCUUCCCCGAGGACGAGACCAAAACCAACAUGGUCAACUCUAGGGUAAGUUUUAUCACUGUCUGUAAGCCAACCAGCUUUCCUGGCAGCCUGAUUCAUAGUAACAGGAUAACCACAGCACUGUUACGACUGAGAGUUAUAAGCAAGACACGUAAAAAAAAACAAUAAAAAUUCAUCAACCCUACUUUGAAGAACAUAUUAAAGUGCUGCUGCUGGCCAACAUCGGUCACAUAUAUGAUCCACUCAGCUUUCUCUUCACUAAGCCGAUACCUGGGCCAGGCAGAUUUAGCAUCAGCAGACAAUUCAUUAAAACAUUACGCAAGUUCAGGUCAAGCCACACACUUCAGCAAAUACAGACAAAAAGUCAUAAUAUAUGAAAUAUAUAUCCAAAGAGUGCUACUAGAAUACAGAACCUAAAGAAGAACUAACUGAAAGAUAACCCACCAAAGAGCAGUCAGAUCUGUUGAGGCCUAGUUAAAACCACCGUCACUCUUAACAACUAUGAGUGGGAUGUUGAAGCCUUCGAGGAAAAUCAUACGAGCACCUUCACUUUCUUCAACCAACCCCUUGCUAUUUAAUUCCUCCCUGUAAUGUAUCAAUGUAUAUUUCAUUACCCAUCCAUGUUCCUCUUUUCCAUUAUGUCUCAAAUCAUAUAGUAUCGGUCAAUCUAUUCCUUUACUUUUUCUUCAAGCUCAACUCGAAGGCGUUGAUAAACCAUGGAAAACUCGGUUCGGCUGAUUUCACAAAUCUUAGCCCAAGCCUUUCGUGUUACCCAAUCUGUACCUUCCAAAGCAAUCAUGAAUACUUUCUACCAAUGACUCCAAGCUUUGAGACGCAAUGGCUCCCACCUGAACCAGAGUUAAUGUUUUUUACUUCUCUUUUUCAAAAACAAGUUUAAUCACUGAACCUACUGGCAUUGAUUUACCAGAAGUAAAGAGAGAGAUUUAAAAAAACCAAAAUUUCACCGGAUCUCGUUUAACCAAGAAAAAAACAAUAAACUGCAGCAACACCAAGAAUAAAAGUUGUCGGAUUAAGACUAAACCUCAAGCAGUGAGUUCAGGUGAUGAAAUGGAUAUCCUUAUGUAAUCUAGAGAACAUCUUUCCAAGAAAGCUGCAACAUACAAUUGAGCCCCCCAAAUAUGAAGACACAGACCUAUUGACUAAAGCUUCCAACAUGUUGACUAAUGCCUUUGUUCUCAAGACUGGCAUUAAGUUCAAAAAUCAAGCUAUUCGUCCAUUUACCACAGCAAGCAUCGAGCGCAUUGACGAAGAGACUAAGGGUUACACGCAAACCUGAGGAAGCCUUAGCUAAGAAACUGGAAUUGCUCAACAGCUUGCAGAUUCUAGGGCAAAGCUUUUGGAAAGAAGAUUUAGGAGGACUGGCCACCAGACUGUACCACUUUGUUCUGCUCUCCCAUUGCCUCGAACAAUGGCAUUAACGAAAAGACCCACCGCCGAUGAGGCUGCACCGGUAUUGCUCCCUUCUUCUUUUCCCUUGAGAUAAAUCCCAGACAAAGCACCAAAAGUCAAGCAUCCAUAGCUCCGGAAUCGGAAUCCUUCAACCGUUCAACUACCUGAGCGCAGCCGUGGAACCGAAACGUAUACUACAAACGUAGGAGAGGAGGUGGAGGCACUCUUUUUUCACGGCGGGUUUGGGAUCGGAGCACGAAUCAGUUGAGAACCAUGGGUAGGGUUUCGGGAGAGAUAGACUGGUAUGUGUCCCGAUCGGCGAGCUUAAAAGAUAGAGGUGAGGAUCUUCUACUUCAGCUCCGCCAUGGCUUGGAUAGAAGUGAGGGAGCCGGAAUUGGAGGAUGACCUAGCUGCCGCGCUCGACGACCUUGCUUGUUUAGUCGGCUCCGCCGCCGAACCGGACGUGGUGGGUGUGCUCAUUCCGGAAUCGCCGACGAGAGAAGUGGUGAAUCGUCAAAGAAGAGAGACGAUUUGAAGAAGAGAGACGAGAUUUGUCUGUCACUGUAAUGAGUAAACGGUUAAGACUGGGGAAAUCAGAAAUGAGUAGACAUUUUCAUUGUUUUUCAUAAGAGAGACAGAAGAAUAAUAGUGUGACGUGAGAUUGGGAAGAAAUUAAAAGGAUGAUUAGUUUUAAUAACAUAAAAAGGCCAGUUUCACUUUUUUCUAAUUGGUUUUUAACUCGGAGCAUCAACGGUCUUUCCCCCUUUCUAAAACCCUUCUCUAUCUUCCUUUUACCAAAUCCACCAUUAUCACCAUAGAAGGAGAGAUACAGAGAGAAACUCAGAGCUCGAGUCCUCCUUCUGAUAUAAAAACCCUAGAUUACUUCUCUAAAACCCUCUACGAUUCCCACUCAGAGACGAAAAUUCUCCAACCUUUCUAUUCCGCUCUUUUCUCGAGGAUUCUCGGGACUUUCUUGGCUUUAAAGAACGUUGUGGGGGUGGAAAAAUAAAGAAAGAAUCAACGAACAUCAAUUGUUUUUUUCUUCUCAUUGCUUGCUAUGGAAUCUGGUAAAUCUCGAUUGAACUCCUGCAAUUGAUUUUCUCCCUCUAGAUUUUCCUAUUAUUCUUUAGCGGGAAGUGAUUAUCCAGACGCCAUAGCCAUGAAUUUCGAUUGUAUUCUAAUUUCUUUAUCGCAGGGCUGGAUCGGAGAGGUUGUUGUUUGUUCCAUUGAUACUGCUCCGAAGGACCUGAACAAAUGUCGGGCAAGAUGGCAUCCGGCGGUGCUGGCCCGUGCAUAGUCGACGGAUUUGAAAAAACGGACGAGAAGUUAUGUUCAGCUCUACUGAACAGAACCCUGGACGGGAUUCCCACCCUUAGUCCUGACAUAUUCAGUGUCCAGCCAUGGAGUCUCUCUGAAGAAUUUCUUCCUACUGUCGAGAGAAGUUUUUUGUUCUUAGUGAAAAACCCUCCAGAAAAUGACUACCCAUUGAUGACUGAGCAGGUCUAUACUUGGAGGACAAAACAGUGCAAAAGAGAAGCCUCGUAAGAAGGCAAAGAACAGUGCUGAUUUGAGCAACCCAGACACAUCUGUUUGUGUCUUGAAGAGAAGGCCAUCUGCUCCGGAUGGUCUAUGCUUAAGUAUUCACACGGACCAAAUUUCUUGUUUUGCGUAACCAGGAAAGCCUCUGCUGAUUUGAGCAACCCAGACACAUCUGUUUGUGUCUUGAACCAACAGGUUCGCUCUCCUCCUGAGCAGGUAGAAUUUGCUCCUCACCGUGCAAAAGAGAAGCCUCGUAAGAAGGCAAAGAACAGUGCUGAUUUGAGCAACCCAGACACAUCUGUUUGUGUCUUGAACCAACAGGUUCGCUCUCCUCCUGAGCAGGUAGAAUUUGCUCCUCACCGUGCAAAAGAGAAGCCUCGUAAGAAGGCAAAGAACAGUGCUUCUGAGCAUGCCUACAAGGAUAUUUUGACAAGUCUUCCUAAGCCUGGUGGUGGAGAGUAUGGAAAGUACUACUCCUUACCAGCUUUGAACGAUCCAAGAAUUGGUAUGGUUCCUCGAAAACUGCUUUGCUGUAUAUAAUUCCCUCCAUCAGUUCCGUUGUAAUGGAUUUCUAAUGAAGGUACGUAACACUUUGUUUUGAAUAUUGUAGAUAGAUUGCCAUACUCUAUAAGGAUACUAUUGGAGUCGGCAAUUCGUAAUUGUGACAACUAUCAAGUCACAAAGGAUGACGUUGAGAAGAUCAUUGACUGGGAGAAUACAUCUACUAAGCAAGUCGAAACCGCCUUCAAGCCAGCCCGUGUUAUUUUACAGGUGUCUAGUUUAGCAUUUCACUUUAGUCUAAAUGCUAACUUGUAUUCUUGCUCUAAAUGCUAACUUGUAUUCUUGCUUUACCUACUUGACAGUGUCUUUGGGUUUUCUUUCCCAGGGCGUUACUGGAGUACCAGCUCUAGUUGAUCUUGCUUCUAUGAGGGACGCAAUGAAGAAUCUUGGUAGUGAUCCUAACAAGAUUAAUCCAUUGGUUAGUCAAUUCUCUUAUCGCUUUCGGUUUUGACGUGUUGAAGUAGCUGUUGGUCGUAUGUUCUCUUAUGAAAAAGAACAGUUUGGUCAGUUGCUAACUGGUCUCACAAUUUCCUGUACAUAUCUGUAUACAGGUUCCUGUUGAUCUUGUCAUUGAUCACUCAGUCCAAGUUGACGCAGCGGGAACAGAUAAGGCCCGGCUGAUAAUUGAGGAGUAUGAAUUCAAGAGGAACAAAGAAAGAUUUGCCUUCCUUAAGUGGGGUUCAUCAGCCUUCCACAACAUGCUGGUGGUUCCUCCUGGAUCUGGAAUUGUACAUCAGGUACAAUAUGCUACUGUAAUUCUAAUUUGGGAAUAUAUAUCGUGUGAUGGUCCGUUUUCCUUGUUGCAAAUAUCAACAGUUUUUUAACUGGAACGUAAGUGUGACUAAAGAGUAUUAGCCUGUUGAACUACUGUCUCUCUGGUGAUGUUUCCUUUUUAUACUCCUGCCUCAAGGUCAACUUGGAAUACCUUGGGCGUGUUGUUUUCAACUCCGGUGGAUUCCUCUACCCUGAUAGCGUUGUUGGCACCGAUUCCCACACCACCAUGAUUGAUGGACUAGGAGUCGCUGGGUGGGGUGUUGGAGGAAUCGAGGCAGAGGCAGCAAUGCUUGGUCAGGUGAGCUCCAUUUGCUCUGUAUCUGUACAUUCACAGUUUGUUAUUGGCGUGUCUUGUUUUGGUCACAUGCAUAUGGCAAAUUUUCUCUGCCGUUGAUUUGGUACUUCAAAAAUUUUAUAGCCCAUGAGCAUGGUAUUACCUGGUGUGGUUGGAUUUAAGUUGGAUGGAAAGUUGAGAGAAGGGGUUACUACCACUGACUUGGUUCUCACGGUGACUCAAAUCUUAAGGAAGCAUGGCGUUGUCAGCAAGUUUGUUGAAUUUUAUGGUGAGAUUCAUGGAUGCCUGACUAUGACUUUCAGUUGUGGAUAAUUCCUUGUUCAGAUAACUAAUGCUAUCGUCGUUGUCUCCAUAUGAAGGUGAGGGAAUGAGUAAACUGUCACUGGCUGAUAGAGCCACGAUUGCAAAUAUGUCUCCCGAGUAUGGAGCAACUAUGGGUUUCUUCCCAGUGGACCAUGUUACCUUGGAGUACCUGAAGUUGACAGGAAGAAGCGAUGAAACUGUGAGGGUUCUCAAUUUUUUUUUUUUUUUUUGUGGUAAAAUUGAAUCAUCAUGAAGAAAAUGUGAUUUUAGUUUCAAGAUCUGUUUUCCUGUGGUUUGUGUGCUGAUGCUUUCCCUGAUUGCAAUACUCUAAUUUCCUAAACAGUCUAACAAAAUGUUUUUAGUAGCUCCCUUUUACUCAAAUUGGUUUUAUUAUUCAGCAUGCUUUAUUUGUUAUUUUAUGGUGUGUGAGGCUCACUUGAUUAACAAGUUGGUGGUUAUUUAGGUGGCAAUGAUAGAAUCUUACUUGCGUGCUAACAAUAUGUUUGUGGACUACAGUGAGGUAUGGACAUUCUUGGCUCAGUUUAUGGUAGUAUUUUUUUUAAUUUCUAUUAUGAAAUAAAUUCUAAAACCCAAAUGGUUUACUUUUCAGCCCCAGCAAGAAAGAGCAUAUACAUCUUAUCUGCAGUUGGAUCUGGGACAUGUUGAACCGUGUAUUUCUGGGCCUAAAAGGUUACCUUCACUUCUAUAAAUCAUCAUUUUUUUUUGGAAAAACAUGGUUUCCCUUUCCCAUUUCUUAUACUUUCUGUAAAACAGGCCUCACGACCGAGUGCUUCUGAAAGAUAUGAAAGCUGACUGGCAUGCAUGCCUUGACAAUCCUGUUGGAUUCAAGGUGAGAUACAACUUGUGGUUUGAAAAUUCAACCUUUAAGGACCUAGGAACUUUAUUUUUUAAGUUGGAUGCCUGUAAGACGUUGUAUCUUUUUCCUAAAGGGUUUUGCAAUACCAAAGGAAAAACAAGAGGAUACUGUUAAGUUCUUGUUCGAAGAAAAAUUACCUGCUGAGCUCAAACAUGGUAGUGUUGUGAUUGCGGCAAUUACGAGCUGUACAAACACAUCAAACCCUAGUGUCAUGCUUGGGGCUGCACUUGUUGCUAAAAAAGCUUAUGAUCUUGGUCUGAUGGUGAGUUUCCAUCUUUCUUUACCUAGUUUAGCCCUGAGGCAACCUGCUGUAUAAAUCCUAUAAUGACUGUCACCGACAUUUUAAUUCAGGUAAAGCCAUGGGUUAAGACAAGUCUUGCUCCAGGUUCUGGGGUUGUCACCAAAUAUUUGGAUCAAAGGUCGGUUGGAGUCCAUUAUAUUUCCCUUCUAGAUACUUCAUCCGAUCUUAACUCAACUUUUGCCUUCUCUGCAGUGGGCUUCAAGAGUACCUGGACAAGCAAGGAUUUCAAAUUUUCGGCUAUGGUUGCACUACAUUCAUCGGGAACUCUGGCAACCUUAAAAAGUCGGUUGAAUCUGCUAUUAAAAAUAAUGGUAACAGUGUUAUUUUGUUUAUGAACUUUCAUUGAAAUUGCAAGCAGCAUUUUAUUUAAGAGUUUGCACUGUAUUCCCUCGUCUCUGGAAUCUCCUUGAUCCAUAUUUCACUUUUAGUCACCAGUAACCUCAACAAAUUGUGUUUUCCCAGAGAUCAAUAAGUGCGCUUUGAAACUCACCUUUGCUUGCUUUUUUCCCUGCUUCCUGUCACAGAUGUUGUAGUUGCUUCUGUGCUUUCUGGGAACCAAAACUUUGAAGGACGUGUUCAUCCACUAACAAGAGCAAACUAUCUUGCAUCACCGCCAUUAGUUGUUGCUUAUGCUCUUGCUGGAACGGUUAGUACUUUUUGAUCUUUUCAAUCAUUGACUCCGGGGAUCUCUGUUGUGUAGAUGUUUGUGUUUAUGUGUUUUGGAUAUCCUUAAUUAGGGUGGUAUGGAUCAUAUCACUACAUUGACAACAUAUAUACUUGAGUGAUAUAGAUUCUCUUACUAGCCUCACUGAAUGCUAUCUGCCUUCUUUAGUUUUCAUGUGGUUGUUUCUUAACAUCAAACUUUUUUAAAUACAGGUUGACAUUGACUUUGAGAAAGAACCGAUAGGAACCGGAAGAGAUGACAAAAGUGUGUACUUGAGGGACAUAUGGCCAACCAAUGAGGAAAUUGCUCAGGUACAUUGACCACAUGCUAGGAGGAUGAGUCAUUUACAGUUAUGUCUCUGACACUUUAAACGUUCCUUGUCAAUUUUCCUGAUACUUUGUGCAUUAGGUUGUUCAAAGUAACGUAUUAUCAGACAUGUUCAAGAGCACGUACAAGACAAUAACAGAGGGAAAUCCCCUGUGGAAUGAACUUCCUGCAACGAGUUCGACGUUAUAUUCUUGGGAUUCAAACUCUACGUAUAUCCAUGAAACUUCAAGAAUAUGACCGCAAAUCCACCUGGUCCACGUGAAGUGAAAGAUGCUUACUGCUUACUGAACUUUGGAGAUAGCAUAACAACAGACCACAUCUCUCCAGCGGGGGAUAUUCAAAAAGAUAGUCCUGCUGCAAAGUUUCUCAUAGACAAUGGUGUGAGCCAAGAGGACUUCAACUCAUAUGGAAGUCGAAGGGGCAACGAUGAGGUGAUGGCUCGUGGUACCUUUGCAAGCAUCCGUAUAGUUAACAAGCUCGCGGACGGAGAAGUUGGUCCCAAGACUGUUCACAUUCCGACUGGGGAGAAACUUACUGUUUUUGAUGCAGCAAGUGUAAGUAGAAUCGUCACACAGCGUCAUUAAAUGUUCAACUAUACCCUUACCUAAGUGCUUAACUGUUCACCAAAGGCUUUACUUUCAGAGAUACAAGACCGCUGGACAGGAUACGGUCAUCCUGGCUGGUGCUGAAUAUGGAAGUGGUAGCUCUCGGGAUUGGGCUGCAAAGGGUCCCUUGCUUUUGGUAAGUUCACUUUAAUUACAACGGUUAUCAGAUUAUGAUUAUAUCAUGUGUAUCGUAACUGAGGUAACCACAAAUUAGGGAGUGAAAGCUGUAACUGCCAAGAGCUUUGAGAGAAUCCACCGCAGUAACUUGGCUGGAAUGGGGAUCAUUCCCCUGUGUUUCAAGGCCGGGGAGGACGCAGAUACCCUUGGACUUACUGGUCAUGAACGCUAUACAGUCCACCUUCCUACCAAAGUCAGUGACAUUAGACCCGGUCAAGACGUCACUGUAACCACUGACACUGGCAAAUCCUUUGUUUGCACUCUACGGUUUGAUACAGAGGUAAACUAUGUAGCUAACAAAAUUAUAAUCUCGAUCUCUGAAAUCAAAUUUCAAUUUGUCUGAGACUUGGUUUAAAUGGAAAAUGUGCGCAGGUGGAACUGGCAUAUUAUGACCACGGCGGCAUUCUUCCCUACGUCAUUCGGAGUUUGAGCACCAAGUGAUCAAUUUGUUUCUCGCUUUUUGUCUUCUUCGUCCUUUAAAGGGUUGAAAUAGUUACAAAUAAAACAAGUUUUGUGAGCAUCUUUAUCCUUUCAGGUUACACUGAACCUUUUUCAGCAAGAGUUGUUAAUCAGGAAAUGCCAAGAGACGCAGCUCAUUUUUCUAUAUCAUCAAUUCGUUUUGUACCACUUUAAUUGUAGCACUAACAAAACAUCUGCAAAUUAGAGUCAAGAAACAGAUACAAAGCAGCCACUCUCUCUAUUCGCUUUUUUUGCUUCCCACAAAACGAUGUGAAAUGAAUUUACAUAAUAACAGUAGGAAAGAGGCAUGCAUGCUUGGAAUAUCCACUGAUCUUGUGCAAAGAAUUCUCAUUCCUCAGUAAAUGAUUUAACAUAACCACAGUAGAGAAAUGCAUGCUUGGAACAUCCACUGAUCUUGUGCAAAGAUUCCUCAUUCCUUAGAAAACUAACUCUUGUGCAAAGAUCUGGUGGCCUUUGAUGCAAAAACUAUUGCUUUGGCUUCGUCACUGGACAUCAUCCAAUUUCUCUCAGCACGACGUUGAUGUUGCCUUGCAUUCUUUGCUCGUUUAGGAGCCAAUCGUGCAUCUCUCUCCACAAACGCUAGUCUGAACUUCUCUGCUAUUGGCAGCUCAUUGGAGUUCAAGGAUAAUGCGGCGGAUGUGGGAUUCUGCACAAAUCCUCUAACAACCCACGUCUCAGGAUCAAUAUAUUUCACAAAUGGCUCAUCCAAUGCAAGUGAGACUGUAAGUGAGAAGUGAGGGCUUGGGAUUUACCACUAUUCUUGGGCACUCCGUGUUAGCAUCUCCAAUGAACCCUUAUUAAUUCGUGGCUACAACAACAGUAAAUUAAAUCUAGAAAGUGAGAAGAAACUCUUGCACCAAAGAAAACAAACACUGAAUGGCUAGAGAAGCAGAUUGAAAAAGAAUUGAUCAAGACUCGAAAGUAAAUUUUUCCUAUUCACAGGUAACUUAUUAGUCAGAGGGACAAUACGUACCUAAACAAGCCAACGCAAUGAUUGACCACCAUGACCAAUCUCUGUAGUGUCUAGUUCUUCCCAUGUUUCUCCUUCAACAUUACUCAGGUUUGGCUUAAACAUACUCAAAGAUCUGCGUGCCUUGGACUCACUACUUCGGCAUCCUCUGCAAUAUUAAUGUUAUCCUCAUUGCCUGUUUCAAAAAGUUUGUUAGCCCUAGUCAAACCCACAUACUAUGGGUUCAUUUCUAUCUCACUUUACCCAUAAAUCACUUAAUGAAUGAAUAAACAAACAAGCCACCCCAACAAAAACACAUUAGACGCCACUUUUCUGCACUUUGCUGGAUGGAAAAAUUAAAAUUUUACCCGCAUCUAAGAGUCUCCAACGAUCGACAGUGUUGUACAAGCUCUGAGACGCCCAUAUAUGUGAUUUUGUUGCACCGGCUGCAUAACAAAUCAAAGCAACCAUAUGAUACUGCAGUGCAAACAAACACACACUUAUCCAACAUGCAAAAGCUCCUAGCUAAAGAACCAGCAAGACCAUACGAAAAUCCACUGAAACUCAACACAAUCAGGAUUGGGUUUGGUAUAUUUGUUCUUCCCAUCUCAAAGGAACCAAAUUGUACAGAAAAUUCGGUCAAAGGACAGAUAUCAGAGCCUAAAACAAUUAAGAAAGCAUGACAUGAGGUACGAGCACAGAGAUCAGGACACAGACACAUAGGUCAACUUAUUUCUUAGUAUAAAAUAAUACCUAAUGUCCACAGCUCGGAGGGAUUUGCAAAUUUCCGCCGCUUUAGCCAAGCCGGAAUUCGAAACAUCUGAACCGCUAACGUCUAGAAUUUCCCAAGAACUGUCAGCCAAAGAGAUAAUCAAAUCAUCAUCCAGUAGCUUUCUUCUUUUAGCAAUGGCUGCAAUAGACAUCUGUGGCACAUGAAUACGCCUUCGAUUUAGCAAGUGUAUACAUUACCAAACCAACUAAAAAGACUUGGACAUAGCCAAUAAAGCUUGAAGGAAGAAAACACUAACUAAGCUUGAUCGCGGCAGGAAAUAUGACAGAGAUAUCAGCUAAACAAGGAAUGAUUUCCUCCAAAUGCCUCCCAACAUCCCAAGACAUAAGCUGACGAGAGAUGGUGGUCCUGGUUUUAAUGCAGAAAUUCCUGUCGUUGAAGCAGAACCAGCAGAAACAUGUCAGAAUCAAACUCCUAAACCUCACCGAGCAUACAACCAUGGUUGUAAACACUUUCUCCAACCGACGUUAUUGAUUGAUAGCAAUUUUUCAACCGCCCCAUAAAUGCUACCAAUCAGAUCCAAUCUUAGAAAGUUCUCUCGAGUCUCUUCGAAAACUCUUAUCCGUUGUUGCUGUUAUAUAUUUUCGGAUGAAUAACUUCCGUUUAUCGGAUUUGUAACUCCAACUUGUUCGGUUCUAGUUUUUUUUAAAGUUUUUUUAGACUUCUCCUUUUGCAUGUUUUGAUCGACUCUUCGAUUGAUUUUGAAGUAGUCAAAUUCCGAGAGAUCUGUCGAGCUCUUGUCUCACCAGCGCUUGUUAUCUCUUUCACGAAGUGUAAAUCCCUGCUCUCUCUAGAUGGUUAAAUCGAGCGGUGGUUAUUUCAGGGAGGUUUUAACAAGAUGAUUCGGUCAAAUUUGGAGAGGAGUAUGAAGAUCUAGAGUUCUCGCCGUGUUCUGGUGGCUCUCUGGAGAAUAUUCCGGCUUCGGUUCACUGAAGUUUCUUUCCGGUGGAUCAAGCCUUUGCUCUUCUUGAUCUCUUCUGGCGAAUCUGCAAAAGGAAUCCCAGUGCAUCAUAGCAUAACUUGAGGAGUCUUGGCGGAGAUGACAAAGUUCUUUGUCUUGCUUAAUCGGUGGUGGAAGCUCACGGUGGUGAUGACCACGUGGGAUUUCUUGUCUCUGUUUAGCUACACGUGUCUUGUAAUUUAUGCUUAUCUUUAUAAUUACGUGUAAUUCCGUUGGGCUUAAUGUUGGGCCAAGAAUGUACCAUUUGCCCUUUGGGUUUUAAUGACACGAAAGUAUGUCGACAAAAAAAUAAUGUUUAUAAUUUGACCCGUCUUAAUUGAGUCUCGUUACAUUAUUAGCAAAGUAAAAUUUGGCAACACAUCAUUGCCUUUCAGCAAGUCUUGUUACAUUAUUGAGAUCACUGAUGACCAAUAUGGAUCUAUCAUCUAUAAUAACUUUUCCAACUUAUGUAUAAUGUUUUCACAUUCUACAAUAGUUUCUCCACAAUUUAAUUCGAUAAACCAAUGAAUCGAAAACCAAUAGAAUGCCAAAACCGAACAAAAAACCCAAAAUCGAAAGGAAAAAUGAAAGUGAACUAAACCAGAACGCCUUUUUAUAAAAACCCUUAUUAGAUUUUAGACGCAAAGAGUAAAGGUAUGAACAAAAAACAAGGACUAUUAGCUCAGUUGUGCCACCUUAUUAAAGAAUUCUCACAAAACUCUCGUCAAGAGUUGAAGAGCAAUCUUAGAGCACGUCCAUCGGGGGAUUAACCCAGGAUUAUGGCUCAAAAUCAUAUGCACAAUCCAUUUAAAAAAAAAGAAAAAUGAGCAUUUUUUCGUGAUACCGUCUCUUCUGGACGAUGCUGAAGAUACGGUAUCACAGCCACGUGUUGGGCUGUGAUUCGUCAAGAAUGUGGGGACAAAUUUUUUUGUUUGCUCUUCGUUUAUUUCAUUUUCUUUCAAUCCACACUCUUUUCUCCUCGUUUGCGAAGUCUACUCCGACGCCUUAUCAGGUUCCACCGCCGGUAUCGGCUGCGUCGGAGAGAUCGUGAAGCACGAGCGGCUCAUCAACGAUCGCUUCUUCAUAAUCUGUAAAGGCCAGGAGCAAUUCUGCAUCACGGAUCUCGUUCGUACGAAGCCCUACCUCGUCGCGAAGGUGACGUGGCUGGAGGAUCGACCGUCCGGUGAGGAGAAUCUGGACGAAUUGGCCAACGAGAUUGAGGUUCUGAUGAAGGAAGUGAUCCGAUUUUCGAACAGAUUGAAUGGGAAACUAGAGAAAGAGGCGCAGGAUCUGAGGAAAAAUCAGUUUCCGACUCCGUUCUCGUUCUUCGUCGGAAGCACGUUGGAAGGAGCUCCAAUGGAGCAGCAAGCGCUGAUGGAGCUUGAGGACACGGAGGCUAGGUUAAAGAGAGAGAGGGAGACGCUGAGGAAUACACUCAAUUACUUGACCGCAGCUUCUGCAGUGAAAGAUGUCUUCUCAUCUCCGUAGUAAUAUUGGUACCUGGCUUCUGCAGGGAGGUAUAUAUCAAUUAAAAGAUUCCAUGGGAAGGAGGAGAGUUCCAAGUUGAUCCAUCAAUGGAUUAUAUGUGUUUGUAGAACUUGAUGCUGCUUUAUUUGAAAGUAAAUUGGAUUGUAGGAACAUAUUUUCUGAUGAUGGAAUAACAACACUUGAUGAAACGGAUUUAACAAAAGGCAUGACUUUACUCUCUCUACCUCUCUCACAAACACACACAUACGCAUACAUACAAAUUUAGGCUCUGUGUAUCAAACUGUUUUGAGAUACAUUGCUUUUGUGUGUGUUCAGGAAAUGGCCAGGUAUGUCCGGGGAGAAGUUGGUUCUCUUUCUUUAACAUGUGCAUUACUAACCUCCCAUUAUCUUAUAAUGCUUUAUUAGCUGCAACAUACAAAUAAUUUUGCUUGUAUAGUUUUGCAGUUCAAAUAGAUAUGCAUUUCCUAUAAUGUUCUGUUUUGUGAUGCACGGAUAAAGAGCCCAUAUUCUCUGGAAAUUUCUCCUUCACUCCAUUGGAGAACAAUGCCCUUGUGACUUGAGUGAAAUAGAGGAAGCUGUGGCGCUUUGCGAAUCAAUCUUUCAUUUGUUUUUUUCUUUGUUUCAGUUUUCUAAUAUCUACACAAGGGAAUAUGCUAGUUGUUAGCAUAUAGAUGAUCACGAACACAUGGUGAAAGUUAAUAAGAUACUGAAGUUAGAUCAUUUGCUGUUAUUGAUACAUUAAUUUGUAAACCGCAGAAUGUCAGAAAUAUGCUACGUUAGUAUUGUCUUCUUCUCACGGCUUAUAGAGUCUCCAUUUAAGACUUAUAGUGAAAAAUAAAAUUGAUGAUGAUAUGUGGUAGAUAGAAACCAAUUUACAGUCGAUAUAUGACACUGUAGUACUCCAAUAACAAAACAUGAAGGAUCAUAAUAGCAAAUGUUUCAAAGAAAGAACAAAGAUGAAGAUUAACAACACACAUUUAUGUUAUGAUUACACAUCACAUUACAAACACAAAUGUUGAGACAAAACAAAAAAUAAAUAUGUGUUUAAAUUUAUAAUCAAAAUUAAAAAAUUUGAAUUUAAAAAUAAUUUUUUUUUUUGAUGAAUUCCAUUUUGAGGUUCACUAAUAGAACCAACAAAUUAAGACAGGUUCUUCCAAAAACUCAAAACCAAAAAAUAAUAAUAUUCACUAAUGUAUAUACUCUUACCAAUCGUUUUUAUUGAUAUUGUCCCGUACCAAUUUUAACGUAUCGGCCUAUUAGCUCAGAUGACCAAUUUUAACGCGAAGGUCACAGGUUCGAUCUCUGUAUAGGCCACUUUUUUUAUUUGUUUGGCUUUUUAGAGCGUCAAAGUUCUAAAAACGUCGUUGUACGUUUCUGCUUCUUGCAUUUCUUUCUUUUAUCCCUUUCUCCGAUAGUUUUUUGGUUUUCUUUCUUUUCCGGUUUUUAUUUUUUAAUUUUACGGAUAUCGUUAUCUGCUUCUCUACUAAACACGAAGAAGCAGGAGAGCUCGAAACAAAAAUGGAGGGAAGCAUCUCGCCGCUUUGCCUACGUUCUUCCUCGAGUCUCUGUUACUUCUCCAGUAAUGUUUCUCCUGAUUCUCACCGUUCUCUAGGAUUUACACUGGUGGAUUCGCUCCGGCCGACGAACUUGGUAUCACUUCGAACGGGAAAUAGCCGUUCGUCGUCACUACGACUGAUUCUAUCUCCGACGAGAGGCGCUCUACGUACGCCGACAAUUUCCGCGGAGGAAGUGAAAGAUGUCCCGAUGCCGAAGAUAGAUAAGAGCGGCCGAUUAAGCAGCCCUCGAGCCGCCCGCGAGCUCGCUCUGUAUGAUUUUAUACUCUCUCUUUGGUUCCUUCCAUGCUCGUUUCUAAAAUCGUAUUCGCUUCGUUGAUUUAUAUGGAACUGGAAAUUUAGCUGGAAAUGAGAAUUCGCCUUUACUUGAAAUUGGAACAAUCCGGUCAUCUUUGCGGCUUGGUGGGACACGAAUUAGGCUCAGAUUAGAGAAUUGCAUGUGUGUCGUGCUCAAACCUGAAAUGAUAUUUCCUCAAGUCUAUAAAAAUCAAGUCUUUUUACUUCAUUUCGAAUUUUCAGCUAAAGAUGAACAACUAUAUGGUUCUUUGCUAUUCGUAUGAGUGUUGAGUCUGCCCUCUCUGAUAUAUAUGUGCUGGAUGAUCUUGACAGAGUAAUACUUUAUGCCGCAUGCUUAGAAGGCUCAGACCCAAUUCGUCUCUUUGAGAAGAGGAUAAAUGCAAGAAGAGGUAAGUAUCCAGGACCUACUAAACAUGUUUUGAUCUUGUUUUGUUUCCUGCUGCAAUAAAGUCACGAAUGUAGGAAUCUCAUUGUAAUUUAUGUGGUUUUGUCGAUACUAUUUCCUGAUUCUGAUUAGUCUACUCUGUGGAUCAGUUGCUUGACUCUUCAUUCAAAAUGUUUGUGACAUAACUUCAGUGUAUAAUGAUUGGUUUAUUCAGAGCCUGGAUACGAGUUUGACAAGACGUCUUUGUUGGAAUAUAACCACAUGAGUUUUGGAGGACCCCCAGUUAAAACAGAAACAAGUGAAGAAGAAGAUGAGCUUGUGCGCUAUUAUGAAAACGAAUCGAAAAUCGGUAAGUUUUACCCUGAAGAUAUGUUUCCCUGUUUUGUUUUACUUAUAUCGCAAAGAGACUCUUGUUUGUGGCUCAUGGAAAUUUCCUAUCUUUUAACCUGCUGUUUAUCCUCUCUUUCUGCAGAAGCAGAAGUGCUUUCAGCUCCCCCUAAGCUGGUGUACAGCAAACUUGUUUUACGGUAAUCUAUAAAAAAAUUUGAAUGGAUUGUAAUUGCUGCUUACUCGGAAAUAAAUUCUGAAUAUUUUAUUCCCACUACGUGCUUUUCCAAAGGUUUGCAAAGAAACUAUUGGCUGCAGUGGUUGAUAAAUGGGAUAGUCAUGUCGCCAUCAUCGAGAAAAUUUCCCCGCCAGAUUGGAAGGUAAAAAAAACUUGAACUUCCAACUCAGGUCAAGUACUGAUUAAUUGAAACCUAAGGGACCACAAAACUCAAAGCUUCAUUCCUGAUAAUCCAUUGCCCCUAUGUUGUGAUAGCUCUCUCUCUCAUAAUUACAAGCUGUUUGCACCCUGAGCUCAACUUUUGCUUUUGAAUUAGCUUGAGAAACUAGAAGCAGCAACUUAUUUUGGUGUGUGAUUGUAUAUAUAUAUUCAUCUCCUACUACCAAUAAAUACCUUAUGAAUGUGCUGCACCUAUUCAUAAGCCAAACCUGAGUAAUGUUGAAGGAGAAACAUGGGAAGAACUAGACACUACAGAGAUCGGUCAUGGUGGUCAAUCAUUACCUUGGCUUGUUUGGGUACGUAUUGUCCCUCUGACUAAUAAGCUACCAGUCAAUCAGAAGAAUUUACUUUCUAAUCUUGAUCAAUUCUUUUCUGUAGCCAUUCAGUGUUCGUGUGCUUUGGUGCAAGAGUUUCUUCACACUUUGUAGAUUUAAUUUGCUGUUGUUGCAGCCACGAAUCGAUAAGGAUUCAUUGGAGAUGCUAUCCAUGGAGUGCCCAAGAAUAGUGGUAAAUCCCAAGCCCUCAUUUCUCACUUACAGUCUACACGAGGCUCCUCGAGAAGCAUUACCAGAUGUUGCAUUGGAUGAUGCAUUUGUGAAAGAUAUUGAUCCUGCGACAUGGCUUGUUAGAGGAGUUUUGCAGAAUCCGGCAUCCGCCUCAUUAUCCUUGAACUCCAAUGAGCUGCCAAUAGCAGAGAAGUUCAGACUAGCGUUUGCAGAGAGCGAUGCACGAUUGGCCCCUAAACGGCGAACUUUCAAUAUCGCUGCAAUUUUAUCAGCUAAAUUUUCAACAAAUGAUUAUGCGGAUGAUGAGAUAAUCGAACAUCCUUCGGGAGUGCACUCUGGUUGGGCGGCCUUGGCAACGAGAGGUGUCCACAAAAUGGUCAUGAGCAUUGGUUGGAAUCCUUAUUUCAACAACACCGUCAAAACUAUUGUGAGUUGAUAAAAACUUAAUAAACUUUUUCACUCUUGCAAUGGUUGUUUUCUUUAUCUUAGCUUUUGUUAGAGAGGAGCAAUGGUUGUGUCACGAUUUCACUGUAAGGCUUCUACGGAGAAGAGCUACGUCUUAUUAUCGUUGGCUAUAUACGUCCUGAGGUAGUUUUAUUUUACUUUGUUAUCAUCCAUUCGUCAUUUGAGCCUGUGAUCUUCUUCUCUCUGCAGGCUAAUUUCCCUUCAGUGGAGAAUCUCGUUGCAAAGAGAGCUCUUGAUCUUCCAUCUUAUGCGAAGUUCAAGGAUGAGCCAUGUCUGACGAAAAUGGUUAAAUCAGUUAUGUAAUGAAUCGAAACUAUUGUUUUCUCACAUUCUUAAUUAUGAAUUUAAUAAAAUAAUCAAACUCUCUGAUUGUUUUCGAAACUCAAAUAAGACUUGUACUGUUCCUUUACUGUCAGGUUUAGUAAAUGGGGUUCUAUGUGGUGUUGAUGAUAAUAAAGAGCACCAGAGAAAGUUUGAGCAAUGGCGAUAAGAAAAAAAUUAGGUAUUUUGCUUCUAAGAAAAAGCAUCUAUACCAAAUUAAUCGGCUUUUGAUUGAUUAAAAACAAUAUAUAAAUAAUAAACAAAAGAGGGGAUAUACAUAUUUUCGAUUUCAUGGUCCCUUUAUGAACAUUGCCCAUCUCUACACGACCAGGGUGACAAAUGCGAUCUCCAAACCUGACUCAUCUCCUCCAUCGCACCCCUCUCUUCUCCGGCAAUAAAAAGUAGAUGAAGCAUGUGACAAAGCAUCAGCAGAAACACUUGUGCGAUUGUGAUUACAUACGUGAAAUUCUGUUCAUCGACUCCGCUGAGCCGCCGAUCGGAUUUCGAGAAGGAAAACCUCCAACGGUACUAGCCAUCCAAGUGGACCCCACGACCAAGCGAACGCUGCCAUGUGGAUGCAUAUGAACAAGACCACACUGAUUGUUAAAGCGACUAAACCGGUACAUAAUAACCGGAUUGAUUGUUGACUAAAACCAGAAAGAUGAAGAAAUUGAAUAAACCUGAGAAAUUAGCAAUUUGGAGAAUCCUCUCCUUCAGGGAAGAGAAGUCGUCUACUCGUCUUCCCCAUUUAUCAACGCCGAAUAUCAAGACCAUGGUAGCUCCGAGGUUAACCAAACCGGUUACUACCGCGGACAUCUGAGCGGCCUCGCUACCGAAUCCGAUCGUUUGGAACAGAACCGGCGCGUAGAACAUUAUGACACUGAUUCCGGUGAGCUACUGGUAAGACGAGAUCAGAAUCGCCAUCGUUAUAUGGAUGCUCCACGAGCUUCGAAGCUUCGCUGUCGCCGAUCAAGUCGUUCAUCUCGUCGUCGACGCCUCGGAUCUUACGGUUAAGGAGUUUCGUUCCGGUUAGCUCGAGUUGAUUUCGCUCGAUCAUGCAGUUGGGUGUGCCCGGGAGGAUAAGAAGAACCGACGGUGAUGAUGAGAGCAGAAACGACGGCACCGCCGAGGCUGAGCCUCCAACCCCUCCCGUCGCUAAUCUUGGAGAAGAAGAAGUUCAAUACGUUGGCAACAAGGAUACCAAUGGUGAUUUAGAGUUGAAUCCGAUAUUCAGAGCUCCUCUGAAUUUAUAUUGUCAAUUUGAAAAGAAAAGGAAAGAAAAGAAACGUAUUGAGACCAUUUUAUAAUUUAGUUUAACUUAAGAGUAACAUGGAGGAGGGAACAGGGGCGGAUAUACAGCAUAGAGGGUGGGGCAAGUGCCCCAUACUGAGGCUAUUGUUAUACGCUUUGACUUUUUAAGUGUAGAGUUCGAUGCCUCUUGUCUCUCUUGUUCUUUUAUCUGUUUGUAUAUAUUUAUUUGUUUUCUUUCUCUUAUCAUUUCUUGAAUAUCCCAUAUUCCCUUUUUUGAGUUGUUUCUCUCUUCCUCCAUUUUUUUACCUUUCUUUUUAAUUGGCUGACUUUUUUCCUUUCUUUCAUAUAUUUAUUAAAAUUUAUUUCCUUCUUAUUUUCUUUUCCAAUUAUACUUUUUUAACAAAUUAAGUAAACUCAUUAAAGUAAUCAUCCAUCUAUGUUCUAAUAGAUUAAUAAAAAUAUUUUGUAAAUCUGUAUAAUGAUUAUGAUUUUGUUUAGCUUAUAAUUUAUAAAAUAUUGUAAAACUUAUAUAAACGUAUAAUUUAUGAAAUAUCAGUUAUUUAUAUUUUCUUAAAAAUUUAGAGAGAUUUUAAACUCAAUGAAAAUGAGUUUAAACUUUUUAUUUGUGCCCCAUAAAAAAAAAAAAAAAAAAAGUCUCUGGGAGGGAAAAAAGCACCCUUCUCAUCUCAGUUCACAAGAUACAUACUUUAAGAGUAACGUUGAGAGCGUGUUGCGCAGUUUUAAAUUAAUGUGUGCCUUAUUACCAAGUGUUGAGCGGAUUUCUGUAUUCUUCUUUUUCUUCUCUUAUUUUGUUCAGAAAGAUGCAGCCAAGACUAGAGAGCGUUUGGACCUUCUCCACACCUCCGAUGAACACCCUCAUCCGAUCCGCUGAUCUACAAAUCCCACUGCAGCUCCAAUCGAACGAGGCAACACAGAUGUUCCCCGCCUGCGCCUUCCACUCACAACCUGCUGUUCAUUGGAAUUGGUAAAAGUUCCCUUAUCAUUGGAAAUAGAUAAGGGAACUUGGUUUUUUCUACCUGUUGUACCACAACAUAGCCUACGGUCAUCCAUUCUCAGAAACCAUGGAAAAAAAGAGACAUCCUCAUUCACGUACUAGUGAAGUACGUUUCUGCAUACACAAUUUGAGAUAAGCACGAGUGUUUAGUAUCACCUAAUCUUACAUGCACAUCAUCAUCGGCUUUCACGUACAAGUAUGCAUCCCACAAUGCAGCUUUAGUUCUUUGCUGAAAGCUGUAGAUAACCUUCAACAUCCUCCUUCUCAAACUAACUUAAGAAAAAUAAAAAAAACAGAAACCGGGAUGUUGACUGGAGCUUUAAUUCAUCAGAAACGGGUGAACCAUUCAUGAUGGAUUGUUGAGCGGCCGCCUAUUCCAUUUCCAGAGUCGAAAUCAUUUUGUCGAGCGUUUUGCGUAACACCUUAAGAGAAUCGAUCUUCUUGUUGAAUGUGAGAUGAAUUAUAUGGUAAUACUUAACCCAAGUAACCCUCCAUCCUCUUGUAAAUGCUCUUUCACAGAUUGCUGUAUAUUCUUGUGUUGCAACACGUGAGAAAUUCCAAUGCAAAAUUAGAGAAGCAUGCAUAUAAUAUGCUUUUGCAAAAACAAAUUUUAUAAAUUCGAAACUGCCAUAUAACUUAUUAUAUAAUCCAUACUCUCAUGCCAUCAAAUCUCAGCACAAAAAGUUAUAAAAAAGAGAAAAAAAUCAGAUAAAUUGGAUGAUGCAUUUUGAUGAAACUCUGGGGAUAGCCAUUAGAAUAGCUCGCAUGUAUUUAUUGUUGAAGGUGCUUUCUUCAAAGCCAACUUUCACAGUUUCAAGACAUUCCAACUUCCCAAAGAAAUGUCUCAUUUGUUGUAACUCUCCAAGGCUUCCUUCACUUGACACCUCGACAAACAGCAUACCAUUUCCGAGUUUUGGAUGCAAGGGCACGCAUUUCCACACCACUCUGUGACUCUGUGCACAAGACCCUGGAACCACAACAAACAGACCACACCAUUUGAUAGACAUGUAUAAAUGGCAACAGAGAAAAGCAAUGUGUCUUAAAAGAUCAAAAAAAUUGAUACCUUAAUGACUAAAGUUUGUAGAUUUGGGGAGUUAUGGAGCAGGCGUGGGAUUACUUCCCAGCCUUUUUCCUCGUCACUUUCGAUAGAUAAAGUAAGUAGGUUGUUGAGCACGGGCAUGGAGUCACAACAAAAGUGAAACACCUGAUACAUAAACCAUUAUCACCAUGUGAUAGAUACUACAAGAAGAAGUAGUAGCAGCAAAACUGACCUCUAGAGAAUCAGCAGACAAUUGAAGGCUCUUAAUGUUUUUCAUACCUUCAAUCAGAGUUGAAAUAUCGCCACAGAUUUCAUUGAAAUCUGGACAACCAUCAUCAUCUAACCCAUAUAAUCGAAGAUCUAGUCUAGCUUCGACAAGCGAAUCCAAAUCAACAAAAUAAUGUGCCGCAACGUAACUAGAGUAGUCAAGGUACACCAAACUCUUUGUCUUAAGAGUAAGGCCACGGAGUUCGAAAUCGUCAUCAAAAUCACUAGUGAUAGUUAAUCGCUUGACGUAUGGAGUCGACAAGUAGCCCGUCCAAACACAUAUGAAUAAAUCUUCUAAGGCAGGGCAGCCCUCGAUGAAGAGCUGAUGCAUUUUAGGAGAUAUAAAGGCAACUGAAACAAGUGUAAGUGUUUUGAGCGCAGGGAAAAACACUCCUCCAAGAGGAAGACGACGACCUUCAAGACAAAAUUUAUCGGUUAUUGUGAGCUUAACCAGUGUGUUGCUUGUGAAAAACUCAGAAUCUAUACCGAUACUGAAAUUUGACUUUAAGUUUAGCUCUACGCUGCCCCGUCCCAGAGCAGUGCGAAUCCAACAAUUGACACGAGAUUCGUCAUCCUCAUAAUCACAUAUUAGAGAGAAUUUCUUGAUGGUAGAAUUGCUUAACAGAUCAAGUGUUUUGUCCACGAAAUCAGAGAAGCGAUGUCGUCGUCGACGACGACUUUCAAUACUUGUUGGUUCUUCUUCUCCGUCUUUUCUGUCGGGAUAUAGAAGCAUCGAUUCAUCAAAAUCAAGGCUGUCUACAAGAGGAAGCAAAUUCAUCCACCUCUUGGACAGAACCGCGGUCGAAGCAGCAAGUUUGGUCGGAAUUAAAGACAGGAUUUUGCCGAGAAUUUCAUCUGGCAGAUUGCUGAUCCGAUCUGUAGCCAUCAGAGUCAGAGUAUAAUCCCUUUCUUAAUCCUGCAAAAAAAAUAUAAUUCAAAACUUGAUGAGAAACAACAAUUCGAGGGUUAUAGAAACUAUAAAAUUCUCAAAAUUAUAAACAGAUUCACAACGGAAAGAACACAAAAAAACUAAACUUUGCGAUGGAAAUCACAGAGUUUAUCAAAAUCUAAAACAAGGUACCCCGAGUCUAAUUCAUGCCUCAAAAUAGCCAAUUUCGAUUAACAAUAGAGAAAUUUACCUAGACUUUACAAGUUGGAUUUAUCAAUGGCUUCUAGUACUAAAGAUCUACGGAAAUCUCUCUCCAAGAAUGGGAUAGAAGAAAGAAACCUGUCCUUCCUUUUUUUUCUAAUUCUUUUUUCCUUUUUUUUUAAUUAUUUUUCCUUUUUAUAAAGAUGCAAAGUCAUGCCGAAAGGACAUUUUAUUCGGUGUAUAUGGAAUAACCGAAACCAACCAUAAUGUUUUAGUUUGGUUAGGUUGGGAUCGGUCGGUUCGGUCAGCAGAUUGAACACCCCUCUGUUAAACCUUUUAGCAAAAAAACCAUUGUUUUAAUUUGUUUGUUCUGUGUUUCUCGAAUCCGGCUGCUUUUUGGAACAUAUAUUAUCAGAAGUCGUUGACAAAAAAAAAAAUAUUAUCAGAAGUCAGUAGCAAAAUCUAAACUGAACAAAACCCAAAAAUCUGAAACUUUUGAACACUUGAAACUUAAUUUAUAAGUCUAAGUACAUUCAUUUAAAUUAUAUAUAAAUUUACUGUAUAAUGAUCACUACAUCAGCAUGCAAUCAUGACAAUAUAGAAAGUGCGGAAGAUGAAAGAAACCUGCCUCGUGUCGUCACUCCUCAUCAGUCCUGUCCUCAUAUUCACAAAACUCCCCUGUAGAGCAAUCUUACCAAUCUUUUCAAUUGAUAUUGGUUAUUGGUUCCAUUGGUGAUUCAGUUUAAAUGUUUGAAAAUUUUAAACGAUUAUAUCAGAAAUGGUUAAAAAAUAGGCGAUUAGAAAUAACAGUUGGAAAAUAUUUAUAACAGAAAACGGUUGAAAAUUUAGCUUGAUUGAUAGUAUUACAGCGGUUAAAUAGUGUAAAUAUAUAAAAUUAUUAGUACAAAAUUUUUAGAUAAUUAUUUAUAAAAUGAUACAAUAAUAAUAUAAUACAUAGUUUAACUUUAUUAUAUGAAAAUUGAGUAAACAAAAAUUACAAUAAUUAUUUCUGAAAUAGUUUUAAACAAUUCAAAAUAAUUCUUUUUUAAAUGAUUUGAAUUGAAUGUAAUAACAAAAAAAAAUUAACACAUAUAUAUAUAUAUACAAAAAACAAAUAACUUUACUAGUUUAUUAUUAGAAAUCGAUAUUAAAUCAUAUAUUUUAUUACUAAAAAAAAUUCUGGUUACAACUUAUCGUUUACUUUAAAUGCUCAUUUUUUAAUAGUUUAUAACCGUUUAAAAAUUAAUUUCUAACCGUUUAAAUCAUCUUUCAACCAUUCGUUUCAAACGCUGAUUACAACCAACGUUUUAAACGCUUUCUCCAACCAAUCUUACUGAUUAUAGUAUUUUUUUAAUCAUCUGUCUCAACGGAGCAGUUGAUGCCACCAAUCAAACUCAUUAUCACGUACUAAUAUUUAACGUAUUGGCCUAUUAGCUCAGUUGGUUAGAGCGUCGUGCUAUUUAUGCGAAGGUCAUAGGUUCGAUCGAUUUAGUUGGUCAAAGUUCUGAAAACGUCGUCGUACGUUUCUUCUUCUUGCAUUUCUUUUAUCCCUUUCUCCGAUAGAUUUUUUUCUUUUCCGGUUUUAAAUUUUUAAUUUUUACGGAUAUCGUUAUCUGCUUCUCACUAAACACGAAGAAGCAGGAGAGCUCGAAACAAAAAUGGAGGGAAGCAUUUCGCCGCUUUGCCUACGUUCUUCCUCGAGUCUCUGUUACUUCUCCAGUAAUGUUUCUCCUGAUUCUCAUCGUUCUCUAGGAUUUACACUUGUGGAUUCGCUCCGGCCGACGAACUUGGUAUCCCUGCGAACGGCAAAUAGCCGUUCGUCGUCACUACGGCUGAUUCUAUCUCCGGCGAGAGGCGCUCUACGUACGCCGACAAUUUCCGCGGAGGAAGUGAAAGAUGUCCCGAUGCCGAAGAUAGAUAAGAGCGGCCGAUUAAGCAGCCCUCGAGCCGCCCGCGAGCUCGCUCUGUAUGCUUUUAUUUUCUCUCUUUGGUUCCUUCCAUGCUCGUUUCUGAAAUUUUAUUCGCUUCGUUGAUUUUUAUGGAACUGGAAAUUUAGCUGGAAAUGAGAGAAUUCGCCUUUACUUGAAAUUGGAACAAUCCGUCAUCUUUGCGGCUUGGUGGGACACGAAUUAGGCUCAGAUUAGAGAAUUGCAUGUGUGUCGUGCUCAAACCUGAAAUGAUAUUUCCUCAAGUCUAUAAAAAUCAAGUCUUUUUACUUCAUUUCAAAGUUUCAGCUAAAGAUGAACUACUGUAUGGUUUUUUUGCUAUUUAUAUGAAUGAUGAAUCUGCCUUCUCUGAUAUAUGUUUCUGGAUGAUUUUAACAGGGUAAUACUUUAUGCCGCAUGCUUAGAAGGUUCAGACCCAAUUCGGCUCUUUGAGAAGAGGAUAAAUGCAAGAAGAGGUAAGUAUCCAGUACCUACUAAACAUGUUUUGAUCUUGUUUUGUUUCCUGCGGCAAUAAAGUCACGAAUGUAGGAAUCUCAUUGUAAUUUAUGUGGUUUUGUGGAUACUAUAUCCUGGUUCUGAUUAGUCCACUCUGUAAAAAUCAGUUGCUUGAUUCUUCAUUUAUAUGCUUGUGACAUAACUUCAGUGAAUAAUAAUGAUUGGUUUGUACAGAGCCUGGAUACGAGUUUGACAAGACGUCUCUGUUGGAGUAUAAUCACAUGAGUUUUGGAGGACCCCCAGUUAAAACAGAAACAAGUGAAGAGGAAGAUGAGCUUGUGCGCCGUGAUGAAAACGAAUCGAAAAUCGGUAAGUUUUAUCCUGAAGAUAUGUUUCCGUGUUUUGUUUUACUUAUAUCGCAAAGAGACUCUUGUUUGUGGCUCAUGGAAAUUUCCUAUCUUUUAACCUGCUGUUUAUCCUCUCUUUCUGCAGAAGCAGAAGUGCUUUCAGCUCCCCCUAAGCUGGUGUACAGCAAACUUGUUUUACGGUAAUCUAUAAAUUGUUUCAGUGGUUUGUAAUUGCUGCUUACUCUGAAAUAAAAUCUGAAUGCUUUAUUCCCACUACGUGCUUUUCCAAAGGUUUGCAAAGAAACUAUUGGCUGCAGUGGUUGAUAAAUGGGAUAGUCAUGUCGUCAUCAUCGAAAAAAUUUCCCCGCCAGAUUGGAAGGUAAAAAAAUGACCACUUGAACUUCCAACUCGUGGCAAGUACUGAAUAAUUGAAAUCUAAGGGAUCACCAAACUCAAAGCUUCAUUUCUGAUCAUUGCCCCUAUGUUGUGAUAGCUCUCAUUAUUACAAGCUGUUUGCACCCUGAGAUCAACUUUUGCUUUUGAAUUAGCUUGAGAAACUAGAAGCAGCAACUUAUUUUGGUGUGUGAUUGUAUAUAUAUGUAUAUAUAUAUUCAUCUCCUACUACCAAUAAAAUACCUUAUGAAUGUUGCUGCACCUAUUCGCAGAGUGCACCAGCUGGAAGAAUACUAGAGUUUUCGAUUCUUCACUUAGCAAUGUCUGAAGUGGCAGUCCUUGAAACUCGACACCCAAUCGUCAUUAACGAGGUAUCUCUCUCUCUCUCUCUAUAUAUAUCUCCCUGUUCAGUUAGCUUUGCAAUGCAAUAACCUUGAUCUUGUUGUGAACUAACACUGUUACAAAAAUGAUGCGAGAAAGGCUGUUGAUCUUGCAAAACGGUUCUGUGAUGGAGCAGCGCCACGCAUAAUCAACGGGUGCCUUAGGACAUUUGUCAAGGAUAGAGCAGCAACACCAACACCAACACCUCAAGCUUUAGAAUUGAAGCAAGAAGUAUCGGUUUAAGUUAGAACACACCCGCAUCUUCUUCGUUUGGAGGCAGGCAACCUCAGGUUUUGGUCUUCGGAAAUAGUUCGUUGGCAAAGUGUUGAUCCGAUGAUCUUAUAUAUAGAGCGAGACACAGUCUCAGGAGAGAUUCUGUCCUCACAGGCAGCUUCUGGUCCGAAGCUUUCGUACUUGAGACUGAAUCUAUCGUUCCAUUGCAGCUCAACAUGAUUAUUGCUAAGAACACAAUAUGCUCUCAAGUCUGUAUUAUAUAUUGCUCUAAAAUAUAUAUUAACAAUUAGUAAUAGCUAAGUUUUCAUGUUUUUGUGUGUUUGUAUUCUCCUUCACUUUUGUCCCAUAUUAAGUAACAAAGCUGGUAUAAUCAGGUUUUUCGUGUAAUUAUGUUUGCCAAGAUAAAUUGUUUUGCUUUAGUCCCAUUGAAAGAACUUUAAUUUAUUCAGAAAGUUAAAAUACCAAUUAUACGCCCACCCACGAAAAGAUCCGACCCAUAAGCCCUCAUGUAAUACGACAGCGUCUCGUCAAAGAAGAGAGAUUAGGGCUCCUUUUCGUAGUCAACCUCUUCGUCGCCGUAUAUAUACAACUUCUCUCCUGCUUGUAUUCAUUAUCUCGCGUCAAUGUUCUUAAAUCUCUUUUUUUCUUUCUCUGUCGGGUUUUGAUGAUUCAUGAGAAAUUAUCGUUAGGAAUGUUGUUCUCUUAGUCCUAGAUUCGAAUGUUCUGUGUUAUAUAGCUUUCGAAAUCUUGAGGGGUUUGAUGGUAAGGAUGAUGAAACAAAUCAUUCGGAUUCCCAUUGAUUUCCUACGGGAAAGAUGUGAUCAUAAACCAGCUACUUUUGACUCAUCAUCAUACUCCUCUUUUUUCUUUCUCUUUGCUCUCUGAUUCGUAUUAUUUUCUUGGUGAAUUAGAUCUUCACUUUUGAUUGAGGUCUUUAUAAAUACUUAAAUCUGUAGAUGGUGUUGAGAUGACGAAAGAAAUCAUUCGGAUUCCCAUUGAUUUCCUUCGGGAAAGAUGUGAUCAUAAACCAGCUACUUCUGAUUCAUCAUCAUUUAUAAAGAAAAUCACAAAUUGCUCAUCUUAUUUGUUUUUUUUUUUCCCAAUUUGCUAUUUCAAUUUUUGUUUUUUAAUGUUUUCUCAGUAUAUUUUGAGUAGGCCAGUGAUGCAAGAAAAAUAUUUGCUACUCUUGAUGAAGAAUAUUCAGUUGAUGAUCGGUUAACCACCAAGAUCUCUGAGGCCUUGUUUUGUUACUCUUACACUAAAGUUGAUUUUCACUUAAUUUACCUAUCAUUUGCUUUAAACACACCAUUUGUCCAUGUUCAGACAUUUCUUUUUCCUGAUGACCUUCCUCAUCAAUCCAUGUAAUUCAAUUUAAUAAAAUUCAUUCACUAUGGCAUACAAUGAUUAGUAAUCCUCUUGAAGUAAUAUUUUCCACGAAAUAUCAAAUUGCGUGUGAUUCCUUGAUGUAUAAUGAUCCGUAGUGAUUGAAACCUGACAUAAAUCCAACACAGUUGAAUACAGAAACAAAUUAUGGGCAGACGAAAUAAAACACUCAAAACAAACAAAGGCGAUAACAGAACAUGAAAAUGCCCUAGAAUCUUGAUUUGUUUGAGAUACCAAAACUACUCGACUUUAUGGUUCGAAAUAUAGAAGAGAAAAAUUGGUUGUAUCGAAGAAUUAAACCGGAUUGGCUUCCAGAACACAGCUCAGCCCGUCAGGUCCCAUUAUAAAUCUAAUCCUCAUUAUUCUGCUUACUAAUAAACUACGGCAAAAUAUGCAGAGGAACUACAUCAGAAGCUACAAUAAGCGCUUCUGAUAAAAGAUUGUAACCUUCAGACCAAAUCCACUUAAUAGUUCCAACCAAAAACUAAAAACAGCCAUAAGAAAAGAUACCAAGAGAACUAAAUGUAUGAUAAUUGUUCAGUCGAAAAGAAGCUGAGACGAUAUUGAAGCUGUAGGUACAGAUGCCAACUCCUUGAGCAUCUGAUACUUGUCUCCCACAUUAGUAGAUUCUGGAGAGAAAGUAGCUGUCUUCAGACAAGCAGCAUUCUUUAAGACAUAUGUUGCCAGCUCUCUAUCACCUUGUCUCCCUUUGUACCCGAUCCACACAAAAGCCUCGAGACUAAACAAAAAACACUUGGGAACAGAGUUCGACGGCUUCCAACCAAUUGGGGGUUCUUUGGCAGAACAACCAGAAUCAUGUUUCUAAAACACAACAUCAUCGUUAUUAUCAGUCAAUCAUAUUGGGAAACUAAACUAGAUUAAACAAGAUUAUACAGAACUCGUACAUCGAUAAGUUUGAGAGCUUGUAGCCUGGGGGAAUCUUGGAGCAUGUGAGUAGAUCCCACCAACCUUUAGUAAUUGUAUACAAGUCCAGAUGAACAAGCUGAUUGAAACUCAUACCAGAAGGAUGCAUAACCUGAUUUAAAAACAACAACAUAAAUGAAAAAAAAUUGAGAGGAAUCAUAAUCUACAAUCACAAGAUUCAAUAUUCCAAGAUUUGUUUAUUACCUCUGAAAGUGAUAAACAUAGAGAAAGGCGUCUGACAGAAGUAAGAGCACUCAGAAACUUCUGAGUAGCUCCAUGAGUAAUCUCAACAUGUGCCUCAGCCAACUCAGGCGUAUUCUCAAUUUGACGAAAGUUGUAAAGCACACAAUCUUUAAUGUUAAGAUACUUCAAACAAGGAGCAUCUAUCACAAACCGACCAGCUGUUCCAGAAUUUUGGUCCAACAUAGUUAAUCUUUGUAAAGAAGGGAUCACAACAGUGACAUCCGUUGUUGUGUCUCCAUCAUAUCGUUCCACAAGCAACCCUUCAAGUCUUGAACAACCGGAUAAAAGACGUGGUAGAGCCGUGUCGUCUAUGUAAUCAACAAGCCUAAGGCUCAGAGUUUUGAGAGCCGGGAGACGAACGUGAACAGGAACAUCCAAAAGAACGCAACUGAUGAGUCUCAGGGUCUCAAGCGUUUCGGAGGAAUAUAGGCUACUCGGCAAACUAACACUAACAGAGCCUUUCACGGAUGAAGAAAUAGAAAUUUCCAACUCACGCACACGGCGACUAACUGCAAUAUCGAUCCAUAAUCCAAUAUCUAUAACAGGACAGUCAGCGCCAAGAUUCAGAUGCAAAGAUUCUAGAACGGGUGCCUUAUUUGAUAGCAAGGACCUGUAAACAAACUGCGAGAAGGACUUGUAGUCACCAAUGUGAGUGCUAUCAUCGUAUUCAAGAUUCGGGAUUAACAUCCAAAGGGACCGCCAUCUUUUGGACAAAAGACUUGUGGCCGCAACACCUUUUGUCCGAACACAUGACAAUAUUCGCAAGAGCAAAUCAUCCGAAAGUUGACUGAUAAUGUCCAUGUUCAAACACUAUCUCCCCUGAAUUCUCAAGCUUACAGCUAGUAGUGGCCAAAGGACAAAAAUUGUCUACGAUCGUUGCCUGUAUAUUAUAAAUCCUAAAGGGGUUCAUACUUCCGAGUAGAUGAACAAUAAAAAAAUAAAAAUAAAAACUUAACAGUUUGAUUGUUUGUAGAUUACCCUCGUAGUUCCUUAGUGCUUCUUGGAUCUUUCUAAAAUGACAAGAUGAGACCAAGAAGAUUCCAGAGCUGGGUCAUUGAUAUAUUAAUCAGAGGAGUUUGAUCAAGUUGUGGUUGGCCUAAACCCUAAUACGCAAACAAUUGAUACGGCGCCGUUAGGAUUAGUAGCAAUCAUUUACAGUAUUUCGAUCGGGGAAAGCGGCCCAUGCCUUAACCGCAAGAACUGGUAUCAUUUUAUGUCUAUACUUUGAUACUGUGCUUAUACGUACUUGAACUCUUUAAAAUGAACCGCAAGAACUAGUAUCAUUUUAUGCCUAUACUUUAAUAUUGUGCUUAUACGUACCUGAACUCUUUAAAAUGUGUAAAUUCAUUCCCAAACUAGAAUUUUUAUAGCCAAAUCAUGCAUUGACUUUUUAUACUGGGCUGACUAACUUGCCACGUUGGAAUCUCAGAGAUAUGAUGCUACGUCGUUUGUAUAUUUCUGAGAAAAUUUUUUUUGCAAGCUCAAAGAUUCAAACCCUGCACCAUACCCACUUAUCCGAGCCCGAAGACCAGUAGACCAGAUGAAGUAAUUGAUAACCUAUCGCACACUUAAACAAUAUAAACUACCCAUGGCCAUUAUUAAAAAAAAAUACGACAUCGUAUUGGUUUGGUUAUUCAUCUUUUUUUAAUGAAGAAUCUAUCUUCUUCUUCGUCGAGGCCUGUGUUCAAAUUUGGGGAAAAACUCAGCAAACGGAUCGAAAUCGUCAUUGUCGUCACCAUUAACCGAUUUCUACUCUUAAUUCUUCUUCUGCUGCUUCUCCUUCUUCCUCAUGUCUCCUCGUGAUUCCUCCCGUUAACCCUGCGGCCGAUUUGGUUUUAUUUCACCAGAUCUAAAACAACAAUCGUUUGAUGAAUUCGAUUCAUAGGAGUAUUGAGAAUCGAAAAAAAAACCAGCAAAGUUUAAUUCAAUUGUUUAAAGUUAAAAGCAACAAACAUCUUAUUAGAUUUAAUAAAAGGAAGACCCUUUCGAGCUUUGGUGAAACUCACAAAUGUCGUGACUUUCAACGACUUUAGAUUUUUCAUUUUUCUAAUGAUUGUAGGAAUAGUAAAAAUAUUUAAUGGUGCGACUUACAACUAAUAAUUGCAUUUGGUCUAGUGGCAUCAAGGGAUGUUUUAUAGAGGAUGUCUAUGGUUUGAAUAGUUAGAUGUUCAAAAAAUUUGUACUUUUUUUUUUCUCGACUUAAAACGACGUCGUUUAGUAUUAUCGUUCCAACACAGAUUCCACCAUGGCAGCUAACUCAUAUCUGUUAACAAUUUGACAGAGUUGACUAACAAAAAAUAAGUCAAUGCAUGUUUUGGCCAAAAAAUUUGAGUUUAGGUAUGAAUAUUCAAAUUUUCAAUAGUUAAGGCAUGUUUGAGCACAGCAUAAUUGUACAAGUACUAAUCGGUACCAUUCCACUCGGUUGAGGCAUGAAUUAGCCGCUUUCUCGUACUUCGAUCUCAUGAUAUGCUGCCAACUCGGCAAAUCUCGGACCCACCUUAUGAAAACCAAAUUUUAAACCGAAAUUCACUUAGCUGAAUAUUAUUAUAUGGAAUUAAACAACCGGAUUAGGCACUAACUUAUGUGAAAUGAGUAACGAUGAUGAUGAAACAUUGAAGUCAACGUGGCAAAAUCACGAAGGUUGAAGAUCUGGAAAAAAACCCAGACCAUUAGACAAAUCCGACGGAAAUCGCGGAAUCAUCAUCACCCUCUUCAACUCUUCAAGAAAGAGAGAAAAACAAAAAAAUAUAACAGUUACGUUCUGUAAUUUAGUAUUGUACUGAUAUAUGGUGUUCAACGGCGGGACUGUGAUGUCGGUAGCCCAUCUAUCGGCGGAGAUUUGGCAGAGAUUACGGCGGAUCCCACCGUCCGAUCGUAUAAGCAGCCGCGAGAUGCUUGAGCUCGUCUGCUUCUUCCCGCUCCAGCAAAUGGGUCGGCUCGCUUUAUGGUUCUUGACUAUCCUCUGUCUUCCUCCGCCAGGUUUGCUCUAUCCUGAAGCUGACGAAGAAGACGAUCGUGAUGUUCACGCUUUUGCUUCUGGCUCAGCUUCAGCUUCCGUCGCUACAUAUCAGAACCACUUUCAUCUGCAUUUUGAGUGAUCAGUUUCAAACUGGAUUCUUUGUAAAGUUCUCAUUUUGUUUUUUUUUUUGUCGCAGUCACUCUGUUUUCUCAAUCUCUCUGUUUUUUUUUUUAAAUGUCUUGCGAUUUGGAGAAAUCGGAUCUUGUUUCCUGAUCUUAGCUGAAGAAUCAGGAUCCUGGUUACAGUUUGAAUCCUUGUGAAUAUCAUAUUCAGAAUAUGUCUAGAAUUGAGGUCAUUCAAUUUUUCACUCCUUGAUGAUUAGACCAUCAUCAAUUCGUGUUUAAUCUGCACUUCACCGUUGACUCGGUUUGAUCUCGGAGUACUGAGACUAGUGGAGCAGUCUUUGAUUUUCUUUUUGUAUCUUCGGUGGUAAAAUUGAACAGAGAUCAAGAGGAUUUUGAGUAGCUGAUUCGGUUUUAGUGUUGGAAAUUUCUGUAAUCUGAUCCUCGGAAACUUGUGUCUACUUAUUUGGGAGACAGAUUUUGUCUGAUCGUCAAUUCCGGCGAGCUUUCUUCAUGUUUUUGUCACAUUGAUACUCUUCUUGCCUUCUUGAUCUCUCGCUGAUCAUCGCAGUUUGUCUUCAACGGGUACAUUUCGUUGGUAUAAUCUUUUUUUUUUCCAUUUGAUUGCAAGUCUCGACCUUUAUUGCUCUGUGUCUGAUGUAAUUGGCAAUUUCUAAGUUCAAGAAAGGUAUGUUUCUACCAAACCAUCUUUCUUGGGAGUUGGGUCUCUUGGUUUUGUGAGUUUUUGGUUUCUUGACUUCCAAGAAAGAAGCUUGUUUAUACUUUGUAAGUUUGAAAUAGCUUCAUGAUUCUUAUAUCUUUAGUUUGAAUUUGAAUCAAAUUCUUGUGUGGUAGAGUAGCCUAAUUCAAUAGGCAUAACAUGAGCUUGAACUCGCUAAUUAAACCACCCCGCAACAUUCAUGAAACAAUAAAGAAAUGAAUCUGGGGUUCGAAAUGUCUUUAUAAAUUAAUGAGAAUAAGAUGCAACAAUUUUUUUUUUUUGUGAACCGGGAAGUUCCACACCUAGACCCAUACAUCUAUCAGAGCCGAGAUCAGUCUUUACUAAAUCAUCAAAAGAAUUUAGUACAAACUACCAGACCGCAUAUCCCGAUCAUAUUAGUUUGAAAUAUAUACCCCGACCAAUUGCCCAUGUAAUAAUUCUGUUAGCAUGAUUGAUCUAUUUUGAUUAAUUGGUUUUGAGAUUUAAAACUUUAAAAAUAAUAUCAAAUCUUUAUAUACUGUAAACCCCGUUGUCAAUUUACAAAGAAUAGCAGUCAUAUAAACUACAGUUCUUUAUUAUUUUUAUUGUUAUAUAAUAAAAUGAAAAAUUACAUUUUAUAAAUUCUUCUUUCAUCGAAUAGUGAGCAAUAAUUGGGGAGAAAUGGAUAUGGACUCAGCCAAUUAUACAUAACUAGGAGCACAUGGAGUCAUCAAUCAAAUUCCAUAUUCUUAACCUAUAAAGAAACAGCCAAACAGCUCAUUACUCUCUCAUUUUCUGUUCAUUUCACGACUGUCACAGAAAAAAACAACAUUUUCCUAGAUCUUUUACUCAUAGUCUUUAUAAAUAAAACGUUUUUAUUAUGAACUGUAUCAUUUGAAAGCUAACACCUUAUGAACUGUAUAAUCUUUGAAGCAAACUAUUAUAUUCUUCUAGAAAAAAAACUGGAUAACAACUAAAGUCGGCGGCACGGUUCUUUCCAGCUGUUUUAAAUAUCUUAGUUGAUAAACCAAAUACCCUUAAUUAAUUGGUUUUAUCUGCUCUACCAUUUUUUUAGUUUAAAACGUUAACUAUUUAGACUAAUGCUUUACUAAUUUAACCGUAAGAUAAAAAUAAACUUUAAAAAUGAGGUUCAUCAACAUCGAUCUGCAUUGUGUAACUGAUUUAUUUAGUUCUUAAACCACGAAAAGUAGUAUAUUCGUUUUAAAUUAUAGAUUUGAUUAAGUAAGAAAUUUAAGAAUUUUUGUAGGUCUUAGAGAUAAUACAACUACACAAAUUUAUUCAUAAUCAACUUUUAUCUAGAAUCCAGUGAAAGAUUAUGACUCGAAGACAAAUCAAUUUAUCUUAAACAAAAACAAAGAAUUAAAACAAUUAAAAGUUGAUUAAAUGGGUUGGUGUUAGUUAAACUGUAAAGUGAUACAUACACAGUUGGCCUAACACGCACCCAUGUGUAUAUAUAACCCACAAGUCACAACACAUAACAACACACCACAAAACACACAAACUUCUAAACUCUUCUCUCGUUUGCUUUCUCAAGAUUAUUCACCAAUGGAGGCACUGAAGAUGAAACUCUUUGUGGCUGUUUUGGUGGCGAUGAUAGCUUUCUCUGCCGUGCAACAGGCUGCCGCCGUGGAGGCUCCGGCUCCGAGCCCCACCUCUGACGCUUCCUUGUCGAUCCCCGCUUUGUUCGCUACCGUAGUCACUCUGGCCUUUGGGUUUCUCUUCUAAGCAAAUUUGUUUUUUUUGGCUCUUUAGUUUAUCUAAGAAAUCAUUUUCUUGAUUUCAUUUUUAUAUCCCUCUAUUAUGUAUUGUCCUAAGAUUUGCCAUAUCCGAAUAUCAAUAAAAAUAUCUCGAUAACCUUUUUAUUCAGAGUCGGUUUGACAAACUCUUUAACAAAAAAAUGUGGUUUUAUUGAAAAAUCAUAACUUUGGUGAAAAAUGGAAUAUUAGUUGAAUCUUAGUCUGAAAGCAUUUUAAUUAAGAUUAGGGAAACAUUUUAGCGGGAGGAGACAACUUGAUAGCUUUACAAUCAUGACAUCCUCUAAGUAUUAUUGAUUUAGUUUGUACUAACAUGGAAAGCAAUUGGAAAAAGAUUAACUAUAUUUUAAUUUAAUCCAGUUUAAUUUACAGUUUGGUCGGUUUGGGUCGAUCAAUAUGUCUACUAAUAACCCCAAAAAAUGAUUUGUAAAAUGAUUUGGGUGAAAUAAUAUAUACGGAUUACUUCAUGUAUUCGAUUGCAAUUUUUGAAAAAUAUAAUAACAAGAAUUUAAGAAAAUGUGGAAAUGAAUAAAUAGUCAAAGGAUGACGUAAAAAAAAAAUUAGUCAAAGGACCCUCAAAAACUCAAAAGUGUUCCUGAAUCAUUCCGCACUUCUCAGAUUUUCCAGCACAUAAGAAAAACCCUAACGACACAGCUCUCGCCGCUGGCUCUACUACGUUCGUCUGCCGCCGUGUUCGGCCGAUCGUCUGAGUUUAUACACCGUGGUAUGAUUCCACCUCCCUUCUUAUAUGUUCGCCUUCCUCGUCGACUGACUAUAACUUUCCCGCUGGUUUGUGUGCAAUUCGCCGAUUGUGCAGCGAAUCUGCCGAUCGCAGACGCUAAAAUGUUUAAAACGCCAAACCACGUUUUCGUAAACAUAUUUUGCAUACUGGGCCUAGUAUUUUUUUUGGCCCAACACCUAAAUUGUUUUAAAAUUAAAUUAAAAAUUUAGUUUCCUUUUGGAAAAAAAAUAAAAAAAAGAAAAAAAAAAGAAGGAAAGAAGUUGCUAUGGCAAUACUAAGCCUAACCCUUUUUCCGGUAUCAGCUACACCGCCGUCUUCUCUCUUCUCCUUCAAUCGUUUUUCUCGUUACCAUCAGUUCGCUUAUUUGUCUUCUUACUCGUCUCAGACUGGUAAAAUCCUCUCUCCGAGCUCUAAUCUUCCCGUUUCUCUCUCCUUAUCUCUACUUGUGAUUUCUGUUCUCGCCUACAUUUCUCCAAUUGCUUCUCGAGCUUUAGGCCAUGGAGUAACAUUUCUACUGCCGUAUUAGUUGAGAUGAGAGUUUUGUUAUUAGCAGAGGGAGCCGAUUUUCCUUAGUUUCUGUGCUGCUAGCUAAUUCUGAUAUUGUUUUCCAGUGGUGUUUUUUUUUUGGGGAUUUUGAUUGGAAUUUCGAGAAAUAAUAUUGCGUUUGCUUGUUUUCUUAACAAGCCUUCGUGGUUUCCUUGUGUUUGAAGUACUGAAAACAUCUAAAUGUUGAAGAAGAUAAGCUUUUUUUGUUUUGUUUAUAAUUCAACAUGGUCUGUAGCAGUGCUUUAAUGAAACUUUCUUCCUUGGUAAGAAUUCUAGAUGAAACUCCAAUAGAAGAGGAGAAUAUUGCAAUCCAGUUUUCAUUUUUUUUUUUCUUGCUUUUUUGAGGGUUUGCUAUUGCUUGUACUGAUCUUGCUAUGUGGUUUUGUAACCUAGACAGGCAUAUUGAGAGCAACGAGUAGGAGAUUUGCUUUCGCAAUCAAAUCAAAGUCAGUGGCAACCAUGGCAGCUGUAUGUCAGAGUUUUUGGCUUUUUGUUUUAAUCCAGGAGACUGUCUAAGUAUAAUACUCUUCUUUCCCCGUUUGAUGACUGAUUUUUGAGUGCUGUGACAGAAUGAAGAAUUCACGGGAAAUCCAAAACGUCAACUUGAGAAGCUCUUUGAUGUGUCGCUGAAAUUAACUGUUCCUAAUGAACCUGGUGUUGCGCCCUUGGUUGCUGCCUCUCAACCUGGAAAAUUUGGAGAUUACCAAUGGUGCUCCCUCUUUCACUUUAUUCAAAUGAAACUAAAGUUCCUUUCUGUUUGUUAAUUUAGAUAUUCAUCAUAUUGUCGUCUGCAGUAACAAUGCAAUGGGCCUAUGGUCCAUUAUCAAAGGAAAGGGUACUCAGUUUAAGGGACCUCCAGCUGUUGGACAGGUUUGUGGUUUGAUUGGCCUUUUACAGUUCCGUGGCUUUUGUAUGCUCUGUGUCUUGUAGCAGAUUCUUAUGGGAUUUUAUAUUUCCUUUAACUCUUAUUUUGUUCCCUUUUUCACAUAGGCCCUUAUGAAGAGUCUACCUACUUCUGAGAUGGUGGAAUCAUGCUCUGUAGCUGGACCUGGAUUUAUUAAUGUUGUACUAUCAGCUAAGUGGAUGGCCAAGGUGCUCCUGUUGUAUUGCUCACUUGCAUAAUCAUUUUCUAGUCCUCAUAAAUAAGUUAUGUUUAGCAUAAUUGUUUUGUCAUCUAUCCGCAGAGUAUUGAAAAUAUGCUAAUCGAUGGAAUCGACACAUGGGCGCCUACACUUCCGGUUAAGAGAGCUGUAGUUGAUUUUUCCUCUCCCAACAUUGCCAAAGAAAUGCAUGUUGGUCAUCUUAGAUCAACUAUCAUUGGUGAUACGCUAGCUCGCAUGCUCGAGUACUCAAAGGUUGAAGUUCUACGCAGAAACCAUGUUGGUGACUGGGGAACACAGGUAGCUACUUUCUGCUUUCAAACAAAUUUCUUAACCUUCAGACCGAGUGCUUUAUUGUUGUAUUCUAAUAUUUAUCAAAGAAAUAAAAGCAGUGUUUAUUCUGCAGUUUGGCAUGCUAAUUGAGUACCUCUUUGAGAAAUUUCCUGAUACUGAUAGUGUGACAGAGACAGCAAUUGGAGAUCUUCAGGUCAGCUGCCUUAUGGCCUCUUGAGCUUUACAGUCCUUCCUAUGUACCAAUAUUGGCAUAAUAUACUUUAUGUGAAGAACCAAAGCAAUUUAGUUUCUAAUAUUACAUGUCAUCUGACAGGCAUUUUACAAAGAAUCAAAAAGUAAAUUUGAUCUGGAUCCGGUCUUCAAGGAAAAAGCGCAACAGGCUGUGGUCCGUCUACAGGUAAGUAAAAAUUCUCCUAACCUGAAUUACUGGUGCUUUCUUCUGUUUGGCAGUGUUUCAAUAUGCAGCUGUCUUAGCUACCUAAAUUACUCACUUGUCUAUUUUUUUUUCGUUUCUUCGGUGCAGGGUGGAGAUCCUAUUUACCGCAAGGCUUGGGCUAAGAUUUGUGAAAUCAGCCGAACCGAGUUUUCCAAGGUUUAUCAACGCCUUCGAGUUGAGCUUGAAGAAAAGGUAAAGGAAUAGAUUGAACGAUAAUAUAUUAUUUGAGACAUAAUGGAAAAGAGGAACAUGGAUGGGUGAUGAAAUAUACAUUGAUACAUUACAGGGAGAAAGCUUUUACAACCCCUAUAUCGCUAACGUAAUUGAGGAAUUAAAUAGCAAGGGGUUGGUUGAAGAAAGUGAAGGUGCUCGUGUGAUUUUCCUCGAAGGCUUCAACAUCCCACUCAUAGUUGUUAAGAGUGACGGUGGUUUUAAUUAUGCCUCAACAGAUCUGACUGCUCUUUGGUGGGUUAUCUUUCAGUUAGUUCUUCUAUAAGUUCUGUAUUUUUGUAGCACUCUUUGGAUAUAUAUCUCAUAGAUUAUGACUUUUUGUGUCUGUAUUUGCUGAAGUGUGUGGCUUGAUCUGAACUUGCAUAUUGUUUAAUGAAUUGUCUGCUGAUGCUAAAUCUGCCUGGCCCAGGUAUCGGCUUAAUGAAGAGAAAGCUGAGUGGAUCAUAUAUGUUACCGAUGUUGGCCAGCAGCAGCAUUUUAAUAUGUUCUUCAAAGUAGGGUUGAUGAUUUUUUUUUUUUUUUUAGUGUCUUGCUUAAAACUGUCAGUCGUAACAGUGCUGUGGUUAUCCUGUUACUAUGAAUCAGGCUGCCAGGAAAGCUGGUUGGCUUCCAGACAGUGAUAAAACUUACCCUAGAGUUGACCAUGUUGGUUUUGGUCUCGUCCUCGGGGAAGAUAACAAGCGAUUUAGAACUCGGUCUUCAGAAGUAGUUCGCCUAGUUGAUUUGCUAGACGAGGCCAAGACUCGCAGUAAAACUGCCCUUAUUGAGCGCGGUAUCUAACUUUGUGUCAGCACUCUUUACGUUUUGAACUGUUGAACCGCUCACUUGUUCAGUUAUUUUGUGGUCUUAUUCGUCCCUUGUUUCUCUGUUUAGGUAAGGACAAAGAAUGGACUCCCGAGGAGCUGGACCAAACAGCUGAGGCAGUUGGAUAUGGUGCGGUGAAGUAAGUAUUGUCUCCAUCCUCCUCGUUUUUGUGAUUUUUGUAACUGCACAAAUAUGAUGAGUGUUCUAUCAGAUGUUUUUAUAGUGGUUUUAGUAAUUUCAUGCUACUGCUAACUUGCGGUUUUGUUUAAUUUCUUUCUUAGGUAUGCUGACCUGAAGAACAACAGAACGACAAAUUAUAUUUUCAGCUUCGAUCAAAUGCUUAGUGACAAGGUACUGGAAUUUUCCACCUAGUUUGCAUUUUGCAUUUAUGCAGUCAACCUACACAUGCUUAUUAGUCACAUGUCAUGAGCAGGGAAAUACAGCCGUUUACCUUCUUUACGCCCAUGCUCGGAUCUCUUCAAUCAUCGCUAAGUCUGGCAAAGACAUAGAUGAGCUGAAAAAGGUAUUUUAGCCGCAUGAACACAGAUCGCUUAACUACUUUUUGGUUUCUAUUCUUCCUUUUGGCUGCACCUGAACUUUCCAACUGCCUCCAUCUUUGAUAUUAACGGAAAUGCUAUUUAAAAUCUAUUUGUUUUGAAGGCAUUAACAAUUGUCAGUAGUUUUUUUAACUGCCAACUCCAUGCCAGUGUCUACAUUGAGCAUUUAAAUCUUGGAAGUCUUAAGAUUCAAUUUUAUUGCACACCCUAAGCCCUUUAUUGGGGAUUCUUGUCUUAAUUUUUUUUCCUUGGGUUUGUUCUAUCUAAUUUCACAUUUUCAUAAAUAAUGGAUCCUCAAACACUUACGAAGACUGUUAUAAGUUUACCAUAAGCAGUAUGAUAAAGAGAAACUCAUACGUUUCAACAUUUGCUUUACUGCAGACAGGAAAGCUAGCAUUGGAUCAUGCAGAAGAGCGAGCACUGGGGCUUCACUUGCUUCGAUUUGCGGAGGUAACACUGUUCAUUAGAUACUACGAUCGUAUUUGACUUCUUUUUCUUGGUAAGGAAAUGAUCAGUUGCAAAACCCAUGUGUGAACGAUUUGCAGACGGUGGAGGAAGCUUGCUCCAACUUGUUGCCGAGCGUGCUGUGCGAGUACCUCUACGAUUUAUCGGACCGCUACACCACAUUCUACUCUAAUUGUCAGGUGUGCAUACCCGACAUUCGAUGUUUCUAUUUAAUAUUGUGAGAUCAGACUGCAUAGCUGCAUCAUCAAUUCCAUUGAAUUUGAUUUCACUUAAAACAUUUAAUUUUUUACAGGUCAUUGGUUCUCCAGAGGAGACAAGCCGUCUCUUACUUUGUGAAGCAACAGCUGUUGUCAUGCGAAAAUGCUUCCACCUUCUUGGAAUUACCCCUGUUUACAAGAUUUGAUGCAUCCCAUCAUACUAUUAAACGACCCAAAAGACAAAAAGGGGUUUUAUCUGUUUUGAAAAUUCUUCUGCACAAUUAGUGAAAAAGGCGUUCUUUAGCUCUAAGUUUUCUCGUCUCAUUUAGGUUGGGGAACCUUGUAUACAAUUGAAUACAAUGUUAAACUGAACGCGGAAGGUCGUUUUAUCAUAUCAUUGAACUGAUUUUGGUGAAUCAUGAAAGGGGUUUAAGGUUAAUCUUGAAUCAUUUCUUAGAGAUGUGAAUGACUGAGAUUUGCCCUUGUAAUACUUUGUUAGUCUAUUCUUGACGUGGCUGUUUAAAAAAUUCGAUAUGAAAACCAUCUGUUAACAAUCUCUAUGUUUAUAGAAAUAAGAUCAAUCAAAGAGAAGAAGCAAAGUGAGAUGCGAGCAGAAAGAUCCUCAAAUGUCACUAUUACAUAUAGAUCAAAAGGACUUGAAGAUAGCACUGUGACUUGAGUGUUUUACUAUUUGUCUGAUCAUCGUUGUGGAUUUAAGCUUAAGUUAAGCUUAAGACACCUAUUCCUGUGUAGUGUUUAGCUUAAGUUAAACACGGAAAGGAUCUGCCCGCAUUUAGACCUCUUAUUCUUGCCUUGCAAAAAAAAUUGAACGUAAAAUGGCUUGUCAACCAAGUCCCAAAAUUUGUAGAAAAAAAUCAAUUUAAGGUUACUAAAUAAGAAACAUUAAAUAAAUAGUAUUUUCUAGAAAAUACGACCUUCUCUCCAAGUACUUAGUAGUCGUCGUCGUUGCUGUCUUUUGUCAAAGAGAUCCCAAAAACAUUGUACAUUAUGAAGUACAUAAAUACAUUAUUUACUUAUAUAAUUACACUCGCAUAUACUCUUAGCUAUUUUCCCAACGUUAUUGCGGCAAAAUCCGUCUAAGCCCGCCACAUGUUUGAUGAAAUUAACCUUUUUUAGCAAAACCAUCUCUUUAGCCUCAGUGGUCCCUCUCUCUCUCACUUUCUUUGGCUUUUCAUUUGCUUACCGACUCCAUGGUCAAACACUCUUUGAUCCUAUUAAAAUGGGUCGCCUUGUCUUUGAUCUACGGAUUUGAUUCCAUUUCACUAAUUAUUUCUUUCCCCUUCUUCGUUUCAGAGAUCGAGUUUCUUCUACUUUCGUAUUCAAUUUUUCGUUGACGAGUUUCCAAGUUUCCCUACAAGAAAAAAAGGAAUUCCUUUUUCUAAAAAAAAAAUAAUUAAGUUUGCCACCGAAGAGAGUUAUUUCCUUGUUCUUGCUUCGUUAUGAGUACUGUGGAAAGUAGCAAGCCGAAGAUCAUCAAUGGUUCUUGCGGUUAUGUUCUGGAAGACGUUCCUCAUCUCAGCGAUUACCUUCCGGGUCUUCCUGUAUGUUCCUCUCCAUCUCUGAUUCGGCUCUUUUUUCUUUUUCAAACUCUUGCUUUGAUCUAUACAGUUGCAAAAAGACGAAACUUGAUCUAGAUAGAUAGAUAUUUGUUCAUGUGUGUGUAUCUUAGCUGUUUAGUUUUUUUUUGGGAACUUGUGAUAGAUGAAAUGAAUUCCUCAGAUUUUGAACAACUAAGAGUAAUAUAAGAUUUCCCAAGGAUAAAAGAGGGAUUUUUUUUUGUAUUUGGAUCCCAAUGAUCAUCAAUCCGACUCACACCUGUUUAUUUUUGGUUUUAUGUUAUUGCAGACUUAUCCUAAUCCCCUGCAAGACAAUCCAGCAUACUCAGUGGUCAAGUGAGUCUUUUUUUCACGGGUAUUUAGGCAAAUAAGGUUCUUAGUUAUGUUCUAUGGUGAUUUAAUUAAUCAUUUGCUUGCAGUUGUUACAUUUUUUGUUUUGUGGAAAUUUUUCAGGCAAUACUUUGUUGAUGCUGAUGACAGUGUUCCUCAGAAGGUAUAUUUGGUUUGGAGAUUUCUAUUAAAUCCAUUGCAGCCUAAGAAUUUAGAGCUCAUGUGUCUCUUAUUGGCUCUUCUCCUUUUUUUUUAGAUCGUUGUUCACAAGGACGGUCCAAGAGGAAUUCAUUUUAGACGAGCCGGGCCACGUCAAAAGGUUUUGACUUUUGCUGAAUGUGAUCCUUUUUCUCAUUUGAAUAUGAUUUUCUGUUGACUUAGCUCUUUGCAGGUCUACUUUGAAUCUGAUGAAGUGCAUGCAUGCAUAGUUACCUGUGGCGGUCUUUGUCCUGGCCUUAAUACCGUGAUUAGGGAAAUAGUGAGCAGUCUAUCUUAUAUGUAUGGAGUGAAGAGAAUACUGGGAAUAGAUGUAAGUUUUCAUGAUUGUAACAACGUGCUUCCCGACUCGUUCAAGCUCUUGUUUGUUUCAUUUUCUCAUGCCUGAAUCUUUUUUCAGGGUGGAUAUAGAGGCUUCUAUGCUAAGAAUACUGUCUCCUUAGACUCUAAAGCUGUAAAUGAUAUCCAUAAGCGUGGAGGGACUAUCCUCGGGACCUCACGAGGUGGCCACGAUACCGUAAAGAUAGUUGAUAGCAUUCAAGAUCGAGGAAUUAAUCAGGUUUGAUGAUAACCCCCACCUUACACUGUAUUUUACUCUAAGAGUUAUAAAAAAUUAGUUCUUGAUGUUUUUGUGGUUGUUUUGUCAUCGUUCAGGUUUACAUUAUAGGAGGAGAUGGAACACAGAGAGGAGCAUCGGUUAUAUUUGAGGUAAAUCCCAAUUCUACCUUGCAAGUUUAUACCAUUUCAGAACUUACGGAUCUUUUGAUUGUAACCAUGUAGGAAAUUAGAAGACGUGGCCUGAAAGUUGCAGUUGUUGGAAUCCCGAAAACAAUCGAUAAUGACAUACCUGUAUGUAUCCCUCUCUACUCUGCUUCACCUCUAUAGAAAUAGCUAUGUUUUUUAUGUGAAGAGAUUGAGAACUUCACAUUUUUCUUUUGGCUAGGUGAUAGACAAAUCUUUUGGGUUUGACACAGCUGUAGAAGAGGCUCAGCGAGCUAUAAACGCAGCGCAUGUGGAAGCCGAGAGUAUGGAGAACGGUAUCGGCGUUGUCAAGCUUAUGGGUCGCUACAGUGGUGAGUAAUAUACUCCUCUGCUGCUUCUUUUCUCGCCUGAUCAAGCUCUUUUGUUAGAUUUAUCUCACAAGUGCGUGCAAUGCUUUAACAGGGUUCAUAGCCAUGUACGCUACUCUAGCAAGCAGAGAUGUGGACUGCUGCUUGAUUCCGGAGUCACCAUUUUAUCUGGAAGGAGAAGGCGGACUGUUUGAGUACAUAGAAAAACGGCUCAAGGAGAGUGGUCACAUGGUGCUUGUGAUUGCAGAAGGUGCAGGACAAGAUCUAAUGUCGAAGAGCAUGGAAUCUAUGACUCUCAAGGAUGCAUCUGGUAACAAACUUCUCAAAGAUGUUGGUCUUUGGCUGUCACAAAGCAUCAAGGUAUAUCAUAAAUUACAGAGAAACUAUCAAACAUUGAUGGAUAUUAUAUUAUAGUCAGACUAAACUCAACAAGUGUAAAUUUUCCUUUUUAACUUGGUCGUAGGAUUAUUUUAAUCAGAAGAAGAUGGUGAUGAACCUCAAGUACAUUGGUACGUUUCAUAUCACUUGCUGCACUCUCUCCAUUAUGAGCUUCUUGAUUUUUUUGGACUCUUAGCGCAUUUCCCUUUAAUUUUCAGAUCCAACAUACAUGAUUCGGGCUGUUCCAAGCAAUGCGUCAGACAAUGUUUAUUGUACACUUCUGGCUCAGAGCGCAGUGCAUGGUGCAAUGGCUGGAUACACUGGCUACGUCAGUGGUCUAGUCAACGGAAGACAAACCUACAUUCCCUUCUACGUAAGUUACAAAACAGAUUUGAAUGGUUUUUGGAUGGAUCAAAUUGCUAGAUUAAUGAUUAAACGGAUCAUCUAUCAUGUCAUGUCAUCAUCAUCAUUUUGUGGAUUGGUUGUGAUGUUGUAGAGAAUAACGGAGAAACAGAACCAUGUGGUGAUUACGGACAGGAUGUGGGCGAGGCUAUUGUCUUCGACGAACCAACCUAGUUUCUUGAGCCCCAAAGAUGUCUCUGAUGAUAAAGAGCAGCCAAUGUCGGCUCUCCUGGACGAUGGCAACUGCAACGGUUCGGUCGAUGUUCCUCCAGUCACCAAAGAGAUCACCAAGUAACACCGAACCUAAAUAUAUGAUGAUGAUAUGUCUUUAUGUUUAGCCUUUAGGUAGUAAAGCAAAUAAUUGGGCUUAUCGGUUUGACCCUUCCCCCAUGGCAUAAGAAAACAUUGUUUUGUUUAGAUGCCUCCUCAUGUUGUAAUUUUCCAUAAUCUACGUUCCAUUUUUACUGAUUCCACUUCUUUCAAUUUAUAUCGAACUAGUAAAGCAAUAUCAUAUAAUAGUUUUUUGUUCAUACUUGCACCAAAAUUUCUUAAGUUGAUUAAAAACUAGCUUUCGAGCUGAUCAUUAUAUAAAUAGAUCAAGUUGUGUAAAAUGUGAUGGAGUUAAGUAAACCGUUUAUGAUCAUGAACUGAUAUCCAAUUAACACAUAUGAAAACAGCUAUACAUGGAUUCGAACCAUUGAUCUGAUGUCCAGUGAAUUUUAUCACACCACUGAAUUACAAGCUGAUUAAAAACCAAUUCCAAGCUUCUCACUAUGUAUACUAUGAUGGAGUCAACCUUUGAAAACCAGAACUGAUCUCCAAUUAAUGCUUGGGAAAACAGAAAUGCUUUUGGCCCAUCAACAUACAUAAAUGUUUAAAGAUAUGAAAAAAUACAUGGAUUUGAAUUAUUGCUAUGUGCGAAUUUGAUCAUACCACUGCAAUACAAGUGUGUUUUCACAGCUCUACUUGGCACCUAAAUAUUAUAUAUGUUUCAUGGAAUUCAGCUCAGGGUCAGCCUCGGCACUGUUUAGAACUGAAUACGCUGUUUAUAUUUACUAUUAUAGAUUUAGGUUUCUAAUUAAUUUAGAUGUUAGUUAGUAGUCAGGGUUGAAAUCUAUAUAAUAUAUAGAUUAUUACUAUUGAGUAUUGACACAGUUGAAAUAAAAGAAAAGGGUAAAUCGAAAAAAAAAUAUAAGCAAAACAUAUACAAAGUAUGAUAAAUAAAAAGGAAAAAUAACAAAAAAGCAUGUCAUGUUUCCCUAAUGUUUUGCUAAUUUAUAUAUAUAUAUAUAUAUAGUAUUUUUUGGCCAAAUUAUAUAAUAUGAUCUCUUUUUAAGUGGCCUUUUUAAAAUUAGAGAUCCCAUAUAAUUGUCAUAACAAUGUCUUCAGAAUCGACUAUGUUCAUUGCUACUUUUUUUCCUCCACAUUUCACCACUUCAAGCUCUCCGGAAAAUACUGUAAAUUUUGAAAAUUAGAAUAGAGAAAAGUAAGCAAAUCAUUUAAGAAAUAUACAUCUGCAUUACAAUAAUUAUUAAUGUACAAUUACUUUCUUAUGAAAAGAACAUGCAAUAUAUACUCACUUUUUUUAUAAGAGACAUAUAGUAGGGCUUGACCUUCUCCACAUCAACGUGAACUUUGCUCUUACUGUACAAGUCGUACUGGCUGUAAGAUCAAUUAUAUACAGGAAUUUAGAGGUUGUAGUUAUUAGGAAUUUAGGAUUAAGACUCAAUCAGUUAAUCAUGUUUAAGAAAUGUAAUUACUUGAAAACGUGUAGCCACUUCAGGUUCCUUUUGUCUUCCUCAUUCAUAAGAUGGGUGUAUUCUCCAGCCGUGUGCAAUGCUGUAGAUAUGUAAUUAACAUUAAAUAUUAAUUUAAAAUGUUAUUUAUAAUCAUAUUUUGUUGUUUUAAUACUGAAGUGCUUACGGUAAAAGGAAUGGUAUCGUAUGAUGAACUGUCCUGCAGACGGUAAGGUGCUUCUGUUCUCUUUAACCACCUGAGAAUAUAUUAUUUAACCAUCAAUUAUUACUCACUUUACAUUAUUCAAAACAGAUUAAUUAAAUUUUACUACAUUUAAUUAGCAAUGAAAGUAAAUAACUAAUUAAUUACCAUGUACAUGUAGUCGUCAUGGCCCCAUGACAUCAUGACAUUGUUUAAUCCACAUCCUUCAGUGUAUAUCCCAUUUUUAGUGUUGUAGGCUUGGUUAUGAAAAUCUGGAUUUUCCAGAAAAUACUGCAAAAGAAAAGGUAUAUAUAAUUAAUGUGAGACAGUAAAUUAAUCGUUUUUUUGGUAUAACUUUUAAGAACAAGUAUUAUAUCAUCAGUCUAAGACUAAUUUCUUAAAUUCAUAAAUUUAUAUUAACAAUUUAAUAGAUUGAGUCUUUUCUACCUUGUGGUGUACGUUAGAUUCAUCAAAGGCACACCCAACAGGGAAUGUGUCACCUGCAAGUUUUUGUAAGAAACAAAAAAAUUAAUAUCAUAUAUAGUUGGGAAUAAUUUAAAUAUUGAUCACAAAAUUUAGUUUAAAUUACCGACAGUGGCCCAUUGAGGAAGUCCUCCGAAUUGUGGAAGAGUAAUAACCUUCCCAAGAUCUGAUCAUCCAUUAAAUAAUUCAAGUGAUGAUUAAUUAUGAUACACAGCGACAUGGAUUGUAUCCAAUUCACGGUACAAAGCUAAAUCGAAACCAUUACGGAGAAAAACAUAGAUAAAAAGCUGGAUAAAAAAAUAGAUCAGUUUGGUAUUAAAUUUGAAGUAAUUGUGUACCUACCUAUCUAAAAUAAAAGAUUAGAUAGAUAAAUCAUAAAACCAAUCAUAUAAAGAAUAAAAUUGCAACAAAAAAAAAAAGUUGACAACCUGAAGUCUGAAGAUUUGAUUUCAAUUCGCUUUCUACAUAUCCGAUUCUCAUUUUAUAUAUUUUUUGGAACAAAAAUAAUGAUUCUCAUUUUAUUUCAUAAUUCAGAAGAUCUAAACAAAAAACCAAAUUAUAUAUACUCUUAUAGUUAAAACAAAUUACCAUGAAUAAGAGCGGUUAGAUGAAGCCAGUCUUCAUUAGGAUAAUCUUUGCGGAUAGCUUCGGCAGAUUGAAGCAAAUGCUGAAUCUGAGGCUCGUCAAGAUCUGGAUCACUUUCGUCCACCACCUCGUUAAGGAGCUCACAACAUUCCCAAAUGCUCAUCACCUUUUUAUCUAAUUUUCCAUAUUCAGCCCUCAUCUUUUUCACCUAUAAAAUACAUUUUCAUAUAUUUCCAAAUAAGUAAAUAUCAAUAGAAAACACAUGUAUAUAUAUAUAUAAAGAUAGCUUUUCUCUCUUCUGGUGCUGCCACCUCAGCAGCCACCUUAGCAGCCAUUUGUGCAAUUAUUUUUUUAAAAAAACUUUUGCUUUGUCCGAUUUCUCUAAUUACGGCAAAUAAUGAAACACUUUAAAUAAAUCAAAUAUCACACUACCAUAAACUAAAAUUAAACAAAUCAUAUGAACGACAACAAUCACGAAAUCACCAUCAAAAGGGAAUUGCAUAAACAGAUUUUUCGACGAAAGUGAUAUUUUCCAGAAAAAAAAAACUCAACUCAGCUCAGCUUAACCAUAAACGCUGGACUUUCUACCAAUCCCAAAAAGGAUCCAUGAAAUCCACGCCAAAUUGGAGUCACCAAUGACACACCCAAAAAACCAAUUCCAAAGUUGAGAAACCGAUCAGCUCCCCAAUAUGAUGACAAAUAGAGGUAUAUCUAAGAAAUUAUGGAGAGGGGUUAGACCGGCACCGAUUCUGGAAAAAAAACACCGCAAGAGUGGAGGAUACCGUCACUGAAUCAUCCAAGGAAGAAAGAGAAGGAAGAUGAAAAAAUGACUCAAUUAGAGACCAAAGUAAUGGAUAUGAACAAAAGGUUGGUCCGACCAAAAUUUCAAUCACCCUCUUUCAAAGGAAGCACCCUCUAUCAUUAAACCAAAAUUCCAACAAUAAAAGGGUUUUGCCAACAUUUGAGAGAGCUACACGACUUUGUAUAAUCAAAAUGGGAUUUCAUAAACAUCGAACGAACAAAGAAAUAUAGCAGAAAAAUGAGCCAAUAUAAAAUAAUACAAAAAAUUAAAGACUAAAAAAAAAACUUUCACAUUAACCAUUCAAACCCGAUUUCAAUAUAGACAUAUUGUACUUCUACUGACUCAAGGCCUUAUACAAAAUAUACUAACGGAGAAAGUGUUUUCACAAUUACAAAUUAAAAAAACAAAGAAACAAAUACUUCAGAAACAAAAAUAAAUUAACAAGAAUAAACAUAACACUUCCAUAACAUAAACAAAAAAAUUAUAAAAAAAACAACCCCGAAUAAUACCUUCUAUAAGAGACAUAAAUCCCCGAGAUAUAAAACUAUAAAAAAAGGAAAAAACACGUGUAUAAUAUAAUAGAGAAGAAUUAUAACAUAAAAACAAUGGAAAAACGCCUGCGCGUAGCACGGGUCUAGUAUUCUAUGUAGAUCACAUAGAUUUAAUUCAAAUGAAUACAUAAAGCGUAUUUGCACCCGAAAAACAUAUAAACCGUAAUCAGUUUUAGGAAUCUUACAAAGUCGACAGUUUGGUUAAUAUGUUGUAAACUGUAAAACUCUUCAACACUUUUCUGCCUUUCACUCUUAGCAUCGUAGUCCCUGCGACCAUAACACCAGUGUAUGCAUAUUAUGAUCAAGUCAAGGGCUAUAUCUGAAUUCUGACCAAAAAUAAAUCUAAAACUCGGUUUUUGUGUUUCUGGAUUAGUUAGAUUUAUUAUAGAUGGUAGAAUAAAAACCUGAAUUGACGGCCGAAUGCAUUCAUUUCAGGUGCCAAGAGCGCUACUUCUUCUUCAGUAGCUAUGUUUGGCAUCGAAAAUCUUCCAUCUGAUCUUAACUCUCCGGUUUUGUCUUCGUUCUUGUCUGUGACUUGGAACGAAUAUUAAAAUAUACAUCAGAAAACUUCGUUGAAUAAUAUUGGGAUUUGGGGAAAAAAGAUUCAUUAUUUUUUUUUUUCCAAAAAAUUGUAUUGCGUUUUCCCCGAACUUCAUUGCUUUUACUAGAAAAUUCAAGUUUGUUACAGUGAAAAAAAUCCUAUAAAUCGUUGUACACAUAAAAUUAUAUUUGCUCAAAGCCUUUUUUUUUAGUCAUUCUCUUUCCGCCUGAUUUUUUUUUUUAAACAUCUUCUUUCCGCCUGAUAAUCAGUGCAUUGCUUGGAAAAGUUGGAAAAAUUAAGAAAUUGGGAGAAUAUUUACUCACCAAAUAUCGGCUUCUCAAUAGAGAUCGUCAUAGUCGAAGAACGGUUUUAAAGAGAGGAAACGUAAACGAAAGAGACGAUGGGAGAUAGAAAAUAUACUUUUGCGAUGAAGACUUGACGAGUUUAAAUUGGACUUUAGCGUAUUUAUAGUGUGGUGGUGGAUUAGUAUCAAGAUUGUCCUUGAUAUUUGGCGAAAAUCUUAAGUCCUUGUCAGCAAUUAUGUAUUUCUAAAAACAGUUUGUUUUUUAUAUUUAUCCAAACCAGAAACGACUUUCUGUUUUUUUUUUCUUUUUUUUUUUGGUAUUGUCUAAAGUUAUUUAUCAUCCAAAGUUUACGAUAAGAAAAUUUAUGCUAAUUUUAAACUGUGUUUCUUUUUUAAUUAUUAUUUUGACCGUGAUUUUAAUUAUUUUAGAUAGGAAUCGAUAAUUUCCUUUCUGCUAUAUUGAUUGUAUUUUCCUUUUGAUUUAUGGAUGUAAUUAACUAGAAAACGUUUGUCAGAAUUACUUUCUUUGAAAAGUUUUCAAUUCAGAUACUGUUGGUAAGGACAUUUAAACUUCCUAAUAAAAGGAACCUUAAACCAAAACAGAGAGUUUUGUCCUUAACCCUUACAUAUGCAUGAGUUCUGUCCUCAAAACUCAAAAGUAUACACCAUAAAAAAAAAAAACUCAAAAUGUAUGAACAAAGUGUUAGCUUGAUUGUAGCUGGUAAUACAAGUCAAGGCGUCCCUAAAAUAAAGCUGCCAUUGACUCAGCAUUACGUGGCCAAUACUUAUAUAGGUUAUCUCAAUCCUACCUAUUUGCAUUUCCACACAUGCAUGACGAAAUAUAUAUCUACUCAUCAUAUUCAACAUGUAAUUCACGUACUUUUAACUUUUGCUUUAAUUUUCCUUUUAAAACGGGAACUAGAAUAAAACAUGGGAGGGAAUGGAUUUUCCAUCCCAAAAAUGGACAGGCCUACGUUUGAGUAUAGCAAAAGAUGGUUUACUUAAGCCGGUCUCGUUUAUUACGGUUUUAGAAGAUACGAUGGUUUACGGGUUAUCGUAGGGAUCGUCUUAUUAUAACGUACACUGGGCUCUAAAUGGGCCCUGACUGAAAAGUGUUUUUUUCGGCUGGAGAAACUUUCGUUGAAACUUGAAUGCUCCGUAGACAAUAAUCUCCAGGCCGUUGAAGAUUUCCUAAUUCCUGUCGAUCUAAAUUCUGCGUUUCUCUGAGUUUUGCAAUCUAAUUACGUUUCCUCGUGAAGAAAAAUCGAUGAAGAAGCUAGCGAGAACAUGGCGGAGAACUCGUCGCGGCGACGAAGAUGAUAAGUUCGUCCUUCCUACUUCAGACGACAUCGAUUCUCGGCCGAUUGAUACGCAAGGUUUUUUUCUGUCGUCCUGUGAAUUGAUAGGCAGAUUCGUAAAGCAAGUUCGUAACACUUUCUAGCUACAUUCGCUGUUAUACAGAGCAAGAGGAGUACGUUCGGUCACUCGAGGAAGCUCACGCUCAGCAAAGUCGGCAAUGGAGGGUAUGAUCGAAGAACAGUAUCCAAAUAUGAGAGUUCUGUUUCUAAUUAAGAAGUCUAUAUUCCUAUUUUUGUGUAGAGCGUGUUCGCGGUUCUUCUGUUAUGCUAUGGAGCUUUCCUCUUCUACUCCAUUUUUCAGCAGUUCAUGUCACCAUGGGAACUGGUAUGAUAAUCUCUCCCUAAAUGUGUCCUUGCUCGUCUUUGUAGCACUUCGAUUUUGAUCGAUUAGUUUUCUUUCUUAAGAUAGAUAUGAAGCCUCUUGUUCAUAUCAAAUUGAGUCCAUAGUUGAUGUUCCGAUCAGAUCCCUUGUCUUCAUUUGAAGUGAGAUCUUUGAUUUCAAUAGACGAACUUGAAAUUAAAACGUAAGAACUUAAUCUGACUAUGGACAGCUAAUAUUUUACUGAAGUGAUUUCACUUAUUACCUUUGUAUGAUCCCGCCAGUGUAUAGAGUUAUGUGCACUUAUUUUGCUUUAGACGUACAUAUACAAAUGUCUCUUUGAUUUAAGGUAUGUAUAUUGUACAGUCUGUAUUUUUAUGAGUUCUUAGGUGAUGCCUUUUUUUUCCGAGCAGCGUUAUCAUGCCUACUUCAUGGAAGAUCUCAACUCAUGGAUGGUCAUUUCAGCUGGUUUGUCUUUCAUCUUUGUGUUUUUACUUUGUAGUCACAGUCUAUAACAUCUGUCCUGUCAUUCAAUAUGGUGGUACAUCCAAUACUGAGCUUGUGUGGAAGUUUCUGUGUAAUCUCUUGUGUCAAUAUGGGAAAGAAACAGAUAUGUUAGAUGCAUGUUACUCAAAUGCACACUUUCAUAUGGUCAAUUUCUGGCUGUAAUUCCUGAGUAUCACUUUCAUAAGAGAUGAAGUAAGGAAUAGUGUAGAAUGAGAACUAGUGAUUGCUUUUUCAGUGUUUUGGACCUUAGGUAAGUAAACUGCUUCCCUCCUAGUAUAGUUACUAGAACCAAUUUAUGGCCAUACUGAAACCUCAUUUCUAUGAGAAGACUUUGAUGUGCUUGGUUUCCUAUUCAUUUUUUUCUAAGUUUUCACAUGUUAUUUGAUUCUUAUAGCAAUAAGAAAACUUUUAUGACCGUAUUUGUGUAUCAGAGUGGAUCGCUAUCAUGGCUUGCUGCCUCUCAAUCGUCGGGCUACUAAAUAAGAAGAAUGAUCAUAGACGGUGGUUCUGGUACUCAUGUGUUCCUGGAUCUGCGUUGACCAUCUUUUGGCUAUAUUACUUGCUGAGGUACAGUUGAGAGUAUAUAUUUCAUCACUUCCGAUACCAUAUUACAUCUUCGACGGAAAAAAAAAAGAUACCAUUUUACAUUUGAUAGACCUUCAGAAGUACUACUACUAUUAGAGUGAAGAGAAUAUAAGAGUGCACUUAAUCUUAAUAUAGAGCUCCAGAGAUGCUGGUUCAUGGAUUAUAAUGCAGAUUUUAGUACCAGUAAUCCUUGUGCUAAUAAUCCGUGCUCUGUAGAUUUGUGCUAAUAAUCUGUCUCACACGUGUUUUAGGCUUCCGAAGUUCCGGUGGGAUGCUAUAUGGAUGCCAUUUGGGCCGCUUUGGUAUGUGCAUCUAUCUGGUACAUAUAAUUAUAUAUAUCCUGUGUGUGUUAACACUAAUGUUUAUAUAAACUUUACUGUAUUUUAAAAUUGAAGCUUAGCUGGAACUUGUCUAUAUGUGGACCAUCUACUGGAGGAGUCUUCUGAAGAAGUGAAAAAACUAAGGAACUAUAUGUAUGCAUAUAAAGCAAGGUAGAGAUAUAAAGACAUCCCAAUACUCUUCAGAGUAUAUUUGUAAUAGCAAGAGUGCAAGUUUUGACUCUACCAUAACUAAAGAACCAUUCAUCUUUUGCUAAACACUCAGGUUCUAUAUUGUGUAAAUACCCAUGAUCGAGUCAAAAGUCAAAACUAGAUUCAAGGUUAUAAAGGCAAAUCAUGAGGAUAUUGCAGUUUACGCAGGUAAAAAAUGCGAUUAGUUCCCUUUGUGUACAAAAUUAUUGAUUCAUCAUACAAUUCACUUAAAAUUUAGUACAUAAAUAAACUCAUAGCUGCAGAUACGAUCAUGAAUAAGCUAAGUUGUCGUAUUGAUCGACUCCAUCACAAGACACACAGAUUCUGUCUUGCUCGCAAUCCAUGGAGUGAAAAAAUUUCAAGAAGAUUAAUCUCUCUAAUAACUGCAUCCACUGAUUCAAAGUCACUACAUAGCAAAAAAUCAAAACUAAAAAAAAUCUGGUAAGAGGUUACAAGUUUGACUAAUCCUCUUCUUCGAUGACUUUAGUGCCAAGGCCACCAAGUCCUUCAGCAGGGAUUUCAGCAACAGUGACAAGGGAGAAGAACUCUUCCUUAGCGUCUUCGUCAUCGUUUCUCUUACGAGCAAUUCGGACUCUGAUCCUCCUAGGUGGACCUCUGAUACCUCUGCUCCAAAUCUGCUUGUUCAGCUUCACAUCCACUCUCACAUCCUUUGUCCCCAUCGCCUUCUCUGCAAACUUCCUUAUCUCCUUUAUCGCCUUUGGAGCCUUCUUCUUAAAGGUACUGUUUUACACACAAAUUCCAACUUUUUAACAUCAAGCUUUCAAAAAGGUCACAUUCAUAGCUUGAGUGCACAACUCGAAUUACAACAUUGGCUUAGAGCUUGAUAGUGAGAUUUCUACUUAAUAACACGCAAUUUCCAACUGCUAACGAAUUUGACGAAACCAUCAAACAGCUAAAAUUUUGAACUACCUGAAGGGCAAAUCGAAGCAAAAUUGUGUUUAUUUGGGAACUUACCAGCUAUGAAGGCGUCUGUGAAGGUUGAUGGUGUACUCUCUGGUCACCACCUCCUCUUUCCUUCCCUUCGUCUUCUCCGACAUUGUAGCUCCCUGUUUCUCUGUUCAUCCAAAAUCAAAUUGGUUACAAUACGAUAGAUUCUCUAUCUGUUCUUUAAGCCGAUCAGCUUAUUGUUUGCUCAGUGCGUCAUUUGAUUGCCCAAUAAAAUGAAGGAAUAUGAAGAAUACUAAGACUGAAUAGAGAGAGAGAGAGAGAGGGGGGAGAGAGUACCUUCGUUACUCCAGGAACGCCGAAAGACAGACGGCGGAUGCGGAGGAGGAGUGGCUUAUAUGCGGCGCUUCGUAGGAAGAAGAACUAACCCUAGUCGAUUCAAUGGGCUUUCUAAUUUUCUAUGUGUAUCUCUUUAUGGCCCAAUUCAGUCAGAGUUUCUGAGCUCACCUUUUUCAUUUACAUAAGUAACAUUCACGGCUUAACGAUUUUUAAUUUAGAAAAGUAACAUUCACGGCUUAAGCAAUGUGGGCGUUUGGUCUAGUGGUAUGAUUCUCGCUUUGGGUGCGAGAGGUCCCGAGUUCGAUUAUCGGAACGCCCCAUUUUUAAUUUUUUGAACGCAACUUUCAGAAUUCGAGUUUUGCCAAAAUCCCCUAAAGCUAGCUAUCACGACCCACUCAUUAAACGAGUUGAGUGUUGCUUCGUAACUUUUUAAAAUCUACAAAUUUGCAGAAAUUUCCAAACUUAAUAAGAGAUCAAGAGAGAACAUACAACGAGUUUAGUGUGUUUCUUGGUUUGUUCCUCUUUAUUGAAUAUAUUAGUCUCCUCUCAUUCACAGAAGAUCAAGAACAAUGAACAACAACGCUUUGGCAACACAUCAUAGCUCAAUAUAAUCUCCUGCAAAUAGUGAUCCCAUCGCCAAGCGCAGCUUGCGAGAUCUGCACACGCUGAUCAGCCGAGAGUUUCUGGUUCAGCUCGAGGGUUGCUUUCUUGCCUUCUUUCCUCCACUCGGGAAUGGAAGAGUGCUGUUCAGCAACCAAUCCUCCCCAGAGAGUGUUGUCAUACACUAUAAUCCCACCAACCUUGAUGAGUCUCAUAAGCCUCUCAUGGUAGUUCCAAUGAUUCACCUUGUCUGCAUCCACAAAUGCAAAAUCGAAUCCACCUUCGUUCGCUUUCUGCAUCAGAAACAUCAAUACACAAAGACCAUCUCAGGAUAAAUAUCGAUUGUUUCUACCGCUAAAGUUGAUCCUCUUGGUGAAAAAGAAACUAGAAAUGAUCAAAUGUGGUUUCGACGAAGUGGGUAACAAUAAAGGUACACACUUUGAGCAAUAUAUAGACGCUGUGAAAGUGGCAAAUAAAGAAGUAUGAAGCUAUACAUCGUUUAAAAGCUCGUCAAGGACUGGAAGAGCUUUAGACUCUCUGAAAUCGAUUUUGUGUUCAACACCAGCUUUCUUUAUAACAGGCAAUCCUAUUUCAUACGAUUCUCUGUUCACAUCAAUGGCGAUAACCUGCAGAUCUCGUGUACUAAAUCAGUAGCAGAAACGAUACAGAAGCAGAACAAUGGAAAAGCUUCAGUCUUUUUCUUGGUCAUAUGUACACAUACCUUGCCAUCUUCUGGUAAUGCAAGCGCAGUGAGGAGAAGAGAGUAUCCAGUGAAAACCCCAACUUCGAUCGUCUUCCUUGCAUUUACCAGAUUCAACAGCAUCCCCAUCAACUGGCCAGCGUCAGGUGCAGUAGCCAUCAAAGCUCGAGGGUGGUUAUGAGUAAUGUUCCUAAGCUCCUUGAGAGCCUCCGGCUCGCGUGGGUACACACUGGUCUCCAAUAUAUACUGCAACAUUUUACAAAGAAAGGGUAUCAGAGAAAUGGAGAGUCUAAAAGAAGAAAUCGGAAAUGUGAGAAAACCGUAGAGAAAGUGGAGCACACUUUAUAGAGCUCUUCACUCUGCAGCAGUCCCUUGGAAAAAUCUGAUGCCUUGGCUUCAUCCUUCGCCAUUGUAAUCACAGUCGUCUUCCCCAAUCACAGACACUCAAGUAGCUGGCCAAGGAAUAGGGCAUAAGUUAUAAUGACCAUGACAUAAAUCAAGACAUUAUGUAAAGGAUAAGGGUUCUUUUGAUUUUGGGCUAGUGAAAUUUACAAUCUUUCUUCUGAAAUUGACGAUCUUUUUUAGUUUUCAAGGAAAAUCUUGUAAAAUGAAAUAGAGGUACAGCAUAUGAGUCUGUUCAUAAUAUAUAAGUAAUAUAACAUCGGUAAAUAGCAAAAUUGAUCACAGAUUAUAGCCGGACAAUCCUAAACACAGGUUCGAUACGAGGUUUUCCUAUCAGAAACAGGUUUCUAAAGUCUGAACCCUUAGAUCAGCCCAGCCCUUCAAAGUUGGACGUCAACAUUCUCUACCGUUGAUCAAAGCACACUUAAUUUUUUUUUAAAAAAAAAAGCACACUUAGUUACUUCGUAGACUAUCAAAUGUUAUGGUCAAACACUCAGACAGAAAGGGACAACUACAACGACUCACGAUCUAAAACUGUUUACGCGAUUGACGAAAACUUACUACAGAGAGAAUAAGAUUUAUAAUGAAGAACGAUCGGGAGAGAGGGAGAGUACUCGAGGGCUGAAAGUCUCAGUUUCCGAUCUUCUACUACAAUUCUGACUGAUGCUUCUACACUGAUCAGGUUUGACUUUAUGCGAAAUUGCGAAAGACAAUGACAGAGAAAACGUUUUAAAAAACACCUAACAAUUGUCAAAAUGGGAUUUUCUUCCCUUUUUUAUAAAAAAGAAACUACAAUGAAAGGCAUGCAAAAUGGCAUUUUUUCACCCUUCUCGGGUAAGGAAUGAGACAUCUUACCCACCCUUCUCUGGUAAGGAAUGAGAACGGUCCAAACCUCAUUUGAAAUAAAUAACGAUGGUGAUACACCACCAGAAAGAUGUUUCAAAGAACUAUGCUUUUUUUCAAUUUAAAGAAAAAGGUGCCAUGCUUGUGAAAAUGGGUCAUUCACACAAUGAACCUAAAAAGGCAAACCAAAACCAAACAUGUUGUCGACUGAUAUUAUUAGAGCUAGCAUGAGCGAUGAUGCCUCAGCUUCUCAAAACUGUGUGUAUUAAUUAUCCAGAGACAGAAAAGAAAAUAACUUUUUGCUUCUAAUGUCAGCCGUGAGAUCGAUAAUAAUCCGCCAGUUUAUGAUAUAAAAAGCUUUUCAGAGUUCAAUAGUUUAAAGGCAUCUUUUCUUGCUUAUGGGGUUGCUUUGGUUUCUUCAAGGGUAGUAGCCGGUGAAAGUGAAGCCUCUUCCAACAAUCUCACCUGCACAGUACCAAGCAAAGCACUCAAGACCAAAAAGUGCUGCAAUUCCAGCAUCUUCAACCUUCAAAUCAGCCCGAUUCUUCCACAAGCCCUUCACGUGAUCAACUUCCUUCCAGAACGACUCAGAACGUCCAGGAAUGCUGCCAAUCCACAUAAACAAGUCAGCCACAGGAACAAAUAACAAAUAAGAAGUACACUUCUUAAAUAACAUAUCUACAAACACUGAAAAAUAACAACUAAACCUACACCAAAACCUCUCUAUAAGCAUUGAAAUGUUGGCAUCUAGCUCAGAUGCAGCAAAGAAGAGACCGUAAUUAGGCAUGUGGUGAAUUCAUAGCUCAGAACGAUCAAACCUAGAAUGUAGAGUUCAAGUAUUCUUUCAUUACGGAGCGAACCAUCCCUAAACCUAAUAGAUAACGAGCCAAGGCUAUCUGCAUCAUUUAAGAUCCCUACCAAACCAACCAUGGAAUAGAAACAGAAACCAAGCCGCUAUUUACACUUUAGACAAUAAUAACAACAGGCAAAAACAGAGAAGCUUUAAUCUUUACUACAAGAAGAAAGCUAUCAAACAGCAGUGCUUAGACACAAUAUUGUAACAAAGUCUACCCUGCAAGAAAUCCUGCUACCACGCAAUUUCUUAUCUAACAAACACAUCGUCCAGGAUCACAUAAGAGAGAUAAAGGAAAGAUUAAACCAACCUAGCAAGACGAGUGUAAAGAAGCUGCUUAGACAACUCAUUGCAUUUCUCUACAGUGGCUGGCUCCUGGAUAUACUGCUUGUUGUUCUCCAUCAACUGUUUGUAGUAAGUUGUGCCGUGCUUGGACACAAACUUGGAUGCUUCACAGGCCUUGGAUUUCAGCUGUAGCAACUUGGAUGCCAUCUCUCAAACCUCUUUUCUAAGCCACAAGACAAAUUGGAUUCACAAAUUAAAAUAGGAGCUAGUGGAUGCAGCCACUAUGGGACAUGAUAUAGGAUCUAUCUAAGGGAUAACAAGGUACUAAAAGUAAAUUCCAAUUCCAAUAUCAAAAGAAUUAAGCUUCAAAAAUUAUAACAGACACGACAAAACAAAAGCAUUUGUACGUGACGAAUUCAGAAAGAUCAAAAUAGCUCGACCUAAAAUAAAUGUCGACCAAAACAAACCCUUAUCAUCGAUCAAUUCCAAAUAUUGAACAAUCACAUUGUCGCUAUUAAGCACACACUCAAUCAAAACGCGCAUCAAAGUAAGCGACCCGAAACCACAGAUCUAUCAGUCAAAUUCCCAAAAGGGAAAAAGUGGAAAAGAAGAGAUGAAACUUCAAAACAAAUAGAAAAAAGGUAUUGAAGGUCUCAAACCUUGCUGAUUUCGCCGGCGGAGGAGAUUGAACUGGUGUGUCACCGUUACCGGAGAACGAGAGCGCCUCUAGACUUGGGAGUUUUUGGGGUUUUGUUACCACUUCUUCCUGAGGUUUCUCCGAUAAUAACAGGAUGCAGAAGAAACAAAAAAAAAACAAACAAGGCGGGCCUUAUAUGGGCCUUCAGUAAUGUCUUAAUAGCCCAAUAUAGCAAAUAACUUUAUUUAUUUAUUCUAUGUGUAUAUGUUAGAAUUUUUUUUUUUGACAUACAACUUUUAAUGGGACAUCAUUUUGAGAUUACAAGGUGAUGAACAAGUUGAAAACGCUUCUAGCGAGCAAUUUUUCUUUAAAAAAAAUCCCAUGUUUUAUUAAUAUCAUCUUUAUCCACUUCAAAAUGAGAGGUAAAAGGUUUGUUAUUUUUUUCUUACACCAAAUAUAUAUGAAAAAAGCAAUGACACUAAUAUCGGGUUUCAAUUGAUGUGAGGUCUCAAAACACUUACAAUAUUCACCAUUAUUAGCCUACACAAUUUGUGACUAUUAAGUUUUAAUUUAUGUGUAUUUCAAAAAGUAUUUUCUAAAUUUGUAUCUCUUAUCACAUAAUAUUUUAUCCGCAUUAUUUACUAAUCCGCAAAAAUCCAUAAUAUUUAUUGUAUCAAUAUGUAUCAUUAUCUUGAUGUAGAAACAAUAAUGAUUUAUUUUGAUCAACCAAAAGACCAAGAAAACUUCCUCUACUUUCUCUUUUUAAAUCGUUAAAAAUUUUUUUAUCUUUUUAACAAAAUAGGACAACUUUUGUCAUUCCAAUUGCAUUCCAAAACUUACCAAUCAGACAUCAUCCGCAAUUUCAAUAAAUUUAAGAAAAACAAAAUACUGUGUACAAACUACUGAGCGAGCGAGGAACACAUGCAGUGUCCCACCAAAUUUUUUUUGAAACAAAAGGAUAGAAGAGAAUCAAAAACAAUGUAGCGUUCUUAUUAUUGAUUAUAAAAAUAAAAAUAAAAGACGUACAAAUGCACGGAGAUGGUAGAGGGUGUCAUUGACACAUCAGUCUAAUUAACAAACACAAGACCAAUUACACAAUCUCAAAAAACAUUAUGAAAAAAAACUUAAAGCGGUUGCUACGUAUAAUUUUGAUAAAACUAUAUAUAUAGCUAAACCUUUCUGAAGAAAAAAAAGUGAUUUAAGAAGGCCUCCACAUUGCAAGUUUGGUUAUGCGGCGCAGGGGGCAAGGUUCGUAAGACCAUCACCACCAGUUUCCUUGGAAGCUAAGGCUCCAAUGAUCGGGUUGGGGUUUAACUUUGAUUCAGUCUCGACAAAGUUCUUGUAGUCCAAACUCGAAUCUUCGUAAAUCUCCCACCAUUUCUUCACCAACAUUUUUACGUCUUCUCGAUCCAUAUGUUCAUCAGCUUCAUUGUAUUUCCAAGGCUUAGAACCCUAUAAAAUUUAUUGAAAGUACAAAAAAUUAGUAAUAAGAAUAUAUACGACAUACUGUAUAUGGCCACAACAAAAAAAAAAAUUUAAAAGAAAUAAACAAAAUAAAACGUACAUUAGCACAGUAAUGAACAACGCUGAUCUGAUCAAGAUCAAAUCUUUCAGGAUGACGCCAAAGCAUGGCUAUUAUGAGAUUGGCUUGUAAAUGUCUCUAAAGUACACAUUAAGAAAAUCCUACCAAAAGUAAACAAUAAUAUUAGAAUUACAAAUUAAAGAAAACUCAAAUCAUAUAAUUAAAAAAAAAAAGACCUGCUCGGCGAAACAGGUCGGCGUAGUGACUUGAACAACACGAAUGAGAUCCUCGUAAGUGGCAAGAUUUGGUUCAAAAACCAACAUACCAGCGUUGAAAUACAACGGUGGAGGAGAACCAUGGGUUUCCACUGGCCACGUCACCUUUUCCGGCGACUGUUGACAAUAACCGAUCUUGUACUGAGGAGUUGUACACCAUGAUAUCUCGCAGAAGCAAUCUAUGACCGCGUACAGGCUCCGCCCAAGUGGAUAGGGCAGAGAGGCGAUGGCCCAUGGGUCUAAUCUCAUUUUCAAAAUUUUUUUUUAUAAAAAAAACUAUUUUAAAAAAAAAUUAAUAUAAAUUCAGCCCAAAAAAUACAAUAUUUAGUACAAUUUAAGGUUUUUACGAAAAAAAAUUUAUGCAAAGGCCCAAACAGUUUAAGUUUUAUAUAAAUUAGACCUAAAUUAUUAAUUUUUUUGUAUAUAAAUUAAUUAAGGGGCCCAAAAUUUUUUUUUUGCCCUAGGGGUUAAAAACUGGACCGGGGCUGACCGCGUACAAGUAGCCACAAGGAGCAUCGAAAAGAUGAUCGAUGUUACUAAACACUUGUAUGUCUCCAUCUAGAUAUAUCACCUUCUCAUACUCCACGAACUGCGUCCAAAUUUGUGAAAUGUAAUCAGUUGUCAAAUCUACAUGCAUGGGCCGGCUAUGACGUAUGCGAUAUAUACAUUAUCUUUAAUUAUUAUAUAGUAACUUUCGACAUACAUAAUAGUUCAUUUACGUCAUCAUGUAAGUAAGAUUUGUACCUCCCAAAUACGAAGCUAAGAGUAGUUGAGAACGAAAUAGGCCAUGGAAUAACCGGCUGGGUUUUCCGGCGGAUGAACCGGUUCGAUCUCACGGAUGAUGCAUCCUUGAGCCACAAGGAUCUGACGAUGUUCCUCUGGCACGUCUGGGAGAAUCGCCACCACAAGAGGAUAAGCCGAUUUUACCUUACGAAGUCCUUUGGCUAGACCAACCACACCCAUCCAAUAGUCUUUAUUUCCGGCGAGGAAAGUGACGUAAGCCAUUUUCCCACUGUUAGGGCUCACUACCACAUCAGCUUCUGGACGGUCAUUGUCAUUUGGGCCAUCUCAAACGAUUUGAAAAGAUUAGAAGAUUUGAAAGAUAUGAACUUUUUUGAACUUGUUAUUUUGAGGUAUAAGUGAAUGGAAGAUAAAAGAAAUUAUCUCAUUAUAUAAGGGGGCGAGAGAGAAGAGUAAUUAAAUGAGAUGGAUAAUUAAUUAUAGAGGAUUUCAUUGUUUAGAAACGUUCCUUGUUGACAAAGAUUUAAAUCGGAGAGGAUUAAGAAAAUUGACUCUAAAAUUGUAAUAUAUAUGGAAGUGGGAUUGAUUCUGCCUAUAUAUUUGCGCAUUAAUUUAGAUAAAAUCGGUUUACUGAAUCUUUGAUGUAUAUAGUAUGUUUCCAUGUCCAUUUUUAUUACAAAUUUACAAUACACCAACUUUUGUUGAUUAACGUUUUUGAAGAGGAUAAAUCGGAGGAUUCUGGAGUGAUUCGGUUCUUAUCUACCAAGGUUUAAAUCCGAGUAGAUAAAGAAAAUUGAUACUCAAAUUGUAAUACAUAUGGAAACUUAGGAGAAGAACUGUUAAUUUAUCCCAAAAAAUAAAUCCAUAUAGAAAUGGGAAUAAUUCAUCAUAUAUACUGAUAUACAUAUGGAUUAGAUCGGUCUAUUUAAUUUUUAUUUUAUUUGAACAUCACUCUUGAGUUUUUUUUAUGAAUAGAAACGUGGGCUUCUAAAGUUGGGCUUAUGUUGAACUGAAAGCAUAUUUUCGGCCUAUAGAGAGAGGAUGAUUAAGUCUUUAACACAAUCAAGCCAGAGAUAAAAACCGAAUCAGUCAAGAAAAAUGCCAAAACCCCUCAAGAAGUGCUACAAAGUCUUACAAGAUCACUUUUCUACAUACUGUUUCGAGCUCUUCUUGUACUUAGAUUAGCUCGUCUUCAACACAUUUGUUUAUUCUCGGUGUACUCUCCCCAAUCUGUCUUCCUCAUGUCCUAAACGAUCAGCUUCUGUUUCUCUUUCUUUUUUUUACUUUCACAAGAACCGCAUCAACCGCUGAAUCGCUUUAUUUCGAAUUCUUAACUCGCAAAGUCUUUAACCUCGGUUAUGUGGAAAUGGCCGUUGAGAACAUAUAUGCAUCAUCAAACGAAUUAAUGCUCACGUACAAUUGCAAUUUACAGGUCACAAAAGUUCAGUCGAGUUAGAAUUUAACUAUUGAGAGAGAUUCUUGUCCUACAAAAUCUCUCUUUUUAGUGCCAAACAGCUGAUAAGAUCUUAGAUUUUAACAAUAAAACAGAAAUUCAAGCAAAAAGCAAGCUUUGUUUACCGAUCGCAAUGGUUCAAUCACAUUAGAUAUGAUUUUAACUUGACAAAGGUUUAGUCCUCUACAAGGCAGCUCCCUUAGUCAAAUAUACAUUAUUAGUCAUUGGAUCGCAUUUUUUGCUUAAUGAUUAGCUGCGUAUCAUGUACUUGAACAAACCCCAAAACUAUAAUCUGACUAGAUUGUCAUAAAAUAAUACUCUGGACCACACUGGCAUGUGAUGUCACAUUUUAUCAUUUAUAAAAAACAUUUAUCAUUCUUUCCUCCCAUUCAAAUCACAUAAAGAGGAAAACGCAUGCAUAAUACAGAUACCAAAAUAGUUUGAAUUAACAAAUAAUACAAUACAUCUUUAUACACUUCAAUCACGUACACUUGCAGCUUUAUAGUUAGGGUUGUUUGUGAUAUGACGACACUACUAGUUAAUUAGUACAGACUAGUAGACAUGUUUCCAUUCGGAAUUUUUAUCUAUAUAUAUCAUUUGAAUUAGAUGAAAAUUUACCUAAUUAAACCUUUACAAAUUGCCAUAAUAUAAGGGUUAUAAUCCAAUAAAAUCUUUGCUGUUAGAAAAAAAUUUGGAUGAUGUCAACUUAUCAAGUAUCGAAGUAGCAGUUCAAACAAACAAAAAAUGAAAGAAGGGCUGCCAAUCUAAAUCUGGUAACUAAAACGGAUGAUACAAACACUUUCAAUCAACUUUUAAGUUUGAACGUAACCACAUUUGGGUCCAUAUGUGUAUACAUAAAAGUACGCGUGUAAUGUGUAUUCCUUUUUGCAUUAAAGAUUUAUAUAGGUUUCGGGUUGUUGUGAACUUGUGAUUAAAGAUAGAUAAGUCCUUGAAUACAAUUGCGAAGCAGUUCGUAAUUAUACGACACGAAGACGAGACCAACGUAGCCAAAUUAAUGACGACGUUGAUGAUUAGUUCACACGUGGGAUUUGGCCAAUGAUUUUAGGCGCCAGCCUGUAAGCAUGAUCCGCGUGUGAGGUGGGGACUGAUCUGACGGCUAAGAUUCUCCCAGCUGUUCAGUUGACCCCCCAAAAAGUAUCUUUGAGUUGGAAAAUCCUAACGACCGCGAUCACACGUGUGUGUGUAUGCAAGUUCUUAUUCUUUAAUCUUUACAUUUUGAUUUUGAAAAGUAAGAUCGGUUUUUUGAAAUGUAUAUAAUCAUAAUACAUUUAGUUAUAUCAAACUUUUUGGUUUUCUAAUUCUAGUUAAGAGUCCCUAUAAAGAGACCAAACGAGAAAUGACCACUUAAUUCUUAAAAGAGGUCAGGUGUAAGACUUUCUUGUAUUUCUGGUCAUCGUCGUGUGUUAGAUUAGAUUCAGCAUUAGUGUAUGGAAAACCAGAUAUCUCAUACGUCUAUCACUGCACUUGUCAGAAAAGUAAAAAAUACACAUAAUCUUUACGUAGUAAGACUUUAAAGUCACAUGAACAUAGUUAAAGUCAAAAGUCUUUACGUAGUAAGACUUUAAAAGCGUGUAAACAAGAGGAACCAAAAUUCGUUAUGCGUUUAUCAAACAAUUUGAGGACGCCGUCUGCGCCUAGCACGUGGCCUGUUUUGAAAUGUUUCAUAAAAUAUCUAAGAAUAACCUGAUAAUUAUUCGUACAGUCGGCUAACUAAUUGGUCACAUAUCUAUCUAACCAGAAAACCGAGUAAUUAAUGAGAUUAAUGACCAAUUCACUUUGAAUACACAUGAUCAAGUAGUAUAAAAUUUUGCAAGAAGGAAAGGUAGUAAUGAACCCCGAAAAUCCGAAUUUAAGAAUUGUAUUUAAUUAAAGACAUGCGCAUGUAUAAAAGUCAAAAGUAUUAAAGUAGAAAGACUUGAAACAUGCAGAUAGAAGAGACGAAGUGUCGAAUCGGUGAUUAGUUUAAAAAGGAUUUUGCAUGCAAAGUCCACUAAUCAUAUUUUCUUAAUACUUCUUUGACGCUUUCGAACCCCAUUCUAAUGAACUUAAUUAAUGGGGUUUCCUUUUGGACGGAGUAGUCAAAUCAAAUAAUUCUCUUAGUUAGCUGUAAGUGGAAGCAUUAUUUACGUCUAUAGUACUAUAAUAUAUAGUUUUUUUUUAAUAUAUAAAAGGCAUUCGAUAUAUAAUAUAUAGAUAGUUCUAUAAGUCAAAAUAUAAACACAAUAGUUUGUUAAUAGUGCAUGAGAUAACGAAAGUUUUUUUUUUUUGAGAGAUAACGAAAGUUAUAUAUCCAUAUAGUACAAUACAAAAAGCUAUAUAAUACAAUAUAAGUCAAUCGUAUAGCUGACAAACAUUUCAAAGUCUAAUUGUAAAUUUAUAUGUCCCGAUUUCGAUUUCACUUAUGUAUAUAUACAGUACUGUACAUAUAUAUAUGUAUAUGUAUAUAUUAUGGAAUUAUUCAGUCCUAAUUUCACUCUAGUUUAGUUUGGCGUUACGACGUACAUAUAUACUGUAACUAAUUUGAUUGUUUUACUUAUAGGUGCAUGAUGUAAAAAAUGCUUCGCCGGAACGCAAAAAUAAAAGAGAAAAAAAUGUCUCUAUUUCCGUUGCAUGCAACCUGUAGACUAUAGCUACCAUUCCAUAUUUCCAUGUCUUUAAAUGUAUAUAUAGGUAUAGAAAAACUCGAUCGUUCAAAUAUAAAAUACUUAUAACAACAAUUUGCAUUAUUCGUAUUACUUUAAUAAAGACCAUUGUCUUUGCUUUGAAUAUCUUUGUUUUUAUUCAUCAAGUUGCAUACGACCUCGGCUUCGCCAAGAAAACGAAAUAACUUGUAGAGCACUCUAGCUAGGAAUGAACUAACUGAUUAAAAAAAUGUAUUAGGAAAAACAAUUUACUAGUGGUCCAAUUUUUAACUUUAAAAUCAUUGUAUGUAACAAAAAAAUGGUCCUUUAACAAGUCACAUUACUCAGCUCAGAUAUGCAUUCAUAUUUCAUGCUAAUUAAUUGAUGGCCUAUCUGGAUUAGUUGAGCGAUAUAAUUUUAAUAACAUAAUUAUGCUUUUCGAGCUGAAUCAGCUGAUGAUUUGUUUGUAUUUUAGUUUUUCUUUUUAAGGGUGGUCCAGUGAUAGAUUUGGAGUAGUGAUGAUUUAUUAUAUGUGGCUUUAGGUCUGAAAUUUUUAUUUAUAAAAUUUUCACUACUAAUUUUACUGACUAAUUUUUGGAGUAGCGUUGUGGAAGUUUUGAAGGUUAUUUUGAAUUUGGCAUGAAAAUUUCCCAGUUAUAAAAAAUAAUAAAAUAGUCUGUUGUUAGCCUAGCAUAUAUAUAUGUAUACAUAUCGUUGCAUUAAAACUAGUAAAUCCUUUCGCAGAAAAAAAAAAAAAAGAGUAAUGCAUCGUCAUAUCUACCUCACUUGUUAGCCACAUAAAAAUUAAUUCAUUCUCACCGAAACCGUGUCUUCAUAGAAAUACACAUAUACAAUUAAUAAGAAGAAAAAAUGGAACACCUUGCUUGUUAGAGUUAUACAGUGACCAAGUCAAAAAGACCCGACCACAUAAACAACACUAACCUCUUUAGAAAUUACAUCAACAAUGACAUAACCUCAUUAAAAUAAUUUAAUAUAAUUUAAACCCAUUUGCUGAUGACAUUAAAUAUCAACUUCGAAUAAAUAUAUAAAGUCAACAAAUAGUACAUAUUAAUGGCCUUGAACAAAAUAUGAAAAUUUGUAUCUACUGCCUAUGAUAUAUAUUUGAGGCACAUCAUUAUCUUACCAACAUAAACAGAACUGAAACAAUCUAUUUUUCUUUGACGCAAACAAUUUGUUUUUAAUCAGCUGGACAAAACAUGUUAAAGUUAUUUGAGUUGAAAAAUAGAGAUAUUUGUAAUAUAUUAUUUGAUAAGCGAAGGACUGAUUCAAUUUUCGUUUAUAACAGUAAAUAUUAUAAAUCAACCUUAAUGAGUACGUGAAAUUAACUUGCUUCAUCUAAAGCAAGAAAACAAACAAUAGUAUCUGGAAAAGAGAAAUAAAUCGAAAUCCACUUUCCAUCAAUGGAUUUCAAUUAAUCAUCUUCUCUUUACCAGAAAAAUAAUUUUCCCUUACCCCAUGUAUUAACCACCAAAAACAAAAAAAAUUCCCGGACUUAUAAUUUACUUUUUUUGUCAAUUCAAAACCUCCUUCGUCCGUCCAUGAACUCAUGUAUUCUCUUUAACGCAAUCUCCAAAGUCUUCUCACUCAUAUUAGCGAAACAAACCCUAAACCAUCCAAACUCCGAGCAAUGACACGAAGAUCCUGGCGAAAUAUUCAGCUUCAGUUCCUUCAAGAUCACAUCCCAAAGCUCGAGCUCGCCAUCUUUCGUUUUCUUGUCCAGCAAGAAACCUAAAUUCAUCCAACAGAACAGCCCUGCGUUGCCCUUCAAACACUCUAUCCCUGCCUUCUUAAGCCCUUCCACAAUUGUCUCGUACCGUCUCCUAAGCCUUUCCCGGUUUAUCCUAAUGUACUUCUCCGUAAACUCCUUAUCCGACAACAUAGAAGCCAACAUGUGUUGUGUCUGAGACGAGACAAGCGUAAAACUCGACAUCCUUCUCGCUGUCCGCACAACAUGAUCAUUGUACGAGUAGAUAGUACCUACUCGAAAACCGGGAAGACCAAGAUCCUUGGAGAGGCUGUACACGAUAUGGACACGUUCUCUGACUGUCACAUCAUCGAUGUUCUCUACGAUCUCGGCUACGCUGGUGAACUCGGAGCCGUGGAAGACCGAGCCGGAGUAGAUCUCGUCUGAUACCAAGUGAAUGUUCUUGCGUACGCAGAAGUCAAGGAGAUCUUCAAGAACCUUCUUUUGGACCGUCGCGCCUAAUGGGUUCGAUGGGUUGGUUAUGAGCACUCCUCGGACUCUAAUGUUUGCGUCACGAGCCGUUUGGUAUGCUUCCUCGAGUGCCUCUGUGGUUAUCUGGAAAUGGUUCGAGCUGUCGCAAUGGAUCGGUACAAUUUUCACUCCGGUUCUCCAUCUCAAAUCUCUAUCGAAUCUGUAAUGAAAAAUAAAAUAAACGUUUCGGUAAAUAUAAGAUAUGCUAGAUUAUUAUUUUCUUGUUAAGUGGUGUUAGUUAGUUGCAGCUAUAUUUUUUUUCUCCUUUUAAUAUAAAAUCUCUAUACGAAUGAGCAUAUAUUAUAAUUUAAAUGUGUAAAGUGUGACGUACCCUGGAUAAUACGGUGUGGGAACGAGAAGGGCGUCGUUGGGAUCGGCGAGGAUGAAAGUUAAGAGCUCGUUAGCGGCGGUGGCUCCGGCGGUGAGGACGAUACGGUCAGGAUCGAAACUAGCUAAACCUCCACGAAUCUGUUCCAUGAAGCUAGCCAUGGCUUGUCUGAAAGAUUUGAGACCGUGGUAAUCUUGGAACAGUGCGUUUUCUCUGAAGCCAGGUGCUCCUUUUGAUCCCCACAUCGAACCUUCAGGAUUCUUCUUCUCUAAGUAACUUUCUAAAAGAUCAAAUGAGACCUGUAGAAAAUAUGAUCGAGAGAGGGAUAUUUAAUACAUUAUCGCAAUAAAUAAUUUAUAAAAUUUGAUUAUAUUAAUUAAAAAGGUAUAAUUACCUGAUUCUCGGCGAGACCCAUUUGUAUGACACCGGAAGGGUUAUGUGAUUCGUCGUAAGGAUUCUCGUCGUAAGCUUUCCAGCCGGCAAAGUAAGGUGAGUCUUCACCAUGUGUGUCUGAAACAGCAACUCGAGAAAGCUCGACGACGUUAUUGUUGUUGUUGUUUGAUUUUCUCUCCAUCAUCAAAGGAAGACCCAUUUCUCUUGCAGCUUCGAACUUGACACGUGAGACGUGACAGCUCUGAAACUCAAUCGGAGAGAUGGAGAGAGAGCUAGAGAGAGAGGGAGAGAGAUAAGUGUGUUGGAGUUAAACAUUUGUGUGAAUGAGGGACAAGUAUAUAUAGCAGACGUGACAGAGAGGAAAGUCUUUGACGAAUUUUUAUUUUCCUCCUUUUUCUUUUUAAUAUAGUUUACUUACAGAGAAGAAGUUUGUGUAAAGAAUAAGGAAGAUUCGAUUGUGGAAAAAUACGUUGUCAUUGACUUGCAAUUGGAUGUAUAGAUAAGAGUUUCGGCUAUUUUAUUUUGUUUUUAUUCUGAAAGUUCUCGGUGGUUCGUCUAUUGGAGAUGCCAUUUCUUAAAACGUUAAUUAACAAAUUUUAAACGUAAUGUUGUUUAGAAUUUAUUCCGGUAAAAUUAGUAUAGUUUCCUAUAAAUGAAUGAAGACACUGUUUCUGAAUGUGACUACAGUUUUCGGGAACGUUUCAAAUUUUUUUUUGAUUAGUGCUCUGCACCGAUUUACACCAAAAAGGGACCUAUUCCAUUUAGAUAUUCAAUGUAAUUUUAAAAUUAAUGGGCAACGAUAAUUUUCUUUCAUUUGGAGUAAUAAAGAGUCCUUCGCAUAUACAACAGUGUUACGAUAUAAGAAAAUUAUCGUUUGCUACUACCUAACUUUUUCCAUAUUUGAUUUUUUUUUAUAUAUAAAAUGCUCGCUAAAAAACGGUAUAAGUACUUAAACUUUUUUUUUAGAAUAAUAAAAAGUUAAAAAAUGGAAAUACAAAUUUACGUAACAAAAACUAGUAUAUAAACAAAAGGUCAUCAGUAUUAUAAUUUUAAAUUAUAGUUUAUCGAUAAAACUACAUACAGUACGUCUCUUUUACAUUAUCUGUUUAUAUAUAUAUAUAGAGAGAGAGUAUUAGAUAGCUGAAAUUAGAACCUUAUGAAAUUUAUUGGGGAUUAAUAAUAUAUUAAACUCCACAAAUGAAAGAAAUCGGGAAACAACUAAAUUAAAUGUUCUGAUUCGACGUUGUAAGCAAAAUCAAAGAUCACCUUUUGCCAAAAUCGGUUUCGGACAACUGUUAGCUUGUGUCUUCUUCUUCCUCGUCUAAUUGUCAAUAUUUCUUUUUCUUUCUUUUUCAAAUUUAUUUAUUUAUUUAUUUAUUCAAAACUUUAGUUAUGAGAAAUUGAGAUCUAUAACCCAAAUACGGUUGUUGAAAUUCCGAUUAUACGAGAGGAGUGGGUGGGUGGCUAUCCAUAAAUUUAUAAAGUUUUGCUGUUUUGCUAGUUACCAUGAGAAUAAUUCGCCUUUAAAUAUCACAUUACAGUUUUUUAUUUACGGCAUAUAACAAUUUUUACAAACUAGCAUCACUUUUCCUUUUUUGUCGCCAUUAAAGUAUUUCUUAAUCAGUUAAUAUAAUUAUAUUUGGAUUUAAUGCAUUUUAAAACCUACCUGAAAUCGAACAUAAUUAUUUAAGAACUGGAUUGUUGAGCUAACCGGGGAGAUCGUAAAUUUAAAUUAAUAUUGUUAUUUGAAAGUAAAUAAAAUCGAAGUUAAUUUAUAUUUAAAAAUCAUUUUAUCUUUUUUACUCGUUGUUAAAAUUGUUUUUUUUUUAUAUCCAUAAGUAUUUUAAUGAUAUUAUUUGGUAAGUAUUCUUGAAUUAGAGUUUUGUCGAGGCGCGAGUAGAUGUGCCAUAAGACGGAGUCGGUCGGAUUAGAUAUAUUGUUGGAGAUCAUGUAAAUUAGUUUUGCUGAUCUAAACUAAAACUAUCACAAUUUAUUAGAUUCUUAUAACCUAAGAAGGAAUUUAUGUAGUUUUUCAGGUAGCAGGAUUAAUUUUUUUUUUUGAAAGAUGGUAGCAGGAUUUAUUAAAAAUGAAUUUGUGUAUAUUAGUUUUAAUUUAAUCCUGUGGCACAUAUAUAGUCGGAUAAACGUAUUUAUAACUUAAUUUUUCCCAAGUGGUUAAACGUCAAAGUAUGCUCCCUAAUGGGUGAUAAUAAUAAUUCUCACUAUUAACGACGGUACGGACGGCUAAUCAAAACCUUAAACUUGUUUAACUAGCUUUUAGUCUCGCACUUAUGAACCUAACAACACACAUGCAAACAUUAUAAUUCUAUACAUAUACACAAUUAAAAUUUACACAUGAAGACAAUUAUUAUUCAAAAAAUAAUAAUUAUCAUUGAUACUAGUCAUGUGACUCAUGUCUAUAAGUUAUAAAACUAAUUUAUGCAAUAUAACUUUCUACACAAUACAAGAUUUUAUACAUUCAUGGUUUCUCCAUUUUAAUAGUUGCCUUUUUGAUGUUUCAACGUAUUGGCGUGGACCGCGUGGUAUAUUUUUUCUCAAAAUACCAUGCUACUAUUUUACUUAUACAAUAUAUAUAUAUAUAUAUAUAGCUUUAGUGAUUUUUUUUUUUCAAAAAAAAAAAGGGGAAACGCUAGCAACGGCGUAUAAUGCUGUAUCAUAUAUAUGUAAGCGAAAAGAUCAGAAGGAUAUUUAGGAGAUCUAAGAGUGGUUAAAAGUCGAACUACGUGACACAUAUAUUGUACAUACAAUCAUAACAUAAGAUUAUGAUUCCAAAUUUUGAACAAUAUAUGUUCAUCAAGAAUAUAGGUUCUUGGAGGAUCUUAGGUGACCCCACAUAUAUCACAAUUAAAGAGUUAUUAAAUUAAAAUGUUUUUAUUAGGUACUCAACUCUAUUGAUUUUUUUUUUGUCGAAAAUUAAUCAAAGAUUAAAAUUAGCACGAGUUUCUCAAAUCCAUAUAGUUUAUAGAGUGAUGUCGAUUCCACUUUGUGCUGGUUGGUUACAAUUUCUAGAGCUGGUUACUAAUUAGGAGAUAUUUUUGGUUUUCCAAACUAAAAGCUAACUCAGUAUUUGCUAACUCAUUUUGCUUUCCUGAUUUUUAAUUUUUUUUUCAAGGAACCAAUUGUAAAUAGGUCAAAAUCUUGUAACACCUAGUCUUCAUUUUAAUGAUAUUUACAUUUUAGCCAAAAAUACCCAGUGUUUUCUCAAAACAAGCUAAAUACACUAAUCAACCCGAAAAAUGAAAUUACAAAUUUUUAAGAUUUAAUUAUAGGGGUUUUCUUUAAAUCAGAGUUAUGGUUGGGUAUAUGUGUUACAUUAUAAUCGUUAAUAAUAGAUAAGAGUAAAGGUAUGAUUUAUAAUUUGUAUGGUUGCUAUUUUGCCCGCACACCAAGAUUAAGAUUUUGUGUAAAGAUAUUGCUGUUUGUUUGGACUUAGAACAGCUGACUAGAGGGUAUUAACCGGCAUAACAAUGUGAUGAAUUAAAUUAAUUUAGGUAGAAGAUAACGAAAAGAAAGUAAACUUACAAAUGCAUUUCUAUAGGGGGGGGGGGAUAUAUACCCAGUUAUAUACACGUGCUCUUACAUAUGGGUGUAUAUUUGCAUUUACGUAAUACUAAUAAUUUGCGCAUGUGAUCGAACCCACCAGCGUAAAAUUCGGAAAUUAAACUAUAGACUGAAUCUCAAUACAUGACCAACUCAAAAACAAAAAGGCAAUGCUGAUAGUCAUAAAAAAAGAAGAUAAUGCUGAUUUUAUAUAUGUUCUUAUAUAUAAUAAGAACAAAGACGUAAGUAGUCUUAUGAUAUCUGCUCUGUAAAACUUUUUAAUCAAAGAAAAGUAAAAUGCUUCAUGAGAAAAAGAAAAGAAGUCUGGUGGCAUCCUUUGUGCCUUUCAGAAAAGGAUGCGUUCUAAAGGACUGUUAUAUUUUGUUAGUUUCCGAAAACACAUACAUGUUAGAUGCAAAAAUUUGGGAAAUAAUGACAUAUGGUUGAUUUCUUCUAGUUUAAUGUCAUAGAUUCGCUUCAAAUCAUGCUGGAUUAUGUCUUCCACAAAAGUGACAAACCAAUGGAUUGUUUACAUAUCGUGUGUAAUUUAUAGGAACCUAGAAUCAAAUUUAGUCUCCAAUUAAUUGAUCGAUUCCCAUAAGUGCCUAAUAAAUUGUAAUCAAUUACUAAUUCUAACACGAAAUCUUCGAGCUGAAGUUCAUGAUAUCUUACGGACCAAUCAUUGAAGUAUAUGUACUAAUUUAAAUACUAAUUAAUAACUCGAUUAAUAUAUUAUAAAUCAAAAAUAAACAAUGAUGCAAGUUGUAAUAGAACGUGAAAGAGAAAUGGAGUUUGGCGACUGUUUGUGCGGCUAAUAUGGAGAGCAUCUUCAUGUAAAUAUACGAGACAUGCAUCAAACGAUAUUGCGAUCUAUAAUCUUUGGUAUUAAUGAUGUCAUCUGCUUAUAUAGUUUUGACCUUAUUCUGUUAGUGUAAACUUUUUCUCGUUAAUAUGUGGAUGUCAUUGAAACGUUACAUUUGUAAAGUUUUUAUUUGGUCAACUAUUCAAAUAUAAAAAUAUACCCAAACUCAACAUUUCAUAGUAGUCUUAGCGAUUGAAUAAUCUUCCUAUAAGCCUGAGCCCUAACUAAAGUCCUUUCCACCGCAAUGUAAAUCAUAAUUGACCAUUAAUCAGAAUCAACUAUUAAUUUUAGUAAACCGAAAAUGUUAGAAAAAAUAGACUAAUUUGUCUAUUUCAAUUAAAGAUGGAUUAUUUUGUAGACAUAAUUGUUCCUGGUUUUCCUAAACCCGUAAAUUCACGCUUGGCUAGCUGAGGUUCAGAGCCGAUCCUGCCAUUUUUAAUGUUUUAGUUUUUUUUGCACAUUUUAGUUAUCACAAAAUAUGAGGUAUAUUAAAUUAAUAAAUCGGAUAUGAAUUAAAUAUGAGCUUUCAAUUAAGUAUACCAAUAAAUCGGAUAUGAGUUAAAUAUGAACUUUCCUUUAAGUUUACCAUUAAGUGAAGUGUAUUGAUUGUUGCUGCUUCAUAUAUUUAAUUAUAAGAAAUUAAUCUAUUAAGUUUAAUUAAGUUUGGCACAAUUUACUUGUAAACACUUACACUGCGAGUAUACAAUAAAUAUGAAUUGAUUUCACAUUGUUUACAUUAGUUCAAGUAUAUUAUUUAUAAUAUAAUUACCCUAAAUCAAAAUUAAAAACGUAUAUGUAUCUCAUUGUCUAUACUAAUCAAUCUAAAAAAUCAUAACAUAGAAAAGAGGAUAUGUUGAAUAAUUUGUGUUCAACUAGGUUUUUUUUAGUGGUUGUCCAUUGCUCGUUCAAUCAAAUGCAUUCAUGAAUCAUAACCAGUAGAAUGAAAUAAAAAGAGUAGAAGACAAAACCAUGAGAUAAUUGUAACAACUAGCAACUAAUUGAAUGUUAAAAAAAAAAAAAAAACUAGCAACUAAAUUGAAUCGGAUGAUGAUAUCCUAAUACCUAAUGAUUUGCUGUCAGCAAGUAUUAUUUAAUAAACGAUAUAGUGAAAGUCGUAUCUUCCGUAGAAUCAUGUGACCAAUUAGAAGAGGCCACGAGAAUAUAUGUUUCAUUCUUCUUGUCACUUGUCAGAUAUGGAUUAACUCAACAUCUUGAGUUGGUAAGUCGUAUCCAAUUUUCCCUUAUAUCUUUAUCAAUAAUACGACUCCUUUUGUCCUUUUUUUUAAUAGUUAGAGUCACUAGUACCGAGCUCUCUUUCUUUUUUAACAAUUAAAACGCACUAUUUAAAAUGCUUACAAUAGUAAAUAAUACGAUCUACACUCUAAUUUGGUUUUACGUUAAUCAUAUUAGAACAUGUACUUUUUUGAUAAAGGAAAAAGUACAUGUCUUUUAAGGUUUCGACACUUUGGUUACCAAUGAGUACGAGUAUCUAUUUAUUUUUAAAAUAAAAUGUUAAAUUAUUAAAAGGUACUUUUUGGAUAGUAAAGUUUUUUUUUUUUAAUCAUUUUCCCUUUUAAAUAUAAAACAAUCAAAAAAAAAUAUUUGCAAAUUUCUCAACUCCUUCUCUCAGUGUGCUGAAUCUGUUCCUUAUGGUGCGAUCGAUCGACUUAAUUAAAACAUCGCUUGGAUUUGGAUCAUCGUUAUGUCUUUUGCUGUUUCUCUCGCCAACGUACCAGUAUUUAUGUUCUUUAUCUAUAUAUAUAUAUAUAUAUGAACUUAUAUACACGAAAAAAUAAUUUGUCGAUUUUUUCAUAUUCCAAUUUUUGUUCUUUUUUUUUCUUUUAAUUUAUAGUUGUGUAAAAUGGAUGAUAAACAGCUAUAAUAUGUAACGGAAUAACACAAAGUAAGUAUUUGAUUUCAAUUAUAUCUGUACAUAUAUACUCAAAUUCAAUCGACCAAAUAAUAGAAUCCUUAUAACACCAUAAGAACCCAAAAAAAAUCAUCAGAAAUUGACUAGUAUUUUUUGUUUUUUUUUUCAUAUUUGCUAUUAUUCAUGCAUUUAAAAGUCAUGUCCUUUCCCUUGGAAAGAAAUUUAUUGAUUACAUUUGUUUGUUUUUUUGUUAAAUGAAUUUCUAUUUUUUUAAAAAAAAUUAGUGUGGAGUCCCAAUACACAAGGAAGUUUCAAUUGAGUGAUCACGUCAUAAGAAAAACAUUAAAAGUAAACGAGGAACCAAGUAUAAAUCAAUACUCAAAGCUAAAAAAAAGAUACAUAUUAAGCUAGUUAGUGUAUUACAUUUUCGCAUUUCAAAAGUGCUGAUUUGUGAAAUUAAUGAGACAAAUACAUUAGUAUAAUUUUAAAAAUGCGUUAUGACAUGGAAGUAUAUUCCAAAUGUGUUCGUACGAACACGUUGUCGUACUGUGCAACACAAGUUCUCUACUGCCAGUGUUACGUUAUCUUUUCAAGUAUUAAUUUUGUUUUCUUCUUAGAUUUUUUUUUUUAUUAUAAGAAAAAAACUAAAAACAUAAGCUCUGAAAAUAAUUAUACAACUUGAGGUAUAUCUAAUCAUGAAACUUUUUUUUUGUUGUUGUAUUCAUUCUGACCAUGAGUUUAAAAUUUUUAAAACAAAAACCAUGCCGUUCUUCCAUUAAUUGAUAACUUAACAAAUGGGAAAUUAAUAAUAAUAUCUCUAUACUGAUUAUAUUAAAAAAAAAGUUCUUACGUUUGAAGAUAAAUGUAAUUAUAGAAUAAUUUAGGUUAGUAGCGAAAAGUAUCUUUGGCUACCGAUGACUUCGAUAAAUCUAAAACAGAAUUUCCAAAAGAAAUAGAAGAAUUGUGGAACAAAAAUAUAGAAGAGGAAUUUCACAGGAGUUUGUAAGAAAAUUCAUUAGACUCUUCACAAGAAACAGAACAUAUAUAAAUUUCUUACUAAUUUUUACAGUAUUUCACAGGAGAUAAUAGGAAAAUAUGACUUUUCUAAUUUUCUAUGCUAUAUGGUAAUAUCAGGAACUAAAAUUAAAUAACCCAUGACUCCAUGAGUAUUUAAUCAUAUUAGAUAUUAUAUUAUUUUAAAUGCAUGUGAAGCCAAAACUUACCUUUUCGUUGAAAAUUUAGGCACAUUAUUGUACCGACAUAAUAUAUUAUUGCUUUUAUUUUCUAAGUAUGAACAAUUAAGGACAAAUUCAAUAACCUCUUUCAAUAAAUACAUUUAGAUGAAUUAAAUGUUUUUAUCCGGCCAACGUUAUGCGAAUACACGGUCAUCACGCUAUAAGGAUAACGUCCACUUCAUGAUUAUAUGAUCCAAACACAUGCUUUGUACAAUAUUUUUGGUAGCCGAAUAUUAGUCACCCAAUUAUAAACUAGUUUUGAGAUACACAGUUGUAUAUUGGCUAAAAAGGCACUUAGAGGUAAGUCUUCCACUUUACAAAAAUCAAAUAAAACUAGAUUGCAACUAAAUUUGAAUGAUUCAUAUUACACUGGAAAGUCUAUAUGACUUUUAUCGUCAUUUUGAUGAUCCAAAUUUAGAGAUAUAAAUUUCUUUAAUUAGAUGCUACUUUGGUUUCCAACAUAAAAUUUCAUGAUUUAAACUUGCAUUAUCAGUCCAAAGAUUGGAGCAAUCGACGAGAAUUAUUUCACUCAUACAGUCUCGGAACUUGUGAAAGAAUGGAUUUGUACAUAUGGGGACGUCAUGAAUUUUUCAACAGACAUGGGUGUAUAUAUAUAAUACUUGUCAGUUGAGAGAUUAGUUGUAAGUAUGAUCAAUAUGAUCAAGAACACAAAAUUGCCUCGAGAAUUAAAAACACAGAUGGAGUAUGUCAAGUUGUAAAUUUGUAAUAAUAUCUUAUAAAUUUAUUAUGAUCUUCAAUCAUUAUUGAAUAAUGCAUGAAUGGGUCUCAAUUUAUAUAUAUAUAUAACUAGCUUUACUUCUGCGCCUAUAUAAUAUGAAUUAUCAACCAACAUAGCUAAUAGUUCCACUUGGACACUGAUUCUCAUGCCCAAAAUAUAAAUAUAAUACAAAAGAAAACAAUAAACACUUACAUAAACAAAUGUUAAAAGGGAAAAUACGACAGUCUGUCCGCGUCAUAAAUGUAAAAUGUAAAAUCUACUCAUUUGAAUUACCAGUUUUCAUUUUAGCGGUUAUUUAUGAUAUGAUGCUUAACAAAAUGAAAACACUAACCAACAGAGCAUCGUAGUAAUAUAUAUAGAUAGUAAAAUUAUUAGCUUAAUGUUUUACUCAGAUAAGCAUAAAAAAUUUUAAAAAUUUUAAUCUACGUAUAUACAUGGUUUUACCGAUUCAUCUUCAGUGUGAGUUCCAGUUUAUUGUAUUAACGGAUCGAAGUUCGUGAAGAACACCUACAUUAACAUUCCAGCCAAUUGUGUCUUGUUUCUUUCAACCGAGUAACUCCAAUUACCCAAUUAGGUUCAAAUGAACAUAUGUAUAACACACGCAGAUAAAGCAUGUGAUAGAUUAAAAUUGUUGCUGCCCGUGCAACUUACUUUUUAAUGUUCAAGUUGCUUUACAGAUCUAUUGACAGAUAACUUCAGAUAUCGAGUUAGACAAAUACUCAUACUACUCCCUAUGAUGCUUUAAUAAAUAUGUGUGUUUGGAGCAUUCCCUUACACACAAGGGUGCAGACUUGCAGGUUAUGGUUCUUAACUUUCUUCAUAUGUACUGAAGACUCGGAAACAUAAACUAUAAAUAAAAACAUUUAAAAAAAAACAUAACCGUUAUAAAAAUUGGGCUGGUUUAACAGGUUAGAAAAGGCUGAUCUGGGGUUCAAGACUGCGUACGUUCAGGGGUCUCGCUCUUAGUCAAAUAUACAGCACAGUUUCGAUAGGUCAUCAAAGAGGUGCAAGAAGCAUAAAUCCAAAACUUCUUGAACAUAUUUUAGUAUUGUGUAUGCUUUUCUCUUUGAUAAAAGAAUACAUUCUAUUUGUAUGAACUGACCGCGGAUCAUGAACAUUAAUAUGACUUUUAUAACUUUGAUGAUCAAUUCGCUAACUAUGUUUGAAAUUUAUUGAUUUCAUGGACAGAAUAAACCUAGAAAGACGUUGGUCUCGUUUUGACACCAUUUCUUGCAUCAAUUCCACUUACCAAAAUGGCAUUUAUAACUAAUAAGCGAAGUCCAAAUUGUCUGUUUCUAAUUGGGCUGACAAUACGGGCCUAGUCUCUUGUUUCUAAACGUCUUAUUCACUCGACUAUUAAAUUAGUACUUAAUUGUAAAUUAUACAGUAUUAUUAUACUAGAAGAUGUUUACCGUUCUAAACAUGAGAAUAGUAUACAGAGCAAAAGCAAAAGGAGGCUCUUCCCAAAAUUAUUGAGAGCCAUAUUGAACAAAUUAAAAAGGCAGACUCUUCCCAAAAUGGCAAAAUUUAGUGACCUUUCAAAUUACAGGAAAACAGGCAAUACUGUUUUUCCUAUAAAAAAGAAUAUUGACGUCAACAUACCUUUUUCUCUUUGUCAACGACAUCAAACAUAUUGACGUGAAAAACUGAAAAUUCGACUCUUCGAGACAUUUUAUUGAACAAUAAAAAGGAAAAAAAAAACAAAAAACUUAGCGAAAGUAGAAACGAAUAUUAAAACCAUACUUAAUAAUUUCCACCAAUUGUCGGAGAAUAAGAUCUGCUUAACUUGCAGAAGAAGGUGAGAAUCAUAAAGAACAGUUCUUUUUUGUUUUGUUUUCUCAACUCUCUUUCUUCUUCUUCUUCUUCCUUCGACUUUAACUGGGGAAGAAGAAGUAGAAGAUCCAUUUAACCGUAUCUAUCUUUUCUCUCUCCACCGCGUUUCGAUGGCGGGAGGCGAAGAGAAGAACGGGAUUAUUGAUUCAAUGCCCUUGUUCGCUAAGGAGCUUAUUGCCGGCGGAGUCACCGGCGGCAUAGCUAAGACCGCCGUAGCUCCACUCGAGCGGAUUAAGAUUCUAUUCCAGGUACGAAUGAUUCUGGGUUUGUUGAUUGUAUCAAAACUUCUAGUAUUGAUUCGUCCCCUGACUCAAUUAGGCUUAUCUGAGUCAAGAAGUCGGAUGGAAUCAUCAAUCUCUCGCUUAGCCAUGGUUUCUUUAAUUUGAAAACCGAGAACUUUUAGUGUUGUAUUGUAUUCACAAUCGGAAUCUGUUUAUAGAGAUAGAAAGGCACGUGAAAUUCUUGGUACACAGUCUCUGACUCUCUGGAUUAUAGAAGCUAAUCAUAGAAUUUAUCUUUUCUCAGACUAGAAGGGACGAGUUUAAACGCAUAGGGCUCAUAGGAUCCAUCAACAAGAUUGGCAAAACUGAAGGUUUGAUGGGUUUCUACCGGUACGUUGUCUCGAGUUUCAAAAGCUUUUGGGGCUUAUUAUACAUUCAUAAGAUUCUUAAACCUUGUUUUCGACAGUGGGAAUGGUGCAAGUGUUGCCCGGAUAGUUCCCUAUGCAGCUCUUCAUUACAUGGCUUAUGAGGAAUACCGGAGAUGGAUCAUCUUUGGUUUCCCAGACACUACUCGAGGCCCAUUGCUUGAUCUUGUAGCUGGAUCUUUUGCUGGCGGUACUGCAGUUCUCUUCACUUAUCCUCUUGACCUGGUCCGGACAAAACUGGCUUAUCAGGUAAUCCGGCUUUAGAUGUUGUGUCUUGAUUGUCUCAUCUUGAGUUAAAACGUAAGUAAGGCUCAUAGAGAAUUCAGCAGUGCAGGUUGUUGGUUCAACAAAAUCUCAAGCAAAAUCUAUUAUUCACCUGGAACAAAUUGUGUACAGAGGAAUUACCGAUUGUUUCUCGAGGACAUACAGAGAAUCUGGAUUCCGAGGCCUAUAUCGUGGUGUAGGUACAUACUAACUAUGUCUUUGGUGUUUACGAGAUCUUCUCUUUUCUCUAAGACGCAAAAAGAUUUGAUCUUUCUUUUGGUUUCGUGUUAUCAGCUCCUUCUAUGUAUGGAAUCUUCCCUUACGCUGGAUUAAAGUUCUACUUCUACGAGGAGAUGAAACGCCAUGUCCCUGCGGAACAUAAGAAAGACAUUUCCCUGAAACUUGUUUGUGGAUCAGUCGCUGGAUUGCUUGGUCAGACCUUAACGUACCCUCUUGAUGUUGUCAGGAGACAAAUGCAGGUGCGAUUUGGUUCUGCUUCUAUCGAAUACAUCUUGAAACCUUCAUAAAAUGAUCUUGAGUAGUAUUAUAAUCGAAACUCCCUGCAGGUUGAGAGACUAUAUGCUGCCGUUAAAGAAGAAACAAGAAGAAGAGGAACAAUGCAAACGCUUUUCAAGAUUGCUAGAGAAGAAGGUUGGAAGCAACUCUUCUCGGGGCUUAGCAUCAAUUACCUUAAGGUCUGAGAGUAGUUUCAUCGAUCUGUCUUUGUUUUCGGACAAUGGACGGCUAACUCACAAACUAUUUAUCUUUUGGGUUUCUCUAGGUUGUACCAUCCGUGGCAAUCGGAUUCACAGUAUAUGAUGUUAUGAAGCUGCACUUAAGAGUCCCAUCGCGAGAGGAAACAGAGGCAGAAGAUUUGACGACACGGAAAAGGAAUGCUUUGAGCUAAUUCUAAGGUCAUCCCAUGAUCUGAUUCUUUGUGGUGUAUAAAGCCACAGAACAUGAUUUGAGAGUGUACAUUGCAUUUUUUCGUAGAGGAAAUUGAAACUAACUUCCUCCAAAUAAACAGUGUUAGAAUCCCAAUCGAAAACAAUAGGACUUAUAUGUAAAUGUCAAAUUGCUUGUAGUUUUUUGUUCAUUCAGGAAUUUGGUUAGCACCAUCCCGUGGUUAUUUCUUUUCGAAACCACGAGAGACUCGAUGUAAUAUGUAACAUUCCGAUAUGAAGGAUAUCAUUGAGUGUUUGGUUGCAGUAGAUUCUACGUAUUGGCCGAAAGGAACAAAGUAUAUAACAGAGACAUUGAUGAAGAACAAUGAAGCCGGUUCCAUUUAACUUGUACCUACUUAGUUAUGUAACUCAUACAACCUAAGCUAUUUAUAGUUAGAAAAUAUGAUACGGUAAGACAACAGAUUUUACUAAUUCUAGUCUGGCUCGGUACAUAACAUUUCUGUUAGGUACUAACAUUACUCUUAUGCUUUCUUAUUCAAGAUGCGACUCUCAUUCCCUUGUGUUCCUCACAUCUCUUCCGUCCUUUAACUGGAGAUUUCUCGCAUACCAAUCCAUUGUACAGCUUAACGCCACAAAUUACUUGACUUACGGUUGCUGACUGCACAGUUUCGGAUGAUCUUCUGUCCAAAGUUUUAUCUUUGUGCUGCCAACAUCUUCUGCUUCCCAUAGGAGCACUUCUUAUACAAGGCAAACCACUCUUUGUUGUAGCUUCACAGAUAAGACUUGGACCACCCGAAUCCUUUUUGUUCAUGCCUGUACACGUCUCGGGUUUGGAUUUUUCCUCCUUGAGAGCUAUAUCGCGUUCGGUUGGAUUCAGCAGAAAGAAGAAGGCAUUGACUCUCAUUCCCUUGUGAUCCUCACAUCGUUUUCUCCUUGCAACAGGUUGGUUUCUGCAACGUACCAUGUCAGGUAAAAUCACUCCACAUAUAUUCUCAGUUUCUUCACAUUCUCUUUCAGGAGAAACUUCACAAGGUAUUUUUUUCCCCGGGAGAACACAUGAAAUUCUCUGCCCUCUAUGCACUGUGCAUCUCUUUCUUCCUUGCAUUGGAGAUGUUGUGCAGGUAGUACCAUCUUCUAGUAAGACUCCACAAAUAGAAGCAGAAUCAGAAUCAUCAACAAUGUCAUCAUGUCUGUCUGAAACCGGUUGAGGUCUGGACCGACUGAGUCUAACUAUUGGUGCAAGAAAAUCACUCUUCUCCCCAGCUGCAUCAGAGCUGAUCGCUCUCUCUUCUGCAAGAUCAUCUUUCUUAUCUUUGGUUCUGUUGCCAAUUAUCUUCUGAGUAACAGGAAGAAUCGUUUGAGGUAAACCCGGUUUUCUCUGGUUCACAAUCUCGUUGUUGCCGAGUUUCUGGAGCAAGUCAUGACGAGCAAUACCAUAAGACCGGAGCCGAGAUCUAAUGCUUUCGUUUUGACCAAGAGAAGCUACAAAAACGUCAUCUACGUCAACUUUUAGGCUCUGAUCAUGAUUGGUGACAGCCACACCGAGACCUGGGAAGGAUCCUUGGACUCUGUAUCUACCUAACAAAUCUUUUCCCUUUCUGAAUUCUUCCUUAUCGUUGGCUCCUAUCAGAAUCUGUGUCCAGUAUAAAUUUGACAUUAAAAAAAAAUUGUGUGUUUCCAGUUUAAUUACUUGAGAGAAAGAGCUUAGCUUGGUGAUAACUGAUACAUAUGAGACUAAAGCCACAUAGUUAGCUAAUAUCCAACUAAAAAUACAAGUUGCAAUGUGAUGAAGGAGACAGAAUGUGACCUUUGGAGCUAAAUCCCGAGAAAUGGAGGUGUAAUCCGGUAAAGUCCUCCGUAUUUCUGGAGCAUCUGAAAUGGGCUUACGCAGAAGCAUGGAUCGGGUAAAACCCUGGAACAAAACCCAGAAACACAAAUGAAAAAUGGGAUCUUUAAAUGGUUAGGCCGUUAAAAAUGGGAUCUUUAAAUCGGAUUCCAUGAAUUUUCAGGAGAAAUGAAUCAAACUCAACCGAAAUUCUGGUGAAGUCCAGAAAUGAAAGAUCCAUAAACUCCGAAGCAGUGAGUUUCCUAAAACCCGAGAGAGAGAGAGAACAAAAGAGAGGAAGUACCUGCCACUUGGAGAAGACGGCGUCGGGUUUAGUUCGACUGUAAUCGUCCCUGUUGAACAUGGUGAACACGACGGCGAAAAAACGCCGUCUCCGAGAUUCAGUCUCUCUUACCUCCUUUCUGAUCAGACUCGAUGGUUUUUCCGUUAACUGAUCGGAAAGUGAUGGAGAAUUUGCAGAAAAUUAGUUUUUUUUUUUUGUUUUCUUUUUCAAAUUUGAAUUCGUCACUCGCCGCCACUGGUGAAAGAAUAGUUGAAGAUAGUUGAAUCUACAACAGUAAUUGAUUGCAAUCCUUUUUUUCGAAGAUAAUAACAAGAAUUAUUAUAGAAAAUCAAAAUUAAUUGAAAUUAUAGAAAUAAUAAUGAGUUAAUAUUUUUUGGGUGAUGUUGCUUAUCAGUUAAUUAUAAAAGACGUAUGAUUUCUUUUUGUAACAUGUAUAUAUAUAUAUAUCUUAUAUUAAAAAUAAGAUAUCCCUCUAUUUCUUAUUGAUAAACUUUCUAGGUUUUUUUUUGUUUCUUAAUGAUAGAGUUUUUAUAAGUUUUCAAUGCAUUUUUUACUAAUUAAUUAUACCAAUUUUAAAAUUUGUUGAAAAUAAUUAAAUUUCUUGAAUCAUGAUUCGUUUAGACUCAUGGGAAAUUGUUUAUCAAUUAGAGAUUUUAAAUGGUCUAAUAUUUGUCACUUAACUAUGAUUAGUUGCUAAUGCAUUGGAAAGAGCAACAUUGUUGGAGUAGAGGAUUUCGAAAAGUUGUGUUUGAAGGGGAUAACAAAAUGGAUUUCGAAAAGUUGUGUUUGAAGGGGAUAACAAAAUGGUAAUGGAACUAAUAGAAGGCAAGAUGCAUAACUUAAAGGUUUAAACUGGAUUCUCGAAGCUAGACAUUGGUAAAGAAGAUUCGAGGAAGUAAAAUUUACAUGGUUGAAAAGGUGCCACAACAUACCAGCGGACAUUCUUGCAAAACAUCAACUUCCUCAAAAUACAGUUUUUUUCUUUUCAAUAUUAUGUUCUAAAAUGUUAUUUAUAUGUCUUUGCAUAAGGACUAUGUAUCGCUCACUCAAAUUUAAUAAAUUAGACGUCACAAAUAAAAAACUACGUCCGAAACACAGAAUAUUUUAUCGUUUCUAUGUUAUUGGUUUAUAUGGACAUUUAAUUUAUCCAAUAAAAUUUUAUUCCCGUUGUAUAAGCAUAUGAUUUAUAUUAUUAUUUAGUGUAAGUAUAUAUCUUUCUUAACAAGAGUACUAAACAUAUAUAUUUUUAAAACGUAUGUUCAAUCAAUUAUCAUAAAAUCAAAACUAAUUAGAAAAUUUACACUAAUUAAUUCAUGCUUUAAUACCCCUGGACCUCGAGAAAGAUACCCAUUCUAAGUUUUUAACCAGAGUAGUGCUUAGAUAAAUAGUGGUCAAAGGCGAUUGACAAUGAAAUAGUUUUUUAAUCUUGAAUGUUAGUGUUCUCAAUCUAUUCUAGUGAUGAAAAUUUGUUGGAUUAUACAAAUUUUGCAUCAUAUUAAAAAACCUAUCAAUAAAAAAAAUGUUCCAAAUAGAUCAAAUAUAUAAAUGUCUACAACAAUGGAUAUCAAGAAACAAAAAUGUGUUUUUAAAAAUUAAUAUUUUUAUUUAAAAUAAAUAAAAAAAUACAAACAAAAACUUAGUUUUAAAACCUAAUAUGUUUUAGUUUCUUAUGUUGUUUGGUGGCACCUAUAAUUUUAAACAUAAUUUUAUAAUAUUUGUGGUUGUAAUUUAGAACACAAUUUUAAUAGAAAUGAUUAAAAAUGAAACAAAAUCAAGCAAAAGACAAAAAAUACAAAUAUCAAAAUUUAAUGAAUUUCGUGAAUGUUAAAAAAUAAAAACUAUAACAAAAAUAAGUUUCUUAAAUAAACUCAAGAAACUGUUUAUCUUAAUCUUAUAAUGUUUUAUUUUGUUUUCUUUACUAUUUUUUCAAUUAUCUCCGGGGAGAUUUUCUUUAUUCUUAUUUUCGACGCUAACCAAUAAUAUUGAUCAUAUUAAAAAUAAAUUAAAAAACUAAAAAAAAUUAUGUAUGUGUAAAUCUUGCAAAAAAAGUUUCCUAAGUUUUUCUCAAAAAAUUGAGACCCUAGGUUUAUGUUUCUUAUAUUAUAACGUUGAGCAGGACUCUGUUUCUAACCAACCCAAAAAAAAAAAAACUAGAGAAAACUAGGGUUUCUUUCGAGUCUUAUCUUAUAACGACAAUGCACCCAAAGUAAGUUUCUUUCCGAUAAUUCUACUUGCGUUCUAGGUUUCCUUAGCCUCCAAACACCGACCAAAUACUUCAGAUAAUAUAUCUUCGACUUUGGAGUUUGGAUCGUCCUAAUUGAUGUUUUCAUAGCAGAAUUGUUGGUGGAACCUUCAAGAAGAAACGAAGCGUUAACAUGACAACAGAUAAGAUUAGUGAAUUGCCUGAUGCUUUGCUGCUUCAUAUAUUGUCCUUAAUUCCGACAAUAGAUGUCGUAGGGACAUGUGUUUUAUCGAAACGGUGGAGAUCUCUUUGGAAAUAUGUGCCUAGACUUGACUAUGAUUACCGGAAUGAUAGAAGACUGUCGCACCAAUUUGUUCACAGGUUCUUGAUAUUACAUAAGUCGCAGCAAUUUGUUCACGGGCUUCUAGAGAGUAUGCGACUUAUAGUUGCGUCGGAUUGUGAGGCUUUCGAUAUCGAAAUUUGGAUCGGGUAUGGGGUUGAACAUGGUUUGCGUGAGCUAGAACUCGAUUAUUUCUCGGAGAAAGAAAAUAUCCGAUUGCCUAGUAACAUCUACGCUUGUAAAACACUCGAGGUCUUGAAACUUAAGAACUGUGUUCGCGUAGAUGUUCCUGAUUCACAAGUUUGUUUCAAGUCCCUUAAGAUCCUAAACCUUCAACUUGUGUACUUCAAGGACGAUGAUUCAGUUCGUAAGCUUUUCUCAAGUUGUCCUAAACUUGAAGAAUUGGUUGUUAAACGAUAUAUGGACGAUGUCAUAAACUUCACUAUUGAAGUACCAUCUCUAAAGAGCUUAUCAAUACAUGAUUGUAGCGAUGGAGAUGGUCGAAGAGGGUAUGUGAUAAAUACUCCUUUGAACCACUUGUCCAUUAAAGGACUCAAAGAUUUUGAGUUUUCACUUGAGAAUAUGCCGGAGCUAAGAGAGGCAAAGAUUAUUGAUAUUUUUGAUAUAAAUACUCAUAAGCUUCUCCUACCUCUCGCCUCAUCAGUCAAGCGUCUCUCCUUGUCUCUAUCGCCUUUAGAGGUAAACAUGUACCUUUUUGAUUUCACAUCCUUUCAGUUCUUUUGUAAUCCAACUCUUUCACUUUUGAAAACCAAGACGAAUUAAAAUUGAUCUCUAAUUUUGGAGUUAGACUUUUUAUUUUUAUUUUGUGGACAUUAUACGGUUGAACAUAUUUUUUCGUUUGCUUGCACCGCAGACUAGGUACGCUGAUAGUAUUGUCUUUCAUCAGCUUGUAUAUUUGGAGCUAAGUACUAGUAAAACCGAGUGGUGCAAUCUACUAGUGAUUUUGCUAUCUAAUUCUCCUAAUUUAAAAGUUCUCAAGCUCAUGAGAGAUGUAAGAAACUCCUUCAACUUUCCUUACUUCUCUAGGUUAACUUUUUCACUUUGAUGAGUCUAAAACAUUGUGUUUUUAAUCGGUUUUGGUCACAGGAGUCAGGGAAAGAUAAUAAGGAGCGCGUGCCUAACCCACAAUUUUGUAGACCGAUUAAAGUUCCUCCUUGUUUGUUAUUGUACCUACAAAGAUUCGAGUGGGAAAGAUACAAUGGAAUACGUGAAGAAGAGAGACAAGUUGCGAAGUACAUACUAAGAAAUGCGAAACAUUUGAAGGAAGCAAAUUUCUCGACGAAAAACUCUAAUUCGAAUGAGAAAUUUGAGAUGUUAAAGGAGUUAGUUCGUAAGCCUAAGGCUUCACCUUCGUGUCAUUUUUUAUUUGAGUGAAAAAAACAAAAGUUGUUUUAGAUGAGAUGCAACUGAUGCGCAAUUUCGUCCAAGUAUAAUAAGCUUUUGAAUACUUUUUUUUUAACGCUAGUUUAGACUAUUGAGAUUUACAUUGGUUUUCUGGUAAAACUGGAUUUGUAAGAUGAAGACGUGAACAUGUUAACGAUUCUUGUUAAUCAAAGAACAGAAAAACUAGUGUAUACUACUAGGGCAUCCUCAUAUAUUCCACAAUUCUGUUGGCAAUUAAACUCAUAUUCUAUAUGUCUUUUCCAAAUCUUACAAGUCGAAGCUAUAUGGUUGAUUUGAGGAAUAAAGUAUGGUCUAGGGCUUCUAGGCUUCUUGAGGAAUGAAAUAUUGUCUAAUAGCUUCAGAGAAUUGUUGUGGUGUUCAAAUUGGGGAAUUGUGAAUGAAACUUUGUAAUCAUCCGUGAACCAUUCCGUAUGAUAGAGCCAUCAAUAAAAUGGCAGCCUCCUUCUCAUCUUGAGGGAAAACUUGCUGAUAAGCUGAGCUUUUGCUUAAGAUUAUGGCUAGAUCAUCAAAAUCAAACUUGUUUGAAGAAGAACACGUCGAAGAAGAAAACGACAUAUUCUCGGAUCUGCCUUGAGUCUCCAAGUCCCCGGCUGUUGUGGCCUUUAUCACCGGUACCGCCUCAGAUGUGAUCAUCCUCUUACAAUUCUUUACCUUUGGAGCCAAAGGAGAAACGAGAUUAUAAACUUCACUUGAUCUCUUGUUCUUGUUUUGCAUCUUCUUCUUCAUGAGCAGUGGUGACACGUCAAAGGUUCCCGUUGCGGCUGCAGCAGCCCGCCUCGCCUUCCUUUGCCUUAUCCCACACGCGUUACAUAGAGACUGUAAUAACAAAUGGAAAAUGAUAGCUAGUGAAUUUUCUUGUAAGAUUGAUUUUUAGGAGAACUUAUUUAGGAAAUUUUCUGAACAAGAAUGAUUAAGAAUAUAUAGUACCUAAAAUUGAUUUUUACCAAUUAGUUUUUUGUUAGCGAUUAUGUAGAUUUGUGUUUCUUGCGCUGUUAAUUAGUCCUAGAAAUCGAGAGCUUCUAAUGAUGAUAUACAAUAUGAAAUUAAUCUUUAGGAAUGUGUUGAAAUAAUAUAUGUGUGGUUUAUUACCUUGGGACCUCUCGGCCCACUUCUCCAAAGAGGAGUCUUGGUCGUGUUACAAUCGGAGCAAAUCCUAACCACGCAACUGCUGCUUCCGUUAUAACCAUUCUCCUUGACAAUACUAUUGUACUGAUUUUUCAAUGUUUUCUUGAGAUGAUCAUGAUGAGCUUCUUCGAGAUUUCUUUGGCUCAUGGAUUGGUCCUGAUUAACGUGUUGUUUGUCGUUGUAGGUGGUGGUGAGAAUCGUCUUCUUCUUCAUCAAUCUCACCUUCGAAGAAACCCACUUGAGCGAAUUAGUUUCUGUCUCGUCUUUUGUCGGACAUCGAGGAAGAUCAGUUUGGUCUUGAAAAUUAUCUCUCUUCCUUAUCGUCAAUUUUAAUCGUGACUCCUGCUUUGGCACCAUUUGAUCGCUUGAUGAUGAUCCAUCAUUAGAUACAAACUUCUUGGUCUGAAAUUAUUUAAUUUGAAUACUAUAAAUUUUAGCAGGAUAUUCAAAGACUAUUGUAUAUAUGAGAUUUACUUUAAAAAAAGUUAUACCUCGAGGGAUUGAGAGAGUUGGGGAUCAAGAAAACGUUGGAAAGUGAUGUUGUUGUACCCAACAUAUACUUGAUCUUGGUGAGAGUUGAUCAAGAAAGGGAGGUAGGAAUGAGAUGGUGAAGUCAAAGAAGAUGACGAAGAGGAGAUAUUAAAAGGAGCUUGAUGUUGUUGUUGUUGAUGAUGAUGAUUAUGAUGAAUAGAGGAUCCAAGAGGAGUGAAAAAAGGUUGGUGGUUUUGAUCUUCAUUGAGAUCUAUAGUGUAAUGAAAAUUCGAACCCAUGAUCGAUAGAGAUGAUCAGUGAAACACAAAAGAUAAGGAAGAGGAGAGAUUGGGAGAGAUCAGGGACAGUCAGAGAAGGAUCCAAGCUAUACUGUGUUUGACCCUUUUUAAAGGCAAGAGACCACGAGCCAAAAACAAAUUAAUUAGAGAAUAUAUGCAUCAACUUACACUAGUAGAAUAUAGAAGAAUUCAGAAGAUAUGGAUAAACAUUUAUUUAUAAAUAAUUUGUGGUUUGAUUUAAGAUCAAAUUAAUUUAGUACAUGCAUAAAAAGGAAAUAAAUUAUCUAACAAAGAAAAAACAAAAUCAGAACAUUCCUAUCAUUUUCACCAGUGUUGGCUAACAUUUUUGAAACUCAAUAACAUGAAAAGAACAAAUUGAUGAUUCUAUAUUGAAAAGAAUUAGCUUUUCUUCGUCAGAACAAAAAAAAUAGUUGGCAACAAUAUUACAUAAAACAUACAAAGUAAACUGAAUUACACUCCUACAUUAGAAAGAAGUUACUGUGCAAUAUAAUAUAGACAUAUAUCGAAUGUAGCAUGUUGAUAUUUUGCCCUCAGUAGAUAAACGAUUGAGCUACCAUCACUGGUUGAGUUUGAUUAAUUCGAACUAAUCCAAAUGGUUUGAGAUAUUAGUUAUCACAAACCAAAAACAAUAAAUCAAAGGGUACACGUGAGUCUAGGAUAGCCAUCCGAAUACAAAAGACAUGAGACCAUAUGUAUAGGAAUGGUAGUACUGGACGACCCCAUGCACAAGUAAUCCUACAAAAGAGAGAAAAGCAACCCUAAUUCAGAAUAUGUCAUGUCUCAUGAUAAUGAUCAAGUUAUGCGUCGAAUGGUAAAGAAAGAAAACAUCCCCACCUUAAGUAUUUGCCAAACUCCUUCAAUUCCCCCCGAUCAAAUUUACAGGUCAGUCAGGACCCCCACACAUAUUUUUUUCUAAUAUAAAAAUUAAUUUUAUUUCAUCAUUUAUAUACUUUCAUUUUCAUAAGUCUAGCAAUUAACUACAUGUGUUAUGAAGUUUUAUAAUUACUAAUCUGACUAUGAAAAUUUAUUUUAUGCUGCAUGCAGAUGAAACUGAUUAUCAUUUAGGGUUCACCGUAAUAUAUAUGUAUGUUAUACUAUAUCCAAAUCUCAUAAUCGAAAACUGCAUAAUGAGCUUUAAGAUUCUUGUAAAAUUCGUUGAGGAUGAGGAUUACGGAGAUUUGAACCAAAGGAGAAUAACGUCUAAAUAUUGAAAGUUUGAUAGAUGAUCUUGAUAUAUACUUUUAUUUAAUAUUUAUUGUUCUAAAAUGUGAAAUAUGAUCAUUUCAAAUAUUAGUAGGGACAAAGAUCUAAACAUCAAAACCGGAUCACAAACAAACAAAAGAAAAUAUAAAAGCGACGACCUUUCACCUUUCAAAGUUCCCUAGCUACAACUUGCUUUAGGCACAUAUAUCCAAUUGCAGCAGCUAUUACGUAGCCACAUCACAUGCAUGUCCAUUUUAAAAUUUUUUAAAAGAAAAACUUUUGAGUUUUACCGAAAAAUCGGCCAAAACCUAUCUCAACUUCACCAAAUGGUGCGAAAACAUACUUGAGAAAUUAGAGUGCCCGAAUACCUGAACUCAUUAAAACCGGCCUUUUCAUACCUGCAUUAAUAAAGUUUUGGCAAAUCCAUACAUUAACUAGUUUUCCGUUAGUCAACUGUCUUAUUCCGUUAACGGAAAAAAAUCCCGUCGCAACGUCACCAGAACGGAAAACGACAUCGUUUUACUUUUUUUUUUGUUCGUCUUUUUUUUUUUGUUCAUCCUUAUCAAAACGACGUCGUUUUGAUUAAUUUUUUUCUGUUCGUCAUGAUCAAAACGACGUCGUUUUGGUAAUUGUGAACAAAAAAAAAAUUUUGUACAUUAACCGAUGUAAAAAAUUUAGUAAAAAAUUUAGUAAAUUCAGUAAUAAAUUUAGUAAAAAAUAACAGAAUUUUUUAAAAAAAUUUACUAAAAAAUUAAGUAAAAACUUUUACUAAAAAAAGACACCAAUACCAUUAACAACAAGAUAACAGAAACAUUGUUUUAAACAUCCAGGGUUAAUGUUAUUUUUUACUAAAUUUUUUAGGAUAAUACAUCCAUUGGUUAAUGUUAUUUUUUACUAAUUUUUUUACUAAUUCUGUUAUUUUUUACUGUUAUUUUGUAUUUUGUUAUUUUUUACUUAAUUUUUUACUAAUUUUUUUUAAAAAAUUCUGUUAUUUUUUACUAAAUUUAUUACUGAAUUUACUAAAUUUUUUACUAAAUUUUUUACAUCGGUUAAUGUACAAAUUUUUUUUUUUGUUCGUCAUACUCAAAACGACGUUGUUUUGAGUAUUUUUUUUUUGUUCACAGUUACCAAAACGACGUCGUUUUGAUCAUGACGAAUAAAAAAAAAUUUAAUUAAGGACGAACAAAAAAAAAUAAUCAAAACGACGUCGUUUUGAUUUUGACGAACAAAAAAAAAGUAAAACAAUGUCGUUUUCCGUUUCGAUGACGUUGCGACGGGAUUUUUUCCGUUAACGGAAUAAGACCGUUGACUAACAGGAAACUAGUCAAUGUAUGAAUUUGCCAAAACUUUAUUAGUGCAGGUAUGAAAAUGCCGGUUUUAAUGAGUUCAGGUAUGUAUUCGGACACUCAAAUUUCUCAGGUAUGUUUUCGCACCAUUUGGUGAAGUUGAGGUAGGUUUUGGCCGAUUUUCCGAGUUUUACCUUUGGGUAACUAGAUGGUAAAAAUAAACAUUAAAAAGGGAAAAUUGCUCUUUCUUUUAACUGACUUUGUUGCUUUUAUCAGUCGUGUAUAGUACUUUUCAGGGUUCAAAUGUGGUUAAAAACUCUUCAUACCAACUCUGGCCGGUCCUUUUUUUUAGGUUGAGUAAUUAUUAUGCAAUUGUACUUUUUUCCAAAUAAAUUGCAAAUAGGCUGUGAAUGGUGAUGUGCAUGCAAUUUCCCAUCGUACAUCAAAAUGCCUUUAUCAUUAUUAGUAUACAUUAACUCUAUUUUAUUAUUCACUGUUUAGAACAUCAUGAAUUUCUUAAACAAUAUAUAAUUCUCUUUUGGAUGAUGUCUCAUUUGGACAACGGUCAAGGACAAGUGUCAACCCUUCAUUUUCGCGCGGUCAAAAUGCCAUCUUUUUAUAAAUGUAUUUCUGGUUCUAACUACUAAACUUAGUUAAAAUAUAGUGGUUUUUCUACUGUUACUCUUUUUUUUUCUACUGUUACUCUUACGUAGUAUUGAAAAGAAAAUAAAUAUUAAUUACAGAUGUGUCACGGUGACACGGUGAGAGCUAGUAAUUUUACUAUAAAAGACAAAAAAACCGUUUCUUUGAAAUAGUUGUAACUCUAUAUAUAAACUUUCAACCAUUCAAUAUAUAGUUCAUAAUUCCAUAUCAAAAUUCUGUUGUGACAACUGACAACCCAAGGGAUCAUGCGAAUUACUUUAGUUACCUUUCCUUUCAAUCUUUCAUAAUCGAAAAAAAAGUAGCUAGUUUAUUGUGGGAUUAAAGAUAUAUAUGUCCGUUCUUGGACCAAUUAAAAGAUGAUUAACGUAUGUAUCCAAUCCUAUCAGGAAAAAAACCUUGAUUUUCUAGUUGAACUCAUUGCAACACAGCUAAGGGCGAUAGUGAAACUUACAUAACGACUAGAAUCGGAAUCACAAUAAAUGAAGUGAGAAUCAGAUAGAUAUGGAUUUCCGAAAAAAAACCUAAAUAAUUAGCUAAUUAAUUUAACUCUCAGUCUAGUUGCACCCAUUGAAACACAGCUAAGCACAAUAGGGAAACUUACAUAAAGACUAAGAUCUGAAUCACAAUAAAUAAAGUAAGAAUCAGAUAGAUAUGGAUUUAGGAAAAAAACAGAAGUGGCAUGAGAUAAAUAAACGAUAGAGAGAUGGGAUACGUAUGCCGCAUAGGGAUCACAAAAUUCCCCAAAAUUCAUCAAGUGACAUUUUGACAGUAACAAGACACAUAUUUAGACAUACAUAUGACACAUUAUGUAUAUGUAUUAUGUAUAUAUGUGAAUGUCAGUACAAUUGGUUUGUGUCCAACAUUUUGGUGCUUUUCAUGACUUGUCUCCUUUUUUUGGUUUCUUCUAUAUUAAAGAUUUCCCAGAAGGGACCAUUACCUCUCUGAUCUUCACCACCGUAUCAUCUGUCUUGUGACAUUUCUCUUUCUCUUCGAUAUUAUCAUCUAAUCUUGACCUCAUUAUCACAUAGUUUUUCAUUUAUUAAAUAAUAUUUUCUAAUAUUUUCUUACCUAUACAGACUAAUUAUAGACCUAAAACAAAUGUAAUUAUAUAUGCGGUGUUCGAAUAUAUACGUCAAAGGAUCUGAGUUCGGAUUCUGUGUGGGACUUCGUCUUUUGACGCAAGAGUAUACGGUAACAGAGACUAUAAUUUUCAAUAGAUACCCAAAUGUAGUUAUCGUAUAUUAAAUAGAGAGCUAAUUUGAACCAAAAUAAUAUAAUGUUUAUAUUAGAUUUUCGUCUUAAUAUAAAAAUUUUGUAUGCUUUAUUCAAGAUUAACCAAUAACAUUACUAAUUUUGGUCAAGAUUUUUAUGUGAUACUGGAUCCUGAGACUCUUAAGUGAAUAUGCCAUAUUUUGUACCAAAAUUAAGAAAAUAGACCAUAUUUUUGAAAAUCAAUAAAAUUAGUCUAAAACUAAAUCUUAAACCCAAAAAUUAAAGCCUAAAUUUUUUAAAAAAUAAACUUAAACCCUAGAAGCUAAAUCCAAAUCCAAAACUAUACGACCCAAAAAAAUAAAUUCUAAACCCUAAAUGGUCUUAAUGGCUAAACCCAAAAAAUGGCGCAUUCUUCUUUACUUUAGAAGAAGCAAACUAGUUUUUUAGUUUCAACAUUUUUAGCCACUGUCCAUUAAUAAUAAAGUUUUAAUUCGAAUUAUAAUCGCACAAAGCCGAAUUUCAAAUUAACUUCUCCAAUUUUGUAUGUCAGCGUACAAUGCGGAUCAAACAUCUAAUUGUCAAACACAUGUGAACGUUUAUAUCCACAAAGCCUAAUUAAUAAGAUCUAUAGAUAUAUUUUGUUCUUCUACAACAUUGCAUUAGAAUCCACCACUUGUAAAAAAUGUCAGAUAGCAAUGUUACUACUUACAGGGGGGAAUUUGAACUGGAAAUAUCUUUGAAAGAAUUAGGAUAUUUCUACGUGGUUGAAACAAAUUGCUACUGGACAUGGAUACACGGGCUUAUUAAUUAAUAGCAAAGAGUUGAUACUAACGGGCCUGAGAAGAACAGUGGGCCUAUCUGGACUUCAAAUUUGGAACGAAAAAGUACAAUUUCCGUAUAAAAAAUGAAGUGAUGUUAAAAAAAAUGGAAUAAAUUUUUAUCCUUAAAAAUUACUUUUACCGUGUAAAAAAACAAAGUUUAAGAGAUCAUCUAACCAAGUUGAAUUUACAAAAAAAUAGAUGUAUAUCGGGGAACCCAAAUUAAACAAUUUGAAUGCUCAAAUGUGGGCCAGAUCAUCUCACUACAAAAAAAGUAUGGUCUUUCCGGUCCCGUGGUUGGUUUAUAUGACUCAACUUCCCCUUUAAUCUAGUUUUUGAAUAACACAUGUAUAAGUUUGUAUAAACAAAGAGUAACGGUAUAUAUCUCUGUCACAAUGAUUAUAGUUGGUGAAUGGUGAAUGUUGGGGGGGGGGGGGUUUGGAUAGGGUGUUGUUGUUAGUAAGGAUUUGGUUAAUUAGAGCCACGUGGCAGUCUGUGGAUGGUUUAGUCGGGCGUGGAAGGUAAAGCUUUGUAGUCAGCGAAGUUAAGUCAUGAGAUGCGGCAACUUGACUUUCUCAACGAACCACAAUUGUCAACUAAACCUCAUUGCAUAACUUCAAUUAUUGCAUAUAAUUAAUGGAGUAUACAAUAUCGGAAUACCAAAAGCCACCUUUUUAAAAAAAAAUUGUAGCUAACCUCACAUUAUGGUUCGGGUAGGCUUUCCCUAGACUACUGAUUUACUAUUUGUUACACUUAGACGAAGUUCAUGCUAUACAUAAUUUAUCUAUGCUAGGUUCUUACUUCUAAUUAAUCUGUUAAUCGGCUAUAAUUGACUAUAGAUAACAAUGUUAUACAAGCUAAUUAACGCAACGCUCCACAUAAGAUCAAAUGGGAAAGAUUUAAAUGGAAAAGGUUUAAAAUAGAUCAAUGGAUAAUAUUAAAGUUAAAUUUUAAAACUGAGAAAAUAGAUCGUAAAGAAAUGGAAACAUUGUAAACUACUCAACUGGUAACUGACAAGCUACUAUGGGUUCAUUCAACUAACUUCAACUUCAAAGUCACCCGCCCAAAGCAAGAAGAUUUGGGUCCCGACUACUUUCCAUUAUUUUUCAUUUAUUAAAAGUCAAAAAUGUACUUGCUCUGUUUCAUAAUAUUUGAUUUUCAAAUUUUUUUCUUCUUUCACAAUAUUUGAUUUUCUAUGUGUAAUUAAUGCUUGUAUAUUCUUUGAUUUCAUUCUCUAUUGGUAGAAAAGAAAAAGUAAUACUAAUAAAAAUAAUAAAUCAAUUGUAAAAAUAAACUAUUUAAAUAAAUAAAACAGCAAAUAAUUGAGCAUUAAUUGCUUCUUAAUCUAUGUGCAAUAUUCAGAAAAUCAACUAUUAUCAAAACACAGUGGAGAUUUUUAUUUCAUUUGAAUGUAACAAAUAAAUGUGAAAUUUCAAGUCAAAUAAUAAAAUCAAAGACAAAUUUUAAAAUGGAGAUCUCAUUUCAUUUAAAUGUAACAAAUAAAAUGUGAAAUUAAUAUUGUAGUGUUAAAUUCUAUUGAAUUGCAUCUAACUUUAUACAACCCCCUAAUAAAAUAAGAUGGCAUGUAUGUCAACCUUAAUAUAUAAAUAGCUCUAAGAACCUCAUUAGUUCCGAAUCCACGACUACCCCAAUAACCAAAUUUCCGGUGGAAUCUUCUUUACAAGUUUCUCAAAACAAAAAACAUCCAAAGGUUUGAUUUUGCAAAGGGAAGACAUGGGGUUGAACUUUAGGGAUAAAGCUUGGAUUUUUCUGGGGAUUCUUUGUUGUUCAUCUUUGAUUUGUUCAGUAAAAGCAAUGGUCAGUUAUGAUCAUAAAGCUGUGAUAAUCAAUGGUCAGAGAAGGAUCCUUGUAUCUGGCUCCAUUCACUACCCAAGAAGCACACCUGAGGUAUUCUUCGAAACUUUUAGUUAGAUAGAAAUAUACAAUCAUUUAUCAAUACAUACAUGUAUGCUUAGGCAGAUUCUGAAUAUUAUUUUUCUUCUCUUCUUUUCUCUGUUUUAUUUUCUGUGUUCUGAUAAAAUCUUUGUUCCCAAAGUGUUUCUGCACAUUUUUUUUUUUGUUUCUGAGUUUUGCUUAUAGUUUACACUAUUUCAUUACAAAAUUGUUUUCCUUUUGUAUAAGAAAAUAAAUAGAUAAAAAUCUUGUGAAUGCUCUGUCCUACGUAGAUGUGGCCUGAUCUUAUACAGAAGGCCAAAGAAGGAGGCUUGGAUGUAAUACAAACUUAUGUUUUCUGGAAUGGGCAUGAACCUUCUCCUGGACAAGUAAAUUUACAAAAUUAAACACAAAUUUUUUGAUUUAACUCAUAAACCAAAAUUAUUACCCUGACUGAUGCUUUCUCAUUUUUGUUUUGGUUUUAGUAUUAUUUUGAGGACAGAUAUGAUCUGGUUAAGUUCAUCAAGCUGGUACAACAAGCCGGUCUCUACGUUCAUCUCAGAAUUGGUCCUUACGUUUGCGCUGAAUGGAAUUUUGGGUAAAAUUAUGUUUAAUAUAAAAUAAAAUUUGUAAAAUUGUUUCUUUUUUUCAAUUUAACUGAUCUAAAGAUGUUUCAUGGAUUCCAGAGGGUUUCCUAUUUGGCUCAAAUAUGUUCCCGGUAUGGCUUUUAGGACCGACAAUGAACCUUUCAAGGUCUAAAACUCUCGAAAGAAAAGCUCUCAUUUUCCUCUUAUAAAUGUUAGAAAAUUAUCCAUUUUUGGGCGUAUUUUAUUAACCAAAAAACAUUGUUGUGAUAAUGAAAAGGCUGCAAUGCAAACAUUCACUGAGAAGAUUGUGGGAAUGAUGAAAGAAGAAAAAUUGUUUGAGACUCAAGGAGGACCUAUCAUUCUGUCACAGGUUUGUGUGUUUUCUUAUAGUUACUUAACCAAAAAUGAUUCGUUAAUGUCAAAAUUGAGCUGUAUGAAAAAAAUGGGGCACAGAUAGAGAAUGAGUAUGGACCAGUAGAGUGGACGAUAGGAGCACCAGGGAAGGCAUACACAAAAUGGGCAGCUCAAAUGGCAGAAGGACUCUCCACAGGUGUCCCAUGGAUAAUGUGCAAGCAAGAUGAUGCUCCUACCUCUAUUGUAUGUUCUUCUUCUUUUUCUCACAUUAAUUAUAACAUAUUUGCUUUUUUUAGUUUUCCCUGGUUAUAUAUUCUUUAAGCAAAAGAAGACAUAUGUUUAUUAUUUGUUUCGUUUUUGUGUAUUCUAUGUUAUUGUAUUCUCUUAAAGCUUUUCUAUUAAUAGUAUAUAUAUACCUAAUUAUUAUUCUAUUGUUUUUAGCAAAAGAAAGAGUUUGUAUAACAUUUUUGUUUGUCUAUUAUAUAUACUUUGUGAAAAGAAUAAGUUUUGUUUUCAUACUUUUUCUUCCAUAUCUUUUAAAAAUAUUUUUUUGUAUUGUUUUAUUUUUUCUCUUAAUAAUACAUAUACCUAAUAAUUAAUAUUAUACUUGUUUUCUUUUAAGAAAAAAGAAGAAGUUUAAUUAUUUAUAUUUUUGAAUUAUAGAAUCUCUUUGUGUUUGUGUUAUAUAGCUUCAAUCACCUUUCCUUAUUUAUUUUCUUGAAGGUUGAUAUUUGUUAUUCUUAAUUUUGACAUCUCAUGGUAGGUUACUAACUAUACUCUCUGUCCUCUUUUUGAUGUACCAUUCUCUUCAUUCUUCUGUUUUUGGUUAGAUAUUGUCGUUUAUAUCAGGUUAUGUGACGUGGUAAAUAACGUUUUCAGUCAUAUGAUUUCCUUUCUCUCAUAUUUUUUUUUCGUUUAAACUACAUGAGUUUUAUUUUUUGCUAUGAAUUAAAACUACAUGAUUUAAACUACAUGAUUCAUGCCUUUUCCACAAUUUAUCAUCCUUUUAAUUAAAAUUAUUGGAAUGGUAAUAAAAACUAUUGUCAAAAUAUAUUCACCACUAAUUCGUUUUUUAAACAAACUUGUACAAUAGAUAAACACAUGCAAUGGGUUUUAUUGUGAGAAUUUCAAACCAAACUCGGACAAUAAGCCGAAGAUGUGGACAGAGAACUGGACUGGUUGGUAAGUCACACAACACGACUGUCCUCACAAAACAAAAAAAUAUUAAUAACUCAAUUUUAUAAAUAUCUAAACCGAAAAUCAAUUUUUAUACCUUUUUAAAAUUAAAAAUAUACAACUGUAAGUGAAUGUGCAAAUAAUAAACCAGGUUCACCGAGUUUGGAGGUGCGGUACCAUACAGACCAGCCGAAGACAUUGCCUUCUCUGUGGCUCGCUUCAUACAUAACGGUGGCUCCUUCAUCAAUUACUAUAUGGUAACUUCAUAUUUCUCUAUUGUUGAAAUAAGAAACAAUAAAUUUGAUUAUUAGAAACAUAAUGAGAGUGAGCAAAUGUUGUUAAACAGUACCAUGGAGGAACAAACUUCGACAGAACAGCAGGUGAAUUCAUUGCUACUAGCUAUGACUACGACGCUCCGCUUGAUGAAUACGGUAAUUUUAACUCCUAUCACCUGAAAAUCAUAACGAUAUUGAACAUAUUCUAACGGGUUUUGGGUUUUGUGUUCAAAAGGGUUACCGAGAGAACCAAAGUAUAGUCACUUGAAGAGAUUGCAUAAGGUCAUCAAGCUCUGUGAGCCAGCAUUGGUCUCUGCUGAUGCUACAGUCACAUCGCUCGGCGAUAAUCAAGAAGUAAUGGAUCCAAUGCAACACAAAGCAAUAUACAUGAGAAGAGAAGAAAAAGCUUCAAAGAUUACUUAUUUACCUUUUUGUUGGCUUGUUCUGUUUUUUUUUCAGGCUCAUGUGUUCAAGUCCAAGUCAUCUUGCGCUGCUUUUCUCUCAAACUACAACGCUAGUUCUACUGCAAGAGUCUUGUUUGGCGGCUCAACAUAUGAUCUGCCUCCAUGGUCUAUCAGUAUUCUACCUAACUGCAAAACCGAGUACUACAACACCGCAAAGGUAAAUCAACGUUAAAGCUUUAUCGAACACGUUACCUUGUUGUUCUGCAAGCUUAGGAGUGGUGGUAUCACUGAGAUUGACCUAUGUGUUACUACAAGGUACAGGUCAAUGCACCAAGCAUACACAUGAAGAUGGUUCCCACAAACACACAAUUCUCUUGGGGAUCAUACAACGAAGAGAUUCCUUCUCCAAAUGACAAUGGUACGUUUGCCCAAGAUGGGCUUGCGGAACAGAUUAGCAUCACCAGAGACAAGACGGACUAUUUCUGGUAUCUGACAGAGUGAGUAAUACUUGAAAACUCUUUAACUUGCUGAAAUCUCACUAUCUAUCAUACAGACUCUACGGGAGAGAACUCACGGUUUGGUUCUGUUUGUGGAUAUAAUCAGCAUUACGAUCGGUACUGAUGAGAAGUUCUUGAAGACUGGUGAAGACCCUCUUCUUACUGUUGGGUCAGCUGGGCAUGCUCUUCAUGUAUUCGUUAAUGGUCAGCUUGCAGGUAAAACUAAGAUAGGCCAAUUACUCAUCCUCAUGGUACCUUGUCUUUGUCUUCUGUUAAAAAACCUUUCUUUGUUUCAGGAACUGCUUACGGAUCGCUGGAGAAGCCAAAGCUAACAUUUAGUCAGAAGAUCAAGUUACAUGCAGGAGUCAACAAACUUGCUCUGUUGAGUAUUGCAGCAGGUCUCCCGGUUAGUUCUCUUGAUGAAUCAUCUAGUUCCUCUCUGCGCUUUUUACCCAUGAGAACGAUUACAUCCUGAGCUUUGUGGUCUCUUAUUGCUUACAGAACGUUGGUGUGCAUUACGAGACAUGGAAUACUGGGGUUCUUGGCCCUAUCACACUGAAUGGAGUUAACUCCGGAACAUGGGACAUGUCUAAAUGGAAAUGGUCCUACAAGGUCGUCCUGAAAUUCAAGAGCAAAUAACUUGACUUUGUUGUUACUGCAUCUUUCCAACCAUCUAACAAUGAACCAAACAUUUUUUUUUUUUUUAAAUCAGAUUGGUACAAAGGGUGAGGCUUUAAGCCUUCAUACCGUAACGGGGAGUUCCUCUGUGGAAUGGAAAGAAGGAUCAUUGGUGGCAAAGAAGCAACCCUUGACCUGGUACAAGGUACGAGAAACAGAAGGAUCAUGCCUACCAACAAACAAAGUUAGAUCAAUAUAUAAUGAAAACUGAAAGACAUUCUUACAAUCUCUUUUUGCAGUCUACUUUUGACACACCAGCAGGCAAUGAACCAUUGGCUUUGGACAUGAACACAAUGGGAAAAGGCCAAGUCUGGAUAAAUGGCCAGAACAUCGGACGCCACUGGCCUGCAUAUACAGCUCGUGGGAAAUGCGACCGCUGCAGCUAUGCUGGAACUUACAGCGAGAAGAAAUGCUUGAGUAACUGUGGAGAAGCUUCUCAAAGAUGGUGAGUGAGGAAAACUACCUAAUCUUCUUCUUCUUCUUCUUAAGGCCAAAUCUGAUUCAAAGGGUUGAUUUUUUUUCUUCUUGGUUUCAGGUACCAUGUGCCUCGUUCGUGGGUGAAGCCGUCAGCGAACCUUAUAGUUGUACUUGAGGAGUGGGGAGGUGACCCCAAUGGGAUCUCUCUUGUAAAAAGAACAGCCAAAAAAACAGCUCUUGACUCCAUUUUUGCAGGAUAAAAGCUGUAAUUUUUGUGUGACCCUCCUCUGCAAAACAAAGGCAGAGUUGUAAUACAGAUUGUAUGUACAUAUUUGGAUAUUAUACUGGCUCAUAUGGAUGAAAAUUUCAUCCUUUUCCUGCCUAAUUAUAGACAACUAUAUAAAAGAAUAUCUAAUCUGCUUAGAGAAUUUCCAAUUUUCAUUUUCUUCUCUAUCUUCACCGAGCUCACUCUUGUUUAUGCUCAAGAAGAUAAGAUCAAACCCGCCGGUUUGAUUGAAUUCAAUCAAUUUUGGAGAAUACUGAGGUAGAAUCGAGCUCCCGAAACUGUAAAUUACAAUUGAUUGAUGAUGAUCUUAAGACGCAACAAAAAUUUUCACAACAAGAAAAAAUACACAGAAUUAGUACUGACGGAUCUGAGUUACCGUGAAGCAGAUAGGAAAGAUCGUUGGUACCAAAAGCUUAAAUACAGAAUUAUAGCCGAUGUCCAGAGUCAGAGAACGUUUAAGCUCCGAGAUGGCUAGUCCCAUAAACGAAGAAGAAGACUCUUCUUGACUAUCGAAAUCGAUUUCAUUUAGGAGUGUUGUUGGGCCUCCAAUAACAAAGCCCAUGUAAAGGGAAACCUAACAUUUGAGGGGAGACUUGGGACUUACGACAUCUUCGAUCGUUUAUGAUUAACAUCUCUCUAAUGAGUAAUGAUAAUUAUUCUUGGUCACUUUCAUAUCUCUCUUCAUUUCAAACUUAUUUAGCUACUUUAAGACUCAAACGAUUUAUGCAUGCAGCAUGGUAUUGUCUAAUCGUUCGACCACCCGAACAAGUACUUAUGCCUCAAGUUGCUUGUAUGUGUGGUUUGCCACUCGCUUGCUUUAAUCCCAAUCUUGAUUUUCUGGAAAGAUGAGAAAUUUGAAGAUCAUAUCUUCCACUUGCUGCAUCGUUGCGUAGAAAGACAAAGAAACAGUCUUUCCUUUUCUUUUCUUUUCUUUGUAACACAUGAGUUUUCUGUUUCUUAUCCUUUUUUUUUUCAUCACCUUUUUUUGCCUGUCUUUCCCUCUUUUUGUGUCUUUUUUUCUUUCUUCCUUCCUUAUUUUUCCCCGACUCUUUAUAUAUAUUGAAACAAUGGAAAGACGAUGAUUCUUAAAAAUUUUAAUUGAAGAUAUAUAUCAGUCACUUAAACAUAGCUUCUAACUCCUAGUAUCGAGACAUACUUUUACGGAUAUUUCUAAAUUUGUAUAAGAAAAGAUGUAACAUAUGUUGUAGAACUAACAAUAUGGACUAAAACGUUGGUAUCGACGAACAUGGCAGAUCUAUCAGUAUAAUUUAUUAGCAUGCGAUGUAGAUAAACUGUAAUUAUUAUUUAUCAUUUCGUCACUAUAGUUGUUUUAAUUUUCAAAAGCAAGUAUAAAAGGUGUAAUUUUUUAAAGAAAAAGUUUCAGCAAAGAAAAGAACGUACAUUAUGAAAAAGGGAAAAAUGUAAAGGAUGAUGGUAAAGGUAAGCAUUUUUUUUUAAAUGUGUUGGAAAAAGAAAGAAACAAAUUAGGAUAAAAAUAAGAAACAUAUAAGAUUGUCAAAAGGAAAUGUGAGCUUGAGUAAACGAAAGAUUCUGAGCAAUGCGAACGUAAAAUGAUCGUUUGUCUAUUGUGUAACAAGUUUAGACAAUUUUGUUUUUUCACCUAACUCUUACGUGACAUAUGGAUUUUUUCUAUAACAUACGAUUUUCUUAGGUGAUGGACCAGUUCAUUAAAUAGAAAUUAGUGUUUGAGAUACGUUUUAAUAUAUAACUAGAUUUUAAUCCCGUGCGUUCGUACGGAAAUUUUUUCAUUUUUUAUUUCUAAUAUAAUUUUUUAAUAAAAUUUAUUUUUGUUAUUUUUUUAAUUCAAGAAUUUUGUUAUCAUGUUUUAACUUUGAAUAGUAUAUAUAUAUAUAUAUAUUAGUAGAAUAAGAAUAAGAGUUAAUUAAGUAUAUAUUGAUUUAUAAUGUUAAUUAUCAACUUUAUUAUUAUGUAAAUUUAGAUUUACACAUAAAUAGACUAUACAUCUAUGAAUUAACUAACCCGUCUAUUUAGUUAUCUCAAAUCAUUUUUUAAUAUCUUAUAUGUUUUCAUAAACUAAUCCGUAUUAAAUUGCUAUUAUAAAUGUAUAACUUUAACAUGCUCUAUCAUAUUAUUGUAAAAUAUAAAUAUUUAUUAAUAUUAAAUAUUUGAUGCUUUAGACGGAUUGAUUAUGAUAAAUAAUACAAUAAUAUAUUUGUUUACUAUUUGUGCUAUUAUAAAAAUAUUAUUUAAAUUCAAAAUUUUAAAUUAAAUCUAAUUUGUAUUUAAAGAAUUCUAAAAUAAUUAAAAUUAUUAUCUAAUUUUUGUAAUAAAAUUAAUUAAUAAUUUUUUUGAAUUUGAAAUCAAAUUGAAUCUAAAUUUUCGUAAUUAAAUUUAAUUAAUAAAAAAUUUGAAUAAUUUAAAAUUUAAAUUAAAUAUAACCUAUAUUUAAGAAAAUCUAAUAAUAUCUAAAUUAGUAACCAAUUUUUGAAAUUAAUUAUAAUAUAAAAUAAAAGGUUAUAAAUAAAAUUUAGAUGCGUUUGGAAACAUGUAUUAAAAGUACUUCUGUUUUAAUAGAAUAGAUUUAUAAUGCAUCACAUGAUAAAGCGGACGGUCACAUAUUUUACUCUACAAAUUUGCAUUUUCUGAAACAGAAAAAAUAUAUGAUAGAUUACAGUAAAACUGCCAUAAUUUGAUAAUCUGCGUACUCCAGUCUGUUAUAAAGAUGGCAACAGACAUUGUACAAAGUUUUGUUGUUGUUUGUGAUGGGAAUGCGACCAAUUGUACUAUAGUAGAGACGAAAUAUUAAUUGAAAGGAGAAUAUUUGUAUCACAGAAUCCAUGUGUGGCUCAUGUGAACGCAUUAUUUAUUUUUGUCAAACUAGAUUUCGCUCAUUGUAGUCCAAGGUGGUACCACUAAUUAAAAAACAUAAGUAUGUUCUCAACUUUUUAGUUUUUACUAGGACAUCUACUGCAAAUCCCCCAGAGAAAAAAUAAAAGCGAAUCUAGCUAUUUAAUAUAGUUAUUAUAAAAUAUAUCAAACUGAAUAUAAUAUUAAUAGCUACGACUAUUGAGUAUUGACAAACAACAAAGUAUUUGUUUUGUUUAUCUGUUAUGUCAUCGUAAAGAAGUUACAAAUAAUGGUCAAUUGUUCAUAACAAAUAUAUUUAACUAUUUAAAAUGGAUGCCAAAUUGUCUAUAACAGAUGGAUCUAAGUCUAACUAGAAUAAAUUGCAAAUAAUGACAAAUGGAUGAUCUUUUCUCUACACUGAAACAAAACAAAACUGCAAUAUGAGAUUUAACUGAUAUUAAGUCAGGACUUCAAAAGUCUUGAAUUCAAUUGCAUUGUGAAGUUACGCAAAGUUUCAAGAUUUGCAACAACAACAACAAAAAUCUGUUAAAUAUCUGACUUUCUUAAAAUAGAAUAACCAAGAUAAAAAAGACAAAUUAAAUUAAACCAUGUCAAAAAAUGACCCAUACCCAAAAAGUCAAAGAAAAAUGGGGAAAAAAAAAUCUUACGCAGAGCUCAUUAAUGUAAUGAUUAAACCCCCAAAAAAUCUAAUAUAAAUAUUAUCCAUUUUGUUCAUUCUUCACUCUGCGACACACAACAAUGGAGCUCGUCACAAACUUGGCCAGCUGGUUUACGCCGACGACUCUCUUCCUCCUCCUCAAUCUCACCAUCGGCACCCUCUUCUUCACCAACCGGUUCGGUUCCGGUUCCAAGAAAUACCACCCGCAUCAAGAUGGUUUCGGGUCGGGUCAUACCCAUGCUCCGGCGCCGUUAGCCAGAGCUCCCUCCCUCAUAGACAGAGUCCGUUCCAUCAACUUCAAUCUCUACAAUUCUCCCACCCCAGAAUCCGAGAUCCACUUCUCCGGGUCGGAUUCUAACCCGAAUCCGCCUCCUUCUCUCCUUGAACGGGUAAAAUCCAUCAACAUGCCCUACUUCAAGUUCCCACAACACAAUUCCGAGGAAGAUUACGCUGCUUACGCGCUCAUGACCCGACCCGAUGAGACGAACCGGGUCGACAAAAUCUCGGAAGAUGACGUGCCGACCCAACCUAGAUUCGGAGCUCCGUCUCUCUUGCAGCGGGUAAAAUCCAUCAAGCUCCCUUCUUUGUAUAGAUCCGAGCCAGAUCUGAAUUCCGAGCAAACUCCGGCGAGGACGAAGUCGGAGUCGAGUAAGCCGGCGAUGAAGAACAAGAAGAAGAAGGCGGCGAAGAAGAAGUUGACGAAAUCGGCUAGCGAGAGAUCCGGGAUGGGAUACAACGGCAAGGAGGAGGAGACGGUGGAGGCCGUGGAAAAGAGACGGCCGGAGACGACGAGGGUUGAGAGAACGACGUCGAUCGGCGAAGGAGAAGAAGGCGUCGACGAUAAAGCCUCCGAUUUCAUCAACAAGUUUAAGCAGCAGCUUAAGCUACAGAGGCUAGAUUCGUUUCUACGGUACAGGGACAUGCUCAAGAACGAGUGAGUUGAAAUUACGCUUUUGCCCUUUGUCGGAAUCUGAGUUUUCCCGGCUUUUCCAGUCGGGGGCUUUGUGGUUAAAAAAAGGGAAAUACGUCUUAAUCUGAAGGGCUUUUAGGUCAUUUCCUUACGUAUCUUAUUUGUCUGUGGAUUUGGUGAUGACUGAUGAUGACAGACUUGUUGAGUCGUGGGCGUAAUUUUCUGGAUCUGGAUGCCUUGUGAGUCCUAGUGUCCUACUACUGCACUUUUCACUUUCUACUUUUUACUUUUUACUUUUUUCUUCUCCACAGUAUAAAGGAGUUUAUGGUAUCGAAAUUUAUUAAAUAUACACAUAAAAUGAGUAGAAUUUUAAAACUUACAAAGAUAUUAUAGACAAAGAGUAAAAAAAAAAGUAACUUGAGAAGUAUAAAUUUGGGGAAACAAAUGAAGUAUAAGCAAAAAACAAAAUUAGUUGCAUUAUAAAAUUGUUAGAUACAGUAAUAAGACAAAAAGAAAACAUUAAAAAAAGAAAGGUGGGAAUUGGAAUCUAAUGAACCGAACCGACUCCGGUUUACUGGGACACGAGCAAAUUUUUUCUAAUAGGAUAAGAAUUAAUGGAUUACUAAUUUACUACAACUAUAAACGGAGGAGAUACAUGUAACAGUGUGCAUGGGGCAAUACCGUAUACGCUUCAAGGUAGAUCCGCCCCUGUUCAUCGUCAUGGAUAUCUAACGUAAUCAAAAUGUUUUAUAACAUCCUAAUUUUAUUUAUUAAAAACAAUUUUUGUUACUGUCAAAUGGAUUUAUAGCUCUAUAUGUUACUCUAUAUCUAAUUAUCAUCUGCGUUGGUUGCUUCGUAAUUUUCUAAAUUAGGGUGCGUAGUUGUUGUCAGAUUUACUAUUUAUUGAACCACUAAUGACAACGAUGGGGUCACUCUUUGACAACAUGCUUGUAUCAACAAAACAUUUAUGAAGCCAUGAUUAAUCAUCCGACAAAAUAUCUAGUGACUGGAUAAUUACAACGGAACACGUUGAUCAAUUCGUCUGUUAUAUAGUGACAAAAGAAAAACAGAUAAGUCUUCAGUUAUAUCAUGAAGUUUGUAAAAAGCAAGAAACUGAUUAUAGGGACAUUUGAGAUAUGACUAAAGAGAUGAUCACGGGUCAAGGUCGAAGAUAUUUUUCGUAGAGAUAUUUUACAAGCGUAUGGGCAAACAUAAAAAUAUCUCAAAUGAGAAAAGGUAUGAUGUGAUUAUAAUUUCUUACGAGGCAAUGAUUCCAGUUGACAUGCCUCUUUAAUUAUCCCAUUCUCGUUUCCCAAAUGAUGAUGUGCAUCUAAUCUACAUACUCAAAUGUCUAGUUUAUAAUGGUGUGUAUUUUGUUUUUUCUUGGUGAAUAGUGCAUUUUGUUAUAAGAAUAUGAACGCAUUUUAUUCAGAUCAUUUUUUUUAAUAUGUAGCUAGGCGCUAGCACCUAGUCCAAUUUUUUUUGGGGGGGCAAAAUUCAGUUCUCUUUUACCGAAAUGAUUAAAGACUUUUUUUUGGGACAGACUAUGAAUUUUUUUAUGGACUAUCUUCUUAUACGAAAUAAAAAUGAGACCAGAAUUUAAAAUUAUUUAUCCUAAAGACCUGAACAUGUUAAAUUUGUAUUGUACAUUUGUACGUAAAUUAGUGUGUCAUUCAUUCAGCGAAUCAGAGUACAGAGAUAAACUAAUCAUAGCUUUUCACGAGAAUACUAUCCCAUUCCCAUUCACGAUAUUUGUAUGUACGUGAAUUUAAAAUAGACCGGGAAAUUCGGUUUACAGUUUGGUUUCAGUUUAGUUUUUUUAUUCUUUGGUUCUACUGGUUUCAUGGAAACAUAAUCCAUAUAUAUAAAACGAUGCAUUAACCAUUUAUGAUUCGUUUUGCGUGAUAUAUUCAAGUUUGAUUUGGUUAAAUUUUCCGUUUGGAUUCAGUUCAUGAUCAGUUGAAUAAUAACUUCAAAAUAGAUUAGGAAAUAAGUGGAUACCCCCACACAUCACCGUGUCUCUAAGAGACUGGUCACGUUGGACAAUGAUAGAACACACGAGCCAAGAGUAGGCAGAAACAAAUGGGGACCCACGAACAUAGGACAACUGAUCUGUUGUUACAAAGUCGUGUCAAAUUUAAACACUUACGAUAGUGAAAGGUAGUGAAGUCACAAUAAAGAUAGCAAUUUUGAUUCGUGACAAAGACAUUAUGAAAUUUGACACGUUAGGUGUAUUUUGUUAAAAUGAUAUACCACAUUGUUCUCCUGGACUUAAUAUAAAGGGUUCUUCCAUAUAAAUUGCUUAAAUUUCAUAUAUCAGCGAAAACAUUAAUAUAUAAUCUAUACAUAUCUAUAUCACUGGUUAAAAAUUACAACAUCUAUUUGAAAUACAUCUGCAGCUAGUAUACACAGGAUGCAAAGUGAAGGUCAAAACUUACGAAGGCAGCUAGUAUACACAGGAUGUAUAGUUUGAAUAUACAACUUAACUUACCCGAAGAGUCUCACAGGGGACCAUAAGGGUGGGCAAAAAUCUCGUCGACGCAUAAGAGACAUCAUUUUAGUUUCCGCAAGGUCUUUUCUCGAAAUCCCGUUUGUCUACCACCCUUAGGCGCCGAUGAGAGAGUUUACCAUUAGACCUCAUUGAUCUCGAAGUGGGAGACUUUACACAUUCCUCCUUGUCCUCACUAAAGGUCUUCAUCAGAGUCUCUUGUAGUUCCAUGUACCUUUGCUUCUUCUGUAGCCGUUUCUCAGGAGUGUCUUCUUCUACGCAAGCCAGAUGAUUCAAGUCCUCCGUGUCCAUAAAGUGAUCUAGCGAACACCGUGGGAAGUAGCGUUUCCCAAGUGAAACUGAUGACAACAAAUUAGGACCAAAAAAAAAAAAAAACAUCACUUAUCUUUUCUUCUUUUUCCGUAAGAAACAAGUAAGAAACAAUCCAUACCUGUUUUCAUAAGCGCUCUUAGUCUACACAAAUGCUCCUCUCGGAUUACAAAAGGUGCCAUGUUUAGGUCCAGCGAUGUCCUCUUUGCACAAGUGAGAUGAUCAGGCUCGAGGCUAGAAGCUGUAAACUCGCGAGUUUCCUCCAGUUUGACGAUAUCCAUUAUCACUUGUGCUUCCGCUGGAAAUAGAAUUCGAGCUAGUGCAACUAAAACAAGUAGAUACAGAGUAUAGUUAUCUCAUAAAUUAGAUCACACAACGGAACUCAAUAUAAAGAAAGAAAACAAACCUCUGUUUUCAAGAUAGAGCAACCUCAUCCUCAGUUCAUCAGGAGUCACUGGAAGAGAAGGUGAAUCUUCUCUAGGAAACCGACCUAGCUUGCUCGCAUGCUCUAGCACCUCUAUGCAUAAACCACCUUUCAUAGAGACUUUCCCUUGCUCCGUACUAGUAUUAUAAUCAGCUGCUUUAGUGAGUCGUUUCGCAAUCACCAAAGCGGUUCUACCAUCAAACGUUGUUUCCGAUGCAUUUGCACCUUUCGUCAACAGAUACACAAUAAGCUUUGGCUCGUUACGCAACGCAGCGACGUGAAGCGCCGUGUAUCCCCUCGGGUUUCUAACGUUGACAUCCGCGAGCUCAAGAUCUAUGAGGUCAAACCCGGUCUUGACAUCGCAGUGCGCGACAGCGAAAUGAAGAGCGUACGCUUCGUCUAGAUUGGUGUGUCCUUCUUUCAAAAGCAUCUUGACAAGCUCAACGUCGUCUGAGUCAAGUGCCUUGUAUAUAUUCGUGACGUGUUUGUCUAGCUUCCGUGGCUCUAGACCGAGCUCUUUGCGUAUGGUUACGAUUUGUUUGACAAUGUGUUGGGGCAAAGACUUGUCAAGAGUAACGAUUUCUACAUCAGUCUUGGCGAGAAUCUCUACGCAUGUGUCGAAAAGCUUCUUGUAUGUUUUACCACAGAUAUUAGCAAGCUUGAAUAUCACCAAGAGGUCUUCUAUGAGAAUUUUGUCUACAAUAUCAAGGAAUUGCCUCUGAAAAUGCAAACAGAGUUUAAACUCAAAAGAUGAAAAUUGCUCUGUUUUUGAUCUUAUGACUAUGUGUAUUAGUUUUUUUACCUCAUAGAGAGUAACUAAUUCGGGAAUCUGGAAAACGAAAGCCAAGUAGAGAAGCUCCACCAUGAAAUCCACCGCCGGCCGGCAAGCCACGUGGCGACAGUCCUCGUCGACGCAAUCGGAAGCUCCCUUCGGCGACGGCCUUACUCUGCCGCUGUAGACGUAAGCAAAAACAGUCACCACCGAGUCGAAACCGACUUCGUAGUCCCUCGCGAUCUCCUUAAGCUCGAGCUUCACGGCGGUGGAUUUUCUGUCCUUCGCGGCGGCGGCUAACGCGGUCUUGAAAACCGGGAUCCUCGCCGAGAGAACGCAGCGGUGGAAGGAUAUCUCCUUGCCGUCGGCGAGAACUAGCUUGGCGUCGCUGUAGAAAGUUUCCGGCGAAUCGAAGACGGAUUCGAGGCAGUUGGAGAGCAGUUGCAGCGGUUUAACCUCCGUUGCUGUGUGAAAAUCCGCCGCCGUGUAAUCGAAAGAUGACUCGGCGAAGAAGCUAUUGGCGGUUGUUGUGUUGCUGAUUACUGACGAGCCGGAGAAUCUAGCGGUGGAGGCCAUCGACCGUAUGAUGAGUUCACAAAUUCGAGAUCAGCUUGAGGAAACAAACAUAGCAGUAAAACUUGAAUAAAGUAGUGACCAAAUCACUCAUAUUAUUAAACAAUACAGAACGGUCUCUUUGGAGCAUCUGGUAAAUUUCCUGGAAGACAAUAAAAGUUAUAAAAUAAGAAAUACUUUGAAUGAAGCGGGUUUUUGGUUCCUGAUCGUGGGUCCCCUUUUGUAUGUCUCCACAGACCCAACAGUGCAGUGUGUUUUUAAAUUAAGAAGAACCAAAAAAACGGAUCACAUUGGUUUUGUACUGACGUUCCGUUUUUGGAAAAAAGAGGUUUUUUUUAUGUCAAUGGAGAAAUUAAGUGAGUUGAUUUUUUUGACAGAUUUAGACUUUGACUGAAUGGUCAACGUGGAAGGAAAACCAAAAGGAUGAUGUAAAUGGUAAACAAAAGAAGGUAUCAAUUGUUGACAAUACAUAACAAUAAUGGUUUUCUUUGACCAAAAAAAAGAGAGCUUUCUAAUCCUCCCAAAAUUUAUUUUCUCGCAUGCCUUUUUGUUCGGUGAUUAUUGUUGCUUGCAUUCGGGUGGCCUCUCGCCUUGUUGACCGUCACCAACAAUCUGAGAUCUCCCUCCCUUCUGCAGUACAAGUGAACCAAAAAGGAAGAUGAUGAUUAUCACAUUUACACAAUUCUAAGACACUGAUACAUACUACAUGAAUUAAAUGAGUAAAGUGAUUCGUGAGAAUGAAUCUACGUAUGAUCUAGUAAGCCCAUCUCUGAUUCAGCAGCUUGUAUAGCCUCUAUGCAUCAUCAUUUUACGUACCAUACCAUUCUCUCAAUCUUAUGCCGUAACAAUUUAGUCACAGCAACCUGUAUGAUCAGUGGGUCCGUAGAGCAUGUAUAUCCUAAUUUAUUUUAGGGUCUUAUGACCACGCUCAACCUAAGACUUCUGAUGUUUCUUGAUAGUACAUGACUCUCUGGGAUUGCUAUAAUGUCUUACUAUUCCGCAGGAAUUUUGGGGUUAACACUCGGAUAAAUUUGAACAAGUGACAAAUGAUGGUUACAUACCUUGUGUCCAGUUGAUGGCUGCAUAAACAAUUAAACGUAUUUUAAAAGGAUUAGUAAGCACUGCAGGGCAGUAACAAUUGAAAAAAGCAUACAAGGAGCACUUCAUACCUUCUUUUUGGUCUUGCUCUCUUCUUCAUCUUCAUCAUCCUCCUCGUCAUCCUCGUCAUCUUCCUCAUCCUCAUCUUCGUCCUCCUCAAUAUCAUCUUCCUCAUCAUCAUCUAUUUCAAACUCCUCUCCUUCCAUAGCCUCACCAGUAAACCAUGAGACAGCACGAGGGAUAAUCUUGUCCCGGAUAGUAGAUCUGCAGGAAGCAAGAAGGAUACCACUAGUUAGCAACUCAUACGCAGAUCAAUGGUUCCAUAACCCAACAGAACAAGUAUUUUCAGGAAAAGACGCACCCAAUGUCAUAGUCUUGUUCCAUCAGAUUUUGAAGUUCCUCAGCCUGCAUAAAAGAAUGGGAGACAUCACUAAAUACGCUACCUAAAUGAUGACAAGCUUUUACAACAGUUGAUAUCAUACUCUGUCCUCGUCGAUAUCUUCAUCUUCAUCCGGGACUUCUGGAGGACUAAAGAAGUUGAAGAAGCUUUCACAAUCUUCCGUUUUGGUGAUCGGUUUGGCGUUCUUUGAAUCCUUCUUAGGCUUCUUCUUAAGAAUCUUCUGAGUUAGACAUUUUCCAGGAUACCAAUCAAUUUCUGUCCUGAAGUAAGGCAAAUAAUAUAAGUGAAGACGUUAUUCUACAGCUUAAUGCAAUCAGCUACGCACAGACUAGACAUAAAGUAUACAACAUUUGUAGGAGAGCAUAAGCGGUUACCCCAUAGCCUUCUCAAGCAGUGGCUCAUCUUCAUCAAUCAUAUGAUAAGACUUUGUCAAGACAGUGUUUUUAAAAUAGGGAUUCGAGUCAAAGAAAAACUCAAGUUUGAAUCCUUUUGGUUCUUCAAUCUUGCACCACUUGAUAUCCUUAAGAUAUUUGAGAGCCUCUUCAUCACGCUCUGUGACCUGACAUGAAGAACAUUAAGCUAUGGUCAUUUUCCAUGUUUAUGACUGGAGUGCGUCUAAAAUGAAUACCAAAACUGCAUAUAGGAUACCUCCUCGGAAAGAACAUCAUUAUUUUUCAAAGCCGUCAGCCAGAAACUUGGAACUCCUUUCUCUUCUGAGAGGCAACACAUUAAAACAUGUUUACUUCUUUUUAUCUUUUUAAAAUGUUUAGUAAAGAUAACAAAAAAAGAAGAAGAAGAAGACAUUGUGUUCCUGAAGUUACCUUCUGCAGUUUUUUCCUCUCCUUGGUCCAUCUUUGUAUCCUCUGGAGUAAGUUCGACUUCAGUAGUUCCAUUCACAAUCUCAUAACGCUGUGCAGUAUAAGAUGCCAAGUAGAAUUCAUGAGAAAUUUUGAGAUAUACAUAUAUAUAACUACCACUGCUGCAGAUAAGUAGACAUUAGCAAAAAGAGUAUACACAGAUUUCAAUCGAUUUUCAUUGCUUUGAUUAAAUGAUUUUGAUAACAGAUGAACUAACCAAAUCUCACAGCAAAAUCUGACUUUCUCACUAACAAUUACCUUGGUAUACAAAGGCUGAUACAACUUUUGAUACUUGGCUUCAAGAACAGCUCUCUCCUCACGGAAUUUAGCCUCUAGUUCAUCGUGUUGGCCCUGAGUGGAAAGAAAUCACUGGUAAUCAAAAGGCAACAUCUUACUUUGAAACUUGACACUCUAAUAUGGAAGGAGAUUACACUCACACACAGACAAAAAAAGGGAUGCACAAACCCAAUAUCAAAUUACAAGGUACCAGACACACUCAAUUGAAUACUACAAGUCCAGAAAAUAUAAGGAAAUCUCCCUAACCUGUAUAUCUCUCAAGGCAUCGACACGCCUUCUCACGUUAGGAGUCAGAUUCUCGAGCACAUCAGAGCGCUGUCCAGCCAGAUUCUGCAGCUUGUCCUGUAGAAGUAACAUAUAUAACAACUGAAAAAUAAUCUCCAAGGAAACCAUAAACUAUAAUUCUGCUAAAACAAACAAGGAAUGGCAUUUAAAAUCCUAAAACACCAAACCAAGGCACGCGUUACAGUAUCUAAUCAACAAGACACAGACGCUAAUAGAAACGCCGAGAAAAGUAACUCAAAAUCCUCCAUAUCCUUCAAUAGCAAUGCUAACGGAACGUUUUUUCAGAAGAAAACAGCUCACCUUAAGAGCGUUCACAAGCCCAGUUCGAUCCUCAUCCUUAAGAGCUGGAAAAAAAAAAAAAAACGAGAGAGCAAUGGUCAUCAACCACGAAGAAAUUAGGGUUUAAGAAGCACUCGCUUAAGAAGCGCAGAAAGAGAGACAGAGUAAUCGGAGGGGAAACUUACCAGCAGUAAGAUCGGCGAGGCUGAAGUUGUCCUUGUCGUUGCUCAUUUUUCUGAGGAUUUUGGAGAAGAAAGGUUUGAAAGUGAGAUAGGAAAGAGAUUUGUACAGUAGCAGAAGCAGAAGAGAGGAGGGUUUGUUUUGGGAGGCGAUUAUAAAUAGAAAACGUGGCUUCCCUUAAAUCCUCUCCCUCCCUCUCACAGCAAAAUUUAUAAACCUAGCAAUUAACUGCCAUUUAAAUUUCCUAAGGUUAUAAAUAAGAUUAUUCUCUCUUUUUUCUUUCAAGUUCUGAAACUUUGAGUUAUCUAUGUUACUAAAAUAGUAUAGACUUGUGUGUUCCAUGUCAUUUUUUAAUGUGUUAAUUUAUUUCAAUGUCAGCCAAAAAUUUCAAUGGCUAUGCAAAAUUGAUUACUUUUUUACCAAAAAAAAUACUCUAACAAGAACUUUAGUUAUCAUCACAUAGUUAAAAACAAGAUGUUGUGAAAUCUAUUAUCUAGUUUAAUUUUUUUUCAAUAUUUUAAGAAAUUAAAAUAAACAAGUAAGCAAAAGAUGAAUUUGUUUCGGAGACGUUUAUCCAAUAAGUUUCAUUAUGGGAAUAUUCCAUAGUAGUGGCCAAAGGGCCAAUAACCAACCGGCCAAGAUGUUGAUUUUCUUGGCUUGCUGUCUCAAAAAGGAACGAGAAACAAAGGUUGCGGAAUAAAUCACUCACUCUUGUCCUCGUUCCUCUGCUUCUUUAGAUUGGUAAACAAAAUCUUUCAUAAUCCUUAAACAGAAAACCGAAAACUUACUACCGCUUAGCAAAUUAUCAACUGCUUGCUAAUGCAACAGAGGCUUUGACAUUUCCCAACCAAAAAGUGUAUUUCAAGAGAGACGAAAUGGUUAGGUAAGCAGCUCCAUUGAUAGAUCAAAGAAAUUGCUCAGAAAUAAAGAAGCGGUUCCGGGAGAAACUAUUGAACCUUCUUGAGAUACUGGAUGGUUGCAUCAUUAGAGGAUAAUGCCAAAAGAAGCACUUGACUUGAUCCUGCACCAAAUUCUGGAUAAAAGCCUAGCAGUGCUGCUGAACUUCAAGGAGAUCAAAAAGAAGAUAUCUGAAACUCUUAUUAGUACCAGUCUCUGAAAAAACAGAGACAUCAUGGGCUUGUGUGCUUCAACCCAUUACUAGCUGAUGUAGCCCCCUGUCCUAAGAACUUUAGACUCGGGUUUCUGUGUUCAUUUCUUGAUCUCCCUGCACCAACAAGCGUUGCAAAGGGAAUACCCAGUAGAUGAACCAUUUGUCAUUUUUUCGCACUUUGAUUCUUGGCAACUCUGUAAAACCGUCAUGGUUUAUUAUUCAUGUACACACAUAUAUACAUAUAUAUCACAGUUCAGAAAAUCGCUGAUUCAAAAAGUUCCAGCAUUUCGUUGAAACACACCUGCAGCUGGAAUACACAUGAUGCAAAGUGAAGAACAAAACUAUAUAGAGCCAACGAUAGACAGAGACAAUAAGAAGCAUGAAAAUUGAAAUAUAUAUGGUACAACAAAUAUUUACCCCAACAAUAGUUUCACCGACGCCGGUGUGAGAGUUUACCAUUAGACCCCUUUGUAGCAGUUGAUUUCGAUGUGGAAGAAGACGAAGCUGAGGGAGACGACUUUCCCAAUUCCUCCUUGUCCUUACUAAAGGCGUUUUGCAGAUUCUUCUGUAUUUCCAUGUACCUUUGCCUCUUUUGCAGUCGUUGCUCAGGAGUGUCUUCCUCUAUGCAAGCCAAUAUACUCAAGUCCUCAGAGUCCAUAAUCUCAUCGAGCUCUGCCGAACAGCGUGGGAAGAAGCGUUUCCCGAAUUCCACUGAUGAUACAAAAUUUUAAGGAAACAAGCUCAGGCAGGGUUCAUUUCAGUUAUAUAUUACAAGUGACAUAUCCAUGUUUAAAGAUCAUUUAGUUUUCUCCUUUGUUGAUAACAAGUAGAUGAAACGGGUGAGAAAUAAUACCGGUUUUAGAAAGCGCUCUUAGUCUACUCCGAUGCGUUUCUAGGAUUUCGAAAGGUGCCAUGUAUUGGUCUGGUGAUGCCCUCUUUCCACCAAUGAGACAGUCAUCGAGGCUAGUCACUACAAACUCGCAUGUUCCAUUCAUUUGGGCGAUGUCCAUUGCAACUUGUGCUUCCAUUGGAAAGAGACAUCGAGCCAUUUGAACUAAAUAGCAGAUAGGAAGUAUAGUUAUCAUUAGUUCACUCGAUCUCCUAACAGAGCACACAUAAUCUUAUUCAUAUAAGCGCUGAAGAACCUAAUCUUACGUUUUGACCUUAAUGUAAGAAAUCAAGGAAUAAAAGUUAAUAGAUACCUCUGUUUUCAAGAUCAAUCAACCGUAUCUUCAACACAUCAGCAGCCUCUGCAAGAGAGGGAGAAACGUCUGCAGGAAAUGGAUCUCGUUUGUCUGGUUGCUCUAGUAUCUCUACGCAUAGUCGGCCUUUGGAGGAAGGCUUGCCUUGCUCCGGAAUAUAAUUAUACUCAGCCGCCUUAGUGACUUGUUUUGCGAUCAAGAGAGCGGUUCUACCGUCAAAAGAUAUUUCUGAUGCAUUUGCCCCUUUUGUCAAUAGCAAUGCUAUCAGGUUUGGCUCCUUGCGCAUUGCAGCAACGUGAAGCACCGUGUAUCCCCUCGCAUUUCUAUGGUUGACAUCCGCAAGCUCCAGUUUCAGGAGAUCCGUCGCGGUUUUCACAUCGCAAUACGCAACAGCAAAAUGAAGAGCGUACGCGUCGUCUAGAUUCGUGUGGCCUUCGUUCAAAAGCAUAACGACAAGCGCAACAUCAUCUGACUCGAGUGCCUUGUGUAUAUUCGAGACAUGUUUCUCUGGUUCAGGUGCCUCAAAACCAAGCUCUUUACGGAUGUCAACUAUUUGCUUGACAAUGUGCUGCGGCAAUGACUUCUUAAGACUAACUAUAUCUACAUUAGACUUGACAAUGAUCUCUCUACAUUUUUCCAAUAGCUUCAUGCAUGUUUUACCACAAAUGUUAGCUAGCUUGAGUAUGAACAAAGUGUCCUCUACGAUAACUUUGUCUACAACAUCCAGUAAAUGCCUCUGCAAUGCAAAUAGAGCCGAGUUAGAAACCACUGCGAUAGCAAUUUUAGCAGAUCGUGUUUUACCUGAUAGAGCGUAAUCAGUUCCGGAAUCUCGAAGACGAAAGCCAAAUAUAGAACCUCCACCAUGAAAUCCACCGCCGGCCGGCAGGCCACGUGGCAGCAAUUAUCGUCUGCGCAUUCAGAAACUCCCUUCGGCGGCGGCCUCACUCUGCCGCAAUAUACGUACGCCAAAACAGCCACCACGGAAUCGAAUCCGACGUCGUAAUCCGUCGCGAUUUUCUUCAGCUCGAGCUUCGCGACUGUGGAUUUUUGCUCCUUCUCGGCGGCUGCUAACGCGCUCUUGAAGAAGGGGCUUCUCGCGGAGAGAACGCAUCGAUGGAAAGAUACCUCCCGACCAUCGGCGAGAACCAGAUAGGCGUCGCUGUAGAACGCUUCCGGCGAGUCAAACACGGACUCGAAGCUGUUGGAGAGCAAUCGAUACGCAGAUACCUCCGGUCCGGCGAGAACUUCCGACGGAUAAACAAUAGAUGACUCGGUCUUUUCCGUAGGUGCUGGUGUGGCGAAGAAGCUAGUGCUGCUUGUGUUGCUGAUUUCAUAUGAAUCGGAGAAUCCCGCAAUGUUAUCCAUCAACCGCCCGAUGAAUUCAGAAAUUCGAGAUCACAAGCAGAGAGAUGGUGAAACUUCUCCAAUCAACGAAUAAACCUUAUCAAUCGAACCGCUUAAGAUCGCAGAGAGAGGUUCGGGAGAGAAGAUAAACCAUUGACGAGCACACUAAGCUAGCGAGUGCCAAGUCAAUGAGAGAUAUAGAGAGUGGUGGUGAGAGAUGAAGGAGGCAUCGACGGUCGGUAAAUUUCCUGAAAUGGCGAAAAUGUAAAGGGAGAAUUUUGGUACAUUUGGAGAGCCAAAUUUGCUUAACCGAUUAAGAACCGAAGGUACAGUAUGUCCAGCUUUCAAAACCAAACCGAACGGAACCGGAAUAUAUGCAGAGGUGAAAAUGAAUUAAAAAACAAAUUUACCUUACCCGCAAGAAAAGAGGCAACUUUCAGAAAAAAACAUCCUCAUCGUUUUCUGUCCAUCAAAGCUCUUUUUUAUCUUCGUUUUCAAUUCUUGAGAGAGGAGAGAGAGGAGCAUCCCAGAAAACGACAUUCCGUUUAAAUGGAUUCUUUUCUCCAGAUCGAGAUGAGGAGGAUGAAGAUAAUCAUGGGGUUUUGAUUUCUCAGGCCUAGUCGGCGAAAAAAAAUCCGCGGAAAUCUCCAUUUUUCAUUCCGUAAUCUCAUUGUUCGUGAUCUCUGGGUUGUUCUGUUCUUUUCUGCGGAACUUCUGGAUUGCUGGUGCGGCUGAUUCCGGUUGGAACGGUUGUUUCGGGUUCCUCCUCUCCCAUUUGAAUCUGCGUUUGGGUUGAGAUUUGUAAUUAGGGUUUCGUUGCUAUUGAUGGAAUCACGCGUGGGAAAUAAGUUUCGGCUUGGCCGGAAGAUCGGUAGCGGUUCGUUUGGGGAGAUCUAUCUCGGUUCGUCACUCUCUCCGUUUUCUUUUUUUCUGUAUUCUCGAAAUCGCCGUCUGAGUUUUGACAUGUGUGCAUUGUUGUUAACCUUGUGAUUUUCAGGUACUAACAUUCAAACGAAUGAAGAAGUGGCGAUCAAGCUUGUGAGUAUUGUUGCUUGAGUUUGAUCAAUGUUGAAAGUAAUUUGGCAUUGUAAAAAAUCUGGAGUUUUAGGGAUUAGUAGCAACAUUGUCACCACAUGUUUUAGUUUGAUCAUGUUCAGUAUGUUGAAAUUUGAGAUUGAAUCUCCAUGUUUUUGUUUUCCCAGGAAAAUGUGAAGACAAAACAUCCACAGCUGCUCUAUGAAUCGAAGUUAUAUAGGAUUCUACAAGGAGGAAGUAAUGAUCCAUAUCUUCUGAAAUAUCUGUUCCCGAUAAUGAGCUCUUGAUUCUUUGUUUUCCAUUUCUGUUUCUUAUGACCUCUGUUUUUGCCUUUGAAUUUGCUAGCUGGUGUUCCAAAUGUCAAAUGGUUCGGUGUUGAAGGGGACUACAAUGUUUUGGUGAUGGAUUUGCUAGGACCGAGUCUUGAAGAUCUGUUCAAUUUCUGUAGCAGGAAACUUUCCUUAAAGUCGGUCCUCAUGCUUGCAGAUCAAAUGGUAAACCCCUUUGUCUUCAUGUGAUGCUUUUCUUUCAUUUUGUUUGUCUAUAUUUUGCCGUUUUAGUAAAAAAUAUAUUUGAUUUUCUGUUUAAGAUAAACCGUGUUGAGUUCUUCCAUUCAAAAUCCUUCCUUCACCGAGAUCUAAAGCCAGACAAUUUCCUGAUGGGCCUUGGAAGGCGAGCCAACCAGGUUUAUCAUCUUUUGUCCGAACAAUCUAUACUUUCGCUCUUAUUUUACUUUUGAAGAAACCAUUAGAUUGACUAAGUUUAUUUCUUCCCUAAGGUAUACAUUAUCGACUUUGGUCUUGCUAAAAAGUACAGGGAUAGUACAACACAUCAGCACAUUCCCUACAGGUGAGGCAAUAUCAUUAUAUCAGUUCUUGAAUGUUCUUACUUCAAGCAUGAUGUGUCGUUAUGUGAUGACUGAAUACACUUGUGAUUCCCAUUCGCAGAGAAAAUAAGAACCUGACAGGAACUGCACGAUAUGCUAGUAUGAACACCCACUUGGGAAUUGGUAAGCUCAACAAGACCUGUUUCACGUUUAUGUGUUCCAGUGUCUCUCCUUAUAUGUUUAAGUAUCAAAAUUUGACACACUCUGCUGUUAUUUGUUUUCUGCUAUUGUGAACCUCAAGAACAAAGCCGAAGGGAUGAUCUCGAGUCUCUUGGUUACAUCCUUAUGUAUUUCCUCAAAGGAAGGUGAGUUUAUGCUACAUGCCUCACAUCACUUCGUUUCUUGUAAUGUUUCAUUGUGAUGACAUGUGGAAUAUCUUGGUCUCAGUCUUCCCUGGCAAGGACUGAAAGCUGGAACCAAAAAACAAAAGUAUGAGAGAAUUAGCGAAAAGAAAGUUUCUACAUCCAUUGAGGUACAUAAGUCCAUUUCACAAGUAUGCUGCUUUCUGACUCCGAUUUAUGUCCCCCUAUCUGAUUUUAUAUGAUCGCCUUGUAGGCCUUAUGCCGUGGUUACCCAUCCGAAUUUGCAUCUUAUUUCCACUACUGUCGGUCGCUUCGUUUUGAUGAUAAACCAGAUUACGCUUAUCUCAAAAGGAUAUUUCGAGAUCUCUUUAUCCGUGAAGGUUUUGAAAAAAUUUCUUCUCUCUGAACGAGCUAGUCCACAAAGAUCAUUUUCUAAAAGGAUUUCAUUACUCUGUUGCAGGGUUUCAAUUUGAUUACGUGUUUGACUGGACUAUCUUGAAGUAUCAACAAUCAAAACUAACUGCUCCCCCAUCUCGUUCCCUUGUAAGUAUGAUUUGAGUUCUCGGUUAAUCUCUCUCUUCUUGCUGGAAAUAAUCUGAUCGAGUCUCUUUCUGCUGCAGAAUCCUGCGGUUGGAACUAGCGCAGCGUUGCCUCCGGGCAUUUCCAACAUCGAUAGAUACACUGGUAGAUUUCCCUGAUGAGUAAUUAUUUCUCUAAAAAUAUAAUUCUCAUUCCUAUGCACAAAACUUGGCAUUGACAUUGUUUGUUGUUCCUUUGUUGCACCAAAGGCGAGGAAGAAGGGAGACCGGUUGGUUUCUCACAUACAGAAUCAUCUCGACGGAGAGUUUCAGGCGCUCUUGACAACUCCGGGAAUCUUUCGAACCAACAGACAUCCUCAAUUACUAGAGACUCCAUGGUAUGAAUAUGAAUUCCUCUACUCUUGUUCUCUCCCAAUCAAACCUUUUGCAGGUUUAGAAUUAGAUACAAGUUACGUAUUCAAUACUAUUUUUUUUGGGUGUAGCAGAUCCCGAGCUCUUCAUUGUUUGCACAAUCAGCAGGAUCAUCGAGGAGAGUAACGGCAGUGAGUAGCAGCCGAGACAAUUACGUUGGCGGCGAGGAGUUGCAGAGAAGCCGUACAGGUGAUGUUAGCCGCGGAGGCAUGAUCCCAAGGAACUCUCCGGUGGAGGCGGCGAAGAGGUCUUCUUCCUCCACAAGAAGACAAUACGAAUCAGCCAUUAAAGGCAUCGAUACUCUUCAAGUCUCCGACGACAAAACUCAUCACCACCACUAAUACAAUAAUUGUGUACUUGCCCGUAUUGGUCAACGACCUCACAAGUUUCUUGUAUGUUUUUUUGUCUUCUAAAAAGAAGUUAACAACACUACCAAAAUUUAAGUACAGUUGAGUUGAGUUGACUUGAUUGUCUCUUAACUAACGAUGUCGUAUCAUUAGUGAAAGUAAUAGUAAAUAUCCGGAAUUCUGGGGCGCAAUUCAAUAACUACAAAUAAAAAGGAUGCACAAAUUUAAUAAAUUUUAAAGUCAAAGCAGAACUCUUCGACUCUUCCAUUUGGUUCGACCAUUUUCCCUCGAUGAGCUCACUCGCUGGAGCCCUAAUCUGAGAAUUGUUCCAGAGAUCUGAUAACUGUUUGCGAGGAUAUUCGGUGAGUUUUAGGCUUCCGUCGUCAUCUUCAUCUUUUCGUUUUAUAUUUAUUUGGUGUCAUCACUCAUGAGAUCUGGUUGAUCACAGUCAGUUCCUGAAUUCUCUUUCACUGUAUUUCAUCUGCACAAAACGAUUAACAGCUAAAAUGCGUAAACAUAUGAUUGGGUCUAGCUUACUAUGCAAUGAUGAUUUUUUUGGAACAUUUUUCUUGUAAUCAUGGUUUCAUUGGAGUUUGUUAUUAAUUACUGUAAUGGUAGGAAUGGGCGACGACAACCCACCUCCUGGCAAAGAAAAAGCAGAACAAAAUGUUGAAGUAAACACAUUAGUUGGGGACGAUGCUGCAAUGGAAUCUAUAGCUCGAAGAUUCCAGGACUCUAUCUCAGUGGAAAAACCACACAAGUUCUGGGAAACUCAACCUGUUGGGCAGUUCAAAGACAUCGGGGACACGAGUCUACCUGAAGGCCCAAUCGAGGCUGCAACACCGUUGUCUGAGGUCAAGCAGGAGCCUUACAACCUUCCUGCUGCUUACGAAUGGACCACAUGUGACAUGAAGUCUGAUUACGUAUGCUCAGAAGUUUACAACCUUCUAAGGAACAACUAUGUCGAGGAUGAUGAGAACAUGUUCAGGUUCAAUUAUUCAAAGGAGUUUCUUACUUGGGCUCUGCGUCCACCUGGCUACUACCCUAGCUGGCAUAUAGGAGUUCGUGCCAAGACUUCGAAGAAGCUUGUUGCUUUCAUCAGCGGCGUGCCGGCUAGAAUCAGGGUGCGUGACGAUGUUGUGAAAAUGGCUGAGAUCAAUUUCUUAUGCGUUCACAAGAAGCUCAGGUCUAAGAGGCUUGCACCUGUCAUGAUCAAGGAGGUUACGAGGAGGGUUCACUUGGAGAAUAUUUGGCAAGCGGCCUAUACUGCAGGUGUUGUGCUUCCGACACCAGUUGCGACCUGCCAAUAUUGGCACAGGACCUUGAACCCGAAGAAGCUCAUUGAUGUCGGAUUUUCAAGGCUUGGUGCAAGAAUGACAAUGAGCAGAACCAUUAAACUCUACAAGUUACAAGAUGCACCAGUUACUCCUGGAUUCAGGAAAAUGGAACCGUGUGAUGUCCCUGCUGUAACACGGUUGCUCAGGAGUUAUCUUAGUCAGUUUCUCGUUGCGACAGACUUUGAUGAGAAUGACGUUGAGCACUGGCUUCUCCCAAGGGAAGAUGUUGUGGACAGUUAUCUUGUAGAAAGCCCGGAGACCCAUGAUGUUACUGACUUCUGCAGCUUCUACACUCUUCCUUCAACAAUCCUCGGCAACCCCAAUUAUACAACACUGAAAGCUGCUUAUUCAUACUACAAUGUGGCCACCAAGACUACUUUUCUCCAGCUGAUGAAUGAUGCUCUAAUAGUCGCCAAACAAAAGGGUUUUGAUGUGUUCAACGCAUUGGAUGUCAUGCACAAUGAGAGUUUCCUAAAAGAGUUGAAGUUUGGUCCAGGAGAUGGGCAGCUCCACUAUUAUCUCUACAAUUAUCGUUUAAGAAGCGCCUUAAAGCCAUCAGAACUUGGGCUGGUGCUCUUAUGAGCUCAUGUAUCAUCUUCAUAGUCAAUUGGAAUCAGCAAGCUGGAGUUUCGGGUUUUUUUUUUCAUAUUUGUUCUCAAAACUUGUUUGCCUAUUUUCUUUCGUAUGAACCUCUUCUCCAACCUCCCUUGGGAUACUGAUGUGAAUUUAAUUUAUUGUCAAUGGGAAUUUGACGUUUCUGCAAUUUUGAUCGAUACAGUUGUCACGGUUUUUAGUUAUGCUUAUGCCGUUUCAUCUAUUCCCAUUUUUUAUGGCUUUGUUUAAUUGUUCUUGCAUUCUCCAUGACCUCUUUUUUAACUAUAUUCUGCACUUCACAAUGUUGCUGUGCUCAUAAUCUGUUAAGAAUCGGCAUCUGUGGCUGCUCUGUUUUGUUCACUUCGGGUUAUAAAGUGACAUGUUACAGGCAGCAAUGAAACGGCCAUGCAGCUAACAUAUUGGUAAAGUCUACUCAAAACUCUUCAUAUUUCUCUAGCAACAUUGUUAACAUUCAUUGGUUUUCAUGUACAUAAUUGACAGAUGUUGAUUUGUACAGAGUGAUCCUAACUCUCAUAUCAAUUUGGAACAAAGUGCGGUAAGCAACAAAGCACUUUGUUUGGCUGAUUCUUUUCCAAUGCAUCCCACCAUUUCUCAUCACAGUAAACUGUUGGCAAGUUCGUCAGGACCCUUUCCUGAAAUGGGAGUUUCUUCACUUUGGGACAGUUAGUGAUAACUAAAGUUUCUAGUUUUUGGAAAGAGAAUCGAGAUGGAAGGAUGCUGCUUAGUUCUGGUAAGUCCCUGAUUGACAAAGUCUUCAGGCUUGGGAACAAUGCUGUAUCUUCAACGGAUGGGCUCUCCCGUUCACUAAUCAGUUCCUCUAGCUCUCUGCAGUCGAACAGGUCAAUCACCUCUAGCUUUGGGAGUUGCGGAACCCAUGAGACGUUCUUCAGCUUGUGGCAGUGUGAAAUGUUAAUGCAACGGAUAUUCCGCAGACAUUCUUGGCUUACAGAAUUUCCCCACACUCUGCUUAAUUUAUGGAGGCUGUGUAAUGUCAAAACCUCUAGACUUGGAAGCCAGUCAUUUUCAACUUCUGUUGGUGGGAUCAGGUACUCCAAGUCAUGGCAGCUUUUGAUGCUGAGUCUUCUCAGGCUCCUACCAUGGUUACUGAGUGAUGGGAGAUCGAAAUAGAGAAGACCAUUGCACUCUUCUACGUGCAGAUUCUGUAUACGUUUGUGUAAGGCGCCAAACUCGUAGAGAGUUUUUAGUGUCUCCAGUGAGAGAAUAGUGAUGCCGAGUGUGGUGAGGUUUUCCAAGUGUUCCAAGUCGCCAAACCCGAGUUCUUCUAUUUCAUCUUCUCUAAAGCUCUGCAGUUCCCAACCAGCGUAACUGUAGUACAGGUUCAGAACCUCGAGUUUGCUCAGCCAACAUAUGGCAUCUCGCGGGAUCGUCUGGAGAAACUGAGUUCUUUGCAGGUCCAGAUGCUUCAGCUUUCUAAGAUUCCCAAGCUCUUGGGGCAAUACACUUAUCUUUGUUCCUGACAUAGCUAGAUGAUACAACUCUACCAAAUACUUAAUAGACAAUGGAAUCUCAGUGAUACUUAUGAAGGACAAGUCAAGAACCCUUAGAAAAGGCAUAUGCGUGAAAAACCCUGUUGGAAUCUUCUUCAAAGAGCCGUUCUGUUGGAGCAUCAAUGUUUUCAGAUUCAGACAUACCGGUUUUUCAGGCAAGGUCUGGAUUCUGUUAUCUAGCAAUGAAAUCACCAACGCUUGUCGCCAGUUUUCUGCUUUAGGUGCUUCAGUAAGUCCCAUGUUAGGCUCUACUAGGAUCAGCUCCUUAUAAGUCCCCUGUUCAGAAGCCAUCCAUAGUGCAAAGCUUCUUACCACAUUAUGCAUCUUCACCUGUGUUUUCUCAUCUCCUGAUUCCAACAAACACGCCGCUUUCAGAUCUCCAAUCAGAAAAUAUCCCUUGUAUAUAGUGUUGACGCCAUGGGAGCUGGUGAGAAACCCUUCUCCGACCCAGUACUCAACAAGCUGUUCAAUCUCAAUAGAAUGUUCUUCCGGGAACAAAGCGCAGUACAAGAAACAAGUUCGAAGCAGAUCACUCUCGAGAUUGUCAUAGCUGAAUUUCAAAAGUGCAAACACAUAGUCCAUACCCUUCAUCUCUGCUGGAAACCUGUUCAGAACUUCACUCGCGUGAAUCCACUCUUCUUCUGUCUCUCUAUGAGCCAUGGCCCCUCCUAAUGUGAUCAACGCCAGAGGCAAUCCACCGCAUUUACUCACAAUAACCUCAGCGAGCCGGCGAAUCGAAGGUGACUCCAAGAGAUCGUUUCUUCCAACUUUAUCACAGAAGAGCUCCCACGCGUAUUGCUUCUCAAGAAACUCCACUCUCAACUUGAACUCCGCACCCAUGUUGCUGCAUAACGCCAUGGAUCGUGUCGUGAACAUAACCUUGCAUUUGUUUUCCCUGUCAGGUCGAGGAACUCCAGCUUUCUCCAAGUCUAUCUCUUCCCAGACAUCAUCAAGCAGCAACAAGAACCGUUUCUGUUUCAAAGCUCUGUAUAUCUUCAAAGCUCUAUGUUCCCCUGUCUCCUUCUCGUCCCAAGAUAAACCCAAACUCGCUCCAACAGCUUGCUGAAUUGUACACUCGCCGAAUUCUCUGGACAUUGUAACCCAUAUAAGUACAUCAUAGUGAUGACCUUUUGUGAUCAGCUCGUUAUUAAUGCUCUGCAUCAGCGUCGUCUUCCCAACCCCACCAGGUCCAUAAACCCCAAUGAUUCCUCUUUCUUCUUCUUCUUCACUUAGAAACUUCCAAACCUUUUCAAUCAUUGCAGUAAUCCCAACCACAGACUUGAUCGGUAUCUCUCUACUAGUCACCUGAAUCGACCCGCCAUAUGUUUUUAUAUCUUUAGACCGUUCUCUCAGCUCAGUGAUGUUCUUCAAUGUCGUCAAGACUUUCUUGCUCAGUUUGUGGUCGGCACAACCGAAGCAACCGAGGCAUCUCCUCCGAAUUCUUGUCCUCUGUUGGCGAUGCAUAAACCUUGCUAUAAUCGAUUCUGCUUUAACCUCGGCUGCUUUCACCGCACUGAGCCACUCUCUGGCAUGGUUUGUGCUUCUUCGUCCCUCUAGUUCGUGUUGCUGGAUCCGUAGAUUCAGGUCGUCACGUAUGGCUUUCAGUUCACCGGUGGCUGUUUCGAGAUCACUGAUGGCUUGCUUAAGAUCAGUCUUGUGUCCUCGUCUCCCUGCCAUAUUCAUAGAUUCACACAACACCUGAGCUAAGCCCACGAGUAGAGAUGAGAUGAAAUCCAUCUUGACGGUUUCUCGCUCUUUCUUUACUUGUCUGAGCAAACUAACUAUUAGUUAAUUAUUCGCUUCCCAUGGUCGAUCUGAUCAUAGAGAUAAGGUGAAAGUUGACUCAUAAAGUCAAGUCAAUGAUAAUAGGCAUUUUGUGACUUGGUCCAAGAAACGAGUAUAUUUGGAAAAGGAAAACUAAGAUAUAGAGUAAAUUAAUACUACUAGUACUAACAAUAUUUCGAACCUUUAUUCAUGCUUCUUGUUAAUGUUCCACUCGCCGAGUUAAGACCCACAAUAACAAACCGGCCCAUUAAGAGUCUUUCGAUUCCAAUAUGUGUAAGACAUUGAAAUUUUGAAUCGCCUUCUAUACAGUGUCUCCUGCAUUGUCAAAUCAAGACCUCCAUUGCUGACUUGCUAAAAAAGUCCUCAUGUUAAGAUUAGACUUUCUAGGAAAUCGAAUUGAGAAGACAUAUCAAGAGAUGAUGAGUUUUAAUAUAUGAAAUAAGAUAUAACCUGACCCUAUACUAUCCCUUUAAGCUCUCGAAAUUUCUAAAUGGUGAUCGAUUGCAUGCUGAUGCAGGAAUGGCUAAAGUAGCAUUGUUACAUACUGAUUCUUAGUUAGUACAUUGAUCAUUAUACGUAAUUAUUCUUAUAGGAAACAUAUCAUAAUUGAUAUGAAUUGAUGAUGCUCAUAGACACACUACUCAGGAUGUGGUCCAUUUACUUUACGAUGGUGUCAUAAGUUUGUGGGAUCAUAAAUAAAUAAAAAACGCUUAAGAGUUGAAAAUAAAAGUAAGUUUUCUCUUUUGUUAAUGGAAACAGCAUAUCAAAAGACUCGAAUAGCCUGUUUCACCGAAAAUGGGAGGCAUAUAUGAUGUGAAUGGAUGUAAUGAUAUACUACUUUGUCCCAUAUUUAAUUAAAAACAUAUCUGUAUAUAUAAAAUUAACUAAUGGUAUAUAGGACCGUUCUUUUUAUUUAGUUCGGUUUUGAUUACGAGUUGAACAACCCUACUACCUCCAUUAACCGCUUUGCCCGCAAGGUAAGAUAAAAGAUUAACAUAAAUAAGUAAACAUAAAUAGAAAUAUCCACUAUCCAUGUUUUCUUGGCCAUCUUCUCAUUUUCUCUACUAUUGAUUUAAAAAGUUUUUUUCUAUCUUUUUAUUAUAUUUAGAUGAUUGGUUCAUUGAACUUGAGGUGUCUUGGGUAUUUUGUCUGAUGCCCAUCAUCCAAAAGGACCAAAACCAAAUUUCAAAUUUCCAUUUACAAAAGCAAAUCAGUACACCAUUGUCCAGUGAAUACAGCACAAGUGGCACAAAACAUAUGGAACAUGAUAAAUAUUUUUGUUUAUGAAGUUCUGUUGACAACCAAAUAUAAAUUAUUAAUUGAGAUAUUUUAGGAGGGAGAAAAAUAAAAAAAAGAGAGUUUAAAGACAAGAUAUUUACGGAAAUUAAAGAGGCUGUCUUUGUCAGUGCAAUGAACCUCUUUUUCUCUCAUCUCUCCCGCCAUCCUCAACUAACACAUCUCCGACCGUACACGUCACCCUCUCUCGUUCACCAAAAUCGGACUUUUUCCUCGUCAACGUGUCGCUCAUCCAUCGGUUUUCCGGUAACGUGGGACCCAUUAUUAUUCACAUUUACUUUCUUUUACUAUAUUUUUUUUGGACGGAUUCUCUUUCGUUCGUUGCUCAAUUAUGUCCAUGAGUCUAUCCAUAAAAUGCAAUCGGAAUCAUGUUUUAUUUUAUAUCGCGACAACGAUGAAAUACAAGUUAUCCGUAUAUACUAUAUGUUUCCUACUAGUAUUAGUUUUGUUUUCUGGUCAAUACAAAGACUUAUAAUGGUCGAAAUUAAUGGACUUCUUUUUCUCUGUAAGACAAAAUGAUUUCACGUACAUUUUAACGUGUUUUUAACUUUUUAUAAUUCCACGACCGAUCUCUUUUCUUAAUUUGUUUAAGAAAAUACAAAGACCAAUUUCUUUCAGCUGUGCAUAACCAUUUUAUGGUUAUAUGGAUCUCUUUUUAAGAAUCAGGAUUCAAAAUUCUAGUUUAUUUUAUUAUAAUUUGAUAAUUGAUAUAUACAUGAAUAAAUGAAGCGAAUCUAAGUAUGUUCUUCCGCUAACAGAACUAACAAUGCUUUUAGUUUUAAGUUUGACCAAAAAUGGUUUUCAAGAUUUAUAAUACUCCCUCCGUUUCACAAAGAGUGUCAUUCUGACAUUUUUCACAUAAAUUAAGAAAUAAGAUAAAAGGUCUUUUCUACCCUUAUUAAUUUGCAGAAAAUGAUUCUUUGAAUUAUAUUUAUAAUUAAUUUUCUGAAUUUAUUGAGGUUAAAAAUAGUAUUUUAUGUUAAAAAUUACAUUAAAAUUCUAAAACGACAUUCUUUUUGAAACAAAAAAAAAGUGUCAGAAAUUUAUUAGACGAAUAAUGAAACGAUUCCCCUUAAAAUUAUCAUUAUUUAGAUAUUUAACCGGUAGUUUUCCAUUUUUCCAGAAUAUCAAAACAUCCAAUUCUUUUCUUAUCUUGUUUAUAUGGAUAAAAAUAUUGUUCUUAUACUGAAAAUGACAGAAGUUUUAAUUAUUACUUUUAAUAUCUAAAUGAUAUAUGAUGUUUGGUUUUUUUGGUCCAAUGGUUAGAAGUUACGAAUAAAGUUUCUAUAUUUCGGAUUAAAACUGUGUUUACGACAAAUAAUUACUUAUAUUGUAAGCUACAAGACUUAAAUCCGAAUAUGACACGUUAUUAGUGAACGUCAUCUGAUAAAAAUAUAUAAAAUUCAUUAAACCGAUGACCUAACUAAAGUUAAAAGCUAAACAUAUUUCGUUUGACAAAAAGAAAGAAUUAGGAUAUUUGGUUUCAGAAAAGUGAUUCAACAUUUGUAUAAUGUUAACAGUGGCCAAUAAAGACAAGCAAUAAAAAAAAAAUACUACAAAAUUUUGUUGCAUACAAAAAUUGGAAGCAAGUGUCUUUUUAUGAUUUUUUUAAAUUUUCAAGAACGAAACAUCUCCCCUUAUUACAAAGAAAACAAACUAACUUUUUAUUGUAAUAAAUAAAGAUAAAUAUUUCUAGUAUUUAAGCGAUUGCUGCCUUUGCAAACCCAUUUCCUCUUUUGUUCUUUCUUUCUCGUUAUAUCUGUGAAGAAGCCACAAGAAGUUCUUUAGAAGAAGAAAGGAGAGUCUUCUUUCAACUUUUAGGUAGUUGAAUCCAGAAAUGGUUUUAGUUAGAAAUUAAUUGAAGAGAGAUAUUACAGAAUCUUUAAGGGGUCGUAACGAAUUACCCACAAUCCAGGAAACCCUGAAUUGAAAUUCAAUUCAUUAAUUUCUUUUCUUUUGCUCUGUGGUGAUUCUCCCGGGAAAAAUUUGGGUAUCUCUAUCUGAUUCUUGCGGUAGCCAAGGUUCCUUUUUUUGGGGGCAGUCAUGGGUUUCUUGUCUGCAUCGCUUCUAAUAAAGUAGUUCUCUUAAAUUUCUGUAGAAAUCUGUCGAAUUUUCAUUUUUCUUCCAUUAGAGCUCGUUUUAUAGAUCAACCAUCUUUACAACAAAAAAAAAGCUCAAAGCUUUGCAAAUUUCCGAGAAGUCAAGAGUUGAGAUUCCAUCAAUGGAGGAAAUAUCUCCGGCGGUUGCUAUACCUUUCAUGCCUUUCCCCGAAACCCAGAUGGAGUUCGCAGGGAUCAUGUUGGGUAAAGGUUAUUGCAACGGCCAAUACUCAACCCAAGAUUCCGAGAACGGCGAUUCAAGGGUUUCGUUACCGGAGACUUCGUGCUCUGUUUCUGGGUCUCAUGGAGCUGAAUCUAGGAAAGUUUUGUCCUCUCGGAUCAAUUCCCCUAACUUCAACAUGAAGAAGAAAUCAUCGUCGUCAUCGUCAGAUAUAGUCGCUGAUAUCGCCGCCGGAGGGGAGAUCAACGGAUCAGAUGAGAGAUCGACGGUUCAGAGCGAGAAGAAGAUGAUCAGCAGAACAGAGAGCAGGAGUCUGUUCGAAUUCAAGAGUGUGCCUUUAUACGGAGUGACUUCGAUCUGUGGAAGAAGACCGGAGAUGGAAGAUGCUGUCUCCACGAUACCUAGAUUCCUUCAAUCUCCGACUAAUUCUCUGUUAGAUGGUCGUUUCAAUCCCCAAACAACCGCUCAUUUCUUCGGUGUCUACGACGGCCAUGGCGGUUCUCAGGUAAAUUCAAUCGACUUCCUCUGUUAAAAUCCCGAUUCGAUCUCACACGUUGCUGCAAAAAACUGGGUUUUUGAUUGAUUGGGUCUUUUGGGUUUUGUAGGUAGCGAACUAUUGCAGAGAGAGGAUGCAUCUGGCUUUAGCGGAGGAGAUAGCCAAGGAGAAACCAAUGCUCUGCGACGGAGACACGUGGCAGGAGAAGUGGAAGAGGGCUUUGUUCAACUCGUUCCUCCGAGUUGACUCGGAGCUCGAGUCAGUCGCACCCGAAACGGUUGGGUCAACUUCGGUGGUCGCCGUCGUCUUCUCGACUCAUAUCUUCGUCGCUAACUGUGGCGACUCCAGAGCCGUUCUUUGCCGCGGCAAAACCGCGCUUCCUUUAUCCACUGACCACAAAGUAAGCUUUUUUCCCGGCAAAAACAGCUUGGGUCUAUAGUUUGUGAUAGCUUCUUGAUCCCCAAUUCUGUGUUCAAGAUUUUGAAUUUAGAGUUUCUUGUAUAUCCAUUUCUGAUGUAUGUUUCUGCUAUGUGUGUAGCCGGACAGAGAAGAUGAAGCGGCGAGGAUUGAGGCAGCCGGAGGAAAAGUGAUCCAGUGGAACGGAGCUCGUGUUUUCGGUGUUCUCGCCAUGUCAAGAUCCAUUGGUAAGCUUUGUUAGAGAUUCAUUGGUUCUUGAAAUUAAAAACCUUUUUCUUACAAAACACAUACAUUACGACAGGCGAUAGAUACUUGAAACCGUCGAUCAUUCCCGAUCCGGAAGUGACGGCUGUGAGGAGAGUCAAAGAAGAUGACUGUCUGAUACUGGCCAGUGACGGAGUUUGGGAUGUAAUGACGGAUGAGGAAGCGUGUGAGAUGGCGCGGAAGCGGAUUCUGUUGUGGCACAAGAAGAACGCGGUGGCUGGAGAGGCGUCGUUGCUCACCGAUGAACGGAGAAAAGAAGGGAAAGAUCCGGCAGCGAUGUCUGCGGCUGAGUACUUGUCGAAGCUGGCGUUGCAGAGAGGAAGCAAAGACAACAUAAGUGUGGUGGUGGUUGAUUUGAAGCCUCAGAGGAAAUUCAAGAGCAAACCCUUGAGCUGAGGCAGAGGAUCCCUUUUUCUUUAUUAUUUUAAAAUUAUUAUGGGGUCUCUCAAGAAGUUAAUUUGUGCUUAUUUUUUUUAACUAACUUGCUACAUGAGAUAAUGUAGCGUAAAGUGUUAAGCUCUUUGUCUUAACUCUUUAACAAUAUAAAAGCCCCUUGUAUUUUUCCUCCCGGGCUUAUUGUAAUAUGGGUUACAAUAUACAUUUGUUUUUUGUCAACUUUACAAUAUACAUACAUUAAGAUCUCUUGUUAUUGAUAAACUGUUUUAGUUUAGAUAUGUAGUGAUAUGAAACAAUUAUUAUUUAGCUGAGUUGAAUUAAGUAUAUCAAUUAGCACUGCAGAGAGAACAAAAUAUAGAUAUAGUGAUGUGAAAGUACACAGGAAAAUAAGAUUUUGUGGAAUUGUCUCUCAUAAGUCUUAACAUCUCGUUAAUUCGGCUUUCGUAACAUCUUUUCUAUUGGAUAUAAUAAGAUAUGAUGGUAGAAGGAUUGUUCAAACUCGGUUCUAGCUAUUAGCAAGAGGGGGAGUCAAAGAUCCUGCGUCGGUGAAGUAAGAAGAGAGACUCGCAUCCAAAUCUUCAAACAUGUUCACGAACUUGUGUUCCUAAUCACCAGGAAUAGCAACAAACAAACAAACAAACAAAAAGGUCGUUAAAAAGUGGUACGAGACAACACAAGAAGAAAAGACACAAAGAGUCUUGUAUGAUUACGCACCAAAAGCUCCUGUGCUGAUUUUCUGUCUUUUGGAUCUUUCUGUACACUACACAAGUAAAACAUCAGUUAAUAACAUGAAAGCGUUUCCAAAAUCUGUUUUUAAGUAUUCUCACCAUUGAGAAAUGAAGGAGCAAAACUCUGGAGAAAACAGGUGGGAAGGUGCACAAGGAGGUGGGUUUUCGACAAUGGUGUUCACUAUCUCAUACACGCUACUCCAUCCCUUCAUGUCUUCUGGAGGAUUAUAAGGGAAUUUACCCGUUGCACAUUCGAGCAAAACUAGUCCCAAGCUCCAAAUAUCGCUCUUGUUACUAUACAUACUUCCGCUGAUUCUCUCUGGCUGCAAAAUAUGAUAAAUAAUACUGGUCAUUCAUAUAAACCCUUUAUAACUUUCAAAACUGAGUUAAUGCAGGUGAAUGGAGGAGACUCACAGACAUAUAGUGGUAUGUACCCACAAAGGAAUUAGCAAGACUGGUCGUGCUAGACAAGAUCUUGCUGACACCAAAGUCUGUGAUUUUCACUUGACCUCUAUGAUUGAUUAGCAAGUUCGAAGGCUUUAAGUCCCGAUGAAUGAUUCGCCUCUCAUGGUGAAGAUAGCACAAACCUCGAAGCACCUACGCUUAGUCGAAGAAAGAGCUUAAGUCAUAUGUUCUCUAAGAGAAGAUAAGUAGAAACCGGUAAAGAGUAGAUGUUUUAAAGAUUUUUGCGUAGAGUACUCGCUUGCAGAUGGCAGAGAGCAUGUUUUCAGGAACUUUCUCGACUUUCUUUAACAAGUCCGCAAGGGAUCCACCGUCCAUGAACUCCAAGAUGAUUGAAACAAGACCGUUAUGGUAAAAAGACUGAUAACAUGAGACGAGAUAUGGACAUUGCGAUGACAAGUUUAUUCUCAGUUCCUGAGAAAUCGCUCGACAUGUUGAUUCUUCUGUGUUCAAUUGAAUGACCUGAAAAUAAAACAAUGCAUCUUUCUUUAUUUCAGCUAAAAGAAGAAAACACUCGAGAAAGAAGCAACAUACAUUACAUAAGAGUUAAAAAAGAACACAAAAGAGAAUCACGACCUUAAGAGCGAAAAACUGUUGAGUCAGUUUGUGUUUCACCAACUGAACAUUACCACCGUUUCCUUUGCCAAUGACUUUGAUCACUUCCAGAUCUGCCAAACUCAAUUGGUUGUCCAAUGGCACAAUAGGAGGUGGCUGCAAAAACCAAAAACAUCCAAUUUACUCAUAGAAAAUAAAUAAGUAAGAGAAGAGAGUGAGAUCUCAAUUUCAAGAAGCAUGAAUUCAAAAAAAACAAACUUACAGCUCCAGGUUCGGACUGAGACACGGUCUGGAUUCCAUCGCUGUUCACUCGAAGGUCUCCAUCCGUGAACGUUCCGCUCUCUGUUCUAUCCAUUUUUUUUUUUCAAUGUUAGAAGACUCACUGACACAAAUCUAUUGGUUACAAUGACCAUAGUGACAUAAUCCAAUCCAAUGAUUUAGACAAGAAAACAUUGUAGAAUCACUUGUGGUAUGAAAACGAAUCCUAAAAAUUGAGAACAGUGAACUCUGAUUCCUCAAAUCCUAAAUUGGAAGGGCAUGAUCUGAAGAAUAAACAAAGUAAUUCACCAGAAGCAUUUGCAGGUAAUGCCAUAAAAUUGACAUGUACGAAGAAUCCAAAGAUAGAGAGAAAGAGAGUUACAGAAAUUUGGAGAUGGAUUCCUCAGGAGGAGGGAGACAGAUGGGAUUAAAGCUCAAGCUGCCUCUUUUCAUGUCUGAUUGGAGAUCAAAUCUACCAAACACAGUAACAGAUAAGCACACAACAAAACAGGUCAUAGAUCAGAAGGAUCGAGAUUAGAGGAAUGACGAACACUCGACGUCGUGUAGCUCAUGACUAUGAAGAAGAAGACGAAGACGAAAAAUGGUCGUUGACUUCCCCUUGACUCAUAUUUCCUUUGAAUUUUCUUCCUUUUUUUUAUUUUUUUAUUUUUUUGUUUGGUCAUCAGAUUUUUUUCUUGCCAAAAUCAUUACAUUUUAACCUCCCACUUCUCAAUAUUCCCAUUAACACUAAGAGGAGGUUAAUGAUGAUUAUUAUUUUAUCACAUAUUAGUCUUAUGAUUAAUUUUCUUCGACGACCGGUCUUCUGAUUGUGAAAUCCUUUUUUAUUUGCAUUAUUUAACAGCUUGUUGAUUUUAAUUAUUAGUGCUAAAAAUAAACAAGCUACUAUCUAUUUAGAUUGUAAUUAUUAGCAAUUUUGAAAUAGUCUAAUUAUCUUUUGGAGACAGAUUCAACUAAUUUAAAUGGGACUAUCCGGUCCUGCAGUUAAAAAAGGACUAUCCGAUUCCAAUAUGAGAUCAUGAUGGAGAAUUCAACAACAUGAUAUAACGUGUAAAAGAAAUAUUGAAUUAAUGAAAACACCGUCGUAAAAAAAACAUUUGGAAAAUAAAAGUUUCUUUUGGUGAAAGGUAAAUGAAGUAAUGAACUUCCAAAAGUAAUUGAUUUAAACAAGAGAAGCUAUAAUUGGAAAAUAAUCACGACUGCAAAAUACGAGUGAUAAAUACAUAAACCAACAACUAAACCAGAAUGGUAAUUGCUUAUGAAACUCUUAAAAUAAUUUAGCAAAAUAGAAAAGAGACAAUUUGCUUUAGGCAAACGAAAAGGACUCUCCCUGAGACAGACUUGAGACUUUAAUUUUUCUUCUUCCGCUCUCUCCGCAUCGUUUAACGCUUACGAAGUUGAAGUUGAAGCAGUAGAAGACGACGACGACGACGACGACUUGCUCCUUUUAGAUUCCUUGAUUUGAGAUUCAUCUCCCUCUUCUAUUGCAAUCAAUCUAUCCUCGAAUUUCUGCUCGAGAAAUUAUCUGGUGAGCUAUCUCCGUCGUUUUCCCUUUUACUUCACCUUGGAUCGUUCAACUGAUGGAUUUCAAGUGCUAUUUCGUAGAUUUCUAGUUUUAAACUCUUUUCAAUUUGAGAGAAAUCAUCUGAUCCGGACUCUGGCUUUUCCAUGCUUCUAUUUCGUUGAUUUCAAUUUUCUCGUGGGUUUGGUCUCUGCUAGUGUUUCGCUCGAAGCUUCUGUGUUUUGUAGCCUUUGUUCGAUUGGAUUCACCACUCAUGGUUUCUUUCUGAAAUUUACACUGUUUUUGUGGUUUUGCUGCAGGCAAAUUUGAAGAUCUUGUGCGUCACAAAACUCAUAAACGCUCCGAUUAGUAAAAAACGCAUGGCGGAAAGUAAUCAUCUUCUUUCCUCUAUGUCUUGUGAUCAAAUUAGUCAUCUUACGUUAUGCACUUUGGUAGUUCCUGUUAGCAGAACAGAGGAUCACCGAAUUAUCAGCCAAAUCUAGGAACAAAGUAGUUUACUAGCUGUGAGUGAUUGCUCACGAACAGUCUAAGAUCAUGAAAUUCUGAUUUCUACAUUCAAAAUAUGAUUUUUCGAACACUAGACAUGGUUUUGAGAAGUGCCCCUUCUCAUCUCCAAGUGAUUUCCAAGAAGAAUCUAACAAUAUAGUUUUAUGAGUUUUCCACCUCUUUGGUUUACUCUAUCUAUUGAAUUUUUCUAUUUCCAGGUGUUAAGGAGCGUGGAGAUGGAAGUGCCGAAUUGGUAAAAUCCAUGGAUGAUAAGCAUCCCAGUCUCAUGAGACCAGCUGCUAGAUAUUACUCUGCAAUUAAAGGUAACUCUUUUAAGAUGUAACCUUUAAGUCUGUUCAUUUGUGGAACUCAUGCACUGACACUGGCUCUGUAUGAUAGAUGCUAUGGUUUUUGGGAAAGGAAGAUAUACGCUUGUUAAAGACGUGGAUGAUGUGGAAAAUGGAGCGUAUGACAAACCUCUUCCAUGCUUUGGUUGCGGAAUCGGAUGGUUCUCGUGAGUAGAAAUUUUUGUUUUUCGUGGAGUUAAGUCCCACUUUAGCUUCGCUGUAUCCAAUAAUGAUGUACAUGCUAUCUCUCCUUCUACAGCUUUCUCCUUGGUUUUAUGUUCCCUUUCUUGUGGUACUAUGCGACAUUUCUCUAUUUCGGAAACUACUACCGCAAGGAUCCUAGAGAAAGAGCCGGCCUUGCUGCUUCCGCAAUCACUGUAACGACCAUAUCUCUCUUUCUCUUCACUUGUGUAUAAGCUUUCCUGUAUGUAUGAGCUUCAGGUAGGUGAAAUGAUGUUGAAAUCUGGUGAUGUUGCAGGCGAUGGGAUUCUCGCUCUUGCUACUGGUGAUUAUAGUUUUCAGGUGGUUUUAAUGGGUUCUCACGUAUACACCAUAUAUACAUGUAUAAUCAUGAACCUGUUCUUGUCAAAGGAUUAAGGAAGAGGGACUUAGAUAUUUGACUGUACAUUCAAUAUAAACCCGAAAUACAGAUACUAUCUAAAGCUCUGUAUCAUAUAUACUUCUCACAAUCGUACAAAGUAACAGAAAAUAAAAAGAAUUGAAUAAAUUGUCGUUUCUUUAUUGAGCAUCUGAUAUGAAUGUUUAUUUAUUUAUUUUUAUUUUUUUGGUCUUGCCCUGGUAAGUGGUAAGUGUUAACUUUGGUAGAGCACAAAAGAAACUCGAAUACAUUUAAUAAGGAGUAUUAAACACAUUUUAGCGCAAUUUUUAUUUAUUUAUUUAUUUAAAAAGCAUGAAUAAAUCUGAUUAGAACAAAACAUGUGAAGGGUUCGCGUCACGACUGUUGUUAACUUAUUCCUGAUUGGCCCAAAGCGUAAAGAGCUUCGUUUAUAUUACGGAAAGUGUACGGUCGUAGUCGCUCGAAGAAGAGACAAAAAAAGAUGAACAAAAAAUUUGGAGGGAAGAUGCCGACGGGAACUCCGUCUCUAGCGUUAUCCACCGUCGUCGUGGUAGCCUCUCUGCUCGCCGGAGCCUCCGUCGUCCACAAUUUAUACAAGCCAGAUCUCGUAAGUUUUCUUCUUUUAAAACGCAUCUAAAGUGUUCGAUGAAAUGUCUAGCUAAACCAAAAUUUGUUUCUUUUAUAACUUCUCAGCAAUAUGAUUAUAAAUCCGUGGAGAGAUGAUCUGAUAUCCAUUUCUCUUUCUUUUUUUAACCUUCGUAUGCAGACAUUACCUCAGAUCGAAAGUGAUGAAACAGACAAGAAGGAUUAAUCUGGAAACAAAGAUUAAACAUUUUUUUCUUUUCUGUUUUGUUGUCUUUUCUGUUUAAUGAAACUUCUUGUUUGUGAUUCCUCAAACUCCUCCAGGCUCCAGGGUUUGGUUUAUGUCCUAAAACGAAUAAACGUAUGCGUUAUGUAUGGAUAAGUCCUCUCACUGUCAGUACUUUUGUGAUCUAUCCAAGUAUGUGAUUGCAUAUUUGCAAUUUACAUGGCUAAUUGGCUAUUCCCCAACACUGUCUAGCUAUUACAGAUUUAUACACUAUAUAGAUUGAUCUUAAUUAGACCUAGAUAGAGAAAGGAUUAUACUAAUUAGGUACUGUGAAUACUGAAUAGUACAACUGAUACUUUCAAAAUACGAUCUUACAUUACAUAUGUACAUGAACCAAACUGUAAGUCUAUGCAAUAAUUUACAAAUGGGUUCAACAAAAAUUGAAUUCAAUCACAAAAGUCUAUAUGAUACAGAGAAAAGAACGCUAUGUGCGGGAAAAAAGAAAAAAAAAAAACAUACAGUACAAGGGAAUAACGCUGCAUGCAAAAAAAAAAAAAAAAUGUGAAUGACGAUAAACAAAAAAAACAGAAGUAACCUAACUAAUACUACCUUGGAGGAGAGAAAUACGCGGAGAAUGGAGACAAGAGGCGUCGCGGGUUGAAGAGAGACACGUGUCGAGGGGAGGCGAUUCCGUCGAUCUGGCGGUAAUCGGAGACGUUGAUGAAGCCUUCCCUCUCGUCUCCACGGCGGUUACCGCCGGGACUCCUCGCCGGAGAUGAGCUCAGGCCGUUAAAGGUCUUGUAUUUGACGAUCUUACCAAUGCCCCACAACUUUUUCUUCAUCGGAGUCUUCUUAUAAGACUCUGUCAUCUUCUCGCUCAUGUACCGCUUCACUGCUUCCAAACCCUGUUCCACCUGUUGUAAGAGAUCAUCAAAACAUAAACUACUACAGAACAAAUUCUUAUUAAAAAAAAAAAAUUAUAAGAGAAGGUUUUUUUUAUUGAUCUAUUCACGUCUCUCAAAUUUCUUGUAUAGUUGUAUAUAUCAUGUUUAUAAAAGGAUGGUCUUAGCAUUAACAUAUACAAAACUGAACAGAUAUUUUCAAAUAAAUAUCAUACUUGCGUUGCUUAGUUAACACACUAUCGAUCAUAAUGCUUGCGAAACAAGUUAUGAUCCGUAUUGUAUUAUUUUCUGUUGAAUGUAAUUUAUUUACUAAACAAGAAUUUUAAAUAGGUUAUGUUACGAGACUAUGACAUGCAUGUAGCGUAUAGUGGUUUGUAUAAUAGUAAAUAAGAUUAAUAAUCAAAUUGUACAUACCACUUCAAAAGGAGGGGAGACGAGGGGAUUGCCCUCGACGGAGAGCUUCUGAAUCCGGC